AAGCAUUGAAAAGGUUAGUAUCAAUAAAUGCGUUAGCUUGAUGCAGCUUUGAUGAAGGAUGAGAUUCAUUUUUUCACCAAUAUGGUAUGUUCUCUGAUCAUUUACUUGAAAUAUCUUGGUCUUUAAAUCCCAUGCCAAUGCUUUAACAUUUUGACAGGUACUUUCCUGAAGGCAUUGAUAUAUAUUUUGAAAACGUUGGCGGAAAAAUGCUUGAUGCAGUGCUACUCAACAUGAAAAUCCAUGGUCGCAUUGCUGUAUGCGGAAUGAUCUCACAGUACAAUCUUGACAGGCCUGAAGGUGUACACAACUUGAUGUAUCUUGUUACGAAACGGGUUCGAAUGGAAGGAUUUCUUGUUCGCGAUUACUAUCACCUCUAUCCAAAGUUUCUGGAAAUGAUCAUUCCUCACAUCAAAGAAGGGAAGAUUGUAUAUGUCGAAGACAUGGCUGAAGGUCUCGAGAGUGCUCCGGCUGCUCUCAUCGGUCUAUUCUCUGGCCGGAAUGUUGGGAAACAGGUGGUUGCAGUUGCUCCUGAAUGAAGAAUAAGUUAGUGUUGCAUGUUCUUUUACCCUUGGACACAAAACUUCAAUGUGAAAGAGAGAAUGCUGCUCAUACUGCUUUAUAAAACAAUCAAAUGAGUGCAAGUUCCAUGGUGUUUGCUGAAUCAAAUAUUGGAAAUUAAGCAGCUAGCCUAUCUCCUUCUUGUAGUUGCAGUUUGAAUGACGCUGCUGCACAACUGCUGCCAAAAGAAUCCUUAAUGGAUGAUUAGCAAGGUUUCAAAAAUAUAAAUAAAUGUUAGUGCAAUGUGCUGAAUAUGACAGCCACAAAGAAAGAGCAUACAAAUUGAUUGGUUUUAUGUCCUCUCUAGGAGAAAGGUACAAUACAAGAAAUUGUAUUGAUGGAGACAUGGAACCAAAUUUCUUAUUUAAAACGUUUAAUUUUUUUUUAUUAAAUUACUUAUGUUAUUAUGGUUUAUAUUUUAGAAAUUCUUUUGAAAUUAAUACAGAACUAGAAGUAAGUUGAGAAAUCAAACAAAUCUUUUUACUGAAUGGUCAAGAUUUGAUUAUGUUUAUUGAAUUAAAUUUACAAUCAUCAUUUUGAUAAAUUGUGGUCAAAGAAUUUGAUUCAUGACAGGUUUAAGUAACUAAAUGUGUUAAAAAAAAGCUUAGGCACUGUUUGAUAUUCAUGACAGGUUUGAUAUCAUUUUCCUUUUAAUUCCACCUGUGCAGCACGUGAGCAUUCUCUUUAUCCUUCUAUUUGAGCAAGCGUGGACCAUAACACUCCGCUCAGAACUUACUCGGGUUUUUUAUUUAAAUAUCCUCAAUUUACCCUUAAAUGCCAAAUUUAUACCCUAUUACAUACAUAUACCUCAUGAAGAUAGGAAAAGUAAAAAAUAACCUUAAAAAAACUAAGAAUUCACAUCUUUCUUCCCCCCAUGGCUUCUAUUUUUCGGACUUCUCUCACCAUUCUCUAUUUUUCUUCUCAACAUUUCCCUCUUUAUUUUAUUCUCUUCUCACCAUUUUCCCUCUUUGACAGUUUCCUUCUAUCUCUCCAUUUCAUUAUUUGACAGUUUCCUUACUUGACUUUAGCUCCAAUACAAAGGUUUUUGAUAAAAAUAAACAGUUAAGAAGGUGCAUUAUCAAGGUAUGUUUGAAAUACAUUCUAUUUAUAUGGUUAGGUUUUGAUUUCAUUUCAUUAUAAGUGUACUUGCUAAUGAUUUAUGAAUUUUAGUAGUACAUUAUUCAUUUUUUGUGCUUGCACACACACUAUUUCAUAGAAUGUAGGGAUUUAAGAUUACGUUUAAGUUAUGAGUGAUUGAAGAAUCAGUGCAGGAAGAAGUCGGGUAAAUCGAGAAUUUAGUCGAGUAAGAAUUGGAGAUAAGUAAGUCGAGUAUAUGGUCGGGUAAGAAGUCGAGUAAGAAUAUUAAAUGAGUCGAGUAAGCAUAUUAAAUAAGUCGAGUAUAUGGUCGGGUAAGAAGUCGAGUAAGAAUAUUAAAUGAGUAGAGUAAGCAUAUUAACUAAGUCGAGUAUAUGGUCGGGUAAGAAGUCGAGUAAGAAUAUCAAAUGAGUCGAGUAAGCAUAUUAAAUAAGUCGGGUAUAUGGUCGGGUAAGAAGUCGAGUAAGAAUAUUAAAUAAGUCGAGUAAGAAUAUUAAAUGAGUCGAGUAUAUGGUCCAGUAAGAAGUCGAAUAAGAAUAUUAAAUAAGUCGAGUAUAUGGUCCGGUAAAAAGUCGAGUAAGAAUAUUAAAUGAGUCGAGUAAACAUAUUAAAUAAGUCGAGUAUAUGGUCGGGUAAGAAGUGGAGUAAGAAUAUCAAAUGAGUCGAGUAAGCAUAUUAAAUAAGUCGGGUAUAUGGUCGGGUAAGAAGUCGAGUAAGAAUAUUAAAUGAGUCGAGUAAGCAUAUUAACUAAGUCGAAUAUAUAGUCCGGUAAGAAGUCGAGUAAGAAUAUUAAAUUAGUCGAGUAAAGUAUAUUAAAUAAGUUGAGUAUAUGGUCCAGUAAGAAGUCGAGUAAGAAUAUUAAAUUAGUCGAGUAAAGUAUAUUAAAUAAGUUGAGUAUAUGGUCCAGUAAUGAGUCGAGUAAGUAUAUUAAAUAAGUCGAGUAUAUGGUCGGGUAAGAAGUCGAGUAAGAAUAUCAAAUGAGUUGAGUAAGCAUAUUAAAUAAGUCGGGUAUAUGGUCGGGUAAGAAGUCGAGUAAGAAUAUUAAAUAAGUUGAGUAAUGUUUUAAAUAAGUCAGGUAAAUGUCAAGUAAGUUUUUUAACACGUCGGGUAAGAGCUACGUAAUAAUGUUGAGUAAAAAUUCACAUAAUAAAGUCAAGUAAGUGUAUUGAAUAAGUCAAGUAUUAAGUCGAGUAAAUGUCAAGUAAGUUAUUUAACACAUUGGGUAAGAGGUGAGUAAUAAUGUUCAACAAAAAGUCACUUGAUCAAGUUGAAUAUGUCAAGUAUUAAGUCGAGUAAUAUUUAUAACAAAUCAAAUAAAAGUUGAGUAAUUUAUUACAAUUAAAGUAAAAGUUAUGUAAAUUUUUAAAGAAGUCGAGUUAGAAGUCGGGUAAGUCGAGUAUUUUGAUGAGUAAAAAAUGAGUUGAGUAAGUCAAGUAAGAAGUCGAGUUAGUGUGUUGAAUGUCAAGUAUUAAGUCGAGUAAUUUUUAAAAAUAAGUCGAGUAAACGUCAAGUUAUGAACAAGUUGAGUCAUAAGGUCGAGUAAGUCACUUAAUCCAUUUUUUUUUUUACUAAAAUUUUUACAAUGAUGGCAGUGUCUUCACUCGUUAAUGGCAACUGUACGUGUUCCUAUAUUGUAUAAUGGUGAAUGGACUCAGGAAAAUGGUGAAUAUAGAUUUACCGGUACUCAGAUACGGGGUAUUAAAGUGCCACAUUCAACUACACUUGAGCAACUUGUCGAAAAAGUGGCAGAAGUGAUUUCUAUUGACCUUUCUGAAUUUGUUAUUAGCAUGAAGUUCAAGUUCAAAACAUCGUCAGAGCCUUUGCCACCUAUGGAAAUUUUGAAUGAUUGUGAUGUAGAAUUUUUUUUGGAAGAAACUAAUAGCGGUUUCAGAAAUCCUCUCUGCAUCACUUAUGAACGUAGGGUAAAUAUUAUCGAGCCUAAUGGCGAUAUAAGGGCAGAGAAUAGUCCACCUACAAGACACCUUUCUUGGGAGGAGAGUCACUAUUAUCCAACCGUUGAUUUAUCAGCUUCCCAACCUGAAGUUGACAGAGUUAGAAUAAAAGAUGAUAGUUUUAUUCCUCAUCCAACCGAGGUCCAUCUUGAUGUCGAAGACAGAAUGGUACCGGAUAUUGAAGCACGAACUGUCCAUCUUGAAGCCGAAGACAUGACACUACCGAAUAUUGAAGUAAGAACUGAUAGUCCACCGGUGUUGACCAUAAUUCAGCCACGGUGUAGUAACAACUAUUUGCCGAGACUUGGUUUGCUGGCUAGUAGUAAUUCAAUAAGCACAAAUGAUUCGUUUCUUAGUGUUGAUAAUUUAGUAUCAAAUGAAAUUGGUGAUGAUAGCGAUGGAUUUAUGGAAAGACAACAAUUUUCCUCCAAAGAGGUCUUGCAAGGCAAGCUCAGUGCAUAUGCUAUAACAAGAAAUUUUGAAUAUAAAACAUUUAUGUCUGGUAAGAAUCUACUUGUUGUCACUUGCGUGGAUAAAAACUAUAAAUGGCGUCUUCGUGCUGUUAAGGUCAAUAAUUGUGGUAUGUUCGAAAUUAGGAAGUAUUGCCAUGUACAUUCUUGUUCCCAUGAUGUCUUGAUGAAAGAUCAUCGCCAAGCUUCUGCGAAACUAAUUGCCCAAAAUAUUCAGUUUAAGUAUGAUGGUUCAUCUUCUUCAUAUAGGGCUGCAGACAUUAGACAAGAUUUUCAGCAACAAUAUAAUUAUGAUAUAAGUUAUCACAAAGCAUGGAGAGCAAGGGAAUGUGCAAUGCAAAUUGUUCGAGGUUCACCUGAAGAGUCUUACAAAUUGCUUCCACAAUAUAUGGCAAUGCUUGAGAAAAAGAAUAUUGGGACUCAAACUUUUCUUGAGGUUGAUGACACAAAUCACUUCAAGUACUUCUUCAUGGCAAUAAGUAGUUCUUUAAGGGGAUUUUCUUCUUCCAUUAGACCAGUUAUUGCAGUUGAUGGUACCUUUUUCAAAGGAAAAUAUAAAGGAACUAUGUUCAUUGCCACAUGCAAGGAUGGUAACAAUCAAAUUUAUCCAUUAACUUUCGGUGUCGGUGAUAGUGAGAACGAUGCAUCUUGGUUGUGGUUUUUCACAAAGUUGAGGGAAUCAAUUGGGGAAGUUGAAAAUUUAGUUUUCAUUUCUGACCGCCAUCCAAGUAUUAAAAAAUCUGUAUCUACUGUGUUCCCGAAUGCAACCUAUGGAGUUUGUACAUAUCACUUAAAGCAAAACCUUAGGGCUCACUUUAAAGAUGUUGAUGUUGGUGGUAUAUUUAAAGCGGCUUCAAAAGCUUAUCGACUAACACACUUCAUAUAUUAUAUGAAUGAGAUAUAUAAGGUCAGCGAAACAGUUGGAAAGUAUCUUGAGGAGGCAGGGAUUGAUAAGUGGGCACGUUCGCACUUCGACGGACGACGUUACAGUAUUAUGAAUACCAACAUUGCUGAAUGCAUGAAUGAGAUUUUAAAAUAUGAUCGAUUGUUACCUAUUCAUAAACUAAUGGAUGGGAUAAUUGACAAACUACGAGAGUCGUUUUGUAAGCGUCGUGAAGAGGCUGCGGCUACAAAUAGUCGACUGACAAAAUGGGCAGAUAAGGUAGUGAGAAAUAGACAAAUUGUCUCUCAAAAUUUUCGAGUGAUCAACUUAAAUCUAUAUGAAUUUAUUGUCAAAGAUGGUGAUCUUGAUGGGCAUGUGAAUAUGUUAGAAAAAACUUGCACUUGUCAGAAAUUCCAACUUGAACAAUUACCAUGUGUACAUGAUGUGGCAGUGUGUAGGCAUCGAGAUUUUUCAAUCUAUGAUUACUGCUCCUAUUACUAUUCAAGUGAUGCAUGGGUGUUAGCAUAUUCUGAGACUAUUUAUCAUGUUGGUCCUCAAGAGGGGUGGGAUGUUUGUGGUGACGUAUGUGCCCGCGAAGUACAUCCUUCUCUAGAAAAGCGGUCAAGUGGGCGUCCAAAAAAUAAUAGAAUACCAUCUAGGGGUGAGGAAAAGGUGCCUCGUAAAUGCAGUCGGUGUGGUGGUCGUGGACACAAUCGACUCAAAUGCAUGACGCCAAUGUCAUUACAUGAGUGGUACCUUGUUUUAAAUUUAUAUGCAAUGUAAGUGUCUCAAUUCUUGGUAUUCAUUUAUGUUUUAUUUAUUUCGUUAAUGCUGUUUAAAUAUGUACUAAAUUUAACAUUAUGUGUACAGGGCUUGACGGAGGAUUUAGCUUGUAUGUUGUCUUUAAAUGGUGGCAUCAUAGAUUUUUGGGUUAUGGCUUGAGUUCUUGGAGCAAUUAAAGGACUAUGCUAAGUCAUUGUAUAAGGAUUUUCGUAUUGAAAUUGCAUAAGGAUGAAUUUACUAGUUGCUAUUUAAUGUUUCCUGGAUAAGGAUCAAUUUACUAGUUGCUAUUUACUAGUUGAAAUUGUAUAAGGAUGAAAUAGAAUUGUAUUUAAUGUUUCCUGGAUAAUUUAAAGUUGUUGCAGAAAAAAGUCGAGUGUUUCCUGUUAUUUACCCGACUACACUGAAAAAGUCAAGUAUUUCCCGUUAUUUACUUGACUUCGAUGAAAAUAAUUUACAUUUACUGAACUUCGAGGAGAUGAGAAUUUUUGUUCAAUAUUUUGCAAGGUCACAUCAAAGUCGAGUAUUCUCGACCUCAUACCCGACUUGGAUGUCGAGAAUUUUCGUUUAAUCUGACGCAAUGUUACAUUAAAGCCGAGUAUUUUUGACCUCAUACCCGACUUUGGUGAGAGGAGAAUUUUCGUUCAAUGUUAGAGAAGAUUGCAAUAUAAGUCAAGUUUUCUCGACUGUUUACCUGACUUCGAUGUGGAGAAAUUUUAUUUAAUGUUAGGCAAUAUUACAUUAAAAGUCGAGUUUUCCCGACUGUUGACCCAACUUCGAUGAGGAGAAAUUUGUUUAAUGUUAGGCAAUAUUACACUAAAAAUUGAGUUUUCUCGACUGUUUAAACUGUUUACCCGACUUCGAUGAGGAGAAAUUUUUUUCAAUGUUAGGCAAGAUUACAUUCAAAGCCGAGUAUUCCCGACUAUUUUCCUAACUUUGCUGAAGGAAGUCGAGAGUUAAGUCAAUCAGAGGAGAAUUUUUUAGGCAAGCGUACAUUGAAGUAUGAGAAUCAAAAUACCAGACUUUGAUGAAAUAAGUUGAGUAUACUCGACUCUUUACCCGACCUACAUAAAAAAGUAUAAAAUUUUUUAGAAGACUUAAUGCUGACUAAAUAAUAACAAAAACUAAAAUAUUUUACUUAUUCACACAUUUACAACAAUACAAGUCAGUUCAUAAGGUUUUGAUUAACAUUAUCCCAAAAGUUAAACUACAAACUAAUACGAAGUCGAGUAUUCUUGAUUAUCCAAAACAAUGAACUUCUUGUCAUCAUCAAUCGCACUCCUCUAUCAACUUCUUGUCAGAAAACAACCUUGUUGCCACUUGUUUUCGGUAUGAGUUAAUGCCUGCUUGUGUACGAACGUCAUAUGAAAUGUCUAGACCAUAUACAAGUGCCUCCAAAUAAAACAUAACAAAAGCCCCACAAUCAUUGCUGCAAGAGAUAAAUAGAAAGUGAUAGUUAUUUGAUAUUACAUAACUCAAUGGAUAAUAUAAGAGGGGCAACAAUAUUUCUUACUUGUUUUUUUGUUGUGGGAUGUCUGAAACUCGCACAGCCUUCCACUUACGAGUUAGAGAAUUAUUAUCAGAAUGUGAAGUAUAACAUGAGAUCCUAUCUAGAAUCAAUGGCAUCAUAACUACAAACGGCAACAAUUCCUUCUCAAAUGAACUAUCAUUCAUAUAAUCUAACAUGGAGUCAUACACAAAAAUUAUCUCCUUUUGAAGGUCAAAUUGUGCUAGUGCCCAAUGAUCUUGCUUAGGAUGAAGCGAAAUAUAUACCUACAGAAAAAACUAUGUAAACCACCAAAUGGAGAAAAAAAACUAUAGUCAACAUGUCAAAUAAAUAUAAGCAACUUACUUUGGAAACAUCUUUCCAAUGAGCAGCACAUUUAAGUUUUUCACCCUUGGCAUAAUCAACGACAUAAUUAGUAGCAUUAUUUGUCCAUACUUUUUCAGGGUUGAUCAUGUAAACUGAAUACAGAUGCUCUAACUUUUGCUAUCAUUACAGAAAAUAAAAGUGUAAGUGUCUUAUAUAUUUUAUAUUUUCCUAUAUGUUUUAUAAAUGUAAUAAAAAACUCACUUGAUAUAUAGUGUCCAUUAUGGCACAAGAUGGGGAGUUGACCAAGCUGUGUCGUACAGCAUAAAAAAAAGAGUCCAAGUGAUGUAGAUAAUAAACAAUAGUUAUUAUAUGCAUUGUUUAACAUAUUCAUUAAAGUAUCUAACAAAAAUUAUUACUACGCUAGAUAUCCAUGAUCUUGGUUUGCAUAAUAGACGGAAAAAGUCUUUAUCUGCGUCGUGGACGGGCCACCUUAUUAUCAAACUACCAUAAAAAAUAAGAAAUAUUAUUACAUAACAACUUGAAUAAAUAUAAUUAACCCUAAAAUAAGAAUAAAAGAAGAAAUAAAUAUAAUUAACUCUAAAACAAAAAAAAAAGAAUAAAAGAAACUUACGGCUCCAUAUUGCCAUUACGCAUCCAAUCAUCAAAGUUUAUUGGAUCUUUUGAUUCAGUUACUGCAUCCUUUCGUGACUUCUUAUAAGGGUCAGUGUAAGGUGUGCUAUCAUAUACUGAUUUUUUUCUCUUUUUUCUCAGAUAAUGUUGUUCCAAUGGAACACAAUCUUGUUCUUUGCAUCUUUUUUUGUUGUGAGAUUUGCUAGAAAUUUCAUUAGUAAUGUUAAUUACACCAUGUACAGGUGGCUGUAUUACAGGUAAAUAAAACAUAAUUUAGAAUUUUGUACAUAAUUGCUAGUAACUAAAUUCGACACGAACUAAAUUUAAAUUUACCAACCUCAACAUCAAUUUUAUCGGCAUCUACAUGAGCAGCCCCUGCGGUUUGAUGAUCUUGUGCAGAUGGCUGUAUUACCGAUAAAUACAAUCAAAUUUAGAAUUUUGUACAUAAUUGCUAGUAACUAAAUUCAACACGAACUAAAUUUAAAUUUACCAACCUCAACAUCAAUUUUAUCGGCAUCAACAUGAGCAGUCCCUGCGGUUUGAUGAUCAUGCGCAAGUGGCUGUAUUACGGAUAAAUACAAUCAAAUUUAGAAUUUUGUACAUAAUUGCUGGCAAGUAAAUUCAACACAAAAUGAAUUUAAUAUUACUAACCUGAUCAUCUAUUUUAUCAUGGUCUACAUGAGAAGCCACUGAGGUAGGAGGAUCAUGUGCAGGUGGCUGUAUUAUGAAUAAAUAUAACAAAAUUUAGAAUUCGCUCGUAAUUAUUGUCAACUAAAUUUAAUUUCAAUUUUGUCUAAGCCACUGAAGUAAAUGUAAAAAUAUGUAAAAAAUAAAAAUCGCUUCUAAAAGUAUUUAAAAUGUUGCAAACCUGAUCAGUGAGACUAUCUUUGGCUGCAUUAAAAGAUGCUAGAAACUCCUCGAGUAACUUCGUCGUUCUCCAAAAGUCUUUUGUAAUGUUGUCAAGCUUUGCUUCCAACACACCAAUCUUUUGCACCUUUUCCUCGAUUUUGCUUAAUCUGCCAUAAAUUUUCUGAAAUGUUGGAGCAACAUGAUCGCCUAUGGAGACACGACAAGACGGAGUGACCUACGAACAUGUUUUAAGAUAUACUGCUAAGUUAAUUUCAUAAAUUAAAAAUCUCAAAAUGUCUUUAAACAAAUCAACUAACUUACAUUUUUGCUUGUUUUUUUCGUGGAACGGUGUUGUCCUCUUAAUAGUAGGUGCAUUACGUGGCGAAGGAAAAAAUCUUGGGGAAGGUUGAAUGGUGUGUGUGAAAUAUCAUCAGUGAUGGUUGCAUGCCUAUCAUCCAUAACAACAUCAACUUGAGGCUGCAUUUGCACAUUUGAAUGUGCAGAAUUUGGUUCGUUGUUAGGCUCAUCACCACUCAUAGCAUUGAGUUCACCAAGCUCUUGCUUCCACUCAAUUUCCGAAGCCAAGAACCAUUGCAUGUAAUGUUGUGCAAUCUCAUUACUUCCACCACUUCCGGUGGCAUGCAAUGUUGUCGCUACAAUAAACUAUAUAAUAUAGAUGAUAAUUAAAUUAUACCAAGAAUGUACUAAUGCUUUAACUAAAUAACUCAAGUUAAACUAAAUAAUUCAUGUUAAUGGUUCGCACUUAAAUAAGAAUGAAACACUUACGGUGUCUUCCUCUUUCAAGGCUUUAUUAAUUACAUCAGCCAUAAUCUUGUUCUUACAGAACCACUUAAGAAUUCUUGGAACCUUUAAAUCACCCUUUUCGGUUGCAAAUUUUUGGCCGAAUUCAGAAAGGACCUCGUAUGUCCACACCUGCAAUAUUACAACACUACAUCAAUAUCAUAUAAAAUUCAUGUAUUUAUUAUAAAAAUAAAUAAAUAAGCAUUCUCACCUGAAACACGUAUGGAAAACCAUAAAGGCUGUAUUUCUCUUCUAUGUUUGGAUCUAAUGGACCAAUUCUUUUGCUUCUCCUUGUAACUGUGUUCUUCAAGCUUAACAUUGUUGCCUCGAAUGACAAGCGACCCCAUGGAUAAUUAUUAAAUUCUUUAAAGUUGUCUAAUAGACGAAUAUGGAGGCCAUCAAUCUUAUUCUUGGGCUCCUUUCCUAGCAACACAGACUCCAAGAAAUAUAGCAUGGCGAACUUGACCAUCAAGUUAUCAUCAUUGGACUGGGCUGUUGAAAAAGCUUUCUGUAAUUGUUUUUGAGUAAAUUCAUGAUUGCCCCCCAUGAACACAUCACAUAUACUAUCAGUAUUGUCUUUCUCAUGUACUAAAAUAUCAUGUUCUUUAUGGCAUUUCAAUCCCGUAAUUAAGGCAAACUCAAGCAUAGAAAAUCUGCACUCUUUUUGUCCUAUUUUGAAGUACAUUACCUUAUCAGUUGAUCUCACAUACUGUAAUAAUAAUGCAUGAACAAUUUGGCCAGCGAAUUUUAGAUCUUGAAGGUGCACAAAAUGACCAAAGCAUGUUUCCUUAAACACUUCAUAUUAUUGCUCUGUGAGACGUUGCUUUAUAAGUGAAAGUGCCUUUAGUGAUGACAUAUUAGACACUUUUACUAAAACCGCCUUCUGAUCGUCGUUAUCUAAAUUAUCAUCAGAUGGCAUGGUUUUUUUUGGUAUACAGUCCAGAACUUACAGGAUCAAGUAAAAAGUUUUAUCUAGAGGUUAAAUGGGUUAUAAACUAAUCAUUUGAAGCCUGAUAGUAAACAAUUCAAAUGUUGUUAGGCUAAUAACAUGCCAACAACUAUUUUCCAGCUCAUAAUUAAACUCUAACCCUGAUUUUAGAACACAACACAUAUAGAUUCUUACACUACAAUCCUUAAUUUCAUAAAUUUACAGAACAAUAUGUUUAUAACAAAAUUCAAAACAAUAAUCAAUAAAAGGCAAAUCCAAUGAACACAAUCAAAUAACCUUUAAAAUUGAAUCAUAAUGUUUCACAACUAAACACAUCAUUUCUCCAACCGCAAAGCAAAAAUUGGGAAAACUAACCCACAUGAUUCUUUAAUCAACUUUUCUUUAACCACAUUGUUGCCAAAUCUUAAUUGUUGCACUCAAACAAAAAAAAGAAUACAAAAUCCAUAGAGGAAAUAAAAUAAAUUUGAAGUUCUUCAAAUAAAAAUAUGUUGUCUAACAUUUGUUUUUGUAUGUCUCUUCGUGAUAUAUUGUAUUACAUUGUUCAUGUUAUACUUCUAAUUCUUUCCAUUUUCAGUAAUCUCAUAAAUUAUACUUAAUUCACUAAAUCACUUACUAUUUUCAAGCAAAACCCUAAAAUUUUUCUUUGAAUAUUUGUAGGAGAAAGAAGAAAAUGAAAAUUACUUACCUAGUAAUCAAUGACGGAGGCAAGACAAGGUGGUGGUGACACAGCUGAGGCGAUGGUGAUAGCUGAAGUGCAGAAUGGGUAGAGAGCCGUUUGUUCUUCAAGGAGUUUUCUCUCUUAUUUUGUUUACUCGACUUUGUGAUUUUGGGUUGGAAUCGAUUCUGUUUUGUUGGCUUUUAUUAAGGUUAUUUUUGUAUUUUCCCCGAUCUUUUUAAGUAUAUAUGUGUAAAGCUAGCAAUUUUAAUAUAUGGAGGUAUAUUUUGGGUAUUUUGAGGGAAACUAGGUAUAUCCCACGCAAUUCGCUCAACUUACAAUCUGCAGACUGCAAAUUGUAAACUGCAAAACCUCAAGUACAGAGCUUCCAAGCUGCAAAACGCCAACUGGUUCGUGAAAAUUGACUGCUGAACUUUUACAUUCAAGAAUUUGGCAGCAAGAAAACAUUAGAAGCACGAAAUUUUUACUGGCUUAAAGCCAUGAGAUGCUUCUUGGAUGUUGUCCAUUUUUUCUUCCCCUGCUUUUCUUUCAACUGGAUCACUGUCAAUAGAAAAGAACAAAUAUGAUAUAAAUGAAACACAACAAACUUCAUUAUACAAAGUUAACUUCAUUAUACGUUAAUCUUUUGAGUUCAUUUACUGCUGUUAUACAUAGUGCAACACACAUUCCAGAAGAAUUGUUAGCCCUUUUUAGCCCUUUUCAAUGAUCCAUUAAUAACACAAUAGAAGAGAACACACUUACAACUAAAAAAGAAGAGUUAUUUUGAAGCUUUUCCUUGUUAAGAGCAUUGAAACCAGUUUAGGACUAAUCAGUAUAGUUGGAUAGAUGCACGGGAAUGAAGGAACAGAAUCAAAGAGGCAAAUCAUCUAACACACAUGUUAAUAUUUAAAUGCAAAUAUUAGGAACAAACUUUUAUUAUUAAGAUUUAAGAGUUGAACACAAGUGAUUAAUACAAAAAGGAAUAAGAAACACACAUGGGUACCAAUGCAAAGAUUAACAAAUAAACAAUGCUCUUGUUGAAAUUCUUUAAUAUUACAAGGGAAGAGAAAUUUGUUCAGGAAACUCUAAGAGGAGGGCUUCAUCUCUAACUUAAUGGCUGCAACCAAUUGAUCGUAAGCUUCAGAUCAGGCACUCUUCAUUUCUGGUGACCAUAUCUCUGGUACUGCUUCCUUUAUUGUUUCUAGUAGUGCAAAUUUUGUGACCUCAAAAUGUUCAUUAACAACACCAGAUUUGAAGUGGACAGCUCCUAAUUUCUUUAGAGUUGAUUCUCUUACUGUCACUUUGCCUGCUUUCCUCAGUUGCUCUGUUGAUCCAAGAAACAACCGGGUCGGUUUCCGGAUCCUCCACCAUCUCAUAUAUUUUCCUCAAAAACGGCAGUAGACCCACCUCGUUUAAUCCUUCCAUUGGCUUUGGCAACGAUCCGCCACCGACAAGUUCAUCAUCAACAACGCCUUCCUCUUUUUCUUCUUCUUCUUUGAUUGUGGCUAAAGUCGGCAUGGAUGAAGAAGACGAGGAUGGCCCACCGCCGUUGCUGUUCUCAUAUAGUGACGCUUCUUUCUCUUCCUCUUUGUCUAAUCAAGCGUAUCUCAUUCUCUGUUUCAACUGUUUCUUUUAUUGUUUCCAUUGCCACAUCUUGGCCAGAUUUAGGUUUUGGAAAAAGAUUUGAAGAACAAAUUAAAAAAAAAACUAGAGCUGCGGGCGGCGGUGGCCAUUUUGUUGGUCAUUGUGUUUAGUUGUUUACUUAGUCUGAUUUCAAUGGGUGACAAAAGAACUGAGAUUUUCUUGAGCGAAUUGCUGUGGGAUAUACAUGUUUUCCUUCAAAAUACCCAAAAUAUACCUCCAUAUAUUAAAAUUACUAGCUUUACACAUAUACUUAAAAAGAUCAGGGAAAAUACAAAAAUAACCUUAAUAAAAAUAUUCGACUUAUUUAAUAUGUUUACUCGACUCAUUUAAUAUUCUUACUCGACUUCUUACCGGACCAUAUACUCGACUUAGUUAAUAUGCUUACUCGACUUAUUUAAUAUUCUUACUCGACUUCUUACCCGACCAUAUACUCGAUUUAUUUAAUAUACUUACUCGACUCAUUUAAUAUUUUUACUCGACUUCUUACCCGACCAUAUACUCAACUUAUUUAAUAUGCUUACUCGACUCAUUUAAUAUUCUUACUCGACUUCUUACCGGACCAUAUACUCGACUUAUUUAAUAUGCUUACUCGACUCAUUUAAUAUUCUUACUCGAUUUCUUACCGGACCAUAUACUCGACUUAUUUAAUAUGCUUACUCGACUCAUUUAAUAUUCUUACUCGACUUCUUACCCGACCAUAUACUCGACUUAUUUAAUAUGCUUACUCGACUCAUUUAAUAUUCUUACUCGACUUCUUACCCGACCAUAUACUCGACUUAGUUAAUAUUCUUACUCGACUCAUUUAAUUUUCUUACUCGACUUCGUACCCGACCAUAUACUCGACUUAUUUAAUAUGCUUACUGGACUCAUUUAAUAUUCUUACUCGACUUCUUACCCGACUAUAUACUCGACUUACUUAUCUCUAAUUCUUACUCGACUAAAUUCUCGAUUUACCCGACUUCGUACCCGACUUCUUCCUGCACUGAUUCUUCAAUCACUCAUAACUUAAAUGUAGUCUUAAAUCCCUACAUUGAAAUAGUGUGUGUGUGCAAGCACAAAAAAUCAAGUAAGGAAACUGUCAAAUAAUGAAAUGGAGAGAUAGAAGGAAACUGUCAAAGAGGGAAAAUGGUGAGAAGAGAAGAAAAUAAAGAGGGAAAUGUUGAGAAGAAAAAUAGAGAAUGGUGAGAGAAGCCCGAAAAAGAAAAGCCAUGGGGGGAAGAAAGAUGUGAAUUCUUAGUUUUUUUAAGGUUAUUUUUGACUUUUCCUAUCUUCAUGAGGUAUAUGUAUGUAAUAGGAUAUAAAUUUGACAUUUAAGGAUAAAUUGAGGAUAUUUAAAUAAAAAACCCGAUUUUCUUAGCCUUUAUAUGCAAACAGAGAGACACUGACUUGUCACGUAACAGCGGCAGCAAAGCUAGAAGGAAGCGGGAGCUGUUCUCAUAUGGUGACGUGUUAAACGCACCGUUUUUAAUUUAAUUAAAACGGUGCGUUUUAAAUUCGGGGCGCGGGAUUUAAAAUCGGGUUAAGUAACAACGUUCUAUAAUAAAUAUAAUUUUUAAAUAAUAAUUUUAAUAAAAUAAUAAAUUUAUUAUGAGUUUUUCAUAUAUAUUAAAUAAUUUUAAUUUUUAAAUCACAAUAAUAAAUAUUUUCGAAACACUAUAAUACCGUAAUUUUUAAAUUAUAUCUAUACAAUCUAAAUGGCAAGAGGCCUUAAUAUGAAAAAAAAAAACAUUACAGUUAAGUUUUAAAACUGUUAAUGAUAUUCAUAAAAACUGUGGAACAAUAAUACAAAAGGUGUCGUCAUGUAAAAACACAUGGGACCCAACCAAUAAAUGCUUAUGAUCCUCAACUUUCCUCCUCACUGUCCCAGUGUCCCUGCAAACAAUUCUGAUUUUCCUGCCAGAGAAAAAAAACUGAGAAACAAUGGCGGCUGAACAAGAAGCUGUGAGCAAUAAGCGAGUGAUUCUGAGCAACUAUGUGACAGGUUUUCCAAAAGAAUCAGACAUGAAGAUAACAAGUGGAUCAAUAAAGCUGAAGGUAGCAGAGGGUUCAAAAGACACAGUGCUUUUGAAGAAUCUUUAUCUUUCUUGUGAUCCUUACAUGCGAUGGCGUAUGAGCAAGCUUGAUAGACCUUCUUUUGUUGAUUCAUUCCAUCCUGGUGAGGUUAGUUCAUCACGACCCAUCUCUUGAUUUUUCCAUUUGGUUUAAGUUUUGGUGAGUUUCUGAGUUCAUUUUUACGGUUUUGGAAUGUGAACACAAUUUUGGUGCUGUAACUGUCAUUAAUGAUAUGUAGUAAUUCAAUCAGAAUUUGGAUUUAUUGCUGAUAUAAGCUCUGCUCAUUUUUUAAAAUCUGGUGUCCACAUGCAUGUUUAUAAUCUUUUUGGUUGAGAUUGUAUGUAGAUUCAUACAGUAUUCUUGUCUAACAAUUACUAACCACAACCUUAUAAGACGAUCGAAACUAAGCUCAGAUCAAUAAUCCAAUCAAGAGAGGAUCCUAACUCAAGCUUGUCAUGUAUGGGAAUAUUUCGGUUAAAUUGUAAUCAUGAUCAUGAAUCAUGCAGGAAAAAGGGAAGUUGAGGUCAAUUUAUGCACUUGAUGGAAUUAAAGAACCAAUAUUUGGUUUACAUUAUUUCUUAGUAAUGGUGACUGUGCCUUCUAGCAGAAUUUUACAUGCUUUAUGUUCUAACUAAGCAUCAAUAUUUGAUCGUGAUCAUUAGCGAGGUCAAUAAUUUUUUUUGACUAUUUUUUCAACAUAAGGUCGAUUUGUUGAAGAACAAGUUUGGAUUUGAUGAUGCUUUUAACUACAAGGAAGAGCCAGACUUGGAUGCAGCACUCAAAAGGUCAGCUGCAACAAACGUUUCAACUCUAAUAUUUCAUUUUAAUAUUACAGAGCUUUGGUUGAAGUGUGUGAGUUGAUCCCAAAAACGUAACUUCAUCAGUGUCUCUGUUUUCAAAAAACAGGACAAAUAGAAAUCUGAUUUUGCUUUAAAAAUUUCCUAGAUGCUUCCCUCAAGGAAUCGACAUAUAUUUCGAAAACGUUGGGGGAAAGAUGCUGGACGCAGUGCUACUCAACAUGAGGCUCCGGGGCCGCAUUGCGGUAUGCGGUAUGAUCUCGCAGUACAACCUGGAAAAACCUGAAGGCGUACACAACUUAGAGCAACUAAUCGGGAAACGGAUUCGCCUGGAAGGAUUUCUAGCUGGUGAUUACUAUCACCUCUAUCCAAAAUUCUUGGAACUGGUCAUUCCUGCAAUCAGAGAAGGAAAGAUGGUGUAUGUGGAAGACAUAGCCGAAGGACUCGAGAAUGCUCCCGCAGCCCUUGUCGGGCUCUUCACUGGCCGGAACGUCGGCAAGCAGCUAGUUGCAGUUGCUUAAUACAAAAGCCAAUAUGGAUGAGCUGAGAAUAUGUGACUGAAUCCAUUGUCCGGUUAAAAAUGUUUGCAUGUGUUAAUAUGAACUAUCCUCGUUUAGUAAUGGGAUUGGAUUGUCCUGUCAUUACUUAAUUUUGUUGAGCUAGGGCAUCUGUGUGUAAAGUGUCAAAUAAUUUGGAUUCAGACAAGAACUUAGUGGAUGCAUUGAAGGAUUUUUUUUUUCUUUUUUUUUCUUUUCCAAGAUAUUGAGAUAAUGAUUGGAACAUUUGAGGGAUAAGAUCAAAGUAUCUUUUAGGAUACCUCAUUGGUAAGUAUUAAAAUAUCAAUUGCGUCUUUAUAAGGACAGGUGGUCCAGGAUCAAGAUUAAUGAAGAACAAAUUACAGCCAUUAGAUUAAAGUGAAAUUAAAGCUGUGAAUAGUACACACUUGUUGUGUGAAAAACUUAAAGGAGACAUUCCUCUGUACAAAAUUAACUUAAUAAUAUGUCCUUAUUCAUUCAUUUGAUUCUUCCUUCUCAAUCGUCAUUAAUAAAUUAAUAAUACAAAUAAGUCCCCGUUAAAGGUUAAGUCCCCGAUUGGCUUUACCGUCACGCUCAUGCAUGAUCAAAUUUCAGUUAAUGCUGACGUGAUCGAUGAUGAUUUCAUUGGGAGCUUCCUUUGUCGUGGCACUCUCAUGUUCACAUUUAUUUUUAGGGUUAAUAAUAAUAAUAGCUUCUAGAAACGCUUUGUUUUAAUGAGAUUUUAUUUUUCAAUUAGUGUAAAAAAAAAAUAACAAAAAUUAAUAAAAACUGAUUAUUUAAUGAUGUUCGGCCCUCGAGACAGUUUAUACUCGUAAUUUAUUGUUUGAAAAUUAUUUCAACAUAUGAAAAACAAAAUUUCCCAAAUUUACAACGAAUUUUAAAACAAAAUUUCGAAAUUUCAAAGAAAAUUACAAAUUUGACUAGAUUGACUGGAAAAAAUAAAAUAAAUAAAAUCGUCAAAAAUCCUGGGACCGACCAUUUCAAAAGUCUGGCUCUUUUCCAGGCUUUCCUUCCAAAUUUUCACACACAAAAUUUCUCGUAACUGCUACACAUUAAACGCGUUUCACAUUUUCACUCUCUCUCUAUAAAUAAAUACGCACAUAAAAUUUCUCACCAUCCAAAAACAAAAUCUACAUAAAAAAUGGCGGGUGAAGAAGCAGUGAGCAACAAGCAGGUGAUUCUGAGCAACUACGUGACAGGGUUUCCCAAGGAAUCAGACAUGAAGAUAAUAACAGGCUCAAUAAACCUGAAGGUGCCAGAGGGCUCAAAAGACACAGUGCUUUUGAAGAAUCUUUAUCUUUCCUGUGAUCCUUACAUGAGAGGACGUAUGAGUAAGCUUGAUAAGCCUUCGUUUGUUGCCUCCUUCAACCCUGGCGAGGUCAGUUUCUUCAAUUCCCACCUCUUGGUUUCAUAAUCUUUUAUGGUCUUAGAGGUGUUUUAGGGAAACAUUAUGGUUUUGGUUUGUGGGCAUGAAUCCUUGAAGAGAGUAUGAUGUGUCGGACUAUGUAUGCAAUAAUAAGUAUAGGGGAUCUUGUUAAGAGAAGAUUCUCUUAAUGAGAUUAAAACUUUUGUCUUAUCAAAACAUAUGUUUAGUUAUGAUAUCAUGUUAGCAUUGUUUCUGAGGAUUUGAUUGCUUGCUUUGGGAAAGGGAUGUUGAGGUUACAUUAUUCAGUAAUGAUUUUUUUUUUUUUUCAAAUGUUCAAAUUAUGCAGCCUUUGAGCGGAUAUGGAGUGUCCAAAGUGUUGGAUUCCACACAUCCAAAUUAUAAGAAAGAUGACUUGGUCUGGGGCUUAACCAGUUGGGAGGAGUACAGUCUCAUCCAAUCACCACAACAUCUGAUUAAAAUUCUGGAUACAAAUGUGCCUCUGUCAUACUAUACUGGGAUUCUUGGUAAGUUGUUACUAAAUUUAUCGAUGUCCAGUUUGCAUGAGCCGAAAAUCGUGUUUUAUUCAAUGCAAUGAGAUAGGGAUAUAUAAUAUGCCUGCUUGAACGUCUAGCAUUUUGAAUUUUCAACAAUUGGUCCGUCUGUAUGGGCAUGUAACUGAAGGAUUUCAUUUGAGGAAUUUACUAUUGUUGCUGAUUAUUGGGUAUUUUUCUGUUGAUUCUAGGUAUGCCUGGUUUGACUGCAUAUGGUGGUUUAUAUGAGCUUUGCUCUCCUAAGAAAGGAGAGUAUGUCUAUGUAUCUGCAGCAUCUGGAGCUGUUGGUCAGCUAGUUGGGCAAUUUGCAAAGUUGGUUGGUUGCUAUGUUGUUGGAAGUGCAGGAAGCAAAGAAAAGGUGAGUUUGCACUCUUGACCCUUAAGCUCCAAAUAAAAACAUAAUAACUUCCAAAAGAAUUGUGCAUGUCACAGUAUUUGUGUUCUAACUGAUCAUGGAUAUUUGAUCAGUAGUCUAGUAGAAACAGACCUAUUAAUACAUAGUUGAUUCGUCCUCAAGAAAAUUUAGUUGAUAUAUGCUUGAAAUUAUAUUCUGUUUUUUAUGCCAGAUUAUAUUAUUAGAUGACUAUAUUAACCAGAUUCUUUUUCUUUGUGCUGUUUCUCAUUUGAUUACGUUUUCAACAUUAGGUCAAUCUGUUGAAGAACAAGUUUGGGUUUGAUGAUGCUUUUAACUAUAAGGAAGAGCCAGACUUGGAUGCAGCUCUUAAGAGGUUAGCACGAAUGAAUGCUUUAACCACUUUUCUCACUUCAUUAUUACAAUGCGCUGAUUGAUGUUAUCUGCGUUGGUCCUGUAAAUGUAAAACAGGACAAACAGAGAUCACUGAUCUCAUUUGUUACAUUGAUAUUUUCUACCAUUGCCAUACAUAGUAUAAACUUGGAAUGAAGAUAGAUAUUCAAUUCAGAGGGAAAUUUUCACUUGCAGCUAACAGAAUCAUGUUUGUGAUGUAUGUUUAUUUAGGAAAUGAAAAGAUUCGUUGCAUUAUUUUAUUCCAAGUUUGCUGAAAUCAUAUUUGUUUUCCCAGGUGCUUUCCUGAAGGCAUCGACAUCUAUUUCGAAAAUGUUGGGGGUAAGAUGCUUGAUGCAGUCCUACUCAACAUGAGAAUUCAUGGCCGCAUCGCCGUAUGCGGAAUGAUCUCACAGUACAACCUUGAGAAGCCUGAAGGCGUACACAACUUGAUGCAAGUAGUUGGAAAACGAAUUCGCAUGGAAGGGUUUCUUGCCGGUGAUUUCUACCACCAAUAUCCGAAAUUCUUGGAACUGGUUAUGCCGGCAAUCAAAGAAGGAAAGUUAGUAUAUGUCGAGGACAUAGCUGAAGGCCUGGAGAAAGCUCCAUCAGCCCUAGUUGGGAUAUUCACUGGGCAGAAUGUUGGAAAACAACUGGUUGUAGUUGCUCCUGAAUGAUAUGAUUACAAUAUGCUUUAAAAGUGGACUGUGCCAUGCACUUUAAAAGCUUAGUGAAGAUGCCUCUGUCUUAUUUUUGAUACAUGUUAUGUUUGUUUGAUCAAGUUGUACUCAGCUAUAAAUGAAAGAUUCAGAACAUGUGUAUGGUACUGGUUUCUAAAUCAAUGAACGCUUUGAAAUGUUAGUGUUUUCACUGGAGAAUGCAGUUUAAUUCAUCAACAAUGUCCCAACAAGACCCUCAAGAGUGGUAGCUUGCAAAGUUAAUUACUAUAUUUUUUUCUUUCCGAUAUAUUGUUCAUUUCAUAGAAAGUUUACAUUAAUUAAAGUCUCAUGUUUCUUUGAAAGGUAAGCAAGUGUGAAUGUUUCUAUCUAGAGCUGGAAAAUGCAUUUCCGUGCAACUUACUUGAUGAAUGAAGUUUUCAUCUCUGACCUUGAUGUUUCCCAGAGCUGCAUUCAUUUCAGCUGAUCUAUUUCAUUUCGUUUGCAAAGGAGUGACACAAAACCUCCUUUGUUAAGGGGAGAAUUUAGAGUGGCUUCAACGGUUAACAAAUAGCCUAAUGUAAGACUUAAUCAAUUUCCUGCCCGGUUGCUUACCACUACUUAUCACUUUAACGUAUGAAACCUAAUCAAGAUUCCUUUGAUGAUUUUUCUAUUUGCUAAUUGAUUGAUAAGCUCUUCAGUGAAGAUAUAGUGUCCGCAAGCCAUAUGUUGAUAGAGUUAGAGUUUGCAGAAGCUACUGUACCAUAUGUUGUUAGAGGCGGUAAAAACGGAGGCAGAUCAACACACAUUUAAAUUUCAAUGACAAUUUACUGGAAAUAAAUUUCCUAUGACCCUACAUGUGACUAAUUGAUGAGAACUUGACAAUGACAAAAGAAAGUGUAUGAGCUUUGCAGGCUGGCUUGCCAAUAUUGACUGUAUGGCACCAUCCGCAAGUAAGUAUCAUUACUGUUUAAUCAACUUGGUGGAGUCCACUGGGACCACCCCACAUGGUCAGUCUUAUCUCUACUCCUAAAUUUUCAAUAUUCCAUACAUCAAACCAAUUGCAGUUUUGAUAUCAAAUUCAAUUUUAUUGUUGGUGACGAUUCUGAUUCCUUUCAUUCUCACAAAACGGAACCAUGGUUGCUGUUGGAGAGAUCUUACUCAACGCCUUCCUUGAGGUGUUGUUUGACAGGUUGGCUUCUCGUAAUUUGCUCCGCUUUGUGCGUCAACUCCAAGGCGGGGUUGAUUCGGAGCUCAAGAAGUGGGAGAAAAAGCUGAAGAUGAUUCAGGCUGUGCUCUGCGAUGCAGAGGAGAAACAACUGACCGAUGAGGCUGUGAAGAUGUGGCUGGACGAACUCCAAGACUUAGCUUAUGACGCUGAGGACAUUCUUGAUGAGUUUGCUACUCAAGCUUUGGAAAGCAAGUUGAUGGCGCAAAACCAGGAUAGCUCUGGCCAGGUUCUCAGUCUCAUCCCGGCUAGUUUGAAUCCGAAUGCUAUUAUGUUCAAUUAUAGCAUGGGGUCCAAGAUUAAAGAUAUGACUAGCCGGCUGGAGCAACUCUGCCAAGAAAGAAUUGAACUUGGACUGCAACGGCUUACUGGAGGGGCGUCAUCAACCGCUGCUGCUGCACACCGGAGGCCACCCAGUUCGAGUGUCCGAACAGAACGUGAAGUAUUUGGAAGAGAAGAAGAUAAGGCCAAAAUUCUUGAUAUGGUCAAUACCCCAAGUGAUCACGCCAACUUUGUUGUAAUACCUAUUGUUGGAAUGGGCGGGAUAGGAAAAACAACUCUUGCUCGGGAGGUCUACAAUGACAAGGCAGUUGAGGAUUCCAAGUUUGACGUAAAAGCAUGGGUUUGUGUCUCCGACAACUUUGAUGUUUUCAACAUUUCAAAGGCACUUCUCGAGUCAAUCACCUCCGCAGCUAGUGAUCUCAAGACUUUAAAUGAAGUGCAGGUUCAACUGAAAAAAGCAGUGGACGGAAAAAGAUUCUUGCUGGUCUUAGAUGAUGUUUGGAACGAGGACUACAGCUUGUGGGUAGACUUAAAAGCUCCGUUCCUGGGUGCUGCACCAAACAGUAAGAUGAUCGUCACCACACGCAAUUUAAACGUUGCAUCAACAAUGGGACCAAUUGAACAUUAUAAUCUCAAGAGUCUGUUAGAUGAUGAUUGCUGGUCCAUUUUCAUACAGCAUGCAUUUGAAGGUAGAGAUCUUAACGCAUAUCAAAUUUCAGAAUCAUUCAGCAAGAAAGUUGUUGGCAAGUGUGGGGGCUUGCCUCUGGCAGCAAAAACGCUCGGGGGCCUUCUGCGCACAACAAGGCAUGAUGCGUGGGACGAUAUAUUGGAUAGCAAAAUAUGGGAUUUACAUCAACAAAGCAGCAUUCUCCCUGUGUUAAGAUUGAGUUACCAUCAUCUUCCGUCUCAUUUGAAAAGAUGUUUUGCUUUUUGUGCCAUCUUUCCAAAAGAUUAUGAAUUCACUGAGAAGGGGCUAACUUUCUUGUGGAUGGCUGGAGGUAUUAUUCGACAGUCAAGAAACAGUGAGCAGCUGGAAGAUUUGGGCAGCAAGUGCUUUCAUGAUCUAGUGUCAAGGUCUAUUUUUCAACAAACCAGCUCUGGUAGUUCUAAAUUUGUAAUGCACGACCUUAUCCAUGAUUUUGCUGAAUUGGUUUCUGGAGAGACCAUUUUAAGGUUAGAGGAAUCCACCAACUUGUCGUCAAGGAGAUUUGAAAGAGUUCGCCAUUCUUCCUAUGCCCGUGGUUGGCUUGAUGGUAAAAAUAAGUUUGAGGUUUUCUAUGAAAUUGAACAUCUGCGAACAUUCUUGCCAUUCUGCAUAAGAGGUGGCCCUAAUACUAGUUACGUAACUAGUUUACUUCUAUAUGAUUUGUUGCCGAAGUUUAAAAAGUUGAGGAUGCUAUCUUUAGAAGGAUACCAGAUUGGUGAGUUACCAAUUCCAUUUGAAGAUUUGAGACCUUUAAGGUUCCUCAACCUUGCCGACACUGACAUAAGAAGUUUACCCGAGUCAACAUGCAAAUUGCUGAACUUGGAAAUUUUGAUAUUACGAAAUUGUUCCCGUUUGAUAAAGCUUCCGCCCAAAAUGAGGAAUUUGAUCAAUUUACGCCAUCUCGAUAUAAAAGGUGCAAAGCUGCUGAAGGAGAUGCCAUUGGGAAUGAAAGCGUUGAGGAGUCUUCAAACAUUGUCCAAUUUUAUUGUAGGCAAGGGUGAAUCUGCAUCUGGUUUGGAAGAUUUAAAAAGUUUAAACUUUCUUUGUGAUGAACUCUGCAUUGCUGGAUUAGAGAGUGUGAAUAGUCCACAGAAUGCAAGAGAAACCGCAUUAUGCGAGAAGCACAAUCUUGAAGCAUUGACUCUAGAAUGGGGGUCUCAAUCUAACAGUCCUCGGGAUGCAGUACUAGAGGAGAAUGUACUUGACACUCUACAGCCUCAUAAACGUAUAAAAGAGCUGGCAAUCAGGCACUAUGGUGGUGCAAGAUUUCCACUUUGGAUCGGACAUCCUUCGUUCUCCGAGAUGAAGGUCCUUAAAUUGGAGAACUGUGACAAGUGUGUAUCUCUGCCAUCGCUUGGCCUGAUGAAUUCACUUAAGCACCUUGCUGUUAAAGGGCUGAAGAAACUAAAAAGCAUAGAGUCUGCGGUCUUUCCAUCAUUGGAGAUUCUAAGUUUUGAGAAUUUGCCAGAAUGGGAGCAUUGGGACACCAAUAUCAAUGGAAAUGUGCACGUUGAAAUAUUUCCUCAUCUCCAAGAACUUUCCAUUGCAGAAUGUCCCAAACUCUCUGGAGAACUGCCUGAGCUCCUGCCCUCCUUGGAGACACUUGUCGUUAGUAAAUGUGAACAGUUGGCAGUUCCAUUGUCUUGCUAUCCGAUGCUCUGCAGAUUAGAAGUUGAUGAGUGCAAAGAACUCGUGUGCGGGACUCCAAUUAAUUUUAAGUUGGUAAAGUCUUUGACCAUUUCAAAUAGUUCAUUAGACAUGAAUGGAUGCAAUGGGAUGCUAUACCAUGGUCCAGCUGGCUCUUCACUGUCUAAACGCAUGACUAUUACAAAUGUUUUGGAGUUUGGAAAAUUAUUGAAGCCUGGAUUUCAGAUAUUAGAAUAUUUGGUAAUUGGCAAUUCUGAACAGCUCAAGUCAUGGAGGCGGGCCAGGAGACCUAGACGUUUUAAUGAACCAGAACACGGGCUAAAAAUUCUCGCUUCCCCUGAAGAGGUAACAAUUGAAGAAAGUUGCGUAAAUCUUGUUUUGUUUGCAGAGAUCAAUUUCUUUCCCAGAAAUCUGCGCUCUCUUCUAAUUUUCAAUAACAUACCUUUAAAAUCCUUACCCGAGGAAAUGAUGGACAACAAUUCACAACUGGAAAGCUUGUGCAUCAGAAAUUGCGAUUCUCUAACAUUCAUCACAAGACACAAGCUACCUUCAUCUCUAAAAAGUAUAGCAAUUAAGAAUUGUGAGAAAUUGCAACGUCCGUUCGAUGAUGAAGAGGAUGCUUCUUCUUCUUCUUCUCCUUCAUCCUCGUCUUCCCCAGUGAUGCUGCAAUGCCUGACUAUAGAGAACUGCCCAGAGCUCACCAGUUUAUCAUCGGGAAUCCAAUUCCUUGAGGCGCUUGAAGUACUCGAGCUAAGGGAUUGUCGAAAGCUGGAGUCAUUACCGGAUGGCCUGCAAAAUCUUAACUGUUUACAGAGCAUUCAUAUAGAUGGAUGUCCAAGUCUUGUUUCCUUCCCAGAAAGAGGGCUUCCCAACACCAUUUCGAGAGUUUACAUUCGUGGUUGUGAGAAGCUUGAAGCCCUGCCCAACGACAUGCACAAACUCAACUCUCUCGAAACUUUAAACAUACGGAAAUGUCCAAAUCUUGUAUCGUUUCCAGAGGAAGGUUUUCCUACCAGUCUAGUAUCACUUACAAUUGGAUAUGUCAAAAUGUAUAAGACACUCGUCCAGUGGGGGUUGCAUAGGCUUACCUCUCUUACACACCUCGAGAUUAUUGGAUGUGAUGAUGAAGCAGAGUGUUUUCCAGACGAGGAGAUAGGAAUGAUGCUGCCCACCUCUCUCACUCAUCUGCAACUUUCGGAAUUCAAAAAAUUGAUAUCUCUCUCUUCGACGGGUUUUCAGAGCCUCAACUCUCUUCAAUCUUUGUGGAUAUUGGGUUGCCCAAAUCUCACAUCAUUCCCAGAGGUGGGCCUUCCAUCCUCACUUUUGGAAUUACACAUUGUCAAGUGUCCAAAGCUUAAAGAAGUUUGCAAAAGAGACCAAGGAGAAGAGUGGCCCAAAAUUGCUCACAUCCCUUGUUUUGAGAUAGACUGGAAAUUCAUAUACGAUCCAGAAUCAGAGGAGUAGAUUCUCCUAUUAAGGUCAGUUGAUUUUUUAUUAUCCGUUAUAACAAGCUCCUCCUUUUUUAUUUUUUUAAUAAUAAUUUAGCAGUUCUAUAUAAUUAUAAAUCCUCCGCCCUUAAUUGAAAAUGUCACUCAUUUGAUUCCAUUUUCACAAGUCAGAUCGUAUGUUGAGGUUAUUUGCAUUUUAUCGGUGUUUAUUAAGGUAAUUAGUGCGUUAUAGGUUGAUUACUCACAGAUUAAGUUAUAACAUUUAUCUUAAAAUUUAAUGUCAUAGACAGAGAUGAUUUUUUAAUCCAAAGUUUUCUUGAUUCACUUCAAUUAGCAUUUUCUUUUCCCCAGAUCAGGCACGCGGAGAGUUCCAAUCAAGAAUUGGAGCAUGUGAAUGGGAUUUUUGUGAAAACAUAAUGAUGCAGGAACUGGGAUCUCAAAGUCAACAGAAUUUUAUUUACUCAUUGACUUUUCAACUCCUGUGGUUAUUUAUGGGUGAAAGAAAGAUAAGGGCAAUUUCAAGAAAUUUGCAAACUCUGUCAAUUUCUUUUAAUUGUACCAAUUUGUCGUUUAUGCUUUGGUUUUAUUUUUUCAGUUUUGUUUAUUGCUUAGAUGGUAGCAUACUUGAAAUGAUACAUAGCCUUCACCGGCAGAAUUCUAGUCUUGGCUUUCACCUCUCUAACUCAUCUCAUCUGUUCCUAUUGGGAUUCCAGAAAUUGAAAUUUCUGUCAUCAAUGGGUUUCAAAGCCUCACCGCUCUCCGAUUUUUGUGGAUCGGGAAUUGCACAAAUCUCACAUCAUUUCCAGAGGUGGGCCUUCCAUCCUUGCUUUUUGGAAUUACAAAUUGGAAAAUGCUACUUUCCCCGGGUCAAAUCCCAGGUCAAACCCCGAAUUAAACCAAAACGACACCGUUUUGGUUUCUUUUUUUUGUCCUUUUUGCUUCCAUGAAACGUGGUCGUUUCAGCCAAACAAAAGCAAAUGUCUUCGUUUUUUACUUCCUCUCCUCUUCGAUUCUCCUCUUCGUUUUACCAACAGACCAACAGAGCACAAAUUGCAGAAGUCACUUGCACAUCAAUUCAUCACAAAAUGCAGAGUUUUACUAAAGAAAAAAACGAUGCCGUUUUUCUUGCCAAAUAUUUUCCAUUUCCUUCGUUCAUGGAGCUCCUGCCACCGCCAAAGCCAAAUAUUUCCCCUUUCAUUUCCUUCGUCAAUCAAGCUCCAGCCACUUGCUUCGUCGAUCGAGCUCUAGCCACAGCCAUUCGCAAAUCGCAGUCCACAAUCCGCGCCUGAAAUUGUCAUUCACAAUCCACAACUCACAACCAUGACUUCACACAGAGAACGACUCCCACAGCCUUCACGCGACAGCGAGAUCGAGCUCUUUAACAUUCGAAGAACAUAUCUGGUUGCGAAAGUUGAUUUUUAAUUUGCUUGCGAGCUGAGAUGCUUCGAAUUCUCUGUUUUUUUUUUUUUUUUGUAAAUUACUAAGCCAAAAGCUUUGCAUAAGCUUCUGCUUCGGUUUUGAAGAUUGUGAAGCUGGAAAUGUUUUUUCCCUUUUUAUAAAUGGAUAAUUGAAAGUUUGAACUUUACCUUCGUACUUUCUUUUUCAUAAAUUGCUCAUGGUGCAGUCUCAUUUUGCUAGUUGAAGAAACAGUUAAGGGGGUCUGUAGUUGGGAAGAAAGAGGAAACGAAAAUGAAAAGAAAAAGCUUAAGUCUCGGUGCGUUCAAGUAGCAUUUUUUCAAUUAAAAAAUUUAAUUCUCAAAACGGCGUCGUUUUCUAAAGUUUCGGGGUUUGACCCGGGAUUUGACCCGGGGUAAAUAGCAGAACUCUUACAAAUUUACAGUUGUCAGAAGCUUGAAAAAGUGUGUAAAAGAGAUCAAAAUUCUUGUCUUGGCUUUCACGUAGGGAUGGCAAAAAUCCCCACGGGGACGGGUACCCUCGGGGAUUUUCCCCAUUCGGGGAGGGUAUGGGGAUAAUUUCAUACCCAAUUUCUUAUUCGGGGAGGGGACGGGGAAAUUUUGUUACCCAAUUUCUUAUUCGGGGAGGGGACGGGGAUGAGGUGGAAUCCCCAUCCCCUACCCAUUUCCCCAUUUUAAUUUUUAAUUUUAUUUUAAUUUUUUAAAAUUACUAGUAAAUAAAUAAUAAAAUUUAAAUUAUAAAAUUAUAAAUAUUGGUAAAAAUAAAAAAUAUCAAAAUAUUUAUAUUAUUAAACUUUUAGGCUUAAUUAACUAAUUAAAGUCCUAAAUUUUUAUUUAGGACAUUAAAAAGACCGAGUAGAUUCUAUUAGCCCAAAAGUUUUUUAUUUUUAAUAUUCUUUAAAUAUUUUAAACUUAAAUCUAUUUUUUAUUUAUUUUUAGAUGUUAUAAUUGCCCACAUCGAAUCACAAUUUUAAUAUCUAAUCUAAUCUAAUCUAAUCUAAUAUUUACUCUUGAUUUGCUCCGAUUUAACUAUUGUGUUGUAAAGGGAAUAGUCCACAUUUAUAAAGUGCCCACGCCACCAUUAAAAAAGUUAAUUUUGAAUCUAAAUUCGAUUUUAUUUGUAACAAUUUUGUAUUAAACUAUUAAUUUGUUCAUGAUAGUUUGUAAAAGAAGUUUGUAUCCCUUGCAUGCUGUGUUACUUACUAAUUUAAUGUAUGUGACUUUUGUAAUGGAUAUUAAUGUAAGAUAUAUUUCAAAUUUUACUUUUAUUUGAAUUUUUUAUUUUAAUAUGAUUAACUCAAAAUCGAAAAAAAAAUAUUAGUUAUUCGGGGAUCGGGGACCCUCGGGGAUCCCCUGUUAUUAUUCGGGGAGGGGAUGGAGAUUCGCUCAAGUAAUUCUGACGGGAACGGGGAGGGGACGGGGACAUACGCAAAAUAUCGGGGAUGGGUACGGAGAGAUUGGUCCCCUCCCCUCCCCUCCCCAUUGCCAUCCCUACUUUCACGGAUAGUUUUUAUCACGUAACCACGUGAGGAAGCAUGUGCUGGAGCCUGAAUUCAGUUAGUUAAAGUUUGUUAACCACGUGUCAACAAACUGUAUAAUCUGGAAAAUAAGCUAGCUAUUGAAACAGGGUAUAAAGGCUGGUUUUUCAGGGACUAUCGAGAGCUGAUUCUAGAGUCUUGUAGAAAGAGGUUUGUGAGAGAGAAAGUGUCAUCUUGUUCUCUGUAAAAUCCGAUAUAGGGCUCUGUAACGAUCUCCAUUGUUGAAUCAAUAAAACUCAUCUAGAAGCUUCUCUCGUGGACGUAUUCUGAGCAAUCAAUGCACAGCUGAACCACGUAAUAUCUUGGUUUCUGUGGGUUCUUGUUUUGGUUCUUGAUAAAUUCUUGUUGUUGUAUUGAGGUGUGAUUUGAUCUGUCUAAACUUGUAUCUGUGCAACUUGAAUUGAUUUGAUGAUAAGAAUCUUGGGCAGUGAUCAGAUUCGUUUAGUUUAAAGAACAAGCUGAUUACUACCGUACCUAUGCAUGGACCUGCAACCUGUGCUGACAAAACUGAAACUGUGAGUUUGAGGUAAAAAGGUCCUGGACCCUCACAGUUUAACUUUGACUUGUUGCUUUCUGGAUAAACAUAUUUUAGAAAUUUGCAAUUUGUUGUUAAUUAUGGUAUGUGAUUUUCUUCUUUGUUUUCGCUUUUGUAGAAUCUACCGUAUUACAUAUUGGCAGUUGUAUCUGAGGUACCUUUUUUGCAUUUAACUUGCCUUUAUCUGUUUUGCCUGUUACUUAACAACACAAACACAUCAUUUCCCAAACAUUUGGAGAAGCAUCUCAAGAUGCUUAACAAACUUGACAAACUUCAAGAUGCUCCCAAGCCUUGAUUCUUCACAAUGGAAGACCUGUGAGUACACUUAUGCCCGCAAUUAUUGUGAAGUGAUUGCAACUUUGAUGCAGCGAAAUGGUUUGCUGAUGCAAAGCUUUAAAACUGUUAAGAAUUACCCUGCAGGCUUGUUGGAUGUUGUAUACUCCAAAAGCCACCAACACCAAGAACUAUAACAGCAAGACUAGGUUUGCAUUAAUUCAAUUAGCUGAAAUAAUGAUGCAAAUGGCACUAUCCAGCUCGACUUAGAGACUAGUCAGGUCAAUCAUCCAUUUCAUCAACAGUUAAUGUCAGGAUGGUGGCUAGCAGAGGAAACAAAGGAUAUGUUGGAAUCAAUAAGAACAGUGAGAAGCAUGAGAGGAGCUUUGAUUAUAAGUAGGCUCAAUGAACUAGUGUUGGUAAGUGGUAAUUAGAGCAAUUUGUGAGCUUAGUAGAGUUUCAAUAUUUUCUGUUUGGGAUAUAGUUGAUAAGUUGAUACUCUGAUUAAGAAGGCUGAUUAUAGUAGCUGACUAUAUUAACCGGGUUCUCUUUUUUGGUUUGCUGUUGUUUUUUCUUUCAAUAUCUUUUUCAACAUUAGGUUUAGCUGUUGAAGAACAAGCUUGGGUUUGAUUAUCAGGUAAGAACAAAUGAAUGCUUUAACCAUGUUUCUCACUUAUCACAAUGCACGGAUUGAAGGCGUCUGAGUUGAUCCUGAAAAUUUGAUGGAAACACUUCUCUGUUUUCAUAAAACAGGACAACCAGAAAUAUCUGAUCAUGCCUGAGAAUUCGUCGCAUUGAAAUUUUCUACCAUUGCCAAACAUAGAAUAAACCAGGGAUACAUUAGCUUAAGACUCAAUUUUGAGAAGGAAGUUUGUACUUGCAGACUAUAAAAUCAUGUCUACCUUGUAUGUUUCUGUGGGGAAUGAAAGAUUCUGUGUGUUCUUUUACUUCGGGUUUGCUGAAAUCACAUUUGUUUUCUCAGAUGCUUUCCGGAAGGUAACAACGUCAAUUUCAAAAAUGUUGGGGUAAGAUGCAUCAUGCAGUGCUGCUCAACAUGAGAAUUCCUGGCCGCAUUACCCGUAUGUGGAAUGAUCUCACACUACAACCUUGAGAAGGUUGUAAGGAGUACACAACUAGAUGCGAGUAGUUUCAAAAUGAAUUCACAUGGAAUUAUAUGUUGCCGCUUAUUACUAUCACGUCUAUCCGAAAAUUCUUGGAAUUUGUCACCGGCAUUGAAGGAUUGUAUACGUGAAGACAUAGCUGAUGGCCUUGCGAAAGCUCCAUCAGCACUUAUAUCGGAAACAGCUGGUUGUAGUUGCUCCUGAGUGAUAUGAUUAAUAGAUACUGUAAAAAUGAACUGUGCCACUCAUAUCGAAAACCAGCUGUUAUGAUGUGUUGGUAAUGUGUUUGAUGCUUGUUUGAUUUAUGUUGUAUUCGGCUAUAAAUCAAAGAUCAGAACAUGGGUGUGUUACUGGUUUCCAAAUCAAAAAAUGCCUUGUGAUGUUAGUGUUCACUGUUUUCACAGGAGACCAGGUUCCUUGUUAAUGAGUCAAGAAGAAGACAAGUGAAUCCAUGUCUGAGUUCAAAUGUGUCUUUUCUAUUUCUUUUACCGACACAUUUAUUUUGAUUUCUUUGACUAGAUGACUAAAGAGUAAAGAUAGAAGAAAUCAAAACAAAUGAGUCAGGUCCCACCUGGCCCAUUGGCCCAUCUCUCUUCCAGCCCAAAUCACUCUCAUUCGCUAUUUUGCCACCUUCAUUUCACUGCCCUCAUAGCUCCCCGUUCUCACGGUGGCUGCCAUCUUUCUGCUCACGCAUCUUUCAAAUUUCAAACCUAACAGCAUUCUGUUGCUCUGUCGUGGGUACUUCAACUUCUGUCACCUUCGGUAAGCUUAUCUCUGCCCCUCUGUGGCUGUCUCUCUCUUUACAAUGUUGUUUCUUAUUCAAUUUACAGAAUUGAAUUCACUGUUCAGUUUAUGGGUUAGAUUUUUAUUCAAAAUAAUAUUAAACCCACCUCAGAUUUUAUCCCGUAGUAUGUAAAGUUCAUGUAAAGUUUCCACCUUUACGACCGUCCGAUGUUUAAAGUUCUAAUUUUGUUCCGGGGUUUUAUCAGUGUAUUUAGAAAUUAUGUCCAUUGUUUUUAUGAAAAUGGAACUAUUUUCAUUUGUUUAUUUCUCUAUGGAUGAGAAAACCGGUCUUUAAGCUUUAUAAUCUUUAUUUGAUUAUUAGAUUUCUCUUUUGUUAUUCAGAUGAGUUCAGUUUUCCAAUUCUGUGCAAUUGUUUUGUUGCAUUUUUCAAUUUUAUCUUUUUCCAAUGCGACGUUUAUGUUUGUAUUUUCUUAAAAGUGGACAUGAAUUUUGAUUUGUUGUUGCUUUGUUGUGAUUGAGUAGCCAAUUUUAAGUCCAUAUUAAACUUUCUCAAUUAUUAGUUGAAUUAUUUGGAUUUGAAAUUUUAAGUUCUUAAAACCGCCAUUUUAACUUGUUUGUUAAUGGCUCUGUUGAGCUUCAACAUUUGUUUUCAAGAACAAAAUUGAUGGAACUAUAAACCUUCGUUUCUCACAUGCGGGCAACAUGUUAUGUUAGACAGAGUGAAAUCGACAGAAGAAACCAAAACAUUGGAAACAGAGACACAGAGAGAGAUCAGCAGAAAUGGCUUGGUGCAGAGUACGCUCAGCUUCAUCGACACUCUUCAUUAGGCUUCUCUGCCCUUUCAUUCUCAACAAUAACACUACUUAACGCUAUCAGUCCUGUGGUACUCUUGUUUCUAUACUUGUGGAAUCUCUUUUUUAAUCCUCAAAGUUUGAAUUAAAUUAUAUUGCCUCUGUAUUUCUGCAGAAACGGAAUCAGUUGGUGAUGACAUUAAUUCUCAAGUUGGAAGUUGCAUGCCACUUUCUUGUAUGCAUGUUGGGACCAUCAUCAACAACAUUGAGGUAAACUCAGCCAAGAUUUUGAAAAAGAAUCCACUUCAAGGUACUGCUUAGUUUCUGGAAAUGAGAAAUUGAUUGACACUAGACGUCAACCCACCAUUGAUACAGCGUCUAACCCCAGCCAUGAAGCUAAGAUGCUUAGGAAGGCUGGUCAGAGCCAUUGGUUGGGCCAAAGACCUGUGAUUAGAGGAGUACCCAUGAAUCCAGUUGAUCAUCCUCGUGGUCGAGGUGAGGGACAAGGCAAAAGUAGUGGUAAGCAUGGAAGGUGUUCACUUACACCUUGGGGCAAGCCUUGUAAGUGGUGUAAAACUGCAUCUCGUAAGAAGAAAAGGAAAUUUAGCCGUCUGAUAAUAUUGUCCUUCUGUGCUAUUUAGCCUUUUUAAUAUUGUUACAUUGUUUGUUAUAUCUUUGAUGUUAGUUUUGGACCAGCUUUUAACUGAUCCAUAAUGAAACUGAAGUUUAAUUUUCGAUUGAACUUUUACUGGUUUUACUCCUGUCAUUUCAAUUUAGCUUUGAUUUAAGAUGCUGAAUUCUGUGAUUGGAGUAUGUAGAUUGGAAAGAGAGAUAUUAUGGGAUAGAAUAUAGAUUUUGUGUUUUGGUUUCUCAUGUUUAGAGAUAUUCUGUUCUUUUUCAUUUAUUCAAUUUGGUUAGUGGUGAUCUCUUAAAGAGUUAAUGCAUGUGUGUUUAUGUACUUUUCUUUUGGCCUUGAUUCUAUUUCUUGGGGAGUUUAUACAGAUUCCUCUUUUAUGCUUCACAUGCCACAUGCCACAUGAAAGAUGAAAGCCUUUUGUGUGAUUAGAAUUGACUUGCAUCAUAGUAACUUUGAACCACUGUAACAUUUUUAUAAUAGCAGUCUGCGAUCUCCUUGAAGGAUUCAAAGCAUUUUUUUUGUUAGUCUUGGCUUGCAUUAAAAUCCUUUAUACCGAUUGGUUGGUCUCCUUUAAAGCAAUUCCUGUUUUAAGUAAUCAAAAUCUUGAUUCGGAAGUGUGUUUUAGCACUACUAAAGGUUCUUUUAAAUACUAAAUUGAUUGUGAGUCUUCUAUAUCAUCUGAUUGAAAUACAUGAAAGCGAUAUUGGCUACAAAAGUACACUUGGGGUUGUUUAUAAAGUCUUCAACAGGAUUUUUUUUUCCCCUUCCUCAUGGUUUAUUUUUUAGUUGUUGUUUAACAAAACACUUAAAAGGUUCUCUUUAUAGGUUUCUGAAAAUAAUUUUAACAUAACCAUUUUUCAGAAGCACUUUAGAUACCUGUGGCAUUUAGAAAAUUUUGUUCCAGCAUUCACAUAAUAUACAUAGAAAUUUGAAUUUAUUUAAUUAUGAGCAUGUGCUAGUGCCUAUUGGCAUCCACUUGUAUAUACAAAUGUAUUAUACAAUACAAUAUUAGCUUGACUGUAGCAUAGAGGAGAAUAGGGUCGGAAUUGGUCUGAAUUCUGAUCUUUGAAUAAAUAUAAUAGCUGAUUGAAGCUGCUCAUGUGACUCCAUUGUCAGCAGCUUACACAAGGUCUUUUAGCUUUUUAAAAAGUUUUGUGAUAUUUCAUAGUUCACAUGGAUUGCUACAGUAUAGAAUACCCAAUUAGGGCAUUUUUAAUUCCUAUGCAUAGGAGUCUUCCUUCAUGCGCACGCGCGUACACACAUAUAUUUCCCACUUCCGUUCACUCCAAAAGUGAAAAUUGCGGGCAAUUUUUAUCUUCAGUAAAAUUGGAGUAGAUGUUGUUCUUAUUGGCGCAAAUUUGCGUACCAUGUUUGUGGGACCCUUAACCUUGCGCCUUUGUUACAAUCAUAUGCAUUCAGGCUUUUGGUAGACCCUUGGAUAGUAUGAUCAGUGUAUUAGAAUUUAGAAUUCGUGUUUAUAAGGGUCAGUUUGGUAAUGUUAUAAUUUUUAAAAUAAUUACUGUUAGCUAUACUAUAGAAAUAAUCAGUUGUGAAUAAAAUCAGUUAAACAGUUGAUAAAUUUUGUUUUUAAGGUGUUGUGAGUUUUAAACAAUUUGUAUGUAUUUAGUAAAUCUCGCUUUUAAAGUAUUAUAAGAAUGCAAAGACUUAAAUAGAUAGAAAUCUAUAAAAUUUAUUUACAUGUGCAUUUAUACAAUAAUAUUUUAUGCAUGUAUAUAAUAAUUAAUAACAGAAAUAAAUAUUUUUAUUUUAUUAAUUAUAUAUUUUUCUUAUUAUCUCAAUAUAAUUGGUAAUAAUAAUCUUUUUAAUAGUACAUUUAUUAAUCAGUAAUCGAAAUGGGCUGGAAUCGGAAUGGGGAAUGAAAAUCAUAAUAAUUUGUUUACUUUAGCUGUAGGAAUCAAAAUCACAUGGAGCUAUAUUAUCAUUAAUAUAUUUAUUUUGUCUUGGAAUCGAAAUAGAUUGUUACAAAUUACUAAACUGAUUUUAUUAUUAUCAAUAUUAUUAUUAAACAAGGUAAAGGGAAUUUUUAAUUUUCACUAGGUGUAGAAAUGUCGAUUCACUUCUCAUUCUCAUUCUCUGUUCUCAUUCCCCCUCCUCAUAGGAUUACCAUUUCACAUUCUCAAAAAUUUAUAAUUGACUCACAUUUCAUUCUCAUUCCUCCUUAUUUUGGAAGUAAAUAAGUUAAAGAAUCAUAUUCCUUUAUUCUUGUUUUUCAUUCACAUUCCUUCUCCUUAUUUUGGAAGUAAAUAACUUAAAGAAUCAUAUUCCCUUAUUCUUGUUCUCGUUCUCGUUCUCAUUCUCAAUUAGUAAGCACACUACAAAUGCAAUGAUUUUGUUUCCUAAUUAAACAAGGAUAAUUUUUAGAUUUUUAUAAUAUAUGUUAAGAUAUAUGUAGAAUUGUAUUAAAUAUGAAACUGACUCCCAAAAUCAUAUUUUAAAAAACUAUUUUUUUCUUAUUUUUUGAAAUUUAUUGUAGGCUAGGGUGAUUUUAUCAAAGUAAUUUUUUUAAAAAUUUUCGGACCCAUUUGGGAUUGUUUUUGGAAGACUCAAAAAGGAUUUUGAAUAGCUAAAAUCUAAGUUUGGUGUUUUAUAAUUUUUUUUUAAAAAAAUUACUUCUGAUAAAAUUAUCUUAUCCACGUUAAAUUUUAAAAAGAAAGGAAAAAGUAAUUUUUUAAAAUCUGAUUUUAAGAAUCAUUUUUAUACUUAAUACAAUUUCAUAAAUAUCCUGAUAUAUAUCAUAAAAAUUCAAAAUUAUCUUUAUUAGUUAGGAAAUAAAAUCAAUAAUUUUAAAAAGAUUAUUAUUAUUUCUAAUUAUAUUGAGCUAACAAAAAGAAAUAAAAUUACUAAUAUAAAAUUUAUUUUAACUAUUAAUUAUUAUAUUUACCAAUAAAAAACAUUUUAUAUACACGUUUAUAAAUAUUUAAAUAAAAUUUAUUCAUGUCGAGUUCAACCAUUUAUAUUAUUACAGCAAUUUAACAACUGGUUGUCGUUGCUCGGGAAUUAUAGAAUUACCAUAUGUUGUAAAAAUGCACUAAGCCAUGCCAUGUGUUUGAUACAGGUUAUGCUUGUUCGAUUAAAUUGUACUCACCUAUAAAUCAAAGAUUCAGUACAUGUGCAUGUUAGUGGUCUUCAGAAUCCAGAAUAAUAAAUGCCUUGAAAUGCUUGAGUUCAAUGAUUUCGCAGAAGACCAAGUUCCUUGUUAAUGAGUCAGCAUGACUGAAUCCUUCACUAAGCCAAAUUUGUUUUCACUUUUAGUUUAGAAAUUGUCAUUAAUUAAGAAAGUGUUUGAUAAAAUGCUUUGGAAGGCACUGUUCGUUGGACGUUUGCCCAGAAUUUAUGAAAUCAUUGGUGUUUCAUCCUACUUGUAACACUCUUCUUUAUUUUCUAUUCUAACGAAGAAAUCUUUUAUUAGAAAAGUGACAAGAUUGCACCUUUCAUUUGUAUGUUAAGGAGGUGUAAAAUUUUCUCGUUAAAAUCCCAUCAUGAAAAAAACUCACGGGCAAAAACCUACUGCAAAUUAAAGAAAGAAGAGUAAAUCAUGAUAAAUACACUCUCUUUUACAAUGCAAGCGGAUGCUUCAAUGAGUGGAUCAUGCGCCAAACUUGUAUAUCGUUGUUGGUAGUGCUUUGUUGAAUCAAUAUGAUAGAUUUUCACUUUUCUUUUUUUUCUUUUCUUUUUUUUUUCCUUGUGGAUACGAAAAUGAUUUGGGUUAAACUAUACUUAAUGCCGGUUUGGUACGACUUCUCUACUAAUUAAAAGAGUUUUUUUUCUUAAAUGUUCAAAAAGAUUUUUUAUUAUAAAUUGUAAUUUGAGUGGAUUUCUUGGGAUUAAACAAGUUACAUUUUUGUCUCUAUAAAGAAGUUCAAGUUAUAGAUUUUGGCAAUAGAGAUGUAGAGGUUUUUUUUUUUUCAGAGAACUAAAUUGUGGAGACUAUCUUUAUUUGGUUAUACAACUUUUUUUUUUUUAAUUUCAUAACAUAAUUUUAAAAGACUUAUUUAAUAAAUUUGAUAUUUUUUUGUAAAAAUUAUCAUUCACGUCCAAACUACUGAAGAUUUUUUUGUUAAACGCACUACUUAAAAGUUAUAUUAAUUAUAAACUUUCUAAAAAAAAAAAACAAUUCAAAGAGUUAUAGCAAACAAAGUGCUAGUUAACUUCAGUCGAUAAUAAUCUUCUAAUCCGUCCUACAAAUGACUUUCGACAAGAGUGGUGCUACUCACAUCUCUUCAAAACCCAUUUGACACCCCGUUUUCUUUAUUUAAAAUUUUAUACAUUUGAAAAUUAUUUUUUCUUUUACUUGACACUCUUCAAAUUCUAAAACUAAGCUUCAAAGAACCUUCGUCAUUAAAUCUCAUUGCCUUCCUUUAUUCUUGUUACUUGAGAAGAAGAAUGAGAGUCUGGAAGAAUGAAAGAAAAUUCAGCGAGAUAGAAAUCUAGUAAUUUCAUACCAUGAUUCAGAAUUUUUUUUUUCUCAAAAGAAUCUACUAUUCUUCUAUAUUUUAUAUAAAAAAAAGAGGAAAAGAGGAAACUGAGAGACUCUUUGUUUAAUGCUUGAAAGUUAGAAAGAAAAGGUCAGGAAGCUGCCUGGUAAUGAGAGUGAUGCAUCAGCACUAAUUUCUAUCUCGAUAGCUACCAAUUACCACCCCUAGAAAGGCUGUUGAUCAACAAGCCAUAUCUACUGGUUUCCUUUCUUUAAAAGUUCUAAUGGUCCCCUUAAAAAUCUCUAUAUGCUCAGUCUUCUCAUGAUAUAUCUGAUUUUCGCUGAGAAUUAUAGCAAGCGCUUCAGAUAUCAUAAUACUUUGUGACUGACUACUGUGCAUGCUUAAUUAUAAGAUUAUUCCUUGUGGCCAAAUAAAAUGACCCCCUUUAGAGCCUCUGUAUUUGAAAAAGCAAGACAAUGAGCUUAAUUAUUGUCAAGGUCUCCAGUAGGAUACUCCUAAAUCCAUAUACCCACCCACCAGAACUCCAAUCUUGAAACUUAUAGAUCAAACCAUAACUUAAUGUGCCUGGCAACCAGGGAUAUGUCAGGCCUUUAAAAAACCACUACAUACAUUUGAGUCUGAAAUUGCUCCAAUUAGUAUUAUGAUUAUUAUUUUAAAAAACUCAACCUAAGCAAAGUGCCUCAGCAUACAAUAUUUAUUGACAACUAAAAAGUAAUAGUGGGUGGGGGUUGCCCUGGGUUUUGUUUAAAAAUUGAAGUAAAAAAUUUUCAAAUUUCAAAUUUCUAGUACAAAGAAAAUUGAUGACUAAAUUAAAUUCUGCAAAUUAAUUUCUAAUAUUACAUGAAAAUAUAUCAAGUUAAUUGGUAACAUUGUUAAUCACUUAAUCCUCAAUCUAAUACGUUAUGUAUUUGUUACUCUGUCUUAAAUCAAAAGUGGCGGUGAUUUAUUUUUAUUUUCACUAAUAAGAAAGGCAUGUUAGAGCUUUUAUUUUGUUGAAAAUGAACCAAAAAACUCCGAUUGGGAGAUUAUAAAUGUAUUUAACAAUAAUUUAACUUCCAUUUUGAAAGUCAUUAUAUUGUUUAUUCAGGAGAAGCGUUCUUUUAUAUUUUAUAGAUAUAAUGUUUGCUAAUCCUAAUUUAAGCUAAAGCAUAUGCAUUUCCUAAUUAAUUCUAAUUUAAGCUUAUUCAACUGCAUUCAAUUAAUGUUCGAUAAUACAAAUUCUAAAUACUAUAUACUCUAAGAAUUUUAAUCGUAAUGACAAGGUGAUCAUUUAAUUAUUACCGUUAAAUUAUAUAUGUAUGGUGGAGACGAGUCCACACGGUUUUGACGAGAAAUUAAAGACAAUAUUUAGUUAAGCUAGUAGUAUUUGUUCUGUUUAGUACGUCGUUUUACCAGCAAGCAUCCCGGCAAUGCACGCAUUAAUAAAAAAAUUUAUCUGUUUGGACUGAUUGGUAGUGAAAAAUUCCACAUACUUUAAAUUAAGAAAAUGCUAAGUAUCUUAAAGAAAACAAUUAAAAUAUUGUCACUUGAUGCUUGAAUCAUUAUUGUUAAAUAUCUCCGUUGAGUUGUAUUCCCCAGCUGUGAGUAUCAUUAUUGUCUUUGCUAUCUAAUCAAUUCAAUUUUCUUUCUGGAGACAAGAUUUUGAUUCCUUUCAUCGUUACAAAAACGGAACCAUGGUUGAUGUGGGAGAGAUCUUACUCAACGCCUUCUUUCAGGUGUUGUUCGACAGGUUGGCUUCCCGUGAUUUGCUCAGCUUUGUCCGUCAACUUGGAGGGGGGGUCGAUUCCGAGCUCAAGAAGUGGGAAAGAAAGCUGAAGAUGAUUCAGGCGGUGCUCAACGAUGCAGAGGAGAAGCAACUGACUGAUGAGGCUGUGAAGAUGUGGCUGGACGAUCUCCAAGACUUGGCUUAUGACGCUGAGGACAUUCUUGAUGAGUUUGCUACUCAAGCUUUGGAAAGCAAGUUGAUGGAGCAAAAUCAGGAUAGCUCUGGCCAGGUUCUCAGUUUCAUCCCGGCUAGUUUGAAUCCGAAUGCUAUUAUGUUCAAUUAUAGCAUGGGGUCCAAGAUUAAAGAUAUUACUAGCCGGCUGGAGCAACUCUGCCAAGAAAGAAUUGAACUUGGACUGCAGCGGAUUACUGGAGGGGCAUCAUCAACUGCUGCUGCUACACAGCAGAGGCCGCCCAGUUCGAGUGUCCCAACAGAACGUGAAGUAUUUGGAAGAGCAAAAGAUAAGGCCAAAAUUCUUGAUAUGGUAUUGGCCGAUACCCCAAGUGAUCAUGCCGACUUUGUUGUAAUACCCAUUGUUGGCAUGGGCGGGAUAGGAAAAACAACUCUCGCUCGGGAGGUUUACAAUGACAAGGCCGUUGGCGGUUCCAAGUUUGAUGUAAAAGCAUGGGUUUGCGUAUCUGACGUCUUUGAUGUUUUGGGCAUCUCAAAGGCACUUCUCGAGUCAAUCACCCGCAGGCCAUGUCUUCUAAACAGUUUAAAUGAAGUGCAGGUUGAAUUGAAAGUAGCUGUGGAUAAAAAAAGAUUCUUGCUGGUCUUAGAUGAUGUUUGGAACGAGGAGUACAGCUUGUGGGUAGACUUAAAAGCUCCGUUCCUGGUUGCUGCACCAAACAGUAAGAUGAUCGUCACCACACGCAAUUCAAAUGUUGCAUCAACAAUGGGGCCAGUUGAACAUUACAAUCUCAGGAGUCUAUCGGAUGAUGAUUGCUGGUCCAUUUUCAUAAAGCAUGCAUUUGAAUCUAGAGAUCUUAACGCACAUCAAAUUUCAGAAUCAUUCCGCAAGAAAGUUGUUGCCAAGUGUGGAGGCUUGGCCCUGGCAGCAAAAACACUCGGAGGCCUUCUGCGUACGACGAGGCAUGAUGCGUGGGAUGAUAUAUUAGAGAGCAAAAUAUGGGAUUUACCACGACAAAGUGGGGUUCUCCCAGUAUUAAGAUUGAGUUACCAUCAUCUUCCUUCUCAUUUGAAAAUGUGUUUUGCUUUCUGUGCAAUCUUUCCAAAAGAUUAUGAAUUCAAAGAGAAGGAGCUGACUUUUUUAUGGAUGGCCGGAGGAAUUAUUCGACAGUCAAGAAGCAAAGAGCGGCUAGAAGAUUUGGGCAGCAAGUGCUUCCAUGAUCUGGUGUCAAGGUCAAUUUUUCAGAAAUCAGCAAUCUCUGCUAGUUCUAAAUUUGUAAUCCAUGACCUUAUCCAUGAUCUUGCUGAAUUGGUCUCUGGAGAAACCAUAUUUAGGUUAGAGGAGGCCAAUACUCUGUCAAGAAGAUUUGAAAGGGUUCGCCAUUCCUCCUAUGCUUGUGGUGGAUAUGAUGGUAAAAAUAUGUUCGAUGUUUUCAAUGAAAUUGAACAUCUACGAACAUUCUUGCCAUUACGCUUACGCAUAAGAGGUGGCUUUAGUUCUGGUUACAUAAGUCGAACGGUCCUAUCUGACUUGCUGCCAAAGUUCAAAAGGUUGAGAAUGCUAUCUUUAGAAGGAUACUGUAUUGGCGAGUUACCAAUUCCAUUUGAAGAUUUGAGACUUUUAAGGUUUCUCAACCUUGCUGACACUGACAUAAGAAGUUUACCCGAGUCAACAUGCAAAUUGCUGAACUUGGAAAUUUUUAUAUUAAGAAAUUGUUCCCGUUUGAUAAAGCUUCCAGCCAAAAUGAGGAAUUUGAUCAAUUUACGCCAUCUGGAUAUAAGAGGUGCGAAGUUGCUGAAGGAGAUGCCAGUCGGAAUGAAAGAGCUGAAGAAGCUUCAAACAUUGUACAAUUUCAUUGUGGGCAAGGGUGAAACUGCAUCCGGUUUGGAAGAAUUAAAAAGUUUAAACUUUCUUUGUGAUGAACUUUGCAUUGCUGGAUUAGAGAAUGUGAAUAAUCCACAGAAUGCAAGAGAAGCGGCAUUAUGCGAGAAGCACAAUCUUGAAGCACUGACUCUAGAUUGGGGGUCUCAAUUUGACAAUUCUCGAGAUGGAGUAGUAGAAGAGCAUGUACUGGAAAUUCUACAGCCUCAUAAACGUAUAAAAAAGGUGGCAAUCAGGAACUAUAGAGGUGCAAGAUUUCCACAUUGGAUAGGAGAUCCUUUGUUCUCCAAAAUAGAGUUCCUUGAAUUGGAGAACUGUGACAAUUGUGUAUCUUUGCCAUCGCUUGGCCGUUUGAGUUCACUUAAACACCUUGCUGUUAAAGGGCUGAAGAAACUAAAAAGCAUAGAGUCUAAGGUUUAUGGGGAGGGUUUCUCAAUGCCUUUUCCAUCAUUGGAGAUUCUAAGUUUCGAGAAUUUGCCAGAAUGGGAGCAUUGGGACACCGAUAUCAAAGGAAAUGUACUUGUUGAAAUAUUUCCUCGUCUCCAUAAACUUUCCAUUGUGGAAUGUCCCAAACUCUCCGGAGAACUGCCUGAUCUCCUGCCCUCCUUGGAGACACUUGUUGUUAGUAAAUGUGAAAAGUUGGUAGUUCCAUUGUCUUGCUAUCCGAUGCUCUGCAGAUUAGAAGUUGAUGAGUGCAAGGAACUAGCGUGCGCGACUCCAAUUGAUUUUAAGUUGAUAAAGUCUGUGACUAUUUCAAAUUGUUCACUAGACAUGUAUGGAUGCAAGGGGAUGCUAUACAAUGGUCCAGCUGGCUCUUCACUGCCGAAAUCCAUGACUAUUACAAAUGUUUUGGCGUUUGGAAAAUUAUUGAAGCCUGAAUUUCAGAUAUUAGAAACUUUGGUAAUUGACAAUUCUGAACAGCUCAUGUCAUGGAGGCAGCGUGGGAAUUUCCGAGAAGAAUAUUUGGCCGUUCGCCGAAGGCUUAUCAAACCAUUACAAGGGCUAAAUAUGCUCGCUUCCCCAGAAGAGGUAACAAUUGAAGAAAGUUGUGUGAGUUUUGUUUUAUUUUCAGAGAUCAAUUUCUUUCCCAGAAAUCUGCGCUCUCUUCUAAUUUGCAGCAGCACAGCUUUAAAAUCCUUACCCGAUGAAAUGAUGGACAACAGUUCACAACUCAAAAGGUUGUAUAUCAGAGAUUGCGAUUCUCUAACAUUCAUCACAAGACGCAAGCUACCUUCAUCUCUAAAAAGUAUAGAGAUUCAGAAUUGUGAGAAACUGCGACAUUUGUUCGAUGAUAAAGAGGAUGCUUCUUCUUCUUCUCCUCCUUCAUCCUCGCCCUCCCCAGUGAUGCUGAAACACCUGAGUAUAAAUAAUUGCCCAGAGCUCACCAGUUUAUCAACAGGAAUCCAAUUACUUGAGGCGCUUGAACACCUCGACAUACGGGAUUGUCGAAAGCUGGAGUCAUUACCAGAUGGCCUUCACAAUCUUAACUGUUUACAGGAGAUUACUCUAAACAGUUGUCCAAGUCUUCUUAGAGGGCUUCCCAACACGAUUUCAAGGGUUGACAUUUACAGCUGUCCAAGUCUUGUUUCCUUCCCAGAAAGAGGACUUCCCAACACGAUUUCAAAGGUUGACAUUUUUAAUUGUGAGAAGCUCGAAGCCCUGCCCAAUGACAUGCACAAACUCAACUCUCUUCGAGAUUUAAGCAUAUUGGGGUGUCGAAAUCUUGUAUCCUUUCCAGAAGAAGGUUUUCCUACCAGUCUAACAUCACUUAGAAUUGGAGAUUUCAAAAUGUAUAAGACACUCAUCCAGUGGGGGUUGCACAGGCUUACCUCUCUUAGACGCCUCUAUAUCGUUGAUUGUGAUGACGAAGCAGAGUGUUUUCCAGACGAGGAGAUAGGAACGAUGCUGCCUACCUCCCUAACUCAUCUAUCCUUUCGGGGAUUCCGAAAUUUGAUAUCUCUGUCUUCGACGGGUUUUCAGAGCCUCAACUCUCUUCAAUACUUGUGGAUCAGGGAUUGCCCGAAUCUCACAUCAUUCCCAGAGGUGGGCCUUCCAUCCUCACUUUUGGCAUUAUGCAUUAUCGAUUGUCCAAAGCUUAAAAAAGCGUGCAAAAGAGAUCAAGGAAAAGAGUGGUCCAAAAUUGCUCACAUCCCUCGCAUUGACAUAGACAGGAAAUUCAUAUACGAUCCAGAAUCAGAGGAGUAGAUUCUACUAUUAAGGUCAGUUGAUUUGUAUUAUCCGCCAUAACAAGCUCCUCCUUUUUUUUUAAAUAAUAAUAAUAAUUCUUACCAAUUAAUGAUGGUAAGAUGUGUACUUAUUCUUUCUUCCGGACAACCUUGCCUUCUUUCUUCGGUAGCAUAUCUAAUGAAUAUUUCUCUGUUUAGUUAAGGAUGAAUGCUUGGAGUGGAGUAUUUGGUAACAUUUCUGCCGUAGAUGAAACCUUGAAGAAAUGCCUGCACUUCCUGAGACCAAAUACAGGUCUGAUUCACAACAACACCUGUCCCAGAAAAUAUGAUACAAGCCAAAGCCAUGUUCUGAAGCAGAAAUAACGCAUUUCAAUUUUUAUCUGGUAAAAAUACACAGCCCUCGCCUACAAAAUUCUUAUCUUGGCUUUCACGGAUAUUUUUAUCACGUAACCACGUGAGGAAGCAUGUGCUGGAGCCUGAAUUCAGUUAGUUAAAGUUUGUUAACCACGUGUCAACAAACUGUAUAAUCUGGAAAAUACGCUAGCUAUUGAAACAGGGUAUAAAGGCUGGUUUUUCAGGGACUAUCGAGAGCUGAUUCUAGAGUCUUGUAGAAAGAGGUUUGUGAGAGAGAAAGUGUCAUCUUGUUCUCUGUAAAAUCCGAUAUAGGGCUCUGUAACGAUCUCCAUUGUUGAAUCAAUAAAACUCAUCUAGAAGCUUCUCCCGUGGACGUAUUCUGAGCAUUCAAUGCACAGCUGAACCACGUAAUAUCUUGGUUUCAGUGGGUUCUUGUUUUGGUUCUUGAUAAAUUCUUGUUGUUGUAUUGAGGUGUGAUUUGAUGUGUCUAAACUUGCAUCUGUGCAACUUGAAUUGAUUUGAUGAUAAUAAUCUUGGGCAGUGAUCAGAUUCGUUUAGUUUAAAGAACAAGCUGAUUACUACCGUACCUAUGCAUGGACCUGUAACCUGUGCUGACAAAACUGAAACUAUGAGUUUGAGGUAAAAAGGUCCUGGACCCUCACAGUUUAACUUGGACUUGUAGCUUUCUGGAUAAACACAUUUUAGAAGUUUGCAAUUUGUUGUUAAUUACGGUAUGUGAUUUUCUUUUUUGUUUUCGCUUUUGUAGAAUCUACCGUAUUACAUAUUGGCAGUUGUAUCUGAGGUACCAUUUUUGCAUUUAACUUGCCUUUAUCUGUUUUGCCUGUUACUUAACAACACAUCAUUUCCCAAAGAUUUGGAGAAGCAUCUCAAGAUGCUUAACAAACUUGACAAACUUCAAGAUGCUCCCAAGCCUUGAUUCUUCACAAAGGAAGACCUGUGAGUACACUUAUGCCCGCAAUUAUUGUGAAGUGAUUGCAACUUUGAUGCAGCGAAACGGUUUGCUGGUGCAAAGCUUUAAAACUGUUAAGAAUUACCCUGCAGGCUUGUUGGAUGUUGUAUACUCCGAAAGCCACCAACACCAAGAACUAUAACAGCAAGACUAGGUUUGCAUUAAUUCAAUUAGCUGAAAUAAUGAUGCAAAUGGCACUAUCCAGCUCGACUUAGAGACUAGUCAGGUCAAUCAUCCAUUUCAUCAACAGUUAAUGUCAGGAUGGUGGCUAGCAGAGGAAACAAAGGAUAUGUUGGAAUCAAUAAGAACAGUGAGAAGCAUGAGAGGAGCUUUGAUUAUAAGUAGGCUCAAUGAACUAGUGUUGGUAAGUGGUAAUUAGAGCAAUUUGUGAGCUUAGUAGAGUUUCAAUAUUUUCUGUUUGGGAUAUAGUUGAUAAGUUGAUACUCUGAUAAAGAAGGCUGAUUAUAGUAGCUGACUAUAUUAACCGGGUUCUCUUUUUUGGUUUGCUGUUGUUUUUUCUUUCAAUAUCUUUUUCAACAUUAGGUUUAAGAACAAGCUUGGGUUUGAUUAUCAGGUAAGAACAAAUGAAUGCUUUAACCAUGUUUCUCACUUAUCACAAUGCACGGAUUGAAGGCGUCUGAGUUGAUCCUGAAACGUGCCUCAGCAAGUAUUAUGAUUAUUAUUUUAAAAAACUCAACCUAAGCAACGUGCCUCAGCAUACAAUAUUUAUUGACAACUAAAAAGUAAUAGUGGGUGGGGGUUGCCCUGGGUUUUGUUUAAAAAUUGAAGUAAAAAAUUUUCAAAUUUCAAAUUUCUAGUACAAAGAAAAUUGAUGACUAAAUUAAAUUCUGCAAAUUAAUUUCUAAUAUUACAUGAAAAUAUUAUCAAGUUAACUGGUAACAUCGUUAAUCACUUAAUUCUCAGUCUAAUACGUUAUGUAUUUGUUACUCUGUCUUAAAUCAAAAGUGGCGGUGAUUUAUUUUUAUUUUCACUAAUCAGAAAGGCAUGUUAGAGCUUUUAUUUUGUCGAAAAUGAACCAAAAAAACUCCGAUUGGGAGAUUAUAAAUGUAAUUAACAAUAAUUUAACUUCCAUUUUGAAAGUCAUUAUAUUGUUUAUUCAGGAGAAGCGUUCUUUUAUAUUUUAUAGAUAUAAUGUUUGCUAAUCCUAAUUUAAGCUAAAGCAUAUGCAUUUCCUAAUUAAUUCUAAUUUAAGCUUAUUCAACUGCAUUCAAUUAAUGUUCGAUAAUACAAAUUCUAAAUACUAUAUACUCUAAGAAUUUUAAUCGUAAUGACAAGGUGAUCAUUUAAUUAUUACCGUUAAAUUAUAUAUGUAUGGUGGAGACGAGUCCACACGGUUUUGACGAGAAAUUAAAGACAAUAUUUAGUUAAGCUAGUAGUAUUUGUUCUGUUUAGUACGUCGUUUUACCAGCAAGCAUCCCGGCAAUGCACGCAUUAAUAAAAACAUUUAUCUGUUUGGACUGACUGGUAGUGAAAAAUUCCACAUACUUUAAAUCAAGAAAAUGCUAAGCAUCUUAAAGAAAACAAUUAAAAUAUUGUCACUUGAUGCUUGAAUCAUUAUUGUUAAAUAUCUCCGUUGAGUUGUAUUCCCCAGUUGUGAGUAUCAUUAUUGUUGUUUGUGCGAUAUGUUUCGACGAAGACCAGCAGUGAUGAGCAGGCGUCUGGUAGCAGGGUUCCUCGAACAGGUAUAUCUUGCAAGAGUCUGGUAGCAGGGGGAGCAAGAGCAGGAGUAUCCUGCUCGUCCACGAGUACGUCAUCCACGAGGCCGGUCUCCUGUUGGGAGCGUAAAGCCAUUCCUGCUAUAUUCCUGCUAGCGGUUGAGUCGAGGAGACCCGGUCAACGACAGUUGACGAGACAUGCUCUCCAGUCCGAGAAUCAAGGCGCGAAGGCCACGCAACCACCCACGACUACGGAAAUGGAGCAUCCACUUUCGAGAAGUGGGAGGAUGACAAGCGCAAAGGGAGGAAAUGCAUGGGCUCAGAAGUGGCCUAUAAAAAGGUAACCAACGAAGGUAAAAGGGUUAGCAAUUUUGAGAUUAUAACAGAGACUAAGGAAAUUCUAAAGAAGAGAAAACUAUUAAAAAGCCAUAAGAUCUGUGGCAAGCGUUCCCAGAGCCUUCAUAUCUGACUUGAGCGUCGGAGGGUUUACGCCGGGAAAACAACCGGCGUGCUCUGACUUGUUUCUGUGGACGCAGGAAUACUUGGAGAAGAAAGCAUACAAGGAGAGAUCCUGGUCGAGGUGAGGUUGAUUGAGCAGAUAUCCUGGUCGUAGGAAGAGCGUAACCAGAAUCUCGCAUCAAUAUUUUGGCGCCGUCUGUGGGGAGCUGAGCAAAAAGUUUCUGUUGAUAGCAAAGAAGAGGAGUGAAGCAAGUGAAAAGCAAUGGAGACAGGAGGAAGUAGUGCACAAGGGGGUGAUAUGAGGCUUAACGAUUCCGUGACGCUGAGGGAGAUAGCCAGUGAAGCACGGGAAAAAGCCAUGUUCGACCGGAUGGAACGGAUGGAAAAGCAGAUGGAGACCUUGACAACCAUCCUACAUGAGCUGCGGAGCGAACGAAGGGUAACCCAGGAGGAAAGGGUGAGAGGUGGUGGAGUGGCACCAGGUCCCGAUAGUGCGAGGAGAAGUCAAACCACCGGGAGAUUUGGUGGUGAGAGAGGUAACAUACCUCUGCAGGGAAAUUGCAUAGAGAGGAAGAGCAGUCCCCGGCAAGACAGAUUUUUGACGAGGACGACGGGGUGGCGAAUGCAGAGGAAGCAGAGUUGAGGCAAUACUUGCAUGAUGUAGUGCAAGAGCGGGAUCAAGUCGCAGCACGUGACCCUGGUCGUGCAGAGCAGCUGGAGGAGGAAGUGUGCAGGCUAGCGCAGAUAAUUGACGACAUACAAGGAAGGAGCAGAGCUCCUGGUUGGAGGAUAAUGCUGGACGGAGAAUCACCGCUCGCAGCAGAGAUCAUGAGGGCAGUUAUUCCAAGAGAUUUCCGCCUCCCAGACCUUAGAUAUUCGGGAUGAACUGAUCCGCUGGUGCACAUAGAGCGCUUCAACGACAUAACUGGGGUACAAGGAUUAUCUCAAUCCUAAAGGUGCAGGGUGUUCCCACUAUCCCUUGAGGGACGCGCACGAGAGUGGUACAGGAAACUUCCUCGGGGGAGCAUUAAAACCUUCGAGCAGAUGUGCCAGGAAUUUGCAGAACAGUUCCGUGGGGCAAUGGCACCAGAAGAUGACAUGAUGGAGUUGAAAAACAUGAAGCAGGGGGAACAAGAAACACUUCGGGAAUUCAUCAAGAGGUUUCACCGUGCUGUCCUCGACUUGGGAGCCUUCAACCACCCUCAAACGUUAAGGGGAUUGAAAGAAGGGGUGAAGAUAGGAAGGCUGUGGUACAACUUGAGAAGCCCAGUUAUUCAGACGUAUGCGGCCGCAUACGAGCAGGCUAAGAGAGACAUUGAGAUUGAAGAGGAGAAGGCAGCACAGAUUAAGACAGACCAGUUAGAAGGGUGGGGGAGGAAAGAGAAGAAAGCAUUACCGGGGAAUGGGCCGAUCAGGAGGAGGAACCACCAGGCCUCGAGUAGUGGAGCAGAAGGUCGGGUAACUGCUUACCAGCCUCAUCAGAGGCCACUACAGUAUCAGCACAGCAGGGCGCAACCUCCUCGUUCCCCAGCUGGGGAGCCUUGGAGAAGGCAUGACUCGGCGUAUGGUGGUCUUCAUCAACACUCCCACGGUAGUAGAAGGGGCAGACCAGAAGCGCUGCCACCGCCUCCAACUCAGAACGGAGCAAAUAGAGAAAGGGCAGUGCACCUGAUCGACCAGAACCAGGACUAUGGGCGAUAUACUUCCUUGAAGAUGUCCCUGGCCGAGGUGUACGAGGCCAUAAAGGAUCGAGGGUCGUUAUACCUCCCUGCCCCAAUAACAAAGCUACCCAGCAGGAGGGAUAGGGGACGCUAUUGUAAGUUCCAUGGCACUCAUGGCCACACCACAGCAGAUUACAGGGAUCUCAAGACCCAGGUUGAAGAUUUGGUGAGAAAUCGGUAUCUGGACGAGUUUAUAGAUGGGACCUUCCCAAUGGUAGCCUCGACCAGCGAAUGGGAGCAGAGUGACAGGAACUUGAGGCGCGAGCAGCCUGCAGUAAGGGUGAUAGCUGGGGGCCCAACAUUGGCCGGAGAUUCCAACAGGUUGAGGAAGAAUUACGCUAGAUACGCCAUGACCAGCAAAGAUGUAUUCUUCACCACCCCAGCAGCCAAACGUGCAAGAGUCAGGCAAGUGCCAAUUAUGUGGACAGAUGAGGAUGAAGAAGGGAUUCUAUACCCCCACGAGGAUGCUUUGGUCAUCAAGGCCACUGUUGCCAGCAAGAAGUUUGACAGGAUACUGGUUGACACAGGGAGCUCAGUUGAUGUGUUGUUUAAGUCAACCCUGGAGGAGAUGGGAAUAGCAGACCUGAAGUUGGAUUACACCAAUACCUCCUUGAAGGGGUUUGGAGGAGGAAAGUUGGUCCCUCUGGGCGUGGUCGAGCUGCCUAUCACGAUUGGGAGCUCCCCGACAGAAGGGACAAUGAUACUGGACUUUGUGGUAGUGGAUGAGGAAGGUCCUUAUCAGAUGAUCCUAGGCCGGCCAUUUCUGACGAUGAGCAAAGCGGUGCUGUCCAGCCAUUAUCUGGCUCUCAAGUACCGGGUGAAUGGGGUAGUUGGAGUGGUACGAGGAGACCAGAGGAUCGCAAGAAGCUGCUACUCCUCGGCAGCAAAGGAAGCAAUGCAGAUAACAUCCCUUGAUACCCGAGUGGAAGCCAGGAAUGGCAGCUAGUUGGACCCGGAGUUUACAAGCUGGUUCGCACGGAUGGCCACAAGGUGAAACGCCCAUGGAGCGCGACACACCUCAGGAAAUAUUUCUAGUAAGACUUACUCAUCUUUUAAAGUUAUUUCUGUUCGUGCCCGUUGUUUUCUAUUUUUCAUUUCUUAUUUCAAAGCAAUCUCAUGUAAGCCGAAUUCAAUAAUAAAUGAAUCAAUGAGGAGUUUCAGUCAACUACACUGUUCAAGAAAUUAUCAAAGGCAUGCAAAGGCUAGUCAAGUCUCAAAGCCUGUUUAUGGCGAGACCAGAAGCCAAGCGUGCCAGGAUCUGCUCGACCACGAGAAGGCGAGCAGAGUCCCAAGCUUUCAAGAAAUUAUCAAUGGCAUGCAAAGGCUCACCAAGUCUCAAAGCCUGUUUAUGGCGAGACCAGAAGCCAAGCGUACCAGGAUCUGCUUGACCACGAGAAGGCGAGCAGAGUCCCAAGCUUUCAAGAAAUUAUCAAAGGCAUGCAAAGGCUCACCAAGUCUCAAAGCCGGUUUAUGACGAGACCAGAAGCCAAGCGUUCCAGGAUCUGCUCGACCACGAGAAGGCGAGCAGAGUCCCAAGCUUUCAAGAAAUUAUCAAAGGCAUGCAAAGGCUCACCAAGUUUCAAAGCCUGUUUAUGACGAGACCAGAAGCCAAGCGUGCCAGGAUCUGCUCGACCACGAGAAGGCGAGCAGAGUCCCAAGCUUUCAAGAAAUUAUCAAAGGCAUGCAAAGGCUCACCAAGUCUCAAAGCCUGUUUAUGGCGAGACCAGAAGCCAAACGUGCCAGGAUCUGCUUGACCACGAGAAGGCGAGCAGAGUCCCAAGCUUUCAAGAAAUUAUCUAAGGCAUGCAAAGGCUCGCCAAGUCUCAAAGCCUGUUUUAUGGCGAGAUAGAAGCCAAGCGUACCAGGAUCUGCUCGACCACGUGAAGGUGAGCAGAAUCCCCAAGCAUCGGAAUAUUUUCCAAGGCAUGCAAAGGCUCGCCAAGUCUCAAAGCCUGUUUUAUGGCGAGACAGAAGCCAAGCAUGCCAGGAUCUGCUCGACCGCGCGAAGGCGAGCAGAAUCUCAAGCAUUGAAGAAUUUUCCAAGGCAUGUGGCAAAACCAUAUGCCGAGCCAGAACCUGCUAAACUAGACGAAGACGAGCAGAUUCUCAGACGAAAAAUAACUCAUGAUUACAACACAAGAAAGUAAUCAAAAACAUUUUUAUUAAUUUGUUAAUAAUUAACAGAGGAGAUAAUCUUCACAAACAUUGUUCAUUACAAUACAAGAAAUAUAUUAAGAGGACGGUGGAUCCGUAAGCCGAGCAGCCUCAGUCGGUUGGUCCACCUCAGGUGCUGGGGGAGUAUCACCGGUCGCGUCCGGGGGGGUGCUUGCCUCACCCACAUCAACAGGAACGGCACGAGGAGGAGAGUUUUCCUCAACUACGAUUGGUUCCACCGUUUCGGCAUCUUCCUUUGCAGCCUCCUCGUCCAUAUGUUGGGCGACACCAGUUGCAAGGUCGUCCAUCUUCAGAUCAGGAUGCUGCUUCCCGAGGACGACCAUGAUGCAACGAUAGGAAUGCCGAAGCCCCUAGUCGUACUGGUUGUCGGCCUCCCUCUCCAAGUUCUCGACCUGAGCUCGGUGGGAAUCGCGGAGAGAUUCGAGCUGAGCCUCAUAUAUAGCCUUCUGCCUUUGCAGAUCCUCCUCGACCUUGGUCAGCUCCUCCUCGAGGGUAAUGGCUUUUGCUUGAGCAAGAGAUUCUUGCUCUAUCAGCUUGAGGUUCUCAACAUUCAGCUCCCCUGCUUUCUUCUCGGCAGCGUCAGCUCUGGUCGUCGCCGAUUGAAUGUCCUCCUUAAUCUUGCGGUCGUAGCGGCCAACCUUCGCCUUGUAAUAGGUGGUCAUGCAGCUGAGGUAGAAAGCGCUAUACUGCAUGGCCCCCACCAGCUCACCCAAGGUGCAGCCGUCAAAGUCCUCCAGGUCCUUCUUGCUCACGAGUUUAGAUAACUCAUUGAGGUAGGGGACCAAGUGUUCUGCUUGGCUGUCAGGUAAGCGAGAUCGAGGCCCGACAGGAGGAGAAGAGGAAGCAGGAUCCGUGGCUGCUCCACUAGUUUCCCCAACUUUGGCAGGAGCAGGAGGUAAAGUCUUCAAGGGAGAGACUUGCUGUACGAUGUUGGCCUGCUUUGCAGAAGGGGCGUCCUUGUUCUGGUCCCUCUUCGUGGCUUGAGGUUGAGAACGUUUCCUGUUCAGAGCCCCAAUCACAGCGUCCUCCAUCUUAUGGCCAGGGAGUACCAAGCGAGACUCGAGCAAGUUGUAAACAGUUAUCAAUUCUCGGCUCGGGCAAGAGUUGGCUAGUAUAGCCUCGACCCGUUUGAGCUGAUCAGGUUGGAGCGAGAAGUGAACACCCCAAGAACCUGCAACACAAACAAACAUUUGAUUAGAGACAAACCAGUAAAGUGCAAACAACAAGGGAGACAAGACAUCUAAUACGAGCAGGCAACCUGGGACCAUGAAACGGGGUGGGACGCGACAAUCCUUCCCGUCUAUUUGUGCAACUUGACCCCAAGGACCCCCAGCAAAAAAGAAUUUCCUCUUCCAAGUCCCACCACCACCAGUUGGAAGAUCAGUUAUGGGUUUCUUGCUCUUGGUACUAGAUUGGAAGUAGUACCAGCCGGCAUCUUUGGGGCUGCUCUUUAGCUGGUACAGGUGCUUCACCUCAUCAACCGUGGGCUCGCUUUGGCAACAUCUGUCCCACAAUAUGAACAGACCAGAGAGCACCCUCCACCCAUUGGGGUUCAGUUGACCAGGAGCUAGAUUGAGCCCGUGGAGUAUGCGAGCAAAAUAGGGUUGCAAGGGGCACCUUAACCCGUACUUAAAACUCUCCUGGAACAAGGUGACAUAUCCCCUAGGAGGCCUGCUAGGACUAUCUUUUUUUCCUGGGAUCCUAAGGAGUACUUCACCAGGAAUAUGAUACCUGAGCCAGAGGUCAUCCAGCUCGUUGAAUGUGGUCGUGCAGGUCAUGUAAUCAAUAGCAUAAUCCCGCAACAAGGCUCUACCUCCUACUGUACUACGCCCUUCUGGUCGCAGUGUUCCCGGUGAAGAUCCCUCACCAGAGUCACCUCCUUGAUCCUCACUUAGGGUGUCUUCCGAGCCAGAAGGUCCUUCCUCGCCACUACUUCCGCUCGUGGAGGUUGUUUGGGGGGACAUCCUCCUAGCGCUAGUCCCGACACUAGACCUAGUGGGCUCUAAGGGGAUCCCGGGGUCAAAAGCAGAAUCAGUGAGCAGACUAGGCAAGAAACCUAGUUCGUCGUCAUCAGUCUCAAUGACUUUCUCCUUACCCUUCGACAUUCCCUAAGUUCUAACCAAAACACCACCACCGACUACAACCCCAAGUAAAGCAAAGAGAAAAGAAAUUAUCUACAACUAUCCGAGACCGAGGAGAUAGAAGUAAUACCUGAAGUAAUGGUUCAGUUAGAGAAAGGCAGGGGAGGAGACUUUUAUGCCGAGACUUCUUUGCCGGAGAGACAGAGACAGAGAUGGAGUAAAUGACGAAUUUUCCCUUUGAGAGGUUUUGGGUUUUCCUAAUGGAGAAUGAACUUUUGGAUUGCCAGCAUUUAAUAGCAUCGAAUCCCAAGGGUCUCGUAACCGUCGGUUUAAAAUUCAAAUAGAUGGGUAGAUUUCUGCCACAUCACCUGGUCCACAAUUAAAUGCGACACGACUCUUGGCAGCCUUUUCCUAUCCCGCGCGAGCAAGAACUGUCGAGUUUCUACUGUUGGCUCACUACGCUACCCAACACAAGAAACUGGGGGACUGGUGUUUGUGCGAUAUGUUUCGACGAAGACUAGCAGUGAUGAGCAGGCGUCUGGUAGCAGGGUUCCUCGAACAGGUAUAUCUUGCAAGAGUCUGGUAGCCGGGGGAGCAAGAGCAGGAGUAUCCUGCUCGUCCACGAGUACGUCAUCCACGAGGCCGGUCUCCUGUUGGGAGCGUAAAGCCAUUCCUGCUAUAUUUCUGCUAGCGGUUGAGUCGAGGAGACCCGGUCAACGACAGUUGAUGAGACAUGCUCUUCAGUUCGAGAAUCAAGGCGCGAAGGCCACGCAACCACCCACGACUACGGAAAUGGAGCAUCCACUUUCGAGAAGUGGGAGGAUGACAAGCGCAAAGGGAGGAAAUGCAUGGGCUCAGAAGUGGCCUAUAAAAAGGUAACCAACGAAGGUAAAAGGGUUAGCAAUUUUGAGAUUAUAACAGAGACUAAGGAAAUUCUAAAGAAGAGAAAACUAUUAAAAAGCCAUAAGAUCUGUGGCAAGCGUUCCCAGAGCCUUCAUAUCUGACUUGAGCGUCGGAGGGUUUACGCCGGGAAAACAACCGGCGUGCUCUGACUUGUUUCUGUGGACGCAGGAAUACUUGGAGAAGAAAGCAUACGAGGAGAGAUCCUGGUCGAGGUGAGGUUGAUCGAGCAGAUAUCCUGGUCGUAGGAAGAGCGUAACCAGAAUCUCGCAUCAACAAUUGUCUUUGCUCUCUAAUCUAUUCAAUUUUCUUUCUGGAGACAAGAUUUUGAUUCCUUUCAUCGUUACAAAAACGGAACCAUGGUUGAUGUGGGAGAGAUCUUACUCAACGCCUUCUUUUAGGUGAUGUUCGACAGGUUGGCUUCCCGUGAUUUGCUCAGCUUUGUCCGUCAACUUGGAGGGGGGGUCGAUUCCGAGCUCAAGAAGUGGGAAAGAAAGCUGAAGAUGAUUCAGGCGGUGCUCAACGAUGCAGAGGAGAAGCAACUGACGGACGAGGCUGUGAAGAUGUGGCUGGACGAUCUCCAAGACUUGGCUUAUGACGCUGAGGACAUUCUUGAUGAGUUUGCUACUCAAGCUUUGGAAAGCAAGUUGAUGGCGCAAAAUCAGGAUAGCUCUGGCCAACUUCUCAGUUUCAUCCAGGCUAGUUUGAAUCCGAAUGCUAUUAUGUUCAAUUAUAGCAUGGGGUCCAAGAUUAAAGAUAUCACUAGCCGGCUGGAGCAACUCUGCCAAGAAAGAAUUGAACUUGGACUGCAACGGAUUACUGGAGGGGCAUCAUCAACUACUGCUGCUGCACACCAGAGGCUACCCGGUUCAAUUGUCCCAACAGAACGUGAAGUAUUUGGAAGAGAAGAAGAUAAGGCCAAAAUUCUUGAUAUGGUAUUGGCCGAUACCCUAAGUGAUCAUGCCAACUUUGCUGUAAUACCCGUUGUUGGCAUGGGCGGGAUAGGAAAAACAACUCUCGCUCGGGAGGUUUACAAUGACAAGGCCGUUGGCGGUUCCAAGUUUGAUGUAAAAGCAUGGGUUUGCGUAUCUGAUGUCUUUGAUGUUUUGGGCAUCUCAAAGGCACUUCUCGAGUCAAUCACCCGCAGGCCUUGUCUUCUAAACAGUUUAAAUGAAGUGCAGGUUGAAUUGAAAGUAGCUGUGGAUAAAAAAAGAUUCUUGCUGGUCUUAGAUGAUGUUUGGAACGAGGACUACAGCUUGUGGGUAGACUUAAAAGCUCCGUUCCUGGCUGCUGCACCAAACAGUAAGAUGAUCGUCACCACACGCAAUUCAAAUGUUGCAUCAACAAUGGGACCAAUUGAACAUUACAAUCUCAAGAGUUUGUCAGAUGAUGAUUGUUGGUCCAUUUUCAUAAAGCAUGCAUUUGAAUAUAGAGAUCUUAACGCACAUCAAAUUUCAGAAUCGUUCCGCGGGAAAGUUGUUGCCAAGUGUGGAGGCUUGGCCCUGGCAGCAAAAACACUCGGAGGCCUUCUGCAUACGACGAGGCAUGAUGCGUGGGAUGAUACGUUAGAGAGCAAAAUAUGGGAUUUACCUCAACAAAGUGGGGUUCUCCCCGUAUUAAGAUUGAGUUACCAUCAUCUUCCUUCUCAUUUGAAAAGAUGUUUUGCUUACUGUGCAAUCUUUCCAAAAGAUUAUGAAUUCAAUCAGAAGGAGCUGACUUUCUUAUGGAUGGCUGGAGGAAUUAUUCGACAGUCACGAAACAGUGAGCAGCUGGAAGAUUUGGGCAGCAAGUGCUUUCAAGAUCUAGUGUCAAGGUCUAUUUUUCAACAAACCAGCUCUGGUAGUUCUAAAUUUGUAAUGCCCUAUCUUAUCCAUGAUCUUGCUGAAUUGGUUUCUAGAGGGACCAUUUUCAAGUUAGAGGAGUCCACCAACUUGUCGUCGAGGAGAUUUGAAAGAGUUCGCCAUUCUUCCUAUGCCCGCGGUUGGCAUGACGGUAAAAAUAAGUUUGAGGUUUUCUAUGAAAUUGAACAUCUACUAACAUUCUUGCCAUCACGCAUAAGAGGUGGCACUAAUACGAGUUACAUAACUCGAACGGUUCUAUCUGAUUUGUUGCUGAAUUUCAAAAGUUUGAGGAUGUUAUCUUUACAAGGAUACUGUAUUGGUGAGUUACCAAUUUCAUUUGAAGAUUUGAGACUUUUAAGGUUUCUCAACCUUGCUUACACUGACAUAAGAAGUUAUCUGAGUCAACAUGCAAAUUGCUGAACUUGGAAAUUUUGAUAUUAAGAAAUUGUUCUCGUUUGAUAAAGCUUCCACCCAAAAUGAGGAAUUUGAUCAAUUUACGCCAUCUCGAUAUAAGAGGUGCGAAGUUGCUGAAGGAGAUGCCAUUCGGAAUGAAAGAGUUGAAGAAGCUUCAAACAUUGUCCAAUUUUAUUGUGGGCAAGGGUGAAACUGCAUCUUGUUUGGAAGAUUUAAAAUGUUUAAACUUUCUUUGUGAUAAACUUUGCAUUGCUGGAUUAGAGAAUGUUAAUAAUCCACAGAAUGCAAGAGAAGCCGCAUUAUGUGAGAAACACAAUCUUGAAGCAUUGACUCUGGAUUAGGGGUUUCAAUUUGACAAUUCCUGAGGAGUAGUAGAAGAGCAUGUACUGGAAAAUCUACAGCCUCAUAAAUGUAUAAAAAAGGUGGCGAUCCGGAACUAUGGUGGUGCAAGAUUUCCCCUUUGGAUAGGAGAUCCUUUGUUCUCCAGGAUAGAGCUCCUAAAAUUGGAGAACUGUGACAAUUGUGUAUCUUUGCCAUCGCUUGGCCUAUUGAGUUCACUUAGACGGCUUGCUGUUAAAGGGCUGAAUAAACUAAAAAGCAUAGGGUCUGAGGUUUAUGGGGAGGGUUUCUCAAUGCCUUUUCCAUCAUUGGAGAUUCUAAGUUUCGAGAAUUUGCCAGAAUGGGAGCAUUGGGACACCGAUGUCAAAGGAAAUGUGCUUGUUGAAAUAUUUCCUCGUCUCCAUCAACUUUCCAUUGUGGAAUGUCCCAAACUCUCGGGAGAACUGCCUGAGCUCCUGCCCUCCUUGGAGACACUUUUUGUUAGUAAAUGUGAAAAGUUGGUAGUUCCAUUGUCUUGCUAUCCGAUGCUCUGCAGAUUAGAAGUUGAUGAGUGCAAGGAACUAGCAUGCGGGACUCCAAUUGAUUUUAAGUUGAUAACGUCUGUGACUAUUUCAAAUAGUUCCUUAGACAUGAAUGGAUGCAAGGGGAUGCUAUACGAUGGUCCAGCUGGCUCUUCACUACCAAAGCCUAUGAUUACUACAAAUGUUUCGGAGUUUGGAAAAUUAUUGAAGCCUGGAUUUCAGAUAUUAGAAACUUUGGUAAUUGCCAAUUCUGAACAGCUCAAGUCAUGGAGGCAGAAUGGGGAUUUUCCGGAAAAAUACACGGCCCCUGAACAUAGGUUUAAGAAACCAGUACGAGGGCUGAAUAUGCUCGCUUCCCCUGAAGAGGUAACAAUUGAAGAAAGUUGCGUACGUCUUGUUUUGUUUCCAGAGAUCAAUUUCUUUCCCAGAAAUCUGCGCUCUCUUCUAAUUAACAACAACACUGCUUUCAAAUCCUUACCCGAGGAAAUGAUGGAAAACAAUUCACAACUCGAAAGGUUGUAUAUCAGAGAUUGCGACUCUCUAACAUUCAUCGCAAGACGGAGGCUACCAGCAUCUCUUAAAAGGCUUGAGAUAGAAAAUUGUGAGAAAUUGCAACGUCUGUUCGAUGAUGAAGAGGAUGCUUCUUCUUCUUCACCUUCACCCUCGUCUUCCCCAGUGAUGCUGCAACACCUGAGUAUAGAGAACUGCCCAGAGCUCACCAGUUUAUCAUCGGGUGUCCAAUUCCUUGAGGCGCUUGAAGACCUCGACAUACAGGGUUGUCCAAAGCUGGAGUCAUUACCGGAUGGCCUGCCCAAUCUUAAAUGUUUACAGAGCAUUUAUAUACGGGGAUGUCCAAGUCUUGUUUCCUUCCCAGAAAGAGGGCUUCCCAACACGAUUUCAAGGGUUGACAUUUGCAGUUGUGACAAGCUCAAAGCCUUGCCCAAUGAUUUGCACAAACUCAACUCUCUUCGAGAUUUAAGAAUACGGCUGUGUCGAAAUCUUGUAUCGUUUCCAGAAGAAGGUUUUCCUACCAAUCUAACAUCACUUACAAUUGGAAAUUUCAAAAUGUAUAAGACACUCGUCCAGUGGGGGUUGCACGGGCUUACCUCUCUUAAACGCCUCUCGAUCAGUGGAUGUCAUGAAGCAGAGUGUUUUCCAGACGAGGAGAUAGGAAUGACGCUGCCCACCUCUCUCACUCAACUGCUCCUUUAGGGAUUCGAAAAACUGAUAUCUCUGUCUUCGACGGGUUUUCAAAGCCUCAACUCUCUUCAAUACUUAUUGAUCUGGGGUUGCCCAAAUCUCACAUCAUUCCCAGAGGCGGGUCUUCCAUCCUCACUUUUGGAUUUAGGCAUUUACAAUUGUCCAAAGCUUAAAAGAGCGUGCAAAAGAGAUCAAGGAAAAGAGUGGCCCAAAAUUGCUCACAUCCCUCGCAUUGAGAUAGACAGAAAAUUCAUAUACGAUCCAGAAUCAGAGGAGUAGAUUCUAUUACAAAGGUCAGUUGAUUUCUAUUAUCCUCUAUAACAAGCUCCUCUUAAUUUUUUUUUUCUAAGUAAUAAUUUUGCAGUUCUGUAUAAUUAUUAAUCGUCUGCUCUUAAUUGAAAAUGUCACUCACUUGAUUCCGUUUUCACUAGUCAAAUUGUAUGUUGAGGCUAUUUGCUUUUUAAUUAUAACACUUAUCUUAAAAUUUAAUACCAAAUUUUUUUGAUUCACUUCAAUUAGCAUUUUGUUUUCCCCAAAUUAGGCAAGCCGAGAGCUUCAUUAACUAGAGUUUUUUAUUUUUCGGACCUUGCAUCUGAAAGGUUCAGUGUAUUUUUUUUUUUUUCAAAUUUAUUGUUCAGAUCUCAGACGAGUAUACGGUUUAGAUUACAAAACACCUAUGAUUAAUUUCUUUUUUUUUUUUUUAAUUUCAGGGAGAAGAAGUGGUCAGUUUCAAUCCGGAAUUGGAAUAUGGCAAUUUGGUUCAAGCACACACACCUGGUCACUUGGUCAGUGAACCUGAACUUUACGCAGUUUUUUCAACUCAGUGAUUUUUGGAACGCAUAUUGGUGUAAGGAAAUCAAUAGAAAUUUAUGCAUAGUCAAAUUCUGAUAUUUGCUAUAAUAUUAUACAUUCUAAAGUUUCUCCAGUUUGUUCUCAGAUUACCAUCAUUUUUUGCCUUCACCAAAAAAAAAUCGAGUGGCUUUCCAGUGGAUAUUUAAUCGGAGGUAUGACUGGAUUUUUUUCACUUCUGUAAAUCUUGCAUUUUAAACUGGCAAAUUUAACUUUAAUUUUAAUACGACUUGUUUGAGGGAAAUACUCCGACGAGACCAGACGUGAUGAGCAGAUGUUUGGUGGCAGAAGUCUGCGAGCAGGUGUGUCCUGUAAGAGCCAGGUAGCAGGGAAACAGGGGCAGAAAUAUCCUGCUCAUCCACGAGCAUGUCAUCCGCGAGGCCAAUUUCCUGUAAGAAACAUAAAGCCAUUCCUGCUGUAUUCUUGCUAAGGGUUGAUUCGAGGAGACCCGGUCAACGACAGUUGGCGAGGCAUGCUCUCCAGCCCGAGAAUCUAGGCACGAAGGCCACGCAACCACCCACGACUACGGAAAUGGGGAAUCCACGUUCGAGAGGUGGGAGGAUAACAGACGUAGACUGCGGAAAACUGGGAUUCAGAGGAAGCCUAUAAAAAGGUAGCCAACGAAGGUAAAAGGGUUAGCAAUUUUGAUUCUAAAAGAGAGAAAACAACCUAACAACCAUAAGAUUUUUGGCAAGCGUUCCCCGAACCUUCAUAUCUGACUUGAGCGUCGGAGGGUUUGCGCCGGGAAAACAACCGGCGUACUCUGACCUGUCUGUGUGCGCAGGAACCUCUGGAGAAGAAGCUUUACGAGGAGAGAUCCUGGUCGUGGUGAAGUUGAUCGAGCAGAGACCCUGGUCGUAGAACGAGGAGAACCAGAAUCUCGCAUCAACACGACUUUGUUGGUGCCUUGUGUUCCAGAAACUAGAAUGAUGUGUAGUUUUCAGAUUAAGGGGCUUGUAAAUUCUCUAGUAAGAAUCCAAUAAUUUGCUUUUGCACAUUCAUUUUAUUUGUGGAUCCUUGCAUCUGAAUUUGAUCAAUCCAAAAGGAAUUGCUUUUAGACAGAAGAAGAAUUGCAGUACCUAGCCUACGACAUAGUAAAUGGACCUGCAAACCUGUAACUAUUAGUUUGAGGUAAAAAAUUCAUGACCCUCACAUGUUAACUUCUUCUAGUUACUUUCAUCAAAAACACAUUUAAGAAAUUUGCAAUUUUUUGUUAGUUUUGUAUACCGAUGUUGUUUUCUGUUUUAGCAUUUGUAUAAUCUACUGUAUUAUAUUUUGGCGGUUGCAGUAUCUGAGGUAUCUUUUGCAUUUAACUUGCUUUAUUUGUUUUGCUUGUGACUUAAGAACACCAAUAUUUGCCAGAGAUUUAGAGAAGCAUAUCAAGAUGCUUGGCAAACUUGACAAACUUCAAGAUCCUUCAUUCUUCACGACCCAAAACUUGUGAGUACACUUAUGCCCGCAAUUAUUGUGAAACGCUUGCAAUUUUGAUGCAGCGAAAUGGUUUGUUGAUGCAAAGGUUUAAACUUUUAAGAUUUACACUGCAGGGUAGUUGGAUGCUGUAUAGUCGAACGGCCACCAACAUCAAGAACUAUAACUCCAAGACCGGGUUUGCAUUAAUUCAAUCAGCUGAAAUAAUGAUGCAAAUGACACUAUCAGCUGGACUUAGAGACCAGUCAGAUCAAUCAUCCUUUUAUCAACAGUUAAUGUCAUGAUGGUGUCUAUCGGAGGAAACAAAGGAUGUGUCGGAAUCAAUAUGAACAGUGAGAAGAAUGAGAGGAGCUUUGAUUAUAAGUAGGCUCAAUGAACUCAUGCUGGUAAGUGGUAAUUAAAGAAAUUUGUGCGCUUAGUAGCAUUCAAUAUUUUCUGUUUGGGAUAUAGUUGAUGAGUUGAUACUCUGAUUAAGAAGCCUGAUUAUAGUAGCUGACUUUUUUUUUGUGGUUUGCUGUUGUUUAUUCUUUCGAUUAAUUUCAACAUUAGGUUGAUCUGUUGAAGAACAAACUUGGGUUUGAUUAUGCUUUAACUACAAGGAAGAGCCAGACUUGGAUGCAGGCGUUCAGCUUUUAAUGGGUAAGAACAAAUGUAUGCUUUAACCAUGUUUCUCACUUAUUACAAUGCACACAUUGAAGGCAUCUGAGCUGAUCCUGAAAAUGUGAUGGAAAUACUUCUCUGUUUACAUAAAACAGACAAAUAGAGAUCUCUGAUCAUGCCUGAGAAUUCGUUGCAUUUAAAAUUUCUACCAUUGCCAAAAAUAGAAUAAACUACGGAUACAUUAGCUUAAGACUCAAUUUUGAGAAGGAAGUUUGCACAUGCAGCCUAAAAAAUCACGUCCGUGUUGUAUACUUGUAUGUUUCUUUGGGAAAUGAAAGAUUCUGUGUUCUUUUAUUUCAAGUUUGCUGAAAUCACAUUUGUUUUCUUAGAUGCUUUUGGGAAGGUAACAACAUCAAUUUCAUAAAUGCUGGGGUAAGAUGCAUCACGCAGUGCUACUCAACAUGAGAAUUCCCGGCCGCAUUACCUGUAUGUUGAGUGAUCGCACAGUACAACCUUUAGAAGCUUGUAAGGAGUAGACAACUAGAUGCGAAUAGUUUCAAUAUGGAUUCGCAUCAAAUGAUCUCUUGCCAGUGAUUACUAUAACCUCUAUCCCAAAAUUCUUGGAACUGGUCAUACCAAUAAUGAAGUAUUGUGUACGUUGAAGACGUAGCUCAAGGCCUUGCGAAAGCUCCGUCAGCCUUUGUAUUGGAAAACAGUUGGUUGUAGUUGCUUCUGAAUGAUAUUAUUAAUAGAUACUGUAAAAAUGAAGUGUGCCACUCAUUUUCAGAGCCCUGUUAAGAUGUGUUGGUAAUGUGUUUGAAGGUUGUUUGAUUUGUGUUGUAUUCAGCUAUAAAUCAAAGAUUCAGAACAUGGUUAUGUUACUGGUUUCCAAAUAAAAAAAUUGCCUUGUGAUGUUAGUGUUCAUUGUUUUCACAGGAGAUCAGGUUCCCUGUUGAUGAAUCAAGAAGGCAAACGCAUCCAUGCCUUAAGUUCAAAUGUGUCUCUUCUAUUUUCUAUUACUGACUCCUUUAUUUUGAUUUCUUCAUUGUAAUGGAAUUGGUUUUCAUUCCAAAUUAGUCAAAACCUCCUAGAGUCAUUAAGUUCUGUUAGCAUUUGAAGAUAGAACUAGAACUAAAUGAUUGACUGGAUUAAAUUCCGAUAAAGAAUUAAGUUAUGUAUUUAGAGAUAUUUUGUUUUUUUUUUCAUUUGUUCAAUUUGGUUAGUGGUGAUUUCUUAAAGACUCAAUCCAUGUGCGUUUAUGCAUUUUUCUUUUGCCUUAAUUUCUGUUUCUUGGGGAGUUUAUACAGAUUCUUAUUUUAUGCUUCACAUGCCACAUGAAAGAUCGAAGCAUUUUGUGUGAUUAGAACUGACUUGCAUCACAGUAACUUUAAACCACUGCCACAUUUUUAUAAUAACAGUCUGAGAUCUCCCUGAAGGAUUCAAAGCAUUUUAUUUUAUAUUAACCUCCUUUAAGUGGGUUUCGACACUACCACAAGUUCUUUAAAUACUAAAACGAUUUUGAGUCUUUUGUAUCAUCUGAUUGAAAUACCUGAAAGCACUCGUGGCUGCAAAAAUAUAUCGAUUUUGAGUAUGGCGUGCAUGUAAAUUAUAUCGAUUUUUUCUAUAUGACAAGUAAGACUCUCUUUUACAAUGGCACGGAUGCGUCAUUGAGUAAUCAUGAUUCUUGCUGGUAGUGCUUUGUUGUAUCAAUCUGCUAGCUAUUCAGCUUUCUUUCUUUCUUUCUUCUUUUUUUUUUUUUUUUUUUGUUUUCAAAUAGCUUGUGGUUGUAGAAAUAUUUCAAUUAAACUAUACUUAAGUACUUAUUUAGUAUAACUUCUUUACUAGCCAAAAUAAUUUUUUUUUGGUUUUUUAUAAUUUAAUUAUACUUUAACUAGAGUUUUUGGGAUUAAACAAGUGAUAAUUUCUCUCUAUUAAGAAAAACUCAAAAUUUUUUAAUUACUAGAAUGCGUCUAAAUUAAAUUACAAUUAUAGACACUAAAAUAUAGUAAAUUUUUUUUUUUACUCUUUAAAACUGUCUUUACAUUCGAUAUCAUAUUUUUUUCUUAAAAUCUAAAUUGAUAUUUUUAUUUUAUUUUUGAUUAAUCUUAGAACACAUAUAAAGUGAUUCAUAUUGAUUUUAUACUAACAAACUAUCAUAGCACAUUCGAAAAUAAUUAACUCGUUCUUAUUUGCAUAGUGAAAAAGGCAAAUAGCUCACCCAAAUGUUAAGGAACUGGAGAGCUGCUGCUGGAGACGAAAGGAUGUGAAAAGCAUGGUAAAGAAAAAUUGCAUAAUUCUCACUUAGAAGAGGAAGAAAAAAAAAAUACAAUUAGAAUGAGAGGUAGCCAGUAGCCAGUAGCCGCCACCACCACCAGUCAAACUAUUUCGACACACUAAUACUGUAAUACAUAUCAAAAUGCAAUAUCGGUCCUAACAAAAUGAAAAUAAAAAUUCAUUACGAAUAUGUGUUAAAGAUAUCCCAAGUAUUGAUGUGAUUGAAAUAUUUGAGAUUGAAGUAGAAAUAAGACUCAAAAUCAAUUGAGAGGAAUAAAUGAGAAACUCUAAUACUAAUAAAAUAUAUUCACAAAUCCUAAUGCUAAUUAAAAUCACGGAUUAAAAAAAAUAAUAUGAAUGAAUUACAGGCGCAACUGUUUCAUUAAAAAAUUAAUAAAAUCGUGUAUUAAUAUUUUGUACACAUACAUUUUUCCAUAUAUAACUUUUGGUAAUUUAGUUUUCCACUUAUCAUUUUUACUCCAAAAAAAUAAUUGAGAAUAUUAUUUAUGUUUUGGUGCAAAAUAUUUAAACAACAUAAAAAUUUUCAGUUUAAUAAAUCUAAACAAUUCUCAAGUUAUAAAUGAAUUUAAUGGGUUUAAUUAGUAAAAAUACUAUUAUUUUAUAAAUUGGGUUUAGUAAUGGUAUAUUGGGUAUUUAAAUGGGUUUGUUGAGUAAAUUUUAAAAUUUUAAAGUUCAAGGGUAGGUUUAUUUAGUAAAUGGGUUAAUGCAGCAAUUUUCAAACUAAAUUUUUGGAAAAAGAGGCUAUUGAGUUUUUUUUAAGAAAAAGAAUUAAAAUGUUGAGAAUACCUUUAUUUAAUUUUAUAAUCUAAUUUUAAAAAAUUUACCCAAUAAAUUUUAUAAUUUUUUAUAAAAAUUAUCAUUAACAUCCAAACAGCUGAAGAUUAAAAAAAAAAAAAGAAGGGAACUGUACUAGCAAAAGUUAGAUUAACAAUAAAUUUAGUCCAAAGAAUAAAGUUAUAGCUAAAAAGUGCUCCUAUCCUAUUUUUCUCUAUUUUAACAAUAAUCUUCCAAUCCAUUUUACAAUGGACUUAACAAAUGGGCUCAAUCUCUAAACUUCAUUUUCUUUUGCUAACCCAUGGCCAUUAGCCAGAAAGCCUAAAACAAUUUUAGGAUCACAUGUGUAAAUGGAACCCCAAGAUUGAUCAAGAAUUAACAAGACAAGAUGAAGAGAUGAUCUUGUAACUAAGAAUGAAGAAAUUGAAUCAAGACAGUACUCUAGUAAAACCCAGAAAACAGAGCUUGAAGAAUCACGCACAAAGCAGUAAAUUUGUAAAACCAGAAUUGGAGCUUCACUUCUCAAGAUAGACGAAACAGGAUACAAUCUAGCUUUGGUCAACUUCGUUUGGCCACGUCAUAAAGUCUUCCCCCACAGUCUUUCCCGCCAAAACAGAAAAGCUUUAAAAGCCAUUUACCCUCCUGAGUUACUUGCUCCUAUUACAUCAAGGCCCUGUAAGUCUAUAUUUAUUAUUACAAAAGCACCCUUAAACCGAGAUUUGAGAUAUUUUUUCAAAGAUCGAAGCGCAUGAUUUCACGGCUAUGUUGCAUAGUGAAUUUUAGUGCUUUACAGUUAAGGGAUAGUUUAAAUUCAUUACAAAGCAUUCGCAAAGAAAUUGUUUUUAAAUGAAACUCCUCGUCUUGACCAGAUUAUUUAUUAUUAUUAAAAAAAAAAUGUUCAAAACUUAGCCAAAGUGAUAAACUCGUAAUUAUUCUACAAAGGGAACAAUUUUGAACGGUGGGAAAUUCCAUAAUUAUGCUUUUCUGUGAAUUAUUUUAAAUAAAAUUAUAAAAAUUAAUAUAAAAUUAUAAUAAUGAUAGAGCCACAAACUCUUGUACAAAUUUAUUUUAUACAAACUCAUGUGGCAUGAUAAGAUUGGUUGAAUUAAAUAUUACUUGGCCCACAUGAUUUGUUUUUAUUAUUUUAUAUUUUUAUUCAACCAAUAAAUUAAUACCACGUCAGUUUGUACAAAAUAAAUUUAUACAAAAAUUUGUGACUCGAUCAUCACUCAUAAAAUUAAUACCCGGUAAAGACUGUAGAGAGACAAGUGCCCCCAACAGAAUCAAGUGAAUAUGCCCCACAAAGAUCACAUGAUCAUUUCUGUUCUUUUUCUUUUUGAUAAUUUUAUCUGUGGUUUCAACUUUUAUGCUUUAUUGUCGUAUCCCGUUGAGGGCUCCGCUGCACCCAUUACAACUUACCCCUAAAUUGCCUCUUACUAACUAAACCGUUAGAUUUUAUGGAAGCACGUUCAAUGUUGAAUUUUAAUUAUGUCAUCGAAUUUCGUUUAGCUCCUUAAACUCCAUUUUAUUUGUAAUUUCUUCAUAAAAUAUUCAAAGCUUCAUCAAGCUCCUGAUGGACCAUCAUGGCUAGGGGUGCAUUAGAGCCGAACUGAAAUAUGUUAGUUCAGUUCAGUUUGGUCAGUUUAAAUCGAAUGGUUUAGAAUAUAUAAACUGAUCAAUUUUAAUUUUGAAUUGAACCGAACCGAAAAUCAAUUGGUUCACUAUUAGUAUUUUUGUAUAAACAAGAAUGAUUAGUGAUUAUAAUUAAAUUGGACUAAAAAAAAUUCAAACUAAGGUGAAAAAUAUCAAAUCUUAGACAAUAUAAAAAAAAAUAUUAAAUUUUUUUAACCGAAACGAACCGAAUUAUUUUGACUCAGUUUGGUUCAUAAUUUUUUAAACCAAACUGAUUUAUUCCCACCCCCUAAUCGUGGCUCUCUAUCUUUAGUCAUUCACCCUUGAGUUUGAUGCCAAUUGUUGGGUUUCAAAUGAUUAUACACUCAAAUGGAACCCUCAUAACAAAAAACUAACAGAAACAAUAAGAACACGAUGUUAAAAUCUUAAAUCAAUCGCAAAAAAGCACCCAAAACAGAUCGAUUAGGAACAGUUAAGAACAAAAGAUUUGAUGGUUCAAAAUCAUAAUGUGACCUACGUACUUUCAUCCAAGAAUCAUACUAAUUGCUUUACUAGUUGUCAAACUCAAGAUCACAAGAUUGUUUAUCACUCUACAUAAAAAUUUUUUUUAGAAGAAAUACUCCCCAAUUUUUCUCUUAAUAGUUAUGAAUCAACACCCCUAGGAAGCCUGUUGAUUUACUUUUCCUUAUUUCCUAUGAUCGGUUGCUGCAACUUAAUCCUUGCCAAGCUCCAACAUAGUCCAAACACUUUUAACGGUACAGGCAUAGUGCACCUUCAGAAACUUUACAGCUCCUCUUAAAACCUCAGGCAUCGUAAGCACAUUAAGCAGCCGACAACACUCUUCUUCAUUUCUUCAUUGUCAAUUUCCUUCUUGGAACAUUGCUCCAUUGAGAGUCUGCUAGAAUUGCUCCAAUUAUUAUUAUUAUUUAAAAAAAAAAGAAAACCCUGCAAUAAGAGUAUAAGACUAAGCAACGGUCCUUUUUUUUUCCCCAUUCUUGAACCUAAAGUAUUUGAGUAUGCAAAUUAAUAAAUAAAUUCAUUUAUUUUUAUUAAAAUUUUGUAAAAUUAUAAUUUUUAAUAAAAAUAAUUAUUAAAAUUUUGUAAAAUCUAAAUUUAGAAAAAUUCAGUUGGGCACCUCUAUUUGAGAUUUAUUUUUUAUUAAAUUUAGGGAUAUUUUUAUAAUUAUAAUUUUUAAUUUUAAAAGUUUUUAUAAGAUAAAAUAGUCUUUUAAUUUAUUUAGGGGGUAAAAUUGGUGUUUUAUUAAAAUUAUUUAAUUGUGUUAAUGCAAAAGUGGCUAUUUGAUACAAAUGUGAAAAGAAAGGUGGUGCAAAAUAUAUGUUAAAAUUUUAUAUUGGUUGGAUGAACAUAAGCUAAAAUAAAGGUGGUGCAAUGAUAAUUUCCCUAUCCUAAAACUUAAUUGACUUAAUUCUUACGGUGCAAGGAAGAGGUUUCCAAGUUUAAAUCUAAAGGCUUGUAUUUAAUUUGGGGUUGGGAAAGCACUGAGAAAUAAAUGUAACUAAGGAAAAAAAAAAAGUCACGCAGUCCAAAUAAGUAGAUAUAUUUAAUAUGAGGUGGGGAUGGGUGAACUGUAAUUCAGAAAAAAAUAAAAUAAAAUUUUAUAUAAAGUUGAGGGUGUGUUUUAAUGGUUUCUUAUGCUGCGUUUAUUUUUUGGACUAGAGUGAGAAUUCUAAAAAGUGAGAAUCCUAUGAUUAGGUGUGUGGAGUGGGAGUGGGAGUAUGGUAUUUACUUAGACUAAAUAAAAGUAUGGAUUGUCAAUCAGAAUCUCAAUUAUUUGUUACUUUGUCUUGGAUUGAGAGUAAAUUAUUUUAAAUUACAAUUUUAUCCUUAUGUAAAGAAUUAUAAUUUGUAAUUAAAAAAUUAAUAAAAAUAUAUUGGAAAAUAAAAUAAAUAUUUUAUUAUAUUUAUAAAAUAAUAAUAAUUAAUAAAAUUCUUAAUUAUGUAAAUCAUAAUUUUUUAUUAAUUUAAAUUUAAAUUAUGUGAAUAAAAUUAUUAAUAAUAGCAACACAAAUGAAACAUUAUUAUUAAUAAUAUAGUAUAAAAUUAAUAUUUUUUUAGAAUAAAAUAUUUAUUAUUAUUAAAUAAAUAAAUAAUAUUUAUUAAAAUUAAUGUUUAAUAUUAUUAAUUUAAAUAUAAUAUUUAUUUAUUUUUAUUUUAUUUUAUUAAAUUUAAUAAAAUAAAUAUGUUAUAAUUAUUAUUUUUAAUAAAUAUGAUAUUAUUUAUUUUAUUAAAUAUUAUUUAUUUAUUUUAAUUAUGAGGGUAAAAAUGGAAGAGGGGGAGUGGAUUCCCACUCCCACCUCCCCCCAUGGGAGUGGGAAUCCCACUCUCCCCUUAAAAAUGGUAAGUAAAUAUUAGAAUGGGAAGAAUCUACACUCUACACUUUCUAGAAAAUAAACACUACCUUUAUUUAAAUCGAUUUGUUGGAUAUUUAGCUAAAAUGAGAGUAGCUCUCUAAUAAUUAUUGCAUUAUUACAAACAUAUCCAACGGUUAUAAUAGCGCGCUGAAUCAAUGCUUCAGAAGGAUGACAGUCUGAGUGAAAAGGAAAUAAACGCUUUCAAUUGAAUUACUACCACUACACUCCAAUACUCUAUUAUUGUUUGUGUGCUUGCUUGUGGACCUUUUUACUUCUUACUAUCAUUAUUGAAUUCCAUUUCCAAAUUUUCAGCAUACUUUUGCUUUCUUUCAGUAUCUUCAGUUUCUCUUUUGCUUGCUAUCAAUUCAGUUUUCUUCUUGUGAAGAUCGAACGGAACCAUGGUUGCUGUGGGAGAGAUCUUACUCAACGCCUUCUUUCAGGUGUUGUUUGACAGGUUGGCUUCCCGUGAUUUGCUCAGCUUUGUCCGUCAACUUGGAGGCGGGGACGAUUCCGAGCUCAAGAAGUGGGAAAGAAAGCUGAAGAUGAUUCAGGCGGUGCUCAACGAUGCAGAGGAGAAGCAACUGACCGACGAGGCCGUGAAGAUGUGGCUGGACGAUCUCCAAGACUUGGCUUAUGACGCUGAGGACAUUCUUGAGGAGUUUGCUACUCAAGCUUUGGAAAGCAAGUUGAUGGCGAAAAAUCAGGAUCGCAUUGGCCAGGUUCUUAGUUUCAUACCGGCUAGUUUGAAUCCGAAUGCUAUUAUGUCCAAUUAUAGCAUGGGAUCCAAGAUUAAAGAUAUUACUAGCCGGUUGGAGCAACUCUGCCAAGAUAGAAUUGAACUUGGGCUGCAACGGAUUGCUGGAGGGGCAUCAUCAACUACUUCUGCUGCACAUCAGAGGCGAGACAGUUCGAGUGUCCCAACAGAACGUGAAGUAUUUGGAAGAGAAGAAGAUAAGGCCAAAAUUCUUGAUAUGGUAUUGACCGAUACCCCAAGUGAUCGUGCCAACUUUGUUGUAAUACCCAUUGUUGGCAUGGGCGGGAUAGGAAAAACAACUCUUGCCCGGGAGGUCUACAAUGACAAGGCCGUUGAAGAUUCCAAGUUUGAUGUAAAAGCAUGGGUUUGUGUCUCUGAUGUCUUUGAUAUUUUGGGCAUCUCAAAGGCACUUCUCCAGUCAAUCACCUCCGCAGCUAGUGAUCUCAAGACUUUAAAUGAGGUGCAGGUUCAACUGAAAAAAGCAGUUGACGGAAAAAGAUUCUUGCUGGUCUUAGAUGAUGUUUGGAACGAGAACUACAACUUGUGGGAAGACUUAAAAGCUCCGUUCCUGGAUGCUGCACCAAACAGCAAGAUGAUCGUCACCACACGCAAUUCAAGUGUUGCAUCAACAAUGAGACCCAUUGAACAUUUCAAUCUCAAGAGUCUGUUGGAUGACGAUUGCUGGUCCAUUUUUAUAAAGCAUGCAGUUGAAGGUGGAGAUCUUAACGAGGAUCAAAUUUCAGAAUCAUUCCGCAAGAAAGUUGUUGGCAAGUGUGGAGGCUUGCCUCUGGCAGCAAAAACUCUCGGGGGCCUUCUGCGUACGACGAGGCAUGAUGGGUGGGAUGGUAUAUUGGAUAGCAAAAUAUGGGAAUUACAUCAACAUAGCAGCAUUCUCCCUGUGUUAAGAUUGAGUUACCAUCAUCUUCCGUCUCAUUUGAAAAGAUGUUUUGCUUUUUGUGCCAUCUUUCCAAAAGAUUAUGAAUUCACUGAGAAGGAGCUGACUUUCUUAUGGAUGGCUGGAGGUAUUAUUCGACAGUCAAGAAACAAUGAGCAGCUGGAAGAUUUGGGCAGCAAGUGCUUUGGUGAUCUAGUGUCAAGGUCAAUUUUUCAACAAACAGCAAUCUCUGAUAGUUCUAAAUUUGUAAUGCACGACCUUAUCCAUGAUCUUGCUGAAUUGGUCUCUGGAGGAACCAUAUUUAGGUCAGAGGAGGCCAAUACUCUAUCAAGAAGAUUUGAAAGGGUUCGCCAUUCUUCCUAUACCCGUGAUUGGUAUGAUGGUAAAAAUAAGUUCGAGGUUUUCAAUGAAAUUGAACAUCUACGAACAUUCUUGCCGUUAAGAGGUAACUAUUGUACUAGUUACAUAACUCGACCGAUUCUAUCUGAUAUGCUGCCAAAGUUCAAAAGGUUGAGAACGCUAUCUUUACAAGGAUACUGUAUUGGUGAGUUACCAAUUCCAUUUGAAGAUUUGAGACUUUUAAGGUUCCUCAACCUUGCUGACACUGACAUAAGAAGUUUACCUGACUCAACAUGCAAAUUGCUGAACUUGGAAAUUCUGAUAUUAAGAAAUUGUUCCCGUUUGAUAAAGCUUCCGCAGAAAAUGAGGAAUUUGAUCAAUUUAUGCCAUCUGGAUAUAAGAGGUGCGAAGUUGCUGAAGGAGAUGCCAGUCGGAAUGAAAGAGCUGAAGAAGCUUCAAACAUUGUCCAAUUUUAUUGUAGGCAAGGGUGAAUCCGCAUCUGGUUUGGAAGAUUUAAAAAGUUUAAACCUUCUUUGUGAUGAACUUUGCAUUGCUGGAUUAGAGAAUGUGAAUAAUCCACAGAAUGCAAGAGAAGCCGCAUUAUGUGAGAAGCACAAUCUUGAAGCAUUGACUCUAACAUGGUGGCCUCAAUUUGACAGUCCUCGAGGUGUAGUAGUGGAAGAGAAUGUACUUGACGUUUUGCAGCCUCAUAAAUGUAUAAAAAAGGUGGCAAUCAGGAACUAUGGUGGUGCAAGAUUUCCACCUUGGAUAGGAGAUACUUUAUUCUCCAAGAUAGAGCUCCUUGAAUUGAAGAACUGUGACAAUUGUGUGUCUUUGCCAUCGCUUGGCCUAUUGAGUUCACUUAAACACCUUGCUGUUAAAGGGCUGAAGAAACUAAAAAGCAUAGAGUCUGAGGUUUAUGGGGAGGGUUUGUCAAUGCCUUUUCCAUCGUUGGAGGUUCUAAGUUUUGAGAAUUUGCCUGAAUGGGAGUAUUGGGACACCAAUAUCAGAGGAAAUGUGCUCGUUGAAAUGUUUCCUCGUCUCCAUAAACUUUCCAUUGUGGAAUGUCCAAAACUCUCUGGGGAACUGCCUGAGCUCCUGCCCUCCUUGGAGACACUUGUUGUUAUUAAAUGUGAAAAUUUGGUAGUUCCAUUGUCUCGCUAUCCGAUGCUCUGCAGAUUAGAAGUUGAUGAGUGCAAGGAACUAGCGUGCGGGACUCCAAUUGAUUUCAAGUUGAUAAAGUCUGUGACUAUUUCAAAUAGUUCCUUAGACAUGGAUGGAUGCAAGGGGAUGCUAUACGAUGGUCCAGCUAGCUCUUCACUGCCAAAGCCCACGAUUACUACAAAUGUUUUGGAGUUUGGAAAAUUAUUGAAGCCUGGAUUUCAGAUAUUAGAAACGUUGGUAAUUGGCAAUUCUGAACAGCUCAAGUCAUGGAGGCAGCAUGGGGAUUUUCUAGAAGAAUAUAUGGUCGCUCGCCAAAGGUUUAAGAAACCAGUACAAGGGCUGAAUAUGCUCGCUUCCCCUGAAGAGGUAACAAUUGAAGAAAGUUGCGUACGUCUUGUUUUGUUUCCAGAGAUCAAUUUCUUUCCCAGAAAUCUGCGCUCUCUUCUAAUUAACAACAACACUGCUUUCAAAUCCUUACCCGAGGAAAUGAUGGAAAACAAUUCACAACUCGAAAGGUUGUAUAUCAGAGAUUGCGACUCUCUAACAUUCAUCGCAAGACGGAGGCUACCAGCAUCUCUUAAAAGGCUUGAGAUAGAAAAUUGUGAGAAAUUGCAACGUCUGUUCGAUGAUGAAGAGGAUGCUUCUUCUUCUUCUUCUCCUUCAUCCUCGUCUUCCCCAGUGAUGCUGCAACGCCUGAAUAUAAAGAACUGCCCAGAGCUCACCAGUUUAUCAUCGGGUGUCCAAUUCCUUGAGGCGCUUGAAGGCCUCGAGAUAUGGGAUUGUCCAAAGCUGGAGUCAAUACCGGAUGGCCUGCACAAUCUUAAAUGUUUACAGAGCAUUCAUAUAGAUGGAUGUCCAAGUCUUGUUUCCUUGCCCAAUGACAUGCACAAACUGAACUCUCUUCGAGAUUUAAACAUACGGGCGUGUCCAAUAUCGUUUCCAGAAGAAGGUUGUCCUACCAAUCUAACAUCACUUACACUUGGAUAUGUCGAAAUGUAUAAGACACUCGUCCAGUGGGGGUUGCACAGGCUUACCUCUCUUAGAAGCCUCGACAUUUUUGGAUGUGAUGAUGAAGCAGAGUGUUUUCCAGACGAGGAGAUAGGAAUGACGCUGCCCACCUCUCUCACUCAUCUGCACCUUUUUGAUUUCGAAAAAUUGAGAUCUCUGUCUUCGACGGGUUUUCAGAGCCUCACCUCUCUUCAAUCUUUGGAUAUCUGGUUUUGCCCAAAUCUCACAUCAUUCCCAAAGGUGGGCUUUCCAUCCUCACUUGUGGAAUUACGCAUUAGAGAUUGUCCAAAGCUUAAAAAAGCGUGCAAAAGAGAUCAAGGAAAAGAGUGGCCCAAAAUUGCUCACAUCCCUUGCGUUGAGAUAGACGAUAAAUUCAUAUACCAUCCAAAAUCAGAGGUGUAGAGUGUAUUAUUAAGGUCAGUUGAUUUAUGUUAUCCACCAUAACAAGCUCCUCCUUUUUUUUUAAAUAAUAAUUUUGCAGUCACUCGCGUGAUUCCGUUUUCACAAGUCAGAUUGUAUGUUGAGGCUAUUUGCCUUUUAAUCGCAGAUUAAAUUAUAACACUUAUCUUAAAAUUUAAUACCAUAGACAGAUAGACGAUUUUUUAAUCCAAAGUUUUUUUAUUCACUUCAGUUAGCAUUUUUUUUUUCCCCAAAUCAUGCAAGCCGAGAGUUUCAAUCAACAGAAUUUUAUUCACUCAUUGACUUUUCAACUGCUGUGGUUAUUUAUGGGUGAAAGAUAAAUUUCUUAGAUGGUAGAUAUAUCGACAUUUUAGAUUUCAGAUAUUUGUCACCAAUUUCAUUCCUUUUUUUAAAAUUUUUUUUAAGCAAGUUUGACUAAUUUUAACCAGAAUUGGAGUAUAAUAUUUUGGAGCAAGCAUACUUGAAAUUUCUGUCUUCAAUUUUUUUGAUGCUUUUUUAAUUUUGAUCUAGUAAAAAUACAUAGCCUUCACCGGCAGGAUUCUAGUCUUGGCUUUCACCUCUCUAACUCAUCUGUCCCUAUUGGGAUUCCAGAAAUUUAAAUUUCUGUCUUCAAUGGGUUUUCAAAGCCUCACCUCUCUUCGAUUUUUGUGGAUUGGGAAUUGCACAAAUCUCACAUCAUUUCCCGAGGUCGAGGAAAAGAGCGGCCCAAACUAUCAGCGGUGUUGAUUCUCUUAUUAAGGUCAGCUGAUUUCUAUUAUCCACUCUGACAAUCUCCUAUUAGUGUUUUUUUUUUAAAAAAUUUGCAGUUCUGUAUAAUUGAAAUGCCACUCACUUGUUUCCUUCUUCACAGGUCAGAUAGUAUGUUAAAGCUAUUAGUGCUGCCUCAUAGGUUGAUUACUCACAGAUGAAAUCAUAACUUUUAUCUUAAAAUUUAAUAGCAUACACAGAUAGACGAUUUUUAGUCCAAAGUUUUUUUUAUUCACUUCAAUCAAAAUUUUAGAUUGCAGAUUUUUGUCGAGUAUUUUCAUUCCAAUUUUUUCAUUUUUUAUUUUAAACCAGAAUUGGAGUAUAAAAUUUUGGAGCGCGCAUACUCUGAUGCAUGCAAUUAACUGUUUUUAAUCGUUGGAUUUUGAAAUUAAUGAUGGUAAGAUGUGUACUUAUUCUUUCUUCCAACAACCUUGCCUUCUUUCUUCGGUCGCAUAUCUAAUGAAUAUUUCUCUGUUUAGUUAAGGAUGAAUGCUUGGAGUGGGGUACUUGGUAACAUUUCUGCCUUAGAUGAAUCCUUGAAGAAAUGCCCGCAGUUCCUGAGACCAAAUACAGGUCUGAUUCAAAACAGCACCUUUCCCAGAAAAUAUGAUCCAAGGCAAAGUCAUGUUCUGAUAAUGUUUCCUUAAGUACUAAGUUGCAAGGAAACUUGAUUCAUUAACUACAGUUUUUUAUUUUUAGGACCUUGUAUCUGAAAGGUUCAGUGUUUUUUUUUUUCAAAUUUAUUGUUCAGAUCUCAGAGGAGUAUAUGGUUUAGAUUACAAAACACCCAUGAUUAAUUUCAUUUUUUUUUUAAUUUCAGGGAGAAGAAGUGGUCAGUUUCAAUCCGGAAUUGGAAUAUGGCAAUUUGGUUCAAGCAAACACACCUGGUCACUUGGUCAGUGGUCACUUGGUCAGCGAACCUGAACUUUACGCAGUUUUUUCAACUCAGUGAUUUUUGGAACGCAUAUUGGUGUAAGGAAAUCAAAAGAAAUUUAUGCAUUGUCAAAUUCUGAUAUUUGCUAUAUAUUAUACAUUCUAAAGUUUCUCCAGUUUGUUCUCAGAUUACCAUCAUUUUUUGCUUUCACCAACCAAACAAAAACAAAAUGAGUGGCUUUCCGGUGGAUAUUUAAUCGGAGGUAUGACUGGAUUUUUUUCACUUCUGUAAAUCUUGCAUUUUAAACUGGCAAAUUUAACUUUAAUUUUAAUAGGACUUUGUUGGUACCUUGUGUUCCAGAAACUAGAAAGAUGUGUAGUUUUCAGAUAAAGGGGCUUGUAAAUUCUCUAGUAAGAAUCCAAUAAUUUGCUUUUGCACGUUCAUUUUAUUUGUGGAUCCUUGCAUCUGAAUUUGAUCAAUCCAAAAGGAAUUGCUUUUAGACAGAAGAAGAAUAGCAGUACCUAGCCUAUGACAUAGUAUAUGGACCUGCAAACCUGAAACUAUUAGUUUGAGGUAAAAAAUUCAUGACCCUCACAUGUUAACUUCUUCUAGUUACUUUCAUGAAAAACACAUUUAAGAAAUUUGCAAUUUUUUGUUAGUUUCGUAUCCGAUGUUGUUUUCUGUUUUAGCAUUUGUAGAAUCUACUGUAUUAUAUUUUGGCAGUUGCAGUAUCUGAGGUAUGUUUUGCAUUUAACUUGCUUUGUUUGUUUUGCUUGUGACUUAAGAACACCAAUAUUUGCCAGAGAUUUAGAGAAGCAUAUCAAGAUGCUUGGCAAACUUGACAAACUUCAAGAUCCUCCAUUCUUCACAACGCAAAACUUGUGAGUACACCUAUGCCCGCAAUUAUUGUGAAAUGCUUGCAAUUUUGAUGCACUGAAAUGGUUUGUUGAUGCAAAGGUUUAAACUUUUAAGAUUCACCCUGCAGGGUAGUUGGAUGCUGUAUAAUCGAAAAGCGACCAACAUCAAGAAUUAUGACUCCAAGACCGGGUUUGCAUUAAUUCAAUCAGCUGAAAUCAUGAUGCAAAUGACACUAUCAGCUGGACUUAGAGACCAGUCAGAUCAAUCAUCCUUUUAUCAACAGUUAAUGUCAUGAUGGUGGCUAUCGGAGGAAACAAAGGAUGUGUCGGAAUCAAUAUGAACAGUGAGAAGAAUGAGAGGAGCUUUGAUUACAAGUAGGCUCAAUGAACUCAUGCUGGUAAGUGGUAAUUAAAGAAAUUUGUACGCUUAGUAGAGUUUCAAUAUUUUCUGUUUGGGAUAUAGUUGAUAAUUUGAUACUCUGAUUAAGAAGCCUGAUUAUAGUAGCUGACUUUUUUUUUGUGGUUUGCUGUUGUUUAUUCUUUCGAUUAAUUUCAACAUUAGGUUGAUCUGUUGAAGAACAAACUUGGGUUUGAUUAUGCUUUAACUACAAGGAAGAGCCAGGCUUGGAUGCAGGCGUUCAGCUUUUAAUGGGUAAGAACAUAUGUAUGCUUUAACCAUGUUUCUCACUUAUUACAAUGCAUGCAUUGAAGGCAUCUGAGCUGAUCCUGAAAAUGUGAUGGAAAUACUUCUCUGUUUACAUAAAACAGGACAAGAGAUCUCUGAUCAUGCCUGAGAAUUCGUUGCAUUUAAAAUUUCUACCAUUGCCAAAAAUAGAAUAAACUAGGGAUAGAUUAGCUUAAGACUCAAUUUUGAGAAGGAAGUUUGCACAUGCAGCCUAAAAAAUCAUGUCCGUGUUGUAUACUUGUAUGUUUCUUUGGGAAAUGAAAGAUUCUGUGUGUUCUUUUGUUUCAAGUUUGCUGAAAUCACAUUUGUUUUCUUAGAUGCUUUUGGGAAGGUAACAACAUCAAUUUCAUAAAUGCUGGGGUAAGAUGCAUCACGCAGUGCUACUCAACAUGAGAAUUCCCGGCCGCAUUACCUGUAUGUUGAGUGAUCGCACAGUACAACCUUUAGAAGCUUGUAAGGAGUAGACAACUAGAUGCGAAUAGUUUCAAUAUGGAUUCGCAUCAAAUGAUCUCUUGCCAGUGAUUACUAUAACCCCUAUCCCAAAAUUCUUGGCAUUGGUCAUACCAAUAAUGAAGUAUUGUGUACGUUGAAGACAUAGCUCAAGGCCUUGCGAAAGCUCCGUCAGCCUUUGUAUUGGAAAACAGUUGGUUGUAGUUGCUUCUGAGUGAUAUUAUUAAUAGAUACUGUAAAAAUGAACUGUGCCACUCAUUUUCAGAGCCCUGUUAAGAUGUGUUGGUAAUGUGUUUGAAGGUUGUUUGAUUUAUGUUGUAUUCAGCUACAAAUCAAAGAUUCAGAACAUGGUUAUGUUACUGGUUUCCAAAUCAAAAAAAUGCCUUGUGAUGUUAGUGUUCAUUUUUUUCACAGGAGAUCAGGUUCCCUGUUGAUGAAUCAAGAAGGCAAACGCAUCCAUGUCUUAAGUUCAAAUGUGUCUCUUCUAUUUUCUAUUACUGACUCCUUUAUUUUGAUUUCUUCAUUGUAAUGGAAUUGGUUUUUUAUUCCAAAUUAGUCAAAACCUCCUAGAGUCAUUAAGUUCUGUUAGCAUUUGAAGAUAGAACUAGAACUAAAUGAUUGACUGGAUUAAAUUCCGAUAAAGAAUUAAGUUAUAUAUUUAGAGAUAUUAUGUUUUUUUUUUUUUCAUUUGUUCAAUUUGGUUAGUGGUGAUUUCUUAAAGACUCAAUCCAUGUGCGUUUAUGCAUUUUUCUUUUGCCUUAAUUUCUGUUUCUUGGGGAGUUUAUACAGAUUCUUAUUUUAUGCUUCACAUGCCACAUGAAAGAUCGAAGCCUUUUGUGUGAUUAGAACUGACUUGCAUCACAGUAACUUUAAAUCACUGCGACAUUUUUAUAAUAACAGUCUGAGAUCUCCCUGCAGGAUUCAAAGCAUUUUAUUUUAUAUUAAACUCCUUUACGUGGGUUUGGACACUACCACAAGUUCUUUAAAUACUAAAACGAUUUUAAGUCUUUUGUAUCAUCUGAUUUAAAUACAUGAAAGCACUCGUGGCUGCAAAAAUACAGUUGGGGCUAUUUCUAAAGUCUUCAACAGCAUUUUCUUUUUAACCUUUAUCCUCAUGGUUGUUUUUGCAGUUGUUCUUUAAGAAAACAUUUAAAAGGUUCUCUUUAUGGAUUUUUGAAAAUAAUUUUAACAUGAGCAAUUUUCAGAAGCACUUUAGAUGUCUGGCAUUUAGGAAAUUUUAUUUCGGUGUCACAUAAAAUACUUAGGAAGUUAAAUUUAUUUAUUUAUGAGCAUGUGCCAGUGCCCAGUGGCAUCCUCUUCACUUGUGAUAGUCAAAUGUAUUAUACGAUACAAUAUUAGCUUGACUGUAGCACAGAGGAGAAUAGGGUUGGUGUUGGUCUGAACCAGCUUAUGUAACAGCUGCCAAAGGAUAAUUUAAUUGUACUUUGAGUAAAGCUUUUGCGAAUUAAACAAGUGAUAAUUUGUUUUUAUUAAGAAAAACUUAAGGAAUUAGGCUAUUUUAACUGACCAAAUUACACAUUAAAAAUUCAUUUACAAAAAUAGUUUUUAGUUAUUAAAAUAUUCCUAAAUUAAAUUAUAAUUAUGGACACUAAAAUAUUUUUUUUAUAUUUUACUCUUUGAAACUGUCUUUAUAUUCGAUAUUAUAUUUUUUUCUUAAACUCUAAAUUGAUUUUUUUUUUUGAUUAAUUUUAAAACACCUAUAAAGUGAUUCAUAUUGAUUUUAUACUAACAAACUAUUAUAGCACAUUCGAAAAAUAAUUAAAUCGUUCUUAUUUACAUAGUGAAAAUGCAAAUAGCUCGUUCAAAUGUUAAGGAAUUGGAGAGCUGCUGCUGGAGAUGAAAGAUGUGAAUUAAACAUCAGAAAAAAAAUUAUGUUUACUAUCUUGCCAGACCAAGCACCGAAAAGCAUCGUAAAGAAAAAUUAGAUAAUUUAGAAGAUAAAGCACGUGGAAUGGAGGCAGAAAGCAAGUAAUGAUAACUCUUUCGACAAACUAAUAUAUACCAAAAUGCAAUAUCAAAAAUGAAAAUAAAAAUUCAUUACGAAUACGUGUUAAAGAUAUCCCAAGUAUAGAUGUGACUGAAAUAUUUGAGAUUGAAGAAGAAUUAAGACUCAAAAUCAAUUGGGAGGAAUAAAUGAGAAACCUCAAUACCAAAAAAUACACGCGCAAAUCCUAAUACUAAUUGUAAUUGCAGAUAAAUAGCAUAAUACGAAUAAAUUCCAUGGGCAACUAUUUCAUUGAGAAAUUAAUUAAAUCGUGUAUUAAUAUUUUGUAUACAUAUAUUUUUCUAUAUAUGACUUUCGGUAAUUUAAUUUUCCACUUAUCAUUUUUACUCCAAAAAAAUAAUUGAGAAUAUUAUUUAUGUUUUGGUGCAAAAUAUUUGAACAAUAUACAAAUUUUCAGUUUAAUAAAUCUAAACAUCUAUUAAGUUAUAAAUGAAUUUAAUGGGUUUAAUUAAUAAAAUUACUAUUAUUAUAUAAAUUGGAUUUAGUAAUGGUACAUUGGGUGGGUUUGUUGAGUAAAUUUUAAAAUUUUGAAAUUUAAGGAUGGGUUUAUUUAGUAAAUGAGUUAAGGGAGUAGUUUGUUGGGAUUCACAUAACGCCACCAAAUUCAAAUGUAAAAUUUAUGGAAAAAGAAGCUAUUGAGUUAUUCUUUUUAAAAAAAGAAUUAAAAUGUCAAGAAUACCUUUAUUUAAUUUUAUAAUCUUAUUUUAUAGUCAUAUUUUAUUUCCACCUUAACAUAAUUUUAAAAAACCUUAACUAAUAAAUUCUAUAUUUUUUUUAUAAAAGUUAUCAUUAAUAUCCAAACGGCUAAAGAUUUUUUUUUUUAAAAAAAAAGAAACUAUGCUUACAAAAGUUGUAUACAUUAACAAUAAAUUUAGUCCAAAGAAUAAAGUUAUUCCAAACAAGCACUCCUAUUCAUCUUGCUAAUGAAUCAAGAUGACUGAAUCCAUUCUCUAAGCCAAAUCUAUUUUCACUUCUAGGUCAGAAAUUGUCAUUAAAAAAGUGUUUGAUAAAAUAUGCUCUGGGAACACUAAUUCGUCAGAUGGUUACUCCAAGUUUAUGAAAUCAAUGGGGUUUCAUCAUAUUCAUAACAUUCUUCUUUAAUGUCUAUUCUAACAAAGAAAUUACUAGAAAACUUUUACUAGAAAAACUAACCACAAUUCAUCAUUCAUUUAUAUCUUAAGUAAGCGUAAGAUUUUAUCAUUAAAAUCUCAUCAUGAAAAAACUCAUGGGAGAAAAACUAUAAAAAUUGAAGAAAAAAGAGUAUGGCGUGCAUGUAAAUUAUAUCGAUUUUAUCUAUAUGACAAAUAAGACUCUCUUUUACAAUGGCACGGAUGCUUCAUUGAGUAAUCAUGAUUCUUGCUGGUAGUGCUUUGUUGUAUCAAUCUGCUAGCUAUUCAGCUUUCUUUCUUUCUUUCUUCUUUUUAUUUUUUUUGUUUUCAAAUAGCUUGUGGUUGUAGAAAUAUUUCAAUUAAACUAUACUUAAGUACUUAUUUGGUAUAACUUCUUUACUAGCCAAAAGAUUUUUUUUUUGGUUUUUUAUAAUUUAAUUAUACUUUAACUAGAGUUUUUGGGAUUAAACAAGUGAUAAUUUCUCUCUGUUAAGAAAAACUCAAACGGUAGGGUUAUCUCAAUCCACCAAACUAUUUAUUAAAAAUCCACUUAUGAAAAUAAUUUUUAAUUAUUAGAAUGCCUCUAAAUUAAAUUACAAUUAUAGACACUAAAAUAUAGUAAAAAAAAUUUUUUUUUACUCUUUAAAACUGUCUUUACAUUCGAUAUCAUAUCUUUUUCUUAAAAUCUAAAUUGAUUUUUUUUUUAUUAAUCUCAGAACACAUAUGAAGUGAUUCAUAUUGGUUUUAUACUAACAAACUAUCAUAGCACAUUCGAAAAUAAUUAACUCGUUCUUAUUUGCAUAGUGAAAAGGCAAAUAGUUCAUCCAAAUGUUAAAGAAUUGGAGAGCUGCUGCUGGAGAUGAAAGAUGUGAAAAGCAUGGUAAAGAAAAAUUACAUAAUUCUCACUUAGAUGAGGAAGAAAAAAAAAAGAAUACAAUUAGAAUGAGAGGUAGCCAAUAGCCACUAGCCGCCGCCACCGCCACCAGUGAAACUAUUUCACAUAAUAGAAGAUAAAGCACGCGUAAUGGAGGCAAAAAGCAAUUAAUGAUAACUCUUUUCGACACACUAAUACAUAUCAAAAUGCAAUAUCGGUCCUAACAAAAUGAAAAUAAAAAUUCAUUACGAAUAUGCGUUAAACAUAUCCCAAGUAUUGAUGAUGUGAUUGAAAUAUUUGAGAUUGAAGUAUAAAUAAGACUCAAAAUUAAUUGAGAGGAAUAAAUGAGAAACUCUAAUACUAAUAAAAUACAUUCACAAAUCCUAAUGCUAAUUAAAAUCACGGAUUAAAAAAAAUAAUAUGAAUGAAUUACAGGCGCAACUGUUUCAUUAAGAAAUUAAUUAAAUCGUGUAUUAAUAUUUUGUACACAUACAUUUUUCCAUAUAUAACUUUUGGUAAUUUAGUUUUCCACUUAUCAUUUUACUCCAAAAAAAUAAUUGAGAAUAUUAUUUAUGUUUUGGUGCAAAAUAUUUAAACAACGUAUAAAUUUUCAGUUUAAUAAAUCUAAACAUUUCUCAAGUUGUAAAUGAAUUUAAUGGGUUUAGUUAGUAAAAAUGCUAUUAUUAUAUAAAUUGGGUUUAGUAAUGGUAUAUUGGGCAUUUAAAUGGGUUUGUUGAGUAAAUUUUAAAAUUUUAAAAUUUAAGGGUGGGUUUAUUUUAGUAAAUGGGUUAAGGCAGCAAUUUCCCAAACUAAAAUUUUUAGAAAAAGAGGCUAUUUAGUUUUUUUUUUUAAAAAGAAUUAAGAUGUUGAGAAUACCUUUAUUUACUUUUAUAAUCUUAUUUUAAAAAAUUUACCCAAUAAAUUUUAUAAUUUUUUACAAAAAUUAUCAUUAACAUCCAAACAGCUAAAGAUUAAAAAAAAAAAAAAAGAAGGGAACUGUACUAGCAAAAGUUAGAUUAACAAUAAAUUUAGUCCAAAGAAUAAAGUUAUAGCUAAAAAGUGCUCCUAUCCUAUUUUUCUCUAUUUUAACAAUAAUCUUCCAAUCCAUUUUACAAUGGACUUAACAAAUGGGCUCAAUCUCUAAACUUCAUUUUCUUUUGCUAACCCAUGGCCAUUAGCCAGAAAGCCUAAAACAAUUUUAGGAUCACAUGUGUAAAUGGAACUCCAAGAUUGAUCAAGAAUUAACAAGACAAGAUGAAGAGAUGAUCUUGUAACUAAGAAUGAAGAAAUUGAAUCAAGACAGUACUCUAGUAAAACCCAGAAAACAGAGCUUGAAGAAUCACGCACAAAGCAGUAAAUUUGUAAAACCAGAAUUGGAGCUUCACUUCUCAAGAUAGACGAAACAGGAUACAAUCUAGCUUUGGUCAACUUCGUUUGGCCACGUCAUAAAGUCUUCCCCCACAGUCUUUCCCGCCAAAACAGAAAAGCUUUAAAAGCCAUUUACCCUCCUGAGUUACUUGCUCCUAUUACAUCAAGGCCCUGUAAGUCUAUAUUUAUUAUUACAAAAGCACCCUUAAACCGAGAUUUGAGAUAUUUUUUCAAAGAUCGAAGCGCAUGAUUUCACGGCUAUGUUGCAUAGUGAAUUUUAGUGCUUUACAGUUAAGGGAUAGUUUAAAUUCAUUACAAAGCAUUCGCAAAGAAAUUGUUUUUAAAUGAAACUCCUCGUCUUGACCAGAUUAUUUAUUAUUAUUAAAAAAAAAUGUUCAAAACUUAGCCAAAGUGAUAAACUCGUAAUUAUUCUACAAAGGGAACAAUUUUGAACGGUGGGAAAUUCCAUAAUUAUGCUUUUCUGUGAAUUAUUUUAAAUAAAAUUAUAAAAAUUAAUAUAAAAUUAUAAUAAUGAUAGAGCCACAAAUUCUUGUACAAAUUUAUUUUAUACAAACUCAUGUGGCAUGAUAAGAUUGGUUGAAUUAAAUAUUACUUGGCCCACAUGAUUUGUUUUUAUUAUUUUAUAUUUUUAUUCAACCAAUAAAUUAAUACCACGUCAGUUUGUACAAAAUAAAUUUAUACAAAAAUUUGUGACUCGAUCAUCACUCAUAAAAUUAAUACCCGGUAAAGACUGUAGAGAGACAAGUGCCCCCAACAGAAUCAAGUGAAUAUGCCCCACAAAGAUCACAUGAUCAUUUCUGUUCUUUUUCUUUUUGAUAAUUUUAUCUGUGGUUUCAACUUUUAUGCUUUAUUGUCGUAUCCCGUUGAGGGCUCCGCUGCACCCAUUACAACUUACCCCUAAAUUGCCUCUUACUAACUAAACCGUUAGAUUUUAUGGAAGCACGUUCAAUGUUGAAUUUUAAUUAUGUCAUCGAAUUUCGUUUAGCUCCUUAAACUCCAUUUUAUUUGUAAUUUCUUCAUAAAAUAUUCAAAGCUUCAUCAAGCUCCUGAUGGACCAUCAUGGCUAGGGGUGCAUUAGAGCCGAACUGAAAUAUGUUAGUUCAGUUCAGUUUGGUCAGUUUAAAUCGAAUGGUUUAGAAUAUAUAAACUGAUCAAUUUUAAUUUUGAAUUGAACCGAACCGAAAAUCAAUUGGUUCACUAUUAGUAUUUUUGUAUAAACAAGAAUGAUUAGUGAUUAUAAUUAAAUUGGACUAAAAAAAAUUCAAACUAAGGUGAAAAAUAUCAAAUCUUAGACAAUAUAAAAAAAAAUAUUAAAUUUUUUUAACCGAAACGAACCGAAUUAUUUUGACUCAGUUUGGUUCAUAAUUUUUUAAACCAAACUGAUUUAUUCCCACCCCCUAAUCGUGGCUCUCUAUCUUUAGUCAUUCACCCUUGAGUUUGAUGCCAAUUGUUGGGUUUCAAAUGAUUAUACACUCAAAUGGAACCCUCAUAACAAAAAACUAACAGAAACAAUAAGAACACGAUGUUAAAAUCUUAAAUCAAUCGCAACGGUCCUUUUUUUUCCCCAUUCUUGAACCUAAAGUAUUUGAGUAUGCAAAUUAAUAAAUAAAUUCAUUUAUUUUUAUUAAAAUUUUGUAAAAUUAUAAUUUUUAAUAAAAAUAAUUAUUAAAAUUUUGUAAAAUCUAAAUUUAGAAAAAUUCAGUUGGGCACCUCUAUUUGAGAUUUAUUUUUUAUUAAAUUUAGGGAUAUUUUUAUAAUUAUAAUUUUUAAUUUUAAAAGUUUUUAUAAGAUAAAAUAGUCUUUUAAUUUAUUUAGGGGUAAAAUUGAUGUUUUAUUAAAAUUAUUUAAUUGUGUUAAUGCAAAAGUGACUAUUUGAUACAAAUGUGAAAAGAAAGGUGGUGCAAAAUAUAUGUUAAAAUUUUAUAUUGGUUGGAUGAACAUAAGCUAAAAUAAAGGUGGUGCAAUGAUAAUUUCCCUAUCCUAAAACUUAAUUGACUUAAUUCUUAUGGUGCAAGGAAGAGGUUUCCAAGUUUAAAUCUAAAGGCUUGUAUUUAAUUUGGGGUUGGGAAAGCACUGAGAAAUAAAUGUAACUAAGGAAAAAAAAAAAGUCAUGCAGUCCAAAUAAGUAGACAUAUUUAAUAUGAGGUGGGGAUGGGUGAACUGUAAUUCAGAAAAAAUAAAAUAAAAUUUCAUAUAAAGUUGAGGGUGUGUUUUAAUGGUUUCUUAUGCUGCGUUUACUUUUUGGACUAGAGUGAGAAUUCUGAGAAGUGGGAAUCCUGUGAUUAGGUGUGUGGAGUGGGAAUGAGAGUAGGGUAUUUACUUAGACUAAAUAAAAAUAUGGAUUGUCAAUCAGAAUCUCAAUUAUUUGUUACUUUGUCUUGGAUUGAGAGUAAAUUAUUUUAAAUUACAAUUUUAUCCUUAUGUAAAGAAUUAUAAUUUGUAAUUAAAAAAUUAAUAAAAAUAUAUUGGAAAAUAAAAUAAAUAUUUUAUUAUAUUUAUAAAAUAAUAAUAAUUAAUAAAAUUCUUAAUUAUGUAAAUCAUAAUUUUUUAUUAAUUUAAAUUUAAAUUAUGUGAAUAAAAAUUAUUAAUAAUAGCAACACAAAUGAAACAUUAUUAUUGAUAAUAUAGUAUAAAAUUAAUAUUUUUUUAGAAUAAAAUAUUUAUUAUUAUUAAAUAAAUAAAUAAUAUUUAUUAAAAUUAAUGUUUAAUAUUAUUAAUUUAAAUAUAAUAUUUAUUUAUUUUUAUUUUAUUUUAUUAAAUUUAAUAAAAUAAAUAUGUUAUAAUUAUUAUUUUUAAUAAAUAUGACAUUAUUUAUUUUAUUAAAUAUUAUUUAUUUAUUUUAAUUAUGAGGGUAAAAAUAAAAGAGGGGGAGUGGAUUCCCACUCCCACCUCCCCCCAUGGGAGUGGGAAUCCCACUCUCCCCUUAAAAAUGAUAAGUAAACACUAGAAUGGGAAGAAUCCACACUCUACACUUUCUAAAAAAUAAACACUACCUUAAUUUAAAUUGAUUUGUUGGAUAUUUAGCUAAAAUGAGAGUAGCUCUCUAAUAAUUAUUGCAUUAUUACAAACAUAUCCAACGGUUAUAUAUGCUUGCCUGUGGAAAUAAAAGUCCCAAGUUUCUUUGAAAGGUAAGCUAGUGUGAAUGUUUUCAUCCGUGCAACUUACUUGAUGAAUGAAGUUUUCAUCCCUGACCUUGAUGUUUCUGGUGGCUACAAUCAUUUCAGCUGAUCUAUUCCAUUUUGUUAAGGUGAGAAUUUAGAGUGGCUUUAACUGUUAGCAAAUAGCCUAAUGUAAGACUUGAUCAACUUCCUGCCCUGUUGUAUGCUUAUGAAUUUUGAUAGAGUUAUGAGUUUGCAGAAGCUACUGUAUUAUAUGUUGUUAGAGGCUGUAAAAAUGAGGCAGAUCAAACACACAUUUAAAUUUCAAUGACAAUUUACUAGAAGUAAAUUUCCUAUGACCCUCCAGGUGACUAAUCAAUGAGAACUUGACAAUAACAAAAGAAAGUGUAUGAGCUUUGCAGGCGGGCACGCCAAUCUUGACUGCAUGGCACCAUCCGCCAUUUGCAAGUGAAUAUCAUUAUUGUUUAAUCAACAUGGUGGAGUCCACUGGGACCACACCACAUGGUCAGUCUUAUCUCUAUUCCUCAAUUUUCAGUAUUCCAUACAUCAAAACAAUUUCAGUUUUGUUAUCAAUUAUAAUUUCAUUGUUGGAGACGAUUCUGAUUCCUUUCUUUCUGACAAAACGGAACCAUGGUUGCUGUGGGAGAGAUCUUACUCAACGCCUUCUUUCAGGUGUUGUUUGACAGGUUGGCUUCCCGUGAUUUGCUCAGCUUUGUCCGUCAACUUGGAGGCGGGGUCGAUUCCGAGCUCAAGAAGUGGGAAAGAAAGCUGAAGAUGAUUCAGGCGGUGCUCAACGAUGCAGAGGAGAAGCAACAGACUGACGAGGCUGUGAAGAUGUGGCUGGACGAUCUCCAAGACUUGGCUUAUGACACUGAGGACAUUCUUGAUGAGUUUGCUACUCAAGCCUUGGAAAGCAAGUUGAUGGCGCAAAAUCACGAUAGUUCUGGCCAGGUUCUCAGUUUCAUCCCGGCUGGUUUGAAUCCGAAUGCUAUUAUGUUCAAUUAUAGCAUGGGGUCCAAGAUUAAAGAUAUCACUAGCCGGCUGGAGCAACUCUGCCAAGAAAGAAUUGAACUUGGACUGCAACGGAUUACCGGAGAGGCAUCAUCAACUGCUGCUGCUGCUGCACACCAGAGGCCACCCAGUUCGAGUGUCCCAACAGAACGUGAAGUAUUUGGAAGAGAAGAAGAUAAGGCCAAAAUUCUUGAUAUGGUAUUGGCCGAUACCCCAAGUGAUCAUGCAAACUUUGUUGUAAUACCCAUUGUUGGCAUGGGCGGGAUAGGAAAAACAACUCUUGCCCGGGAAGUCUACAAUGACAAGGCCGUUGAAGAUUCCAAGUUUGAUGUAAAAGCAUGGGUUUGCGUAUCUGACGUCUUUGAUGUUUUGGGCAUCUCAAAGGCACUUCUCGAGUCAAUCACCCGCAGGCCUUGUCUUCUAAACAGUUUAAAUGACGUGCAGGUUGAGCUGAAAGCAGCUGUGGAUAAAAAAAGGUUCCUGCUGGUCUUAGAUGAUGUUUGGAACGAGGACUACAGCUUAUGGGUAGACUUAAAAGCUCCGUUACUGGUUGCUGCACCAAACAGCAAGAUGAUCGUCACCACACGCAAUUCAAGUGUUGCAUCAACAAUGAGACCCAUCGAUCGUCACCACACGCAAUUCAAGUAUUACGAUCUCAAGAGUCUGUUAGAUGAUGAUUGCUGGUCCAUUUUCAUAAACCAUGCAUUUGAAUCUACAGACCUUAGCGCACAUCGAAUUUCAGAAUCAUUCCGCGAGAAAGUUGUUGGCAAGUGUGGGGGCUUGCCUCUAGCAGCAAAAACACUCGGGGGCCUUCUUCGUACUAAAACGCAUGCUGAGUGGGACGGUAUAUUGGAUAGCAAAAUAUGGGAUUUACCUCGGCAAAGCAGCAUUCUCCCCGUGUUAAGAUUGAGUUACCAUCAUCUUCCUUCUCAUUUGAAAAGAUGUUUUGCUUUUUGUGCCAUCUUUCCAAAAGAUUAUGCAUUCACUGAGAGGGAGCUGACUUUCUUAUGGAUGGCUGGAGGUAUUAUUCGACAGUCAAGAAACAAUGAGCAGCUGGAAGAUUUGGGCAGCAAGUGCUUUGGUGAUCUAGUGUCGAGGUCAAUUUUUCAACAAACAGCAAUCUCUGAUAGUUCUAAAUUUGUAAUGCACGACCUUAUCCAUGAUCUUGCUCAAUUGGUCUCUGGAGAAACCAUAUUUAGGUUAGAGGAGGCCAAUACUCUGUCAAGAAGAUUUGAAAGGGUUCGCCAUUCCUCCUAUGCCCGUGAUUGGUGUGAUGGUAGAAAUAAGUUGGAGGUUUUCAAUGAAAUUGAACAUCUACGAACAUUCUUGCCAUUUUGCAUAAGAGGUGGCGUUACUUCUGGUUGGAUAACUAGCACGGUUCACUACGAUUUGUUGCCGAAGUUCAAAAGGUUGAGGAUGCUGUCUUUAGAAGGAUACCAUAUUGGUGAGUUACCAAUUCCAUUUGAAGAUUUGAGACUUUUAAGGUUCCUCAACCUUGCUGACACUGACAUAAGAAGUUUACCUGAGUCAACAUGCAAAUUGUUGAACUUGGAAAUUCUGAUAUUAAGAAAUUGUUCCCGUUUGACAAAGCUUCCCCAGAAAAUGAGGAAUUUGAUCAAUUUACGUCAUCUGGAUAUAAGAGGUGCAAAGCAGCUGAAGGAGAUGCCAUUUGGAAUGAAAGAGUUGAAGAAGCUUCAAACGUUGUCCAAUUUUAUUGUAGGCAAGGGUGAAUCUGCAUCUGGUUUGGAAGAUUUAAAAAGUUUAGACCUUCUAUGUGAUGAACUCUGCAUUGCUGGAUUAGAGAAUGUGAAUAGUCCACAGAAUGCAAGAGAAGCCACAUUAUGUGAGAAGCACAAUCUUGAAGCAUUGACCCUAGAAUGGGGGUCUCAAUCUGACAGUCCUCGGGAUGCAGUACUAGAAGAGAAGGUACUUGACACUCUACAGCCUCAUGAACGUAUAAAAGAGCUGGCAAUCAGGAACUAUGGUGGUGCAAGAUUUCCACCUUGGAUCAGAGAUCCUUCGUUUCCCGAGAUGAAGGUCCUUAAAUUGGAGAACUGUGACGAUUGUGAAUAUCUGCCAUCACUUGGCCUGUUGAGUUCACUUAAGCACCUUGCUGUUAAAGGGCUGAAGAAACUAAAAAGCAUAGGGUCUGAGGUUUAUGGGGAGGGUUUGUCAAUGCCUUUUCCAUCAUUGGAGGUUCUAAGUUUUGAGAAUUUGCCUGAAUGGGAGUAUUGGGACACCAAUAUCAGAGGAAAUGUGCUCGUUGAAAUGUUUCCUCGUCUCCAUAAACUUUCCAUUGUGGAAUGUCCCAAACUCUCUGGGGAACUGCCUGAGCUCCUGCCCUCCUUGGAGACACUUGUUGUUAGUAAAUGUGAAAAGUUGGUAGUUCCAUUGUCUCGCUAUCCGAUGCUCUGCAGAUUAGAAGUUGAUGAGUGCAAGGAACUAGCAUGCGGGACUCCAAUUGAUUUUAAGUUGAUAGAGUCUGUGACUAUUUCAAAUAGUUCCUUAGACAUGAAUGGAUGCAAGGGGAUGCUAUACGAUGGUCCAGCUGGCUCUUCACUGCCAAAGCCUAUGAUUACUACAAAUGUUUCGGAGUUUGGAAAAUUAUUGAAGCCUGGAUGUCAAAUAUUAGAAACUUUAGUAAUUGGCAAUUCUGGACGGCUCAAGUCAUGGAGGCAGCAUGGGGAUUUUCUAGAAGAAUAUAUGGUCGCUCACCAAAGGUUUAAGAAACCAGUACAAGGGCUAAAUAUGCUCGCUUCCCCUGAAGAGGUAACAAUUGAAGAAAGUUGUGUGAGUUUUGUUUUGUUUCCAGAGAUCAAUUUCUUUCCCAGAAAUCUGCGCUCUCUUCUAAUUUGCAACAGCACUGCUUUGAAAUCCUUACCCGAGGAAAUGAUGGAAAACAAUUCACAACUGGAAAGGUUGUAUAUCAGAGAUUGCGACUCUCUAACAUUCAUCGCAAGACAGAGGCUACCAGCAUCUGUUAAAAGGCUUGAGAUAGAAAAUUGUGAGAAAUUGCAACGUCUGUUCGAUGAUGAAGAGGAUGCUUCUUCUUCUUCUUCUUCUCCUUCAUCCUCGUCUUCCCCAGUGAUGCUGCAACACCUGAUAAUAGGGAAAUGCCCAAAGCUCACCAGUUUAUUAUCGGGUGUCCAAUUCCUUGAGGCGCUUGAAUUCCUCAAGAUAGAGCAUUGUCCAAAGCUGGAGUCAAUACCGGAUGGCCUGCCCAAUCUUAAAUGUUUACAGAGCAUUUAUUUACUCAAUUGUCCAAGUCUUGUUUCCUUCCCAGAAAGAGGGCUUCCCCACACCAUUUCAUUUGUUUGCAUUUGCGGAUGUGACAAGCUUGAAGCCCUGCCCAAUGACAUGCACAAACUCAACUCUCUUCGACAUUUAAGCAUACAGCUCUGUCCAAAUCUUGUAUCGUUUCCAGAAGAAGGUUUUCCUACCAAUCUAACAUCACUUACAAUUGGAGAUUUCAAAAUGUAUAAGAUACUCGUCCAGUGGGGGUUGCACAGGUUUACCUCUCUUAGACGCCUCUAUAUCGUUGAUUGUGAUGACGAAGCAGAGUAUUUUCCAGACGAGGAUAUAGGAAUGACGCUGCCCACCUCUCUCACUCAACUGGAACUUUCGGGAUUCAAAAAAUUGAUAUCUCUGUCUUCGACGGGUUUUCAGAGCCUCACCUCUCUUCAAAGAUUGCGGAUCUGGGAUUGCCCAAAUCUCACAUCAUUUCCAGAGGUGGGCCUUCCAUCCUCACUUUUGGAAUUACACAUUUACAAAUGUCCAAAGCUUAAAAAAGCGUGCAAAAGAGAUCAAGGAAAAGAGUGGCCCAAAAUUGCUGACAUCCCUUGCGUUGAGAUAGACAAUAAAUUCAUAUACGAUCCAGAAUAAGAGGAGUAGAUUCUACUAUUAAGGUCAGUUGAUUUGUAUUAUCCGCUAUAACAAGCUCCUCCUUUUUUUUUUUUAAAUAAUAAUUUUGCAGUCACUCACGUGAUUCCGUUUUCACAAGUCAGAUUGUAUGUUGAGGCUAUUUGCCUUUUAGUCGCAGAUUAAAUUAUAACACUUAUCUUAAAAUUUAAUACCAUAGACAGAUAGACGAUUUUUUAAUCCAAAGUUUUUUUUAUUCACUUCAGUUAGCAUUUUUUUUUUUCCCCAAAUCAUGCAAGCCGAGAGUUUCAAUCAAGAAUUGGAGCAUGGGAAUGGAAUUUUUGUGAAAACAUAAUGGAUGAACGAACAUUUCAUCUGUGAUCUCAAAGUCAACAGAAUUUUAUUCACUCAAUGACUUUUCAACUGCUGUGGUUAUUUAUGGGUGAAAGAAAGAUAAGGGCAAUUACAAAAAAUUUGCAAAAUUUGUCAAUUUCUUAGAUGGUAGAUAUAUCGACAUUUUAGAUUUCAGAUAUUUGUCACCAAUUUCAUUCCUUUUUUUUUAUUUUUUCAAGCAAGUUUGACUAAUUUUAACCAGAAUUGGAGUAUAAUAUUUUGGAGCAAGCAUACUUGAAAUUUCUGUCUUCAAUAUUUUGAUGCUUUUUUAAUUUUGGAUCUAGUAAAAAUACAUAGCCUUCACCGGCAGGAUUCUAGUCUUGGCUUUCACCUCUCUAACUCAUCCGGCCCCAUUGGGAUUCCAGAAAUUGAAAUUUCUGUCUUCAAGGGGUUUUCAAAGCCUCGCCUCCCUUCGAUUUUUGUGGAUCGGGAAUUGCACAAAUCUUACAUCAUUUCCCGAGGUCGAGGAAAAGAGCGGCCCAAACUUGCUCGCAUCCCUUGGGUUAUGAUAGAUGGAAAAUUCAUAUACGAUCCAGAGUCAGAGGUGUUGAUUCUCUUAUUAAGGUCAGCUGAUUUCUAUUAUCCACUCUGACAAUCUCCUAUUAGUGUUUUUCCCUUUUUUUUUUUCAAAAUUUUGCAGUUCCGUAUAAUUGAAAAUGCCACUCACUUGUUUCCUAUUAGUAUGUUGAGGCUAUUUGCUUUCUAUCGGUGUUUGUUAAGGUAAUUACUCACAGAUGAAAUUAUAACUUUUAUCUUAAAAUUUAUUGCCAUUGACAGAUGGACGAUUUUUAGUCCAAAGUUUUGUUAUUAACUUCAAUCAAAAUUUUAGAUUGCAGAUUUUUGUCAAUUAUUUCAUUUUUUAUUUUUAUUUUAAAGCAGAAUUGGAGUAUAACAUUUGGAGCGCGCAUACUCUGAUGCAUGCAAUUAACUGUUUUUAAUCGUUGGAUUUUGAAAUUAAUGAUGGUAAGAUGUGUACUUAUUUUUUCUUCCGGACAACCUUGCCUUCUUUCUUCGGUAGCAUAUCUAAUGAAUAUUUCUCUGUUUAGUUAAGGAUGAAUGCUUGGAGUGGUCUGAUUCACAACAACACCUCUUCCAGAAAAUAUGAUACAAGGCAAAGCCAUGUUCUGAAGCAGAAAUGAUACAGCAGUUGCGGUACCCGAGGUACCUUUUGCAUUUAACUUGCCUUUAUUUGUUUUGCUUGUGACUUAAGAACACAUCAUUUCCCAGAGAUUUGGAGAAGCAUCUCAAGAUGCUUAACAAACUUGACAAGCUUCAAGAUGCACUUGCUCCCAAGCAUUGAUUCUUCACAAUGGAAAACCUGUGAGUACACUUAUGCCCGCAAUUAUUGUUAAGUGUUUGCAAUUUUGAUGCAGCGAAAUGGUUUGUGGAUGCAAAGCUUUAAAACUGUUAAGAACUACCCUGCAGGCUUGUUGGAUGUUGUAUACUUCAAAAGCCACCAACACCAAGAACUACAACAGCAAGACUAGGUUUGCGUUGCUUCAAUCAGCUGAAAUAAUGAUGCAAAUGACACUAUCAAGCUGGACUUAGAGACUUGUCAGGUCAAUCAUCCAUUUCAUCAACAGUUAAUGUCAUGAUGGUGGCUAUCAGAGGAAACAAAAGAUCUGUUGGAAUCAAUUCAAACAGUGAGAAGCAUGAGAGGAGCAUUGAUUAUAAAUAGGCUCAAUGAGCUCAUGCUGGUAAGUGGUAAUUAAGAAAUUUGUGAGCUUAGUAUAGUUUCAAUUUUUUUCUGUUUGGGAUAUAGUUGAUAAGUUGAUACUCUGAUUAAGAAGCCUGAUUAUAGUAGCUGACUGUGCUAACUGCGUUCUUUUAUUUUUUAUUUUUUUGGUUUGCCGUCGUUUUUUCUUUUGAUUAUUUGUUCAACAUUAGAUUGAUCUGUUGAAGACUACGAGGAAGAUCCAGACUUGGAUGCAGGCGUGCAGCUCGUAAUAGGUGAGAACAAAUGAAUGCUUUAACCAUGUUUCUCACUUAUGACAAUGCACGGAUCAAAGGCAUCUGAGUUGAUCCUGAAAAUGUGAUGGAAAUAGGUCUCUGUUUUCAUAAAACAGAACAAAUAGAGAUCUCUGAUCACGCCUGAGAAUUCAUUGCAUUGAAAUUUCUACCAUUGGCAAACAUAGAAUAAACUGGGGAUACAUUAGCUUUAGACUCUAUUUUGAGGAGGAAGUUUGUACUUGCAGCCUAUAAAAUCAUAUCCCUGUUGUAUGUUUCUUUGGGAAAUGAAAGAUUCUGUGUGUUCUUUUAUUUCAAGUUUGCUGAAAUCACAUUUGUUUUCUAAGAUGCUUUACAGAAGGUACCAACAUCAUUUUCAAAAAUGCUGGGGUAAGAUACAUCGUGCAGUGCUCCUCAACAUGAGAAUUCCUGGCCGCAUUACCCAUAUGUGGAAUGAUCUGAGAGUACAACCGUGAGAAUGUUGUAAGGAGUACACAACCAGAUGUGAGUAGUUUGAAAAUGAAUUCGCAUGGAAUGAUUUCUUGCCAGUGCAGAAAUGGCUUGGUUCAAAAUAUGCUCAGCUUCAUUGACACUCUUCGGUAGGCCUCUCCGUCCUUCCAUUCUUAACUACAAUACUACUCUUGUCUGUCUAGUUAUGGAAUCUCUCUUUUAAUCCUCAAAGUUUGAAUUAUAUUAUAUUGCCUCUGUGUUACCGCAGAAACUGAGUCAGUUGGUGAUCCUUCAAAACAAGAAAAACCAAAAACAGAUACAGCGCGCGAUAAGAUAAUGAGACAGAUGGCUCCCGUUGCUGCAUGCCACUUGCUUGUGUGCGUAUUGGGACCAUCAUCAACAACAUUGACGUAAACCCAGCUCAAGGUGGGAAGCUAGUUCGAGCUGCAGGGACGUUAACCAAGAUUUUGAGAAAGAACCCACUUCAAGGUGUUGCUUAGUUAGGCUACGUUGUGGAAAUGAGAAAGUGAUUGACCCUAGAUGUCGCGCCACCAUUGGUACAGUGUCUAACCCCAGCCAUGGAGCUAAAAAGCUUAGUAAGGCAGGUCAGAGAAGUUGGUUGGGUCGAAGAGCUGUGGUUAGAGGAGUAGCCAUGAUUCCAGUUGAUCACCCUCAUGUUGAACAAAGCAAAAGUAGCGGUAACAAUGGAAGGUGUUCACUCACACCUUGGGGCAAGCCUUGUAAGUCUGGGAAUUAAACUGCAUCUCCUAAGAAGAAAGAGAAAUCAGCUGUCUGAUAAUAUUGUCCUUUUCUGCUAUUUGGUCUUUUUAACAUUGUUACACUGUUUUUACAUCUUUGAGGUUAGUUUUAGACCAAUUUUUAACUGAUCCAUAAUGAAACUGAAGUUUAAUUUUUGAUUAAACUUUCACUGGUUUUACUCUUCUGUCACUUCAAUUUAGCAUUGAUUUAAGAUACUGAAUUCUGUGCUUGGAGCUUGUAAAUUGGAAAGAGAUAUUUUGGGAUAGAAUGUAGAUUUUGUGUUUUGCUUUCUCAAGCUAGUUGUGACUUCUUAAAAGAGUCAAUCCAUGUCUUUAUAUAUUUUUCUUUUGUCUUGAUUCUGUUUCUUCAUACAGAUUCUUAUUUUAUGCUUCACAUACCACAUGAAAGAUGAAAGCCUUUUCUGUGAUUAGAAUUGACUUGCAUUAUAGUAACUUUAAACCACUUGGAUAUUUUUAUAAUAGCAGUCUGAGAUCUCCUUAAAGGAUUCAAAAGCAUCCACUGGCAUCCACUUUACUCGUAUCGGUCAAAAGUUUUGUGCAAUACAAUAUUAGCUUGACUGUAGCGCAGAGGAGAACAGGUUGGUGUUGGUCUGAAUUCUGAUAUUUGAAUAAAUAUAACAGCUCAUGUGACUCCACCACUUUUUACUUGUUCUGUAGUCUGUACCUACCUCCAUUGUCGGCACUGCCCAUACAAGGUCUUUUAGCUUUUUAAAAAGUUUCAUGAUAUUCCAUAGUUCACAUGGAUUUCUACAGUUUGUAGAAAACCUAAUUAGGGCACAUUUAAUUACUAUGCAGAAGAUUCUUUUAUCUUGCUCACCAAUAAUUCUUUGUACUUAUUUGAAAGAUGUGUUUCAAAAAAAUAAAAAAAAACUAUUUGAAAGAUGAGAAAUCCCUUAGCCGAACGACAAACUCAUCUAUCAGUCCUAUCAAAAAAAAAAAAACUCAUGUUUUAGUGGUUUUUUUUUUUCACUUGUAUUCAGUCGCACAAGUGAAGAUUGUGGGCAAUUUUUUCCUUGAGUAAAAUUGGAAUAGAUGUUUUUAUUGACACAAAUUUUUGAGCUAUGUUUGGGAAACCCUUAGACUUAAGACUUUGUUACGAUGAUAUGUAUCUAAGCUUUCAACAGACCGUUGAGGUCUUAUUAUCAAAAUACUAGAAAUUUACAAUUCAAUUUUGGUAAGGACCAAUUUAAUAAUGCUGUAAUUUUUAAAAUAAUUACCGUUAACUGUGUUGUAAAAAUAAUCAAUUAUGAAGAAAAUUAAUUAAACAUUUAGUAAACUUUAUUUUUACAAGUGCUUUGAAUUUUAAAAAUAGUCAUAUGUGUUCAGAAAAUCUCACUUCUAAAAUAGUAUAAGAAUGGAAAAAACUUAAAAAGACAAAUGUAUAAUAUUUAUUUACACAUGCAUUUAUAAAUAUGUGUAUAUAAUAACAUUUUAUGUGUACAUAUAAUAAUUGAUAACUAAAAUAAAUAUUUUUAUUUAUUAAUUAUUUUUUUGUCUCAAUGUAAUUGGUAAUACUUUUUUUUAAUCUUCUCAUCCUAAGUUUUUUUAUUGUUUUGUACAAAAUUCAAGGUUUGGACUUUUAUAAAAUGUCCACUCAAAAAUAAAUUGUUUUCUAACUAAGAUUUGUUGCUAAUGUAUAACUCAAAGUAAUACUAGCUAUUUGUAAUUUUAUUUCAAAAUUUUUAUUCAAAUGAUAUGGUAACUAAUGUACAUUAGUUGAUAGCAAUUUUUUUUUUUUUACAAUAUUCAAAUCAAUCAAUUGCAUCAUCUCAACAUUUUUAUGAUGUCGUGUUAUUUUAAACGAAUUUUUUAUUUUUAUAUAAAAUUUAUUAUGUUUAACAUCAUUUGCAUAACUUGACCUUUUUUUUUUCCUACAAAUAUUAAGUCAAAUUUACUCACCCUAUAUUUCUAUCUAAAAUCUACCUAAAACUCAUGCAUCACUGUAAAACAAAUCCAAAGAUUGCGGUACGUUUUUCUUGGUAACAAAUCAAUAAUUAGGUCAAGUACUACUACUAAGCGUGCUCAAUUAAUUCUAAAAUACUACGGUGAUCAAAAUCAUACUUGACGCAAGAGGAUAAGGGCUAAACCUCAAUUAGGCAUUAUUCAUCCAAAAUUCGUUGACCCGGCAUUCUUUGCAAGUUGUAGCACGGGACAGCUAAGAUUAGCAAAUGCUGUGGACCAUAUGCCCCCAUACAUUUGUGACAUGUGAAACUUGGCAUUAAAGGAAAGGCAACGUGUUAAAAUUUAAUAGCGCCCAAUUCUUCAUUGAAUGAUUAUCAGAUCCAAUGAGCAUCCUUUGAUUGGAUUAUUUUAAGUCAAUUAUUGGUGGAUUGGGGCCCACUUGACUCUACCAAAUCGGGCUCCACCAUAUCACCUAUUAACGACCACCUGUCCUUAUCAUAAAUAGCAAAUGUCACUUGUUUUAUUUUGUAUUUUACCAAAAGCAAAGUCACUAUGAACCCAAAUGAAAGUGACCCCAAUUUUGGGGGUCAUGAGCUUUGGAUUAUUAUGGACACAAGAGACAAGCGCAAAGUUUCUCAUUUAUCACCGGAUAAGAUUUAAGUUAUCAACCCAACAUUAAUAAAUUCUGCUUAAAGUAAAGUUUGAAGCUUCAUUUUGCGAAUAUUCAAUGGUUAACAUUUAAGUAAUUAACCUGAUAUUAAUCCAAUUAAACUUUUUAUGUAAUCCAAGUCAAAAAUAUGUUGAUAAACCUAAAUUAAUCUAAUUGGACAUAUUAUUUCAACUUGAAAAGGCGAAUCUAUCAUUUUUCAAUUAAUUUUGAAUCAAGCUAUGUAAAAUAUAAGCUUAUUAAAGACAUAUUUUUAUCAUGUUAAAAUAUCGAAAUACUUCUUACUCGUUUCGUAAUAACAUUAACAAACCUUUUGGUAAAUUUGACAGUCCAAUCAAUUCAGUUGGUUUUUUGUUAUUGAAACUCCAACAAAAUUCAUCACGAUUAUUAAAAACCCAUUAAAAAAAAAUGAAGGUAACUAUUUAAAAAAUUCUAAUUGAAUUAUUUAACAACUACAUUUCAACUAAAUUGUGUUGCUAAUUAACUUCCUCAACUUAAACUAUAUUUUUCUCAAUUAAUUCAUAACAAAUAAUGUUAGAUAUUUUAUUCGAAUAAUAACAUUCAACAUCCUUAUUCUUUAUGAUUAUUGCAUAAAAACAUAUUUUAUCCAUUUACAUCACAUAUGUUCCUAAAUUGUAUAAGAAAAUCACCAAAUUUACUCUUGUAAGUUACUAUAUCAAUGAACAUGAAAUUCACUAAUCAUUAAAGUCUCGGAAUGACAUCAUGAGAGGGAUUCAGUUACAUUUAUUGAUAGGAUUAGAUAUAUGUCUUCUCAAAUAUUAGUAGGAGCAAUUUAACAGAUGCAGCUACUAAAAAUAUAGAAUUACUUAUCUCGUCAAUAACUAACGAUAUUUUUUAUCUAUGCUCAAUAAAUUGUAAUAUUUGUAGAUUGUAACAAUUGUUAAAAAAAAAGAGCUCCCUGAGACUAAAUGACAAAAGGACUGUUUUGAAAUAGAUAGAUAAAAUAUGCCCUUAUUUGAGAAAAUGUAAAACACUAGGGAUCUAAAUGUUAUUAUAAUCCCAUGCACAAAAAUACCAAAAAUAACUAAUAACAACUAACCGAAAAUCCCAGGCGUCAUAUUCCUUUUUUCCGCGUUUUAAAAUGCCCUCUGAUUCAUUCACAGUCAGACGCUGUCGGCAUUUCUCUUCUCUCCCUCUCUCUCCACGUAUUAAAACAUGUAAAGUACGGAAAAAUUUAAAAAAAAUUUUAAAAUUACAUAAUUUAAAAGAUAUAAAAUUAUAAAUUUUUAAAAUUAUACGGUUUUAAAAUUUUUUUAAAUUUUUUCGUAUUUUAAAAUUUCAGACUAAAAAAUUAUUAUACGAAUACUUCGUAUAACCGCUUUGCGCUUAAAAUCUGUGCCUAACAAACUCACGAAAUCACUCCUCAUUUUCCUCUCUCCCUCUCCUCCUCUCAUUCCCUUUCAAAUCCUUCCACCACCUUCCCCGCCUCUCUCUCUUUCUCUCUCCCCUCACCGCCACAGCUCAACUUUUCCAUGUAAACCACCACGGGCGCCGUCGUUUCAACCUCCCACUCAUCCGACGUCGUUUUGUGUGAAUAAGAUAACGAUUUAAAUUAAAAUACGAAAAUGGAGAACUUAACGGCGCAGUUGAAGCGAGGGAUAUCGCGGCAGUUCUCGACGGGAUCGCUGCGGCGGAGCCUGACGAGGCAGAUGUCGAGGCAGUCGUCGUUCGAUCCGAGGAGGAAUAACAUGAGGUUUAGCUUCGGGAGGCAGUCGUCGUUGGAUCCGAUACGCAGGAGUCCGGUUCAGGACGAGUUGACGGUGCCGGAGAACCUUGACUCGACGAUGCAGCUGUUGUUUAUGGCAUGCAGAGGUGACGUCAAGGGAGUCGAGGAUUUGCUGAACGAAGGCAGUGAUGUCAACAGCAUUGAUCUUGACGGACGGUUUUGGCGAGAAAUCAAAGAAUUAAGAGACAAUAUUUAGUUAAGCUAAUAGUAUUUGUUCUGUUUAGUACGUCGUUUUACCAACAAGCAUCCCGGCAUUGCACGCAUUAAUAAAUUUUUUUUAUCUGUUUGGACUGAUGGUGGUAAAAAAUUCCACAUACUUUAUAUUAAAAAGGAAAAAGGACAAACACACCCCUAACGUCAACUUGGAGGGGGGUCGAUUCCGAGCUCAAGAAGUGGGAAAGAAGAAAGCUGAAGAUGAUUCAGGCGGUGCUCAAUGGUGGGUAUGACGGCAAAAAUAAGUUGGAGGUUUUCUAUGAAUUUGAACAUCUAAGAACAUUCUUCCCAUUACACAUAAGAGGUGGCUCCAAAACUGGUUACAUAACUCGUAUGGUUCUAACUGAUUUGUUGCCGAAGUUUAAAAGGUUGAGGGUGCUAUCUUUACAAGGAUACCAUAUUGGACCAAUUCCAUUUGAAGAUUUGAGACUUCAAAGUAUAAUUACCCAAAGUGUAUACAAUAAAAGCCAAAUUUAAGAAAUUCCUGAACCUUGCUGACACUGACAUAAGAAGUUUACCAGAGUCAACAUGCUCAAUGUUGAACUUGGAAAUUUUGAUAUUAAGAAAUUGUUUCCGUUUGAUGAUACUCCCACCCAAAAUGAGGAACUUGGUUAAUUUACACCCAGACUCUUUUCUUUUGACAUGGGGUUAACGAUCAAAGUUGGUUUCGUGCGGUAUAUAUUUACAAAUUGAUAGGUAUGCCUGGUGUUGAUGCAGGAUUCCGGUUCUUCUCGUUCUACGACCAGGAUCUCUGCUCGAUCAACUUCGUCACGACCAGGAGGUCUCCUCGCAAGACUUUUUCUCCAGAGAUUCCUGCGCACACAGACAAGUCAGAGUACGCCGGUUGUUUUCCCGGCGCAAACCCUCCGACGCUCAAGUCAGAUAUGAAGGUUCGGGGAACGCUUGCCACCGAUCUUAUGGCUUUUUCGUGGUUUUCUCUUCUUUUUAAUUCCUUUUCUAAUGAGAAAAAUGCCAACCCUUUUACCUCGUCGGCUACCUUUUUAUAGGCUUCCUCUGAAUCCCAGUUUUCCGCUCUUUUCGAGACGGUAUGGGACUCUGACUGCUGUGUUAUGGGCAAACGUGGGAUCUUGCGUGUUACGCCACCGUUCUGGGAAAAGCGCGGCAGUCGUGGUUCUGUGAGAUCUUGCGUGUUACGCCACGGUUCUGGGGAAAGCGUGGCUGUCGUGCUUAGGUUCUCGGGCUGGAGAGCAUGUCUCGUCAACUGCCGUCGACCGGGUCUCCUCGCCUCUCGACCUCUAGCCGGAAUGACCUUAUGCCUCUUACAGGAAAUUGGCCUCGCGGAUGACCUGCUCGUGGACGAGCAGGAUAUUUCUGCUCCUGUUCCCCCGCGUACCAGGCUUUUACGGGACACACCGGUUCGCAGAACUCUGCCAUCAGAUAUCUGCUCACCGUGCCUGGUCUCGUCGACGUAUUUCUCCCAAACACCGGUCCCCCAGUUUCUGGUGUUGGGUAAUGUAGUGGACCAGCAGUAGAAACUCGUUAGUACUCGCCCGCGUGGGAUUGGAAAAGGCUGCCAAGAGUCAUGUCGCAUUUAAUUGCGGACGAGGUGACGUGGCAGAAAUCCCCCCCUCCAUUUGAAUUUCAAACCGACGGUUAUGAGAUCCUCGGGAUUCAGCGCCGUUAAAUGCUGGCAACCCAAGAGUCCGUCCUCAUUAGGAAAACCAAAUCCUCUCGAACGGCAUAUUCGUCAUUCACUCCGUCUCCGUCUCUGUCUCCCCGGCAAAGAGGUUCCGGCAUAAAAGCCCUCCAUCUCUGAUUUUCACCGACUGAACCGUUACUUCAGGUAUUUCUUCUAUCUCCUUGGUCUCGGAUAGUUGUAGAUAAUUUCUCUUCUCUUCUGUUGGGUAGUAGUUGGUGGUGUUGUGGUUAGAGCUUAGGGAAUGUCGAAAGGCAAAGAGAAGGUCAUUGAGGUUGGUGACGACGAGUUGGACUUCCUGCCUAGUCUGCUCACCGAUCCUGCUUUUGACCCCGGGAUCCCCUUAGAGCCCAUUAGGUCUAGUGUCGGGACUAGUGCUAGGAGGAUGUCUCCCCAAACAACCUCUACGAGCGGAAGUAAUGGUGAGGAGAGAUCUUCUGGCUCCGAGGAUACUUUGAGUGAGAAUGGCGAAGGUGACUCUGGUGAGGUGUCUCCAUCUGGAACAUCACGACCAGAAGAACGGGGUAUAGUAGGAGGCAGAGCCUUGUCGCGCGAUUAUGCCAUUGAUUACAUGACGUGCACGACCUCGUUUGACGAGCUCAAUGACCUCCGGCUUAGGUAUAGCAUUCCUGGUGAGAUACCUCUCAAGGUCCCAGGAAAGAAGGAUGCUCCCAGCCGGCCUCCUAGGGGAUAUGUUACCCUGUAUCUGGACAGCUUUAAGUACGGGCUGAGGUGUCCCUUGCAACCUUACUUUGCCCGGAUACUUAACGGGCUAAAUCUAGCUCCUGGUCAGCUGAAUCCCAAUGGGUGGAGAGUGCUCUCUGGUCUGUUCAUAUUGUGGGACAGAUGUUGCCAAAGCGAGCCCACGGUUGAUGAGGUGAAGCACCUGUACCAGCUAAAGAGCAGCCCCAAAGAUGCCGUCUGGUACUACUUCCAAUCUAGCACCAAGAGCAGGAAACCUAUAACCGACCUCCCUACUGGUGGUGGUGGGAAUUGGAAGAGAAAAUUCUUUUUUGCUGGGGGUCCUUGGGGUCAGGUUGCACAAAUGGACGGGAAGGAUUAUCGGGUCCCACCCCGUUUCACGGUCCCAGGUUGCCUGCUCGCUUUAGAUGUCUUGUAUCCACAAUUGUUAUUGCUUUAUUGGCUUGUCUCUAACCAAGUGUCUGUUUGCGUUGUAGUUUCUUGGGGUGUUCACUUCCCGCUCCCACCUGACCAGCUCAAACGGGUCAAGGCUGUGCUCGCCAAUUCCUGCUCGAGUCGAGAACUGCUAACUACAUACAACUUGCUCGAAUCUCGCUUGAUACUUCCUGGCCAUAGGAUGGAGGACGCCGUGAUUGGGGCUCUGACCCGAAAACGUUCUCGACCUCCAACCACGAAGAGGGACCAGGGUAAGGAUGCCCCUGCUGCAAAGCGGGCCAGCAUCGUGCAGCAGGUCCCACCCUUGGAGAUUUUACCUCCUGCUCCUGAAAAAGUCGGGGAAGCUAGUGGAGCAGCCACAGAUCCUGCUUCCUCAUCUGUUCCUGUCGGGCCUCGAUCUCGCUUACCUGACAGCCGAGCAGAACACCUGGUCCCCUACCUCAAUGAGUUGUCUAAACUCGUGAGCAAGAAGGACCUGGAGGACUUCGACGGCUGCACCUUGGGUGAGCUGGUGGGGGCCAUGCAGCAUAGCGCUUUCCACCUCAGCUGCAUGACCACCUAUUACAAGGCUAAGGUUGGUCGAUACGAUCGGAAAAUGAAGGGGGAUAUUCAAUCGGCGACGACCAGAGCUGACAUUGCCGAGAAGAAAGCAGGGGAGCUGAACCUCGAGAAUCUGAAGCUGAUAGAGCAAGAAUCACUUGCUCAAGCAAAGACCAUUACCCUCGAGGAGGAGCUUACCAAGGUCAAGGAGGAUCUGCAAAGGCAGAAGGCUAUGUAUGAGGCCCAGCUCGAAUCUCUCCGGGACUCCAACCGAGCUCAGGUCGAGAACUUGGAGAGGGAGGCAGAGAAUCAGUACGACCAGGGACUUCGGCAUUCCUAUCGUUGCAUCAUGGCCGUCCUCGGGAAGCAACACCCUGAUCUGAAGAUGGAUGACCUUGCGGCUGGUGUUGCCCAACAUAUGGACGAGGAGGCGGCCAAGGAAGAUGCUGAAGGGGUAGAGCCGAUCGUGAUCGAGGAGGAAAGCUCUCCUCCUCGUGCAGUCCCUGCUGAUGUUGGCGAGGCGAGCACCCCUCCGGACGCAACUGGCGAUACCCCUCCCGCACCUGAGGAGGUCCAGUCAACCGAUGCUGCUCGGCUCACUGAUCUACCAUCUUUUUGAUAUAUUUCUUUUUGUAUUGUAAUAAACAACGUUUAUGAAAUUUAUCCCCUCUGUUAGCCAUUAACACAUUAAUAAAGAUGUUUUUUGAUUACUUUCUCGUCUUGUAAUCAUCACUUAUUUUCCGUUUGGGAAUCUGCUCGUCUCGUCUGGUCGAGCAGGUUCUGGUUUGGCAUAUGGUUUUGCAACAUGCCUUAGAAAAAUUUCUUUUUUUUUUUUUUUUUUUUUUUUUUUUUUUUUUUUUGCUUGGGGAUUCUGCUUGCCUUCGCGUGGUCGAGCAGGUCCUGGCAUGCUUGGCUUCAGUCUCGCCAUAAAAAGGCUUUGAGACUUGGUGAGGCCUUUGCAUGCCUUAGAAAACUUUUUCGAUGCUUGGGGAUUCUGCUCGACUUCGCUCGGUCGAGCAGACCCUAGCAUGCUUGGCUUCCGUCUCGCCAUAAAAAGGCUUUGAGACUUAGUGAGCCUUUGCAUGCCUUAGGUGGCUUCUUCAAAGCUUGGGAUUCUGCUGCCUUCUCGUGGCCGAGCAGAUCCGGGCAUGCUUGGCUUCUGUCUCGCCAUAAGACAGGCUUUGAGACUCGACGAGCCUUUGCAUGCCUUAGAUGGCUUCUUCGAAGCUUGGGAUUCUGCUGCCUUCUCGUGGCCGAGCAGAUCCGGGCAUGCUUGGCUUCUGUCUCGCCAUAAGACAGGCUUUGAGACUUGACGAGCCUUUGCAUGCCUUAGAAAUUUUCUUGGUUUCAAGCGAAAGGAAUUCCUCGACGUUCCAUUAAUGGCAGGAUUCGGCUUACAUGAACUUGUUUGGACAUAAAGCGUGAAAGAUAAACGAUAAUGAUCAUGAGCAAAAAUAGCUUUCAGAUGUGAACAAAUCUUACUGGAAGUAUUUUCGGAGGUGUGCUGCGUUCCAUGGGCGUUUCAGCUCGUGGCCGUCCGUGCGAACCAGCUUGUAAGCUCCGGGUCCCGCUAUCUGCUUGACUCUAUAUGGCCCUUCCCAAUUCGGUCCCAGCACUCCUUGAGUCGAAUCUUUGGUGCUCUGAUUCACUCUUCUCAGUACCCAGUCUCCGACCUUGAAUUGCCGUAUGUUCACCUUCUGGUUAUAAUACCGAGCAACCCUCUGUUGGUAAAGGGCUGAUCGCUCGGCUGCUUGCUCCCUCCUUUCCGUUAGCAGAUCAAGAUUCAAACAUAUCUGCUCGUCGUUCUCCUGCUCGUUGAAAUGACCUGUCCGGUGUGUGGUCGUUCCUAUCUCAGCCGGCACGACCGCUUCAUGUCCGAAAGCCAAAGCGAACGGUGUCUCCCCAGUUGCGGUUUUGUGGGUUGUUCUGUAUGCCCAUAGCACACCUGACAGCUCGUCAACCCACGCACCCUUUUUUGCUCCAAGCCUGGUUUUCAAAAGCCUCUUGAUGGUCUUGUUGGCUGCUUCUACUUGUCCAUUCGAUUGAGGGUGAGCAGGCGAGCAAUACUUCAGCUCUAUCCCGAGGUUCUGGCAGAAAUCCCUGAAGCUGUGAUUAUCGAACUGCCUGCCAUUAUCCGUUACCAAGGCAUAAGGGAUCCCGUAUCGACAGACCAGGUUUCUCCACACGAAGUCUGUUGUUUUCUUCUUUGUGAUCCUGCUAAGGGCUUCUACCUCUAUCCACUUCGUGAAGUAAUCUAUAGCAACUAUUGCAUGUGUUGCUGCUCCUUGUGCCUUUGGCAAUGGGCCGAUCAGAUCAAUUCCCCAUUGAGCAAAUGGCCAAGGGGAGGCCAUGGAGGUGAGCUUCUCUGGGGGUUGGUUAGAGAAAUUUGCAAAACUCUGGCAGCUUACACAACUCCUGGUCUUCUCUUGCGCAUCCUGGUGCAUUGUCGGCCAGAAAUAUCCCUGCCUAAGAACCUUGUGGGCCAGGGACCUCCCGCCAGAAUGAUUUCCGCAAAUUCCUUCAUGUACUUCUCUCAGUACGUAAUCCGCGUCGUCCUCAUCCAAACACCGAAGGAACGGUAGUGUAUAUCCUCGCCGAUACAGCGCCCCAUCAAUCAUCGUGUAUCUCGAGGCCUGGGCUCUAAUCUUGCGAGCUCGCAGCUUAUCUGGUGGUAAUACUCCGUCUCUAAGGUAUGAAACUAUCGGGUCCCUCCACGAGCAUUUUUGUUCUAUCCGCAACACCCCCGAAUUCUGAUCGAUACUUGGGCUGGACUUCACCUCCAGAGGGACCGACUUUGGCAUUUUUGGGUCGGCUACUGCUGCCAUCCUCGCCAAAAUGUCUGCUCGACUAUUCUGCUCCCUGGGGAUCUGUACCACCUCCACUGCUUCGAACUUCCCCAUCAUCUGCCUGACUAUCUUCAGGUACUGCUCCAUCUUCUCCUCUCUUGGUUGGAAUCUUUCACUGACGUGAUUCGCAACCAGCUGGGAAUCAGUUCUGAUCUUAACUCUGUCUUCUUUCACGGCCUUAGCCAAUUCCAGACCUGCUAUCAAGGCUUCAUACUCUGCCUGGUUAUUUGUGGCUGCAAAUUCCAACUUUACAGCAUAAGAGAUCUCCUCCCCCUCAAGGCCUUCCAGGACAAUCCCUGCUCCUGAACCCCGCUCCCCUGAUGACCCGUCCACAGACAUCUGCCAUACUUGAUUUUCGUCAUUGCCUAUAACUGCAUCCUGUUGAUCUGAGCAUACUUCGGGCUCUGUGAAUUCAGCUACGAAAUCGGCCAUUGCCUGGGCUUUUAUCGCUGCGCGGGGUUUAUAGUCUAUGUCGAACUCGCUCAGCUCUACAGCCCACUUGACGAGCCGACCAGAGGCAUCUGGCUUGUGCAGAGUUUGACGCAAUGGCUGGUUUGUUAUUACCGAGACCGGGAAUGCUUGAAAAUAUGGCCUCAACUUCCGAGCAGCAACCACAAGGGCAAGUGCCCAUUUCUCCAACAGUGGGUAUCUAGUCUCAGCGUCGAGUAGGGCCUUGCUGGUGUAGUAUAUCGGAUACUGAACUCCUUCUUCCUCUCUCACCAGAACAGAACUGGCGGCCCGAUCCGACACCGCCAAAUACAGAUACAACUUGUCCCCAUCCCUUGGUGUGGACAGCAGCGGAGCUUGCUGCAAGUAUUGCUUCAAGUUCUGGAAGGCUUCCUCGCACUCUGGGGUCCAUUCUGUUUUCUUUCCCCUCCUUAUCACUUGAAAGAAUGGCUGACACUUAUCUGUAGCCUUGGAGAUGAAUCUGCUCAACGCCGCCAACCUCCCUGUGAGGCUCUGCAUCUCCUUCAGGUUACGAGGAGACGUCAUUUGCACAAUCGCCUGGAUUUUCUCGGGAUUUGCUUCAAUCCCCCUAUGGCUCACCAUGAAUCCAAGGAAUUUCCCUGACUCGACCCCAAAAGCACACUUUUCCGGGUUGAGCUUCAUCUUAUACUUCCUCAAAAGCUCGAAUGUCUCCUCGAGGUGUCUGACAUGUUCCUUCGGGAUUUUGGACUUGGUGAUCAUGUCAUCCACGUACACCUCCAUGGUUUUCCCAAUCAACGGCUUAAAGACUUUGUUCACCAGCCUUUGAUAGGUGGCCCCAGCAUUUUUGAGACCGAACGGCAUUACCCUGUAACAGAACAAACCUUGGUUAGUGACGAAAGCCGUGCUCUCCUCAUCCUGCUCGUACAUGGGGAUCUGGUUGUAUCCCGAGAACGCGUCCAUGAAGCUGAGCAGACCAUGUCCAGCCGUUGAAUCUACUAGCUGAUCGAUCUUUGGUAGAGGGAAGCUGUCUUUUGGGCACGCCUUAUUGAGGUCUGUGAAAUCCACACACAUCCUCCACUUGCCGUUUGCCUUCUUUACCAACACCACAUUCGAUAUCCACUCAGGGUAACUGACUUCCCGAAUGAACCCUGCUCUCAAGAACUUCUCCACCUCGCUAUUUAUUGCCUCAUACAUCUCCUGGUUGAAGCACCUCCUCUUCUGCCUUACUGCCCGAGCACCUUUCUUUAUUGCCAGCUUAUGACAUGCUACCUCAGGGUCAAUCCCUGGCAUGUCUUCAUGUGUCCAAGCAAACACAUCAGAAUGAGCCUGUAAGCAUUUCACCAACUCCUGCUUUUGCUCUCCCUCAAGCCUCGACCCGAUUCUGAUCAUCUUUCCCGGAUUCUCUGGUCCCAGGCUUACUGUUUCCAGAUCUUCUACAGGUUCUUGUCUGCCCUUCUUGUUUUCCACUCGGGUAUCGAGGGAUGUUAUCUGCAUUGCUUCCCUUGCUGCCGAGGAGUAGCAGCUUCUUGCGAUCCUCUGGUCUCCUCGUACCACUCCUACUACCCCAUUCACCCGGUACUUCAGAGCGAGAUAGUGGUUGGACAACACCGCUUUGCUCAUCCUUAAAAAUGGCCGACCUAGGAUCAUCUGGUAAGGACCUUCCUCGUCCACUACGACAAAGUCCAGUAUCAUUGUUCUUUCUGUCAGGGAGCUCCCAAUUGUGAUAGGCAGCUCGACCACGCCCAGAGGGACCAGCUUCCCUCCUCCGAACCCCUUCAAGGAGGUAUUGGUGUAUUCCAACUUUCGGUCGGCUAUUCCCAUCUCUUCCAGGGUUGACUUAAAUAACACAUCAACUGAGCUCCCUGUAUCAAUCAGUAUCCGGUCAAACUUCUUGCUAGCGACAGUAGCCUUGAUGACUAAAGCAUCAUCGUGGGGGUAUAGAAUCCCUUCCUCAUCCUCAUCCGUCCACAUGAUUGGCACUUGCCUGACCCUUGCUCGUUUGGCUGCUGGGGUGUUGAAGAGUACCUCUUUACUGGUCAUGGCGUACCUAGCAUAAUUUUUUCUCGAUCUGUUGGAAUCUCCGGCCAAUGUUGGGCCCCCAGCUAUCACCCUUACUGCGGGCUGCUCGCGCCUCAAGUUUCUACCACUCUGCUCCCCUUCACCUGUUGUGGCCACCAUCGGGAAAGUCCCAUCCAUAAACUCGUCCAGGUACCGAUUUCUCACCAAAUCUUCGACCUGGAUCUUGAGAUCUCUACACUCUGCCGUGGUAUGGCCAUGGGUGCCAUGGAACUUACAAUAACGUCUUCUAUCCCUCCUGUUGGGUAGCUUUGUUAUUGGUGUAGGGAGGUGCAGCAGACCUCGAUCCUUUAUGGCCUCGUACACCUCAUCCAGGGACAUCUUCAAGGAAGUGUACCGCCCAUAGUCCGGGUCCUGGUCGAUCAGGUGCACUGCUCUUUCUCUGUUUGCCCCGCUUUGAGUUGGGGGCGGUGGAAGUAAUUCUGGUCUGCUCGCUCUGCUACCAUGUUGGUGAAGACCACCAGAUGCCGACUCAUGCCUUCUCCAAGGCUCCCUAGCUGGGGAACGAGGAGGUUGCGCCCCGCUGCGCUGAUACUGUGGUGGCCUCUGAUGAGGCUGGUAAGCAGUUACCCGACCUCCUGCUCUACUACCGGAGGCCUGGUGGUCUCUCCUCCUGAUCGGCCCAUUCCCCGGUAAUGCUUUCUUCUCUUUCCUCCCCAACCCUUCCAACUGGUCUGUCUUAAUCCGUGCAGCCUUCUCCUCUUCAAUCUCGAUGUCUCUCUUAGCCUGUUCGUAUGCGGCUGCAUACGUUUGAAUAGCUGGGCUUCUCAAAUUGUACCACAACCUUCCUAUCUUCACCCCUUCUUUCAAUCCCCUUAACGCCUGAGGGUGGUUGAAGGCUCCCAAGUCGAGGACAGCCCGAUGAAACCUCUUGAUGAAUUCCCGAAGGGUUUCUUGCUCCCCCUGUUUCAUGCUUUUCAGCUCCAUCAUGUCGUCUUCCGGUGCCAUUGCCCCACUAAACUGCUCCGCGAAUUCCUGGCACAUCUGCUCGAAGGUUUUAAUGCUGCCCCGAGGAAGUUUCCUGUACCAUUCUCGUGCACGUCCCUCAAGGGAUAGUGGGAACACCCUGCACCUUUGGGAUUGAGAUAAUCCUUGUACCCCAGUUAUGUCGUUGAAGCGCUCUAUAUGCACCAGCGGAUCAGUUCUUCCCGAGUAUCUGAGGUCUGGGAGGCGGAAAUCUCUCGGAAUAACUGCCCUCAUGAUUUCUGUUGCGAGCGGCGAUUCUCCGUCCAGCAUUAUCCUCCAACCAGGGGCUCUGUUCCUUCCUUGCAUGUCGUCAAUUAUCUGCGCUAGUCUGCGCACUUCCCCCUCCAGCUGCAACGCACGACCAGGGUCACGUGCUGCAACUUGAUCCCACUCUUGCUCUACAUCAUGCAAGUGUUGCCUCAACUCUGUUUCCUCUGCAUUCACCACCCCGUCGCCCUCGUCACCAGUCUGUCUUGCUGGGGACUGCUCUCUUUCUCUAUGAAAUUCUCCCUGCAGAGGUACGUUACCUCUCUCACCACCAAAUCUCCCGGGGGUUUGACUUCUCCCCGCACUAUCGGGACCUGGUGCCACUCCACCGCCUCUCACCCUUCCCUCUUGGGUUACCCUUCGCUCGCUCCGCAGCUCAUGCAGGAUGGUUGUCAAGGUCUCCAUCUGCUUUUCCAUCCGUUCCAUCUGGUCGAACAUGACUUUUUCCCGUGCUUCGCUGACUAUCUCCCUCAGCGUCACGGAAUCGUUAAGCCUCCUAUCACCCCCUUGUGCACUACUUCUUCCUGUCUCCAUUGCUUUUCACUUGCUUCACCCCUCUUCUUGCUAUCAACAGAAGCUUUUUGCUCUGGUCCCCACAGACGGCGCCAAAAUGUUGAUGCAGGAUUCCGGUUCUUCUCGUUCUACGACCAGGAUCUCUGCUCGAUCAACUUCGUCACGACCAGGAGGUCUCCUCGCAAGACUUUUUCUCUAGAGAUUCCUGCGCACACAGACAAGUCAGAGUACGCCGGUUGUUUUCCCGGCGCAAACCCUCCGACGCUCAAGUCAGAUAUGAAGGUUCGGGGAACGCUUGCCACCGAUCUUAUGGCUUUUUCGUGGUUUUCUCUUCUUUUUAAUUCCUUUUCUAAUGAGAAAAAUGCCAACCCUUUUACCUCGUCGGCUACCUUUUUAUAGGCUUCCUCUGAAUCCCAGUUUUCCGCUCUUUUCGAGACGGUAUGGGACUCUGACUGCUGCGUUAUGGGCAAACGUGGGAUCUUGCGUGUUACGCCACCGUUCUGGGAAAAGCGCGGCAGUCGUGGUUCUGUGAGAUCUUGCGUGUUACGCCACGGUUCUGGGGAAAGCGUGGCUGUCGUGCCUAGGUUCUCGGGCUGGAGAGCAUGUCUCGUCAACUGCCGUCGACCGGGUCUCCUCGCCUCUCGACCUCUAGCCGGAAUGACCUUAUGCCUCUUACAGGAAAUUGGCCUCGCGGAUGACCUGCUCGUGGACGAGCAGGAUAUUUCUGCUCCUGUUCCCCCGCGUACCAGGCUUUUACGGGACACACCGGUUCGCAGAACUCUGCCAUCAGAUAUCUGCUCACCGUGCCUGGUCUCGUCGACGUAUUUCUCCCAAACACCUGGUAUGACUGCUUAUGCUGGAUUUUAUGAGGUGUGCUCUCCUAAGCAAGGAGAGUGGGUCUUAAUAUGGGCAAGGGUGCAGUUGGUCAGCUUAUGGGGCAGUUUGCAAAGUUACUGGGCUGCUAUGUUGUCGGAAGUGCUGGAAGCAAAGACCAGGUAUACAAACAAACAAUCCGUAUCAGUUGCUUGAUUGUUCCCAUUUUGCUUUCAAAAUAUCUAACUUACAUAAGGAAAAUUUUCACCAUCUCGUCUUUUCUUUGAUUUUGAACGCUAAGAUUGAUCUACUGAAGAAUAGGUUUGGGUUCGAUGAGGCGUUCAACUAUAAAGAAGAUCCUGAUUUGAAUGCAGCCUUGAUAAGGUUAGUAUAUCAGCAAACUACAAAUUAGAAGACAUUUUUUCCUGAAAAUCAAAUAAUGUUUCUAAUUUGACAGGUGGUUUCCUGAAGGCAUUGACAUAUACUUUGAAAACGUUGGUGGGAAAAUGCUCGAUGCGGUGCUGAUCAACAUGAAAAUCGGUGGUCGAAUUGCUGUGUGUGGGAUGAUCUCGCAGUACAACCUUGACGAACCCAAAGGCGUACACAACUUGACGCGUCUUAUUUCGAAACGGGUUCGGAUGGAAGGAUUCCUCGUAUCGGAUUACAAUAAACUCUAUCCGAAAUUUCUGGAAAUGAUCAUUCCUCACAUCAAGGGGGGAAAGAUUGUAUACAUUGAAGACACGGCUGAAGGUCUUGAGAGUGCUCGGGCAGCUCUCGUCGGUCUGUUCUCUGGCCGGAAUCUCGGGAAACAGGUGGUUGCAGUUGCUUCUGAAUGAAUGAAGGAUUUGGUUGUUUACAUCAUGCUUCUACUCGUCCAUUUAUUUAAUAAAAUGGUUACGCUCAAUGAGUGUAAUUUUUAUGAUGCUAAAUUAAAUGUGGAAUGUGGCUGCUGGUUUGAUAAUGUUAAAAGUGCUAAAAAAUUUCAUGUUAGGCGCGGUGUGCGUCUGUAUAUCAUUUUUAGGUACGGGCAUUCUAUCUUUUUUUUUUAAUUAAUACAGACACAUUCUUAAACUGUAUGGUUUAAGAGAGAGUUAAAAAAAACUUUUACCACAUGGUUUAAAAGCGUAUCCGUAUGGAAAAAAAAUGAAAGUCCAUUGGAGAAGAAUUUUAUAUAUAGUCCAGGAUAUUAAAGUGCGGGAAAACUAUAGAGUUUUAAAAACUUAAAAUUUAAAACGUUUAAACUGCACGAUUUAUGUGUUUUUCGAUGUGAUCCCACAUUUUAAAAUUGUGGAUUGGAACAUUUGUCUUUGAGGGAAAAAAAACAAUAACAACAACUUCUUUUGGAGACCGUGGGGCUCAUAUGCAGAUUCAACCCCGAGCUAUACACUGGAUCUGGUGGGCUAGGUUUGAACCCAAAACAAGCUCUAUUCAUUACACGGUUCAGCGGGUUGGUCCAUUUGACGCUUCUAACUUAACAAUUUAAUCAUAAUAAAUUGAAAAAAUAAAAUAAAACCCACGUAUCUAAAUUAUUGUAUUGAGCUAUUGGUGCAGAGAAUAAGUAUAUAUGAGAACAAAAACAACACGAUGUAGUCGCUCGUUUUGUCACUUCUAAAAUCAGGAUUUAGAGCAUCACCAAAAGGCUCUUCAAAUAAGAUUUUAUUACUCAUUUGAAGAGCCACAUCAAUAUUUAAAGCUCCAAAAGACACUCUAAUUAAGAUUCUUCAAAUAAGAAUUGAUUCUCUCUCUUCAAAUUUGGAGAGUUAAUUUCUCCCUCUUCAAUUUAUAUUUUAUUACUUUUCAUUAAAAAAAGAGAGAGAAGUGCUUUAAUUGCUAUUGACUUUUCCUUUUAAAAACUAAUUAUAUGAUUAAAAUAAUAUUAACUUAUUUCUAUUUGAAGAGUCUUUUGGAAAAUAUCAUAUUUUUUCACCCUUCUAUUUGCCACAUAGGUAAGCAAAUAGAUAUUUGAAGAGUAAAAUUUAUAGAGGCUUUUGGAGAUGCUCUUAUGAUAGAGUCAUAGUGUUAACAGUACAUCGGUGUAUAAUUAUUUGUAAUGAAAUUAAUUAAUAUGGGUUUUAUGUUGUCUUUGUCAAUAAUCAAUUAAAUUUUUCGUUUUCAUUUAAAUGUUACUGAUCGAUGAAACAUUUGACUGCGUUCAAGUUAUCUUUUAAUUUUGUGAGAUCCACAUUGUUUUUAUUUCAAAAACAUAAUUUUUCAUAUUAUUAAAAAGCUGUUGCUUGGGCCUAGAGAAAUUGGAUUAAUGAAAUACCUUAAGGGUGUGUUUGACACAUUAUAUUGUAUUAUGUUGCAUUGCAUUAUUUUAUUUGGUGUUGCACUAUACUUUACUAAUUUUUUUGCAAUUAAUUUAAAUUACAUAGUUAGCAAAUAAUAUUUAUUAGUGCUUAGAAAAAUACUAAAUAUAGAAGUCUUAAAUUUUAGAAAUUUAACAAUUUUUUUACUAUAAAUGUUAAAAAAUAUAAUAAUUCUUCAUAAAGAUGGAAGCUUACAGCCUUAAGUUUUUGGAAGCAGAGCAUUUAUUUUUUAGUAUCUUCUAAAUAUAUAAUUUUUGAAAUAAAGAUAUAAGCACAUAAUUUAAUCACAUAGUCUUUAAAUAAUAUAACAACAUAAAUAAAUAGUUAAAAUGUGCAAGAUUAGUUCAAAACUCAUCUUAGGAUGAUAUAAUAAAAGUUUAUACACACCACAAGAUAAUCACAAAAUAAUAAAGUGAUAAAAUUAUUAUAACAUAUUCACUACCAAAAUAAAUUAUAUUAAAUAAUCCAAGUGAGAGUUCUGUAGUUUAUAUAAUAAUAUUAUUUAUGUUAUUAUUAUUAAUUUUAAAUUAAUAUUAUCCAAAUUUAUUCAUACUUAAAUAUGUAUUAUUAGUUAUAUUACAUUAUUUUUACAUAUUAAUUAUUGUAAUAUAAUUAAAUAAUGUAAAAUUAUAUUAUAUUUUUAUAUACUAUUUAAGUAUUUAUUAUUAAUUAUAUUCAAUUAUAAAUUUAUUAAUAAAUUAUAGUGCAAAAAAAAAUAGAAAUAAAAAUUAAUAUUGUAUAAUAAAUAACAUUCUGCUCCCAAUUUCUGGAUUUUAAAUUCCAAAAAUAGUAUUCACGUUCGCCACAUUCAAAAAUCCAACCUGGGCUUGGAGAUUCGAUUCAUCUCAUAGAUUAAUUUUAUAAACUAAUGUUUAGUGAAAAAUUAACCUUAAUGGGUCCUCCUCUCCAGGCCUAAUUCUUAAUUUUUUUUUUAAUUUGGUCCUACUUAAGUGGCUUCUAACGUUACCGUGUCUUUAUUUUGUGUACAGUUGUUUUACUAAUUUGUCAUUUAGUGCAAAUAACAGCACUCAACUUGUAAUAUCCAGUAUCCACAAAUCAGCCACUUCGGCCAAGGCCGAAGUGGUGGGCUGCUGCCCUCACAAUGCUUGUGAGGGCAGCGGUUCUAGCCCCCACAAAAGCAUUGUGGGGGUUAAAUGUUCUUUAUAUUUCCAAAAAAAUCCUUCUCUCUUGCAAAAUGUAAGUGGAGUAUGGACAUCCCUCUCCUGUGAGGGGUUAUUUGUCUGGGCAUGUACUUCAUAGAAUUCAUUGUAAUAAUGUAAGUCCCAAUCAUGUAUAUCUGAUUGUAAAUAUCAGUGUAAUAUCUCUGCUACAAUAAGCAGUUGUUGUAAAUAUCUGUCUGAUGAUUAAUCAGUAUUCAAAAAAAAAAAAGUAUCCACAAAUCAUGAACUCAUUUUUUAGUUCUUUCAUGUGUACUAACAUUCGUACAAAUAUACAAUAAGUUCAUAAUUUAGUCCAAGUUGACGAGAAAUUCUUGACCCACCCCUAAAUAUCUGUCCGCCAAUAGCGUGAAGUGGCCGGCAUAAAUUUAAAGCAGCUGGGACAUUGUAACUCAUCCAAAGAUUGUAUAACAUCUCUUUUUUGCUUUAUCGUUUUUCUCCAGUUGCAUAGUUUCUUAUCCUACCGCUUUAAAAACAAUUAUUCCUAGAAAUUUUCAUUUAUCUAAUGAAUUUUAAGAAUUUUUUCAGCAAACAAUUUUUACUUUUUUUUUUUUUUAUCAUUGAUGGGUAAAGAAAAUAUUAAUGAAAAAUGAGGAGUUAUUGGCUGGUUCAACGGAUUAAUUGCAAUGAUAAAUACAGGGAGGAUUGGAUUAUAUGGCAAAUUUUUAUAGUAAAUGUAAUAUAUAUGCUAACACUUUUUAUUUAUGGCAAAAUAUCUUCCUCUUUUGAGACUUUUCCCUCUAAGAAAAUUGGAGGAUACGACAAUAUAUAUAUAUAUAUAUAUACUAAUAUUUAUCAUUUAUAGAAAAGUAUCUAUCCCACUUAAGAUUUGCCCCACUAGAAAAGGAAAAAAAAAUCCCUCAAAAUAAAAGAGCGAAAUGGAAACAGAACAAAAUUUGAUUUUGUGGAUCUUGUAUUGUGUGAUAAGUCCGGCAUGCAAUUUUGGGCCAGCUUACCGUGCGCAUGGGAGCAUUCACAAAGUAUCUCUCGUCACUAUCGAAAACUUUUAACAGUCAAUACAAAUGCUUCCGUUUCAUCCCAUAAACAAAUAAAAUUCACAUCUGUACACAUCUACUUUGCUUUGCUAGAUAGAGUUCCUCUGCAUUUCCCAAUUGCCUAAAGAGAAGGGGAAAAGAAAAAGAGGGCCAAAAAAUGCCUGAAAUGGUAAGGAACAAGCAAGUGAUAUUGAAGGACUAUGUGUCUGGUUUCCCAAAAGAAACAGACAUGUACAUGACCGAAAGUUCCAUAGAAUUGAAGGUGCCAAAAGGUUCAAAUGGGGUUCUUUUAAAGAACUUGUACUUGUCCUGUGAUCCGUACAUGCGACCAAGAAUGACCUACAUCGAAGGAUCUUAUGUUGAAUCCUUUAAACCUGGCUUGGUUAGUGCACUCGCUCAUGGCCACGCUUUUCAUUUCCAUGGCUUCUUGCUCUUUUGUUAUAGAAAAUUUAUUUUUGGUUGCAGUUUGGUUCGACUGCUAAAAUCUCGUGCGAUAAUUGUAUAAGAUAUCUAGAGUUUGAACUUCUUUCACAUUAGGGUUCAAGGAAGUUAACUUAAAUGAUUUUCAAAAUUUUAAAUGUGUACCAAUGAAUUUAAUUUCAUAGCUUAAACUUAUUGUUUGAUCAUACUCUAACUUUGGACAGGAAAAUUAUAUUUUUCCUUUUGUUCUUUGACUUCGUGUAUGUUGUGUGAAGUACUUGUGCUUGAAAAUGAAUUGCUGACACAGAAAUUUCUAUGAAUGCAUGCAGCCCAUAAGUGGAUAUGGGGUGGCUAAAGUUUUGGAUUCAGAGAAUCCAGAGUUCAACAAAGGUGACUUGGUUUGGGGAAUGACUGGAUGGGAAGAGUAUAGUCUCAUUACGGCUCCACACUUGUUUAAAAUUCAGCACACAGAUGUGCCUCUUUCUUACUAUACUGGAAUCCUCGGUAAACUUUUUGUUUGCGCAAUUUAUGUGAGCAAAUUGUGUCUUCUUUUUCAUAUGUAAAUGUUUUUGAUAUCUUGAUGUGAAGGUAGAAAAUUGCAUGUUUUGAGUUUUUGCAUAUUUGAUGGAAACACAGAACCGUACCUGAAUAUUUCAGAACCCCCUUUUCUUUGAAGUUUGAACACUUUUCUUGAAUGUAUCAACUUUAUUUAUGGGAUAUGUUGCCAAAUUGGCAAAUCUAUUCGUUAUAAAACUUUCCUUUGACAGUUUAAUCUAAGCAGAUGUUAAUUCUGCAAAUAGAGUGUGCCUUAGUUUAGAUUGAUAGAUUUGUCUCCUUCUGUACAGUAAAAACUUUGAGCAUUUUCGCCAUAUUCUGAUCAAUACACUCCAACUAGUUAGUUCUUGAGGCGUUUCCUGGUUUCGUGGAGUGAGCCAAGAUGUAUACGUUUGCAAAUUGGCAAUGUCUUUUGCUUGAUGUGUUGUGAGUUGUGAGUGUCAAUAGGAAAGUUUCAAAGUGCGCAGUGCUCACUUGAGCACCCAUAUUACUUGGUGACCUGUUGCCUCAGCAAACAAGACCUCUGUUUUAUGAACUCCAAAAAGUUAUUCUGUUAAAAAGAUCGAGACAGAGGCCAUACUAUAUUUAUUAUUGCUAUAAAAGUGUCAAACAAUAUUCUUUAUUUAAUAUUCUAAACGAUUGAGCCAUUUAGUUAUGAUACUCUGCUGUACUGGGGCUAAUAAUCUAAGUCGGUUCAAAGUGGUAAAUUUAUAAAUUGAUAGGUAUGCCUGGUAUGACCGCUUACGUUGGAUUUUAUGAGGUCUGCUCUCCUAAGCAUGGAGAGUGCGUCUUCAUAUCAGCAGCAUCUGGUGCAGUUGGUCAGCUUGUGGGGCAGUUUGCAAAGUUAUUGGGUUGCUAUGUCGUCGGAAGUGCUGGAAGCAAAGACAAGGUAUGUAAUCUGUGUGAACUACUUGAUUGUUUCCAUGUUACUUUCAAACAUUUAAAUUAAAAAGGAAAUUUUCAUAAUCUUGCCUUUUCUAUGAUUUUCAACACCAAGGUUGAUCUACUGAAGAACAAGUUUGGGUUCGACGAGGCAUUUAACUAUAAAGAAGAAGCUGAUUUGAAUGCAGCAUUGAAAAGGUUAGCAUCAAUAAAUGCCUUAGCUUGAUGCAGCUUGAUGAAGUAUGAUACACAUUUCUGACCAAUAUACUGCGUUCCCUGAUCUCUUACUUGAAAUAUCUUGGUUUGAGAAUCUCAUGCCAAUGCCUUUAACAUUUUGGCAGGUACUUUCCUGAAGGAAUUGAUAUAUAUUUUGAAAACGUUGGUGGAAAAUUGCUUGACGCAGUGCUACCCAACAUGAAAAUCCGUGGUCGAAUUGCUGCAUGCGGUAUGAUCUCACAGUACAAUCUUGACAAGCCUGAAGGUGUGCACAACUUGAUGUAUCUUGUUUCGAAACGGCUUCGAAUGGAAGGAUUCAUUGUUCUGGAUCACUAUCACCUCUAUCCAAAGUUUCUGGAAAUGAUCAUUCCUCACAUCAAAGAAGGGAAGCUUGUAUACGUCGAAGACAUGGCUGAAGGUCUGGAGAGUGCUCCGGCAGCUCUCAUCGGUCUAUUCUCUGGCCAGAAUGUUGGGAAACAGGUGGUUGCUGUUGCUCCUGAAUGAAGAACAAGUUAGUGUUGUGUGUUCUUUUACCCUUUGACACAAAACUUCAAUGUUAAAGAGAGAAUGCUGCUCAUACUGCUUUAUAAAAUAAUCAAAUGAGUGCAAGUUUCAUGAUAUGUGCUGAAUAAAAAUAUUGGAAAUUAAGCAGCUAGCCUAGCUCCUUCUUGUAGUUGCAGUUUGAAUGAUGCUGCUGCACAACUGCUGCCGAAAAAAUCCUUAAUAGAUGAUUAGCAAGGUUUCAAAAAUAAAAAUAAAUGUUUGUGCAAUGUGCCGAAUAUGACAGCCACAAAGAAAGAGCAUACAAAUUGACUGGUUUUAUGUCUUCUCUAGGAGAAAGCUACAAUACAAGAAAUUGUAUUGAUGCCAUGGACCAAAUUUCUUAUUUAAACUUUUAAUUUUUUUUUAUUAAAAUUACUUAUGUUAUUAUGGUUUAUAUUUUUAGAAAUUCUUUAGAAAUUAAUACAGAACUAGUAGCAAGUUGAGAAAUCUAAUGAAUGGUCGAGAUAUGAUCAUGUUUAUUGAAUUAAAUUGACAAUCAUCAUUUUGAUAAAUUAUUGUUAGGAUAUUUGAUUCAUCACAGGUGUAAGUAACUAAAUGUGCUAAAAAAAAAGUUAAUGAGUUGUGAGUGUUUGAUAUUCGUUUGUUGUAAUUCUUUUAAUAAUUGUUGUGGGAAAAAAAUUAUGGUAAAAAAAUUAUAAUUAUAAAAUAAAAAUUAAUAAUAUAUUAUAAAUAAAAUUUUUAAAUAAUAAUUUUAAUAAAAUAAUAAAUAUAUUAUGAAUUUUUCAUUAUAAAUUUUUAAGUUAAAAUAAUAAAUAUUUAUUAAAUAUUUUAAUAGCACAACUUUUAAAUUAUAACAGUACAAUGUAAAUACCAGAGGUCUUAAAAAAUAAAAUUACAGUCAAGUUUUAAAACUGUUAAUAAUGCUAUUCAUAAAGGCGCUCGUCGUGUAAACAACACAUGGGACCCAACCAAUAAAUGUUUAUGAUCCUCAACUUUCCUCCUCACCGUCCCUGCAAACAAUUCUGAUUUUCUUGUCUGAGAAAAAAACUGAGAAACAAUGGCGGCCGAACAAGAAGCUGUGAGCAAUAAGCGGGUGAUUCUAAGCAACUAUGUGACAGGUUUUCCAAAAGAAUCGGACAUGAAGAUAACAUGUGGAUCAAUAAAACUGGAGGUAGCAGACGGUUUAAAAGACACGGUGCUUUUGAAGAAUCUUUAUAUUUCUUGUGAUCCUUACAUGCGAGAGCGUAUGAGCAAGCUUGAUAGACCUUCUUUUGUUGAUUCAUUCCAUCCUGGUGAGGUUAGUUCAUCACGACCCAUCUCUUGAUUUUUUUUUUUUUUCAUUUGCUUCAAGUUUUGAUGAGUUUCUGAGGUCAUUUGUACGGUUUUGGAAUGUGAACACUAUUAGUGAUUUUGGGGCUGUAACUGUCAUUAAUGAUAUGUAGUAAUUCAAUCAGAAUUUGGAUUUAGUGCUGAUAUGAUCUCUGCUCAUUUUUUAAAAUCUUGUGUCCAGAUGCAUUUUUAUAAUCUUGUACGGUUGAGAUUGUAAGUAGAUUAAUCUACGUGCAGUAUUCUUGUCUAAUGACUACUAACCACAACCUUAUGAGACGAUCGAAACCAAGCUCAGAUCAAUAAUCCAAUUGAGAGAGGGUCCUAACUCAAGCUUAUCGUGUGUAGGAAUAUUUCGGUUAAAUUGUAAUUCUUUUAAUAAUUGUUGUGAAAAAAAAAAAGUUAUGAUAAAAAAAUUAAUAAUUAUAAAAUAAAAAUUAAUAAUAUAUAAUAAAUAAGAUUUUUAAAUAAUAAUUUUAAUAAAAAAUAAUAAAUACAUUAUCAGUUUUUCAUCGUUAAUUUUUAAGUCACAACCACAAAUAUUUACUAAACACUUUAACACCAUAAUUAACACCACAACUAUUGAAUUAUAACUGUACAAUCUAGACGCCAAGAGGCCUUAGUAUGAAAAAAAAAAAUUACAGUUAAGUUAAAAUUCAUCAUACAGAUGUGCCACUUUCAUACUAUACCGGGAUCCUCGGUAAUGAUUUUUGUUACACAAUAAGAUUUGCUUAUAGUAAUAUCAAUACAUAUGCUGCUUAAAUGCUUUCUGAUUUUUUGCCGGCCAUUGUCCAUUUUGCCAGGGAGUCUAUAAUUGAAGGAAUUUACUGAAGGAAUGCUGAUUGUUGGGAAUUUGAUUAUUCUAGGUAUGCCUGGUGUAACUGCAUACGCUGGUUUAUACGAAGUUUGCUUUCCGAAGAAAGGAGAGUAUGUCUAUGUAUCUGCAGCAUCUGGAGCUGUUGGUCAGCUUGUUGGACAGUUUGCAAAAUUAGCUCGUUGCUAUGUUGUUGGAAGUGCAGGAAGCAAAGAAAAUAUAGCACCGUGCCUUCUAGCAGAAUUUUACUUGCUUUAUGUUCCAACUAAGCAUCCAUAUUUGAUCAUGAUAAUUAGCAAGGUCAAUAAUUUUUUUUUGACUAUUUUUUCAACGUAAGGUCGAUUUGUUGAAGAACAAGUUUGAACGAUGCUUUUAACUACAAGGAAGAGCCUGAUUUGGAUGCAGCACUCAAAAGGUCAGCUGCAACAAACGUUUCAACUCUAAUAUUUCAUUUUAAUAUUACAGAGCUUUGGUUGAAGUGUGUGAGUUGAUCCCAGAAACGUAACUUCAUCAGUGUCUCUGUUUUCAAAAAACAGGACAAAUAGAAAUCUGAUUUUGCUUUAAAAUUUCCCAGAUGCUUCCCUCAAGGAAUCGACAUAUAUUUCGAAAAUGUUGGGGGAAAGAUGCUGGACGCAGUGCUACUCAACAUGAGGCUCCGGGCCGCAUUGCAGUAAGCAGUAUGAUCUCACAGUAUAACCUGGAAAAACCCGAAGGCGUUCACAACUUAGAGCAACUGAUCGGGAAACGGAUUCGCCUGGAAGGAUUUCUAGCUGGUGAUUACUAUCACCUCUAUCUGAAAUUCUUGGAACUGGUCAUUCCUCCAAUCAGAGAAGGAAAGAUGCUGUAUGUGGAAGACAUGGCCGAAGGACUCGAGAAAAUUUCUCGUAACUGCUACACAUUAAACGCGUUUCACAUUUCCACUCUCUUUCUAUAAAUAAAUACGCACAUAAAAUUUCUCACCAUCCAAAAACAAAAUCUACAUAAAAAAUGGCGGGUGAAGAAGCAGUGAGCAACAAGCAGGUGAUUCUGAGCAACUACGUGACAGGGUUUCCCAAGGAAUCAGACAUGAAGAUAAUAACAGGCUCAAUAAACCUUAAGGUGCCAGAGGGUUCAAAAGACACAAUGCUUUUGAAGAAUCUUUAUCUUUCUUGUGAUCCUUACAUGAGAGGACGUAUGAGCGAGCUUGAUAAGCCUUCGUUUGUUGCCUCAUUCGAGUCUGGCGAGGUCAGUUACUUCAAUUCCCAUCUCUUGGUUUCAUAAUCUUUUAUGGUUUUAGAAGGUGUUUUAGGGAAACAUUGUGGUUUUGGUUAGUGGGCAUGAGUCUUUGAAGAGAUUAUAAUGUGUAGGACUAUGCAUGCAAUAAUAAGCAUAGGGGAUCUUGUUAGGAGAAGAUUCUCUUAGCAAAAUAAAAACUUUUAUCUUAUCAAAACAUAUGCAGGGAACUUAGUUAUGAUGUCAUGUUAGCAUUAUCUCUGAGGAUUUGAUUUCUUGAUGGGGAAAGGGGAAUUUAAGGUUACAUUAUUCAGCAAUGUUUUUUUUUUAAAAAAUUAUGUUCAAAUUAUGCAGCCUUUAAGCGGAUAUGGAGUGUCCAAAGUGUUGGAUUCCACGCCUCCAAAUUAUAAGAAAGAUGACUUGGGUGGCGUUUGUUUUUUAACUUAAUGACUUAAAGUGACUUAACUUAAUUAAUUAAGUUAAUUAGAGAUGUUUGUUUUUAUAACUUAAUGUGACUUUUUAAAUAAUUUUGACUUAAUAAAAUAAGCCAAUUUUAUUUACUUUUUACUUAAUAGAGACAUCUGAAUUAAGUCAAGUACUUUCUAAUGUCAAAAAUAUACAUGCUUUAUAAUUUAUUUUUCAUGUCUAUCCCAAAACUCACCCAUAGACAUUUACCCCACAUAAUAAUCUCAUCAUUAUUUUUUUAGCCGUCAUGAAAUCCCUCCUCACUUUGGUAUCAACUCCUCAACUAUUGAAGAUCAAAAUUACAUGCGACAACUUCGAGAUGAAUGGCAAAUCAACUGUUUCAAGCAUCUUAUUCGUUUUUUUUCUUUUUUAUAUUAUAUACGAUAAAAUUUGAAAUUUAUGGUAUUUUAUAUAUUAAAAUUCCAAAAUCAUUAUAUAUUCACUUGAAUAUAGUUUUACUUAUAAAUGUUAAAAUAUUGUGAUAUUUAAUAUAUUAUUUAUUUGACAUUCAAAUUUAAUAAGGAUACAAAUGUAAAAGUACAUAUUUUUCAGUUUUUUAAGUUGAAAAAAGCAAACAACUUAAUAAUUAUUUUUCGAGAUUCAGACGAAAAAACAAACAUAUUAUUCAGAUUCAGACAUUCAGAUCUAUUCAGAAUUUAGACUAAUUCAGGUCUAUUCAGAUUUCAGAUAAAAAAACAAACGCCACCUUGGUCCGGGGCUUAACCAGUUGGGAGGAGUUCAGUCUCAUCCAAUCACCACAACUUCUGAUUAAAAUUCUGGAUACAAGUGUGCCUCUGCCAUAAUUAAUUGACAGGUUGCUAUGUUGUUGGAAGUGCCGGAAGCAAAGAAAAGGUGAGUUUGCACCCUUAACCCUUACGCUCUAAAUAAAAACAUAACACCUUCUGAAAGAAUUGUGCAUAGAGAAUUUUGCAUGUCACAUUAUUUGUGUUCUAACUAAUCAUGGAUAUUUGAUCAUUAGUCUAACUAAAACUGACAUAUUACCACCUAGUUGACUGGUCUUUGAGAAAUGUUAGUUGAUAUAUGCUUGAAAUCAUACUUGUUUUAUUAGAUGAUUAUAUUAACCUGCUUCUUUUUCUUUGUGCUGUUUCUCGUUUGAUUACAUUUUCAACAUUAGGUCGAUCUAUUGAAGCACAAGUUUGGGUUUGAUGAUGCCUUUAACUAUAAGGAAGAGCCUGACUUGGAUGCAGCUCUUAAUAGGUUAGCACGAAUGAAUGCUUUAACCAUUUUUCUCACUUCAUUAUUACAAUGCGCUGAUUGAAGUAAUCAGUGUUGGCUCUGAAAAUGUAACGUAUACUUCUCUGUUUUCAUAAAACAGGACAAACAGUGAUCAGUGAUCUCAUUCGUUACAUUGAUAUUUUCUACCAUUGCCAUACAUAGUAUAAACUAGGAAUUCAGUUGCUUAAUAGAUAUUCAUUUCAGAGGGAAAUUUUCACUUGCAGCUAACAGAAUCAUGUUUGUGAUGUAUGUUUAUUUGGGAAAUGAAAGGAUUUGUUGCAUUAUUUUAUUCCAAGUUUGCUGAAAUCAUAUUUGUUUUCCCAGGUGCUUUCCUGAAGUUAUCGACAUCUAUUUCGAAAAUUUUGGAGGUAAGAUGCUUGAUGCAGUGCUACUCAACAUGAGAAUUUGUGGCCGCAUCGCUGUAUGCGGAAUGAUCUCACAGUACAACUUUGAGAAGCCUGAAGGUGUACACAACUUGAUGCAAGUAGUUGGAAAACGAAUUCGCAUGGAAGGAUUUCUUGCCAGUGAUUUCUACCACCAAUAUCCAAAAUUCUUGGAACUGGUUAUGCCGGCAAUCAAAGAAGGAAAGUUAGUAUAUGUCGAGGACAUAGCUGAAGGCCUCGAGAAAGCUCCAUCAGCCCUAGUUGGGAUAUUCACAGGUCAAAAUGUUAAAAAACAACUGGUUGUAGUUGCUCGGGAAUGAUAUGAUUACUAUAUGCUUUAAAAAGUGGACUUUGCCAUGCACUUUAAAAGCUUAGUGAAGAUGCCUUUGUCUUAUUUUUGAUACAUGUUAUGUUUGUUUGAUCAAGUUGUACUCAGCUAUAAAUCAAAGAUUCAGAACAUGUGUAUGAUACUGGUUUCUAAAUCAAUGAACGCGUUGAAAUGUUAGUGUUUUCACAGGAGAAUGCAAUUUAAUUCAUCAACAAUGUCCCAACAAGACCCUCAGAGCUGUAGCUUGUAAAGUUAAUUACGAUAUUUUUUUGUAAAGUAAAUUACCAUAUUUUUUUCUUUCCAAUAUAUUGCUUAUUUCAUAGAAAGUUUACAUUAAAGUCUCAUGUUUCUUUGAAAGGUAAGCAAGUGUGAACGUUUCAAUCUAGAGCUGGAAAAUGCAUUUCCGGGCAACUUACUUGAUACAUGAAGUUUUCAUCUCUGACCUUGAUGUUUCCCAUAGUUGCAUUCAUUUCAGCUGAUCUAUUUAAUUUUGUUUUCGAAGGAGUGACACAAAAUCUCCUUUGUUAAGGGGAGAAUUUAGAGUGGCUUUGACUGUUAGCAAAUAGCCUAAUGUAAGACUUAACCAACUUCCUGCCCUGUUGUAUGCUUAUGAAUUUUGAUAGAGCUAAGAGUUUGCAGAAGCUACUGUAUUAUUUGUCGUUAGAGGCUGUAAAAAUCAAACACAUUUAAAUUUCAAUGAAAAUUUACUGGAAGUAAAUUUCCUAUGAUCCCACAGGUGACUAAUUAAUGAGAACUUGACAAUGACAAAAGAAAGUCUAUGAACUUUGCAGGCUGGCAUGCCAAUAUUGACUGGGUGGCACCAUCCACCAUCUGCAAGUGAAUAUCAUUGUUGUUUAAUCAACAAGGUGGAGUCCACUGGGACCACACCACAUCGUCAGCCUUAUCUCUAUUCCUCAAUUUUCAGUAUUCCAUACAUCAAACCAAUUUCAGUUUUGUUAUCAAUUAUAAUUUUAUUGUUGGUGACGAUUCUGAUUCCUUUCUGACAAAAGGGAACCAUGGCUGCUGCUGGAGAGAUCUUACUCAACGCCUUCUUUCAGGUACUGUUCGACAGGUUGGCUUCUCGUAAUUUGCUCAGCUUUGUGCGUCAACUCCAAGGCGGGGUUGAUUCGGAGCUCAAAAAGUGGGAGAAAAAGCUGAAGAUGAUUCGGGCUGUGCUCUGCGAUGCAGAGGAGAAGCAACUGACUGACGAGGCUGUGAAGAUGUGGCUGGACGAACUCCAAGACUUGGCUUAUGACGCUGAGGACACUCUUGAUGAGUUUGCUACUCAAGCUUUGGAAAGCAAGUUGAUGGCGCAAAAUCACGAUAGUUCUGGCCAGGUUCUCAGUUUCAUCCCGGCUGGUUUGAAUCCGAAUGCUAUUAUGUUCAAUUAUAGCAUGGGGUCCAAGAUGAAAGAUAUUACUAGCCGGCUGGAGCAACUCUGCCAAGAAAGAAUUGAACUUGGACUGCAACGGAUUACCGGAGAGGCAUCAUCAACUGCUGCUGCUGCACACCAGAGGCCACCCAGUUCGAGUGUCCCAACAGAACGUGAAGUAUUUGGAAGAGAAAAAGAUAAGGCCAAAAUUCUUGAUAUGUUAUUAGCCGAUACCAUAAGUGAUCAUGCUAACUUUGUUGUAAUACCCAUUGUUGGCAUGGGUGGGAUAGGAAAAACAACUCUCGCUCGGGAGGUUUACAAUGACAAAGCCGUUGGAGGUUCCAAGUUUGAUGUAAAAGCAUGGGUUUGUGUAUCUGAUGUCUUUGAUGUUUUGGGCAUCUCAAAGGCACUUCUCGAGUCAAUCACCCGCAGGCCUUGUCUUCUAAACAGUUUAAAUGAAGUGCAGGUUGAAUUGAAAGUAGCUGUGGAUAAGAAAAGAUUCUUGCUGGUCUUAGAUGAUGUUUGGAACGAGGACUACAGCUUGUGGGUAGACUUAAAAGCUCCGUUCCUGGGUGCUGCACCAAACAGUAAGAUGAUCGUCACCACACGCAAUUCAAAUGUUGCAUCAACAAUGGGACCAAUUGAACAUUACAAUCUCAAGAGUCUGUCAGAUGAUGAUUGCUGGUCCAUUUUCAUAAAGCAUGCAUUUGAAUCUAGAGAUCUUAACGCACAUCAAAUUUCAGAAUCAUUCCGCAAGAAAGUUGUUGCCAAGUGUGGAGGCUUGGCCCUGGCAGCAAAAACACUCGGAGGCCUUCUGCGUACGACGAGGCAUGAUGCGUGGGAUGAUAUAUUAGAGAGCAAAAUAUGGGAUUUACCUCGACAAAGUGGGGUUCUCCCAGUAUUAAGAUUGAGUUACCAUCAUCUUCCUUCUCAUUUGAAAAGAUGUUUUGCUUUUUGUGCCAUCUUUCCAAAAGAUUAUGAAUUCACUGAGAAGGAGCUGACUUUCUUAUGGAUGGCUGGAGGUAUUAUUCGACAGUCAAGAAACAAUGAGCAGCUGGAAGAUUUGGGCAGCAAGUGCUUUGGUGAUCUAGUGUCGAGGUCAAUUUUUCAGCAAACAGCAAGCUCUGAUAGUUCUAAAUUUGUAAUGCAUGACCUUAUUCAUGAUCUUGCUGAAUUGGUCUCUGGAGAAACCAUAUUCAGGUUAGAGGAGGCCAAUACUCUGUCAAGAAGAUUUGAAAGGGUUCGCCAUUCUUCCUAUGCUUGUGGUGGAUGUGAUGGUAAAAAUAUGUUCGUGGUUUUCAAUGAAAUUGAACAUCUACGAACAUUCUUGCCAUUACGCUUACGCAUAAGAGGUGGCUCUAAUACUAGUUACAUAACUCGUACGGUUCUAUCUGAUUUGCUGCCGAAGUUCAAAAUGUUGAGAAUGCUAUCUUUACAAGGAUACCGUAUUGGUGAGUUACCAAUUCCAUUUGAAGAUUUGAGACUACUAAGGUUCCUCAACCUUGCUGACACUGACAUAAGAAGUUUACCUGAGUCAACAUGCAAAUUGCUGAACUUGGAAAUUUUGAUAUUAAGAAAUUGUUCCUAUUUGAUAAAGCUUCCGCAGAAAAUGAGGAAUUUGAUCAAUUUACAUCACCUCGAUAUAAGAGGUGCGAAGUUGCUGAAGGAGAUGCCAUUCGGAAUGAAAGAGUUGAAGAAGCUUCAAACAUUGUCCAAUUUCAUCGUGGGCAAGGGCGAAACUGCAUCUGGUUUGGAAGAUUUAAAAUGUUUAAACUUUCUUGGUAAUGAACUUUGCAUUGCUGGAUUAGAGAAUGUGAAUAAUCCACAGAAUGCAAGAAGAGCCGCAUUAUGCGAGAAGCUCAAUCUUGAAGCAUUGACUCUAGAAUGGGGGUCUCAAUCUGACAGUCCUCGAGAUGCAGUACCAGAAGAGAAUGUACUUGACACUCUACAGCCGCAUAAACGUAUAAAAGAGCUGGCAAUCAGACACUAUGGUGGUGCAAGAUUUCCACUUUGGAUCGGAGAUCCUUCAUUCUACGAGAUGAAGGUCCUUAAAUUGGAGAACUGUGACAAUUGUGUAUCUUUGCCGUCGCUUGGCCUGAUGAGUUCACUUAAGCACCUUGCUGUUAAAGGGCUGAAGAAACUAAAAAGCAUAGAGUCUGAGGUUUAUGGGGAGGGUUUCUCAAUGCCUUUUCCGUCACUGGAGAUUCUAAGUUUCGAGAAUUUGCCAGAAUGGGAGCAUUGGGACACCGAGAUCAAAGGAAAUGCGCCUGUUGAUUUAUUUCCUCGUCUCCAAGAACUUUCCAUUGCAGAAUGUCCCAAACUCUCUGGACAACUGCCUGAGCUCCUGCCUUCCUUGAAGACACUUGUUGUUAGUAAAUGUGAAAAGUUGGUAGUUCCAUUGUCUUGCUAUCCAAUGCUUUGCAGAUUAGAAGUUGAUGAGUGCAAAGAACUAGUCUGCCGGACUCCGAUUGAUUUUAAGUUGAUAAAGUCCAUGACUAUUUCAAAUAGUUCAUUAGACAUGAAUGGACGCAAGGGGAUGUUAUACGAUGGUCCAGCUGGCUCUUCACUGCCAAACCCCAUGACUACUACAAAUGUUUUAGAGUUUGGAAAAUUAUUGAAGCCUGGAUUUCAGAUAUUCGAAACUUUGGUAAUUGGCAAUUCUGAACAGCUCAAGUUAUGGAGGCAGCAUGGGGAUUUUCCGAAAAAAUACAUGGUCACUGACCAUGGGUUCAAGAAACCAGUACGAGGGCUGAAUAUGCUCGCUUCCCCUGAAGAGGUAACAAUUGAAGAAAGUUGCGUACGUCUUGUUUUGAUUCCAGAGAUCAAUUUCCUUCUCAGAAAUCUGCGCUCUCUUAUAAUUAACAACAGCACUGCUUUCAAAUCCUUACCCGAGGAAAUGAUGGAAAACAAUUCACAACUCGAAAGAUUGUAUAUCAGAGAUUGCGACUCUCUAAUAUUCAUCGCAAGACGGAGGCUACCAGCAUCUCUUAAAAGGUUUGAGAUAGGAAAUUGUGAGAAAUUGCAACGUCUGUUCGAUGAUGAAGAGGAUGCUUCUUCUUCUUCUUCUCCUUCAUCCUCGUCUUCCCCAGUGAUGCUGCAACACCUGAGUAUAGAGAACUGCCCAGAGCUCACCAGUUUAUCAUCGGGUGUCCAAUUCCUUGAGGCGCUUGAAGACCUCGUGAUACAGCAGUGUCGAAAGCUGGAGUCAAUACCGGAUGGCCUGCCCAAUCUUAAAUGUUUACAGAGCAUUAAUAUACGGGAAUGUCCAAGUCUUGUUUCCUUAACAGAAAGAGGGCUUCCCAACACCAUUUCAUUUGUUUACAUUUGCAGAUGUGACAAGCUCGAAGCCUUGCCCAAUGAUUUGCACAAACUCAGCUCUCUUCGAGAAUUAUUCAUACAGCUCUGUCCAAAUCUUGUAUCGUUUCCAGAAGAAGGUUUUCCUACCAAUCUAACAACACUUGUAAUUGGAGAUUUCAAAAUGUAUAAGACACUCGUCCAGUGGGGGUUGCACAGGCUUACCUCUCUUAAACGCCUCUGGAUUGCUGUACGUGAUGAUGAAGCAGAGUGUUUUCCAGACGAGGAGAUAGGAAUGACGCUGCCCACCUCUCUCACUGAUCUGCACCUUUUUGAUUUCGAAAAAUUGAUAUCUCUGUCUGCGACGGGUUUUCAGAGUCUCACCUCUCUUCAGAGUUUGUGGAUCGGGAAUUGCCCGAAUCUCACAUCAUUUCCAGAGGUGGGCCUUCCAUCCUCACUUUUGGGCUUAGACAUUAGAUAUUGUCCAAAGCUUAAAACAGCGUGCAAAAGAGAUGAAGGAAAAGAGUGGUCCAAAAUUGCUCACAUCCCUCACGUUGAGAUAGACGGUAAAUUCAUAUACGAUCCAGAAGCAGAGGAGUAGGUUCUACUAUUAAGGUCAGUUGAUUUGUAUUAUCCGCUAUAACAAGCUCCUCCUUUUUUAUUUUUUUUAAAAAUAAUAAUUUUGCAGUCACUCACGUGAUUCCGUUUUCACAAGUCAGAUUGUAUGUUGAGGCUAUUUGCCUUUUAAUCGCAGAUUAAAUUAUAACACUUAUCUUAAAAUUUAAUACCAUACACAGAUAGACGAUUUUUUAAUCCAAAGUUUUUUUUAUUCACUUCAGUUAGCAUUUUUUUUUUCCCCAAAUCAUGCAAGCCGAGAGUUUCAAUCAAGAAUUGGAGGAUGUGAAUGGGAUUUUUGUGAAAGAGUAACAUAAUGGAUGAACGAACAUUUCAUAUGUGAUCUCAAAGUCAACAGAAUUUUAUUCACUCGUUGACUUUUCAACUGCUGUGGUUAUUUAUGGGUGAAAGAUAAGGGCAAUUACAAAAAAUUUGCAAAAUUUGUCAAUUUCUUAGAUGGUAGAAAUUGGAGUAUAAUAUUUUGGAGCAAGCAUACUUGAAAUUUCUGUCUUCAAUAUUUUGAUGCUUUCUUAUCCCAUGCACAAAAGUACUAGAAAAAACUAAUAACAACUAACCGAAAAUCCCAGGCGUCAUAUUCCUUUUUACCGCGUUUUAAAAUGCACAACAAUGAUAUUCUUACAAAUUUGCAAAAUUUGUCAAUUUCUUAGAUUUCAGAUAUUUUAAUGCUUUUUUUAAUUUUUGAUCUAGUAAAAAUACAUAGCCUUCACCGGCAGGAUUCUAGUCUUGGCUUUCACCUCUCUAACUCAUCUGUUCCCAUUGGGAUUCCAGAAGCUAGAAAAAUGUGUAGUUUUCAGAUAAGGAGGCUUGUCAGUUCUCUAGUAAGAAUCCAAUGAUUUGCUUUUGAACGUCCAUCUAAUUUGUGGAUCCUUGCAUCAGAAUUUGAUCAAUCCAAAAGGAAUUGCUUUUAGACAGAAGAAGAAUAGCAGCACCUAGCCUACCCGCAAACCUGAAACUAUUAGAUUGAGGUAAAAAAAUCAUUGACCCUCACAUGUUAACUUCUUCUAGUUACUUUCGUUGGGAAAAAAAAAAACAUUUAAGGAAUUUGCAAUUUGUUGUUAGUUAUGGUAUCUGAUGUUCUUUUCUGCUUUAGCAUUUGUAGAAUCUACUGUAUUAUGUGUUGGCAGUUGCCGUAUCUGAGGUAACUUGCCUUUAUUUGUUUGCUUCUGACUUAAGGACACCAACAUUUGCCAGAGAUUUAGAGAAUCAUCUCAAAACACUUAGCAAACUUGACAAACUUCAAGAUGCACUUGCCCCCACGCCUUAUUCUCAACAACGCAAAACUUGUGAGUACACCUAUGCCUGCAAUUAUUGUGAAGUGUUCGCAAUUCUGAUGCAGAGAAAUGGUUUCUUGAUGCAAAGUAUUAAACUGUUAAGAUUUAUCCUGCAGGCUUGUUAGAUGCUGGAUACGCGAAAAGCCAACAACAUCAAGAACUGCAACUCCAAGACCAGCUUUGCGUUAAUUCAGUCAGCUGUAAUAAUGAUGCAAAUGACACUAUAUCAAGCUGGACUUAGAGACUAGUCAGAUAAAUCAUCCAUUUCAUCAACGGUUAAUGUCAUGAUGGUGGCUAUCAGAGGAAACAAAAGAUGUGUCGGAAUCUAUACAAACAUUGAGAAGCAUGAGAGGAGCUUUGAUUUUGAGUAGGGUCAAUGAACUCAUAUUGGUAAGUGGUAAUUAAAGAAACUUUGUAAGCUUAGUAGAGUUUCAGUAUUUUCUGUUUGGAGUAUAGUUGAUAAGUUGACUCUGUUUAAGAAGCCCGAUUAUAGUAGCUGACUGUAUUAACCUUUUUUUUUUUUUUUUUGGGUCUGCUGUUGUUUUUGGUUUCGAUUAUUUUUUCAACAUUGGGUUGAUCUGUUGAAGAACAAGCUUGGGUUUGAUUAUGCUUUAACUACAAGGAAGAGCCAGACUUGGAUGCAGGCGUUAAGCUUUUAAUGGGUAAGAACAAAUGAAUGCUUUAACUAUGUUUCUCACUUAUUAAAAUGCACGGAUUGAAGGCAUCUGGGUUGAUCCUGACAAUGUGAUGGAAAUACUUCUCUGUUUUCAUAUAACAGGACAAAUAGAGAUCUCUGAUCAUGCCUGAAUUUUUGUUGCAUUGAAAUUUCUACCAUUAUCAAACAUAGAAUGAACUAGGGAUACAUUAGCUUAAGACUAAAUUUUGAGAAGGAAGUUUGUACUUGCAGCCUAUAAAAUCAUGUCCAUGUUGUACGUUUCUUUGGGAAAUGAAAGAUUCUGUGUGUUCUUUUAUUUCAAGUUCACUGAAAUCACAUUUGUUUUCUCAGCUGCUUUCCAGAAGGUAACAACAUCAAUUUCAAAAAUGCUGGGGCAAGAUGUAUCAUGCAGUGCGACUCAACUUGAGAAUUCCUGGCCACAUUACCCGUAUGUCUAAUGAUCGCACAGUACAACCUUGAGAAGCUUGUAAUGAGUACACAACUGGGUGCAAGUAGUUUUGAAAUGAAUUUGCCUCAAAUGAUUUCUUGCCGGUGAUUAAUAUAACCUCUAUUCCAAAAUUCUUGGAACUGGUCAUACUAGCAAUGAAGGAUUGCAUACAUUGAAGACAUAGCUGAAGGCCUUGCGAGAGCUCUGUCAGCCCUUGUACCGGAAAACAGCUGGUCGUAGUCGCUUGUGAAUGAUAUGAUUAAUAGAUACUGCAAAAAUGAAUUGUGCCAUACAUUUUCAGCGCUCUGUGAAGAUGUCUUGGUCAUUUGUUUGAUGCUUGUUUGAUUUAUGUUGUAUUCAGCCAUAAAUCAGAGAUUCAGAACUUGGGUAUGUUUCUGGUUUCCAAAUCAAAAAAUUGCCUUGUGAUGUUAGUGUUCACUGUUUUCACAGGAGAUCAGGUUCCUUGUUAAUGAAUCAAGAAGAAGGCAAGCGCAUCCAUGUCCAAGUUCAAAUGUGUCUCCUCUAUUUUCUAUUACCCACUCAUUUAUUUUGAUUUCUUCAUUGUAAUUGAAUUAGUUUUUUAUUCCAAAUUAGUCAAAACCUCGUAGAGUCAUUAAGUUCUUUUAGCAUUUAAAGACAGAACUACGAACCAAAUGAUUUAAGUUCUUCGUUGUAAUUGAAUUUGCUUUCCCAUCUUUAAAGAUAUUAUGUUCUUUUUCACUUUUUCGAUUUGGUUAGUGGUGAUUUCUUAAAGACUCAAUCCAUUUGCGUUAAUACAUUUUUCUUUUGCCUUGAUUUCUGUUUCUUGGGGAGUUUAUACAUAUUCUUAUUUUAUGCUACACAUGCCAUAUACAGAUUCUUAUUUUAUGCUUCACAUGCCACAUGAAAGGUCAAAGCCUUGUGUGUGAUUAGAAUUUACUGGCAUCAUAGUAACUUUAAACCAUUGUGACGUUUUAGUAAUAACAGUCUGAGCUCUCCCUGAAGGAUUCAAAGCAUUUUAUUUUAUAUUAUACUCCUUUAUAUGGUUUGGCUGGUCUCUUUUAAGGCAAUUCCUGUUUAAAGUAAUCAAAAUUUUGAUUUCGAAGUGUCUUUCAACACUACCGCUAGUUCUUUAAGAAAAGUAAAUCGAUUUUGAGUCUUCUGUAUCAUCUGAUUGAAAUACAUGAAAGCACUCUUAGCUGCAAAAGUACACUUGGAGUUAUAAUAGCAUUCUGAAAUCUCCUUGAAGGAUUCAAAAGCUCUUUAUUUGCUAGUCUUUGCUUGCAAUAAACUCCUUUAAUAUACAUUGGUUGAUCUUCUUUAAAGCAAUUACCAUAAGUUCUUUAAAUAAUAAAACGAUUUUGAGUCUUCUGUAUCAUCUUGUUGAAAUACAUGAAAGCACUCUUGGCUGCAAAAAUGCACUUGGGGUUAUAUAUAAAGUCUUCAACAGAAUUUUAUUUCCCCCUUUAUCCUCAUGGUGGUUUUUUUAGUUGUUUUUUAAGAAAUCGCUUGAAGGUUCUCUUUAAAAAUAAUUUUAACAUAAGCAUUCUUUAGAAGCACUUUAGAUGUCUGGCAUUUAGAAAAUUUUGUUCCUGUGUUCACAUAAUAUAAUAUAUAUAUAGAAAGCUGACUGUAGAAUAGAGGAGAACGAGUUGGUGUUGGUCUGAACUCUGAUCUUUGAACCUCAUGUGACUCCACUACUUUUUACUUGUUCUGUACAAGGUCUUUUAGCUUUUCAAAAAGUUUUAGCUUUAUGGAUAAAAUACUGUUAAUUGUAAUCUAUAAAUAAUGAAAGGAAUUAAUAAAAUAUUAGGUAAAUUUUAUUUUCUAAAGUGUUAUGAGUUCUAAAACGGCUGUAUGUAUAUAAAUUUAUUUACACAUAUAUUUAUAAAUAUGAUUAUAUAAUAAUAUUUUAUGUGUACAUAUCAUAAUUGAUAACUAAAAUAAAUAUUUUUAUUUUAUUAAUGGUUUUUUCGUCUCAAUGUAGUUGGUAAUAAUAAUCUCUUUAGAUGUAACGAUUUUAUUUCCUAACUGAAUAAGGAAAAUUUUAGAUUUUUAUAAUAAAUGUUAAAUAUAUUUAGAAUUACAUUAAGUAUGAAAUAAUCCUCAAAAUUAGAUUUUGAAAAGUUAUUCUUUUCUUGCUUUUAAAAAUAUGUCAUAUGAUGAGAUGAUUUUACUAAAAGUGAUUUUUUUAAAAAAAAUUACUAAACAUCAAAAUUAACUCUUAACUUUUUAAAAUCAUUUCUAAUCUUCUCAUCCUAAGUUCUUUAUUGUUUUGUACAAAAUCCAAGGUUUUGACUUUUAUAAAAUGCCCACUCAAAAAUAAAUUAUUUUCUAAUUAAGAUUUGUUGUUAAUGUAUAACUCGAAGUAAUAUUAGAUAUUUGUAAUUUUAUUUCAAAAAUUUUAUUCAAAUGAUAUGGCAAGCAAUGAACAAUAGUUGAUAGCAAUUUGUUUUUUUUUUUAACAAUGUUCAAAUCAAUCAGUUGCAUUAUCUCACCAUUUUUAUGAUGUCAUGUUAUUUUAAAUGAUUUUUUUAAUUUUUAUAUAAAGCAUACGACGUGUUAACAUCAUUUGCAUAACUUGACCUUUUUUUUUUCCUACAAAUAGUAAGUCAAAUUUACUCACCCUAUUUGUACCUAAAAUCUACCUAAAACUCAUGCAUCACUGUAAAGCAAAUCCAAAGAUUGCGGUACGUUUUUCUUGGUAAGAAAUCAAUAAUUAGGUCAAGUACCGCUACUAAGCGUGCUCAAUUAAUUCUAAAAUACGGUGAUCAAACUCAUACUUCACGCAAGAGGAUAAGGGCUAAACCUCAAUUAGGCAUUAUUCAUCCAAAAUUCAUUGACUGGGCAUUCUUUGCAAGUGGUAGCAUGGGACAGCUAAGAUAAUUAGCAAAUGAUAUGGACCAUACGCACCCGUAUGUUUGUGACAUGUGAAUCUUGGCAUUAAAGGAAAGGUAAUGUGUUAAAAUUUAAUAGAGCCCAACUCUUCAUUGAAUGAUUAUCAGAUCCAACGAGCAUCCUUUGAUGGGAUUAUUUUAAGUCAAUUAUUGGUGGAUUGGGGCCCACUUGACUCUACCAAAUCGGGCUCCACCAUAUCACCUAUUAACGACCACCUGUCCUUAUCAUAAAUAGCAAAUGUCACUUGUUUUAUUUUGUAUUUUACCAAAAGCAAAGUCACUACGAGCACUAAUGAAAGUGACCCCAAUUUUGGGGGUCAUGAACUUGGGAUUAUUAUGGACACAAGAGACAAGCGCAAUGUUUCUCAUUUCUCACUAGAUAAGAUUUAAGUUAUCAACCCAAUAUUAAUAAAUUCUGCUUGAAAAGUAAAGUUUGAAGCUUCAUUUUGCGAAUAUUCAAUGGUUAACAUUUAAGGGUGCGUUUGGGAUUGAGGUUGGGCAGCUGUAGCUUAAAAGCUACAGUACUAAAGUGUUUGGUAAACACUAGCUACUGUAGCUUUUAAGCUAUGUUGAUAUAAUUUUUCACUUGUAUAAUAUAAAAUUUAUUAUAUCUUUAAUAAUUUUGAUAAAAUUAUUAUUUAAAAUUUAUAUUUACUAUAUAUUAUUAACUUUUAUUUCAUAAUUACAGCUUUUUUUUCACAGCAGCUGUAGCUUAAAAGCUACAGCACCUCAAUCCCAAACACACCCUAAGUAAUUAACCUGAUAUUAAUCCAAUUAAACUUUUUAUGUAAUCCAAGUCAAACAUAUAUUGAUAAACCUAAAUUAAUCUAAUUGGACAUAUUAUUUCAACUUGAAAAGGUGAAUCUAUCAUUUUUCAAUUAAUUUUGAAUCAAGCUAUGUAAAAUAUAAGCUUAUUAAGGACAUAUUUGAAAAAUUCAAAUUGAAUUAUUUGACAAUUACAUUUCAACUAAGUUGUACUGCUAAUUAACUUCCUCAACUUAAAAUGUAUUUUUCUCAAUUAAUUCGUAACAAAGAAUGUUAGAUGUUUUGUUCGAAUAAUAACAUUCAACAUCCUUAUUCUUUAUGAUUAUUGCAUAAAAAAUAUAUUUUAUCCAUUUACGUCACAUAUGUUCCUAAAUUGUAUAAGAAAAUCACUAAAUUUACUCUUGUAAGUUACUAUAUCAAUGAACAUGAAAUUAACUAAUCAUUAAAGUCUCGGAAUGACAUCAUGAGGGGGAUUCAGUUACAUUUAUUGAUAGGAUUAUAUAUAUACCUUCUCAAAUAUUAGUAAGAGCAAUUAAACAGAUGCAGCAAUUAAAAAUAUGGAAUUACUUAUCUCGUCAAUAACUAACGAUAUUUUUUAUCUAUGCUCGAUAGGCGUCUGAGCUAUAUUAUAAAUUGUAAUAUUUGUAGAUUGUAACAAUUAUUAAAAAAAAAAAAAAAAGCUCCCUAAGACUAAAUGACAAAAGGACUGUUUUGAAAUAGAUAGAUAAAAUAUGCCCUUAUUUGAGAAAAGGUAAAACACUAGGGAUCUAAAUGUUAUUAUAAUCCCAUGCACAAAAAUACCAGAAAAAACUAAUAACAACUAACCGAAAAUCCCAGGCGUCAUAUUCCUUUUUACCGCGUUUUAAAAUGCAACAAUGAUAUCACUACUACAAAAAUGACAUUUACUGACACUUUGUUUCUGACACUUAGUAAAAAGUGUCAGAAAUGGUGUACAUUUGGACCAUUUUCCUCCUUUAACAAGUAUGUAUCAUAAAUCAUUGAUACUAAGGUGUCAGUAGCUUAAAACUCAGUGAUUAUUGAUACUAAAGCAUCAGUGAUAAAAAAAUAAUAGUAUUAAUUUUGUUUUAAUUUGAACUCGAACUCAAGAUCUCUAAACUUAAAAUUUGUAAGUUUAGAGUGCAAACCAUUGAUGCAAGUGUUUUUAAAUUUUCAAUUUGAUUAAUUUUUUUAUUUAAUUAAAUUUUAUACAAUUACUUUGUGGACAAUAAUAAUAAUAAUAAUAGUUUUGAGAAUAAUAUUUUUUAUUUUGCCACAUGUCAGCUUGUAAUUCGUUGUUAAUAAUAAUAAUUUUACUUGACCACGUGUCGACUUAUAGUUUGUUGUUUUAUUAAAUUACAAUGCGAACAACUACACUAUAUAAUUUUUCAAAGUAUAAAAUGAAAAUAAGAAACCCUAAAUCUAACCUAAUCAAACACACCACUUCUUAAGUUGCUGCCGCCGCUCCCCUGCUCCUUGACUUUCACUGCUGCCGGCCGCUGCUCCUCGACUUUCACUGCUGUCGGCUGUCGUUCCUUGACGUCACUGCCGCCUUUGCUCUGCUGUUGCCAAGCUUCAGCCACCGACGACUAGCUAGCCACCUUUCAGUACGUCGCUGCUACCACUUUUAUGCCGUCACAUCAACUUCAGCUCAGCCAGCCACCGUUCCUUUACCGCCGAGAUCAAGAACCAUUUCUUUCUCUUCUCUCUUUUGGUACAGGUAUGAAAAUAUUGCAGAGGAGUUAAUCUGUUAAUUACCUUUCUGUACGUCGCUGCUGUCAUUCGUGUACGUCAUUGCUGCUACUCAUCUUGGUCACUGCUGCCGCUCCUCUGCCGCCACGACAAGCUUCAGCCUUUUUGACAAAACAUUUCACUUGGAAUUAUAAGCAAACCCUUUUGAGACCAUAAAAAACUAAGCCAAUUUCUUUGGUUUCAAGGCCUUGUUUUUUCACUUUGAAAUCGGAUCAUACAAUGACAAGCCAAUUGAAAACUUCUGUUCAAGAUUUCAUUGUUAAAUUCAGCUUUAUUUUUAUUAUUUGUGUUCCUUUCAUUUUCUUUCCCUUUUUUUGAUUUUUAAUUCAAUUUGGGAUUUGACAGAUAUAUUUUUUAAUUUUUAUAAAAAUUUAUCUUAUUUGCAGGAUGCUAAGGGACAGGAUGUUGAUCUUAGCAUCUACAAGGGAAAGGUUCUUUUGAUUGUCAAUCUUGCAUCACAAUGGUGUGCCUCAGCUCCUUUCAUUUUUAAUUUUUUUUCCAUAAUGAUUUAUUGAUUAUUGUUGAUGCUUCCAUUUAAUUAAUGCUAAUACGUGUUAUCUAUCUAUCGGGAGUCUAAAUUUUAUAGAAUUAUAUCAUACUCGGAAGUAUGCAUGCUCCCAAUACAAAUAAGUGUUUAUAAGAGAGGAUUUCACCCAAAAUCUUUAAUUCUUGCAAAAUGCUAGUGGCUCCGUUUGCACAAGUUUAGUUUUCAUCCAUGUUCGUUCCUUUACCAUAGCGGUUCCUUUACCACUGAGGUCAGACACCAUUUCUUUCUCUUCUCUGUUUUGGCACAGGUAUGAAAAUACUACAGAGAAGUUUCUCUAUUAAUUACCUUUUAUGAAAAUAAUAUAUAUAUAUUAUUCACAUGUUUAAUUGAGAACAUCUAAUAAUAUAGUAAUAAUAUAGUGGGCAAACUAUAGGAAGGUUGUUAGUAGACAAUUCUAAUUUUAGCUUUACUUUGCAAAUGAAAGAUUAGAAAUAUUCCGUCGAACCCAUUUUACUAUAUUGGAGGUUUGGGCUAAUCUUGUAUAGAUUUUUGCUCAGAAGAAGGAUGGUUCUCCAAGGGCGGUGGGUUGGUUUUUCUAUAGACUAUUCCCCUAUUUUCCCAUUUUGCUUUUCUUUGAGGAAACCUGGUCCAUUUUUUUUGUGUUUUCUUUCUUCAAUCAAAUAUGUAUUUCUCAAUCUCCUCUCAAAAAAUACCUAUCUCAUUUUAUUAUAUGUUUAUGAAUUACUAAUUGUAUUUUGUUAGUAUUCCAUGUUCGAAGAAGAAUAUUAGAUUGAAGAAAGAAGAAUAUUAGAUUGAAGAAAGAAGAAGUUGUUCCUUUGCUAAUCGUUUGAAACCCAGGUUUGCACUGAAUCUGAUUUUUAUCUUUAACUUUUUUACUUGACCCAUACUUGAAUCAAAUUUUUGCUCCACUUUCCUUUCUUUCGUCAAUUUAAUUAUCAAUCCACUUCAAACCUAAAAAGAUUUAGUAAUUGGGAAACCCUUUUUUUUUUAAAGAAUUGCAAAGUACUGUAAUUGGAAACUGGGUUCAUGUCUUAAAAAGUAACCUGAUUUGUAAUGUUUGGCUUAUAGUGGCCUUCUAUUUCUGUUUUUCAUCUCGGCUUGGUUAAUUUCUUUACUAGUCGUUUAAAUUUUGUUAAUUUUUAUUUUUCCUCUUUAAGCUCAUUAAAUAUCUUUUUUUUUUCAAUUUAUGGCUUUCGGUCCAACUGAUCAUCGUUGAAUGUGGGCACUAUAAAUGUUAUAGUGCUUGUUAACUUAAUGUAUUUGAUCAUAUAUUAUAGUAUUGUUUACUUUAAAUUUAGACAAUGAAAUAGAUUACAAAAAAAAUAACUUAUGCUUGUCAAGUUGUAGACACCAUCGUUCAUGUCAUCAUUACUGAAUAUUGAUGUACUUAUUAAGUGUUCUCUUUAAUACUUGAUAGAAUACUUUUGGUGAAGCAAUUUUGGUAUCAUGAUUGCAGGCUGUAAUUAACUUGGGAACGUGUAGAUUCUACAAUUUCUUUUUCUGAUUCCUUAACUUGCUUCUUUUAAUCCUACUCUUCUAUGUUGAAGUAAUUUAUGAAUAUUUUUGCUUCAAAAUAACUAAGAUAUAUUUUUCACAGUAUACUAAUUGAUUUUAUGCAUUUGUAGGUGGGAAAAAAAUGAAGCCGUGGAUGGAUAUUGAGUGACCUUGUGCUUUUUUUUUUUUUUUUUUGGGUUGGAAACUUAAUUGAGUAGUAGUUAGCACUUGUUGUUUAGAGAUUGUUGAAAAUUUAAUUUGAUACUUAUGUUAAGUCUUUUACAUAUAGUGAUGUAGUUGAAUUGUGUGAAUUUAUGUGAUGUAUUUGAGAUGUUUAUUAUAUGAAUUGUGUUGCAAGAUAUUUAAUAAUAAAUAUAUUUCGUGUUUUCUUUUGGUUGUACAACAAACACGAAAAAUAUAAUUAAAAUAAAAAUAUACUAUUAACCAAAAGCAGUAUAACAUUACUAAAUACUGACACUACAUAUUUAAAAUAACAAUAAGAAUUUUUUAUAUUAUCGAGUCAGUUUCUGAUACUAUAGUCACAUAAAUUACUGACAUGUAAAUAGUAUCAUUAAAUACCAACAUCAUCGUGUCAUUAUUUUAGUGAUACUAUAGUGAAACAAAUUACUGACACAAAAAUUACUGACACCAAAAAUUAGUGUCAGUGUGUUCUGGCUUGAGCAACACUGACACAAUUAACAAGUGUCAAUAAAAGUAAUUACUGACGCUAAAUUAGUGUCAGUAAAACUCAUUUUUCUAGUAGUGUAUUCUCACAAAAGUUGGUACAAAGGUUUGUACAACCAGGGCCUCUUUGUAAAUUAUUUCAAAGUUUUGUGUUAUUUUUUAAAUUUAUGAAUUUUGUUAAUUUUGAUUGAUUGGAGCAUUUCUCCUUCCAUCUCUUCUACAUCUAUCUUUAAAUUUCUUUAAAAUUUUGACUAUAUCUUUAUAGAGUUCUAAAUGAUUAUCUUUUUCAUAAAAAUCUAUACUUAAAUUAAUCCCUGAAUUUAUAAUCAUUUGUCUUCUUUGAGUCAUAGACCAAAUUUUUUCUUCUAACAUAUCUAUAUAUACUCCUAAGCUAUCUUUGCAGCUUAGAUACAUUCUAUCAAAGCUUUCGCAUAUAAAUUGUAAUUUGAGAUCUGCAUCUUGAAUCAACAUGUCUAUAUUAUCCAUUGUUUUACGCUCGAUUUUGAGUUCUAUUAUUAGUCUUGCACAUGUCUUGGAUUAUUUCGAGGGUAGUUAAAAUUGAUUCUAUUAAUGCUAUCCUGUUUUCUUCUUCAAAAGAAUCAAAUAUUUCUGAAUCAUUAAUUUCUUUUAUUUCUUCAUACAAGCGUUUGUUUGUCGCUAAUCUUGUUUUAAUCAAGGAAACUGUAUAAGCAGCUUGAUAUUCUUGACAAAAGUCUAAAUGAUCUAUUGCAUCUAGAAAUUUAUUAAUAGAUCUUUCCAUUUUUAAGAAAUUGAGUUACUCUUAUCACUUCCAAUCUUUUAACAUCUCAGAAAACAAACAAGGCCCAACAUGCUUCCGUUUGUAGCUAAAAUAAAAGAAGAGUUCAUAUCACUAACCAGUGUAAUAUCUCUCGGAAUUCUGAGAUAGACUCACUAAUUGCCUCUAACCAUAGAGAGGUCCAUGGUUAGCACCACUAUAGCUCCACAUAUCAUACAAAAUCACUUCAACGACUGUUCCAUAUGGCCCAAAGCAACACACAGCAGACUGGCCUAAUAGGAUAUGUUUAAGUGAUUUUCUUGCAGUUGUCUCUGGAAGAGUGCUUAGUAAUAGAAAAUCUUCUUCGUUUAGUACAAGUAUUGGCAUGUAAGGUUCUUGGUUAAUUUUUAAAAGAUGUAUAAGAUAUCUAGAAGAUGAUAAUUUCACUCAAAAGAGUUUUAUUUAUUCCAUCAUUGAAAUUGUUUACAGAGGAAGGUUACAGAGAAUACAGAGGUAAUUGAAGGUUAGACAUCUGAUAUAUUUCCUUUCUUACAUGCUUUCAUUUAUAUAUCUCUCUAGAGAUAAGAUUAUUUCUUUUACAUAACACAUGUUCGAUCCUUGUGGUGGAAUCUCAAUUUCCUUUUGAUAAGGUGACCCCUUCUUUAUCAUUGAAGCUAGUAGUUGUCUUCUUUUCAUGUUGGCAGACAUGAAAUAUCUGGUUCUGGUGAGCUUUUUCUUUUUUGGAAUCUGUCUUUUUGAAUUAUUGAUACUUUUUGGAUAGCACCUUUUAUCUUUUUCAGUGGUCCUCGUCACGUGCCAAUUAUCAGAUCUUCAUCUAUAGACAUGUCUUCCCCACUAGAAUCUCUUUUUUUGAUCCUUCGUAGUAGUAGCCACAUGAUGAUUGAUGCUUUAGCACCUUAUAUAUCUCGUGGUGUGUUAGCAAGGUGGAUUCCACGAGAUUUUCGAAUAUGCCCUUUUUCUUUUCUAAUAUGUUAUCCUCAUCUUUAUCAAAUUCACAUUUACAAUAUAAUUCUUUGAAGCUACAUGUAUAUUCUUCUAAAUAACAUAUAUUACAUAUUUCAAGCCUUGUUAGCUUCAUUAAAUUUUCUAUCUGUUUUCUUUUUAUUUCUUGUUGAAAAUCAAUUUCCUAAUCUUCUCCCAAGAAUUUUUUUCUUAUUUCAUUUUUGAAUCUAUUUAAAACCUGAUCAACACUUUCGUUUCGAUUAUUAUUUUCUCCAUACAAUAUUCUAUUUUUAUGGUUAUCAUUUAAUCCCAUAAACCAAUGAGAAACAAUUCCUAUAAACGAAAUUUUAAGGAAUUCUAUACUAUUAUCCCUAUCAAUUUUGUGAAAUGCAAAAGCCAUUUUCAUAGAUUUAACCCAAGCGGUAAUCGUUUUAUCUCUAUCUUUGAUACAGUCUAAAUCUAACCAUACACCAUCAUGGUUGAUUGGUCUUUCUCUAUAUUCUCCUGGAGUUUUAUAAUCUUUUUUAGGCUUGUUAAUCCUAAAAUAUUGACCUUGUAAUCUUUCCUGAGUUGGUAUUUCUUCCCUAACAUAGGAAGCUCCAUUACUAGUUUCUCCUUGUUAAAAACCAUUUGGCUUUGAUUCAUUCAUUUUUAGAUGUUCUAUUCUAUUUUCAAUAUCCUGCAAAUUAAUGACUAUAUCACCUUCUUCUUCGGAUUCAGAUUCUUUAUUAGAUAUCUCUUGAUUAGGUAAUUCUAUGUUUUCACUUAGCAUUCUUAGACUUAUUAAUUUUUUGUCUUUGUUUAUUUUGUUAAAUAUCGGUUUAGAUAUUGUUAUCAUUUCUUUAUCUUUAAGUUCAUUAUAGUAAAUUAUGGUAUCUUGUAAAAUUUUGUUUUGUUUAUUGAUCUUCUGUACUUCAAUCCUUUUGUAAUUUUCCAUUUAUGCUUAUAGCGAAUUUAUUACCAAGUUGUUCAACAAUUUUUUCAAAUUUUUGUAGUUGGAUUUCAAUCUUGUUUGAAUUUAUUUUCAAUUGAACUUUUGUUCAUAAUAUUAAAGAUUUCUUGUUUUAAUCUAUCUUGAUCUUCAAUAUUAAAGUCUUUUAUUAAUAGCUUAACAAAAUCAAAUUCUUCACUCAUUCGCUCUCCUAUCAUUUUGACUUGUCUUAUAUUUUCAGCAUCAAAGCUUUUAAUCUCAAGUAUCUCAUUUAUACUUUCUAUAUCAUCUAUGGUUAAAUUAGGGUUUCCUAAUUUAUUUAAUAAAUAUAAUGAAAUCCAAUUUAAUUGAUUAUUUCCCCACAUAUCGGAAUCAUUUACUAAAUCAAAUGGUUGAAAUCUUCCAUAAGUAAAUCCUCUAUGCCUAUAGCUAGAAGGUGGUAAUAUGUUGGUUUCAAUAUUUUGAGAAAUUAACAAUGGUUUUGGUAAUUUAUUCAUAGUACCAUCUGCAUAAUAUCUCAUUAUAUUCUAAUAAGUAUUUAUGACAUAUAAUAUUUCUUAUAUCCUUAGGGAUAUUGUUUUAUGUUAAUCCUUUAUGUAUAUAGCAAAGUUUAUACAUAAUUAAAUCUUUAUAUCCUAUUAGCAUGUUGCUAGAAGGAUAAUAUUUACUUCUGAUUCUUUUAUUUUUCCAAUUGUAUUCACCUCGUUGUUUAACAUUUAAAAAUCCGUUGUAAUCUAUUAUAAGAUCAUCUACAUAAUCUUCAAUAGAGUUAAUAUUCCAUUGUUUCCAUGAAAAAUUAUUUCUAUAUACUUCUCUCCUGAUCCUAAAGAGAAGAAUAGGAUCAAUAUUUAAAUUUCUAAUUUUUAUUAUGAUGAGUUCUCCAAUUUUAAAUUCAUGAACUCUAACUAAAUAAAACUGUAUUAAUUGUUUAUCAUCCAAUAUAUUAACUUCUGAAUAAUAAUAUUGUUUAUGUUUUGUUAUAUUAUCUUUAAUUGUAUUUCUAUCUAUCAUUAAAUUAUAUCUUCCAUUAUUAAUGGAAUAAAUAACUGUUUCGUCUAUUUUUAUAUUUUAAACCAAAAACUUGGCUCUAAUACCGUUUUGCAGAAAUCAACUAAACCCAAAAUCCAAAUGAAUUCAAAUAGGGAUGUAUAUGAUUAAUUGUUAAGAUUUUAUCUAAAUUUUGUAAUUAUAAUUUUUCAAAACUCACAGUUUUGUGCAAUCAUUUGUGUAAUCCGUUGUGAGAAUGUCUUUUUCCUUGCAUCUAAGGCAACAAAGUGGAAAACGCGUACCAACGACUCACAUAACAAUAUAACAUCUGUCCCGGAUGGAGCCGGUUGUUCAUGUCAGCAACCUACUUUGAAACGACACGUGGACCGCAAUUUGUUCUUGUUCUCAACGUUGCUAUGAAAGAAAGCAUUUUUUUCCCCUUUUCUUCUUCAUUUUUUAAAGAAAUAUUUUACUAUAUAUUUAAAAAAAAAAAUCGUUGCAAUCUGAAGAUAUUAAAUUGUGGAUCUUGUAUUGUGUGAUAAGUCCGGCAUGCAAUUUUGGGCCAGCAUACCGCGCGCAUGGGAGCAUUCACAAAGAAUCUCUCGUCACUAUCGAAAACUUUUAAUAGUCAAUACAAAUGCUUCCGUUUCAUCCCAUAAACAGAUAAAAUUCACAUCUGUACACAUCUACUUUUCUUUGCUAGAUAGAGUUCCUCUGCAUUUCCCAAUUGCCUAAAGAGAAGGGGAAAAGAAAAAGAGGGCCAAAAAAUGCCUGAAAUGGUAAGGAACAAGCAAGUGAUAUUGAAGGACUAUGUGUCUGGUUUCCCAAAAGAAACAGACAUGUACAUGACCGAAAGUUCCAUAGAAUUGAAGGUGCCAAAAGGUUCAAAUGGGGUUCUUUUAAAGAACUUGUUUGGGAGAAAUACGUCGACGAGACCAGGCAUGGUGAGCAUAUAUCUGAUGGCAGAGUUCUGCGAACCGGUGUGUUCCGUAAAAGCCUGGUGCACGGGGGAACAGGAGCAGAAGUAUCCUGCUCGUCCACGAGCACGUCAUCCGCGAGGCCAAUUUCCUGUAAGAGGCAUAAGGUCAUUCCGGCUAGAGGUCGAGAGGCGAGGAGACCCGGUCGACGGCAGUUGGCAAGACAUGCUCCCCAGCCCGAGAAUCUAGGCACGACAGCCACGCUUUCCCCAGAACCGUGGCGUAACACGCAAGAUCUCACAGAACCACGACAGCCACGCUUUCCCCAGAACCGUGGCGUAACACGCAAGAUCUCACAGAACCACGACAGCCACGCUUUCCCCAGAACCGUGGCGUAACACGCAAGAUCUCACAGAACCACGACAGCCACGCUUUCCCCAGAACCGUGGCGUAACACGCAAGAUCUCACAGAACCACGACAACCACGCUUUCCCCAGAACCGUGGCGUAACACGCAAGAUCUCACAGAACCACGACAGCCACGCUUUCCCCAGAACCGUGGCGUAACACGCAAGAUCCCACGUUUGCCCAUAACGCAGCAGUCAGAGUCCCAUACCGUCUCGGAAAAAGCGGAAAACUGGGAUUCAGGGGAAGCCUAUAAAAAGGUAGCCAACGAAGGUAAAAGGGUUGGCAUUUUUGAGAUUAUAAAAGAAAUGAAAAAAGAAGAGAAAACGACGAGAAAGCCAUAAGAUCUGUGGCAAGUGUCCCCCGAACCUUCAUAUCUGACUUGAGCGUCGGAGGGUUUGCGCCGGGAAAACAACCGGCGUACUCUGACUUGUCUGUGUGCGCAGGAACCUCUGGAGAAGAAGCCUCACGUGGAGACCUCCUGGUCGUGAAGAAGUUGAUCGGACAGAGAUCCUGGUCGUAGAACGAGGAGAACCAGAAUCCCGCAUCAACAUUUUGGCGCCGUCUGUGGGGAGUGGAGCAAAAAGCUUCUGUUGAUAGCAAGAAGAGGGGUGAAGCAAGUGAAAAGCAAUGGAGACAGGAGGAAGUAGUGCACAAGGGGGUGAUAGGAUUAACGAUUCCGUGACGCUGAGGGAGAUAGUCAGUGAAGCACGGGAAAAAGUCAUGUUCGACCGGAUGGAACGGAUAGAAAAGCAGAUGGAGACCUUGACAACCAUCCUGCAUGAGCUGCGGAGCGAGCGAAGUAUAAUCCAAGAGGGAAGGGUGAGAGGCGGUGGAGUGGCACCAGGUCCCGAUAGUGCGGGGAGAAGUCAAACCACCGGGAGAUUUGGUGGUGAGAGAGGUAACGUACCUCUGCGGGGAGAAUUUCAUAGAGAAAGAGAGCAGUCCCCGGCAAGACAGACUGGCGACGAGGACGACGGGGUGGUGAAUGCAGAGGAAACAGAGUUGAGGCAACACUUGCAUGAUGUAGAGCAAGAGCGGGAUUAAGUCGCAGCACGUGACCCUGGUCGUGCAGUGCAGCUGGAGGAGGAAGUGCGCAGACUAGCGCAGAUAAUCGACGACAUGCAAGGAAGGAACAGAGCCCCUGGUUGGAGGAUAAUGCUGGAUGGAGAAUCACCGCUCGCAGCAGAGAUCAUGAGGGCAGUUAUUCCGAGAGAUUUCCGCCUCCCAGACCUCAGAUACUCGGGAAGAACUGAUCCGUUGGUGCACAUAGAGCGCUUCAACGACAUAACUAGGGUACAAGGAUUAUCUCAAUCCCAAAGGUGCAGAGUGUUCCCACUAUCCCUUGAGGGACGUGCACGAGAAUGGUACAGGAAACUUCCUCGGGGCAGCAUUAAAACCUUCGAGCAGAUGUGCUAGGAAUUCGCGGAGCAGUUUAGUGGGGCAAUGGCGCCGGAAGAUGACAUGAUGGAGCUGAAAAGCAUGAAACAGGGGGAGCAAGAAACCCUUCGGGAAUUCAUCAAGAGGUUUCAUCGGGCUGUCCUCGACUUGGGAGCCUUCAACCACCCUCAGGCGUUAAGGGGAUUGAAAGAAGGGGUGAAGAUAGGAAGGCUGUGGUACAAUUUGAGAAGCCCAGCUAUUCAAACGUAUGCAGCCGCAUACGAACAGGCUAAGAGAGACAUCGAGAUUGAAGAGGAGAAGGCUGCACGGAUUAAGACAGACCAGUUAGAAGGGCUGGGGAGGAAAGAGAAGAAAGCAUUACCGGGGAAUGGGCCGAUCAGGAGGAGGGACCACCAGGCCUCCGGUAGUGGAGCAGGAGGUCGGGUAGCCGCUUACCAGCCUCAUCAAAGGCCACCACAGUAUCAGCGCAGCAGGGCGCAACCUCCUCGUUCCCCAGCUAGGGAGCCUUGGAAAAGGCAUGAGUCGGCAUCUGGUGGUCUCCAACAACACCCCCACGGUAUCAGAGCGAGCAGACCAGAAGUACUUCCACCGCCCCCAACUCAGAGCGGGGCAAACAGGGAAAGAGCAGUGCACCUGAUCGACCAGAACCCGGACUAUGGGCGGUACACUUCCUUGAAGAUGUCCCUGGAUGAGGUGUACGAGGCCAUAAAGGAUCGAGGGCUGCUACACCUCCCUACACCAAUAACAAAGCUACCUAACAGGAGGGAUAGAGGACGUUAUUGUAAGUUCCAUGGCACCCAUGGCCAUACCACAGCAGAGUGUAGAGAUCUCAAGACCCAGGUCGAAGAUUUGGUGAGAAAUCGGUACCUGGACGAGUUUAUGGAUGGGACUUUCCCGAUGGGGGCCACAACAGGUGAAGGGGAGCAGAGUGGCGGAAACGUGAGGCGCGAGCAGCCCGCAGUAAGGGUGAUAGCUGGGGGCCCGACAUUGGCCGGAGAUUCCAACAGAUCGAGAAAAAAUUAUGCUAGGUACGCCAUGACCAGUAAAGAGGUACUCCUCAACACCCCAGCAGCCAAACGAGCAAGGGUCAGGCAAGUGCCAAUCAUGUGGACGGAUGAGGAUGAGGAAGGGAUUCUAUACCCCCAUGAGGAUGCUUUAGUCAUCAAGGCUACUGUCGCUAGCAAGAAGUUUGACCGGAUACUGAUUGAUACAGGGAGCUCAGUUGAUGUGUUAUUUAAGUCAACCCUGGAAGAGAUGGGAAUAGCCGACCGGAAGUUGGAAUAUACCAAUACCUCCUUGAAGGGGUUCGGAGGAGGGAAGCUGGUCCCUCUGGGCGUGGUCGAGCUGCCUAUCACAAUUGGGAGCUCCCCGACAGAAAGAACAAUGAUACUGGACUUUGUCGUAGUGGAUGAGGAAGGUCCUUACCAGAUGAUCCUAGGUCGGCCAUUUUUAAGGAUGAGCAAAGCGGUGUUGUCCAAUCAUUAUCUGGCUCUGAAGUACCGGGUGAACGGGGUAGUAGGAGUGGUACGAGGAGACCAGAGGAUCGCAAGAAGCUGCUACUCCUCGGCAGCAAGGGAAGCAAUGCAGAUAACAUCCCUCGAUACCCGAGUGGAAAACAAGAAGGGCAGACAAGAACCUGUAGAGGAUCUGGAAACAGUAAGCCUGGGACCAGAGAACCCGGGAAAGAUGAUCAGAAUCGGGUCGAGACUUAAGGGAGAGCAAAAGCAGGAGUUGGUGAAAUGCUUACAGGCUCAUGCUGAUGUGUUUGCUUGGACACAUGAAGACAUGCCAGGGAUUGACCCUGAGGUAGCAUGUCAUAAGCUGGCAAUAAAGAAAGGUGCUCGGGCAGUAAGGCAGAAGAGGAGGUGUUUCAACCAGGAGAGGUAUGAGGCUAUAAAUGGCGAGGUGGAGAAGCUCUUGAGAGCAGGGUUCAUUCGGGAAGUCAGUUACCCUGAGUGGAUAUCGAAUGUGGUGUUGGUAAAGAAGGCAAACGGCAAGUGGAGGAUGUGUGUGGAUUUCACAGACCUCAAUAAGGCGUGCCCAAAAGACAGCUUCCCUUUACCAAAGAUCGAUCAGCUAGUAGAUUCAACGGCUGGACAUGGUCUGCUUAGCUUCAUGGACGCGUUCUCGGGAUACAACCAGAUCCCCAUGUACGAGCAGGAUGAGGAGAGCACGGCUUUCAUCACUAACCAAGGUUUGUUCUGUUACAGGGUAAUGCCAUUCGGUCUCAAAAAUGCCGGGGCCACCUAUCAAAGGCUGGUGAACAAAGUCUUUAAGCCGUUGAUUGGGAAAACCAUGGAGGUGUACGUGGAUGACAUGAUCACCAAGUCCAAAAUCCCGGAGGAACAUGUCAGACACCUCGAGGAGACAUUCGAGCUUUUGAGGAAGUAUAAGAUGAAGCUCAACCCGGAGAAGUGUGCUUUUGGGGUCGAGUCGGGGAAAUUCCUUGGAUUCAUGGUGAGCCAUAGGGGGAUUGAAGCAAAUCCCGAGAAAAUCCAGGCGAUUGUGCAAAUGACGUCUCCCCGUAACCUGAAGGAGAUGCAGAGCCUCACGGGGAGGUUGGCGGCGUUGAGCAGAUUCAUAGCCAAGGCUACAGAUAAGUGUCAGCCGUUCUUUCAAGUGAUGAGGAGGGGAAAGAAAACAGAAUGGACCUCAGAAUGCGAGGAAGCCUUCCGGAACUUGAAGCAAUACUUGCAGCAAGCUCCGCUGCUGUCCACACCGAGGGAUGGGGACAAGUUAUAUCUGUAUUUAGCGGUAUCGGCUCGGGCCGUCAGUUCUGUUCUGGUGAGAGAGGAAGAAGGAGUUCAGUAUCCGAUAUAUUACACCAGCAAGGCCCUGCUCGACGCUGAGACCAGAUACCCACCGUUGGAGAAAUGGGCACUUGCCCUUGUGGUUGCUGCUCGGAAGUUGAGGCCAUAUUUUCAAGCAUUCCCGGUCUUGGUAAUAACAAACCAGCCAUUGCGUCAAACUCUGCACAAGCCAGAUGCCUCUGGUCGGCUCGUCAAGUGGGCUGUAGAGCUGAGCGAGUUCGACAUAGACUAUAAGCCCCGCGCAGCGAUAAAAGCCCAGGCAAUGGCCGAUUUCGUAGCUGAAUUCACAGAGCCCGAAGUAUGCUUAGAUCAACAAGAGGCAGAUAUAGGCAAUGACGAAACUCAAGUAUGGCAGAUGUCUGUGGAUGGGUCAUCAGGGGAGCGGGGUUCAGGAGUAGGGAUUGUCUUGGAAGGCCCAGAGGGGGAGGAGAUCUCUUAUGCUGUAAAAUUGGAAUUUGCAGCCACGAAUAACCAGGCAGAGUAUGAAGCCUUGAUAGCAGGUCUGGAAUUGGCUAAGGCCGUGAAAGCAAACAAAGUUAAGAUCAGAACUGAUUCCCAGCUGGUAGCGAAUCAUGUCAGUGAAAGAUUCCAACCAAGAGAGGAGAAGAUGGGGCAGUACCUGAAGAUAGUCAAGCAGAUGAUGGGGAAGUUCGAAGCAGUGGAGGUGAUACAGAUCCCCAGGGAGCAGAAUAGUCGAGCAGACAUUUUGGCUAGGAUGGCAGCAGUAGCCGACCCAAAAAUGCCAAAGUCGGUCCCUCUGGAGGUGAAGUCCGGCCCAAGUAUCGAUCAGAAUUUGGGGGUGAUGCGGAUAGAACAAAAAUGCUCGUGGAGGGACCCGAUAGUUUCAUACCUUAGAGACGGGGUAUUACCACCAGAUAAGAUGCGAGCUCGCAAGCUUAGAGCCCAGGCCUCGAGAUACACGAUGAUUGAUGGGGUACUGUAUCGGCGAGGAUAUACACUACCGUUCCUUCGGUGUUUGGAUGAGGACGACGCGGAUUACGUACUAAGAGAAGUACACGAAGGAAUUUGCGGAAAUCAUUCUGGCGGGAGGUCCCUGGCCCAUAAGGUUCUAAGGCAGGGAUAUUUCUGGCCGACAAUGCACCAGGAUGCGCAAGAGAAGACCAGGAGUUGUGUAAGUUGCCAGAGUUUUGCAAAUUUCUCUAACCAACCACCAGAGAAGCUUACCUCCAUGACCUCCCCCUGGCCAUUUGCUCAAUGGGGAAUUGAUCUGAUCGGCCCAUUGCCAAAGGCACGGGGAGCAGCAACACAUGCAAUAGUUGCUAUAGAUUACUUCACGAAGUGGAUAGAGGUAGAAGCCCUUAGCAGGAUCACAGAGAAGAAAACAACAGACUUCGUGUGGAGAAACCUGGUCUGUCGAUACGGGAUCCCUUAUGCCUUGGUAACGGAUAAUGGCAGGCAGUUCGAUAACCACAGCUUCAGGGAUUUCUGCCAGAACCUCGGGAUAGAGCUGAAGUAUUGCUCGCCUGCUCACCCUCAAUUGAAUGGACAAGUAGAAGCAGCCAACAAGACCAUCAAGAGGCUUUUAAAAACCAGGCUUGGAGCAAAAAAGGGUGCGUGGGUUGACGAGCUGUCAGGUGUGCUAUGGGCAUACAGAACAACCCACAAAACCGCAACUGGGGAGACACCGUUCGCUUUGGCUUUCGGACAUGAAGCGGUCGUGCCGGCUGAGAUAGGAACGACCACACACCGGACAAAUCAUUUCAAUGAGCAGGAGAACGACGAGCAGAUAUGUUUGAAUCUUGAUCUGCUAACGGAAAGGUGGGAGCAAGCAGCCGAGCGAUCAGUCAUUUACCAACAGAGGGUUGCUCGGUAUUAUAACCAGAAGGUGAACAUACGGCAAUUCAGGGUCGGAGACUGGGUACUGAGAAGAGUGAAUCAGAGCACCAAAGAUUCGACUCAAGGAGUGCUGGGACCGAAUUGGGAAGGGCCAUAUAGAGUCAAGCAGAUAGCGGGACCCGGAGCUUACAGGCUGGUUCGCACGGACGGCCACGAGGUGAAACGCCCAUGGAACGCAGCACACCUCCGAAAAUACUUCCAGUAAGACUUGUUCACAUGUGAAAACUAUUUUUGCUCAUGUUCAUUACCGUUUAUCUUUCACGCUUAUUGUCCAAACAAUUUCAUGUAAGUCGAAUCCUGCCAUUAAUGGAACGUCGAGGAAUUUCUUUCGCUUGAAACCGAGAAAAUUUUCCAAGGCAUGCAAAGGCUCACCAAGUCUCAAAGCCUGUCUUAUGGCGAGACAGAAGCCAAGCAUGCCAGGAUCUGCUCGGCCACGAGAAGGCAAGCAGAAUCCCAAUCCUCGAAGAAUCCAAGGCAUGCAAAGGCUCACCAAGUCUCAAAGCCUGUCUUAUGGCGAGACAGAAGCCAAGCAUGCCAGGAUCUGCUCGGCCACGAGAAGGCAAGCAGAAUCCCAAUCCUCGAAGAAUCCAAGGCAUGCAAAGGCUCACCAAGUCUCAAAGCCUGUUUUAUGGCGAGACAGAAGCCAAGCAUGCCAGGAUCUGCUCGGCCACUAGAAGGCGAGCAGACUCCAAAGCAUUCGAAGAAAUGCCCAAGGCAUGCAAAGGCUCGACAAAGUCUCAAAGCCUGUUUUAUGGCGAGACAGAAGCCAAGCAUGCCAGGAUCUGCUCGGCCACUAGAAGGCGAGCAGACUCCAAAGCAUUCGAAGAAAUGCCCAAGGCAUGCAAAGGCUCGACAAAGUCUCAAAGCCUGUUUUAUGGCGAGACAGAAGCCAAGCAUGCCAGGAUCUGCUCGACUACUAGAAGGCGAGCAGACUCCAAAGCAUUCGAAGAAAUGCCCAAGGCAUGCAAAGGCUCGACAAAGUCUCAAAGCCUGUUUUAUGGCGAGACAGAAGCCAAGCAUGCCAGGAUCUGCUCGGCCACUAGAAGGCGAGCAGACUCCAAAGCAUUCGAAGAAAUGCCCAAGGCAUGCAAAGGCUCGACAAAGUCUCAAAGCCUGUUUUAUGGCGAGACAGAAGCCAAGCAUGCCAGGAUCUGCUCGGCCACUAGAAGGCGAGCAGACUCCAAAGCAUUCGAAGAAAUGCCCAAGGCAUGCAAAGGCUCGACAAAGUCUCAAAGCCUGUUUUAUGGCGAGACAGAAGCCAAGCAUGCCAGGAUCUGCUCGACUACUAGAAGACGAGCAGACUCCAAAGCAUUCGAAGAAAUGCCCAAGGCAUGCAAAGGCUCGACAAAGUCUCAAAGCCUGUUUUAUGGCGAGACAGAAGCCAAGCAUGCCAGGAUCUGCUCGACUACUAGAAGGCGAGCAGACUCCAAAGCAUUCGAAGAAAUGCCCAAGGCAUGCAAAGGCUCGACAAAGUCUCAAAGCCUGUUUUAUGGCGAGACAGAAGCCAAGCAUGCCAGGAUCUGCUCGACUACUAGAAGGCGAGCAGACUCCAAAGCAUUCGAAGUAAUGCCCAAGGCAUGCAAAGGCUCGACAAAGUCUCAAAGCCUGUUUUAUGGCGAGACAGAAGCCAAGCAUGCCAGGAUCUGCUCGACUACUAGAAGGCGAGCAGACUCCAAAGCAUUCGAAGUAAUGCCCAAGGCAUGCAAAGGCUCGACAAAGUCUCAAAGCCUGUUUUAUGGCGAGACAGAAGCCAAGCAUGCCAGGAUCUGCUCGACUACUAGAAGGCGAGCAGACUCCAAAGCAUUCGAAGUAAUGCCCAAGGCAUGCAAAGACUCACCAAGUCUCAAAGCCUGUUUUAUGGCGAGGCAGAAGCCAAACGUGCCAGGAUCUGCUCGACCACUAGAAGGCGAGCAGUCUCCAAAGCAUUCGAAGAAUCUCCAAAGGCAUGUGGCAAAACCAUGAGCCAAGCCGGAACCUGCUCGUCUAGACAGAGACAAGCAGAUUCUCAACCGAAAAUUAAUUCAUAAUUACAUCACAAGAAAGUAAUCAAAAACCAUUUUUAUUAAUUUGUUAAUAAUUAACAGAGGGGAUAAUCUUCAUGAACAUUGUUCAUUACAAUACAAGAAAUAUAUCAGGAAGAUGGUGGACCAGUAAGCCCGGCAGCAUCGGUUGGCUGGACCUCCUCAGGUGCAGGAGGGGUAUCACCAGUUGCGUCCGGGGGGUGCUCGCCUCGCCAACAUCAGCAGGGACUGCACGAGCAGGAGAGUCUUCCUCCUCAAUCACGAUCGGCUCUACCCCAUCGGCAUCUUCCUUGGCCGCCUCCUCAUCCAUAUGUUGAGCAACACCAGCUGCAAGGUCAUCCAUCUUCAGAUCAGGGUGUUGCUUCCCGAGGACGGCCAUGAUGCAACGAUAGGAAUGCCGAAGUCCCUGGUCGUACUGGUUGUCAGCCUCCCUCUCCAAGUUCUCGACCUGAGCUCGGUGGGAGUCGCGGAGAGAUUCGAGCUGAGCCUCAUACAUAGCCUUCUGCCUUUGCAGAUCCUCCUUGACCGUGGUAAGCUCCUCCUCGAGGGAAAUGGCUUUUGCUUGAGCAAGUGAUUCUUGCUCUAUUAACUUCAGAUUCUCGAGAUUCAGCUCCCCUGCUUUCUUCUCGGCAACGUCAGCUCUGGUCGUCGCCGAUUGAAUAUCCUCCUUCAUCUUCCGGUCGUAGCGGCCAACCUUAGCCUUGUAAUAGGUGGUCAUGCAGCUGAGGUGGAAAGCGCUAUGCUGCAUGGCCCCCACCAGCUCACCCAAGGUGCGGCCGUCAAAGUCCUCCAAGUCCUUCUUGCUCAUGAGUUUAGUUAACUCAUUGAGGUAGGGGACCAGGUGUUCUGCUCGGCUGUCAGGUAAGCGAGAUCGAGGCCCGACAGGAGGAAAAGAGGAAGCAGGAUCUGUAGCUGCUCCACUAGCUUCCCCGACUUUUACAGGAGCAGGAGGUAAAAUCUUCAAGGGUGGGACCUGCUGCAUGAUGUUGGCCCGCUUUGCAGCAGGGGCAUUCUUAUUCUGGUCCCUCUUCGUGGUGGGAGGUCGGGAACGUUUUCGGGUCAGAGCCCCAAUCACAGCGUCCUCCAUCCUAUGGCCAGGAAGUAUCAAGCGAGACUCGAGCAAGUUGUAUGUAGUUAGCAGUUCUCGGCUCGAGCAGGAAUUGGCUAGUACAGCCUCGACCCGUUUGAGCUGGUCAGGUUCAAGCGGGAAGUGGACACCCCAAGAAACUACAACACAAACAGACACUUGGUUAGAGACAAGCCAAUAAAGCAAGAACAAUUAUGGAUGCAAGACAUCUAGAGCGAGCAGGCAACCUGGGACCGUGAAACGGGGUGGGACGCGACAAUCCUUCCCGCCUAUUUGUGCAACUUGACCCCAAGGACCCCCAGCAAAAAAGAAUUUCCUCUUCCAAGCCCCACCACCACCGGUUGGAAGAUCGGUUAUGGAUUUCCGGCUCUUGGUGCUAGAUUGGAAGUAGUACCAGCCGGCAUCUUUGGGGCUGCUCUUUAGCUGGUACAAGUGCUUCACCUCGUCAACCGUGGGCUCGCUUUGGCAACAUCUGUCCCACAAUAUGAACAGACCAGAGAGCACUCUCCACCCAUUGGGAUUCAGCUGACCAGGAGCUAGAUUUAGCCCGUUAAGUAUCCGGGCAAAGUAGGGUUGCAAGGGACACCUCAGCCCGUACUUAAAGCUCUCUAGAAACAGGGUAACGUAUCCCCUAGGAGGCCGGCUGGGAGCAUCCUUCUUUCCUGGGACCUUGAGAGGUAUCUCACCAGGAAUGCUAUACCUAAGCUGGAGGUCAUUGAGCUCGUCAAACAAGGUCGUGCACGUCAUGUAAUCAAUGGCAUAAUCGCGCGACAAGGCUCUGCCUCCUACUGUACCCCGUUCCUCUAGUCGUGAUGUUCCAGAUGGAGACACCUCACCAGAGUCACCUUCCCCAUUCUCACUUAAGGUGUCCUCAGAGCCAGAAGGUCCCCCCUCACCAUUGCUUCCGCUCGUGGAGGUUGUUUGGGGGGACAUCCUCCUAGCACUAGUCCCGACACUAAACCUAAUGGGUUCUAAGGGGAUCCCGGGGUCAAAAGCCGGAUCAGUGAGCAGACUAGGCAGGAAACUUAGUUCGUCGUCAUCAAUCUCAACGACUUUCUCCUUACCUUUCGACAUUCCCUAAGCCCUAACCACAACACCACCAACUACUACCUAAACAGAAGAGAAGAGAAAUUAUCUACAACUAUCCGAGACCAAGGAGAUAGAAGAAAUACCUGAAGUAAUGGUUCAGUCGGUGAAAGUCAGAGAUGGAGGCCUUUUAUGCCGGAACUUCUUUGCCGGAGAAACAGAGACGGAGACGGAGUGAAUGAUGAAUAUGCCGUUCGAGAGGAUUUGGUUUUCCUAAUGAAGACGGACUCUUGGGUUGCCAGCAUUUAACGGCGCCGAAUCCCGAGGGUCUCAUAACCGUCGGUUUGAAAUUCAAAUGAAGGGGGGGAUUUCUGCCACGUCACCUCGUCCGCAAUUAAAUGCGACAUGACUCUUGGCAGCCUUUUCCAAUCCCACGCGGGCGAGUACUAACGAGUUUCUACUGCUGGUCCACUACAUUACCCAACACCAGAAACUGGGGGACCGGUGUUUGGGAGAAAUACGUCGAUGAGACCAGGCAUGGUGAGCAGAUAUCUGAUGGCAGAGUUCUGCGAACCGGUGUGUUCCGUAAAAGCCUGGUGCACGGGGGAACAUGAGCAGAAGUAUCCUGCUCGUCCACGAGCACGUCAUCCGCGAGGCAAAUUUCCUGUAAGAGGCAUAAGGUCAUUCCGGCUAGAGGUCGAGAGGCGAGGAGACCCGGUCGACGGCAGUUGGCAAGACAUGCUCCCCAGCCCGAGAAUCUAGGCACGACAGCCACGCUUUCCCCAGAACUGUGGCGUAACACGCAAGAUCUCACAGAACCACGACAGCCACGCUUUCCCCAGAACCGUGGCGUAACACGCAAGAUCUCACAGAACCACGACAGCCACGCUUUCCCCAGAACCGUGGCAUAACACGCAAGAUCUCACAGAACCACGACAGCCACGCUUUCCCCAGAACCGUGGCGUAACACGCAAGAUCUCACAGAACCACGACAGCCACGCUUUCCCCAGAACCGUGGCGUAACACGCAAGAUCCCACGUUUGCCCAUAACGCAGCAGUCAGAGUCCCAUACCGUCUCAGAAAAAGCGGAAAACUGGGAUUCAGGGGAAGCCUAUAAAAAGGUAGCCAACGAAGGUAAAAGGGUUGGCAUUUUUGAGAUUAUAAAAGAAAUGAAAAAAGAAGAGAAAACGACGAAAAAGCCAUAAGAUCUGUGGCAAGUGUCCCCCGAACCUUCAUAUCUGACUUGAGCGUCGGAGGGUUUGCGCCGGGAAAACAACCGGCGUACUCUGACUUGUCUGUGUGCGCAGGAACCUCUGGAGAAGAAGCCUCACGUGGAGACCUCCUGGUCGUGAAGAAGUUGAUCGGGCAGAGAUCCUGGUCGUAGAACGAGGAGAACCGGAAUCCCGCAUCAACAGAACUUGUACUUGUCCUGUGAUCCGUACAUGCGACCACGAAUGACCUACAUCGAAGGAUCUUACGUUGAAUCCUUUAAACCUGGCUUGGUUAGUGCACUCGCUCAUGGCCACGCUUUUCAUUUCCAUGGCUUCUUGCUCUUUUGUUAUAGAAAAUUUAUUUUUGGUUGCAGUUUGAUUCGACUGCUAAAAUCUCGUGCGAUAAUUGUAUAAGAUAUCUAGAGUUUGAACUUCUUUCACAUUAGGGUUCAAGGAAGUUAACUUAAAUGAUUUUCAAAAUUUUAAAUGUGUACCAAAGAAUUUAAUUUCAUAGCUUAAACUUAUAUUUUGAUCAUACUCUAACUUUGGACAGGAAAAAUUAUAUUUUUCCUUUAGUUCUUUGCCUUGGUGUAUGUUGUGUGAAGUACUUGUGCUUGAAAAUGAAUUGCUGACACAGAAAUUUCUAUGAAUGCAUGCAGCCCAUAAGUGGAUAUGGGGUGGGUAAAGUUUUGGAUUCAGAGAAUCCAGAGUUCAACAAAGGUGACUUGGUUUGGGGAAUGACUGGAUGGGAAGAGUAUAGUCUCAUUACGGCUCCACACUUGUUUAAAAUUCAACACACAGAUGUGCCUCUUUCUUACUAUACUGGAAUCCUCGGUAAACUUUUUGUUUGCACAAUUUAUGUGAGCAAAUUGUGUCUUCUUUUUCAUAUGUAAAUGUUUUUGAUAUCUUGAUGUGAAGGUAGAAAAUUGCAUGUUUUGAGUUUUUGCAUAUUUGAUGGAAACACAGAACUGUACCUGAAUCUUUCAGAACCCCCUUCUCUUUGAAGUUUGAACACUUUUCUUGAAUGUAUCAACUUUAUUUAUGGGAUAUGUUGCCAAAUUGGAAAAUCUAUUCGUUAUAAAACUUUCCUUUGACAGUUUAAUCUAAGCAGAUGUUAAUUCUGCAAAUAGAGUGUGCCUUAGAUUAGUUUCAUAGAUUUGUCUCCUUCUGUACAGUAAAAACUUUGAGCAUUUUCGCCAUAUUCUGAUCAAUACACUCCAACUAGUUAGUUCUUGAGGCGUUUUAUGGUUUCGUGGAGUGAGGCAAGAUGUAUACGUUUGCAAAUUGGCAAUGUCUUUCUCUUGAUGGGUUGAGAGUUGUGAGUGUCAACAGGAAACAAGACCUCUGUUUUAUGAACUCCAAAAAGUUAUUCUGUUAAAAAGAUCGAGACAGAGGCCAUACUAUAUUUAUUAUUGCUAUAAAAGUGUGAAAAAAUAUUCUUUAUUUAAUAUUCUAAACGAUUGAGCCAUUUAGUUAUGAUACUCUGCUGUAUUGGGGCUAAUAAUCUAAGUCGGUUCAAAGUGGUAAAUUUAUAAAUUGAUAGGUAUGCCUGGUAUGACCGCUUACGUUGGAUUUUAUGAGGUCUGCUCUCUUAAGCAAGGAGAGUGUGUCUUCAUAUCCGCAGCAUCUGGUGCAGUUGGACAGCUUGUGGGGCAGUUUGCAAAGUUAUUGGGUUGCUAUGUCGUCGGAAGUGCUGGAAGCAAAGACAAGGUAUGUAAAAUUAGAAUUUGAUCAACAGAUUUGGAGUGUUUGUUUACAGAGAAAAUCUAAGAGAAAAUGUAAGAAACUUUAGCUGAGAAUAUUCAUUUUGUUCAACUUAAUAACAGAAUGAGAUUACAAAGCUUAUAUACUGCUAUCAAGAAUCAUCUUAACACAUACAUCAUUUUCACGUGUAUUUAUCUUUGAAAGAAGCUAAAUAACCAGCUUAACAAACUCACAACUACUUUGCUGACUGGACUGCCACGUCACCAUAACUAACUUAACUAAUCCAAUCAGUUAAUCACAGUUAACACAUAUUCUUAUCAUCCCCCCUCAAGCUUAAGUUCGGGGAAGGACAUUAAGCUUGGUACGAAGAUAAGCAAACUGAUCAAAAGAGAGGGGCUUGGUGAGAAUGUCUGCAAGUUGUUCUGAACUGGAAACAUGACUGAUCGUGAGUUGCUUCUGGGCAAUAUGCUCUCGAAUAAAAUGAAGAUCCAACUCAAUGUGCUUUGUUCGAGAGUGAUACUUAGGAUUGCUAGCUAAUGCCUCAGCACUCUGAUUAUCACAUUAUAGAACAGGACUUUGAGUUGGCUGAAUUUGCAGUUCUUGAAGCAAAUAAGUGAGCCAAAGAAUUUCAGAGGUUGCCGAAGCAAGAGCUCUAUAUUCAGACUCUGCUGAGGAACGAGAAACAAUGGUUUGUUUCUUGGAGGACCAAGAAAUAAUAUUGUUUCCUAAGAAUACACAAUACCCUCCAGUAGACUUUCGAUCAUCAGGAUCAGCUGCCCAAUCAGCAUCAGAAAAUGCUGUUAAAGUCACAGAGCCUGAAUUGAAGAAUUGAAUCCCAAAGUGUGAAGUAGCUUGAAGAUAUCGAAGAACCCUUUUACAAGCUUGCCAGUGUGCAAUGGUUGGAUGAGCUAGGAACUGACUAAGCUUGUUAACAGGAUAAGCUAUAUCAGGUCUUGUUAGCAACACAUACUGAAGAGAGCCCACAAUACUUCUGUAUAAUGAGGGAUUAUCAAAAACUUCACCACUGUCCUUUGUAAGCUUAUCACCUGGACUCAUAGGAGUAUUAAAACCUUUGCUGUCAAGCAUAUUUACUUUUCUAAGGAUAUCACCAAUGUAUUUGGUCUGAGAUAAAUGCAGUCCCUGAACAGAGGGUGUUACUUCAGUACCAAGAAAGUAGUUAAACUCUCCUAGAUCUUUGAGUGCAAACUCUGAAUGAAGAUAUUGAAUAACAGCCUCAAUAUGUUGAGAAUUAGAACCAGUAACUAAAAUAUCAUCAACAUAUAUAAGAAUGAGCACAAUAUCAUGGUCAAUAUGCUGAAUAAACAUGGAUGUAUCAGAUUUUGAGGAUUGAAAACCUUUAUGGAGUAAGGACCCUUUCAACCUCUCAUACCAAGCUCUAGGAGCUUGCUUGAGACCAUAUAAGGCUUUGUUUAACUUGCAAACAUAUGAUGGAUUUGCAAAGUCUAUAAAACCUUGUGGCUGAUGCAUGAACACAUCCUCUUCAAGCAUACCAUUGAGAAACGCAUUAUUAACAUCCAGCUGUCUAAUCUGCCAAUGAUGCAACACUGCUAGACUGAGGACAACUCUGACUGUGCAAGGUUUCACAACUGGGCUGAAGGUCUCAAAGAAAUCCACCCCUUGAGUUUGAUGAUAACCCUUGGCAACCAACCUAGCUUUGUAUUUGGAAAUGCUGCCAUCAGGGUUAUACUUCACCCUAAAUACCCACUUAUUACCAACUAUUUUAGCAGCACUUUCAGAGGGCACUAGAGUCCAGGUUUGAUUUCUUUGCAGAGCAUCAAAUUCCUCUUUCAUAGCACAAAACCACUUGGAGUCAUGCAAGGCACUUUUGACACUAGUUGGCUCAAGAUUUUCAGUAGCUGCUAGAUAUGACUUGGGUUUGAAGAUACCAGCUUUAGCUCUAGUAAUCAUUGGGUGAGAUGGUAAUGAAGAUGAGUGAGUUGGUUCAGCUGAAGGAUGAGAAUAAGAAGGUUGUGCUGAACUGGAACUUGAUGGAGGAGACAUUGCUGAAUGAAAAUUAGGAGAUGAUGACUCUACAUUGCUACUGUCAACCUGAGCAGAAGUUUGAAGAAAAGAAAGUUGUACUGGUGAAGAAGGGACAUCAACAUUGGAGACUUGUGAGGUAGAGUGUUUUAGAAACAAUUCUGUGUUAGGAAACUCAGUUUCAUUAAAAACAACAUGUCGAGCAACAAACACUUUACCAGAUGAAUUUAAACACUUAUAACCUUUAUGAAGUGGACUGUAACCAAUGAAAAUACAUUUUUGAGUAUGAAAGUCAAGUUUAUGCUGGUUAUAAGGUCUGAGGAAUGGAAAACAGGAGCAACCAAAAACCUUUGGAAACUGAUAGUCAGGCAGAUGAUUAUGUAAUUUCUGAAAUGGGGAUAGAUUGUUUAGAACUGAUGUGGGCAUUCUGUUGAUAAGGAAAGAAGCAGUGUGGAAUGCUUCCCACCAAAAGGAGAGAGGUAACUGUGAUUGAGCUAGAAGUGUCAGACCUGUUUCAACAAUAUGCCUGUGUUUCCUCUCAACAACACCAUUUUGAUGGUGUGUAUAUGGACAACUAUACCUAAAACAUAUACCCUCUUGCUGAAGAAAGGUUUUAAAAGCUAUAAAUUCACCCCCCAUAUCUGACUGUAGUGUUUUGAUAGACAAGGAGAACUGUUUUUCAACAAGAAGUUUGAAGUGUUUGAAGGUUUCUAAGGCUUCUGACUUUGCUGUGAGAGGAAAAAUCCAAGAAUAUCGAGUGAAAUCAUCCACAAAAGAGAUAUAAUAUCUGUAUCCACUCAUUGAAUAUUCAGGAGCUGGUCCCCAUAAAUCUGUAUAUAGAAGCUCAAGUGGUGCUUUUGUUUUAAUGGUAGUGACAGAAAAAUGAAGCUGAUGCAUUUUGCCAUGUUGACAAGCAUCACAGAAGCUAAUGAAUUUAUUUGAAAAGCAAUGUGUGGGAAGACUUUUAAUAAUUGUUUGCAAAGCAUGUUUAUUGGGAUGACCAUAUCUAUUAUGUAACAACUGAACUGAUAUCUUUCCAGCUCUAGAAGAAUUUCCAGAAACAGAACAUGCAAAAGCUUCAGACAUAUUUACAUUAUCCAACUUUGACACAUGAUUAUUUGACUCUGGUAAAGAGUUUACAACUUUAUUAUCAAAACAAAAUGACAACAUGGAACUUGGUUUAAAAAGAUUUGGAUUGCAAUCUGCAGAGUAAGGAGAGAAGACAUCAAGUGACAGUAGCUUGUAAAGACCACCUUUAACAAUCCCCUGUGCCAGCAAAGUUCCCUCCUUCUUGUCCUUAAUAAAGCACAUGGUGGAACAAAAUUCAAUGAUUAUGUUAUUAUCCAAAAGAAGUUUAGAUAUACUGAUGAGGUUUUUGGUUAUUUUAGGAACACACAAAGUAUUGGUUAAGGAUAAACAUGUGCCAAAAGAAGUAGAAAGAUGAGUGCAGCCAAUAUGUGUGAUAGUAAGACCUUGUCCAUUUCCAACAAACAACAGUUGAGUACCAUUAUAAGGAUUACCUUCAACCAGGUUUUGCACAUUGUUGGUGAGAUGAUGAGUGGCUCCACUGUCCAGAUACCAUCCCUGAUCAGCAACUCCUUCUGAGGUAGCCAUAUAAGCUGUUCUUGGCCCUGGGUUCUGCAUUGGAGAAUUUGAAACAAAAUUUCUGUUAAAUCUGUUUCUACAAUCAACAGCUGAAUGGUUUGGUUUAAAACAUAUUUGGCAGGUAAUAUUUCCUCUGCCACCUCCUCUACCAAAGCCACCAGAGGACCCUGGAUUUCCACCAUUAAAACCACCAUUUCCACUAAAUCCACCAGUAUUUCCAUUAAAACCACCAGAGUUUGAACCUCUUCCUUGGUUUCCAAACCAGCCUCUCCCUGAGUUUUGAUCCAUAAAGCCACCUCUGCCAGAUCCAUAACCUCCUCUAUUGUUGAAAUUUCCAUUUCCAUUUCUAUUCACAAAAUUAACAUUCCAAUUACCCUGGUUAUUAGUAUUCCAAUUAGCAUUGCUUCCUGACUUCUUCUGAUUAUUACCAGUCUGAGCCACAUUAGCACUAAAAUUCACCUUAGUUUCCUUAGCUACACCAGAAUGAUUACUCUCAAGCCUAGCUUCAUGAGAUAGCAACAUAGAAUAAGCCUCAUUGAUGCUCAUUUUAAGAGCAUUUGCCUCAAUAUAAACUACAACAGGAUAGUAAGCCUGACCUAGCCCUGAGAUUAAAUGUGUAAUGAAGUCAAUAGAGCUAACUGAACUUCCAGCCAUUGCUAAUUCAUCAGUUACUGACCUUAGUUUACAAAAAUAUUCAGUAAUUGACAUGGAUCCUUUCUUAAGAUUGUUUAGCAGCAUCUUUAAAUGCACUUUCUUAGCUGCUGUUUCAAAUCCAAACUGUUCCUCUAAGCUUAUCCAAAGUUCUCGAGAGUUUUUAGAAUUUACCACAAUGCUUAAGAUCUCCACACUGAUUGAAGAUAGAAGCCAGCUCAAGAUCAUCUGAUCUUGCCUUUUCCAAGUAGUGUAGGCAGGAUUUUCUGAGAUGACUGCCGCAUCUGUGCUUGUUGAUUCACCAGUCAGCAGCUGGUUUGGACAGGUACGUGAUCCAUCAAGAAAACCUUCCAGAUCAUUUGCUCGAAUGGCUGAAAGGAUCUGAGAUUUCCAUAUAGUAUAAUUCGAUCUGUCAAGCUUGAUUGGUGUGGCGAAAGUAAAUGUUGAGAUUGCGGAAGAAACAUUUGUACUAAGACUUGAAGAAGCCAUGAUCAAGAAGUGAUUCAAGGCUCUGAUACCAAAUUAGAAUUUGAUCAACAGAUUUGGAGUGUUUGUUUACAGAGAAAAUCUAAGAGAAAAUGUAAGAAACUUUAGCUGAGAAUAUUCAUUUUGUUCAACUUAAUAACAGAUUGAGAUUACAAAGCUUAUAUACUGCUAUCAAGAAUCAUCUUAACACAUACAUCAUUUUCACGUGUAUUUAUCUUUGAGAGAAGCUAAAUAACCAGCUUAACAAACUCACAACUACUUUGCUGACUGGACUGCCACGUCACCAUAACUAACUUAACUAAUCCAAUCAGUUAAUCACAGUUAACACAUAUUCUUAUCAUGUAAUCUGUGUGAAGUACUUGAUUGUUUCCAUGUUACUUUCAAACAUUUAAAUUAAAAAGGAAAUUUUCAUAAUCUUGCCUUUUCUAUGAUUUUCAAAACCAAGGUUGAUCUACUGAAGAACAAGUUUGGGUUCGACGAGGCAUUUAACUAUAAAGAAGAAGCUGAUUUGAAUGCAGCAUUGAAAAGGUUAGCAUCAAUAAAUGCCUUAGCUUGAUGCAGCUUGAUGAAGUAUGAUACACAUUUCUGACCAAUAUACUGCGUUCCCUGAUCUCUUACUUGAAAUAUCUUGGUUUGAGAACCUCAUGCCAAUGCCUUUAACAUUUUGGCAGGUACUUUCCUGAAGGAAUUGAUAUAUAUUUUGAAAACGUUGGUGGAAAAACGCUUGAUGCAGUGCUACCCAACAUGAAAAUCCGUGGUCGAAUUGCUGCAUGCGGUAUGAUCUCACAGUACAAUCUUGACAAGCCUGAAGGUGUGCACAACUUGAUGUAUCUUGUUUUGAAACGGCUUCGAAUGGAAGGAUUCAUUGUUCUCGAUCACUAUCACCUUUAUCCAAAGUUUCUGGAAAUGAUCAUUCCUCACAUCAAAGAAGGGAAGCUUGUAUACGUCGAAGACAUGGCUGAAGGUCUGGAGAGUGCUCCGGCAGCUCUCAUCGGUCUAUUCUCUGGCCAGAAUGUUGGGAAACAGGUGGUUGCUGUUGCUCCUGAAUGAAGAACAAGUUAGUGUUGUAUGUUCUUUUACCCUUUGACACAAAACUUCAAUGUCAAAGAGAGAAUGCUGCUCAUACUGCUUUAUAAAAUAAUCAAAUGAGUGCAAGUUUCAUGAUAUUUGCUGAAUAAAAUAUUGGAAAUUAAGCAGCUAGCCUAGCUCCUUCUUGUAGUUGCAGUUUGAAUGAUGCUGCUGCACAACUGCUGCCGAAAAAAAUCCUUAAUAGAUGAUUAGCAAGGUUUCAAAAAUAAAAAUAAAUGUUUGUGCAAUGUGCCGAAUAUGACAGCCACAAAGAAAGAGCAUACAAAUUGAUUGGUUUUAUGUCUUCUCUAGGAGAAAGCUACAAUACAAGAAAUUGUAUUGAUGGAGCCUUGGACCAAAUUUCUUAUUUAAAUUUUUAAUUUUUUUUAUUAAAUUACUUAUGUUAUUAUGGUUUAUAUUUUUAGAAAUUCUUUAGAAAUUAAUACAGAACUAGUAGCAAGUUGAGAAAUCUACUGAAUGGUCAAGAUAUGAUAAUGUUUAUUGAAUUAAAUUAACAAUCAUCAUUUUCAUAAAUUAUUGUCAGGAUAUUUGAUUCAUGUCAGGUGUAAGUAACUAAGAGAGCGUUUGGGACAGACACCACAGUUGCUCCCGAUGCUUUAUUUUAGGGAAAUAUCCCCUGGAAUAAUGCAUAGGGCGCAGCCCCAAACGGACCCUAAAUGUGCUAAAAAAAAAUUAAUGAGUUGGGUGUGUUUGAUAUUCAUUUGUUGUAAUUCUUUUAAUAAUUAUUGUAGAAAAAAAUAUGAUAAAAAAUUUAUAAUUAUAAAUAAAAAUUAAUAAUAUAAUAAAUAAAAUUUUUAAACAAUAAUUUUAAUAAAAUAAUAAAUAUAUUAUCAAUUUUUCAUCGUUAAUAUUUAAGUCACAAUAAUAAAUAUUUAUUAAACACUUUAAUACUAUAACUAACACUACAACUUUUGAAUUAUAACAGUACAUUCUAAAGACCGUGGAACAAUAGUACAAAAGGUGCUCGUCGUGUAAACAACACAUGGGACCCAAGCAAUAAAUGUUUCUGAUCCUCAACUUUCCUCAUCACUGUCCCUGCAAACAAUUCUGAUUUUCUUGUCUGAUAAAAAAACUGAGAAACAAUGGCGGCCGAACAAGAAGCUGUGAGCAAUAAUGUAAAGCCACAAAUUUUCAUAAUAUUAAAUUAUGAAAAUUGGGCUUUCAUUGAGAAUUAUGGGUGGCCUAUAACCCUUAUUAAGAAAGGGAUACUAAUUAUAAAUACAAGUUAUUUAUGAGAUAGUUUUGAAAAAAUGUUAUUUUUCCUUAUUAAAUAAGGUUUCUUAAGACUCCCUAUAAAUUCAUACUUUUUCCCUUCCAUGACCCUAAGUCCAUGACGUUUAUUCUUCUUCUCUGCUGCUCUUUACGCUCCUACCCAAAUCAUAGGAUUCAAACCUUUGUUUAGGAGAGAAUCAAAGCGACGAGUAAGUUAUUCUCCCUAUUCUCAACAGAUUUCUAAUCACUCUAUCUAGGGUUUAUAUUGGCACGAUUCUAGAUGGUUAUAGAUCAUAAUGCAUGAUUUAGAAUGUAUUUAGGCUUUGUUUAGGGUUUUGAUUUAUUAUGAGUUUAGUUAAUCAAUCCUUGACGUAUUAAGCACAGGAUAAUUCUGGACAAUAUGAGUAUCUCGAAUUUAAACCUAUAUUUUCUGAACGAGUUUUAUUAUAAAAUUUAUAUUUCUGGAAACUAGACAUGUAGGGCUUCUUGAGUAAAUUUUAUUUCAUUAAAUUCGACUUCGUUUUCAAUUUUAUAUUUAUUUUCGAAAUAGAAACCACUGCACUGGAAAACUGCGAUUCCAGCAUUGCGAUCGGAUUCACAAGACUAUUUGUACCACCAAACGAACUCGGAAAAUUCUGAAAGUUUAUAUGUAGGUUAAUAUAUGUGUCUAGGAUUACCAGUUUUAAUUUCAUAAUUUUCUGAUUAGUAUUUUAUUUUAUAAAAAUCACAGAACCCGUUCUGUUUGGUUUAGAUUAUGUGAAAACAGUUUCGAAUUUGCUGAGAAAUAAAUAGUUUCGAAAAUGUUUUUGAUAUCGGAUCCUCUUGCAAAUUUUACAUAGGGUACUCAUGGAUGUCCAGAAUAGUCCCAUAGAAUAUUAUAUCAUUCUGAGUCUUAGAUUAAGAGUUAAAUUCUGAGAAUCAGACCUGUACGGGUAUGAAUUAGAAAAUCAGAUUCUUAGAAUAAGUUAUUAAUUGUCAUAUCUUGUAUUUGUUUAAGGUGUUGAAGGUGAUUGAGGUUCUUAGAAGCUUAAAGGUGUGUUAAUUCAAAUUCAUUUGUCGAGGUAAGUUACUUCAUUCCUACUAUAUUGGAUAUGUAUAAGUAUUUUGAUAUUAUCAUUAUAAGUAUAAAUGUUUUCAUACUAUUUAGAAGAUUAAUGGAUUUUCAUAACAAAAUUAGCUUAUGAAAAUGUUUUCAAAACCUAAUUUCUUUUUAACAAAGCAUUUUAUAAAUACUUUUUAAAUAUGUAAGUUAUUUUGUUACAUGCCUACUUUUAUGAUUUUAUUUAUAAAAUAUUUUGCAAGCCUAAAUUAUUGUUAUGGACUUUUAUGAAUCCGAUACGAAUGUUUUAUGCCUAUGCAUGAUUUCAAUUAUAUAUGAUUGUAUGGGGGCCACCUCUUGGGACUAUAUGGGGGCCACCUCUUGAAGGCCAAAGUGUCGCAAAGUGCCACAUAUAGUGCAAAGUGCCACGUAUAAGUCAUUAUGUUUUGGCUCAUUGUCCGUAGUCAUUUUGAUUCUGAUUCUGAUCAUAUAAUACGAUAUAUGUCUGUUUUGGACCAGUACUGGGUUUCUGUUCUGAGUGUGCACACGAUAUUUUGAUUCUGUUUCUGGCCGGGUCACUGGGACUAUAGGUGACACUAUGUGACAAGAGCUAACCUUUUGUUUUCUGUAUACGUAUUAUAUGAUUUACUUCAUAAGUAAAUAUGCUUUUGGAUAUUCGGAAUUAUUAAGAAUUUAUGUUAUGUUAUCGUGAUAUAUUGUUUUAUGAAAUUUAUGGAUUAUGAUAUAUGUUUUAAACAAAAGAAGGCUUGCAAUAUUUUUGUAUCGAUAGGCCCAGUAUGUUAGAAAUUGUUUUACUUACCGAGUUGACGGCUCACCCCUCGUCAUUACUUUUUGCAGAUUAAGUUUCUUUUGAGAGGUGCGCUUAGCUUUGGAGUUAGUAAUUUUCCGUUUCCAUUUGCCAUUUGAAUAAGAGGAGGAAUAAACUCGUGUUUCUAUUUAGUUAUUUCUAUUAUGAACGUGUAAUUUGGAGUUUGAGACUUUUGUUAUUAUUUUUAUGUCCUCGGGAGAGAUUAUUUAGUAUUAGACGUUAGAAUUUGUGGAUUUAUUUGAAUAAGAAUUGGAGGUAUUUCAGUUUGAAACUUAUGAGUAAAGAUUAUGAUUUGUGAGUAACCUCCUUCUUCACGUGCUCCGCACGUGUUAGAUUUGGGGUGUUACAAAUAAGCGGGUGAUUCUAAGCAACUAUGUGACAGGUUUUCCAAAAGAAUCAGACAUGAAGAUAACAAGUGGAUCAAUAAAGCUGAAGGUAGCAGACUGUUCAAAAGACACGGUGCUUUUGAAGAAUCUUUAUCUUUCUUGUGAUCCUUACAUGCGAGAGCGUAUGAGCAAGCUUGAUAGCCCUUCUUUUGUUGAUUCAUUCCAUCCUGGUGAGGUUAGUUCAUCACGGCCCAUCUCUUGAUUUUUUUUUUUCAUUUGCUUCAAGUUUUGAUGAGUUUCUGAGGUAAUUUGUACGGUUUUGGAAUUUGAACACAAUUUGUGAUUUUGGUGCUGUAACUGUCAUUAAUGAUAUGUAGUAAUUCAAUCGGAAUUUGGAUUUAGUGCUGAUAUGAUCUCUGCUCAUUUUUUUAAAUCUUGUGUCCACAUGCAUUUUUGAAAUCUGGUACGGUUGAGAUUGUAUGUAGAUUAACCUACGUACAGUAUUCUUGUCUAAUGACUACUAACCACAACCUUAUGAGACGAUCGAAACCAAGCUCGGAUCAAUAAUCCAAUCGAGAGAGGAUCAUAACUGAAGCUUAUCGUGUGUGGGAAUAUUUCGGUUAAAUUGUAAUCAUGAUCAUGAAUCAUGCAGGGAAAAGGGAAGUUGAGGUCAAUUUAUGCACUUGAUGGAAUUAAAGAACCAAUAUUUGAUUUUGGUUUACAUUAUUUCUCAGUAAUGGUGACUUUGUGAUGUUAAAUUUAUGCAGCCUAUAAACGGAUAUGGGGUGGCCAAAGUUUUGGAUUCUACACAUCCAAAUAAUGCAAAAGAUGACUUGGUUUGGGGCUUUACCGGGUGGGAGCAGUACAGUCUCGUUACAGCUCCGCAGCUUUUGAUUAAAAUUCAUCAUAAAGAUGUGCCACCUUCAUACUAUACCAGGAUCCUCGGUAAUGAUUUUUGUUACACAUUAAGCUUUGCUUAUAGUAAUAUCAAUACAUAUGCUGCUUAAAUGCUUUCUGAUUUUUUGCCGGCCAUUGUCCAUUUUGCCCGGGAGACUAUAAUUGAAGGAAUUUACUGAAGGAAUGCUGAUUGUUGGGAAUUUGAUUAUUCUAGGUAUGCCUGGUGUAACUGCAUACGCUGGUUUAUAUGAAGUUUGCUCUCCGAAGAAAGGAGAGUAUGUCUAUGUAUCUACAGCAUCUGGAGCUGUUGGUCAGCUUGUUGGACAGUUUGCAAAAUUAGCUGGUUGCUAUGUUGUUGGAAGUGCUGGAAGCAAAGAAAAGGUGCUGUUAUAUCAUUCUUAAGUAGUAAAUAUAGCACCGUGCCUUCUAGCAGAAUUUUACAUGCUUUAUGUUCCAACUAAGCAUCCAUAUUUGAUCGUGAUAAUUAGCAAGGUCAAUAAUUUUUUUUUGACUAUUUUUUCAACGUAAGGUCGAUUUGUUGAAGAACAAGUUUGGACGAUGCUUUUAACUACAAGGAAGAGCCAGACUUGGAUGCAGCGCUCAAAAGGUCAGCUGCAACAAACGUUUCAACUCUAAUAUUUCAUUUUAAUAUUACAGAGCUUUGGUUGAAGUGUGUGAGUUGAUCCCAGAAACGUAACUUCAUCAGUGUCUCUGUUUUCAAAAAACAGGACAAAUUAAAAUCUGAUUUUGCGUUAAAAUUUCCCAGAUGUUUCCCUCAAGGAAUCGACAUCUAUUUCGAAAAUGUUGGGGGAAAGAUGCUGGACGCAGUGCUACUCAACAUGAGGCUCCGGGGCCGCAUUGCGGUAAGCAGUAUGAUCUCACAGUACAACCUGGAAAAACCCGAAGGCAUACACAACUUAGAGCAACUGAUCGGGAAACGGAUUCGCCUGGAAGGAUUUCUAGCAGGUGAUUACUAUCACCUCUAUCUGAAAUUCUUGGAACUGGUCAUUCCUGCAAUCAGAGAAGGAAAGAUGGUGUAUGUGGAAGACAUAGCCGAAGGACUCGAGAAAAUUUCUCGUAACUGCUACACAUUAAACGCGUUUCACAUUUCCACUCUCUCUCUAUAAAUAAACACGCACAUAAAAUUUCUCACUAUCCAAAAACAAAAUCUACAUAAAAAAUGGCGGGUGAAGAAGGAGUGAGCAACAAGCAGGUGAUUCUGAGCAACUACGUGACAGGGUUUCCCAAAGAAUCAGACAUGAAGAUAAUAGCAGGCUCAAUAAACCUCAGGUGCCAGAGGGUUCAAAAGACACAGUGCUUUUGAAGAAUCUUUGUCUUUCCUGUGAUCCUUACAUGAGAGGACGUGUGAGCGAGCUUGAUAAGCCUUCGUUUGUUGCCUCGUUCGAGUCUGGCGAGGUCAGUUACUUCAAUUCCCAUCUCUUGGUUUCAUAAUCUUUUAUGGUUUUAGAAGGUGUUUUAGGGAAACAUUGUGGUUUUGGUUAGUGGGCAUGAGCCUUUGAAGAGAUUAUAAUGUGUAGGACUAUGUAUGCAAUAAUAAGUAUAGGGGAUCUUGUUAGGAGAAGAUUCUCUUAGCAAAAUAAAAACUUUUAUCUUAUCAAAACAUAUGCAGGGAACUUAGUUAUGAUGUCAUGUUAGCAUUGUCUCUGAGGAUUUGAUUUCUUGAUGGGGAAAGGGGAAUUUAAGGUUACAUUAUUCAGCAAUGGUUUUUUUUUUUUUUUUUUAAUUAUGUUCAAAUUAUGCAGCCUUUGAGCGGAUAUGGAGUGUCCAAAGUGUUGGAUUCCACGCAUCCAAAUUAUAAGAAAGAUGACUUGGUCUGGGGCUUAACCAGUUGGGAGGAGUUCAGUCUCAUCCAAUCACCACAACUUCUGAUUAAAAUUCUGGAUACAAGUGUGCCUCUGCCAUACUAUACUGGGAUUCUUGGUAAGUUGUUACUAAAUUUAUCAAUGUCCAGUUCGCAUGAGCUGAAAAUCAUGUUUUAUUUAAUGCAAUGAGAGAGGGAAAUAGUAUGCUGCUUGAACGUCUAGCAUUUUGAAUUUUCAAUGAUUGUACCCUACGUAUUGGCAUGUAACUGAAGGAUUUCUCUUGAGGAAUUUACUAUUUUUUCUGAUUGUCGGGUAUUUUUCUGUUGACUCUAGGUAUGCCUGGUUUGACUGCAUAUGGUGGUUUAUAUGAGCUUUGCUCUCCUAAGAAAGGAGAGUAUGUCUAUGUAUCUGCAGCAUCUGGAGCUGUUGGUCAGCUUGUUGGGCAAUUUGCGAAGCUGGUAGGUUGCGAUGUUGUUGGAAGUGCCGGAAGCAAAGAAAAGGUGAGUUUGCACCUUUAACCCUUACGCUCUAAAUAAAAACAUAACACCUUCUGAAAGAAUUUGCAUAGAGAAUUUUGCAUGUCACAGUAUUUGUGUUCUAACUAAUCAUGGAUAUUUGAUCAUUAGUCUAACUAAAACUGACUUAUUACCACCUAGUUGAUUGGUCUUUGAGAAAUGUUAGUUGAUAUAUGCUUGAAAUCAUACUUUGUUUUAUUAGAUGAUUAUAUUAACCUGCUUCUUUUUCUUUGUGCUGUUUCUCGUUUGAUUACAUUUUCAACAUUAGGUCGAUCUAUUGAAGCACAAGUUUGGGUUUGAUGAUGCUUUUAACUAUAACGAAGAGCCUGACUUGGAUGCAGCUCUUAAUAGGUUAUCACGAAUGAAUGCCUUAACCAUUUUUCUCACUUCAUUAUUACAAUGCGCUGAUUGAAGUAAUCAGUGUUGGCUCUGAAAAUGUAAUGUAUACUUCUCUGUUUUCAUAAAACAGGACAAACAGUGAUCAGUGAUCUCAUUCGUUACAUUGAUAUUUUCUACCAUUGCCAUAUGCCCAUACAUAGUAUAAACUAGGAAUUCAGUUGCUUAAUUGAUAUUCAUUUCAGAGGGAAAUUUUCACUUGCAGCUAACAGAAUCAUGUUUGUGAUGUAUGUUUAUUUGGGAAAUGAAAGGAUUUGCUGCAUUAUUUUAUUCCAAGUUUGCUGAAAUCAUAUUUGUUUUCCCAGCUGCUUUCCUGAAGGUAUCGACAUCUAUUUCGAAAAUGUUGGGGGUAAGAUGCUUGAUGCAGUGCUAUUCAACAUGAGAAUUUGUGGCCACAUCGCUGUAUGCGGAAUGAUCUCACAGUACAACAUUGAGAAGCCUGAAGGUGUACACAACUUGAUGCAAGUAGUUGGAAAACGAAUUCCCACGGAAGGAUUUCUUGCCGGUGAUUUCUACCACCAAUAUCCAAAAUUCUUGGAACUGGUUAGUGGUUAUGGCGGCAAUCAAAGAAGGAAAGUUAGUAUAUGUCGAGGACAUAGCUGAAGGCCUUGAGAAAGCUCCAUCAGCUCUAGUUGGGAUAUUCACUGAGCAGAAUGUUGGAAAACAACUGGUUGCAGUUGCUCGGGAAUGAUAUGAUUAUUAUAUGACCAUGGACUUUAAAAGCUUAGUGAAGAUGCCUCUGUCUUAUUUGUGAUCCAUGUUAUGUUUGUUUGAGAUACAUGUUAUGUUUGUUUGAUCAAGCUGUACUCAGAUAUAAAUCAAAGAUUCAGAACAUGUGUAUGAUACUGGUUUCUAAAUCAAUGAACGCUUUGAAAUGUUAGUGUUUUCACAGGAGAAUGCAAUUUAAUUCAUCAACAAUGUCCCAACAAGACCCUCAGAGCUGUAGCUUGUAAAGUUAAUUACCAUAUUUUUUUGUAAAGUUAAUUACCAUAUUUUUUUCUUUCCAAUAUAUUGCUUAUUUCAUAGAAAGUUUACAUUAAAGUCUCAUGUUUCUUUGAAAGGUAAGCAAGUGUGAACGUUUCAAUCUAGAGCUGGAAAAUGCAUUUCCGGGCAACUUACUUGAUAAAUGAAGUUUUCAUCUCUGACCAUGAUGUUUCCCACAGGUGCAUUCAUUUCAGCUGAUCUAUUUAAUUUUGUUUUCGAAGGAGUGACACAAAAUCUCCUUUGUUAAGGGGAGAAUUUAGAGCGGCUUUGACUGUUAUCAAAUAGCCUAAUGUAAGACUUAACCAACUUCCUGCCCUGUUGUAUUCUUAUGAAUUUUGAUAGAGCUAAGAGUUUGCAGAAGCUACUGUAUUAUAUGUCGUUAGAGGCUGUAAAAAUCAAACACAUUUAAAUUUCAAUGAAAAUUUACUGGAAGUAAAUUUCCUAUGAUCCUACAGGUGACUAAUUAAUGAGAACUUGACAAUGACAAAAGAAAGUGUAUGAACUUUGCAGGCUGGCAUGCCAAUAUUGACUGGGUGGCACCAUCCACCAUCUGCAAGUGAAUAUCAUUGUUGUUUAAUCAACAUGGUGGAGUCCACUGGGACCACACCACAUCAUCAGCCUUAUCUCUAUUCCUCAAUUUUCAGUAUUCCAUACAUCAAACCAAUUUCAGUUUUGUUAUCAAUUAUAACUUUAUUGUUGGUGACGAUUCUGAUUCCUUUCUGACAAAAGGGAACCAUGGCUGCUGCUGGAGAGAUCUUACUCAACGCCUUCUUUCAGGUACUGUUCGACAGGUUGGCUUCUCGUAAUUUGAUCAGCUUUGUGCGUCAACUCCAAGGCGGGGUUGAUUCGGAGCUCAAAAAGUGGGAGAAAAAGCUGAAGAUGAUUCAGGCUGUCCUCUGCGAUGCAGAGGAGAAGCAACUGACCAACGAGGCUGUGAAGAUGUGGCUGGACGAACUCCAAGACUUGGCUUAUGACGCUGAGGACAUUCUUGAUGAGUUUGCUACUCAAGCUUUGGAAAGCAAGUUGAUGGCGCAAAAUCACGAUAGUUCUGGCCAGGUUCUCAGUUUCAUCCCGGCUGGUUUGAAUCCGAAUGCUAUUAUGUUCAAUUAUAGCAUGGGGUCCAAGAUUAAAGAUAUUACUAGCCGGCUGGAUCAACUCUGCCAAGAAAGAAUUGAACUUGGACUGCAACGGAUUACCGGAGAGGCAUCAUCAACUGCUGCUGGUGCACACCAGAGGCCACCCAGUUCGAGUGUCCCAACAGAACUUGAAGUAUUUGGAAGAGAAGAAGAUAAGGCCAAAAUUCUUGAUAUGUUAUUAGCCGAUACCCUAAGUGAUCAUGCUAACUUUGUUGUAAUACCCAUUGUUGGCAUGGGUGGGAUAGGAAAAACAACUCUUGCUCGGGAGGUUUACAAUGACAAGGCCGUUGGAGAUUGCAAGUUUGAUGUAAAAGCAUGGGUUUGCGUAUCUGACGUCUUUGAUGUUUUGGGCAUCUCAAAGGCACUUCUCGAGUCAAUCACCCGCACGCCUUGUCUUCUAAACAGUUUAAAUGAAGUGCAGGUUGAAUUGAAAGUAGCUGUGGAUAAGAAAAGAUUCUUGCUGGUCUUAGAUGAUGUUUGGAACGAGGACUACAGCUUGUGGGUAGACUUAAAAGCUCCGUUCCUGGGUGCUGCACCAAACAGUAAGAUGAUCGUCACCACGCGCAAUUCAAAUGUUGCAUCAACAAUGGGACCAGUUGAACAUUACAAUCUCAAGAGUCUGUCAGAUGAUGAUUGCUGGUCCAUUUUCAUAAAGCAUGCAUUUGAAUCUAGAGAUCUUAACGAACAUCAAAUUUCAGAAUCAUUCCGCAAGAAAGUUGUUGCCAAGUGUGGAGGCUUGGCCCUGGCAGCAAAAACACUCGGAGGCCUUCUGCGUACGACGAGGCAUGAUGUGUGGGAUGAUAUAUUAGAGAGCAAAAUAUGGGAUUUACCUCGACAAAGUGGGGUUCUCCCAGUAUUAAGAUUGAGUUACCAUCAUCUUCCUUCUCAUUUGAAAAGAUGUUUCGCUUACUGUGCAAUCUUUCCAAAAGAUUAUGAAUUCAAUGAGAAGGAGGUGACUUUUUUAUGGAUGGCCGGAGGUAUUAUUCGACAGUCCAGAAGCAAAGAGAGGCUAGAAGAUUGGGGCAGCAAGUGCUUCUAUGAUCUGGUGUCAAGGUCAAUUUUUCAGCAAACAGCAAUCUCUGAUAGUUCUAAAUUUGUAAUGCAUGACCUUAUUCAUGAUCUUGCUGAAUUGGUCUCUGGAGAAACCAUAUUCAGGUUAGAGGAGGCCAAUACUCUGUCAAGAAGAUUUGAAAGGGUUCGCCAUUCUUCCUAUGCUUGUGGUGGACGUGAUGGUAAAAAUAUGUUCGAGGUUUUCAAUGAAAUUGAACAUCUACGAACAUUCUUGCCAUUACGCUUACGCAUAAGAGGUGGCUCUAAUACUAGUUUCAUAACUCGUACGGUUCUAUCUGAUUUGCUGCCGAAGUUCAAAAUGUUGAGAGUGCUAUCUUUACAAGGAUACCGUAUCGGUGAGUUACCAAUUCCAUUUGAAGAUUUGAGACUUCUAAGGUUCCUCAACCUUGCUGACACUGACAUAAGAAGUUUACCUGAGUCAACAUGCAAAUUGCUGAACUUGGAAAUUUUGAUAUUAAGAAAUUGUUCCCGUUUGAUAAAGCUUCCGCAGAAAAUGAGGAAUUUGAUCAAUUUACGUCAUCUCGAUAUAAGAGGUGCAAAGCUGCUAAAGGAGAUGCCAUUUGGAAUGAAAGAGUUGAAGAAGCUUCAAACAUUGUCCAAUUUUAUUGUAGGCAAGGGUGAAUCCGCAUCUGGUUUGGAAGAUUUAAAAAGUUUAAACCUUCUUUGUGAUGAACUCUGCAUUGCUGGAUUAGAGAAUGUAAAUAGUCCACAGAAUGCAAGAGAAGCCACAUUAUGUGAGAAGCACAAUCUUGAAGCAUUGACUCUAGAAUGGGGGUCUCAAUCUGACAGUCCUCGGGAUGCAGUACUAGAAGAGAAUGUACUUGACACUCUACAACCUCAUGAACGUAUAAAAGAGCUGGCAAUCAGGCACUAUGGUGGUGCAGGAUUUCCACUUUGGAUCGGACAUCCUUUGUUCUCCGAGAUGAAGGUCCUUAAAUUGGAGAACUGUGACAAGUGUGUAUCUCUGCCAUCGCUUGGCCUGAUGAAUUCACUUAAGCACCUUGCUGUUAAAGGGCUGAAGAAACUAAAAAGCAUAGAGUCUGCGGUCUUUCCAUCAUUGGAGACUCUAAGUUUUGAGAAUUUGCCAGAAUGGCAGCAUUGGAACACCAAUAUCAAAGGAAAUGAGCCUGUUGAAAUAUUUCCUCGUCUCCAAGAACUUUCCAUUGCAGAAUGUCCCCAACUCUCUGGAGAACUGCCUGAGCUCCUGCCUUCUUUGGAGACACUUGUUGUUAGUAAAUGUGGAAAGUUGGUAGUUCCAUUGUCAAGCUAUCCGAUGCUCUGCAGAUUAGAAGUUGAUGAGUGCAAAGAGCUAGUGUGCAGGACUCCAAUUAAUUUUGAGUUGAUAAAGUCUGUGACUAUUUCAAAUAAUUCAUUACUCAUGAAUGGAUGCAAGGAGAUGCUAUGCCAUGGUCAAGCUGGCUCUUCACUGCAGAAACCCAAGACUAUUAUGAAUGUUUUGGAGUUCGGAAAAUUAUUGAAGCCUGGAUUUCAGAUAUUAGAAACUUUGGUAAUUGGCAAUUCUGAACGGCUCAAGUCAUGGAGUACUUUUAUUGAACCAGGGCUACAUUUGCUCGCUUCCCCUGAAGAGGUAGCAAUUGAAGAAAGUUGUGUACGUCUUGUUUUGUUUCCAGAGAUCAAUUUCUUUCCCAGAAAUCUGCGCUCUCUUCGAAUUUGCAACAGCACUGCUUUCAAAUCCUUACCCGAGGAAAUGAUGGAAAACAAUUCACAACUCGAAAGGUUGUAUAUCAGAGAUUGCGACUCUCUAACAUUCAUCGCAAGACGGAGGCUACCAGCAUCUCUUAAAAGGCUUGAGAUAGAAAAUUGUGAGAAAUUGCAACGUCUGUUCGAUGAUGAAGAGGAUGCUUCUUCUUCUUCUCCUUCAUCCUUGUCUUCCCCAGUGAUGCUGCAACACCUGAGAAUAGAGAAUUGCCCAGAGCUCACCAGUUUAUCAUCGGGUGUCCAAUUCCUUGAGGCGCUUGAAUACCUCAAGAUAGAGCAUUGUCCAAAGCUGGAGUCAAUACCGGAUGGCCUGCCCAAUCUUAAAUGUUUACAGAGCAUUUAUAUACGGAAAUGUCCAAGUCUUGUUUCCUUCUUAGAAAGAGGGCUUCCCAACGCCAUUUCAAGUUUUUACAUUUGCAGAUGUGACAAGCUCGAAGCCUUGCCCAAUGAUAUGCACAAACUCAACUCUCUUCGAGAUUUAAGCAUACAUGGGUGUCCAAGUCUUGUUUCCUUCCCAGAAAGAGGGCUUCCCAACGCCAUUUCAAGGGUUUACGUUUGCAGAUGUGAGAAGCUCGAAGCCUUGCCCAAUGAUUUGCACAAACUCAACUCUCUUCGAGGUUUAAGCAUACAGAUGUGUCCAAAUCUUGUAUCGUUUCCAGAAGAAGGUUUUCCUACCAAUCUAACAUCACUUACAAUUAGAUAUUUCAAAAUGUAUAAGACACUCGUCCAGUGGGGGUUGCACAGGCUUACCUCUCUUAAACGCCUCUGGAUUGCUGUACGUGAUGAUGAAGCAGAGUGUUUUCCAGACGAGGAGAUAGGAAUGACGCUGCCCACCUCUCUCACCGCUCUGCACCUUACUGGAUUCGAAAAUUUGAUAUUUCUGUCUUCAAUGGGUUUUCAAAACCUCACCUCUCUUCAAUCUUUGAGGAUCGAGAAUUGCCCGAAUCUCACAUCAUUUCCAGAGGUGGGCCUUCCAUCCUCACUUUUGGAAUUACACAUUAGAGAUUGUCUAAAGCUUAAAAAAGCGUGCAAAAGAGAUCAAGGAAAAGAGUGGCCCAAAAUUGCUCACAUCCCUCGCGUUGAGAUAGACGAUAAAUUCAUAUACGAUCCAGAAGCAGAGUAGAUUCUAUUAUUAAGGUCAGUUGAUUUGUAUUAUCCGCUAUAACAAGCUCCUCCUUUUUUUUUCAAAUAAUAAUUUUGCAGUCACUCAUAUGAUUCCGUUUUCACAAGUCAGAUUGUAUGUUGAGGCUAUUUGCCUUUUAAUUAUAACACUUAUUGGAGUAUAAUAUUUUGGAGCAAGCAUACUUGAAAUUUCUGUCUUCAAUAUUUUGAUGCUUUUUUAAUUUUUGAUCUAGUAAAAAUACAUAGCCUUCACCGGCAGGAUUCUAGUCUUGGCUUUCACCUCUCUAACUCAUCGUCCCCACUGGGAUUCCAGAAAUUGAAAUUUCUGUCUUCAAUGGGUUUUCAAAGCCUCGCCUCUCUUCGAUUUUUAUGGAUCGCUUCGAUUUUUGCACAAAUCUCACAUCAUUUCCCGAGGUCGAGGAAAAGAGCGGCCCAAACUUGCUCGCAUCCCUUGGGUUAUGAUAGAUGGAAAAUUCAUAUACGAUCCAGAGUCAGAGGUGUUGAUUCUCUUAUUAAGGUCAACUGAUUUCUAUUAUCCACUCUGACAAUCUCCUAUUAGUGUUUUUCCUUUUCUUUUUCAAAAUUUUGCAGUUCUGUAUAAUUGAAAAUGCCACUCACUUGUUUCCUUUUUCGCAGGUCAAAUAGUGCGUUGAGGCUAUUUGCUUUCUAUCGGUGUUUGUUAAGGUAAUUAGUGCUCCAUCAUAGGUAUGACUGGAUUUUUUUCACUUCCGUAAAUAUUGCAUUUCUAUCGGUGUUUGACUGGAUUUUUUUCACUUCCGAAAAUAUUGCAUUUUAGACUGGCAAAUUUAGCAGUAAUUUUAAUACAAUUUUGUUGGUGCCUUUUGUUCCAGAAGCUAGAAAAAUGUGUAGUUUUCAGAUAAGGAGGCUUGUCAGUUCUCUAAUAAGAAUCCAAUAAUUUGCUUUUGCACGUCCAUCUAAUUUGUGGAUCCUUGCAUCAGAAUUUGAUCAAUCCAAAAGGAAUUGCUUUUAGACAGAGGAAGAAUAGCAGUACCUAGCCUAUGUCAUAGUGUAUGGAACCGCAAACCUGAAACUAUUAGAUUGAGGUAAAAAAAUCAUUGACCCCCUCACAUGUUAACUUCUUCUAGUUACUUUCGUUGGAAAAAAAAACAUUUAAGGAAUUUGCAAUUUGUUGUUGGUUAUGGUAUCUGAUGUUCUUUUCUGUUUUAGUGUUUGUAGAAUCUACUGUAUUAUGUGUUGGCAGUUGCCGUAUCUGAGGUAACUUGCCUUUAUUUGACAAAGAUUUAGAGAAGCAUCUCAAAACACUUAGUAAACUUGACAAACUUCAAGAUGCACUUGCCCCCACGCCUUAUUCUCCACAACGCAAAACUUGUGAGUACACCUAUGCCUGCAAUUAUUGUGAAGUGUUUUCAAUUUUGAUGCAGAGAAAUGGUUUCUUGAUGCAAAAUAUUAAACUGUUAAGAUUUAUCCUGCAGGCUUGUUAGAUGCUGUAUGCUCGAAAAGCCAACAACAUCCAGAACUAGAACUCCAAGACCAGCUUUGCGUUAAUUCAGUCAACUGUAAUAAUAAUGCAAAUGACACUAUAUCAAGCUGGACUUAGAGACUAGUCAGAUCAAUCAUCCAUUUCAUCAACGGUUAAUGUCAUGAUGGUGGCUAUCAGAGGAAACAAAAGAUGUGUCGGAAUCUAUACGAACAUUGAGAAGCAUGAGAGGAGCUUUGAUUUUGAGUAGGGUCAAUGAACUCAUGUUGGUAAGUGGUAAUUAAAGAAAUUUGUAAGCUUAGUAGAGUUUCAGUAUUUUCUGUUUGGAGUAUAGUUGAUAAGUUGACUCUGUUUAAUAAGCCCGAUUAUAGUAGCUGACUGUAUUAACCUUUUUUUUUUUGGUCUACUGUUGUUUUUGGUUUCGAUUAUUUUUUCAACAUUGGGUUGAUCUGUUGAAGAACAAGCUUGGGUUCGAUUCUGCUUUAACUACAAGGAAGAGCCAGACUUGGAUGCAGGCGUUAAGAUUUUAAUGGGUAAGAACAAAUGAAUGCUUUAACCAUGUUUCUCACUAAUUAAAAUGCACGGAUUGAAGGCAUCUGGGUUGAUCCUGACAAUGUGAUGGAAAUACUUCUCUAUUUUGUUCCUGUGUUCACAUAAUGUUUGUGGGAUAUGCUUCGACGAAGACCAGCAAUGAUGAGCAGACACCUGGUAAUAGGGUUCCUCGAGCAGGUAUAUCUUGUAAGAGUAUGGUAUUCAGGGGAGCAGGAGCAGGAAUAUCCUGCUCAUCCGCGAGCACGUCAUCCACGAGGCCAAUCUCCUGUUGGAAGCAUAAAGCCAUUCCUGCUACAUUCCUGCUAAGGGUUGAGUCGAGGAGACCCGGUCAACGACAGUUGGCGAGGCGUGCUCUCCAGUCCGAGAAUCAAGGCAUGAAGGCCACGCAACCACCCACGACUACGGAAAUGGGGCAUCCACUUUCGAGAGGUGGGAGGAUAACGAGCGCGAAUGGAAGAAGGCCCGAGUUCAGAGAUGGCCUAUAAAAAAGUAGCCAACAAAGGUAAAAGGGUUAGAAUUUUUGACAUUGUAACAGAAAAAAAGAAAGCUCUAAAGAACUGAGACUAAAAAAGAAAAGCCAUAAGAUUUGUGGCUAGUGUUCCCAGAACCUUCAUAUCUAACUUGAGCGUCGGAGGGUUUACGCCGGGAAAACAACCGGCGUACUCUGACCUAGUUCUGUGUACGCAGGAACUUCUGGAGAAGAAGCCUUACGAGGAGAGAUCCUAAUCGAGGUGGAGUUGAUCGAGCAAAGAUCCUGGUCGUAACAAGAGAGCAACCAGAAUCUCGCAUCAACAUUUUGGCGCCAUCUGUGGGGACUUGAUCAAAAAGCUUCUGUUGAUAGCAAGAAGAGGAGUGAAGCAAGUGGAAAAGCAAUGGAGGCAAGAAGAAAUAGUGCACAAUGGGGUGAUAUGAGGCUUAACGAUUCCGUGACGCUGAGGGAGAUAGCCAGUGAAGCACGGGAAAAAGCCAUGUUUGACCGGAUGGAACGGAUGGAAAAGCAGAUGCAGACCCUGACAACCAUCCUACAUGAGCUGCGGAGUGAACGAAGGGGAACCCAGGAGGAAAGGGUGAGAGGUGGUGGAGUGGCACCAGGUCAUGAUAGUACGAGGAGAAGUCAAACCACCGAGAGAUUUGGUGGUGAGAGAGGUAACCUAUCUCUACGGGGAGAAAUUCAUAGAGAGGAAGAGCAAUCCCCGGCAAGACAGAUUUUUGACGAGGACGACGGGGUGGCGAAUGCAGAGGAAACAGAGUUGAGGUAACACUUGCAUGAUGUAGAGCAAGAGCGGGAUCAAGUUGCAGCACGUGACCUUGGUCGUGUAGUGCAGCUGGAGGAGGAAGUGCGCAGACUAGCGCAGAUAAUUGAUGACAUGUAAGGAAGGAGCAGAGCUCCUGGUUGGAGGAUAAUGCUGGACGGAGAAUCACCGCUCGCAGCAGAGAUCAUGAGGGCAGUUAUUCCAAGAGAUUUCCGCCUCCCAGACCUUAGAUAUUCGGGACGAACUGAUCCGCUGGUGCACAUAGAGCGCUUCAACGACAUAACCGGGGUACAAGGAUUAUCUCAAUCCCAAAGGUGCAGGGUGUUCCCACUAUCCCUUGAGGGACGUGCACGCAAGUGGUACAGGAAACUUCCUCGGUGGAGCAUUAAAACCUUCGAGCAGAUGUGACAGGAAUUUGUAGAGCAGUUUCGUGGGGCAAUAGCACCAGAAGAUGACAUGAUGGAGUUGAAAAGCAUGAAGCAGGGGGAACAAGAAACCCUUCGGGAAUUCAUCAAGAGGUUUCAUCGUGCUGUCCUCGAUUUGGGAGCCUUCAACCAUUCUCAGGCAUUAAGGGGAUUGAAAGAAGGGGUGAAGAUAGGAAGGCUGUGGCACAACUUGAGAAGCCCAGUUAUUCAGAUGUAUACAGCCGCAUACGAGCAGGCUAAGAGGGACAUUGAGAUUGAAGAAGAAAAGGCAGCACGGAUUAAGACAGACCAGCUAGAAGGGUUGGGAAAGAAAGAGAAGAAAGCAUUACCAGGGAAUGGGCCGAUCAGGAGGAAGGACCACCAGGCCUCAGGUAGUGGUGCAAGAGGUCGAGUAACCGCUUACCAGCCUCAUCAGAGACCACCACAGUAUUAGCACAGCAGAGCACAACCUCCUCGUUCCCCAGUUAGAGAGCUUUGGAGAAGGCAUGACUCGACAUAUGGUGGUCUUCAUCAACACUCCCACGGUAGUAGAGGGAGCAGACCAGAAGCGCUGCCACCGCCUCUAACUCAGAAUGGAACAAAUAGAGAAAGGGUAGUGCACAUGAUCGACCAGAACCAGGACUAUGGGCAGUAUACUUCCUUGAAGAUGUCCCUGGACGAGGUGUACGAGGCCAUAAAGGACCGGGGAUUGAUGUACCUCCCUGCCCCAAUAACAAAGCUACCCAGCAGGACGGAUAGGGGACGCUAUUGUAAGUUCCAUGGCACUUAUGGCCAUACCACUGCAGAAUGCAGAGAUCUCAAGACCCAAGUUGAAGAUUUGGUGAGAAAUCGGUACCUGGAUGAGUUUAUAGAUGAGACUUUCCCGAUGGUGGCCUCGACAUGUGAAGGGGAGCAGAGUGAUAGAAACUUUAGGCGCGAGCAGCCUGCAGUAAGGGUAAUAGCUGGGGGCCCAACAUUGGCCGGAGAUUUCAACAGAUCGAGGAAGAAUUAUGCUAGAUACGCCAUAACUAGUAAAGAGUUACUCUUCAACACCCCAGCAGCCAAAUGAGUAAGAGUCAGACAAGUGCCAAUCAUGUGGACGGAUGAAGAUGAAGAAGAGAUUCUAUACCCCCACGAGGAUGCUUUAGUCAUCAAGGCUACUGUUGCAAGUAAGAAGUUUGACCGGAUACUGGUUGAUACAGGGAGCUCAGUUGAUGUGUUAUUUAAGUCAACUCUGGAGGAGAUGGGAAUAGCAGGCCGGAAGUUGGAGUACACCAAUACCUCCUUGAAAGGGUUUGGAGGAGGAAAGCUGGUCCCUCUGGGCGUGGUCGAGCUGCCUAUCACGAUUGGGAGCUCCCCGACAAAAAGGACUAUGAUACUGGACUUUGUGGUGGUGGAUGAAGAAUGUCCUUACCAGAUGAUCUUAGGUCGGCCAUUUCUGAGGAUGAGCAAAGCGGUACUGUCCAACCAUUAUCUGGCUCUCAAGUACCGAGUGAAUGUGGUAGUUGGAGUGGUACGAGGAGACCAGAGAAUAGCACGAAGCUGCUACUCCUUGGCAGCAAGGGAAGCAAUGCAAAUAACAUCCCUUGAUACCCGAGUGGAAAACAUGAAUGGCAGACAAGAACCUGUAGAGGAGCUGGAGACAGUAAGCCUGGGACCAGAGAAUCCGGGAAAAACGAUCAGAAUCGAGUCGAGACUUAAGGAAGAGCAGAAGCAGGAGUUGGUGAAAUGCUUACAGGCUCAUGCAGAUGUGUUUGCUUGGACACAUGAAGACAUGCCAGAGAUUGAUCCUGAGGUAGCAUGUCAUAAGCUGGCAAUAAAGAAAGGUGCUCGGGCAGUAAGGCAGAAAAGGAGGUGCUUCAACCAGGAGAGGUAUGAGGCUAUAAAUGGCGAGGUGGAGAAGCUCUUGAUAGCAGGGUUCAUUUGCGAAGUCGAUUAUCCUGAGUGGAUAUCGAAUGUGGUGUUGGUAAAGAAGGCAAAUGGCAAGUGGAGGAUGUGUGUAGAUUUCACAGAUCUCAAUAAGGCGUGCCCGAAAGACAGCUUUCCUUUAUCAAAGAUCGACCAGCUAGUAGAUUCAACGGCUGGACACGGCCUGCUUAGCUUCAUGGACGCGUUUUCGGGAUACAACCAAAUUCCCAUGUAUGAGCAGGAUGAGGAGAGCACGGCUUUUAUUACUAACCAGGGUUUAUUUUGUUACAGGGUAAUGCCAUUUGGUCUUAAAAAUACUGGGGCCACGUACCAGAGGCUGGUGAAUAAAGUCUUUAAGCCAUUGAUUAGGAGAACCAUGGAGGUGUACGUGGACGACAUGAUAACCAAGUUGAACAUCCCGAAGGAACAUGUCAGAUACCUCGAGGAGACAUUCGGGCUUUUGAGGAAGUAUAAGAUGAAGCUCAACCCGGAAAAGUGUGCUUUUGGGGUCGAGUCAGGGAAAUUCCUUGGAUUCAUGGUGAGCCAUAGGGGGAUCGAAGCAAAUCCCGAGAAGAUCCACGCGAUCGUGUAAAUGAGGUCACCUCGUAGCCUGAAGGAGAUGCAGAGCCUCACGGGGAGGUUGGCGGCAUUGAGCCGAUUCAUAUCCAAGGCUACUGAUAAGUGUCAGCCAUUCUUUCAAGUGAUAAGGAGGGGAAAGAAAAUAGAAUGGACCCCAGAAUGUGAAGAAGCCUUCCAGAACUUGAAGCAGUACUUGCAGCAAGCACCUCUACUGUCCACACCGAGGGAUGGGGACAAGUUAUUUUUGUAUUUGGCGGUAUUAGAUCGGGCCGCAAGUUUUGUUCUGGUGAGAGAGGAAGAAGGGGUUCAGUAUCCGAUAUACUACACCAGCAAGGCUCUGCUCGACCCUGAGACCAGAUACCCACCGUUGGAGAAAUGGGCAUUUGCCCUUGUGGUUGCUGCUCAGAAGCUGAGGCCAUACUUUCAAGCAUUCCCAGUCUCGGUAAUAACAAACCAGCCAUUGCGUCAAACUCUGCACAAGCCAGAUGCUUCUGGUCGGCUCGUCAAGUGGACUAUAGAGCUGAGCGAGUUCGACAUAGACUACAAACCCCGAGCAGCGAUAAAGGCUCAGGCGAUGGCCGAUUUCAUAGCAGAAUUCACAGAGCCCGAAAUAUGUUUGGACCAGCGAGAUGUAGCUACAGACAGCAACGAAGCCCGAGUAUGGCAGAUGUCUGUAGAUGGAUCAUCCGGGGAGUAGGGAUCAGGAGCAGGAAUUGUUUUGGAAGGCCCAGAAGGGGAGGAGAUCUCUUAUGCUGUAAAGUUAGAAUUCGCAGCCACAAAUAACCAAGCAGAGUACGAAGCCUUGAUAGCAGGUUUGGAAUUGGCUAAGGCAGUGAAAGCGGAUAGAGUGAAGAUCAGAACUGAUUCCCAGCUGGUCGCAAAUCAUGUCAGUGAAAGAUUUCAACCGAGAGAGGAGAAGAUGGAGCAGUACCUGAAGAUAGUCAGGCAUAUGAUGGGGAAAUUUGAAGCGGUUUAGGUGAUACAAAUCCCCAGGGAGCAGAAUAGUCGAGCAGAUAUUUUGACGAGGAUGGCAGCGGUAGCAGACCCAAAAAUGCCAAAGUCGAUCCCUCUGGAGGUGAAGUCCAGCCCGAGCAUCGAGCAUAAUUUGGGGGUGCUGCGGAUAGAACAAAAAUGCUCGUGGAUGGACCCGAUAAUUUCAUACCUUAGAGACGGGGUAUUACCACCAGAGAAGCUGCGAGCUCGGAAGAUUAGAGCCCAGGCCUCGAGAUACACGAUGAUUGACGGGGUAUUAUAUCGGCGAGGAUAUACGCUACCUUUCCUUCGGUGUUUGGAUGAGGACGACGCGGACUACGUACUGAGAGAAGUACAUGAAGGAAUUUGCGAAAAUCACUAUGGUGGGAGGUCCCUGGCUCACAAGGUUCUAAGGCAGGGAUAUUUCUGGCCGACAAUGCACCAGGAUGCGCAAGAGAAGACCAGGAGCUGUGUAAGCUGCCAGAGUUUUGUGAGUUUCUCUAACCAACCACCAGAGAAGCUCACCUCUAUGGCCCCCCCCUGGCCAUUUGCUCAAUGGGGAAUUGAUCUGAUCGGCCCGUUGCCAAAGGGAUGAGGAGCAGCAACACAUGCAAUAGUUGCGAUAGACUACUUCACGAAGUGGAUAGAGGUAGAAGCCCUUAGUAGGAUCACAGAGAAGAAAACAACAGACUUUGUAUGGAGAAACCUGGUCUGUCGAUACGGGAUCCCUUAUGCCUUGGUAACGGAUAAUGGCAGGCAGUUUGAUAAUCACAGCUUCAGGGAUUUCUGCCAGAACCUCGAGAUAGAGUUGAAGUAUUGCUCGCCUGCUCACCCUCAAUCUAAUGGACAAGUAGAAGCAGCCAACAAGACCAUCAAGAGGCUUUUGAAAACCAGGCUUGGAGCAAAAAAGGGUGCAUGGGUUGAUGAGCUGUCAGGUGUCCUAUGGGUAUACAAGACAACCCACAAAACAGCAACUGGGGAGACACCGUUCGCCUUGGCUUUCGAACAUGAAGCGGUCGUACCAGCCGAGAUAGGAACGACCACGCACCGGACAGAUCAUUUCAAUGAGCAGGAGAACGACGAGCAGAUGUGUUUGAAUCUAGAUCUGCUAAUGGAAAAGAGGGAGCAAGCAGCCGAGCGAUCAACCAUUUGCCAGCAGAGGGUUGCUCGGUAUUAUAACCAGAAGGUGAAUGUACGGCAGUUCAAGGUCGGAGAUUGGGUGUUAAGAAGAGUGAAUCAGAAUACGAAAGACUCGGCUCAGGGAGUACUUGGACCAAAUUGGGAGGGGCCAUAUAGGGUCAAGCAGCUAGUUGGACCCGGAGCUUACAAGCUGGUUCGCUCGGAUGGCCACGAGGUGAAACGCCCAUGGAACGCAACACACCUCAGGAAAUAUUUCCAGUAAGAAUUGUCCAUGUUUUCAAGUUAUUUCUGUUCGUGUUUGUUGUUAUUUAUUUUAUGUCAAAACAAUUUCAUGUAAGUUGAAUCCUGCAAUUAAUGAAACGUCGAGGAAUUUCAUUCACUUGAAACUGUGAAAAAUCUACUAAGGCAUGCUAAGGCUCACUGAGUCUCAAAGCCUGUUUAUGGAAAGACCAGAAGCCAAGUGUGCCAGGAUCUGCUCGACCACGCGAAGGCCAGCAGAAUCCCAAAUCAUUGAAGAAUCUACCAAGGCAUGCAAAGGCUCGUCAAGUCUCAAAGCCUGUUUAUGGCGAGACCAGAAGCCAAGUGUGCCAGGAUCUGCUCAACCACGCGAAGGCGAGCAGAAUCCCAAUCAUUGAAGAAUCUACCAAGGCAUGCAAAGGCUCGUCAAGUCUCAAAGCCUGUUUAUGGCGAGACCAGAAGCCAAGUGUGCUAGGAUCUGCUCAACCACGCGAAGGCGAGCAGAAUCCCAAUCAUUGAAGAAUCUACUAAGGCAUGCUAAGGCUCACCGAGUCUCAAAGUCUGUUUAUGGCGAGACCAGAAGCCAAGUGUGCUAGGAUCUGCUCGACCACACGAAGGCGAGCAGAAUCCUAAAUCAUUGAAGAAUCUACCAAGGCAUGCAAAGGCUCGUCAAGUCUCAAAGCCUGUUUAUGGCGAGACCAGAAGCCAAGCAUGCCGGGAUCUGCUCGGCCAAGUAAAGGCCAGCAGACUCCCCAACAUCAAAAAAUUAUCCAAGGCAUGCAAAGGCUCGUCAAGUCUCAAAGCCUGUUUAUGGCGAUACCGGAAGCCAAGCAUGCCGGGAUCUGCUCGACCAAGUGAAGGCUAGCAGACUCCCCAACACUGGGAAAAUUAUCUAAGGCAUGAGAAAGCUCGUCAACUCUCAAGGCCUCCUCUGUGACGAGGUCAGAAGCCAAAUGGAUAAAUAAAUUAAAAUUCCAAUGCGAGGAAGCAAAUAAGAACAAUUUUAUUAAGCUCUUAAAAGUCUGCAAUUCUGUUACAUACAACGCUAAAAAAGCAAUUACAACGCAAGACAAGUUCAGGAGGACGGCGGAUCAGUAAACCGAGUAGCUUCGGUUGGCUGGUCCACUUCAGGGGUCGAGGGGGUGUCACCAGUUGCGUCCGGGGGGGUACUCGCCUCACCAACGUUAGCAGGGACUGCAUGAGGAGGAGAGUUUUCCUCCUCAACCACGAUUGGCUCCACCCCUUCGGCAUCCUCCUUUGCCGCCUCCUCGUCCAUGUGUUGAACAAUACUAGCCGCAAGGUCAUCCAUCUUCAGAUCAGGAUGCUGCUUCCCGAGGACGGCCAUGAUGCAACGAUAGGAAUGCCGAAGUCCCUGGUCGUACUGGUUGUCGGCUUCCUUCUCCAAGUUCUUGACCUGAACUCGGUGGGAAUCGCGGAGAGAUUCGAGCUGAGCCUCGUACAUAAUUUUCUGCCUUUGCAGAUCCUCCUUGACCUUAGUCAGCUCUUCCUCGAGAGUAACGGCCUAUGCUUGAGCAAGAGAUUCUUGCUCUAUCAGCUUCAGAUUCUCGAGAUUCAAGUCUCCCGCUUUCUUCUCGGCAGCAUCGGCUCUGGUCGUCGCCGAUUGAAUGUCCUCCUUCAUCUUCCGGUCGUAACGGCCAACCUUGGCCUUAUAGUAAGUGGUCAUGCAGCUGAGGUGGAAAGCGCUAUACUGCAUGGCCCCCACCAGCUCACCUAGGGUGCAGCCAUCAAAGUCCUCCAGGUCCUUCUUGCUCACGAGUUUAAAUAGCUCAUUGAGAUAGGGGACCAAGUGUUCUGCUCGGUGGUCAGAUAAACGAGAUCUAGGCCCGACAGGAGGAGAAGAGAAAGCAGGAUCAGUGGCAGCUCCACUAGUCUCUCUGACUUUGGCAGGAGGAGGAGGAGGUAGAGUCUGCAAGGGAGCAACCUGUUGCACGAUGUUCACCUGCUUUGCAGUAGGAGCAUCUUUAUUCUGGUCCUGCUUGGUCGUUGGAGGUCGAGAACGUUUCCUAGUCAGAGCCCCAAUCACAGCAUCCUCCAUCUUAUGGCCGGGAGGCACCAAACAAGACUCGAGCAGGUUAUAAGUAGUUAUCAGCUCUCGGCUCGAGCAGGAAUUGGCUAGUACAGCCUCGACCCGUUUGAGCUGGUCAGGUUUGAGCGGGAAGUAAACACCCCAAGAACCUGCAACACAAAUAGACACUUGGUUAGAGACAAACCAGUAUAGCGAGAACAAUUAUGGAUACAAGACAUCUAAAGCGAGCAGGCAACCUGAGAUCACGAAACGGGGUGGGACGCAAGAAUCCUUCCCGUCAAUUUGUGCAACUUGACCCCAGGAACCCCCAGCAAAAAAGAAUUUUUUCUUCCAAUUCCCACCACCACCAGUAAGAAGAUCGGUUAUGGGUUUCCUGGUCUUGGUACUAGAUUGGAAGUAGUACCAGCCGGCAUCUUUGGGGCUGCUCUUUAGCUGGUACAGGUGCUUCACCUCAUCAACUGUGGGCUUGCUUUGGCAACAUCUGUCCCACAAUAUGAACAGACCAGAGAGUACUUUCCACCCGUUGGGGUUCAGCUGACCAGGAGCUAGAUUUAGCCCGUUAAGCAUCCGGGCAAAGUAGGGUUGCAAGGGACACCUCAGCCCAUACUUAAAGCUCUCUAGAAACAGGGUAACGUAUCCCCUAGGAGGCCGGCUAGGGGUAUCCUUCUUUCCUGGGAUCUUAAGAGGUAUUUCACCAGGAAUACUAUACUUAAGCCGGAGGUCAGUGAGCUCGUCAAACGUGGUCGUGCACGUCAUGUAAUCAAUAGCGUAAUCCCGCGAUAGGGCUCUACCUCCUACUGUACUCUGCCCUUCUGGUCGCGAUGUUCAUAAUGGGGACACCUCACCAGAAUCACCUCUUCGAUCCUCACUCAGGGUGUUUUCCGAGCCAGAAAACCCCUCCUCACCGCUAUUUCUGCUCGAGGAGGUUGUUUGGGGGGACAUCCUCCUAGCGCUAGUACCAACACUAGGUCUAAUGGGUUCUAAGGGGAUCCCGGGGUCAAAAGCAGGAUCGGUGAGCAGACUAGGCAGGAAGUCCAACUCAUUGUCAUCAACCUCAAUGACCUUCUCUUUACCUUUCGACAUUCCCUAAGCUAUAACUAGAACACCACCACCAACUACUACCCAAGCAAAGCAAAGAGAAAAGAAAUUAUCUACAGCUAUCCGAGACUGAGGAGAUAGAAGUAAUACCUGAAAUAGUGGUUCAGUCGGAGAAGGACAGGGAUGGAGGCCUUUAUGCCGGAACUUCUUUGCCAGGGAGACAGGGACAGAGACGGGGUAAAUGACGAAUUUUCCUUUGGAGAGGUUUUAGGUUUUCCUAAUGGAGAAUAAACUCUUGGGUUGCCAGCAUUUAACAGCACCAAAUCCCGAGGGUCUCGUAACCGUUGGUUUGAAAUUCAAAUAGAGAGGUAGAUUUCUGUCACAUCACCUCGUCCGCAAUUAAAUGCGACACAACUCUUGGCAGCCUUUUUCCUAUCCCGCGCAAGCAAGAGCUGUCAAGUUUCUACUAUCGGCUUACUACGUUACCCAACACCAGAAACUGGGGGAUCGGUGUUUGUGGGAUAUGCUUCGACGAAGACCAGCAAUGAUGAGCAGACAUCUGGUAAUAGGGUUCCUCGAGCAGGUAUAUCUUGUAAGAGUCUAGUAUCCGGGGGAGCAGGAGCAGGAAUAUCCUGCUCAUCCGCGAGCACGUCAUCCACGAGGCCAAUCUCCUGUUGGAAGCAUAAAGUCAUUCAUGCUACAUUCCUGCUAAGGGUUGAGUCGAGGAGACCCGGUCAACGACAGUUGGCGAGAUGUGCUCUCCAGUCCGAGAAUCAAGGCACGAAGGCCACGCAACCACCCACGACUACGGAAAUGGGGCAUCCACUUUCGAGAGGUGGGAGGAUAACAAGCGCGAAUGGAGGGAAGGCCCGAGUUUAGAGGUGGCCUAUAAAAAGGUAGCCAACGAAGGUAAAAGGGUUAGAAUUUUUGACAUUGUAACAGAAAAAAAGAAAGCUCUAAAGAACUGAGACUAAAAAAGAAAAGCCAUAAGAUUUGUGGUUAGCGUUCCCAGAACCUUCAUAUCUGACUAGAGCGUCGGAGGGUUUACGCCGGGAAAAGAACCGGCAUACUCUGACCUGCUUCUGUAUACGCAGGAACUUCUGGAGAAGAAGCCUUACAAGGAGAGAUCCUGAUCGAGGUGGAGUUGAUCGAGCAGAGAUCCUGGUCGUAACAAGAGAGCAACCAGAAUCUCACAUCAACACAUAAUAUAAUAUAUAUAUAUAUAUAUAGAAAGCUGAAUUUAUUUAUUUACGCGCAUGUGCUAGUGCCCACUGGCAUCCACUUGAUUUGUAUCGGUUAAAUGUAUCAUACAAUACAAUAUUAGCUUGACUGUAGAAAAGAGGAGAACGAGUUGGUGUUGGUCUGAACUCUUAUCUUUGAAUCUCACGUGACUCCACUACUUUUUACUUGUUCUGUAGUCCAUUGUCGGCAGCUCAUACAAGGUCUUUUAGCUUUUUAAAAAGUUUUAGCUUUUUGGAUAAAUUACUGAUAAUUGUAAUCUAUAAAUAAUGAAAGGAAUUAAUUAAAUAUUUGGUAAAUUUUAUUUUUUAAAGUGUUAUGAGUUUUAAAAACGGUUGUAUGUAUAUAAAUUUAUUUACACAUAUAUUUAUAAAUAUGACUAUAUAAUAAUAUUUUAUGUGUACAUAUAAUAAUUGAUAACUAAAAUAAAUAUUUUUAUUUUAUUAAUGGUUUUUUCGUCUCAAUGUAGUUGGUAAUAAUAAUCUCUUGAGAUGUAACGAUUUUAUUUCCUAACUGAAUAAGGAAAAUUUUAGAUUUUUAUAAUAAAUGUUAAGAUAUAUUUAGAAUUACAUUAAGUAUGAAAUAAUCCUCAAAAUUAGAUUUUGAAAAGCAAUUCUUUUCUUGCCUUUAAAAAUAUGUCAUAUGAUGAGAUGAUUUUACUAAAAGUGAUUUUUUUUUAAAAAAUUACUAAACAUCAAAAUUAACUCUUAACUUUUUAAAAUCAUUUCUAAUCUUCUCAUCCUAAGUUCUCUAUUAUUUUGUACAAAAUCCAAGGUUUUGACUUUAAUAAAAUGCCCACUCAAAAAGAAAUUAUUUUCUAAUUAAGAUUUGUUGUUAAUGUAUAACUCGAAGUAAUAUUAGAUAUUUGUAAUUUUAUUUCAAAAAAUUUAUUCAAAUGAUAUGGCAAGCAAUGAACAAUAGUUGAUAGCAAUUUUUUUUUCUUUAACAAUGUUCAAAUCAAUCAGUUGCAUUAUCUCACCAUUUUUAUGAUGCCAUGUUAUUUUAAACGAUUUUUUUUUUAUAUAAAACAUACGACGUGUUAACAUCAUUUGCAUAACUUGACCUUUUUUUUUUUCCCUACAAAUAGUAAGUCAAAUUUACUCACCCUAUUUCUACCUAAAAUCUACCUAAAACUCAUGCAUCACUGCAAAACAAAUCCAAAGAUUGCGGUGCGUUUUUCUUGGUCAGAAAUCAAUAAUUAGGUCAAGUACUACUACUAAGCGUGCACAAUUAAUUCUAAAAUACGGUGAUCAAAAUCAUACUUUACGCAAGAGGAUCAGGGCUAAACUUCAAUUAGGCAUUAUUCAUCCAAAAAUCAUUGACUCGGCAUUCUUUGCAAGUUGUAGCAUGGGACAGCUAAGAUAAUUAGCAAAUGAUAUGGACCAUAUGCACCAAUACAUUUGUGACAUGUGAAUCUUGGCAUUAAAGGAAAGGCAAUGUGUCAAAAUUUAAUAGAGCCCAACUCUUCAUUGAAUGAUUAUCAGAUCCAAUACGCAUCCUUUGAUUGGAUUAUUUUAAGUCAAUUAUUGGUGGAUUGGGGCCCACUUGACUCUACCAAAUCGGGCUCGACCAUAUCACCUAUUAACGGCCACCUGUCCUUAUCAUAAAUAGCAAAUGUCACUUGUUUUAUUUUCUAUUUUACCAAAGUAAAGUCACUACGAACGCAAAAGAAAGUGACCUCAAUUUUGGGGGUCAUGAACUUUGGAUUAUUAUGGACACAAGAGACAAGCGCAAUGUUUCUCAUUUAUCACUGGAUAAGAUUUAAGUUAUCAACCCAAUAUUAAUAAAUUCUGCUUGAAAAGUAAAGUUUGAAGCUUCAUUUUGCGAAUAUUCAAUGGUUAACAUUUAAGUAAUUAACCUGAUAUUAAUCCAAUUAAACUUUUUAUGUAAUCCAAGUCAAAAAUAUAUUGAUAAACCUAAACUAAUCUAAUUGGACAUAUUAUUUCAACUUGAAAAGGUGAAUUUAUCAUUUUUCAAUUAAUUUUGAAUCAAGCUAUGUAAAAUAUAAGCUUAUUAAAGACAUAUUUGAAAAUUUCAAAUUGAAUUAUUUGACAAUUACAUUUCAACUAAGUUGUACUGCUAAUUAACUUCCUCAACUUAAAAUGUAUUUUUCUCAAUUAAUUCGUAACAAAGAAUGUUAGAUGUUUUGUUCGAAUGAUAACAUUCAACAUCCUUAUUCUUUAUGAUUAUUGCAUAAAAACAUAUUUUAUCCAUUUACGUCACAUAUGUUCCUAAAUUGUAUAAGAAAAUCACCAAAUUUACUCUUGUAAGUUACUAUAUCAAUGAACAUGAAACUAACUAAUCAUUAAAGUCUCGGAAUGACAUCAUGAGGGGGAUUCCGUUACAUUUAUUGAUAGGAUUAGAUAUAUGUCUUCCCAAAUAUUAGUAGGAGUAAUUAAACAGAUGCAGCUAUUAAAAAUAUGGAAUUACUUAUCUCGUCAAUAACUAACGAUAUUUUUUAUCUAUGCUCGAUAGGCGUCUGAGCUAUAUUAUAAAUUGUAAUAUUUGUAGAUUGUAACAAUUAUAAAAAAAAAAAAAAAAAGCUCCCUAAGACUAAACGACAACAGGACUGUUUUGAAAUAGAUAGAUAAAGUAUGCCCUUAUUUGAGAAAAGGUAAAACACUAGGGAUCUAAAUGUUAUUAUAAUCCCAUGCACAAAAAUGCUAGAAAAAACUAAUAACAACUAACCGAAAAUCCCAGGCGUCAUAUUCCUUUUUACCGCGUUUUAAAAUGCACAACAAUGAUAUUCUCACAAAAGUGGGUACAAAGGUUUGUACAACCAGGGUCUCUUUGUAAAUUAUUUCAAAGUUUUGUGUUAUUUUUUAAAUUUAUGAUUUUUAUUAAUUUUGAUUCAUUGGAGCAUUUCUCCUUCCAUCUCUUCUACAUCUAUUUUUAAAGUUUUUUAAAAUUUUGACUAUAUCUUUAUAGAGUUCUAAAUGAUUAUCUUUUUUCAUAAAAAUCUAUACUUAAAUUAAUCCUUGAAUUUAUAAUCAUUUAUCUUCUUUGAGUCAUAGACCAAAUUUUUUCUUCUAACAUAUCUAUGUAUACUCCUAAGCUAUCUUCAUGGCUUAGAUACAUUCUAUCAAAGCUUUCACAUAUAAAUUGUGAUUUGAGAUCUGCAUCUUGAAUCAACAUCUCUAUAUUAUCCAUUGUUUUACGCUCGAGGGUAGUUAAAAUUGAUUCUAUUAAUGCUAUCGUGUUUCUCCUUCAAAAGAAUCAAAUAUUUCUGGAUUAUUAAUUUCUUUUAUUUCUUCAUACAAGCAUUCGUUUGCCGUUAAUCUUGUUUUAAUCAAGGAAGCUGUAUAAGCAACUUGAUAUUCUUGACAAAAGUCUAAAUGAUCUAUUGCAUCUAGAAAUUUAUUAAUAGAUCUUUCCAUUUUUAAGAAAUUGAGUUACUCUUAUCACUUCCAAUCUUUUAACAUCUCAGAAAACAAACAAGGCCCAGCAUGCUUCCGUUUGUAGCUCAAAUAAAAGAAGAGUUCAGAUCACUAACCAAUGUACUAUCUCUCGGAAGUCUGAGAUAGACUCACUAAUUGCCUCUAACCAUAGAGAGGUCCAUGGUCAGCACCACCAUAGCUCCACACAUCAUACAAGAUCACUUCAACGACUGUUCCACAUGGCCUAAUGCAACACACAGCAGACUGGCCUAAUAGGAUAUGUCUAAGUGAUUUUCUUGCAGUUGUCUCUGGAAGAGUGCUUAGUAAUAGAAAAUCUUCUUCGUUUAGUACAAGUAUUGGUAUGUAAGGUUCUUGAUUAAUUUUCAAAAGAUGUAUAAGUGUUAGAGUGCAAUUUAUGCACUAGUUUUGCAUUAUUUACUUCCCUUAAUAUCAAUGUUUUGCACUUAAUAAUAGUGAUUUACUUGUGUUUUACUUUUGUAGGUCCAAUUCUAUUGAUUGAUGAUAAAAUUGAGCUAUAAGAUGAUGUUUAAGGAUGAUUGUUCUCUUGGAGAAAUUAUGAGCGUCAGAAGAACUUUGUUGAUAAGGCGUGGGCGCGUGCUGUCAAUUGCGGACCUGCAGUUUUUAGUUUAACGUGUUUUGUAUUUUUGGUUAUUUUUGUAAUUACGAAUUUAAUAUUUCAGAUAUUAAGAUUUUAUUUUAAAUAGAAUUCUAAAAGAGAAGAGAGAGAGAGUAUUUAAGGGAGGAAUCUAUUGUGAAAAAGGGGGAUUUUGGAUUGGAGAAAGAAAGAAACCCUAGAUCUAAUUUUUCUCUUCUCUCUAUGAAGAACUAAACUUAUUUUUCUAGUUGAAGGUUAACGAAGCUUUGAUUCAUCACUACUGUGAGAUCUUUCUUAUGCUUUAAUUGUUUUAUUACUUUUUGGAUAUUUGUUUAUUCUCUGAAUUUUUUUCAUGAUUAUGUUUGUUAAUUAGGUAAUUGGCCACUAUUUAAUUAUCAACUUAAUCUAUUGUCAAUUAAAGGAUUCAUCGUAUGAAGAAUUUAAUAUUUGUGACAAAUAACAUAGCAGAGAGUUGUGUUGUGAGAAUAAACAAUCUAAUUUAAAUGAAUCAUCAUAUGUGUUGAUUAGGAUUUGGGUCUCUCUGGUUUUUCAGGCUGUCAAUGAAUUAAAUCCUAUGAUCGUAUCUAGGGUUGUCCAUUGAUUAGGGAAAUAACCAACGGUCGUACCUUGGUUAUCGACUAGUAAAGGAGAGAUUGGCUAUUAGAGGGUCUCAAUAGCUAUAACCGGUCUAUUCAUAAGUAAUAAUAAUCUAUAUUUGAAUCAAUGAUCAGUAGUAGAAUCAAGCUGAGUUAAUUCCUUCAACCAGAGCUUUCUCCAAUUUGAAUUACAACUUUAAUUUGCAUUCUUGUUAUUUUGAUUUGAUUUUUAUUAUUGUCAACAAUUCCCCCAUUUUACGUUUUACGUUUCAAAAGGAUUUAAAUAAUUACCGAUCUCUGUGGACACGACCCUGCUCAAUCACUAUACACAAUUUAUUUAGAGUAGGAAUUUAUUUUUGUUCGCUUCGACACCACUGCUGCCUCGCCAACUAUUCCUUCUACAUCCGCACCACCUUUGAGCAUUCAGUUAGAGAAAAUAGAGCACAAGCUGAACAAGAUGGAGCAGAAUUUGGCCGCAUACUUCGAGAGUGUGGGUUUUACCCCACCAUUUCCGCCAAGCCCAUAGACGUUAUGUGGAUCAAAGCUCACAAUUCAGGGAAGUUUCUUUUUGCCCUUAAUCUUUUAUCCUUACGCUUUAAUUUUUAUGUGAGCUUUAAUUAUCUUACAUUGGGGACAAUGUAAGUUCUUGGUGUGGGGGAGGGAUUUUUGCAUUAUUGAUGUCUGGAAGUAUUAUUUUCACUCUACUCAUCUAUUUUCAUUCUACUCGUCCUUAAAUGAUUUUGGAGUUAGUAUGCUUCAUAUAUUAUUAUUUUUCUUUUCUUUUCUUUCUCACUACUUUUUUCCCAUCUAUCUCAAAUUAUUUACAUCUAUUUUUAUUCUAUCAUACUCUUUCAUCACUCACAUUUUAUCUUUCACUUUUCAUAUUACUACAUACAUCUUUCUCACUUCUUAUCAUUUUUACCUUUCCUUCACUCAUACCUUCUUCUCAUUCUACACCACUAUUGAUGGUUGAUUCAUUUGAAGAGUGUACAUGAUUUGAUGGCAAAUUUACCAACUUUGUGAGGAUUUGAGCCUAUGAGCAACCACUUUGCUCUAAUUAUUUUUAUUAUGUGAAUAUCAAUCUUAGUUUGUUUAUUCUAGAACUUGCUUUGUUAUGCAUGUUGAAGCCACAUUACGGGAUUUUUUGCAUUAAAAUGAUAAGGGCAAACCAUUUACCAUUUUUCUAUUCUCGCAUUUUCUUUUUUUUUUCUCUACCCGAAGACCUUGAUUUACUAUCUUUGUUUGAGCCUUAACCAUUACCCAUCUAAUUCUCUCCGUCUACUUAACCAUUUUUCUUCUUUUUUAGCCUCAAUUUAAGGAGAUUUUUGGACUCAUUGUGUGGAUAUAUUUUGUAUAUAUUUUGUUGCUUUUUCUACCUUGUAUUAAAGUUUCUCAAUUAGAUCAACAAGCAUUAUGCUUGAAUUAAAUUGUGCAAGGUUCAUUUCUUUUGUUUGAUUCAAAAAAAAAAAAGAAAGAAAAAGAAAAGGAAAAAGAAAAAAAAAGAAAAAAAAAGAAAAAUCGAAAAAAAAAGAAAAAGAAGAAAAAAAAAUGUUUACAUUCUUGGUGACUUGAGUAGAAAUAAGCGUUUCGAUAUCAUAAAGUUCGUUCAAUGAGUUCAUUCUUCUCAUUUUGAUCUCUUUUUCUUUCAUAAACCUUUCUUUUUCAUUUAACCCAUUUAACCCCGUUACAACCUUUUAAGACCCUUAGAUUUUUGUAUUUAAUUCAUGUUUUGUGGAUUGAAAUGUGAUAUAUAAGCAAGCUUAUGGUAAUAGCAUUCUUUGAUUUGAUUUGAGUGAAUAAAUGACACCCUAAACACUUUGAGUGCAUGGAGUGAAGUCAAUGAGAGGGCUAUUAAAUCUUGUUGCACUUGAAUUUUGAAUGGAUCUUCUUGGUGGUUGAAUGUUCUUAUUCUAUCUUAUGAGAUUCUAUGCUUUAAAAUCCUUGUCUCUCGAAUGUUGAUCGACUUAAUUUCUUGAGGUAUACUUGCUUAAAAUUGUUUUUGGAUGAGUUGAGAUGAGAAUUGAGUGGAGAUUUGGGAUUAGUCUUGAGUUAUAUGCUUGAGGACAAGCAUCAUCUUGGUGUGGGGGAAUUUGUUAGAGUGCAAUUUAAGCACUAGUUUUGCAUUGUUUACUUCCCUUAAUAUCGAUGUUUUGCACUUAAUAAUAGUGAUUUACUUGUGUUUUACUUUUGUAGGUGCAAUUCUAUUGAUUGGUGAUAAAUUAAGCUACAAGAUGAUAUUUAAUGAUGAUUGUUCUCUUGGAGAAAUUAUGAGCGUCAGAAGAACUUUGUUGAUAAGGUGUGGGCGCGUGCUGUCAACUACGGACCUGCAGUUUUUAGUUUAACGUGUUUUGUAUUUUUGGUUAUUUUUGUAAUUACGAAUUUAAUAUUUCAGAUAUUAGUAUUUUAUUUUAAAUAGAACUCUAAAAGAGAAGAGAGAGAGAGUAUUUAAGGGAGGAAUCUAUUGUGAAAAAGGGGGAUUUUAGAUUGGAGAAAAAGAAAGAAACCCUAGAUCUAAAUUUUUCUCUUCUCUCUAUGAAGAACUAAACCUAUUUUUCUGGUUGAAGGUUAAUGAAGCUUUGAUUCAUCACUACUGUGAGAUCUUUCUUGUGCUUUAAUUGUUUUAUUACUUUUUGGGUAUUUGUUUAUUCUCUGAAUUAUUUUCAUGAUUAUGUUUGUUAAUGAGGUAAUUGGCCACUAUUUAAUUAUCAACUUAAUCUAUUGUCAAUUAAGGGAUUCAUCGUAUGAAGAUUUUAAUGUUUGUGACAAAUAACAUAGCAGUGAGUUGUGUUAUGAGAAUAAAUAAUCUAAUUUAAAUGAAUCAUCAUAUGUGUUGAUUAGGAUUUGGGUCUCUCUGGUUUUUCAUGUAUAAGAUAUCUAGAAGAUGAUAAUUUCACUCAAAAGAGUUUUAUUUAUUUCAUUAUUGAAAUUGUUUACAGAGGAAGGUUACAGAGAAUACAGAGGUAAUUGAAGGUUAGACAUAUGAUAUCUUUCCUUUCUUACAUGCUUUCAUUUAUAUAUCUCUCUAGAGAUAAGAUUAUCUCUUUUACAUAACACAUGUUCGAUCCUUGUGGUGGAAUCUCGAUUUCCUUUUGAUAAGGUGACCCCUUCUUCAUCAUUGAAGCCAGUAGUUGUCUUCUUUUCAUGUUGCCAGACAACCUUUAUCUUGUUCUGGUGAGCUUUUUCUUUUUUGGAAUCUCUCUUUUUGAAUUAUUGAUACUUUUUGGAUAACACCUUUUAUCUUUUUCAGUAGUCCCCGUCACAUGCCAAUUAUCAUAUCUUCAUCUAUAGACAUGUCUUCCCCACUAGAAUCUCCUUUUUUUUUUAAUCCUUCGUAGUAGUAGCCACAUGAUGACUGAUGCUUUAGCACCUUAUAUAUCUCGUGGUGUGUCAGCAAGGUGGAUUCCACGAGAUUUUCGAAUAUGCCCUUUUUCUUUUUUAAUAUGGUAUGUCUGGCUAAAAUAUUUUCUUUUCUACUCAUAGAAAAGAUUAUAUGCUCUUUUGUGGCUUCAUGGAGCCAUAUUUUCUCCUUGUUUAUCCUCUCAAGAGAUUCAUAGAGGACUUUCAUUUCUAUGGCCCUUUUGUUGGUGAGAGCUUUUGGCUCGAAUAAUUCAGGAUCAUAAUCAUUGUAGACUUGAUGUAAAUCAAUGGUUGGACUAACUUUUCUACUGCUAAUUCCAACUUGAAUCAAGUGCUGUGCUGGAUACCACUUGUUACCAUAGUAUUCAGGGCAAGCAGUGAGGAUCUUGACAAAAAUCACUUCUUUUGUUUUAGACAUGAUUUUGAGAUCAUUAAUAGCCUCUGCAACUUUUGUGGGAAGCUCUUUUAUUUCUCUGCAAUCAUCACUUACAUAAACAAGGUUAAGAAAACCAUAUUCAAACAUGUCUUUUAUUAGUUUUAGAUUAGCUCCUGGCACAACGUUUAUCAUUGGAUAUAACCCUAAAUGAUCUAGUAUAAUAGUCUGGCUAGGACGAAUCCCAUAGGCUAUUUUACCAAUUCUUUUAUAAUCAUAAGCGUAGUCGCUUCCUAUUGGUAUUUUAACCAUAGGGACAGAUUGUCUGCUUUUAUCAUAUUGGGGUCUUAGGCUUACUGAAGAUCCCUGAGAUUCUUUUUUCUUUGUACAUUGAUCUUUAAGAUCAUUGAUUGUGAGAUAUCUCUCUGAAUGUGUGACCAUUGAUCUUUAAAAUACCAAUAGGAAGAGUAGUCGCUUCCUAUUGGUAUUUUAACCAUAGGGACAGACUGUCCGCUUUUAUCAUAUUGGGGUCUUAGGCUUACUGAAGAUCCCUGAGAUUCGUCUUUCUUUGUACAUUGAUCUUUAAGAUCAUUGAUUGUGAGAUAUCUCUCUGGAUGUGUGACCUUUAAGCUCUGCGAAGAACUCGAGGCAUUUUGACCCUCAAUUUGAUCUUUAAAAUGGACAUUUUUUUAGCAUAUUGCUAAUAUAUUGUUAUGAAGUUUGGAGUUCUGGAUGAUCUUGCAAACUUUUGUUUGGGCAAAGUUUGCUCAAUUCUUCAUGGGCAUCAUCUAUCAUGGCAAGCCCAUCAUAAAUCAUACUAUUGCCUUUGAGAAGUUAUUCUUGACCUUCAGAGCACAUUAUUAUGCCCUUAAUUAUUUUGGAAAUGCUCUGCUCCAUUGUAUUCUUGGCAAAGAUUAGAUCCUUUAAUAUAUUCAAUUUCAAAAUCAUAUUCAGCAAAAAACUGCUGCCAUCUAAUUAAUGUUUUCUAUUGAGGAAGAUUAGGCAAUUUAUUGAAUAUAAAUCCUUUGACUUGAGUGUUAUCGGAUCUUACCUUAAAUUUCUUUGGUAACAAAAAGAAAGUAAAUUUAGCUAUUCCUUUUUUAAUAGCUAAUAAUUCAUUUUCAUUACUAUGAUAAUUCUUUUCUAUGGGUUUGAAGGUCCCGCUAGAAUAUCUACAAAUUUUUUCUUGAUAUGUUUUUAAGACUGCUCGCCAGUGAUUAUCUGAAGCAGUAGUUUCAAGAAUUAAAUUAUCACUAGAGGUAGGGAAUCCUAACCUUAAGUAAAAAGCCAAAAAAAUUGACUUAUUUUAUUAAGUCAAUUUUUGAAAAUAUAAAUAAUGCAAAAUAUAAGAAUAUCAUCUACAUGAUCUAUCUUAUUAUUUGAAAAUAUAAGAAUAUCAUCUACAUAAAUAAUGCAAAAUUCAUGAAAUUUUUUUAAGAUGCUAAAUAUCUUUUUAUUUAUUAUAGAAGUAAUUAAUGUAUCUUUAUGAGGUAAAAAGUAUCCAUCGAAUUUGGUAUAUUUAUUUAAUUCUUUGUAGUUAAUGACCAUAUGAGCUUUUCCUCGUUUAAUUUCAGCAUGAUUUCUAACUGAUUAGUAUUAAAAAUUGUUUAAUUAUCAAGCGAUAAUAUGUUAUUUUAUGCUUAUGUUAUAAUUUAUAUUUGUGUUUAUGUAAUAUAUUAUGAAUUAUGAAUUAUGUUUUAAAUAUAUUUAAUUUUGUGUAUUUUUAUGUGUUUAUUAGGAAAAUUAUUAAUUUCACGUACUUUGAGGCUCCAAACAGAUAAACGGAGGUCAAAUUUGGAUUCCGGAGGUCCGAAAACCUUAAGAUCAGUCAAGAUCGGCUUAAAAUUGGGCUUGUGUAAAAAAAGUUGACUUUUCCUGUUGACCGAGCACUGAUUGGAUGAUGAAAUGAGCUUACAAUAGAUAUGAGUGCAUGGGAUAACUGGCAAUCUUGACUAAAUCUCAACCGUUCAUGAUUCAAUGGCCAUGAUUGUGCCACGUGGCAAUGGUUGGUGAAGCAAGUUGGAGGAUCCGAAUCUUUGUAUUCGGGUCGACCCGAUCCACCCAUUAACCCGCCAAAUCUCAACCGUUCUUUGGGCAAAUCGGACGAGUCAAAUGAUGCCAUGUGUGAUGUUGACUUUUGAAGUUUGACCAGCCAUUGGAUCUUGAUCUAAGGGUUGUGAGGAGCACAUGCAUGAAGCCUAUGAUGGACCGCAAAGCACUGGAUUAUGAAUUUAUUUUUCUAUAAAUAGGGCCUCAUUUUUAUGUUUUAAUCAUCUCUCUACAACUCUCUUCUUCUCAAAUUCUCUCCAUCUCCUUGUAAUCUUGAUUUCCAUAUGUGUUUUUAAUAUUUUGUAUAAUUAUUUUCAUUAAUAAAAUUAGUUUUAUUUCCAAUUUUAGUUGUUUUUAUUUCUUUUAAUUAUAAGUAAUUCAAUUUUACUACUUCUUUUUAUUUUAAUUAUGCUUAACUAAAUAAUAUUAGUUAGGGGAAGGUGAAACUCUUAAGAAAUAAAUAUGAUUUAAUCAAAUUCUAUGUUUAAUUUUAUAAAUUAAAUUAUUUUCUAUUUAAUUUUAUACAUGUUUUAUAUUUUGAAAAUUUAAUUUAUUGUAGACAAACAAAUGAAUUUGGCACAAUAAAUUCUUAAGAUCUUAAUAUAAGGCAUGGUGAAAUGGUAUUUUGACUUAUUGUAGACAAAUUAAAUUUUGGCACAAUAAAUACUUAAUCCAUCAUAAAAUUAAAGGGAAAAUAAUAAUAAUUUGUAUAAUUAAUCUUUUGAGUAAUAAAUCUAAAACAAAUUGGCAAAAAGAAUUUAUUAAGUUUUAUUUAUUUCUAAGAGUGGAUCCAUAACCCUAACUAGUUCAAUUCCAUAGUUUCAUUUAAAUUAAGUUGUUUAUAUUCAAGUUUUAAUUUCAAUUUUUAGAUAAAAUAAAAUAAACUAAUUAAAUCUUUUCUCUGUGGAUCGACCUCGGACUCACCGAGUUAUAAUACAACAAGACACUCUUAUACUUGGGAGUUAAAAUUUACUUUUAAGUUGUGUCAAGUUUUUGGCGCCGUUGCCGGGGAAAAGUUUUUUAUUUGGUUUGUUUUUCCGUUUUUUAUUUUUCUCUUAUAUGUAAAACUUCGUUUGCCCCCUUUUCCUUUUCUUAAAUUCUCCUUAGUCCCCAUGUCUUUCAUAUUUCUCGUUUCACCCCAACAAUUUCCUUUUCUAGCCCAAUCUUCUGGUAAUUACGUUCGGACCCCAACAUCUUUCAACUGUUUCACUUUCAUCCCAAAUUACUAAUUCUAAACUUCUAAAAAUUACAUUUUGACCAUAAAAUUAAAAAUAAUUUGCAAUAGAAUCCCUAGACGAAAUUCCUCAACAUAAUCAAGACUUGGACAUAUUUGGACAUACUUUGGACAUAUUUGGACAUAUUUGGACUUAUUUUGGACCAAACUAACUUUAACUACUAACUCUAAUUACUAACUCUUAACUUACUAACUGCUAACUGCUAACUGCUAACUUUUAUUUAAUUUCAGUUAUUUAAUUUUCUGCAUUUAUUUUAUUUCGUAUUUAUUUAUUUGUUUUUGCUUUAUUGGUGGGUUUAACCACCAAACUAACUACUAACUCUUAACUUUUAUUUUCAGUUAUUUAAUUUUCAGUAUUUAUUUAAUUUUGUAUUUUUUAUUUUUUUUAAUUGGUGGGUUCAACCACCAUUUUUUUUUAUUUUGCAUUUAUUUAUUUAUUUAUUUUUUACUUUGUUGGUGGGUUCAACCAUCAAAAUUGUUAUUUAAUUUUCUUUUGUAUACUUAUAUUAUUUAUUUAUUUAUUUUUUUAUUUUAUUUUGUUAUCAAUUUGUGUAAAUAUUAUCUUUAUAACAUAACCAUUGCAUGAGACGUUGGUCUCGAUCUUCAAGUGGCAGGUUAAUUCGUAGAUCUCAAUCUCCACCACCAAUCAUGGAUGAGAAUGAAGGCGAAAACGUUUUGGGCGAACUUAAUCCUCAAAUUGAUCAGGGAGACAACCAAUCUCAACAUGGGCAUGAUCAGAAUCAACCAAGGACUCUGAGAGACUACAUGAAUCCAACCAGAACCGGAGCACCGUCGUGUAUAGUAUUUCCUCCAGAAGCAUCUCGAUUCAACUUUAAACCAGGUAUUAUCCAACUUUUACCAACAUUUCAUGGUUUAGAAUCUGAGAAUCCGUACUUGCAUCUAAGAGAUUUUGAGGAAGUUUGUAAUACAUACACGGACCAAAAUUGUAGCAUGAACAUAAUUAGAUUAAAGCUUUUUCCUUUUUCAUUAAAAGAUAAAGCUAAAACUUGGCUACAAAACCUUAGAUCUGGAUCAGUAAGAACUUGGAAUAACAUGCAAGAACAGUUUUUUGAAAAAAUUCUUUCCACCUCAUAGAACAAAUUCUUUUAAAAGGCAAAUCACUUCUUUCACUCAAAAAAAUGGAGAAACAUUAUACCAAUGUUGGGAUAGGUUUACAGAGUUGCUUAACAUAUGCCCACAUCAUGGUUUUGAAACUUGGCGAUUGGUCACUUAUUUCUACGAGGGCUUAAUACCCCAAAGUAGACAGGUUGUUGAAAUGAUGUGUAAUGGUGAAUUUAGGGAUAAAAAUCCUGAAGAUGCACUAGAUUACCUUGACCAAUUAGCUGAAAAUGCACAACAUUGGGAUACUGUUGGAACUUUUGAAUUGACAAAUAAGCAACAAUCAUCUCCAUCUAGUGGAGGAAUCCAUAACCUUAGGGAAGAUCAUGAUUUACAAGCAAAAUUUGCAUCCCUAGUUAGGAAAGUUGAAGCUUUGGAGCAUAAAAAGAGUGAUCAAGUAAAAUCUGUUCAAGAAAUUGCAUGUAACAUAUGUAAUUCGAAUGAUCAUUUCACUCAAGAGUGUCCCACUUUGCCUGCACUUAAAGAAUGUCUAAAUGAUCAAGCUAAUGUCAUUAACACUUUCAAUAAACCAAACCCAUAUUCACAGACUUAUAAUCCUGGUUGGAGAAAUCAUCCGAAUUUCAGUUGGAGGAAUAAUAAUAAUGCACAAUCUUCACAAGCACCACCUCCACAAAAUUUUCAAAAUCCUCAGCCUUAUGCACCAUAUGUUCCACCACCCUGGAAAAAUCUGGAAGACACAAUGCAUUCAUUCAUCAGAAAGCAAGAUGUUAUUAACAAUCAAAAUGCACAAAAUUUUUCUGAUUUGAAAGAUACUCUUGCUAAAAUUGCUUCUGCACUCACCAUUCAAGAAAAAGGAAAAUUUCCAGCCCAACCACAACCAAAUCCUAAAAUUCAACAAAAUCCACCCACAGACCAAGUCAAGUCAGUUAUAACUCUUCGUAGUGGUAAGGUUGUUGAUAGACCUAUGCCUGAACCUUAUGAAAAUGAUGAAAAUUCAAAGGGUAAGGAAGGACUAAAUGAACUUACACCUAGUGAAGAAAUAACUAGUGUUCCACCUGAACCACCAUUUCCGCAUGCAUUGAAUAAACCAAAGAAAUCAAACCACUCUUCUGAAAUUUAUGAAAUCUUUAAGCAAGUGAAAGUUAACAUUCCUCUAUUAGAUGCAAUCAAGCAGGUUCCUUUAUAUGCCAAAUUUUUAAAGGACUUGUGCACUGUUAAGAGGAAAUUGAAGGUAAGAAAGAGUGCUUUCAUGGCCGAACAGGUAAGUACAAUUCUGUCUACUAAUAAUAAGUUGAAAUAUAAAGAUCCUGGUUGUCCUACCAUUUCUUGUAUUAUUGGUAACCACAGAAUUGAGCAUGCUUUACUAGAUCUUGGUGCUAGUGUUAAUUUGCUUCCAUAUUCAGUUUAUCUUCAACUUAAUCUUGGUGAGUUAAAAUCAACUUCAACUACACUUUUGCUUGUCGAUAGAUCAGUUAAAGUACCAAAAGGAAUAGUGGAAGAUGUUUUAGUACAAGUUGAUAAAUUUAUUUAUCCUGUGGAUUUUAUUGUCUUGGAAACUGAACCUGUUGUGAAUAAUUACAAACCAAUUCCUGUAAUUUUAGGUCGACCAUUUUUAGCAACUGCUAAUGCUUUGAUUAAUUGUAGGAAUGGUUUAAUGAAUUUAUCCUUUGGGAAUAUGACUUUGGAAUUGAAUGUUUUCAACAUGUGCAGGCAACCUAAUGAAGAAAAUGAGAAUGAAGAUGAUACUGAUGAACAAAAGGAAUUGUUUGAAUCUUGUAUCGAGGAAAAUAUUCAAAAAGGGGAUUUUUCUGAACUUUCAAAUGUUUGUUUAGUUAAUUCAAUUGAGUCAAAUAAGCAACUUGAACUUGAUAUUUCUAAUAUAAAUUCGUUGCUUGAUUCUGUGCAGACUUCACAAAAUUAUGAUGACGAGCCAAAAUUUGAGGAGCUUGGAAGUAUUGAAAAGACAGAACAACAAGAAGCACCUAAAAUGGAAUUGAAACCUUUGCCUGAAGGAUUGAAAUAUGCUUUUCUUGGAGAAGAACAAACUUAUCCUGUUGUGAUUUCUUCUACUUUAACAAGCGACCAAGAAGGUAAGUUACUUACUGUUCUUAAAAAGCAUAAAAAUGCAAUAGGAUGGACUUUAAAUGACAUUAAAGGCAUUAAUCCCUUAAUCUGCACACAUAGAAUUAAUUUGGAAGAAAAUGCUAAAAUAUGUCAACAACCUCAAAGAAGAUUAAACCCACACAUGAAAGAGGUAGUCAAAACAGAAGUCCUUAAAUUACUUGAUGUGGGAAUUAUCUACCCUGUUUCUGAUAGUAAGUGGGUAAGUCCUACACAAGUAGUGCCUAAAAAAUCUGAAAUCACUGUUGUUAAAAAUGAAAAAGGUGAAUUAAUUCCAACACGAAUUACAUCUAGUUGACGCAUGUGCAUUGAUUAUAGAAAAUUAAAUGAAGCCACUAGAAAAGAUCAUUUUCCAUUACCAUUCCUUGACCAAAUCUUAGAAAGAGUAGCAGGACAUCCCUACUACUGUUUUUUAGAUGGAUAUUCAGGUUAUUAUCAAAUUCCUAUAGCACUUGAGGACCAAGAAAAGACCACAUUCACAUGUCCUUUUGGAACAUUUGCAUUUAAAAGAAUGCCAUUCGGGCUUUGUAAUGCUCCUGCAACAUUUCAAAGAUGUAUGUUAAGCAUUUUUUGUGAUAUGGUUGAACAUUGUUUAGAGGUCUUUAUGGAUGAUUUGACUGUGUUUGGGAAUUCUUUUGAUGAUUGCCUUGAUAAUUUGGAGAAAGUUUUAAAAAGAUGUGUUGAAAAAGAACUCGUGUUGAAUUGGGAAAAAUGUCACUACAUGGUUACUUCUGGAAUUGUUUUGGGUCAUGUUGUUUCUAUUAAAGGAAUUGAAGUUGACAAAGCAAAAAUCGAAGUCAUAUCUAAAUUGCCACAACCAAAAACAGUUAGAGAUGUGCGAUCCUUUUUAGGACAUGCAGGAUUUUAUAGGAGGUUUAUAAAAAACUUUAGUGCCAUAUCUAAACCACUUUGUAACCUCUUAUUAAAAGAUGCACCGUUUGAAUGGAAUGAUGAUUGCCAAAAAUCUUUUGAAAAAAUAAUUUGUCUUUUAACAUCUGCACCUAUUAUGCAAUCUCCUGAUUGGUCUUUGCCAUUUGAAUUAAUGUGUGAUGCAAGUGAUUUUGCUGUUGGUGCUGUUUUAGGACAAAGAAGGGAUGGUAAGCCUUUUGUGAUUUAUUAUGCGAGUAAGACUUUAGAUAGUGCUCAAAUGAAUUAUUCUACAACUGAAAAAGAAUUACUUGCUGUGGUAUUUGCAUUAAACAAAUUCCGUUCAUAUUUGCUUGGCUCCAAAUCUGUUGUGUUUACUGACCACGCUGCUGUGAGAUAUUUGAUGAGUAAACAGGAUGCCAAACCGAGGAUAAUUCGUUGGAUUUUGUUACUACAAGAAUUUGACCUUACCAUCAAAGAUAAAAAGGGUGCUGAAAAUGUUGUUGCGGAUCAUCUAUCAAGACUCACAUCCGAAUUCUGCAAUGAUAUAACACCCAUAAAUGAUUCUUUCCCUGAUGAAUUUUUAUUUUCUGUUACUUCAAUGCCAUGGUAUGCUAACAUUGUUAAUUUCCUUGUUACAGGUAAAAUGCCUUUGCAAUGGAAUGCUCAAGAGAAGAAGAAAUUUUUUGUUGAAGUAAAGAAAUUUUAUUGGGAUGACCCUUAUUUGUUCAAAUAUUGCCCAGAUCAAAUUUUUCGGCGAUGUAUUCCUCAUAAUGAGGUAAGUAGUGUCAUUAAUUUUUGUCAUUCUGAAGCAUGUGGUGGUCAUUUUUCUUCAAGAAAAACUAUUGCUAAAAUUUUACAGUGUGGAUUUUAUUGGCCUACCAUGUUUAAAGACACAUAUGAAUUCUGCAAAAGUUGUGAAAAAUGUCAAAAAUUGGGAUCAAUUACAAAAAGAAACAUGAUGCCCUUAAAUCCCAUACUUGAAAUUGAAAUAUUUGACUGUUGGGGAAUUGAUUUCAUGGGUCCAUUUCCAUCAUCUUUUGGAUUUGUGUAUAUAUUAGUUGCAGUUGAUUAUGUCUCAAAAUGGAUUGAAGCAAUUUCUUGUCGAAAUAAUGACAGUAAAACUGUGAUUAAAUUUUUAAGAGAAAACAUUUUAAGUCGAUUUGGAAUCCCUCGAGCCAUUAUCAGUGAUGGAGGUAAGCAUUUUUGUAAUAAGUCAUUUGAGUCUUUAAUGAAGAAAUAUGGAAUUACACAUAAAAUUGCUACCCCUUAUCAUCCUCAAACAAAUGGUCAAGUUGAAUUAGCAAAUAGGGAGAUAAAACAAAUUUUGGAAAAAACGGUUAACCCAAACCGAAAAGAUUGGUCUCUUAGACUUAAUGAUGCACUUUGGGCUUACCGCACUGCAUUUAAAACAUCAUUAGGAAUGUCACCCUAUCGGUUAAUUUAUGGUAAACCUUGUCAUUUACCUGUUGAACUUGAACAUAAAUCACUUUGGGCUAUUAAAGCUUUUAAUUCAAAUUUGGAUGAUGCUGGUAAUGUGCGAAAAUUGCAAUUGAAUGAACUUGAGGAAUUAAGGAAUGAUGCAUAUGAAAAUUCAAGAAUUAUUAAGGCAAGAACAAAAGAAGAUUAAACCCACACAUGAAAGAGGUAGUCAAAACAGAAGUCCUUAAAUUACUUGAUGUGGGAAUUAUCUACCCUAUUUCUGAUAGUAAGUGGGUAAGUCCUACACAAGUAGUGCCUAAAAAAUCUGAAAUCACUGUUGUUAAAAAUGAAAAAGGUGAAUUAAUUCCAACACGAAUUACAUCUAGUUGACGCAUGUGCAUUGAUUAUAGAAAAUUAAAUGAAGCCACUAGAAAAGAUCAUUUUCCAUUACCAUUCCUUGACCAAAUCUUAGAAAGAGUAGCAGGACAUCCCUACUACUGUUUUUUAGAUGGAUAUUCAGGUUAUUAUCAAAUUCCUAUAGCACUUGAGGACCAAGAAAAGACCACAUUCACAUGUCCUUUUGGAACAUUUGCAUUUAAAAGAAUGCCAUUCGGGCUUUGUAAUGCUCCUGCAACAUUUCAAAGAUGUAUGUUAAGCAUUUUUUGUGAUAUGGUUGAACAUUGUUUAGAGGUCUUUAUGGAUGAUUUGACUGUGUUUGGGAAUUCUUUUGAUGAUUGCCUUGAUAAUUUGGAGAAAGUUUUAAAAAGAUGUGUUGAAAAAGAACUCGUGUUGAAUUGGGAAAAAUGUCACUACAUGGUUACUUCUGGAAUUGUUUUGGGUCAUGUUGUUUCUAUUAAAGGAAUUGAAGUUGACAAAGCAAAAAUCGAAGUCAUAUCUAAAUUGCCACAACCAAAAACGGUUAGAGAUGUGCGAUCCUUUUUAGGACAUGCAGGAUUUUAUAGGAGGUUUAUAAAAAACUUUAGUGCCAUAUCUAAACCACUUUGUAACCUCUUAUUAAAAGAUGCACCGUUUGAAUGGAAUGAUGAUUGCCAAAAAUCUUUUGAAAAAAUAAUUUGUCUUUUAACAUCUGCACCUAUUAUGCAAUCUCCUGAUUGGUCUUUGCCAUUUGAAUUAAUGUGUGAUGCAAGUGAUUUUGCUGUUGGUGCUGUUUUAGGACAAAGAAGGGAUGGUAAGCCUUUUGUGAUUUAUUAUGCGAGUAAGACUUUAGAUAGUGCUCAAAUGAAUUAUUCUACAACUGAAAAAGAAUUACUUGCUGUGGUAUUUGCAUUAAACAAAUUCCGUUCAUAUUUGCUUGGCUCCAAAUCUGUUGUGUUUACUGACCACGCUGCUGUGAGAUAUUUGAUGAGUAAACAGGAUGCCAAACCGAGGAUAAUUCGUUGGAUUUUGUUACUACAAGAAUUUGACCUUACCAUCAAAGAUAAAAAGGGUGCUGAAAAUGUUGUUGCGGAUCAUCUAUCAAGACUCACAUCCGAAUUCUGCAAUGAUAUAACACCCAUAAAUGAUUCUUUCCCUGAUGAAUUUUUAUUUUCUGUUACUUCAAUGCCAUGGUAUGCUAACAUUGUUAAUUUCCUUGUUACAGGUAAAAUGCCUUUGCAAUGGAAUGCUCAAGAGAAGAAGAAAUUUUUUGUUGAAGUAAAGAAAUUUUAUUGGGAUGACCCUUAUUUGUUCAAAUAUUGCCCAGAUCAAAUUUUUCGGCGAUGUAUUCCUCAUAAUGAGGUAAGUAGUGUCAUUAAUUUUUGUCAUUCUGAAGCAUGUGGUGGUCAUUUUUCUUCAAGAAAAACUAUUGCUAAAAUUUUACAGUGUGGAUUUUAUUGGCCUACCAUGUUUAAAGACACAUAUGAAUUCUGCAAAAGUUGUGAAAAAUGUCAAAAAUUGGGAUCAAUUACAAAAAGAAACAUGAUGCCCUUAAAUCCCAUACUUGAAAUUGAAAUAUUUGACUGUUGGGGAAUUGAUUUCAUGGGUCCAUUUCCAUCAUCUUUUGGAUUUGUGUAUAUAUUAGUUGCAGUUGAUUAUGUCUCAAAAUGGAUUGAAGCAAUUUCUUGUCGAAAUAAUGACAGUAAAACUGUGAUUAAAUUUUUAAGAGAAAACAUUUUAAGUCGAUUUGGAAUCCCUCGAGCCAUUAUCAGUGAUGGAGGUAAGCAUUUUUGUAAUAAGUCAUUUGAGUCUUUAAUGAAGAAAUAUGGAAUUACACAUAAAAUUGCUACCCCUUAUCAUCCUCAAACAAAUGGUCAAGUUGAAUUAGCAAAUAGGGAGAUAAAACAAAUUUUGGAAAAAACGGUUAACCCAAACCGAAAAGAUUGGUCUCUUAGACUUAAUGAUGCACUUUGGGCUUACCGCACUGCAUUUAAAACAUCAUUAGGAAUGUCACCCUAUCGGUUAAUUUAUGGUAAACCUUGUCAUUUACCUGUUGAACUUGAACAUAAAUCACUUUGGGCUAUUAAAGCUUUUAAUUCAAAUUUGGAUGAUGCUGGUAAUGUGCGAAAAUUGCAAUUGAAUGAACUUGAGGAAUUAAGGAAUGAUGCAUAUGAAAAUUCAAGAAUUAUUAAGGCAAGAACAAAAGCAUUUCAUGAUAAAAGAAUUUUUCGAAAAACAUUUGAGAUUGGUCAAAAAGUGUUGCUUUAUAAUUCUCGUCUUCAUUUAUUUCCAGGAAAGUUAAAGUCAAAAUAGAGUGGCCCAUUUGUUGUAAAAAAUGUAUAUUCAUAUGGGGCCAUAGAAAUUGAGAAUCCAAAUAACGGUGUCACAUUUAAAGUUAAUGGUCAAAGAUUAAAACCAUAUCUGGAACAUCACCCACGUGACGAGGACACCGAAAUUAAUUUGGAUGACCCACCAGUUCUUGAUUAAGUCUUUAAUGAUUUUUUUUUUUUUUACUAUUAUUUUACCGUUUCAUUGUUUGAUUUUUUUUCUUUAGAUUGAUGCACUGUACAUAGUUUUUUUUUAACAUUGUUUUUCUUGUGUAAGCGUGUUUGUUUGACAGUUGUACAUUCUCUCAUCAAUUUUCAUUUUACAUCAUGAGCACCUCAAUGAGAAAAUACCUAUUCGCACAUCUUAAAAGAUUUCGGCGUAUAAAAUUUCACUUAAGAGGCCUAAUACAAAGCUGUAAAUCACAUCCACUUUGGGAUCUGCAACCACCAGAAUUCGUGUCCUAUGUUGAGGAUCUAGAAGGACAACUCAGAACAGUAGAGAGUGGCAUAUAUGAAUUUCAAAUAGAGCUUGAGGUUAACUCAAUGAGAGGACGAAUGUAAGUUCAUUUUCCUUUUAUAUUGUGUGCUUUUUUUUUGCUCGCUUUCACGCUUGAUUUGAUUUUGCAGAUUUGAUUUUGGUGUGUUUUGAUUUAUUUUCCCGUAUAAAUGGCGGAUAACGGUACUCCGUGACUUCUUAAGUCGGUAUCUUCAGUUUCCCACAAUAACUGAAACCCCAAAAUCAAACAUGGAAGAAAUACAACAUAAACUCCAUAAGCAUUUUCCCUCUCUCCCUCAGAAUGCCCUCAGGAAAAUUUACAAAGCUCGUUGUGAACGACUGCGUUUGUUAAUGAUCAAUGGCAUUCUUUCUGACAUUCGUUGGUUAAUUGAAGCAAAGGUCUGAUUAGCAGGUGAGUUUUCUAGUCAAUUUGUUUCUUACAUGCCUGGUUUUGGUAAAAGUACGUUUGCUAAGAAAAGGAGAGCUAAACGACUUGGCUCAAAAUGUCAUAACUGUGUAAGACUUGGUUGCAAACGACCGGAUUGUAAAUCUUUAGGAAUGGUUUCUGAUACUCGUGAAGAUAAAAUUAAAUUCGUUAAAGAUGGCAUGAGUAAAGAAUCGUUGGAUGAUAUCUUACGAUCUCUUGAGACGCAUCGAAGCGGAAUUGUGCAAUGUGAGAUUUACAAUUUGUGGAUACUAUUCCAAAAACAAAGUGCACAGUUAAGUCUUGGGAAUCUGACUCAAAAAGACCCUGUUUGCCAGUUUAUAAGAAAACUGGAUGGGAAGCCGAUCCUCGACCCAUAGAGGGCGUUCAAGCCGUUACUGGACGUAAAACCAGAGGAAGAUGUGAGCCACAAUCACAACUACUAGUAAAUAUCCUUUCACUUCACUGUUAUUUUACUUUACUGUUAUUUUAUCAUUUGAAUUAUUGCAUUUAGCGAUGUGAUUUUGUAUUUAUUUGGUUUCUUUUACUGUUUGCUUUUUCUAAUCAUUACUUUUUUUUUUACUAUUUGUUUUUGAAUUAUUGAGCCACGAGCUUUCCUCGUCAUUUGACAAAUAUGCCAACCCAUUUACAGCUGUUUCUCUUUAUUUAUGUCACCAAGAUCUUUAAAUAUGAGCUCGUUUUUCAAACACUCACAACUUGUUUUUGAAAAAUUAGUCCAAUGGCAGCAUCUUCAAGUAAACAAUUCAAAAAUAUUUGUGUGCUUUCUGGGUUUCACUAUGGAAAGUACAAAGAGUUCGUUCAGGUAGCUGUAGAUCUUGGUCGUGUCAUAGCAGAGAGGAAACUGCAUCUUGUAUAUGGAGGAGGUGAACGAGGGUUAUCAAGACUUGUCUCAGAAGCUGUUUUUACCAGAGGAAGCCAAGUACUCGGCAUUAUCCCAAAACCCAUGAAACCGCUAGUGUGCAUGUCUGGCCCACCAAUUGGAGAAGAAUUAGUGGUAUCAAGUAUGCAAGAGAGAAUAUCUGAAAUGAUGAAUCAUGCUGAUGCUUUUAUUUUCUUGCCAGGAGAUCUUGCAACUUUUGAGGCACUAAUUACAUUUGCAUCUUGGGCCCACUUGAACAUUCAUCAAAAGCCCAUCGGUUUGUUAAAUGUUAAUAAUUUUUAUGACGGCUUGCUAACUUUUAUUAAUCAUGCAAUAAAGAAUCAUUUUGUUCCACAUUCUGUAAAAAAACUCUUUAUCUCUGCUUCUACUGCUAAUGAGUUACUUGAUCUUUUACAAGCUUAUACACCAGAGCCAGAUCCACAGACUGUUGCACUGAAUUGGUCGACUAAUGAUGGUAACGGUAACAGUAGCAGUAAUAAGAAGUGCGAUUUAGAUUUAACUCUCCGUUUGUAAAUAUUUGCUGUUGUAGUGUUCAUGUGAUGUCUUCUACACUCUUUCUAUUUCCUUUUAAAACAUUGAGGACAAUGUCUUUUUCAGGUUGGGGGGAGGGAAUAGUUGAUAAUUGUGGAAUGUCUUAGUCCUGGUUAUGUGUUUACAAAAAAAAAAAAAAAAAAAACAAUAACAAAAUUUUUUUUUUCUGUAAAGACUAACUUAGGACAAAUUUGAGUCGAAGAUGGCAGGAUAUAGAGAAUGUAGUCUCUCUAGAAACGCAUCUUCUUAAUCUUAAGGGUGUUGUUAAAAAAAAAAAAAAAUUGACUUUUUCUUCAUCUUUGUUAUCUACUUUUAAGCUUCUGCAUCAAGUUAAGGUGAGAUCUCCUAUUCUUCUUCUUUUAUUAUUCUCUUUUAUUUUUAUUUAUUAUUAUUAUUAUUUUUUUGCAUAUCUGUAAAAUUAUAAAAUGUUAGGAUAAUGUUUAGAUUAGGUUGUGGGGUGGGGAUAAUUGACGUAUGUUUUAAAUAUGUAUGUUGUUUUUUUCUCUUUUCUCUUUUCUUUUCUUUUCUUUGCCAAAAAAAAAAAAAAAUUGUUUUUUGUCUAGGAUGGCCGUGUAAAGAGUCACGACUUUUGAGACGCAUCCUAAUAGUCUUGUUGUAUUAUAUUUUGAUUUUGAGAUUCAUGGUAAGUUGUUUUUGUUCCCUUUUCUUUGAAUUACUCAAAUUUGUGAACUCUCCACUUGGUUAUUAAGUUAUUUAAUUGUUUACUCAUUUAACAGGUAUUAUUGAAUCAUUCUUCACACACACAUUAUGACACAUACUAGUGGGUUGUAAGUUAAAAUUUUACAGCAUUUAGUUCUUUUGAUUUAUUAGGAAAAGUAUCUAAGGUAGUAGAAAGUGUAUAGUUCCAAAAAAAAAAAAAAAAGUAGAAAAAAAAUUGUUUUUAAUUUUUCUAUAUCUAGAACCCGAGUAAUUAAGUCCGUAGGGGUGUUUCAACACCUAGUGCCCUAAGGUCAACUGGUCUGGGAGUCACUGGCCUAAAGCUCACUACAUGGGUAAUAGAUAUAUUGUUUGUUUAUUAGAAACCCGAGUAAUUAAGUCCGUAGGGGUGCUUUAACACCUAGUGCCCUAAGGGCAACUGGUCUGGGAGUCACUGACCCAAAGCUCGCUACACGGGUUAGAAAUGUAAUAUAUAAAAAAAAAAUGUGUGAAUAAUCUAUUGCCUAAAGAUAUAAUUUCUAAUGAAUUUUAGAACGAAAAUGUUGUUUUUCUUUUAAUGAAGCCCCAUAAGUAUUGUGUUAAUUACUUGAGCACAAAAGAAGGUUUGAUGAUAUUCUGGAUAAUGAGUGAACAUCAAUGUGGUAAAGGAAUUUGGGAGAGUUCAUUUAUUUGGUAAUUUAGAGGAUAGAUGAACAACUAUUAACUUGCAUGUGAAUUUUAUAAAUCUUAAUAUAACGCUUUAAUUGCUAGAGGGCUAGCAAUAAGCUGGUUGGGGGGUGUGAUUAGUAUUAAAAAUUGUUUAAUUAUCAAGCGAUAAUAUGUUAUUUUAUGCUUAUGUUAUAAUUUAUAUUUGUGUUUAUGUAAUAUAUUAUGAAUUAUUAAUUAUGUUUUAAAUAUAUUUAAUUUUGUGUAUUUUUAUGUGUUUAUUAGGAAAAUUAUUAAUUUCACGUACUUCGAGGCUCCAAACAGAUAAACGGAGGUCAAAUUUGGAUUCCGGAGGUCCGAAAACCUUAAGAUCAGUCAAGAUCGGCUUAAAAUUGGGCUUGUGUAAAAAAAGUUGACUUUUCCUGUUGACCGAGCACUGAUUGGAUGAUGAAAUGAGCUUACAAUAGAUAUGAGUGCAUGGGAUAACUGGCAAUCUUGACUAAAUCUCAACCGUUCAUGAUUCAAUGGCCAUGAUUGUGCCACGUGGCAAUGGUUGGUGAAGCAAGUUGGAGGAUCCGAAUCUUUGUAUUCGGGUCGACCCGAUCCACCCAUUAACCCGCCAAAUCUCAACCGUUCUUUGGGCAAAUCGGACGAGUCAAAUGAUGCCAUGUGUGAUGUUGACUUUUGAAGUUUGACCAGCCAUUGGAUCUUGAUCUAAGGGUUGUGAGGAGCACAUGCAUGAAGCCUAUGAUGGACCGCAAAGCACUGGAUUAUGAAUUUAUUUUUCUAUAAAUAGGGCCUCAUUUUUAUGUUUUAAUCAUCUCUCUACAACUCUCUUCUUCUCAAAUUCUCUCCAUCUCCUUGUAAUCUUGAUUUCCAGGUGUGUUUUUAAUAUUUUGUAUAAUUAUUUUCAUUAAUAAAAUUAGUUUUAUUUCCAAUUUUAGUUGUUUUUAUUUCUUUUAAUUAUAAGUAAUUCAAUUUUACUACUUCUUUUUAUUUUAAUUAUGCUUAACUAAAUAAUAUUAGUUAGGGGAAGGUGAAACUCUUAAGAAAUAAAUAUGAUUUAAUCAAAUUCUAUGUUUAAUUUUAUAAAUUAAUUUAUUUUCUAUUUAAUUUUAUACAUGUUUUAUAUUUUGAAAAUUUGAUUUAUUGUAGACAAACAAAUGAAUUUGGCACAAUAAAUUCUUAAGAUCUUAAUAUAAGGCAUGGUGAAAUGGUAUUUUGACUUAUUGUAGACAAAUUAAAUUUUGGCACAAUAAAUACUUAAUCCAUCAUAAAAUUAAAGGGAAAAUAAUAAUAAUUUGUAUAAUUAAUCUUUUGAGUAAUAAAUCUAAAACAAAUUGGCAAAAAGAAUUUAUUAAGUUUUAUUUAUUUCUAAGAGUGGAUCCAUAACCCUAACUAGUUCAAUUCCAUAGUUUCAUUUAAAUUAAGUUGUUUAUAUUCAAGUUUUAAUUUCAAUUUUUAGAUAAAAUAAAAUAAACUAAUUAAAUCUUUUCUCUGUGGAUCGACCUCGGACUCACCGAGUUAUAAUACAACAAGACACUCUUAUACUUGGGAGUUAAAAUUUACUUUUAAGUUGUGUCACUAACUAUAAAGGCUGGGUUACUUUGAGGACUUUUAGAUUCUCCAAAAUUUUUAUCAAGUUUUUCUAUUUUUUUUUUCAUAAUCUGAUAUAAUUUGAUUGAUUUUUAUAUUGUAUUCACCACGCUGGCUGCUUCGAAAAUGUAAUUUUCGAGUUGUUUACCUAAUAAGAUUAUAAAUUCUUGGUGUGGUGAUGGAAUGAUUACAUGGUGUUGUAAGAGUAAUUCUUUCGUUAGUCAUUAUAUAAAUGAACUGACAAAGGAAAUUGACUUCUAAAAGUAUAUAUGCUCCUAUAUGAUUAUAAGACCAUAAUAUAUGGAUACUUAAAAUGUAAUCUUCGAUUUGGAUUAAAGUUUUUAUCCUACAUGUUCCUAAAAUGAUUUGUUCACCAUUUAUUCCUUGUCCUGUUAAGGGUUUAUAAUCUUUCGAAUAUGAUUUUGGAUAAAUCCUUAAAUUAGGUAAGCUAACUCCUGAACCAGUGUCUAUUAAAGCAUGAAACCAUUCUGGCUUAUGCUUAUAAUAUGGUUUAAUCACUUUUAUAUAAACUAUAAAAAGAUUAGACAUAUCUUGAUAUGGUUUGCUUAAUUCCUUCAACUGUUAAGCUUAUUUUUCUAUCUCCUAUAGAAUAAGGAGUAAAAUUCUCAAGAAAGUUCAUCCCUAAUAAUAAAGGACUUAUUUAUGUUUCAUAAUCUGGUUCUAUGAAAAAAGAAAAGAUGAAUUCUAUCCCUUUUAUUCUUAAUAGUAUUUCACUAUAUUGACUUAAUGUCUUUCUUUCUCCAUUAAAUCCUACAUAAGUAUGAGGCUCAAUUAAAAUUUUUCUUUCUAAAUAUUUAAUAAUUUUAGAAUCUACAUAAGAUUUUGCAGCUCCUGUAUCAAGGAUAGCAAAAGUCUCGUGCCAUGAUUUUCCAUUAUUAUAUUCAAUCUUAAUUUUUAGAUUUUGAUUAUCCAGUAUUGCUAAAUUUACUGGACUAUUUGUCCUUUCUCGAAAAUGAGCUCUUAUCAUGACUUGAAUUCCUCCGAUAUGAACAUAUCCAAUUUUAAGUCUAUCACUAGAUUUUAUCUCAUUUAUCUUAUCUUUUAUAUCAGUUUUUAAUAAUAAUGGUAUAUUUGUAUUUCCUCUAGCAUACCUAAUUUCAAUAGGUUCUUCUCUUACAGUAGCACUAAGAUACAUUAUAUUUUUUCUUUUAAUCAUGUUAGCAAUGCCUUGUGCUAACUUAUUAACCGAAGUCAUAGAUGAUUCCAAUCCUUUUUUAUUAUUCUUGAGAUAUUGCUUUUUAUCAAAGAUUAAUUCUCUAUUAAAAGAACCUUGUUCUUCUAACUCUUCAUCUUGAUAUAAAUCUUUAUUUUCUAAUUCUUCUAUACUCAUUCUGAAUCAGAUUCUAAAUCAGAACUUCUCAAAGUUUCAUUAGAAAGAUAAUAUAUGCUAUCAUUUUCACUAAUAUCUUUGCUAUCGGUGAUUAAUUCUAAAUCAUUGAAAUCUUCAAAUAUUUUUAUAUUUGCUUUCUUCGUUUUAGGACAUUCAUUUGCAUAAUGUUCUUCUUCAUUACAUAACUAGCACUUGCAUUUUUUAGGUGCAUUGGUUUUGGAUCUUCUUUUAAAUUUAUUUUUCUUGUAGAAUUUCUUUUUAUAUUUAUUUUUCUUGUAAUAUUUCCUGUUGGCUUUAAAGAAUUUCUUCUUUUUGAAUUUUUUUUCUUGUGUUUAUAGAUUUUAUCUGAACAUCCAAAUCUUGGCGGAUCUUCUAAUUUAGAACAACAUAAUUCUCGAUUUUGCCUUUUCAUAAGUCUUCUAUCUCUUAUUUCAGAACACUAUUCAUUUAUUCUAUUUUGAGCAAAUCUAAUCCUAUUUCGUAAUGUAUAAGUUUCUGUAGUAUCUUUGUAUUCUUUGUUAUAUUCCAACAUAAUCCUUCUACCCCAUGGGUCUGGUAUCUUUACAAAAUAUAGAUCAUGGUAAUAGCAUAUGUUAUCCUCAUCUUUAUCAAAUUCACAUUUAUAAUAUAAUUCUUCGAAGCUACAUGUAUAUUCUUCUAAAUAACAUAUAUUACAUAUUUCAAGCCUUGUUAGCUUCAUUAAAUUUUCUAUCUGUUUUCUUUUUAUUUCUUGUUGAAAAUCAGUUUCCCAAUCUUCUCCCAAGAAUUUUUUUCUUAUUUCAUUUUCGAAUCUAUUUAAAACCUGAUCAACACUUUCGUUUCGAUUAUUAUUUUCUCCAUACAAUAUUCUAUUUUUAUGAUUAUCAUUUAAUCCCAUAAACCAAUGAGAAACAAUUCCUAUAAACGAAAUUUUAAGGAAUUCUAUACUAUUAUCCCUAUCAAUUUUGUGAAAUGCAAAAGCCAUUUUCAUAGAUUUAACCCAAGCGGUAAUCGUUUUAUCUCUAUCUUUGAUACAGUCUAAACCUAACCAUACACCAUCAUGGUUGAUUGGUCUUUCUCUAUAUUCUCCUGGAGUUUUAUGAUCUUUUUUAGGUUUGUUAAUCCUAAAAUAUUGACCUUGUGCUCUUUCCUGAGUUGGUAUUUCUUCCCUAACAUAGGAAGCUCUAUUACUAGUUUCUCCUUGUUAAAAACCGUUUAACUUUGGUUCAUUCAUUUUUAGAUGUUCUAUUCUAUUUUCAAUAUCCUGCAAAUUAAUGACUAUAUCAUCUUCUUCUUCGGAUUCAGAUUCUUUAUCAGAUAUCUCUUGAUUAGGUAAUUCUAUGUUUUCACUUAGCAUUCUUAGACUUAUUAAUUUUUUGUCUUUGUUUAUUUUGUUAAAUAUCGGUUUAGAUGUUGUUAUCAUUUCUUUAUCUUUAAGUUCAUUAUAGUAAAUUAUGGUAUCUUGUAAAAUUUUAUUUUGUUUAUUGAUCUUCUGUACUUCAAUCCUUUUGUAAUUUUCCAUUUAUGCUUAUAGCGAAUUUAUUACCAAUUUUUUCAUCGAUUUUUUCAAUUUUUUGUAGUUGAUUUCAAUCUUGUUGAAUUUAUUUUCAAUUGAACUUUUGUUCACAAUAUUAAAGAUUUCUUGUUUUAAUCUAUCUUGAUCUUCAAUAUUAAAGUCUUUUAUUAAUAGCUUAACAAAAUCAAAUUCUUCACUCAUUCGCUAUCCUAUCAUUUUGACUUGUCUUAUAUUUUCGGCAUCAAAGCUUUUAAUCUCAAGUAUCUUAUUUACACUUUCUAUAUCAUCUAUGGUUAAAUUAGGGUUUCCUAAUUUAUUUAAUAAAUAUAAUGAGAUCCAAUUUAAUUGAUUAUUUCCCCACAUAUCAGAAUCAUUUACUAAAUCAAAUGGUUGAAAUCUUCCAUAAGUAAAUCCUCUAUGCCUAUAGCUAGAAGGUGGUAAUAUGUUGGUUUCAAUAUUUCUAUAUACUUCUCUCCUGAUCCUAAAGAGAAGAAUAGGAUCAAUAUUUAAAUUUCUAAUUUUUAUUAUGAUGAGUUCUCCAAUUUUAAAUUCAUGAACUCUAACUAAAUAAAAUUGUAUUAAUUGUUUAUCAUCCAAUAUAUUAACUUCUGAAUAAUAAUAUUGUUUAUGUUUUGUUAUAUUAUCUUUAACUCCACACUUGUUUAAAAUUCAACACACAGAUGUGCCUCUUUCUUACUAUACUGGAAUCCUCGGUAAACUUUUUGUUUGCGCAAUUUAUGUGAGCAAAUUGUGUCUUCUUUUUCAUAUGUAAAUGUUUUUGAUAUCUUGAUGUGAAGGUAGAAAAUUGCAUGUUUUGAGUUUUUGCAUAUUUGAUGGAAACACAGAACUGUACCUGAAUCUUUCAGAACCCCCUUUUCUUUGAAGUUUGAACACUUUUCUUGAAUGUAUCAACUUUAUUUAUGGGAUAUGUUGCCAAAUUGGCAAAUCUAUUCGUUAUAAAACUUUCCUUUGACAGUUUAAUCUAAGCAGAUGUUAAUUAUGCAAAUAGAGUGUGCCUAAGAUUAGUUUCAUAGAUUUGUCUCCUUCUGUACAGUAAAAACUUUGAGCAUUUUCGCCAUAUUCUGAUCAAUACACUCCAACUAGUUAGUUCUUGAGGCGUUUUAUGGUUUCGUGGAGUGAGGCAAGAUGUAUACGUUUGCAAAUUGGCAAUGUCUUUUGCUUGAUGGGUUGAGAGUUGUGAGUGUCAACAGGAAACAAGACCUCUGUUUUAUGAACUCCAAAAAGUUAUUCUGUUAAAAAGAUCGAGACAGAGGCCAUACUAUAUUUAUUAUUGCUAUAAAAGUGUGAAAAAAUAUUCUUUGUUUAAUAUUCUAAACGAUUGAGCCAUUUAGUUAUGAUACUCUGCUGUAUUGGGGCUAAUAAUCUAAGUCGGUUCAAAGUGGUAAAUUUAUAAAUUGAUAGGUAUGCCUGGUAUGACCGCUUACGUUGGAUUUUAUGAGGUCUGCUCUCCUAAGCAAGGAGAGUGUGUCUUCAUAUCCGCAGCAUCUGGUGCAGUUGGACAGCUUGUGGGGCAGUUUGCAAAGUUAUUGGAUUGCUAUGUCGUCGGAAGUGCUGGAAGCAAAGACAAGGUAUGUAAUCUGUGUGAAGUACUUGAUUGUUUCCAUGUUACUUUCAAACAUUUAAAUUAAAAAGGAAAUUUUCAUAAUCUUGCCUUUUCUAUGAUUUUCAAAACCAAGGUUGAUCUACUGAAGAACAAGUUUGGGUUCGACGAGGCAUUUAACUAUAAAGAAGAAGCUGAUUUGAAUGCAGCAUUGAAAAGGUUAGCAUCAAUAAAUGCCUUAGCUUGAUGCAGCUUGAUGAAGUAUGAUACACAUUUCUGACCAAUAUACUGCGUUCCCUGAUCUCUUACUUGAAAUAUCUUGGUUUGAGAAUCUCAUGCCAAUGCCUUUAACAUUUUGGCAGGUACUUUCCUGAAGGAAUUGAUAUAUAUUUUGAAAACGUUGGUGGAAAAUUGCUUGACGCAGUGCUACCCAACAUGAAAAUCCGUGGUCGAAUUGAUGCAUGCGGUAUGAUCUCACAGUACAAUCUUGACAAGCCUGAAGGUGUGCACAACUUGAUGUAUCUUGUUUCGAAACGGCUUCGAAUGGAAGGAUUCAUUGUUCUCGAUCACUAUCACCUCUAUCCAAAGUUUCUGGAAAUGAUCAUUCCUCACAUCAAAGAAGGGAAGCUUGUAUACGUCGAAGACAUGGCUGAAGGUCUUGAGAGUGCUCCGGCAGCUCUCAUCGGUCUAUUCUCUGGCCAGAAUAUUGGGAAACAAGUGGUUGCUGUUGCUCCUUAAUGAAGAACAAGUUAGUGUUGUCUGUCCUUUUACCCUUUGACACAAAACUUCAAUGUUAAAGAGAGAAUGCUGUUCAUAUAUACUGCUUUAUAAAAUAAUCAAGUGAGUGCAAGUUUCAUGAUAUUUGCUGAAUAAAAUAUUGGAAAUUAAGCAGCUAGCCUAGCUCCUUCUUGUAGUUGCAGUUUGAAUGAUGCUGCUGCACAACUGCUGCCGAAAAAAUCCUUAAUAGAUGAUUAGCAAGGUUUCAAAAAUAAAAAUAAAUGUUUGUGCAAUGUGUCGAAUAUGACAGCCACAAAGAAAGAGCACACAAAUUGAUUGGUUUUAUGUCUUCUCUAGGAGAAAGCUACAAUACAAGAAAUUGUACUGAUGGAGCCAUGGACCAAAUUUCUUAUUUAAACUUUUAAUUUUUUUAUUAAAUUACUUAUGUUAUUAUGGUUUAUAAUUUUAGAAAUUCUUUAGAAAUUAAUACAGAACUAGUAGCAAGUUGAGAAAUCUAUUGAAUGGUCAAGAUAUGAUCAUGUUUAUUGAAUUAAAUUGACAAUCAUCAUUUUGAUAAAUUAUUGUCAGGAUGUUUGAUUCAUGACACGUGUAAGCAACUAAAUGUGCUAAAAAAAAGUUAAUGAGUUGGGCGUGUUUGAGUUAAUGAGUUGGGCUUGUUUGAUAUUCAUUUGUUGUAAUUCUUUUAAUAAUUAUUGGGGAAAAAAAGUUAUAAUAAAAAAAAUUAUAAUUAUAAAAUAAAAAUUAAUAAUAUAUAAUAAAUAAGAUUUUAAAUAAUAAUUUUAAUAAAAUAAUAAAUAUAUUAUAAAUUUUUUAUGAUUAAUUUUUAAAUUACAACAAUAAAUAUUUAACAAACACCUUAAUACCACAACUAACACCACAACUUUUGAAUUAUGAUAGUACAAUCUAAAUGCCACAGGCCUUAAAAAAUAAAAUUACAGUCAAGUUUUAAAACUGUUAAUGAUAUUCACAAAGACUCUGGAACAAUAUUACAGAAGGUGCUCGUCGUGUAAGCAACACAUGGGACCCAACCAAUAAAUGUUUCUGAUCCUCAACUUUCCUCAUCACUGUCCCUGGAAACAAUUCUGAUUUUCUUGUCUGAUUAAACAACUGAGAAACAAUGGCGGCCGACCAAGAAGCUGGGAGCAAUAAGCGGGUGAUUCUAAGCAACUAUGUGACAGGUUUUCCAAAAGAAUCAGACAUGAAGAUAACAAGUUGAUCAAUAAAGCUGAAGGUAGCAGAGGGUGUUUGGGAGAAAUACGUCGACGAGACCAGGCAUGGUGAGCAGAUAUCUGAUGGCAGAGUUCUGCGAACCGGUGUGUUCCGUAAAAGCCUGGUGCGCGGGGGAACAGGAGCAGAAGUAUCCUGCUCGUCCACGAGCACGUCAUCCGCGAGGCCAAUUUCCUGUAAGAGGCAUAAGGUCAUUCCGGCUAGAGGUCGAGAGGCGAGGAGACCCGGUCGACGGCAGUUGGCAAGACAUGCUCCCCAGCCCGAGAAUCUAGGCACGACAGCCACGCUUUCCCCAGAACCGUGGCGUAACACGCAAGAUCUCACAGAACCACGACAGCCACGCUUUCCCCAGAACCGUGGCGUAACACGCAAGAUCUCACAGAACCACGACAGCCACGCUUUCCCCAGAACCGUGGCGUAACACGCAAGAUCCCACGUUUGCCCAUAACGCAGCAGUCAGAGUCCCAUACCGUCUCGAAAAAAGCGGAAAACUGGGAUUCAGGGGAAGCCUAUAAAAAGGUAGCCAACGAAGGUAAAAGGGUUAGCAUUUUUGAGAUUAGAAAAGAAAUGAAAAAAGAAGAGAAAACCACGAAAAAGCCAUAAGAUAUGUGGCAAGCGUUCCCCGAACCUUCAUAUCUGACUUGAGCGUCGGAGGGUUUGCGCCGGGAAAACAACCGGCGUACUCUGACUUGUCUGUGUGCGCAGGAACCUCUGGAGAAGAAGCCUCACGUGGAGACCUCCUGGUCGUGAAGAAGUUGAUCGGGCAGAGAUCCUGGUCGUAGAACGAGGAGAACCGGAAUCCCGCAUCAACAUUUUGGCGCCGUCUGUGGGGACCGGAGCAAAAAGCUUCUGUUGAUAGCAAGAAGAGGGGUGAAGCAAGUGAAAAACAAUGGAGACAGGAGGAAGUAGUGCACAAGGGGGUGAUAGGAAGCUUAACGAUUCCGUGACGCUGAGGGAGAUAGUCAGUGAAGCACGGGAAAAAGUCAUGUUCGACCGGAUGGAACGGAUGGAAAAGCAGAUGGAGACCUUGACAACCAUCCUGCAUGAGCUGCGGAGCGAGCGAAGUAUAAUCCAAGAGGGAAGGGUGAGAGGCGGUGGAGUGGCACCAGGUCCCGAUAGUGCGGGGAGAAGUCAAACCACCGGGAGAUUUGGUGGUGAGAGAGGUAACGUACCUCUGCGGGGAGAAUUUCAUAGAGAAAGAGAGCAGUCCCCGGCAAGACAGACUGGCGACGAGGACGACGGGGUGGUGAAUGCAGAGGAAACAGAGUUGAGGCAACACUUGCAUGAUGUAGAGCAAGAGCGGGAUCAAGUUGCAGCACGUGACCCUGGUUGUGCAGUGCAGCUGGAGGAGGAAGUGCGCAGACUAGCACAGAUAAUCGACGACAUGCAAGGAAGGAACAGAGCCCCUGGUUGGAGGAUAAUGCUGGACGGAGAAUCACCGCUCGCAGCAGAGAUCAUGAGGGCAGUUAUUCCGAGAGAUUUCCGCCUCCCAGACCUCAGAUACUCGGGAAGAACUGAUCCGUUGGUGCACAUAGAGCGCUUCAACGACAUAACUGGGGUACAAGGAUUAUCUCAAUCCCAAAGGUGCAGAGUGUUCCCACUAUCCCUUGAGGGACGUGCACGAGAAUGGUACAGGAAACUUCCUCGGGGCAGCAUUAAAACCUUCGAGCAGAUGUGCCAGGAAUUCGCGGAGCAGUUUAGUGGGGCAAUGGCGCCGGAAGAUGACAUGAUGGAGCUGAAAAGCAUGAAACAGGGGGAGCAAGAAACCCUUCGGGAAUUCAUCAAGAGGUUUCAUCGGGCUGUCCUUGACUUGGGAGCCUUCAACCACCCUCAGGCGUUAAGGGGAUUGAAAGAAGGGGUGAAGAUAGGAAGGCUGUGGUACAAUUUGAGAAGCCCAGCUAUUCAAACGUAUGCAGCCGCAUACGAACAGGCUAAGAGAGACAUCGAGAUUGAAGAGGAGAAGGCUGCACGGAUUAAGACAGACCAGUUAGAAGGGUUGGGGAGGAAAGAGAAGAAAGCAUUACCGGGGAAUGGGCCGAUCAGGAGGAGGGACCACCAGGCCUCCGGUAGUGGAGCAGGAGGUCGGGUAGCCGCUUACCAGCCUCAUCAAAGGCCACCACAGUAUCAGCGCAGCAGGGCGCAACCUCCUCGUUCCCCAGCUAGGGAGCCUUGGAGAAGGCAUGAGUCGGCAUCUGGUGGUCUCCAACAACACCCCCACGGUAUCAGAGCGAGCAGACCAGAAGUACUUCCACCGCCCCCAACUCAGAGCGGGGCAAACAGAGAAAGAGCAGUGCACCUGAUCGACCAGAACCCGGACUAUGGGCGGUACACUUCCUUGAAGAUGUCCCUGGAUGAGGUGUACGAGGCCAUAAAGGAUCGAGGGCUGCUGCACCUCCCUACACCAAUAACAAAGCUACCCAACAGGAGGGAUAGAGGACGUUAUUGUAAGUUCCAUGGCACCCAUGGCCAUACCACAGCAGAGUGUAGAGAUCUCAAGACCCAAGUCGAAGAUUUGGUGAGAAAUCGGUACCUGGACGAGUUUAUGGAUGGGACUUUCCCGAUGGGGGCCACAACAGGUGAAGGGGAGCAGAGUGGCGGAAACGUUAGGCGCGAGCAGCCCGCAGUAAGGGUGAUAGCUGGGGGCCCGACAUUGGCCGGAGAUUCCAACAGAUCGAGAAAAAAUUAUGCUAGGUACGCCAUGACCAGUAAAGAGGUACUCCUCAACACCCCAGCAGCCAAACGAGCAAGGGUCAGGCAAGUGCCAAUCAUGUGGACGGAUGAGGAUGAGGAAGGGAUUCUAUACCCCCACGAGGAUGCUUUAGUCAUCAAGGCUACUGUCGCUAGCAAGAAGUUUGACCGGAUACUGAUUGAUACAGGGAGCUCAGUUGAUGUGUUAUUUAAGUCAACCCUGGAAGAGAUGGGAAUAGCCGACCGGAAGUUGGAAUACACCAAUACCUCCUUGAAGGGGUUCGGAGGAGGGAAGCUGGUCCCUCUGGGCGUGGUCGAGCUGCCUAUCACAAUUGGGAGCUCUCCGACAGAAAGAACAAUGAUACUGGACUUUGUCGUAGUGGAUGAGGAAGGUCCUUACCAGAUGAUCCUAGGUCGGCCAUUUUUAAGGAUGAGCAAAGCGGUGUUGUCCAACCAUUAUCUGGCUCUGAAGUACCGGGUGAACGGGGUAGUAGGAGUGGUACGAGGAGACCAGAGGAUCGCAAGAAGCUGCUACUCCUCGGCAGCAAGGGAAGCAAUGCAGAUAACAUCCCUCGAUACCCGAGUGGAAAACAAGAAGGGCAGACAAGAACCUGUAGAGGAUCUGGAAACAGUAAGCCUGGGACCAGAGAACCCGGGAAAGACGAUCAGAAUCGGGUCGAGACUUAAGGGAGAGCAAAAGCAGGAGUUGGUGAAAUGCUUACAGGCUCAUGCUGAUGUGUUUGCUUGGACACAUGAAGACAUGCCAGGAAUUGACCCUGAGGUAGCAUGUCAUAAGCUGGCAAUAAAGAAAAGUGCUCGGGCAGUAAGGCAGAAGAGGAGGUGCUUCAACCAGGAGAGGUAUGAGGCUAUAAAUGGCGAGGUGGAGAAGCUCUUGAGAGCAGGGUUCAUUCGGGAAGUCAGUUACCCUGAGUGGAUAUCGAAUGUGGUGUUGGUAAAGAAGGCAAACGGCAAGUGGAGGAUGUGUGUGGAUUUCACAGACCUCAAUAAGGCGUGCCCAAAAGACAGCUUCCCUUUACCAAAGAUCGAUCAGCUAGUAGAUUCAACGGCUGGACAUGGUCUGCUUAGCUUCAUGGACGCGUUCUCGGGAUACAACCAGAUCCCCAUGUACGAGCAGGAUGAGGAGAGCACGGCUUUCAUCACUAACCAAGGUUUGUUCUGUUACAGGGUAAUGCCAUUCGGUCUCAAAAAUGCCGGGGCCACCUAUCAAAGGCUGGUGAACAAAGUCUUUAAGCCGUUGAUUGGGAAAACCAUGGAGGUGUACGUGGAUGACAUGAUCACCAAGUCCAAAAUCCCGGAGGAACAUGUCAGACACCUCGAGGAGACAUUCGAGCUUUUGAGGAAGUAUAAGAUGAAGCUCAACCCGGAGAAGUGUGCUUUUGGGGUCGAGUCAGGGAAAUUCCUUGGAUUCAUGGUGAGCCAUAGGGGGAUUGAAGCACAUCCCGAGAAAAUCCAGGCGAUUGUGCAAAUGACGUCUCCCCAUAACCUGAAGGAGAUGCAAAGCCUCACGGGGAGGUUGGCGGCGUUGAGCAGAUUCAUAUCCAAGGCUACAGAUAAGUGUAAGCCAUUCUUUCAAGUGAUGAGGAGGGGAAAGAAAACAGAAUGGACCUCAGAAUGCGAGGAAGCCUUCCGGAACUUGAAGCAAUACUUGCAGCAAGCUCCGCUGCUGUCCACACCGAGGGAUGGGGACAAGUUAUAUCUGUAUUUGGCGGUAUCGGAUCGGGCCGUCAGUUCUGUUCUGGUGAGAGAGGAAGAAGGAGUUCAGUAUCCGAUAUAUUACACCAGCAAGGCCCUGCUCGACGCUGAGACCAGAUACCCACCGUUGGAGAAAUGGGCACUUGCCCUUGUGGUUGCUGCUCGGAAGUUGAGGCCAUAUUUUCAAGCAUUCCCGGUCUUGGUAAUAACAAACCAGCCAUUGCGUCAAACUCUGCACAAGCCAGAUGCCUCUGGUCGGCUCGUCAAGUGGGCUGUAGAGCUGAGCGAGUUCGACAUAGACUAUAAACCCCGCGCAGCGAUAAAAGCCCAGGCAAUGGCCGAUUUCGUAGCUGAAUUCACAGAGCCCGAAGUAUGCUUAGAUCAACAAGAUGCAGAUAUAGGCAAUGACGAAACUCAAGUAUGGCAGAUGUCUGUGGAUGGGUCAUCAGGGGAGCGGGGUUCAGGAGCAGGGAUUGUCUUGGAAGGCCCAGAGGGGGAGGAGAUCUCUUAUACUGUAAAAUUGGAAUUUGCAGCCACGAAUAACCAGGCAGAGUAUGAAGCCUUGAUAGCAGGUCUGGAAUUGGCUAAGGCCGUGAAAGCAGACAGAGUUAAGAUCAGAACUGAUUCCCAGCUGGUUGCGAAUCAUGUCAGUGAAAGAUUCCAACCAAGAGAGGAGAAGAUGGGGCAGUACCUGAAGAUAGUCAGGCAGAUGAUGGGGAAGUUCGAAGCAGUGGAGGUGAUACAAAUCCCCAGGGAGCAGAAUAGUCGAGCAGACAUUUUGGCUAGGAUGGCAGCAGUAGCCGACCCAAAAAUGCCAAAGUCGGUCCCUCUGGAGGUGAAGUCCAGCCCAAGUAUCGAUCAGAAUUUGGGGGUGUUGCAGAUAGAACAAAAAUGCUCGUGGAGGGACCCGAUAAUUUCAUACCUUAGAGACGGGGUAUUACCACCAGAUAAGAUGCGAGCUCGCAAGCUUAGAGCCCAGGCCUCGAGAUACACGAUGAUUGAUGGGGUACUGUAUCGGCGAGGAUAUACACUACCGUUCCUUCAGUGUUUGGAUGAGGACGACGCGGAUUACGUACUGAGAGAAGUACACGAAGGAAUUUGCGGAAAUCAUUCUGGCGGGAGGUCCCUGGCCCAUAAGGUUCUAAGGCAGGGAUAUUUCUGGCCGACAAUGCACCAGGAUGCGCAAGAGAAGACCAGGAGUUGUGUAAGCUGCCAGAGUUUUGUAAAUUUCUCUAACCAACCACCAGAGAAGCUCACCUCCAUGACCUCCCCCUGGCCAUUUGCUCAAUGGGGAAUUGAUCUGAUCGGCCCAUUGCCAAAGGCACGGGGAGCAGCAACAUAUGCAAUAGUUGCUAUAGAUUACUUCACGAAGUGGAUAGAGGUAAAAGCCCUUAGCAGGAUCACAGAGAAGAAAACAACAGACUUCGUAUGGAGAAACCUGGUCUGUCGAUACGGGAUCCCUUAUGCCUUGGUAACGGAUAAUGGCAGGCAGUUCGAUAAUCACAGCUUCAGGGAUUUCUGCCAGAACCUCGGGAUAGAGCUGAAGUAUUGCUCGCCUGCUCACCCUCAAUCGAAUGGACAAGUAGAAGCAGCCAACAAGACCAUCAAGAGGCUUUUGAAAACCAGGCUUGGAGCAAAAAAGGGUGCGUGGGUUGACGAGCUGGCAGGUGUGCUAUGGGCAUCCAGAACAACAAAACCGCAACUGGGGAGACACCGUUCGCUUUGGCUUUCGGACAUGAAGCGGUCGUGCCGGCUGAGAUAGGAACGACCACACACCGGACAAAUCAUUUCAAUGAGCAGGAGAACGACGAGCAGAUAUGUUUGAAUCUUGAUCUGCUAACGGAAAGGAGGGAGCAAGCAGCCGAGCGAUCAGUCAUUUACCAAUAGAGGGUUGCUCGGUAUUAUAACCAGAAGGUGAACAUACGGCAAUUCAGGGUCGGAGACUGGGUACUGAGAAGAGUGAAUCAGAGCACCAAAGAUUCGACUCAAGGAGUGCUGGGACCGAAUUGGGAAGGGCCAUAUAGAGUCAAGCAGAUAGCGGGACCCGGAGCUUACAGGCUGGUUCGCACGGACGGCCACGAGGUGAAACGCCCAUGGAACGCAGCACACCUCCGAAAAUACUUCCAGUAAGACUUGUUCACAUGUGAAAACUAUUUUUGCUCAUGUUCAUUACCGUUUAUCUUUCACGCUUAUUGUCCAAACAAUUUCAUGUAAGUCGAAUCCUGCCAUUAAUGGAACGUCGAGGAAUUUCUUUCACUUGAAACCGAGAAAAUUUCCCAAGGCAUGCAAAGGCUCACCAAGUCUCAAAGCCUGUCUUAUGGUGAGACAGAAGCCAAGCAUGCCAGGAUCUGCUCGGCCACGAGAAGGCAAGCAGAAUCCCAAUCCUCGAAGAAUCCAAGGCACGCAAAGGCUCACUAAGUCUCAAAGCCUGUCUUAUGGCGAGACAGAAGCCAAGCAUGCCAGGAUCUGCUCGGCCACGAGAAGGCAAGCAGAAUCCCAAUCCUCGAAGAAUCCAAGGCAUGCAAAGGCUCACCAAGUCUCAAAGCCUGUCUUAUGGCGAGACAGAAGCCAAGCAUGCCAGGAUCUGCUCGGCCACGAGAAGGCAAGCAGAAUCCCAAUCCUCGAAGAAUCCAAGGCACGCAAAGGCUCACCAAGUCUCAAAGCCUGUCUUAUGGCGAGACAGAAGCCAAGCAUGCCAGGAUCUGCUCGGCCACGAGAAGGCAAGCAGAAUCCCAAUCCUCGAAGAAUCCAAGGCAUGCAAAGGCUCACCAAGUCUCAAAGCCUGUCUUAUGGCGAGGCAGAAGCCAAGCAUGCCAGGAUCUGCUCGGCCACGAGAAGGCAAGCAGAAUCCCAAUCCUCGAAGAAUCCAAGGCAUGCAAAGGCUCGACAAAGUCUCAAAGCCUGUUUUAUGGCGAGACAGAAGCCAAGCAUGCCAGGAUCUGCUCGACCACUAGAAGGCGAGCAGACUCCAAAGCAUUCGAAGAAAUGCCCAAGGCAUGCAAAGGCUCGACAAAGUCUCAAAGCCUGUUUUAUGGCAAGGCAGAAGCCAAGCAUACCAGGAUCUGCUCGACCACGAGAAGGCGAGCAGACUCCAAAGCAUUCGAAGAAAUGCCCAAGGCAUGCAAAGGCUCGACAAAGUUUCAAAGCCUGUUUUAUGGCGAGACAGAAGCCAAGCAUGCCAGGAUCUGCUCGACCACGAGAAGGCGAGCAGACUCCAAAGCAUUCGAAGAAAUGCCCAAGGCAUGCAAAGGCUCGACAAAGUCUCAAAGCCUGUUUUAUGGCGAGACAGAAGCCAAGCAUGCCAGGAUCUGCUCGACCACUAGAAGGCGAGCAGACUCCAAAGCAUUCGAAGAAAUGCCCAAGGCAUGCAAAGGCUCGACAAAGUCUCAAAGCCUAUUUUAUGGCGAGGCAGAAGCCAAGCAUGCCAGGAUCUGCUCGACCACUAGAAGGCGAGCAGACUCCAAAGCAUUCGAAGAAAUGCCCAAGGCAUGCAAAGGCUCGACAAAGUCUCAAAGCCUGUUUUAUGGCGAGACAGAAGCCAAGCAUGCCAGGAUCUGCUCGACCACUAGAAGGCGAGCAGACUCCAAAGCAUUCGAAGAAAUGCCCAAGGCAUGCAAAGGCUCGACAAAGUCUCAAAGCCUGUUUUAUGGCGAGGCAGAAGCCAAGCAUGCCAGGAUCUGCUCGACCACUAGAAGGCGAGCAGACUCCAAAGCAUUCGAAGAAAUGCCUAAGGCAUGCAAAGACUCACCAAGUCUCAAAGCCUGUUUUAUGGCGAGACAGAAGCCAAGCGUGCUAGGAUCUGCUCGACCGCGCGAAGGUGAGUCGAAUCCCAGGCAUUGAAGAAUCUCCAAAGGCAUGUGGCAAAACCAUGAGCCAAGCCGGAACCUGCUCGUCUAGACAGAGACAAGCAGAUUCUCAACCGAAAAUUAAUUCAUAAUUACAACACAAGAAAGUAAUCAAAAACCAUUUUUAUUAAUUUGUUAAUAAUUAACAGAGGGGAUAAUCUUUAUGAACAUUGUUCAUUACAAUACAAGAAAUAUAUCAGGAAGAUGGUGGACCAGUAAGCCCGGCAGCAUCGGUUGGCUGGACCUCCUCAGGUGCAGGAGGGGUAUCACCAGUUGCGUCCGGGGGGGUGCUCGCCUCGCCAACAUCAGCAGGGACUGCAUGAGCAGGAGAGUCUUCCUCCUCAAUCACGAUCGGCUCUACCCCAUCGGCAUCUUCCUUGGCCGCCUCCUCGUCCAUAUGUUGAGCAACACCAGCUGCAAGGUCAUCCAUCUUCAGAUCAGGGUGUUGCUUCCCGAGGACGGCCAUGAUGCAACGAUAGGAAUGCCGAAGUCCCUGGUCGUACUGGUUGUCAGCCUCCCUCUCUAAGUUCUCGACCUGAGCUCGGUGGGAGUCGCGGAGAGAUUCGAGCUGAGCCUCAUACAUAGCCUUCUGCCUUUGCAGAUCCUCCUUGACCGUGGUAAGCUCCUCCUCGAGGGAAAUGGCUUUUGCUUGAGCAAGUGAUUCUUGCUCUAUUAGCUUCAGAUUCUCGAGAUUCAGGUCCUUCUUGCUCACGAGUUUAGUUAACUCAUUGAGGUAGGGGACCAGGUGUUCUGCUCGGCUGUCAGGUAAGCGAGAUCGAGGCCCGACAGGAGGAAAAGAGGAAGCAGGAUCUGUGGCUGCUCCACUAGCUUCCCCGACUUUUACAGGAGCAGGAGGUAAAAUCUUCAAGGGUGGGACCUGCUGCAUGAUGUUGGCCCGCUUUGCAGCAGGGGCAUCCUUACUCUGGUCCCUCUUCGUGGUUGGAGGUCGGGAACGUUUUCGGGUCAGAGCCCCAAUCACAGCGUCCUCCAUCCUAUGGCCAGGAAGUAUCAAGCGAGACUCGAGCAAGUUGUAUGUAGUUAGCAGUUCUCGGCUCGAGCAGGAAUUGGCUAGUACAGCCUCGACCCGUUUGAGCUGGUCAGGUUCAAGCGGGAAGUGGACACCCCAAGAAACUACAACACAAACAGACACUUGGUUAGAGACAAGCCAAUAAAGCAAGAACAAUUAUGGAUGCAAGACAUCUAGAGUGAGCAGGCAACCUGGGACCGUGAAACGGGGUGGGACGUGACAAUCCUUCCCGCCUAUUUGUGCAACUUGACCCCAAGGACCCCCAGCAAAAAAGAAUUUCCUCUUCCAAGCCCCACCACCACCGGUUGGAAGAUCGGUUAUGGGUUUCCGGCUCUUGGUGCUAGAUUGGAAGUAGUACCAGCCGGCAUCUUUGGGGCUGCUCUUUAGCUGGUACAAGUGCUUCACCUCAUCAACCGUGGGCUCGCUUUGGCAACAUUUGUCCCACAAUAUGAACAGACCAGAGAGCACUCUCCACCCAUUGGGAUUCAGCUGACCAGGAGCUAGAUUUAGCCCGUUAAGUAUCUGGGCAAAGUAGGGUUGCAAGGGACACCUCAGCCCGUACUUAAAGCUCUCUAGAAACAGGGUAACGUAUCCCCUAGGAGGCCGGCUGGGAGCAUCCUUCUUUCCUGGGACCUUGAGAGGUAUCUCACCAGGAAUGCUAUACCUAAGCCGGAGGUCAUUGAGCUCGUCAAACAAGGUCGUGCACGUCAUGUAAUCAAUGGCAUAAUCGCGCGACAAGGCUCUGCCUCCUACUGUACCCCGUUCCUCUGGUCGUGAUGUUCCAGAUGGAGACACCUCACCAGAGUCACCUUCCCCAUUCUCACUUAAGGUGUCCUCAGAGCCAGAAGGUCUCUCUUCACCAUUGCUUCCACUCGUGGAGGUUGUUUGGGGGGACAUCCUCCUAGCACUAGUCCCGACACUAAACCUAAUGGGUUCUAAGGGGAUCCCGGGGUCAAAAGCAGAAUCAGUGAGCAGACCAGGCAGGAAACUUAGUUCGUCGUCAUCAAUCUCAACGACUUUCUCCUUACCUUUCGACAUUCCCUAAGCCCUAACCACAACACCACCAACUACUACCCAAACAGAAGAGAAGAGAAAUUAUCUACAACUAUCCGAGACCAAGGAGAUAGAAGAAAUACCUGAAGUAAUGGUUCAGUCGGUGAAAGUCAGAGAUGGAGGCCUUUUAUGCCGGAACUUCUUUGCCGGAGAAACAGAGACGGAGACGGAGUGAAUGAUGAAUAUGCCGUUCGAGAGGAUUUGGUUUUCCUAAUGAGGACGGACUCUUGGGUUGCCAGCAUUUAACGGCGCCGAAUCCCGAGGGUCUCAUAACCGUCGGUUUGAAAUUCAAAUGGAGGGGGGGAUUUCUGCCACGUCACCUCGUCCGCAAUUAAAUGCGACAUGACUCUUGGCAGCCUUUUCCAAUCCCACGCGGGCGAGUACUAACGAGUUUCUACUGCUGGUCCACUACAUUACCCAACACCAGAAACUGGGGGACCGGUGUUUGGGAGAAAUACGUCGACGAGACCAGGCAUGGUGAGCAGAUAUCUGAUGGCAGAGUUCUGCGAACCGGUGUGUUCCGUAAAAGCCUGGUGCGCGGGGGAACAGGAGCAGAAGUAUCCUGCUCGUCCACGAGCACGUCAUCCGCGAGGCCAAUUUCCUGUAAGAGGCAUAAGGUCAUUCCGGCUAGAGGUCGAGAGGCGAGGAGACCCGGUCGACGGCAGUUGGCAAGACAUGCUCCCCAGCCCGAGAAUCUAGGCACGACAGCCACGCUUUCCCCAGAACCGUGGCGUAACACGCAAGAUCUCACAGAACCACGACAGCCACGCUUUCCCCAGAACCGUGGCGUAACACGCAAGAUCUCACAGAACCACGACAGCCACGCUUUCCCCAGAACCGUGGCGUAACACGCAAGAUUCCACAUUUGCCCAUAACGCAGCAGUCAGAGUCCCAUACCGUCUCGAAAAAAGUGGAAAACUGGGAUUCAGGGGAAGCCUAUAAAAAGGUAGCCAACGAAGGUAAAAGGGUUAGCAUUUUUGAGAUUAGAAAAGAAAUGAAAAAAGAAGAGAAAACCACGAAAAAGCCAUAAGAUCUGUGGCAAGCGUUCCCCGAACCUUCAUAUCUGACUUGAGCGUCGGAGGGUUUGCGCCGGGAAAACAACCGGCGUACUCUGACUUGUCUGUGUGCGCAGGAACCUCUGGAGAAGAAGCCUCACUUGGAGACCUCCUGGUCGUGAAGAAGUUGAUCGGGCAGAGAUCCUGGUCGUAGAACGAGGAGAACCGGAAUCCCGCAUCAACAGAGGGUUCAAAAGACACGGUGCUUUUGAAGAAUCUUUAUCUUUAUUGUGAUCCUUACAUGCGAGAGCGUAUGAGCAAGCUUGAUAGACCUUCUUUUGUUGAUUCAUUCCAUUCUGGUGAGGUUAGUUCAUCACGACCUCAACUUAGAUUUUGGGAUGGUUUACGAUUCACUCUCAGUUUAUGCAGAAAAACAAUCUAGUUUUAAUUUGGCAGGGUUUUUCCUUCUCUCUCCUUUUCUUCCUUUUCUUCAUUGGUUUCUUCCUCUUUUAUAGCCGCUAUCCCACGUUUUCGUUCAUCCUUCAUCCCCAUUUUUCGGGUAGUGGCAGCCCCUCAUGGGACUCCAACUGCUACAUUAUGGGUAAAUGUGGGACACCGUAUCUCCCUCAAUGGUUUUAGAAAAAGCGCAACUGUCGUGAUUUCGUGAGAUUGUGUUCCCGUUCUUUGGGGAAUGGAUAUCUGCUCGGUAUAUGUCUCUGGUCGGCCUAUAUUUAUAGAAGGCUCAUUAUCAGUAUUCUACUUAUACCAUUCAGCUGAGGUGAUCUACCUCGAAAUGAGAAUGAUAACAUGACUGACCUGAUGCUCUUAUUUACUUAACAGUAAAUUUUCUAUGACCCUACAGGUGACUAAUUAAUGAGAACUUGACAAUGACAAAAGAAAGUGUAUGAGCUUUGCAGGCUGGCAUGCCAAUAUUGACUGUGUGGCACCAUCCACCAUCUGCAAUUGAAUAUCAUUAUUGUUUAAUCAAUGUGGUGGAGUCCACUGGAACCACACCACAUGGUCAGUCUUAUCUCUAUUCCUCAAUUUUCAGUAUUCCAUACAUCAAACCAAUUUCAUGUUUGUUAGCAAUUAUAAUUUCAUUGUUGGUGACGAUUCUGAUUCCUUUUGUUGAGAAUCAAAUAAAACGGCAUUGAAUGAAGCUUUCAAAGACAGAAUCUGCACUUGUCAAAGGGGUAAUCUGCACUUGUCAAAGACAAGAUCCGCGCCGAACGGAUUGACACAUUUCCUUCCGUAUUCACAUAUGUAAUCUUUGAAAAAAUGUAGCCUCUGCAUCUAUAAAUAACUCUCAAUGUAUAAUGCUUUAUUUAAGAAAUGAAAACACGUUUCUUCAUGGUAUCAGAGCCAUGAAUACGCUCAAGUUUCUUCAAGUUCCGCUGCUCUGUUUGUAACAAAAAUAGAGGAAACCAAAUUCCUCCCACAACCAUUUUUCCCACCAUUUUCUUUCUUAAACCCAUUCCUACCAUUACAGAUAUCCAUGCCGAUCAAGAAACAAGCCACCCAUACGUAAAAAACUUGAGUUUACAAAUUUAUCAACAAUCCCAUCAAUUUUCUGAGAGUGUGUUCCUAAAAAACCAAGAACACCAUCAAAUUUCUCAGUUUUCAGUGAGGAAACUGUAAAAAUUUCGCAUUUAAACACAUUCCCACGCGCUCCCACGCGCCACCCGAAGCCACGGCCAGUCAACCACGCGCCUCUGUCAUCAUUCACGCGCUCUCACGCGCUCCAGAGGUUGAAGAAGACGCCAGCCGACAUGUCGUUCUUAUCUCAGAAGUUCAGCAGUCACAAAACGACGUGUCGUUUUUUGUUAUAUUAAAAUCGACAUGUCGUUUUGUAAAUUAGAGAUAAAACGACGUGAUGCUUAGUCUCCAGAAGUGCAGCAGGAUUAAAACGACAUGUCGUUUAUAUUCCACCAUAAUCGACAUGUCGGUUUGGCAAGCAGUGGCCAAACGACCUGGCGUUUUGUUACCUAAAAAGGUUAUUUUUUUUCUUCUUCCAAUCUAGAUGGAAAAAAAAAAAACAAACAAAAAAAAGAAAAAAAAGAAAAAAAAGAAAAAAAAGAGAAAAAAAAAAAAACAAAAAAAAAUGGAGAAAACUCCAACUGAAUCUAGUCCUGUUGUCAUUCAAUCUGUUCAAUCUGAUGGAGUAUUUAAUGCUGGAAUUAUCCUCACUGAGACAAACUACGAUGUUUGGUCUCAAAUAAUGGAGAUGCAUCUUGUAGAAAGAGAAAAACUCUCAUAUAUUCGUAGCAGCACAAAGCCAUUUGAGGAAUCUUCAAAGGAAUAUGAGAAAUGGUAUAGUGAGAACCAAAAAGUAAAAAGAUGGUUACUCAUAUCCAUGUCUCCGGAGAUCAUGAAGCGAUAUUUACGAAUUCCUACAGCCUACGAAAUCUGGGAUGCAUUAUCAAAAGCCUUCUAUGAUGGAAGCGAUGAAUUACAAGUUUUCACUCUAAACCAGAAGGCAUUCUCUACCAAGCAAAAUGGACAACCACUCUCUAAAUUCUAUGGAGAAUUGGUCGAAAUAUUUCGAGAACUUGAUCACCGAGAUAAAGUGGUCAUGAAGGAUCCAGAAGAUAUUGUAAUAUACAGAAGGUCUGUUGAAAGAUUGAGAGUGCACAUUUUUCUUGCUGGGCUAGAUGAAGAAUUUGACCAAGUUCGUGGAGAAAUUCUACGAAAAGACAUUAUCCCAGACUUAGAAGAAUGUUAUUCUUUGAUCCGAAGAGAAGAUAUACGGCAAAGCAAACUAAACAAGAAGGUCGACUCAGAAACGUUUGCAAUGAUAGCACGACAGCAGCCUCAAAGGAAGUUUGUUGACAAGUCAUCACUCCAUUGCACUCAUUGUAGAAAGAAGGGUCAUACGAAAGAACAAUGUUUUGAAAUCAUUGGAUAUCCUGACUGGUGGGAUACUCGAAAGAAGAACACCAAGCAUGGAUCAAAAACUGCAGUAGCUGAAUCCACAUCCACUACAGAUCUUAGAAAAGAAUCUUCAGUGCAAAUCGCAACCUCUGUCAGUCCAGGUAAGGCCCUUAAAACUCUUACACCUGUUAUUAAUAGUACAUGGAUAAUUGAUUCUGGGGCAACUGAUCAUAUGACUUUUGAUUCUCGACAAGUUUCUCAAUUGAAACCAUCUUCACAAAAAUAUAUUUCCACUGCAAAUGGAACCACAACCUCAGUUAUUGGGGAAUGAUCUUUACGACUCACAAAUGAAUUAAAUUUAGACGCUGUGUUAAUUGUUCCAUCUUUAGAUUAUAAUCUUUUAUCUGUGUCUCAAUUAACCACUUACUUAUCAUGUGUUGUAAUUUUUUGGCCUGAUCAUUGUGUGUUUAAGGACAUCCAAACGAAGCAAACGAUUGGUUAUGGUAUUAGACGAGGCAGCUUGUACUACUUGGAGAUGUCAUCAACAAACACUGGAAAGCUAAGCCCCGCACUAGUUGCAGAUAGUUCCAUAAAAAAAGGGAAAUCAGAAAUUUGGUUAUGGCAUAGACGUUUAGGGCAUGUGUCAUUUAGUUACUUAAAAAAAUUAUUUCCUAGUUUGUUUCUGAAAUUUGAUGUUUGUAACUUUAAAUGUGAUGUUUGUGAACUUUCAAAAAGCCAUCGAACUACUUUUCCAUUGUCCUUAAAUAAAAAUCCAGUUCCUUUUAUGGUAGUACAUUCUGAUGUAUGGGGGCCAUCUAAAGUUUCUACAAUUGGAGGUGCUCGUUGGUUUGUUACAUUUAUUGAUGAUUGUAGCAGAAUGACAUGGAUUUUUCUGAUGAAAUCGAAAGACGAAGUAAACUCUUUAUUUCAAAGAUUUCAUAAGAUGGUGACAACUCAAUUUCAGACACAAAUUCGAGUUCUACAUACUGAUAAUGGAGGUGAGUAUAUGAGCACAGCAAUUCAACAGUUUCUGAAAUCACAAGGAUCUGUCCAUCAAACCACUUGUGUGGGGACACCCCAACAAAAUGGCGUUGCUGAACGAAAGAACAGACAUUUACUAGAAGUUGUUCGAGCAUCACUAAUCCAAGCCCACAUGCCAUUAUCUUAUUGGGGAGAAGCAUUGACAUCCGCAGCAUACUUGAUCAAUCGAACACCUUCAAGCUCCCUUGGAUUCCAGACUCCUUUCCAAGUUCUGAAUGAUGCAAUUAUGUCACCAAAUGUGCCGAAUCUGCCCCCACAUGUGUUUGGCUGUGUUGCCUUCGUUCAUUUGCCGCAACAAGACAAAUUAUCUCCUCGAGCACUACGUUGUGUGUUUGUAGGGUAUGCCUUACAUCAAAAGGGAUACCGAUGCUAUCAUCCACCAUCAAGAAAAAUAUACAUCACCAUGGAUGUCGUUUUUCAUGAAGAUAUCAUGUACUACUUGUCAGAGUCUGAAUUUCAGGGGGAGUAUAAUGAAGAGGAAAUUCAUACUCUUACAUAUCUUCCACCUGAAGAAAGUCAAUCUUCCAUUGAGAUAGUAAACCUUCAAGAUACUGGAAAAGCAAAUGGUGAUGAUUCGCAAGCUGAGAUAUGUGAAAACACAUUUGGGGAGCACAAUACUCAGACACAACUGCAAUCGAGAAUGAGUCACAUGAAGAAAUACCUAACCAAUCGUCUGCAGAGGAUGUUCCUACCACAAGUCCAAUCAGAAGAAUUCUUCCCCAGCGUCAAAAUAGAGGUAUCCCUAAACCCACAUAUGAGCCUGACUUCUCUAGUAGAGUCAAAUACCCUAUGAGUCAUUUUGUGUCUAACCAUCGCUUGUCAGAAUCAAAUCAGUCAUUUGUGAAUCAAUUAUCUGCUGUAUCUAUUCCUAACAGUGUGCAGGAAGCUUUAAAAGAUCCAAAGUGGAAAGCGGCUAUGAAUGAUGAAAUGAGAUCUCUUCAGAAAAAUCAAACAUGGGAACUAGUUGAUCUUCCACCAGGAAAGAAACCAAUGGGUUGUCGAUGGAUCUACACUAUAAAAUACAAAGCAGAUGGCUCUAUUGAACGAUACAAAGCAAGACUCGUAGCUAAGGGUUACACCCAAACCUACGGGAUUGAUUAUACUGAUACGUUUGCACCGGUAGCAAAAAUUAAUACUAUUCGUAUCUUAUUAUCAUUAGCAGUCAACUUGGAUUGGCCAGUGCAACAGUUCGAUGUAAAGAAUGCUUUCCUCCAUGGAGACCUGUCUGAAGAAAUUUAUAUGGAUCUGCCACCAGGAUGCAGUGGACCAGAACGACUCAAUCAGAAAGUAUGCAAAUUGAAGAAAUCAUUGUAUGGGUUGAAGCAAUCCCCAAGAGCAUGGUUCGGGAAAUUCACGAAGGCUAUGGUUCGUUUUGGGUAUAACCAAAGCAAUUCAGAUCAUACCUUAUUCAUUAAAAAACGACAAGGUAAAAUCACUGCCCUUAUUGUCUAUGUGGAUGAUAUGGUAGUUACAGGCAACGACGAGGAAGAAACAAAGGCUCUUCAGAAGUACUUGUCAAGAGAGUUUGAGAUGAAGGAUUUAGGUGCCUUAAAAUACUUUCUUGGAAUUGAGGUUUCUCGAUCUAAGGGAGGAAUCUUUCUGUCUCAAAGGAAAUAUGCCUUAGAUCUAUUGCACGAAACGGGAAUGACAGCUUGUCAGCCUAUUGACACCCCAAUAGAAGAAGGACUGAAGUUUUGUAUUACUUCAGACCAAGUUCCAGUAGACAAAGGAAGAUAUCAAAGGCUGAUUGGAAGAUUGAUGUACUUGUCCCACACAAGGCCAGAUCUUGCUUAUGCAUUGAGUGUUGUAAGCCAGUUUAUGCAUAAUCUCGGAGAACAACACAUGAAAGCAGUAAUGCGGAUCCUGAGGUACCUGAAGACAAAUCUAGGAAAAGGAAUCUUAUUUUCCAAAAAUGAAGAUUACAGCAACAUAGAAGUUUAUACUGAUGCAGAUUGGGCCGGGUCAGUUAGUGAUAGACGCUCUACUUCAGGAUACUUUACCUUUGUGGGAGGAAACCUUGUCACAUGGAGAAGCAAGAAACAACAUGUCGUUGCCCGUUCGAGCGCUGAAGCAGAAUAUCGAGGCAUGGCCCUUGGGAUAUGUGAAGGGCUAUGGAUAAGUUUUAUCUUAAACGAUUUGGGCUAUCCAUCACAACAACCAAUACAACUAUACUGUGACAACAAAGCUGCACGAGAUAUUGCUCAUAACCCAGUUCAACACGAUCGAACAAAACAUGUGGAGGUAGAUAGAUUUUUCAUCAAGGAGAAAUUAGAUGAAAAAAUCUUAGAAUUGCCGAAAAUUCGAUCAGAAGAUCAACUUGCAGAUAUUUUAACGAAGGCCAUUUCAAGCAGGGCAUUUACAAAAUUCCUAGACAAGUUGGGUAUGCAAGACAUCUAUGCACCAGCUUGAGGGGGAGUGUUGAGAAUCAAAUAAAACGGCAUUGAAUGAAGCUUUCAAAGACAGAAUCUGCACUUGUCAAAGGGGUAAUCUGCACUUGUCAAAGACAAGAUCCGCGCCGAACGGAUUGACACAUUUCCUUCCGUAUUCACAUAUGUAAUCUUUGAAAAAAUGUAGCUUCUGCAUCUAUAAAUAACUCUCAAUGUAUAAUGCUUUAUUUAAGAAAUGAAAACACGUUUCUUCACCUUUCUUUCUCACAAAACGGAACCAUGGUUGCUAUUGGAGAGAUCUUACUCAACGCCUUCUUUCAGGUGUUGUUUGAUAGGUUGGCUUCUUGUAAUUUUCUCAGCUUUGUGCGUCAACUCCAAGGCGGGGUUGAUUUGGAACUCAAAAAGUGGGAGAAAAAGCUGAAGAUGAUUCAGGCUGUGCUCUACGAUGCAGAGGAGAAGCAACUGAUCGACGAGGCUGUGAAGACGUGGCUGGACGAACUCCAAGACUUGGCUUAUGACGCUGAGGACAUUCUUGAUGAGUUUGCUACUCAAGCUUUGGAAAGCGAGUUGAUGGAGCAAAAUCAGGAUAGCUCUGGCCAGCUUCUUAGUUUCAUCCCAGCUAGUUUGAGUCCGAAUGCUAUUAUGUUCAAUUAUAGCAUGGGGUCCAAGAUUAAAGAUAUUACUAGCCGGUUGGAGCACCUCGGCCAAGAAAGAAUUGAACUUGGUCUGCAACGGAUUACUGGAGGGGCAUCAUCAUCUACUGCUGCCGCACACCAGAGGCCACCCAGUUCGAGUGUCCCAACAGAACGUGAAGUAUUUGGAAGAGAAGAAGAUAAGGCCAAAAUUCUUGAUAUGGUUUUGGCCGAUACCCCAAGUGAUCAUGCCAAAUUUGUUGUAAUACCCAUUGUUGGCAUGGGCGGAAUAGGAAAAACAACUCUUGCUCGGGAGGUCUACAAUGACAAGGCGUUGAAGAUUCCAAGUUUGAUGUAAAAGCAUGGGUUUGUGUCUCUGAUGUCUUUGAUGUUUUGGUCAUCUCAAAGGCACUUCUGGAGUCAAUCACCCGCAGGCCUUGUGUUCUAAGCAAUUUAAAUGAAGUGCAGGUUGAGCUGAAAAUAGUUGUGGAUAAAAAAAGAUUUCUACUGGUCUUAGAUGAUGUUUGGAACGAGGACUACAGCUUGUGGGUAGACUUAAAAGCUCCUUUCAUGGCUGCUGCACCAAACGGUAAAAUGAUCAUCACCACACGCAAUUCAAAUGUUGCAUCAAUAAUGGGACCAAUUGAACAUUACAAUCUCAAGAGUCUGUUAGAUGAUGAUUGCUGGUCCAUUUUCAUACAACAUGCACUUGAAUCUAGAGAUCUUAACGCAAAUCAAAUUUCAGAAUCAUUCCGCAAGAAAGUUGUUGGCAAGUGUGGGGGCUUGCCCCUGGCAGCAAAAACACUAGGGGGCCUUCUGCGUACUACGAGGCAUGAUGCAUGGGACGAUAUAUUAGAUAGCAAAAUAUGGGAUUUACCUCAACAAAGUGGCGUUCUCCCUGUGUUAAGAUUGAGUUACCACCAUCUUCCGUCUCAUUUGAAAAGAUGUUUCGCUUAUUGUGCAAUCUUUCCAAAAGAUUAUGAAUUCAAUGAGAAGGAGCUGACUUUCUUAUGGAUGGCUGGAGGAAUUAUUCGACAGUCAAGAAAGAAUGAGCAGCUGGAAGAUUUGGGCGGCAAGUGCUUUCAUGAUCUAGUGUCAAGGUCAAUUUUUCCACAAACCAGCUCGGGUAGUUCUAAAUUUGUAAUGCAUGACCUUAUCCAUGAUCUUGCUGAACUGGUUUCUAGAGAAACCAUUUUCAGAUUAGAGGAGGCCAACUUGUCAUCAAGAAGAUUUGAAAGGAUCCGCCAUGCUUCCUAUACCCGUGGUUGGUAUGAUGGUAAAAAUAAGUUCAAGGUUUUCAAUGAAAUUGAACAUCUACGAACAUUCCUACCAUUACACGAAAGACGAGGAUAUUACAUACCUCGAACGGUUCUAUCUGAUUUGCUGCCAAAGUUCAGAAGGUUGAGAACGCUAUCUUUACAAGGAUACUGUAUUGGUGAGUUACCAAUGUCAUUUGAAGAUCUGAGACUUUUAAGGCUCCUCAACCUUGCUGACACUGACAUAAGAAGUUUACCUGAGUCAACAUGCACAUUGUUGAACUUGGAAAUUUUGAUAUUAAGAAAUUGUUCCCGUUUGAUAAAGCUUCCGCCCAAAAUGAGGAAUUUGAUCAAUUUACGCCAUCUCGAUAUAAGAGGUGCGAAGUUGCUGAAGGAGAUGCCGUUCGGAAUGAAGGAGUUGAAGAAUCUUUUACAAGUUUGGAAGAUUUAAAAUGUUUAAACUUUCUUUGUGAUGAACUCUGCAUGAGUGGAUUAGAGAAUGUGAAUAAUCCACAGAAUGCAAGAGAAGCCACAGUAUGCGAGAAGCACAAUCUUGAAGCAUUGACUCUAGAUUGGGGGUCUCAAUUUGACAAUUCUCGAGAUGGAGUAGUAGAAGAGCAUGUACUGGAAAUUCUACAGCCCCAUAAAUGUAUAAAAAAGGUGGCAAUCAGGAACUAUGGUGGUGCAAGAUUUCCGCAUUGGAUCGGAGAUCCUUCGUUCUCCAAGAUGAAGGUCCUUAAAUUGGAGAACUGUCACAAUUGUGUAUCGUUGCCGUCGCUUGGCCUGUUGAGUUCACUUAAGCACCUUGCUGUUAAAGGGCUGAAGAAACUAAAAAGCAUAGAGUCUGAGGUUUAUGGGGAGGGUUUCUCAAUGCCUUUUCCAUCACUGGAGAUUCUAAGUUGCGAGAAUUUGCCAGAAUGGGAGCAUUGGGAUACCGAGAUCAAAGGAAAUGUGCCUGUUGAUAUAUUUCCUCGUCUCCAAGAACUUUCCAUUGCAGAAUGUCCCAAACUCUCUGGACAACUGCCUGAGCUCCUGCCUUCCUUGGAGACACUUGUUGUUAGUAAAUGUAAAAAGUUGGUAGUUCCAUUGUCUUGCUAUCCGAUGCUCUGCAGAUUAGAAGUUGAUGAGUGCAAAGAACUAGUCUGCCGGACUCCGAUUGAUGUUAAGUUGAUAAAGUCCAUGACUAUUUCAAAUAGUUCAUUAGACCUGAAUGGAUGUAAGGGGAUGCUAUACGAUGGUCCAGCUGGCUCUUCACUGCCAAAGCCCAUGACUACUACAAAUGUUUUGGAGUUUGGAAAAUUAUUGAAGCCUGGAUUUCAGAUAUUCGAAACUUUGGUAAUUGGCAAUUCUGAACAGCUCAAGUCAUGGAGGCAGCAUGGGGAUUUUCCUAAAAAAUACAUGGUCACUGACCAUAGGUUUAAGAAACCAGUACCAGGGCUGAAUAUGCUCGCUUCCCCUGAAGAGGUAAAAAUUGAAGAAAGCUGCGUAAGUCUUGUUUUGUUUCCAGAGAUCAAUUUUUUUCCCAGAAAUCUACGCUCUCUUCUAAUUAAAAACAGCACAACUUUAAAAUCCUUACCCGAGGAAAUGAUGGCAACAAUUCACAACUCGAAAGGUUGUAUAUCAGAGAUCGCGACUGUCUAACAUUCAUCGCAAGACGGAGGCUACCGGCAUCUCUUAAAAGGCUUGAGAUAGAAAAUUGUGAGAAAUUGCAACGUCUGUUCGAUGAUGAAGAGGAUGCUUCUUCUUCUUCUCCUGCAUCCUCGUCGUCCCCAGUGAUGCUGCAACACCUGAGUAUAGAGAACUGCCCAGAGCUCACCAGUUUAUCAUCGGGUGUCCAAUUCCUUGAGGCGCUUGAAUUCCUCGAGAUACGGGAUUGCCCAAAGCUGGAGUCAAUACCGGAUGGCCUGCCCAAUCUUAAAUGUUUACAGAGCAUUUAUAUAUGGAAAUGUCCAAGUCUUGUUCCUUCCCAGAAAGAGGGCUUCCCAACACGAUUUCAAGGGUUGGCAUUGGCGAAUGUGACAAGCUCGAAGCCUUGCCCAAUGAUUUGCACAAAAUCAACUCUCUUCGAUAUUUAAGCAUACAGCUGUGUCGAAAUCUUGUAUCGUUUCCAGAAGAAGGUUUUCCUACCAGUCUAACAUCACUUAGAAUUGGAGAUUUCAAAAUGUAUAAGACCCUCGUCCAGUGGGGGUUGCACAGGCUUACCUCUCUUAGACGCCUCUAUAUCGUUGAUUGUGAUGACGAAGCAGAGUGUUUUCCAGACGAGGAGAUAGGAAUGACGCUGCCCACCUCUCUCACUGAUCUGUACUUAUCGGGAUUCCAAAAAUUGAUAUCCCUGUCUUCGACGGGUUUUCAGAGCCUCAACUCUCUUCAAUAUUUGUUGAUCGCGGGUUGCCCAAAUCUCACAUCAUUUCCAGAGGUGGGCCUUCCAUCCUCACUUUUGGGAUUAUUCAUUUUCAAAUGUCCAAAGCUUAAAAGAGCGUGCAAAAGAGAUCAAGGAAAAGAGUGGCCCAAAAUUGCUCACAUCCCUUGCGUUGAGAUAGACGAAAAAUUCAUAUACGAUCCCGAAUCAGAGGAGUAGAUUUCUGUUAUCCAUUAAAAACGAUCUCCUAUUAGUUUUAUUUUUUAAAUAAUAAUUUUGCAGUUCUGUUUUCUGUAUAAUUAUAAAUCCUCUGCCGUUAAUUAUUGACAAUGUCACUCACGUGAUUCCGUCUUCACUAAUCAGACUGUAUGUUGAGGCUAUUUGCUUUUUAAUCAAAGAUUAAAUUAUAACAUUUAUCUUAAAAUUGAAUAUCAUAGACAGAUAGACGAUUUUUAAAUCCAAAGUUUUUUGAUCCACUUCAAUUAGCAUUUAUUUUUUCCCCCAAAACAGGCAAGCCGAGAGUUUCAAUCAAGAAUUGGAGGAUGUGAAUGGGAUUUUUGUGAAAACAUAAUGGAUGAACGAACAUUUCAUCUGUGAUCUCAAAGUCAACAGAAUUUUAUUUACUCAUUGACUUUUCAACUCCUGUGGUUAUUUAUGGGUGAAAGAUAAGGGCAAUUACAAGAAAUUUGCAAACUUUGUCAACUUCUUUUAAUUGUACCAAUUUGUCGUUUAUGUUUUAGUUUUAUUUUUUCAGUUUUGUUUAUUGCUUAGAUGGUAGAUAUAUCGACAUUUUAGAUUUCAGAUAUUUGUCACCAGUUUCAUUCCCUUUUUUUUCGUUUUUUUAAGCUAGUUUGACUAAUUUUAACCAGAAUUAGAGCAGAAUAUUUUGGAGCGAGCAUACUUGAAAUGAUGCUUUUUAAUUUUGAUCUAGUAAAAAUACAUAGCCCUCACCGGCAGAAUUCUAGUCCCUACCGGGAUUCAAGAAAUUGAAAUUUCUGUCUUCAACGGGUUUUCGAAGCCUGACCUCUCUUCGAUUUUUGUGGAUCGGGAAUUAUAAAUUUACAGUUGUCAGAAGCUUGAAAAAGUGCGCAAAAGAGAUCGAGGAAAAGAAUAUUUCUCUGUUUAGUGAAGGAUGAAUGCUUGGAGUGGAGUAUUUGGUAACAUUUCUGUUUAGUUAAGGAUUUUGAAAUUAAUGAUGGUAAGAUGUGUACUUAUUCUUUCUUCCAGACAACCUUGCCUUCUUUCUUCGGUAGCAUAUCUAAUGAAUAUUUCUCUGUUUAGUUAAGGAUGAAUGCUUGCAGUGGAGUAUUUGGUAACAUUUCUGCCGUAGAUGAAUCCUUGAAGAAAUGCCUGCACUUCCUGAGACCAAAUACAGGUCUGAUUCAAAACAACACCUGUCCCAGAAAAUAUGAUACAAGGCAAAGCCAUGUUCUGAUAAUGUUUCCUUAAGUACAAAGUUGCAAGGAAACUUGAUUCAUUAACUACAAAUUUUUAUUUUUAGGACCUUGCAUCUGAAAGGUUCAGUGUAAUUUUUUUUUUUCAAUUUAUUGCUCAGAUCUCAGACGAGUAUAUGGUUUAGAUUACAAAACACUUACGAUUAAUUUCAUUUUUUUUUAUUUCAGGGAGAAGAAGUGGUCAGUUUCAAUCCAGAAUUGGAAUAUGGCAAUUUGGUGCAAGCACAAAUACCUGGUCACUUCGUCAGUGAACCUGAACUUUACUGAACUUUACACAGUUUUUUCAACUCAGUGAUUUUUGGAACGCAUAUUGGUGUAAGGAAAUCAAACGAAAUUUAUGCAUAGUCAAAUUCUGAUAUUUGCUAUAUUUUAUACAUUCUAAAGUUUCUCCAGUUUGUUCUCAGAUUACCAUCACUUUUUGCCUUCACCAAAAAAAAAUAUAUAUAUAUUUGAGUGGCUUUCCGGUGGAUAUUUAAUCGGAGGCAUGACUGGAUUUUUUUUCACUUCUGUAGAUCUUGCAUUUUAAACUGGCAAAUUUAACUUUAAUUUCAAUACGACUUUGUUGGUGCCUUCUGUUCCAGGAGCUAGAAAGAUGUGUAGUUUUCAGAUAAAGGGGCUUGUGAAUUCUCUAGUAAGAAUCCAAUAAUUUGCUUUUGCACGUUCAUUUUAUUUGUAGAUCCUUGCAUCUGAAUUUGAUCAAUCCAAAAGGAACUGCUUUUAGAGGGAAGAAGAAUAGCAGUACCUAUUCGAUGACAUAGUGUAUGGACCCUCACAUGUUAACUUUCAUGAAAAACACAUUUAAGAAAUUUGCAACUUUUUGGUUAGUUAUGUAUCCAAUGUUGUUUUCUGUUUUAGCAUUUGUAGAAUCUACUGUAUUAUAUUUUGGCAGCUACAGUAUCUGAGGUAUCUUUUGCAUUUAACUUGCUUUAUAUGUUUUGUCUGUGACUUAAGAACACCAAUAUUUGCCAGAGAUUUAGAGAAGCAUAUCAAGAUGCUUGGCUAACUUGACAAACUUCAAGAUCCUUCAUUCUUCACAAUGCAAAACUUGUGAGUACACUUAUGCCCGCAAUUAUUGUGAAAUGCUUGCAAUUUUGAUGCAGCGAAAUGGUUUGUUGAUGCAAAGGUUUGAACUUUUAAGGUUUACCCUGCAGGGUAGUUGGAUGCUGUAUACUCGAAAAGCCACCAACAUCAAGAACUAUACCUCCAAGACUGGGUUUGCAUUAAUUCAAUCAGCUGAAAUAAUGAUGCAAAGGACACUAUCAGCUGGACUUAGAGACCAGUCAGAUCAAUUAUCCAUUUUAUCAACAGUUAAUGUCAUCAUGGUGGCUAUUAGAGGAAACAGAGGAUGUGUCGGAAUCAAUAUGAACAGUGAGAAGAAUGAGAGGAGCUUUGAUUAUAAAUUGGCUCAAUGAACUCAUGCUGGUAAGUGGUAAUUAAAGAAAUUUGUGCGCUUAGCAGAGUUUCAAUAUUUUCUGUUUGGGAUAUAGUUGAUAAGUUGAUACUCUGAUUAAUAAGCCUGAUUAUAGUAGCUGACUGUAUUAACCAGGUUCUUUUCUUUCUUUUUUUUUUGGUGGUUUGCUGUUGUUUUGAUUAUGCUGUAACUACAAGGAAGAGCCGGACUUGGAUGCAGGCGUUCAGCUUUUAAUGGUUAAGAACAAAUGUAUGCUUUAACCAUGUUUCUCACUUAUUACAAUGUACGCAUUGAAGGCAUCUGAGCUGAUCCUGAAAAUGUCAUGGAAAUACUUCUCUGUUUACAUAAAACAGGACAAAUAGAGAUCUCUGAUCAUGCCUGAGAAUUCGUUGCAUUGAAAUUUCUACCAUUGCCAAAAAUAGAAUAAACUAGGGAUACAUUAGCGUAAGACUCAAUUUUGAGAAGGAAGUUUGUACUUGCAGCCUAAAAAAUCAUGUCUUUGUUGUAUACUUGUAUGUUUCUUUGGGAAAUGAAAGAUUCUGUGUUCUUUUAUUUCAAGUUUGCUGAAAUCACAUUUGUUUUCUUAGAUGCUUUCCAGAAGGUAACAGCAUCAAUUUCAAAAAUGCUGGGGUAAUAUGCAUCACGCAGUGCUACUCAACAUGAGAAAUCCUGGCUGCAUUAACUGUAUGUUGAGUGAUCGCACAGUACAACCUUGAGAAGCUUGUAAGGAGUAGACAACUAGAUGCGAGUAGUUUCAAUAUGGAUUCGCAUCAAAUGAUUUCUUGCCACUGAUUACCAUAACUUCUAUCCCAAAAUUCUGGGAACUGGUCAUACCAGCUAUGAAGUAUUGUAUACGUUGAAGAGCUCAAGGCCUUGCAAAAGCUCCGUCAGCCUUUGUAUUGGCAAACAGAUGGUUGUAGUUGCUUCUGAAUGAUAUGAUUAAUAGAUUCUGUAAAAAUGAAUUGUGCUAUACGCUUUCAGAGUUCUGUUAAGAUGUCUUGGUAGUUUUUGAUGCUUGUUUGAUUUAUAUUGCAUUCAGCUAUAAAUCAAAGGUUCAGAACACGAGUAUGUUGCUGAUUUCCAAAUAGAAAAAUUGCCUUGUGAUGUUAGUGUCCAUUGUUUUCACAGGAGAUCAGGUUCCUUGUUAUUGAAUCAAGAAGGCAAACGCAUCCAUGUCUGAGUUCAAUUGUGUCCCUUCUAUUUUCUAUUACUGACUCAUUUAUUUUGAUUUCUUCAUUGUGAUUGAAUUGGUUUUUUAUUCCAAAUUAGUCAAAACCUCAUAGAGUUAUUAAGUUCCGUUAGCAUUCAGAACUACGUACCAAAUGAUUAACAGGAUUAAAUUACAAUAAAGAAUUAAGUUCUUUAUUGUAAUUGAAUUUGCUUUCUCAUGUUUAGAGAUAUUAUGUUCUGGUUAGGGGUGAUUUCUUGAAGAGUCAAUCCAUUUGUGUUUAUACAUUUUUCUAUUGCCUUGAUUUCUGUUUUCUGGGGAGUUUAUACAGAUUCUUAUUUUAUGCUUCACAUGCCACAUGAAAGAUCAAAGCCUUCUGUCUGAACAUAAUAUACGUAGAAAGUUAAAUUUAUUUAUUUAUAAGCAUGUCCCAGUGCCCAGUGGCAUCCUCUUAACUUGUGAUAGUCAAAUGUAUUAUACGAUACAAUAUCAGCUUGACUUUAGCAUAGAGGAGAAUAGGGUUGGUGUUGGACUGAAUUCUGAUCCUUGAAUAAAUAUAACAGCUGCCUGAACCAGCUUAUUUGACUCCACAACUUUAUACUUGUUUUAUAGUCUAUGCCUACCUCCAUCGUCGGCAGCUUACAGUCUCUUUUAGCAUUUUAAAAAGUUUCAUGAUAUUCCAUAGUUCGCAUGGACUGCUACAAUUUAGAGAAACAUAAUUACGGCAUAUUUAAUUACCACGCGAGGAGUCUUCUUUUUUGCGCACCAAUAAUUCUUUGUACUUAAUUAGAAGAUGAGAAAUCCUUUAGCCGAACCACGAACUCACCUAUUAGUGGGGUUUUUUCCGCUUGCAUUCAGUCGCUCAAGUGAAAAUUGCGUGCAAUUUUUUCCUCAACUAAAAUUGGAAUAGAUAUUUUGUUAUUGCUGGCACAAAUUUUCCUUUAAGUCAAAUUGGAAUAGAUGUUUGUGAGAUGCCUAGACCUGAGAUUUUGUUAUGAUUAUAUGCAUUAAAGCUUUCGGUAGACCCUUGAAAUCUUAUGAUCAAUGUAUUAGAAAUUUAGAAUUGGGGUUUAUAAGAGCUAGUUUGACCAUGUUAUAACUUUUAAAAUUAUUGUUGCUAAUUGUGUUAUAGAAAUAAUUAAUCAGUUGUAAAAAUAAUUAGUUAAACAUUUGGUAAAUUUUAUUUUUAAAAGUGUUAGGAGUUUUAAAAGCAGACGUACGUACUUAGUAAAUCUCACUUUUAAAAUAUUAUAAGAAUGCAAAAGGUUUAAAUAUAUAUAAAUCUAUACAAUUUAUUUACACAUGCAUUUAUAGAUACAUGUAUAUAUAAUAAUUGAUAACUAAAAUAAAGAUUUUUAUUUUAUUAAUUUUUUUUGUUAUCUAAAAAAAGGUAAUAAUAAUAUCUUUAAUGACGUAUUUAUUAAUCAGUAAUCGGAAUGGACUGGAAUCAAAAUGGAGGAAUGGAAAUCGGAAUAAAUUGUUUACUUUAACUAUCAAUAUUGGAAUCGCAAUGAACUGUAUUAUCACUUAUAUAUUUAUUUUAUCUGAGAAUCAGAAUGGAUUGAUUUAAAUUACUAGACAGACCUUAUUAUUAUUAUUAUUAUUAUUAUUAUUAUUAUCAUCAUUAUUAAAUAAGGUAAAAAGGAAUUUUCAAUUUUUACUGAAGUAAAAAUAUCAAUUCACUUCUCAUUUUCAGCCCUAGGGAAUGAGACUCCCAUUCCACAUUCUAGAAUUUAUAGAGUCCACUCAAAUUUUCAUUCCCAUUCCCCCUCCUUGUUUUGCAAGUAAACAAGUUAAUAAUCCUAUUCUCUCAUUUCUACUCCCAUUCUCAUUCUCAAGUACUAACACAUCAAGGUAUUCGGUUCGGUUUUUGCCCAAUAGAACUGAAAUUAUUCGGUUUGGUUUGAUUUGGUUUAAUAUAAAAAGCCAAAGGGUUUAUAUUUUUAUGAACCAAAUGGUUUGUAUUUGAUUCAAUUCUAAAACUGAACCGAAAGCACAAACCAAUCGGUUCACGUAAUUUUAAUUAUUUUUAGAAAAAGAAAAACCAAAACUAAAUCGUAGAAUGUGAAUCCCUAAAAUCUAAAUCCCUAAUUCUCCUAACUAACUAAAACUAAUCACAGAACAACACAACCACAACAACCUAGCAAGCGCAGCGGUAGCCCCUCGAACCACGCUCACUCUCAAGUAUAGCAUGACAAUAGGGCUCUCUCAUGCAAUGAUAGGUAAUUUCUUAGUUUAGAAGGGAAAGUAAGAGAAACAGAGGAAGAAUAUAAGUUGAUUAAAAGGGAAAAGUCAAUUCUUAUUCCAAAAACUUGCUUAGUGCAAGUUCAAUAGGGUCUCUUAAAUAGACCUAUACAUAUAAUAAAAACUAGAAAAGACGAAAAUCACUUGAAAAUAAAAAGCAUGAUCACUUAAAUGGUAAACAUACAUAACCGCCAUGAGCUACAUGCAACCUAAGUCAAAUAAUCAACUGAAGAAACUUGAUCCCCAUGCAUAUUGAGCACAUACCAUUCCCCACCCUUUAGAAACACCUUGUUGGUGCGGUUAAAGUGAGGGUGAGCCUUUGAGAAUCACCAACAGUUCCAACGAGUGUCCUCAAUUGCUGCUCCUAUCCCUAUAACCAGUAUUGAGUUGUACGAAUGGCACAUGAUCUUCAAUCAUGAAUAGUUGCAGCUUUUAACAACAGUGUGAUACAAACUAAUAAAAAUAAUAAAAAUUAUUUAUUUUAUUUUAUUGUAUUAGUUAAUUUUGAACUAGUCAAAACUAGUUGCCCUUAUUUUGUGGAACUACAUGUAAUUAGUGGAGCAUUAUGUGAGAACAUGCUUAGUGUUACUAAUUUUUAGGUUGUAAUCCUAAAUAAACUUUUAUUAUAUAAAGCUUAAUGUUACUCAAUAAAAAGGAUCAUGAGUUUAUUAUUUUGGCAACAUAAAAGUUGUAAUUGGGAGUUUAUUGGUUUCUCGAAUAACCAAUACUUAUUUGGAGGUUUGGAUUUCCUUGAAUUAACUCCAUUUGUCAUCUAAUUUUUCUAUUUCAUUUGAUUUCUCCUUAUAAACUUUAGUGUUCGUAUCACAGUGGCCAAGAAUAAGUUUCUCGUCACAAUAAUAACACAACCCUUUUCCACGAUGAGCAUGUGCUUCUUAGUUAGAUAGUUGCUGGAUAUGAGGGGAAGCGAUGUCAUCGGCUAUUUAAUCAACCUUAGGAGGUGGACCUAAGACUCUAACAAAGCUAUUUGGGGUUGGUUGCUAUAUCACCAAAAUAGAGGGUGGUAGAGAAAAGUGACUAGUGCAUUGAGAAAGUGAAUUUCGCUCCUCAAUCAGUCUUGUCACACCAAUGGUGUUAGCCAAGGUAAAGGGCUAUUUAAUCUUGACAUCUAGUUGUAUCUCAUCCUGAAGACCUACAAUAAAACAACCAAUUAAAAAACAUUCGAGUAAGCCAUCAACCUAAUAUAAAAGCUUUUCAAAAGUUUAUUGAUAUUAAGCUAAUAAUGGAAGUCUAUUUCAGGUGCAUCAAAGCCUUAGAUGGGUCCUCAUAAUCCAUUAGUUCGAAUCGUAGAAGGACUGUUGUUGAUGCUGAAAUCUGCUCGCCCUCUACCCAACCAAAUCAUUCCACCAACAUUUGUGUAUGCAAUGGAGAGAAUACUGCCCUUUUGCCUCCUUCAGCAACUGCGGAUGCUCCAGGGGUUGGAAUCACCUUUUUCCCUUCUUUCUAAUCCUGCACUCACAGAGAUAGAUCAGAGACGCCGGUGGUUUUACCAGCAUAAACCCUCCAAUACUUAAGUUAGCACAAGGUGUUUUACGGGAAAACUAUGUAACUUGGAUUGUUUGGUUUCUCGUAAUGCUUUCUAAAACUUGUAAAGAAUAUAAUCUGGUUUCAAUUUGGCAGAGUUUUCCUUUUUCUCUCAAUUUUUCCAUCCCUUUUUUCAUUGGUUUCCCGGCUUCUUGUAACCGUUGUCCCACGUUCCUAUCUACUCCUCAUGCCCCCCCUUUUAUCGGGUGAUGGCAGGCCUUCAUGGCCUCCAACCACUGGAUUGUGGGUAAACAUGGGAUGACAUGUCCCUCUUGACGGUUUGGGGCAUAGCGAAACUACCGCAUUUUCGUGAGAUCGUGUGCCCCUUGUUUGGGUGAUGGGUAUCUGGUUGGUAUAUGUCUCUAGUCGGUACAUUCCUCUGGUCGGUGCUCGUCUCUAGUAGGCCCACUUUUGUAUGAGGCGUUUUACCAGGGCUCUUUUUGUGCCGCUCAGUUGAGGUGAUUCACCUCGGGGUGGGAAAUGAGGGCAUGGCUGAGCUGGUGCUCUUUAUUACUUAAUACCAGUCCCCUAGUUUCUGGUCUUGCGAGUGAAAUGAGUUGAGAUUAGAAACUAAGAAUCGGAUUUUAUCGACCCCGGGAAAUUCCUAUCUGGUCUUCGUGUUAUUGUGAUGGACCUGAGGUUCUGCCUUUUGUUUAGGGAGAUUUUUUAUCUAAGUAUGGGCCUUUGUGAGCAUGUCCAAUAUAUAGCUGGGCUAACAUCUCGUCAGGCCUUUUAUAACGGUCAGUGACGUGUCGUUUCUCGUCCUUUCAUAUUUGAAAUUUGAAACGACGGCUUAUCUGCCCUCGAUAUACGGCGAGUGAGCUAGCACCCGUAUAACUUAAACGCUUCCAUUUCCCUAUUUCAUUUCAAAUCCCUAAAUUGAAGCUGUCAUUGCGUUUCACUAUCCGCCAUUUCACUGUAAACUAAGUCCCUCUUUGGACUUCAAUCACACUUUUUGCGUCCGAAACCUCUAUUUGCUGGGUCCUCUCUCCGUCACAGCAGCACUACCAGUGCCAGUUUAUUCUAGGUAUCACUUUUAACUUCUUCGCUGGUUGUUGUUGAUUGGGUUCUGUGUUGCCCCUUUUUGUACCCAUACACUCGGAUUUACUGUGUUUUCCUUUUUGAGUUUUUGAUAUGUCAAACCGAAAGGGGAAACUAAUUGUAGAUGAGAGUGAUGAAGAGGUGGGGGACUCAUACCCCAACCUGUUUGGGCCUAAUGACCCCUUAUCAUCUUCUCGUAGUAUAAGUCUUUCCCAUCAUAGGGAUACCCUAGAGUAUCCUCAUCGCGUGACCACUUUGCCUUCCCCUGAAUUAGAACCCGUGGGAAACCGUGGUGGUUCAGCUUCUUGCUCUGGUGAAAAUCACAGUUCUGAGGGCUGGGGGGGUCCCUGGAAAGUGGGUGAAGGUAAGGAGAGUAGCUCCGAGCCGAGCAGACCCUCUAAGAAGAGAAACUUUGGUCAUAUGAUGGCGGGAGAUGCUUAUCCCAUUGACUAUAUCACCUGUGUUACCACCCACACUGACCUACUCAAGUUUAGAAACCUCUACCAUAUCCCUGAGGUGGUUCUUCUUUUAAUCCCUGGGAAAGGUGACUUCCCCAGUCGGCCUCCAAGGGGAUAUGUCACGAUGGGCACGAUUACCCCUUCAACCUUACUUUGCUUGGAUACUGGGUGGUAUGCAUCUGGCUCCAGGUCAGCUUCACCCGAAUGGGUGGAGGGUUCUCUCAGCCAUGUAUGUGCUAUGGAAAAAGUGUGGACUUGAGGAGCCUUCUCUUGAGGAAGUGAAGCAUUUAUACCAGCUGAUGAGCUUUCCAAGGGAAGCAGGUUGGUACUACUUCAUGUCAAGCUCUGCAAAGAGGAAGCCUGUCACCGACUUUCCUUCUUCCUGUAAAAAUUAGAAGAACAAAUUCUUCUUUGCUGGAGGAAAUUGGUGUCCAACAAUUCAUUCGCUUAGUGGUGAUAUUCACCUCCCAACACAUUUUGUCACCCCAGGUCGUUAAUUUUUCUGCAUACUUCACUUCUCUAAUCGUUACUUAUCGAGUUCCUUAACCUUGUUUGUUCUUUCAGAAUUGUGGGGUUUGAUCAAGAAACUUGACGAUAGACCACUGCUCCAGGUGGAAAUGGCUCUGGUGAACGCGUCUACCUGUCACGAUCUCAUAUCGUUAAUAAAUCUUGUCGGGUUGCACUUAGUGGACGUAGCUAUUGGGAUGGACAACAAGAUCCUCAGCGCUAUGUCUAAGAAACACACUUUGGGUUCAGGUAGCUCCAGCAACCUCCCUCCUCCUUUGAAGAAAGUCAAUGUUGGUUCCUCCAAGGCUUCUGCUCCUGCUCUGCCCCCUCCUUCACCUCGGAAGAAUGGUAGGGAGAAAGUUAGUGACAAGAGCCCCGAGGUCAGCAUUCAAUUUGGAGACCGAUCCUCUCCUCUACCGCCUCGGGACCAGGGUGACUAUCUGACCCUGUACCAGAGAGAUUACAACAAGUCGAUGGGACCAAAAAUGGUCAAGGACAUUGAAAGCAUGAACCUCAGCGAGCUAGGUGGUUCAGUUCAAAUGGUCUCCUUUAAGCUGGCUACUCUGGUUUCUUGCUACAAGAAUAGGUCUACGCGCCAAGAGAGGAGGCUUCAAGCUGAUAACGAGGACUUGAAGAAAAAGGCUAAUUCUGUUGAUCGCUCGAAGGAGAAGCAGAUUGAGCUACACAAGCAGAUCAUGGACCUGGAGGAGAAAGUGGCUAUUGCUGAGUCUAACUCCUCCAAGCUUGAGGGUGAGUUGGGUGAUCUAAAGUCCGAUCUCCAGGUUGCUCACAGUGAACGAGAUACUUUGAGGACGACCCUUGAGGAACAUAUUAGGUCCUUAGAUGAGCAGGUAGCCGAGCUGAAAGGCAAAUCUGUUGAGGUGGACAAUUGACUGGAUGCAGAAUAUAACUCUGGGCUCGCCUUUUGCUACAAGUGCAUCAUGUUUGUGCUUAAGGGAGAAUAUCCUGAGCUUGACAUGAGCAAGCUGGAGGCUGGAGUGCAGAAAUACAUGGCCGAGCCCGAUCAAGGGGAUAAGGAGCAGGGAGAGCAGGAUCAGGUGGAGGCUCCUUCAGAUGGGGUGCAGGAGAGGGAAACAGAGGAUUAUGCUCUUGAAACAGGUCAGGGGUCACUGCCUGCUCCCCCAGAAGUUGCUGGUCCACCUUUUAUCGAGGCUGCUGAACCUCAUAAUCCUUAGGCUUAUAUAUAUAUAUAUAUAUAUAAAUAUUAUUUUGUAUAAAUUCUAAACUCCCAUCUGUCUACAAAUGUUUGGAUGUUUAUAAACUUUGGAUGCUUUUUGUUUGCUUUCUUGCCAUGGUUUUGGUUGUGAAUCGUUUCUACAAGUUACCUUAACAAUUUUGAGUGACUUUGGCUGCUGGUCCUUUUGUCGUCCGAGCAGGAACUGACACUUGUUUGCCUUAGCGAAAUUUGUAAAACUUACAUUUCAGUUUUUCAAACGACUGAGCAGGAACUGGCGUUGGUUUGCCUUAACGAAAUUUUGUAAAAUUGCCUGCUGGUGCUUUAGGCGACCAAGCAGGAAUAGGCACUUGCUUGCCUUCAUAAAAUUUAUAGAUUUGCCUGCUGGUCCUUUAGGCGAUCGAGCAGGAAUAGACACUUGCUUGCCUUAAUAAAAUUUGUAGAUUUGCCUGCUGGUCCUUUAGGCGUCCGAGUAGGAAUAAACACUCGCUUGCCUUAAUAAAAUUUGUAGAUUUGCCUGCUGGUCCUUUAGGCAACCGAGCAGGAAUAUGCACUUGCUUGCCUAAAUAAAAUUUGUAGAUUUGCCUGCUGGUCCUUUAGGCGAUCGAGCAGGAAUAGGCACUUGCUUGCCUUACUAAAAUUUUUAGAACGAGGGAAUUUAUGCUGAAUUCAUCUUUAUUGAACUUUGCAUGGAUUACAAGAGGCGAGAUAUAGUCACGUGUAACAAUUCAUCAUGCUUUUAACAUAAAUAACUUAUUGAAAUAAAACUUGGUAAGGCAGUUUGCUUACUGGAAGUAUUUCUUCAAGUGCUUAGCGUUCCAUGAUCUUUUCACGUCUCGUCUAUCUGGGUAAAUCAGCUUGUACGCUCUUGGGCCAGUUAUUCAUACCACUCUGUAUGGGCCCUCCCAUUUCGGGCUAAGAACACCAUGAAUAGGAUCUCUUGUGCAUUGGUUCACUUUUCUAAAUACCCAAUCUCCUGCUCGGAACUGUCUCAUGCGAACAUUUUUGUUGUAGUAACGCAUGAUCCUUUGCUGGCAUUUGGCUGUUCUCUGCGAUGCCCCUUCUCUUUUUUCCUCCAGCAGGUUCAGGCUCAAGCAGAUCUGCUCGUCAUUUUGUUCUUUGUUGAAAUACUCUGUCCGAUAUGCCCCCACCCCAAUUUUUGCUGGGAUUACUGCCUCAUGACCGAAAGCUAAAGCAAACGGGGUUUCUCCCGUGGCCAUUUUGUGGGUUAUCCGGUAGGCCCAUAACACUCCUAGUAACUCGUCGACCUAAGCUCCUUUUUUUUCUCAUAGCCUGGUUUUCAAGAGUUUCUUUAUUACUUUGUUGGCUGCUUCCACCUGCCCAUUUGCCUUGGGGUGUGCUAGGGUACAAAACUUCAGGUCCACCCCUAAAUUUUGGCUAAAUUCUCUGAAGUUGUGAUUGUCAAACUGUCUCCUAUUGUCUGUAAUGACAGCAAUGAGGAUCUCCUAUCUGCAGAUGAUAUUCUUCCAAACAAAAUCCGUUAUCUUUCUCUCUGUGAUUUGACUGAGGACCCUUACUUCUACUCAUUUGGUGAAGUAGUCUAUAGCCACAAUUGCAUGUAUUACUUCUCCUCGGCCCUUGGGUAAUGGGCCAAUCAGGUCAAUUCCCCACUGAGCAAAAGGCCAUGGGGAUGACAUAGUGGUUAACCUUUCUGGGGGCUGAGCAGGGACUUCCGAGAAGCUCUGGCUGACUUUAUAGUUUUUUGCCAUCCCCGUCGCAUCCUGAUGCAUGGUCGGCCAGAAGUACCCUUGCCGAAGCACCUUGAAAGUCAAAGUUCUCGCCCCCGAGUGGUUGCUGCAUAUUCCUUCAUGAAUUUCCCUCAACACAUAAUUUGCUUCCUCGUCAUCCAAGCAUCUCAAAAGGGGCAAGGUGAAUCAUCGGCGGUAGAGUACCCCAUCGAGUAGCGUAUACCUUGCUGCCUGACAUUUCAACUUUCUUGCUUGCUUCCUGUCCUCUGGUAAGAUGCCCUCACGAAUGUAUAAUAGAAUGGGGUCCAUCCAGGAUUUUUCGAUGCUCACCUGCAUUACUUCUGCUUCCUCCCCUAUGCUUGACGAGGUUCUCACUUUUAGUGGAAUUGACUUGGGUAAUUUUGGAUCUGCAAUUGCGGCCAUUCUGACCAAUAUAUCUGCUCGGUAAUUCUCAUUCAGAUAUAUCUGCUUUAUUUCUAUCUCUUGGAAGAGCUCAACCAUCUGUUUUGCCUUCUUCAAAUAAAGCCCCAUCUUCUCUUCCCUCGCUUGGAAUUGAUCACUGAGCUGAUUACAGACUAAUUGGGAAUUUGCUCAGAUUUCUAUCCUUUUUGUUCGUAGUGCGUGUGCAAACCCCAGCCCAGUGAUGAAAGCUUCAUAUUCAGCUCGGUUAUUCGUAAGCUGAAAUUUAAAUUUCACUGCAUAAGAUACAUCGGCCCCUUCUAGGCUUCGUAUUACAAUUCCUGCUCCAGAUCCCUGUUUACUACGUGACCCAUCAAUUAUUACUAGCCACACCCCCUUUGAUUUCUCCUGCUUCACUGGUUGCUCCUCCCAAAUUUCCUCCCCUAAUUUAACACGGUCAACCAUAAAAUCGGUCAAGGCUUGGGCUUUGAUUGCUUCUCGGGGUUUGUAGGAUAGGUCGAAUUCGCUCAACUCCACGGACCAUUUACUAACCGACCAGAUGCAUCUAGUUUUAGAGCAUUUACCGAAGAGGCUGGUCAGUCAUCACAACUAUCGGGUGGGCCUGAAAGUAAGGUCUGAACUUGCGUGCUACUGUUAUUAAAGCUAGUGCCCAUUUCUCCAUUAGUGGAUAUCUGGUUUCUGCAUCUACCAGGGCCUUGCUAGUGUAGUACACAGGGUGCUGCUUUCCUUCCUCUUCUCUGACUAAUACCGAGCUGGUAGCCCAUUUAAAGACUGCCAAGUACAAAUACAGCUGGUCACCUUCUCCAGGAGUUGAUAGUACAAGGCGCGGGCUAAAUAUUCCUUCAGCUGCCCGAAUGCCUCCUCACAUUCUAACGUCCACUCCAUUUUCCUUCAAUUCUUUAUGAUUUGGAAGAAAUGGUGACAUUUAUCUGUGGCUCGCGAGAUGAAACGGUUCAAUGCUGCUAACUUCCCUGUAAGACUCCGUACCUCUUUAACUGUCCGGGGGGACUUCAUUUUUGUUACUGCCCGUACUUUUUCCGGGUUGGCCUCAAUCCCUCGAUGGCUCACCAUGAACCCCAAAAAUUUACCCGCGCUAACUCCAAAUGCACACUUUUCCGGAUUCAGCUUCAUCUGAUACUUCCUUAGCAGUUCAAAAGUCUCUUCCAAAUGCUUCACAUGAUCCUUCGGUUCCUUGGACUUUGUGAUCAUAUCAUCCACGUAUACCUCCAUAGUGUGACCGAUCAGUGGCUUGAAAAUCUUAUUCACCAACCUUUGAUACGUAGCCCCUGUGUUUUUCAGGCCAAAAGGCAUCACCUUGUAGCAAAAUAAACCCAUGUUAGUUAUAAAGGUGGUACUCUCCUCAUCUUGCUUGUUCAUGGGUAUCUGGUUGUAUCCCGAAAAGGCAUCCAUGAAGCUAAGCAGACUAUGACCUGCCGUUGAGUCCACCAACUGAUCUAUUUUAGGUACGGGAAAGCUGUCAUUUGGGCAUGCCAUAUUAAGGUCUGUGAAAUCCACAUACAUUAUCUAUUUCCCAUUGGCCUUCUUUACCAGCACUACAUUAGAAAUCCACUCCGCAUAUUUAGCCUCCCUUAUAAAUCCUGCUUUCAACAGCUUCUCCACCUCGGCAUUUAUGGCCUCGUACCUUUCCUAGUUAAAGCACCUCCUUUUCUGCAUCACCGGCCUUGCCCCUUUCUUGAUUGCCAACUUGUGGCAAGCUACCCCGCGAUCAAUUCCUGGCAUGUCCUCAUGAGACCAGGCAAAUAUAUCUGCGUGGGACUAUAGGCACUUCACCAGCUCAUCUUUUAUUGCUUCACCUAAUCCUGACCCGAUCUUAAUCACUCUGCUCGGGUUAUUCUUGCUCACAAAAAUCUCCUCCAGUUUCUCGACAGGCUCUUGACGACCCUUCUUAGAAUCUCUUCGGUUAUCCAGAGAGGUAACAUGUAGCGUCUCCUUGGCCGCUGUUGCGUAACAGCUCCUUGCUAUUCUCUGGUCACCUUUUACUACGCCCACAACUCCGUUUACUCUGUAUUUCAAUGCUAGAUAAUGCAUGGAUAUAAUGUAUUAGCUUGCUCUCAUAAAAGGUCGCCCUAGUAUCAUCUGGUAGGGGUUUUUCUCUUCCACCACUACGAAGUCCAGCAUAAUUUUCUUUUUAGAUGACUUCGCUCCUACGGUAAUCGGCAGCUCUAUGAUCCCCAUAGAGGUCAACUGUCUUCCUCCAAAUCCCUUUAAGGAUGUGUUCGUUCGCUCCAAUUUCAAAUCUGCAAUCCCCAUAUCAUCUAGGGCCGACUUAAAUAAUAUGUCGACCGAGCUGCCUAUAUCCACCAAUAUUUGUCGGAAUUCCUUACCCGCCACUAUUACUUUAACUACCAGUGCAUCCUCAUGAGGGUAUAAAAUGCCCUCUUCAUUAUCAUCUGUCCACAUAAUGGGAACUUGUCUUACUUUCACCCUCUUGGUCGUUGGUAAGUUGAAAAGUACCUCUUUGCUGGUCAAAGCGUAUCUCUCAUAAUUCUUUCGUGCUCUGUUUGAGUCUCCAGCCAAUGUUGGCCCUCCUGUUAUCACCUGAAUAUUUAGCUGUUCCCGCUCUAGGCUCCUUUCAACUCCAUCACCCAGCGUAUAUUGUGAUUCAAUGACGGGGGAUACUCCAUCUACAUACUCAUCCAAAUACUGGUUCCUCACCAAAUCUUCCACUUGAGUCUUCAAGUCAUGAUAUUGGCUGAUAGUGUGACUAUGAGUGUCGUGAAAUUUGCAGAAUCUGUUCUUAUCAUGUCUAUGAGCGGGUUUUGUUAUAGGGGCAGGAGGGUACAGCAGGCAUCGUCCCUCGAUUCUCUCAUACAACUCCUCCAUAGAGACUUUCAGUGGGGGUGUACUGUUUGUACGCCAAGCUUUGGUCAAUCAGUUGGACCGUUCAGCUAUCGUGGGUAUCGUUCCGAGCUGGUAUUGUAGGUAGCUGGUUUGGUUGACCAGCCCUGGAGUUAACUAUAUGCAGUACCCUGGGAGCGCUGUGAUAAGGGUGGGCGACUAACUGCCUGAAUUCUCGUUGCCACUCGGGGAAUGAGGGGCGCGGAGGCUGAGCUCAGUUGUGUUGGAGCUGUUGCGGUCUCUGAGCCAUGGGAUAAGGGCGAGACCAAGCUGAUAUUCCACACAUCACUAGCGAUUCUCCAGCUCGCCUUCCUGAUCCGCUCCCGCUCAGGGUUCUUCAAUCUCCAUGUCUCUCUUUGCCUGCUCAUACCCCGUUGAAUAAUUCUGAACGAUGGGACUUCACAAGUUGUACCAUAAUCGGCCUAUUCUUACACCCUCUUUUAAUCCCCUUAACGCCUGCAGGUGAUUGAAAGCUCCCAGAUCAAGCACGGCCCAAUGGUAUCUUUUCACAAAAUCCUGAAGGGAUUCGUGUUCCUCCUGCUUCAUCCCCAUCAAAUCCAUCAUAUCGUCAUCUGGGCCUACUGAUUAUCGGAACAGUGUUGUGCAAAUUUUAAUGAACUCGCAAGCACACGAAUCUAUUGUAGUAUAGAUCAUUGGUAACGAGUGUCGAUCUCAUGAGGAGGUGGAUUUUAAUUGUGUAUAGAAUUGAUUUUGUAAAUGGGUGGUUGGAUUUGUGGUGGAAGUGAUUCAGAUUAUCCUAAAAUUGGAAUUAAAAUGGUGAAAAUAAUUUGAAGAGAAUUCUAUUGAAAUGACGUACUUGGGUAUCUGGAUCCGUAUCAACAUGCAUCAUGGGCUAAAUAUUCCUUAUUAAUACCAAUUAAAUCAUGAGGGGGGAAUCCACACCUCAUGAACCACGCUCUAAUCAAUAUGGUGUUAAGGGCUUAUCGUGCCAAAUAAUAAUAACCUGUACUAGAGAGCCGGUGUAACCAAGGCGGUAUCUAGACAAUACUAGUAUUAUUUGUCAACGAGAAGUCAAAACAUCCAAAAAAACUAGAGGGGAAGAGAAAAUAAAUUUACCAAAUAAAGCCCAUGACACAUGUUGAGACUUCACCUUCAACCCAAGCUUGAAAGAAAAUUAGCUACUCAUAAUUGAACUAGGGGCAAAAUGGGAAUUUAUUAAAAUACGUAGAAAAUACAAGAUGGAGAGAGAAUUACAGAAAAUGGAGUCCAAAAAUGGAUUUAGGGAUAUCAAAUUAGGGGGAGAGGCCCCCUUUUUAUAGAUACAUUGAGUAAAUCGUGGUCAUCGGAUAAAAAAUAGUUUGGACGCUCAGGAUUGCGCCACGUCAUCAGUCAACAGUCCGCGUGAACAGUACACGAUUUGACCACGCGGAUGAACAGUAACACAGUUUGACCCGGGUGAACAGUGACGCAGUUUGGUUGAAAAUGAUCCUGUGUGUUGCAUGUACCGUACAUGAGAUUUUUGAUCCACUGAUAUGCUGCCACGUCAUCGAUCAACAGUGCAUAAGAAUUUUAGUCCAACAGGAUCGUGACACCUCAUCAGUCAAUGCCACAUCAUCGGUCAAUGCCACGUCAUCGAUCCGUCUAUGUGAACAGUGCCGUGAACAGUAACGUAGACAGUACCCGUACAUGUGAAUAGUACCGUAUAUGUGAAUAGUAUUAUUUUUCUUUUUAUGCUCCUCCUAAGAUUUUUGACCGUCCUAAGUUCAAAAAUGAUGUCCGUUUUGCCAUCUGAUCUCUCGUUUAUUGUGAAAUGACUGUGAUACCCCUAAAAUACAUAAAAUACUUGAUUAAAAUAAAACACACGUAAUUAAAUUACAAGUAAGGGUUGUUAGUAAGACAUUUUCUAACACUCAACAAACAGCUCGGCCAACUCUUGGUAUAUCUGCUCGUAUCCCCUUAUACUUCCUCGUGGUAGCUUACGAUACCAUUCUCUGGCUCGUCCUUCUAGUGUCAAUGGGAACACCCUGCACCUCUGAGCUGCUGUUAGCCCCUGUAUGCCCGUCAUGUCAUUGAAGCACUCAAUGUGCACUAGCGGGUCGCUUCUCCCGGAGUACUUGAGGUUGGGAAAGCAGAAAUCUCUUGGGAUAAUAGUGCUUAUGAUCUCGGCUGAUAGCGGAGAUUCUUCAUCCAGCAUUAUCCUCCAGCUUGGAGGCUUUCUCUUGCCCUAUAUCUCAUCCAUCACCUGCGCUAGCCUGCGCACCUCACCUUCCAAUUCCAAAGCACGGUCAAGGUCGCGCGCAGCUACUUGAUCUCGCUCCUGCUCGGCAUUAUGCAGUCGCUGUCUGAGCUCGCCUUCGUCAACAUUUACUCCUCGGUCAUUGAUUUCUAGAACUCGCCCAAGGCGAGAUUGAUCUCUCCUUUCAUCCACACGCUCCCCGGGGAUCCGACCAGCACUUCUAUGGGGAUGUAUCCCAUAGGGUUGUUCUACUAGCGGAGGGAUCUCCUCGAUUCUACGCCUUCGUAGGUUGGGUUCCGCCAUAGUUUCAUCCCUUACCACAGUGGUCUCGCCUUCCCUUCUCCGCUCAUCCCUAAAGUCAUAUAAUAUAGCUGUGAGCGUCUCCAUUUGGUUUGCCAUCUGUUCCAUUCGGUCUUGCAUCAUCCUCUCUCUAGCUUCAUUCGCGAUCUCUCGGAGAGUGAUCGAUUCACCAGUUUCAUUGUCGCCCCCUAAGGCGUCCUUCCUUGUCAUAUCCAUAACUAAUCGUUCACUGCGUCUCUGGUGAUUACUAACUUGAUGGUAGCUUUUUAUCCAGCUCCCUACAGACGGCACCAAAAUGUUGAUGCUGAAACAUGCUUGCCCUCUGCCCGGCCAGAUCGUUCCACUAACGUUUGUGUAUUCAAUGGAGAGGAUACUGCCCUUUUGCCUCCUUCAGCAACUACGGAUGCUCCAGGGGUUGGAAUUACCUUUUUCCCUUCUUUCUAAUCCUGCACUCACAGAGAUAGAUAAGAGACGCCGGUGGUUUUAUCGGCGUAAACCCUCCGAUGCUUAAGUUAGCACAAGAUGUUUUACGAGAAAAUUAUGUAACUUGGAUUGUUUGGUUUCUUGUAAUGCUUUCUAAAACUUGUAAAGAAUAUAAUCUGGUUUUAAUUUGGCAGAGUUUUCCUUUUUCUCUCAAUUUUCCAUCCCCUUUUUCAUCGGUUUUCCAGCUUCUUAUAGCUGUUGUCCCACGUUCCUGUCUACUCCUCAUGCCCCCCCUUUUAUUGGGUGAUGGCAGGCCUUCAUGGGCCUCCAACCACUGAAUUGUGGGUAAACGUGGGAUGACAUGUCCCUCUCGAUGGUUUAGGGCAUAGCGAAACUGCCGCAUUUUCGUGAGAUCGUGUCCUCCUUCUUUGGGUGAUGGGUAUCUGGUCGGUAUAUGUCUCUAGUUGAUACAUUCCUCUGGUCAAUGCUCGUCUCUAGUAGGCCCACGUUUGUAUGAGGCAUUUUACCAGGGCUCUUCUCGUGCCGCUGAGGUGAUUCGCCUCGGGGUGGGAAAUAGGGGCAUGGCCGAGCUGGUGCUCUUUAUUACUUAACAACUGUCUUUGAAAAUUUUGGCUAAGUUAGUAGGCCACAAAAUUUUAUUAACCAUCUAUGCAAUUAUAGAGCAAUCCCCUCCAAAUAGAAUGAUGCCAAUUGUAUUUAUUGUUCUAGGACUACAUUCUCAAAUCCGAAGAAUUAUUCCACCUUAUGAAUCCAACCAGUCGGAUCAUCUCCGUUGAAAUUUGGAAAGUUUAGUUUGAGAUAGUGGUGAUGGUUGGGAAAGUUUGAGGAGAAAGGUUUUAUGGCUUGGUUAGAGGAUGUUGUAGCCUGUAGGUGCAAAGGGGUUAAUUUCAGAGGCAAUUAUGUGUGAGGUUUGUGAUGCACGAAGAGAUUGAAGAUUUCUUGAACCUCAUUACGAAACUCAGCAUUUGAUUGACUUCGGGUAGCCGUAUUUCGAGCAACCUUUGUUUGAUACCAGAUGAUAGGUAAUUUCUUAGUUUAGAAAGGAAAGUAUGAAAAGUAGAGGAAGAAUAUAAGUUGUUUAGAAGGAAAAAGAUAAUUUUUAUUCCAAAAGCAUGCCCACUAUAAAUCCAAUAAUUUCUCUUAAAUAAACCUAUACAUAUACCAAAAACUAAAAAACUAGAAAAGAGGAAAAUCACUUGAAAAUAAGAACAUGAUCAAUUAAAACGGUAACAUGCACAACCGCCACGAAUCAAAACCAAUCGAUUUUAAAUAGUAUGAAUUGAAAUCAAAUUAAACCAAACCAAACUAAAUCGGACCGAACCGAAAUAUUAGGUUCGGUUCUAAAUUUUGGUUUGAUUUUGGUUCAGUUCUAAAUUUUCGGUUCGAUUCUAACUUGUUGUUUUAACACCACGAUUUAUGUUCGUUGGAAGUAUCUUCCUCGUCGUCCAAAAUUCAUCCCACUUGCAGCUCAUUCUCUCAUGCAAUCCCUCAUCUUCUGUAGUGAUUUGAUUGCUCUGAUAACUAUAAGCAAUAAACCACUGCCCAAGAAAUUUUGCCAAGAACAAUUCAAGAUGAAAAUAAGCCAAUGAUUGAUUUAAAGUUCUAAUGAUGAAACGAAACCUUAGCUCUAGGUUAAUGGAGAUUUAACAAAAGAUUGAAACAAAUCAAGAAGCAAACACACUCAAUGCAAAGACAGGAUUUUAAUGUGGUUCAAUUAUGCACAAAGUUCAUAAUCUACAUCCGCGGGAGAAGCCACAAAAAUCUCUUUAUUGAUGAUUCAAGAUGAAUUUUAUUGAGAAAAUACAGAGAUCGUUACAAGGAACAAGAUUACUCUUUCUCACUUUCUAGAAACUCUCUGAAAAGCUCAAUCACACACACGUAAUCUGCUUCAACAACCAGCCUCUUUAUACUCUCUUAUGAAAACCCAGAUUGCACAGCCCUUUGACACGUGUGUAACAGCUUCUAACGACUUGAUUCCUCCCUCACAUGCUAGCUCACGUGUUUUACUUAAGUUUCCUAAAAACGACACAAAGCAAUGUCGUUCUGCCUUAUGCUGAAGAGCCCGUGACUGCACGUGAGUUGUAAGUAAUUCCAACUGAUCAAAACGCAAUCGUUUUGGGACUCUGAGUUUUGAAUUCAUAACACUCCGGUCCACAUCUUCCUCACCCACUAAUAUAAACAAAGCACAAAACAAUUCCAAUCUCAGAAUUAAGAUCAUGCUCAGACAAAUCCUUAAGCCCAUCAGCGAUCUAUCGUCUACUGCGAGCUAAUCGAGAGUGCCAUCUAAUACGAGGUGGCUGAGAGACCGUGAGAGUGAGAUGUUGACCAGAGAUAGACAUAGUGAGAGUGAGCGUGGUUGCGUGAGUGUGGAAGAAAGGGGAUGCUGCUAUGCUGCGUGUUGUGCUUGAGAGUGAGCAUAGUUGCAUGAGAGAGAGAGGGGCUACUGCUAUGCUGUACUUGAGAGUGAGGGUGGUUGCAUGAUAUCUGCUCAAUAUGUAUGGGAUGAAGUUUCUGAUGGGUAAAAAUCAUGUUUUUAAAUUUUUAUAAAACCUUUUUAAGAUCGCUUUCAUAUAAUAUAUAAGAAUUUGUAAUCUAGAAAUCAUACCUUGAAAAUCCGAUUUAGCUUUUUCCGCUGGAAUGAUUUAGGCUCCCAGAUCACGAUCCAUCACCACCACUCCUGUUAGAUUACGAUCCGUCACCACCACGCUUGUUAGAACACGAACUGGCACCAAUGAUCUUCCAGGUUAUGACUCAAGUUUGAUCUGCACUUGACGUGUGGGCGCCUUUAUCACUACCAAAGCAACUAGCACAAGAAAACUUUUCUCUCAACAAUAGAGAGAAAAAUCUUUUUCUCUGAUCUGUAUAAAGUGCCUGCUCCCUUUUUCUUUAGAGAAAAUAAGCAUUUUAUAUCUCCCUUUAGUGAAAACCCUAAGCUCCAAAAAAUCAAAAAACAAAACUCACGUUACUUGCUUUUUCUAUAGGGGACACACCUUGUAAAAUAACAUAAUAGCCCUUACACACAAGCGAAUUAAAUGGAGCCUCCCACUAAAAGAUAUAUUUAGGCUUUUGACCCAAAUAGCUUAUCUUACUUAUUAGUCCAGUAGUGGUGCAUUCAAUUAAAUGAGCUAACCCGGGGAUCAUUUGGGAACAUACAAUAGUGGCUAUAACAAUUAGACCUGUAAUUAAACUAGCCUAAUUAUUUAAUUCCAAAUCUACUCCACUAAAAGAUUGGAAUUGACCUCCAUAAUUGUAUGCUCGAAUAAUAAUUUGUCCCAAGUCUAAUUGAUUUCUUUACUGCACAAUCCUUUGUAUCACAUCGUUAAUUCAAUUGAUAUCUCAACUGUCCAAUCAAUUUAAUAACAUCUUGUUCCUUGAUACUUAUUGGUUUUCUCUAAUGAUCAUUUUCAACAUACUAAAUAUGUUGACACACUCUGGCCAAAGAAUUCUAUGAUCAAGUGCCGAAAACCCAUCAAGAGAUGUAUUGUACAAAUUCUAUAUUGUUAAUCCAUAACUCCAAUACUCAUAAUUGCUCCCACCAAGAUACCGGGUAAUCUUGACCACAAGAAUGUGUCGUGCCCAUUGGUAACUCAAAUGGAAUAACAAUUACAAUCAUGAAAUCAUAAUUAACUCAAGAUUAAGAUUACAGUAAAAUCAAUAGAUUUAAUAAGUCUGACAGUCAUUUCAAUGUUAAUUAAAUCUCAUAUGUGAUCCUGUUCAAUGUAGUCGUACUACAUUAAUAAAUUCAUACAUGAUUAAGACAAAUCAUUCAAUGAAUUCAUUACAGUCUAUACUUAAAUAAAGUGCCCAACUUUAUUUAUCAACUGCGAACUAAAUUUAUUUAAUCAUAAGAUAACUUAUAUUUAUGUCUUCUGUGAAUCCACAUGGUGAUCACAUAAAUACAUAUAAUAUGAUUAAAUGGACUUUGAUCAAAAUAUUAAUGCAAUUAAGAUAUUUGAAUAAAAUACCUCAUUAAUUUUAUUAGUCAGAAAAAAUGUUUAUUAUAAUUAAAUAAACACAUAUACUUUUAAAGAGUAUAUUUUCCCAACAGUUUCUUCAGUUGGUUAUUUCACUUAGUCAAAAUAAAUUAUAGUAGUGGUUGCAUACCUGACUUUGGAGGUAAGGCUGGAGGCAAACUUCUACAUUAAUUUAUAACUUGUUUCACAACAUAUUACGGUUAUAAAUGAGACUUAAUCCAAAGACGGAAAGAGAGAAAUUUGCUACACUCUUUAGUAUCCAUUAUUGAGAAAAACACCAAAAUUAACUUUUACUUCUUUAAAAUCAUUUUUGAAACCUCCCAAAAGAUAUCUCAAAUGGGUUCUCAAUUUUUUAAAACAUUACUUUUGGCUAAACACCCCAUCCUCCAGUAGAUUUUGAAAAUGUCAAAAUGUAUAAGACACUCAUCCAGUGGGGGUUUCACAGGCUUACCUCUCUUAGAAGUCUUUGCAUUCUUGGAUGUCAUGAAGCAGAGUGUUUUCCAGACGAGAAGAUAGGAAUGACGCUGCCCAAUUCUUUAACUUGUCUGUCCUUUCGAGGAUUCAAAAACACAUUUAAGAAAUUGGCAAUUUGUUGUUAGUCACAGUAUCUGAUGUUCUUUUCUUUUAUAGUUUGCAGAAUCAACUGUAUUAUAUGUUGUCAUUUGCAGUAUCUGAGGUGCCUUUUGCAUUUUACUUGACCUUUAUUUGUUUUGCUAGUGACUGAAGAAUACCAACAUUGGUUAGAGAUUUGGAGAAGCAUCUGAAGAGGCUUGACAAAGUUGGAGAUGCACUUGCUCCCAAGCCUUCAAUCAUCACAAUGCAAAUCCGAUGAGUACUUAUGCCGGCAAUUAUGUAAAAUAUUUGAAAUUUUGAUUCAGGGAAAUGGUUUGUUGAUGCAAAGCUUUAAACUGUUAAGACUUACCUAGCAGGCCUGUUGGAUGUUGUAUCAACUCCAAAAUCCAACAAGAACUACGGCACCAAGACCCAUUUUUUACUGAUUCAAUCAGCUGAAAUGAUGAGGCAAAUCCCACGUGUUCGAAUCAGUCAUCCAUUUCAUGAACUGUUAUUUUCAUGAUGCUGGCUAUUGGAGUUGAAGAGGAAACAAGGAUGUGUUGGAAUCAAUGAGAACAGUGGGAAGCAUGACUCGAGCUCUGAUUAUAAAUAGACAUUUUAAAAACAUGUGCUGGUAAGUGGUGAUUAAAGAAAUUUGUGAGCUUAUUCAAGUUUCAGUAUUUGCUGUUUGGAUAAAGCUGAUACCAAGUUUGGCAAAAUCUGUGCUUUCUUUGUUCAAUCUGUGUUAUGGUUAAAGUAGAUGCUCUGAUUAAUAAGCCAGCCUACGAUAGCUGGCUCUAAUAAUCGGCUUCCUUUUUCUUGUUUGCUGUUGUAUAUUCUUUCAAUUUUUUUUCCGCAUUAGGACGAUCAGUUGAAGAACAAGUUUAUGUUUGACGAUGCAUUUAAGGAAGAGCCAGACUUGGAUGCAGAUCUGAAAAGGUUAGCAUGAACGAAAACCUUCAGAACUGACUGAAGGUUUCUGAGUUGAUCCUAAAAAUGUAGCAGUUGUCUGUUUCAUAAAGCAGAACAAAAACAGAAUAAGAGAUCACUAAUCAUGCUUGAGAAUUCAUUUAAAUAAAAUUUCAAAAAUUGCCAAACACAGCAUAAACUAGGAUGCACUUGCUUAAGAUUCAUUUUCAGAAGGAAGUUUGUACUUGCAGCUCAUAAAAUCAUGUUUAUGUUGUAUGUUUAUUCAGCAAAUGAAAGAUUCCAAGUUUGCUGAAACCAUAUUAUUUUUUUACCAGGCGCCUUCCUGAAGGUAUCGACGUCAAUUUCAAAAAUGUUGGGGAUAAGUUGCUUGAUGCAGUGCUACACAAAUAUGAAGGAUUUCUUGUCGGUGAUUACUACCACCUCGAUAAAAAAAUUCAUGGAACUGGUCAUGCCGGCAAUAAAAGAAGGAAAGGUGGUAUACGUCGAAGACAUAGAUGAAGGCCUCGAGUCCAUCAGCCCUCGUUGGGCUAUUCACUUGUCGGAAUGUCAGGAAACAACUUGUUGAAGUUGCGUGGGAAUUUUAAAACUACCAUAUGUUGUAGAAAUGCACUGAGCCAUGUGCUUUCAGAGCUUUGUGAAGAUGUCUUGGCCAUGUGUUUGAUACAGGUUAUGCUUGUUCCAUUAAAUUGUAUGCACUUAUAAAUCAAAGAUUCAGAACAUGUGUAUGUUACUGGUUUCCAGAAUCCAGAUCAAUAAAUGCCUCCAUGUAGAAGUUCAAAUUUUAAAUUUUUUGAAGUAGAGGUGUAGAGUUUCUUUUUUCAAAAAAGAAAAAGUAAAUUCUGAAGACUUUCUUUAUUUAAUUUUACAAUCUUAUUUUAUUUCUUUUACGAUAUAUUUUUAAAAUACUUAUUUAGUAAAUUAUUAACAUCUAUACCACUAAAAGAUUUUUUUUGUUAAACGCUCUACUUACAAAGUUAUAUUAAUUAUAGAUUUACUCAAAGAAGCCCUAUUUAAAAAGUUACAGCAAAAAAAGUCAUAGUUACCUUUAGUAAAUAAUAAUCUUCUAAUCUGUCUUACAACGGACUUUUGACAAAAGUGUGCUACUCCCACCUCCUCAAAGUCCACCCGACACCCCGUCUUCUCUAUUUAAAAUUUUAUAUAGUUGAAAAUUAUAUUUUCUUUUACUUGACGCCCCUCCAAAUUCUAAAACUUAGCUUCGAUGAACCUUCUUCGUUAAAUCUCGUUGCUUUCCUUUUUUCUUGUUACUUGAGAAGAAGAACCAGAGUCUAGAAGAAUGAAAGAAAAUUCAGCGUGAUAGAAAUUUAGAAAUUUCAUCCGAUCUUUUUUUCUUAAAUUUUUUGGUAUUUUGAUUCGUUCAAUGGAUUCUUGAUCAUUCUUCAUUCUUUCUAGUUUCUACCAUGAUUCGGAAAUUUUUCUUAAAAAAACUACUACUCUUGUGUAUUUAAAAAAAAAGGAAAGAAAGAAAAAAGGCAUUAAUAAAGAAUUGCGCACGUAACAUUAUUAGUACCCUGUUGAUUGGUCGUUUGGUCUUCAAGAAAUGCUAGUUAAUAUGUGCUUGAAAUUAUAUUCUGCUUUUUUUUUCCCUAUGUAUUGUUUCCCGUUUGAUUACAUUUCAAACAUUUUUAACACGAAUGAAUGUUUUAACCAUUUUUGUCACUUCAUUAUUACAAUAAGCUGAUUGAAGUUAUCUGCGUUGGCCCUGAAAAUGUAAUGGACACUACUCCGUUUACAUAAAACAGGACAAAACAUCGAUAUUUCUACCAUUGCCAUACAUAGUAUAGCCUAGGAAUACAUUUCCAUAAUUAAUAUUUAUUUCAGAAGGAACUUUUCACUUGCAGCUAACAGAAUCAUGUUAAAUUUAUGAUGUAUGUUUAUUUGGGAGAUGAAAGAUUCGCUGCAUUAUUUUAUUCCAAGUUUGCUGAAAUCAUAUUUGUUUUCCCGGCUGCUUUCCUGAAUGUAUCGACAUCUAUUUCGAAAAUGUCGGGGGUAAGAUGCUUGGUGCAGUGCUACUCAACAUGAGAAUUCAUCUUCUAACUCGUUACCUGAUAUUAUUGUCUUCUUGAAAAUUUAAUUAAGCUUAGAAGUCCCUUAACCACAAAAUCAAUGGAGUUUAACUCUAUCGAUAGACAACUUUUAAGUAAUAAACCAACACAUGAGUUCAUCUCUAUUGAUACUCAAGUUCUAAGUCCCUUAUUCAAUACUAAAAUCCAUGAGAAUUAAACUAACCGUAGUUUAACAUGUGAUUAACAAAUGGUAAAAGGUUCAAAAAAUACAUCAAUUAUAAAAGAAAUAAAAUCAGCAAAGAGACCACAUCAGAAAUUUCUUAGAUGUCCGAAACUAUUAAAAGAAUUCACAUACCAAAUCAAAAAAAGUAGAAAAUGCUUAAGCUCCUUAAGGUAAUUUGAAGUAUGAAAGUGAAUGGCAUAUAAUCCAAUAUAAAAAAAAAAUGGUUUUAGUGCCGUAUAAAGAGAAGUUAAUGGUGGUUACAGAAGUGGGGAAAGUUGAGUACAAAUCAGAUAAUGGGAGGUUCCUAAACUUCCUUAAAUCAAUUUUAAUUUCAAAAAUAAAAUAAUAAAAAAUAAAAAAUAGCAUAAAAGAAAUAAGAUAAAAAUUACUUUUCUAAAAUUGCAUGCAAGUAUACAAAAAUAACAUAUGUUGAUAUUACAUCGAGAAAGGUCCAUCAGCCCUAGUUGGGCUAUUCACUGCAUAGAAUGUCGGAGAACAACUUGUUGUGGUAGCUGUUGGGAAAAUAUGCUCUUUAAAAGCAUGUGUGUUUAUUUAAAUGUAAUAAACAUUUUUUCUGAUUAAUAAAAAUAAUGAGGUAUUUUGUGCAAAUAUCUUAAUUGCAUUAAUAUUUUUAUUAAAGUCCAUUUAAUCAUAUUAUAUGUAUUUAUGUGAUCACCAUGUGGAUUCACAGAAGACAUAAAAUACAAGUUAUCUUAUGAUUAAAUAAAUUUAGUUCGCAGUUGAUAAAUAAAGUUGUGCACUUUAUUUAGGUAUAGAUUGUAAUAAAUUCAUUGAAUGAUUUGUCUUAAUCAUGUAUGAAUUUAUUGAUGUAGUACGACUACAUUGAACAGGAUCACAUAUGAGAUUUAAUUAACCUUGAAAUGACUGUCAGACUUAUUAAAUCUCAUUGGCAUUGAUUUUACUGUAAUCUUAAUCUUGAGUUAGUUAUGAUUUCAUGAUUGUAAUUGUUAUUCCAUUUGAGUUACCAAUGGGCAUGACACAUACAUGUAGUCUAGAUUACUCGGUAUCUUGGUGGGAGCAUUUAUGAGUAUUGGAGUUAUAGAUUAACAAUAUAGAAUUUGUACAACACAUCUCUUGAUGGGUUUUCGGCACUUGAUCAUAGAAUUCUCUAGCCAGAGUGUGUCAACAUAUUUAGUAUGUUGAAAAUGAUCAUUAGAGAAAACCAGUAAAGAUCAAGGAAUAAGAUGUUAUUAAAUUGAUUGGACAGUUGAGAUAUCAAUUUAAUUAACGAUGUGGUACAAAGGAUUGUGCAGUAAAGAAAUCAAUGUGGCUUGGGACGAAUUAUUAUUCGAGCAUACAAUUAUGGAAGUCAGUUCCAAUCUUUUAGUGGAGUAGAUUUGGAAUUAAAUAAUUGGGCUAGUUUAAUUAUAGGCCUAAUUAUUGUAGCCACUAUUGUAUGUUCCCAAAUGAUCCCCGGGUUAGCUCAUUUAAUUGACUGCACCACUACUGGACUAAUAAGCAAGAUAACUAGCUAUUUGGGUCAAAAGCCUAAAUAUAUCAUUUAGUGGGAGGCUCCAUUUAAUUAGUUUAUGUGUAAGGGGUCUUAUGUUAUUUUACAUGGUGGGUCCCCUAUAAAAUAAAAAGUAACGUGAGUUUUAUUUGUGAGCCUAGGGUUUUCACUAAAGGGAGAUAUAUAAGGCUUAUUUUCUCUAAAGAAAAAGGUGAAGCCACUUUAUACAGAUCAGAGAAUAAGAUUUUUCUCUCUAUUGUUGAGAGAAAAAUUUUCUCGUGCUAGUUGCUUUGGUAGUGAUAAAGGCGCCCACACGUCAAGUGCAGAUCGUACUUGAGUCAUAACCUGGAAGAUCAUUGGUGACAGUUCGUGAUCUAACAAGCGUGGUGGUGACGGAUCGUGAUCUAACAGGAGUGGUGGUGGCGGAUCAUGAUCUAGGAGCUUAAAUCACUUCAGCGGAAAAAGCUAACUCGGAUUUUCAAGGUACGAUUUCUAGAAUACAAAUUCUUAUAUAUUAUAUGAGAGCGAUCUUCAAAAGGUUUUAUAAAAAAUUUAAAAACCUAAUUUUUCCCCAACAAUUGGUAUCAGAGCCAUCUCAUAUUAAUAUAUAAGAAUUUCGUAUGAAAUUAAUCUUGAUAUUUAUGUAUUAGAGUGGCACAAUUUAUUCAGAUAUAUAUUAUUUGUUUAAUAUAUGAAUAAAGCAUGUUUAUGGUUUGUCUUAAUUCAUGGUUAGAUUUUCUGUUGUAUUUUUCGUUUGGAUCUUUAACAAGAGGGGUGGUUUUUAUCACAAUGUUUCCCUCUUGAUUUAUUUUACUGUUAUAGAAUUUUUGUAAGCCAAAAAUUGGCCUAGGAAAUUUGUAAAUAAAUCACGGAUGACAAAUCAAAGCGACGGAGGCCGGAAAUUUCGACAUCGACCGCUGACCAGCGCACUCGCUACAACCAACGAGCGGCACACGCUGCAAGCGCAUGCUGGCAGUGCGCGCAGCAAGCAGCGCGCGCGGCCAGCCUGGCCAGCGGCGCGCGUUCCAGCAAGCAGCGCGCGCAGGGAUGGUUUGUUUCCGGCAUAUCGGCAACGGCAAACUCGACGUUGAUAGCGGCUGUCCGAUGAGAUUGGCCUGAACAGUGGCCGUUUGUGGAGAUGGCGACUGGGGAAGAAGAAAGAAAGAAAAAUAUGGAUUUAGGGUUUCAUGGCUUUUAUCAUGGAGAUCCCUAUGGUUCCAUAAUUUUUCACUUGGGCAAUUAAGUUUUAAUUUUUUGCAUUUAAGUCUAAAAAUAGUUUUCGGCUUAAAGAAUCCUAGUUUUAGGUCCAAUUGAAAUUUGGGCUUAAUGGAUUAAAAAUGCAUAGAUAAAAUUAAAUACAUUAAAAUUUAUUUUUGGUCCAAAAGUUUUAUUUUAAUAAAAAAAAUUAUUUAUUUAUUUAUUUCCUUUAAAAAUUAAAAUUGGACCAAUUAGAAAUUAUUUAUUUAUCUCUCAUUUGUACUUGGGAGACAGUCUAUUGUAAGUAGUGUGUAUUUUUGCAUGUCUAGGAAAGUUCUGUCAACAAAGGCGAUAAGUGUAUAAGGAUUCUGGUUUUUAAUUGGGACCAAGUUCCCAUCUAGUUUCCUGGAAACUUUCUUGGUGCAUUUAUUCACGCGAAAUUAACAUCAUAGAGACUGUUUUUCAAGUGAAAAUAGUUCGUUGAGAAAAUGGUAGAAGGUGAAACUUUCAAAAUUGGGGAGAGAUCUACCGAGACUAUUUCAGGAGACACUUCAGGUGGGAGGCGAGAUUUGUCAAAUCGCUAUUCAGCACCUGUAUAGAAGGCCAGAAGAUCGAUGUUGAAAAGUUUGAUGGGAAAAUCAACUUCGGCAUGUGGAGGCGCGAAGUUAUGGAUGCCCUUAUUCAAAUCGAUCUCGAUGUUGUUCUGAAAAAUAAAAGACACUUGUAUGAUGAAGAAAUUUGGGAUCGUAUGAAUGAAAAAGCAUGUGGUCAGAUCAGAUCUUGUUUGACCAAGGAGGUGAAAUACUUGGUGAAAGAUGAGGAGUGUGCGGUGACUUUGUGGCGUACAUUGGAGGAGAAGUACCUGGUGAAAAGUCCUGAAAAUCGCCUUCAUGCAAUGAGCCAAGUAUAUGGCUUUCGAAUAAAGUCUGGGGUGUCAAUGCACGAUCAUGUUUUAAGAUUUGAAAAGUUACUUGCUGAUUUGAAGAAUCUUGAUGAAGAUAUUAAGGAUGAAGUCAAGGCUAUGAUUCUGUUACACUCACUACCAGAGGAAUAUAGCCAUUUUGUGACUACUUUAAUAUAUGGGAAGAGUGUGAUCAUCUUUAAAGAUGUUUGCACAACAUUGACUAGCUUAGAGAUUCGAAAUAAUGAUAAAAAUUCUAAACGAGCAUCGUCUGAAGCUUUGGUGAGUAGAGAUUGGGCGAUGGAGAAACAAAAGAAGCGUGGUGGAAAGAAUUCUCGAUCCAAAUUGAAAAGCAGAAAUAUAGCUCGAGAUGAGUGUGCCUUUUGUCAUGAAAAGGGCCAUUGGAGGAAAGAUUGUCCAAAGGCUCAAAAGAGAGAUGGGAAGAAACCAGCAGCAGCAAACAUGGCACGGAAAGAUGAGGGCUCUGAUUAUUCACUAAGUAUUACUCUUGCAGCAUACGUGGCUAGUUCGAGUGAGUGGAUACUUGAUACUGGAGUGGUUUACGGAUUUUUAUCAUUUGUGUCCUAUUAAGGAAUGAUUUACGGAUUUUCGUAAUCUGGAAUCCGGUGCAGUUGUGAUGGGGAAUGAUCAACCUUGUCGCACAAUGGGGAUAGGAACAAUUCGGCUCAAAAUGUUUGAUGAAAUGAUCAGAGAACUCAAAGAGGUUAGAUUUGUUCUAGCUUUAAAGAAAAAUCUAAUUUCUGUGGAUUUCUGUGGGUGCUUUGGAAGCUAAAGGCUACAAGGUUACCAUUGAAGAUGGUAUAAUGAAGUUUACACAUGGGGCUAUGGUGAUUCUGCAAGGGGUUCGGUGUCACAAUCUGUACUAUUUGAAGGGAGGUACAACUGAUGAAGCAAAUGUUGUUAAGGCGCACAGUGACACCACCAAGCUAUGGCAUGUACGAUUGGGACAUGCUGGAGAGAAGUCUUUGCAAACUCUGAUGAGGCAUGGACUCUUAAAAGGUACCAAAACCUGUAAAUUAAAUUUCUGUGAGCAUUGUGUAGUAGGCAAGAAAACAAGGGUCAAGUUUGGUAUAGUUAAUCACGAUACUCGUGAGAUUCUUGAAUAUGUUCAUAGUGAUGUAUGGGGACCAACCAAGACUGCAUCAAUUGGUGGAAGCCAUUACUUUGUUACAUCUAUUGAUGAUUUCUCUAGACGUGUGUGGGUGUACACCAUGCGAGCAAAGGAUGAGGUUCUAGAGAUUUUCGUGAAAUGGAAGAAAUUGGUGGAGACUCAAACUGGCAGAAAGAUCAAAGUAUUACGAUCUGAUAAUGGGGGUGAAUAUACUUCUGAUCCAUUCUUACAAGUAUGCCAGAACGAGGGUAUUAAAAGACAUUUCACGGUGAGACAUACUCCGCAACAGAACGGUGUGGUUGAGCGUAUGAAUCGUACUUUACUGGAGAAGAUACGGUGUAUGUUAUCUAAUGCUGGUUUAGAUAAAAAGUUUUGGGCUGAAGCUGUGAGCUACGCAAGUCACUUGGUAAACCGGUUGCCUUCUGCUGCAAUUGGAGGUAAAACUCCUAUGGAAAUGUGGUCUGGAAAGCAUGCACAAGACUAUGAUUCCCUUCGUGUAUUCGGGUGUUCAGCUAAUCAUCAUGUCAAAGAUGGUAAACUGGAUCCUCGUGCUAGAAAAGCUAUCUUUGUGGGAUUCAAAGGUGGAGUAAAGGGCUUUAAGCUUUGGGAUCUCGAAGACAAAAAGUUUGUGUGUAGCAGAGAUGUCACAUUUGAUGAAGCUUCAAUGAUGAAAGCGUCAAGUUCUCAGCAGGUGGAGAACAAGACCAAAAAGGUAUUGCAGCGGGUGGAGUUUGAUGCAACUCCAUAUGUACCAGUUAGUUCUACAUCAAAUAAGAGUUCAACUAUGGAGGUGACACCUAGAGUUGAAGAAGAGGUCAUUUUUUCUGAUGUCUCACAAAAUGAAGAAACAAUUGAUGAUGUAGAUAAUGAUGAUUUUAUAGCAACAAGGAGGCCAAGAAGAGAGAUAAAGAAACAGGGAUGGCUUACUAAAGAUAUGGUGGUAGCAUAUGCACUUCCAGUUAUUGAUGAUGACAUCCCCAACACUUUUUGUGAAGCAUUACGCAGCAGUGAAAGUGAUCAGUAGAAGUUAGCCAUGGAGGAAGAGAUGAAAUCUCUCCAUCAAAACCAGACUUGGGAACUUGUAAAGUUACUAAAUGGGAAAAGGGCUAUUGGUAAUAAAUGGGUCUACACCACAAAGCAAGGAUCUCCGAAUCAAACAACUCCUCGAUACAAGGCAAGGCUCGUGGCAAAAGGUUUUGCUCAAAAGGAAGGUAUUGACUACAAUGAAGUUUUCUCCCCAGUUGUAAAACAUACUUUCAUUCGUAUCCUACUUGCCGUCGUUGCAGAAUAUGAGUUAGAGUUGGCUCAAUUGGAUGUUACGACGGCGUUCUUACAUGGAGAUUUGGAAGAGGAAAUCUAUAUGAUUCAGCCUUGUGGUUUCAAAGUUGCUGCAAAGGAGAAUCAUGUGUGUAGGUUGAUUAAAUCUUUGUACGGACUGAAGCAAUUGCCAAGGCAGUGGUACAAAAGAUUUGAUCAAUUUAUACAAGGGCAGAAAUUCACCAGAAGUGAACACGAUCAUUGUGAUUACUUUAGAAGACUACCAGAUGGAGCUUUCAUCUAUUUGUUACUCUAUGUCGAUGAUAUGCUUAUAGCUUCGAAGAAUAGAGAUGAGAUCGAAAGAUUAAAGAAGCAGCUGGCUUCUGAGUUCGAGAUGAAAGACUUGGGUGAUGCACAGAGAAUACUUGGGAUGGAGAUUCGUAGAGACAAGAAGAAUGGGAGCGUAUGAUUGACUCAAAAGUCUUAUUUGAAGAAAGUGCUAGAAAGAUUCAGUAUGGAUGACAAAACUAAACCGGUAUGUACACCUCUAGCUCCUCAUUUCAAAUUAAGCUCUUCUUCAUGUCCUAGAUCUCAAGAAGAGCGCGAUUACAUGGCUCGUGUUCCAUAUGCUAGUGCUGUGGGUAGUCUUAUGUAUGCUAUUGUAUUCACAAGGCCCGAUAUAUCUCAAGCAGUGAGCAUGGUUAGUAGAUACAUGCACAAUCCGGGUAAAAAUCAAUGGCUUGCGGUAAAGUGGAUUCUCCGAUAUUUGUAUGGGACAGUUGAUGUUGGGUUAUUAUUCAAGAAAGAUUGUGGUCAACAAUGUGUUGGGUAUUGUGAUUCUGAUUUCGCUGGAGACCUUAACAAGAGAAGAUCAACAACGGGCUACGUAUUCACAUUGGGUGGAGGUCCGGUUAGCUGGAGAUCGAUUCUACAAUCGACAAUUGCUCUAUCCACUAUGGAAGCAGAGUAUAUGGCAGCAAUUGAAGCUGUAAAAGAAGCUAUCUGGUUGAAAGGCUUGUUAGGUGAUUUGGGAGUAAUCCAGGAGAACAUUACGAUCUUCUGUGAUAAUCAAAGUGCGAUAUUCCUUGCAAAGAAUCAAACAUAUCACGCUCAGAUGAAGCACAUAGAUGUGAAAUAUCAUUAUGUGAGGGAGAUUAUCGAGAGCGGUGUUGUGUUGUUGAGAAAGAUCGAUACCAAAGAUAAUCCAUCAUAUAUGUUAAUGAAGGUAGUUUCUGGAGUUAAGUUUCAACAUUGCUUGAAACUAAUUCAAAUCCUUCGAUUGUGUUAAGAUAUGUCCUUCGGAAAUUUUGAACUACGGUUGGCUUGAUCCCAAAUUUUGGGUACGUUUGGCAGUCACAGAGAUACAGCCACUUUGCGGAUGAUGAUUGGUUGGGAGUCGGCUCAGAUUUGAACAAACCUUCGCCGAGGUGGAGAAUUGUUGAAAAGUCAAAGAAUUGCUUGCCAAUUUCAAAAGCAAAGUUGGUGGGUUUGCCAAAUUCAAAAAAACAAAGUUGGCCGGCUUGCUAAUUUCAAAAGGCAAAGUUAGGUGUUGAAAAACUUGUACAUGCAAUAUAAGAUCCAGCUCAACGUUUUGACCAAAUGAACCCAACUUGGAGCAGAAUGCACUCUAUAAAUAGAGAAGCAUUUUGCAAUUGUCAAUCAUCCCAACAAUUUGUUAAGCUUAUAAAUUUCUAAGCUUUUGAGAGUUCUAAGAGUGUGAAUAAUUGGAGAGUGUGUGUGAGAGUACUUGGUAUAUUUGGGUUCUGGGAAAGUGAGAUUUCUUUACUCAAAUAAUUAUUAAUAAUAUAAUUAUUUUUCUCUUGCUUCCGUGGACAUAGGCAUAUUGUCGAACCACGUAAAUUUUGUGUCCUUUAUUUUUCAGUAAUUAUUUGGUGUGUUUGAUUCCGCAUUCCGCGCACAACACCUACAGGUGACUAAUUAAUGGGAAAUUGACAAUGACAAAAGCAAUUUAUGAGUUUUGUAGGCUGGCAUGCCUAUGUUAUAGCAUUGUUCGAUGAACUGCCACACCACAUGUUUUUGACGAGAAAUAAAAACAUCAAGAUAUUGCCCGCUUGCCGUAUUCCACAUCGUGAAUUGUAUCUCUGUUCCUCAAUUUUCAGUGUUCCAUACAUAAAACCAUUUUCAGUUUCUCUUGUUAUCAAUUCAAUUUUCUUGUUCGUGACGAUCUUGAUUCCUUUCUUUCUGGUAAAACGGAGCCAUGUUUGCUGUUGGAGAGGUCUUCCUCAACGCUUUCUUUCAGGUGUUGUUUGACAGGUUGGCUUCUCGUAAUUUGCUCAGCUUUGUGCGUCAACUCCAAGGCGGGGUUGAUUCGGAGCUCAAAAAGUGGGAGAAAAAGCUGAAGAUGAUUCAGGUUGUGCUUAGCGAUGCAGAGGAGAAGCAACUGACUGACGAGGCUGUGAAGAUGUGGCUGGACGAACUCCAAGACUUGGCUUAUGACGCUGAGGACAUUCUUGAUGAGUUUGGUACUCAAGCUUUGGAAAGGAAGUUGAUGGCGAAAAAUCAGGAUAGCACUGGCCAGAUUCUUAGUUUCAUACCGGCUAGUUUGAAUCCGAAUGCUAUUAUGUCCAAUUAUAGCAUGGGAUCCAAGAUUAAAGAUAUUACUAGCCGGUUGGAGCAACUCUGCCAAUAUAGAAUUGAACUUGGGCUGCAACGGAUUGCUGGAGGGGCAUCAUCACCUACUGCUGCUGCACACCAGAGGCCACCCAGUUCAAGUAUCACAACAGAGCGUGAAGUAUUCGGAAGAGAAGAAGAUAAGGCCAAAAUUCUUGAUAUGGUAUUGACCGAUAUUAGAAUUCGUAAUAAGAUGUUUGGAAACAAAGAAAAACAGAGAAAAUGAAAAAGGAAACUUCACGAUUUAUUAACCAGAAUAUUCAAUGCUUAUUAAGCUUACUUAGCUAAGCUUAUAUACAAUUAUUCUAACUAAUUAAACAACUGCAAAACAACUAAUAACAACUUCAGAUUUAGUUUAGCCAUUGAGCUCUUGCCACAUGUCAUUCAGUUACAUUCAAUCUUGUCCAGCUCAGCAGCUCUGUCCAGCUCAGCAGCAACUAUAUCUUCAACAUCCCCCCUCAAGCUCAACCGAGGAAGUAAGGUUGAGCUUGUCACGUAAGUAGAGAAAAGGGUGAUAAGAAAGAGCUUUGGUGAGAAUAUCAGCAGUUUGUUCUGAGCUAGAAAUAUAUUGAACCUUAAGACAUUGAGCAGCAACUUUCUCUCGAACAAAAUGAACAUCUAAUUCAAUGUGUUUUGUUCUGGAAUGAAACUUAGGAUUAGAGGCUAAAGCAGCUGCACUUUGAUUAUCACACCAUAUGAUUGGAAUGGAGGGAAGAGUAAGACCAAUCUCAGCAAGAAGAGAACGAAUCCACAAGACUUCAGCUGCUGCCAUUGCUAGUGCUCGAUAUUCAGACUCAGCACUAGAUCGAGAGACCACUGCCUGUUUCUUAGAGCACCAAGACACUAGAUUUGGACCCAUAUAGACACAAUAACCAGCCACUGACCUCCUAUCAUCUCUGUCUCCAGCCCAAUCAGCAUCACUGAAACAAUCAAUCUGUAUGCUGCCAUGAUUGUAGAACUGUAAACCAAGAUUAACAGUACCCUUCAGAUAUCGUAAAACCCUUUUACAAGCCUGCCAAUGAUUGACAGUUGGAGAAGAUAGAAACUGACUGAGCUUGUUGACAGAGAAAGCAAUCUCUGGUCUGGUCAAUGUUGCAUACUGAAGAGCACCUAUGGUGCUUCUGUAUAGAGUAACAUCAGAAAAGGGUUCACUAUCAGCUUUAGUAAAAGCCACUCCAGAAAGCAUAGGAGUAGAACAAGGAGUACUAUCCUGCAUGUGCACCUUGGCAAGCAAAUCAGUGAUAUACUUGGAUUGAGAAAGAUGAAUACCAGAUUUAUUGUAAAUGACCUGAACUCCCAGAAAAUAAUUCAAUGCACCAAGAUCUUUAAGUGCAAAAACAGACUGGAAGUUGGUGAUGGUCUGCUGAACAAGCUGAGGAUUGGAGCCUGUAAUAAUAAUAUCAUCUACAUACACCAAGACAAGUAGCAGAUGACCUUGUGUGCUCUUAAAGAAGAGUGAAGUGUCUGAAAUAGAAUUUGUAAAGCCCCACUGAGUUGUAAGAACUAGUUUGAGUCUGUCAAACCAUGCCCUUGGAGCCUGUUUAAGGCCAUAAAGAGCUUUGUGCAGCUUACAGACAUAAUCAGGCCUGGAACUAUCUAUAAACCCCUCAGGCUGUUGCAUAUAAACUUCUUCAGUGAGGUAGCCAUUAAGGAAGGCAUUAUUAAUGUCUAUUUGCCUCAGUACCCAAUGAUUCAUGACAGCCAUACUCAAGAUAAUUCUGAUGGUUGAAGACUUAAUGACAGGACUGAAUGUUUCAUGAAAAUCCAGCCCUUGAGUUUGGUGAAAUCCCUUAGCAACAAGUCUAGCUUUGUAUCUAGAGACACUGCCAUCAGGAUUAUAUUUAAUCCGAAAUACCCACUUAUUCCCAAUUACUUUAAUGGGAUGUGUAGGUUUGACAAGAGUCCAGGUAUGAUUAUUGACUAAGGCUUGAUAUUCAUCUGUCAUUGCUUUAUGCCAAGCUGAAUCUUGAAGGGCUUUUAAGGUAGUAGCAGGUUCUGUAGGUUUGGUAGGAUUGGCUGUAAUAUAGGCUUUAGGUUUGAAGAUACCAGCCUUUGAUCGAGUGAGCAUUGGAUGACCAGUAGAUGACUGCAAUGGUGGAGUUAAAUGAUGAACAGGUGAGGUAGAUGGUUCUGAGUGUGAUUGUAUAGAAGAUUGAGAAGGAGAGUCUGGAGAGGAUUGAGAGAACCUGAGAUCAGCUGCUGUAGAGGAUGAAGACUUGGUUAUAUCAAGUUGAAUCAAAGGACAAACAGAAGAUGAACAAUGUGAAGAAGACUGAGAUGAAUGAUCUGAAGAAGAGCAAGAGUGACUGACAGAGGAAAAAUCAACUCCUGACUGAAAAGGAAAACAUGACUCAUCAAAUGUAACAUGGUUACUGACAUAGAUUCUACCAGAGGAAUGAAGACACAAGUAGCCUUUGUGAAGGGAGCUGUAACCAAGAAAAAUACAUCUAGCAGUUCGAAACUCUAACUUAUGAUGAUUAUAAGGCCUCAGAUAUGGGAAACAAGCACAUCCAAAAACUCUCAUAACAGAAUAAUCUGGUCUUUUGUUGAAUAAUUUUUCAAAAGGUGAUUUGUUAUCCAGAAUGGGUGUAGGGAGCCUAUUUAUGAGAAAUGUGGCAGUAUGGAAAGCAUUCCACCAAAAUUUCAGUGGUAAAUGUGCUUGAGCAAGAAGGGUAAGGCCUGUUUCCACUAUAUGUCUAUGUUUGCGUUCAAUCUUUCCAUUUUGAUGGUGAAUAUAAGGACAAGGAUGUCUAAAUUGGAUUCCCUGCUCAGCAAGAUAAGGAAGAAAUGGCCUAAAUUCACCUCCCCAAUCUGUUUGAAGACACUUGAUUUUCCUAUUUAGGCAUUUUUCUAUCAUAUGCUGGAAUUCAAUAAAGGUUUGUAAGGCUUGAGAUUUGGUAACAAGAGGGAAUAUCCAGGUGAACCUAGUGAAAUCAUCUAAGAUGGAAAGAUAGUAGUGAUAGCCUUGAGAGGACAGCAAAGGAGCUGGACCCCAUAGAUCAGCAUGCAACAGCUCCAGUGGUUGAAUGGUAGUGGUGUCUAUAGAAGGAAAAUGCUGCAUGUGACACUUUCCAAAUUGGCAAGCAUUACAAAAAAUUGGUUUCAGGGCUCUAUUGAUAUCGAGAGAAGGAUGCAAAUGCUUCACAAUUUGUUUAAGAGCAUGCACAGUUGGAUGACCCAUUCUUUUAUGUAAAACAUUGUAAUCAACUGAUUUUGAAUGAGUAACAGACAAGGCCAUUGAGGCAUCAUUAUUGAAUUGAGAAAUAUUUACAUCUGUCAAAAUUUCUCCAGAAUGUAUAGAGUUUGAAACAUUGGAAUGACUAAUCAUUGACACUGGAGAGGAACAGACAUUUGACACAGAACUGGAAUUUGAGAUGACACAGAAAACAUUAGACGGAACUCUAUUUGAAACUGCAGCAUGAGACACUACAACAGGACCUUCAACUUGAUAUAAUCCUCCUCUAGCAAUCCCCUUGAGCAAGAUGAUCCCUGAUUUCUUGUCCUUGACAAAACAGGAGGUUUUAUGGAAUUCAACAACAACAUCAUUGUCAGCAAGUAAUUUAGAUACACUUAAAAGGUUUUUGGUUAUAGUUGGGACAUGCAAAAUAUUAUUAAGAUAGAUAGAUGUUGCAGCAAGUGUAUUCAAUCGUGUGCACCCAACAUGUUUAAUAUGUAAUCCCAUGCCAUUUCCUACAUGUAGCUUAUCAAAACCAUGAUAAACUGAGUAAGAAGAAAAGAUACCUGCUUCCUUAGUCACAUGAUUGGUUGCCCCGGAGUCAAUAUACCAAGCAGGAUCAGCUACAACUCCAUAAUCAGCAACUGGACCAGUGGGAGCAAAUUGUGCAGUGGGAAUAGCAGAAGGAGCAACUCCAUAGUUAGCAAAUGGAGUAGCAAUUGCACCAUUGUAUUGACCUUGUAAUCCUUGAAACACAAGAAACCCUUGAGGAUACAUAACAUUUGCAUUCUGAUAUGCAACAUUCCCUUGAAACAUGGGUGCAUUAUAUCUAGGAGCACCAGUUGCAGUUCCAUAAAAAUUUCCAUAACCUCUUCCAAACAUGUUCUGAGGCUGACCAGGAAAGCCUCUAAAAUUGAAUCCACCUCUAGGCCUAAAGCCACCUCUUCCUUGUCUAGGAAUAAAGUUCUGAUUAAAUCUGUUCCUGCAUUUGUAUGCUCCAUGACCAGGUAUGAAGCAUAUUUGACAAAUUACUUCCUUAUCAACAUUAUAUCCUCCUUUGCCAUUAUCAAAAUUUCCACCAUUAAAACCUCUCUGAUUAGCAUUAUUGAACUUAUUGUAAUUCUGUCCUUUCUGAGCAAAAUUAGCUGACAUAUCAUGCAACAAUUCAUUUUGCACCUUUCCCUUACUCAUCUCAACCCUAGUUUCAUGACUAAGCAUUAAGGAAUACACUUCUUCAAUAGUGAGAUUAUCUUUUUCCAGCCUAGCAAGUAUAGUUGUCACUAAUGACUCAUAGUUGUCAUCUAAACCAGUGAGCAAAUGCAUUAUAAAAUCUGUUGAAGCAAGAGGAUUACCACCAAUAGCUAAGCUAUCUGCAAUUUUUUUCAUCUUAUUGAAGUAAUCACUUACUGACAUAGCUCCUUUCUUUGUGGUUUGAAUCUGCAUUUUCAGAGGCAUGUAUCUAGCCUUUGACUGUGACAUGAACAUCUCGGCAAGUUUCUCCCAGAUCUCAAGUGAAGUAUCACAAUCCACAACCAUGAUAAGUACAUUGUCUACCAUAGAUGACAGCAUCCAGCUCUGUAGAAGCUUGUCAGCUUUCUUCCAGUCAAUAUAGUCAGAAUUUUCACGUCUGCUUGAGCUAGGAGCUUCUGAUCUACUGGCAGCAUUCUCAUAUGAGGAAAGAAAACGAUCUGGACAAGGAGAUUCUCCAUUGAUAAAACCUUCAAGUCCAUUGGCAAUAAUCGAAGCUUGAAUUUGAGCUCUCCACACCAGAUAAUUUGUUCGAUCAAGUUUUGUUGGUUGAAUAAAAGAAAAAGAAAGUGAAGACGAUCCUGAAUUGCUUUGAUUCGUCAUGUUUCGUGGCUCUGAUACCAUAUUAGAAUUCGUAAUAAGAUGUUUGGAAACAAAGAAAAACAGAGAAAAUGAAAAAGGAAACUUCACGAUUUAUUAACCAGAAUAUUCAAUGCUUAUUAAGCUUACUUAGCUAAGCUUAUAUACAAUUAUUCUAACUAAUUAAACAACUGCAAAACAACUAAUAACAACUUCAGAUUUAGUUUAGCCAUUGAGCUCUUGCCACAUGUCAUUCAGUUACAUUCAAUCUUGUCCAGCUCAGCAGCUCUGUCCAGCUCAGCAGCAACUAUAUCUUCAACAACCGAUACCCCCAGUGAUCAUGCCAACUUUGUUGUAAUACCCAUUGUUGGCAUGGGCGGGAUAGGAAAAACAACUCUUGCUCGGGAGGUCUACAAUGACAAGGCCGUUGAAGAUUCAAAGUUUGAUGUAAAAGCAUGGGUUUGUGUCUCUGAUGUCUUUGAUAUUUUGGGCAUCUCAAAGGCACUUCUCGAAUCAAUCACCCGCAGGCCUUGUCUUCUGAACAGUUUAAAUGAAGUGCAGGUUGAGUUGAAAGUAGCUGUGGAUAAAAAAAGAUUCUUGCUGGUCUUAGAUGAUGUUUGGAACGAGGACUACAGCUUGUGGGUAGACUUAAAAGCUCCAUUCUUGGCAGCUGCACCAAACAGUAAGAUGAUCGUCACCACAUGCAAUUCAAAUGUUGCAUCAAUAAUGGGACCAAUUGAACAUUAUAAUCUCAAGAGACUGUUAGAUGAUGAUUGCUGGUCCAUUUUCAUACAGCAUGCACUUGAAUCUAGAGAUCUUAACGCACAUCAAAUUUCAGAAUCGUUCCACAAGAAAGUUGUUGGCAAGUGUGGAGGCUUGCCCCUGGCAGCAAAAACAUUAGCGGGCCUUCUACGUACUACGAGGCAUGAUGCCUGGGACGAUAUCUUGGAUAGCAAACUAUGGGAUUUACCACGACAAAAUGACGUUCUCCCUGUGUUAAGAUUGAGUUACCAUCAUCUUCCGUCUCAUUUGAAAAGAUGUUUUGCUCAUUGUGCCAUCUUUCCGAAAGAUUAUGAAUUCAAUGAGAAGGAGCUGACUUUCUUAUGGAUGGCUGGAGGUAUUAUUCGACAGUCAAGAAAGAAUGAGCAGCUGGAAGAAUUGAGCAGCAAGUGCUUUCAAGAUCUAGUGUCGAGGUCUAUUUUUCAACAAACCAGCUCUGGUAGUGCUAAAUUUGUAAUGCACGACCUUAUCCAUGAUCUUGCUGAAUUGGUUUCUAGAGAAACCAUUUUCAGGUUAGAGGAGUCCACCAACUUGUCAUCAAGAAGAUUUGAAAGGGUUCGCCAUUCUUCGUAUGCCCGUGGUAGGCUUGAUGGUAAAUCUAAGUUCGAGGUUUUCAAUGAAAUUGAACAUCUACGAACAUUCUUGCCAUUAUGCAUAAGAGGUGGCGUUACUUCUGGUUAUAUAACUAGCAUGGUUCUCUAAGAUUUGUUGCCGAAGUUCAAAAGGUUGAGGAUGCUGUCUUUAGACGGAUACCGUAUUAGUGAGUUACCAAUUCCAUUUGAAGAUCUGAGACUUUUAAGGUUCCUAAACCUUGCUGAUACUGACUUAAGAAGUUUACUUGAGUCAACAUGCGCAUUGCUGAACUUGGAAAUUUUGACAUUAAGAAAUUGUUCCCGUUUGAUAAAGCUACCGCCCAAAAUGAUGAACUUGAUCAAUAUUCGUCAUCUCGAUAUAAGAGGUGCAAAUUUGUUGAAGGAGAUGCCAUUCGGAAUGAAAGAGUUGAAGAAUCUUCAAACAUUGUCCAACUUUAUUGUGGGCAAGGGUGAAACUGCAUCUGGUUUGGAAGAUUUAGGAAGUUUAAACUUUCUUUGUGAUGAACUUUGCAUUGCUGGAUUAGAGAAUGUGAAUAAUCCACAGAAUGCAAGAGAAGCCGCAUUAUGUGAGAAGCUCAAUCUUCAUGCAUUGACUCUAGAUUGGGGGUCUCAAUUUGACAAUUCUCGAGAUGUAGCAGUAGAAGAGCACGUGCUUGACAUUCUACAGCCUCAUAAAUGUAUAAAAAAGGUGGCAAUCAGGAACUAUGGUGGUGCAAGAUUUCCACUUUGGAUAGGAGAUCCGUGGUUCUCCAAGAUAUAAUUCCUUGAAUUGGAGAACUGUAACAAUUGUGUAUCUUUGCCAUCGCUUGGUCUAUUGAGUUCACUUAAGCACCUUGCUGUCAAAGGGCUGAAGAAGCUAAAAAGCAUAGAGUCUGAAGUUUAUGGGGAGGGUUUCUCAAUGCCUUUUCCAUCAUUGAAGAUUCUACGUUUUGAGAAUUUGCCAGAGUGGUGGCAUUGGGACACCGAUAUCAAAGGAAAUGUGCACGUUGAUAUAUUUCCUUGUCUCCAAGAACUUUCCGUUGUGAAAUGUCCCAAACUCUCUGAAAAACUGCCUGAGCUUCUGCCCUCCUUGGAGAUACUUGUUGUUAGUAAAUGUGAAAAGUUGGUAGUUUCAUUGUCAAGCUAUCCAAGGCUCUGCAGAUUAGAGGUUGAUGAGUGCAAAGAACUAGUGUGCAGGAUCCCAAUUGAUUCUAAGUUGAUAAAGUUCAUGACUAUUUCAAAUAGUUCAUUAGACAUGAUUGGAUGCAAGGGGAUGCUAUACGAUAGUCAAGCUGGCUCUUCACUGCCAAAACCCAUGACCACUACAAAUGUUUUGGAGUUUGGAAAAUUACUGGAGCCUGGAUUUCAGAUAUUAGAAACUUUGGUAAUUGGCAAUUCUGAACAGCUCAAGCCAUGGAGGCAGGGAAGGGGACUUUCAAGUUUUAAUAGACCAGAACACCGGCUAAAAAUACUUGCUCACCCUGAUGAGGUAACAAUUGAGGAAAGUUGCGUAAGUCUUGUUUUGUUUCCAGAGAUCAAUUUCUUUCCCAGAAAUCUGCACUGUCUUCGAAUUUACAACAGCACUGCUUUCAAAUCCUUACCGGAGGAAAUGAUGGACAACAGUUCACAACUCGAAAGCUUGUAUAUCAAAGAUUGCCAUUCUCUACCAUUCAUCACAAGACGCAAGCUACCUUCAUCUCUAAAAAGGAUAGAGAUUGAGAAUUGUGAGAAAUUGCAACGUUUGUUCGAUGAUAAAGACGAUGCUUCUUCUUCUUCUCCUUCAUCCUCGUCUUCCCAAGUGAUGCUUCAACAUCUAAGUAUAAAGAAUUGCCAAGCGCUCUCCAGUUUGUCAUCGGGAAUUCAAUUACUUGAGUCGCUCGAAGAACUUGUGAUAACAAAUUGUCGAAAGCUGGAGUCAAUACCCGAUGGCCUGCACAAUCUUAACUGUUUACAGAAGAUUACUCUAGUGAGUUGUCCAAGUCUUGUUUCCUUCCCAGAAAGAGGGCUUCCCAACGCCAUUUCAUGGGUUGACAUUAGUUAUUGUGACAAGCUUGAAGCCCUGCCCAAUGACAUGCACAAACUCAACUCUCUCCAAACUUUAAGCAUAAUUCAAUGUCCAAAGCUUGAGUCGUUUCCAGAAGAAGGCUUUCCCACCAAUCUUAGAACGCUUAAAAUUGGAAAUUUCAAAAUGUACAAGACCCUCGUCCAGUGGGGGUUGCACAGGCUUUCCUCUCUCAGAAGCCUCUACAUUUAUGGAUGUCAUGAAGCAGAGUGUUUUCCAGACGAGAAGGUAGGAAUGACGCUGCCCACAUCUCUAACUCAUCUGUCCUUAUUGGGAUUCCAGAAAAUGAUACUUCUGUCUUCAGUGGGUUUCCAAAGACUCACGUCUCUUCAAUGUUUGAAGAUAUGGAAUUGCCCAAAUCUCACGUCAUUUCCAGAGGUAGGCCUUCCAUCCUCACUUUUGGAUUUAUACAUUAACAAUUGUCCUAGGCUUAAAAAGGCGUGCAAAAGGGACCAAGGAAAAGAGUGGCCCAAAAUUGCUCACAUCCCUUGCGUUGUGAUAGAUGGAAAAUUCAUAUACGAUCCAGAAUUGGAGGUGUAGAUUCUAUUAUUAAAGUCGGUUUAUUUAUAUUAUCCACUAUAACAAUCUCCUAUUAGUUUUUUUUUUUUUUUUUUAAUGAAAAAAAUUGCAGUUCUGUAUAAUUUAAAAUAUAUAUAUUAAUCCUCUGCCCUUAAUUGAAAAUACCACUCACUUGUUUCUGUUUUCACAAGUCAGAUUGUACGUUGAGGCUAUUUGCUUUUUAUCGGUGUUUGUUAAGGUAAUUAGUGUCUCAUAGGCUGAUUAUAGGCAGAUGAAAUUAUAACUUUUAACUUAAAAUUUAAUACCAUAGACAGAUAGAUGAUUUUUAAUCCAAAGGUUUUUAGAUGUGAUCAAAUUGUCACAUGCAUAACAUAUUAGGCAUGCAUGAUGUAUCACAAGGUUGAUACAUCUUAUAUGCCACGUGAUGAAAUUAAGGAUGUUUCUCUUACAAGGGACACAUCCUUACAUGUUCAAAUUUGAACAUGUAACUUCCAAGUGGUUAAUGGAAGUUACUUGUUCAAAAUUCGAACAUAUAACUGUCAUAUUGUUGCCUAUAUAGAGGCAUGAACGCAUCACAAAUUCAUACAUUCCAAGACAUACUUAAAGUCUUAUCAUAUUAUGAUCUUGCAGUUUUGCAUGUAGCCACCAGCCUAAGGGCAGUGUAAAACGAUCCCAAAAACCAUCAAUAAUAACAAUGGAUAUAGUUCCUAAAUAAACUGAUGAAAUUUAAGGAUGAUUGGAUGAAACAGCUAUGAUAAAAUGAACUAUCUCGAACCGAGCGAAUGGCACUGACUCAUGAAUAAGUGUGGAUUCCAAAUAUCUUCAUAUCUUCAUAGAUAUUCAUUUCCGUGUUAAUUCGAGGACUUCUAGAAAUUUAGUUAGUUAUUCUAUGAAAUAGAUAUACUAAUAAUAAUAAAACAAAAACGACGGGUGUUACACAAAUUCACAAGUAAAACUGUACUACUUGGAAACUGUGAACAGUAUAGAUUGAAGAUCAUACGAUUGCUAUUUUCAUUGAGUUUCAUGCAUAAAACUUUAUCGAUUAUUAAAUUAGACAUCUUUAUCUUUCUAUCCAUAUGUUUAUUGUUCAAAAACUUAUUGUAUAUUAAUUGUUUUGAUUUUUAAAAAUUGAAACACUGGUGCUGGAAAAUUCUGAUUUUCAGUAGCGAUUCUCAAUUCUAUAAUUUAUUUCAUAACUCCAAAUACUUCUGAAAAUUCUGGGAAUUUUUAUUACUGUACACUUAUAUGUCUAGUUUCUGUCUUUUUAAUUUCGUAAUUUUUGGCUUUAUAUAAAAAUCAUAGAGUUAGACUGCGCAAUCCCAGAAACUGUUUUCCAGAAUUGCGAGGGCUGAUAUUUAGGGCAGUUUGGGAUAGUUUUUCAUCAGUAAAUGUCUUAUAAAUCUUUAAUUCUGACUCCUAUUGUUUCCUCUAAUUGUCAAAACUAGAAUCACUAUUUUUGGACAUGUGUAACUAAAGUUAUAAAUUUUUCAAGCAACAGUCCUCUGUUUAUAUCGUUAUUGGACAGUUUGGAUAAUUUUGUGGAAAAAUAAGUUUUCAGGGGAUGUUUUUAAACUCUAAUUGAUUAUGUAAAAAUUUAAAUUGAAUGCCAAUAUGUUGACAAUAGUGUUUUGUGAUAUUUGUGAUAUUUCCGACGUACUUAUAGCUUGUUAGAAAUCAGCUCCUAUAUAAUGGUCUAGUAUAGUUUAGUGAAUUGAUGUGCUUAAGUAAGAGUGCAUGGUUUAAGGAUUUUUGGAUUUUCCUAUCUAGGUCAGAAUUGAAUAAGAUAUUGAUAGUACUUUUUUCUUAACAAUCAUAGGCCAAAAGUGAGCUCGUUUGAUUUGGGUUAUUGUUGAUUGCUUUGUAUCAUGGUAAGUAAAUUCAUGCAUAAUAUUUAUUAAAGUAUACACGUAAAUAUUUAUUAAUAGAAUAAUGUUGUCCAAAUGGAUUGGCAAGUUAUGGUUUUGAAGUUAUUUUAAAAUGUUUUCUUAAAUUUGUUUUAAAAAUAACUUCAAAAUACCUGCUUCUCUAUAAAAUGUUUUCCUUAAAAAUAUUUGUAAAGCUUUGCCAAUUCAAUGUCUUGUAAGCGUUUUAUCGAAAUAUUAUGGAAUGAUUGAUAUUGGAAAUCUGAAAACUGUUUUUAAGGUUUUGGCUCAUUGUCCGUAGUUAUCGUUACUAAUAUUACUAAAUAGCUAGUUGUAUUGUGCGCACCUAUUGACGAUUAUUGCAGGGUAAAGUACCCUGGUAGAACUAUAAGUUGGGUCACCGAGAUUAUAGGUGACAUAUUGAACUAUUGACCAGGUCACCGGGGGUAUAAGUGACACUAUGUGAUAUGAGUAAAUUGAAUGAAAGAAAAGUUUUAUUGAUAAAAGAUUUCUUACACGAUUAUUUAUUGAAAAUGAUUAUUAUGCUAUGACUUAAUUGAUUAUGAGUUUUACCGCACACAUAUGAUUACAAAAUGAUUUUUGUUUCCUAACUUGUGGUACUACAUAAUAAUGAUUAUAUACUUUUUUCCUUAUUGGUAACCUUAUGCAUGAGUUCGCUUACCGAUUGACGGCUCACCCCUCGUCUCCAACAUUUUAUAGAUUGAUUUUAGUGAUGUGCGCUUUUGGUCUAGCAAAGAGGAUUUAGCUGAAAAACUUUGGCAUUUUCUAGAUGAAUUAAUUGUAGCUAGUUUGAUUAUUGCUUAGAGCUAGAUUUUAUUUUGGAGGAUUUUUGAGUUAUUUUUUAUUUUAGAGACUAUGUUUUGUCAAUGAACAACAUUGACUUUAUUUGAAAAUAGUAAUAAGAUUAAUGUUAUAAGGUUUCAUUUGGGGUGUUACAACUUGUCUCUUAGUAAGUUUAUUUUUGUUAGCCUAUCCAGUAAGGUUUAUUAUCGACUGACAUCAUUUUCAAUGAAAUCAUCUUAUGUUGUUAAGUUUUGCAUAAAUAAAUAUUUCAGUAGGGUCAAAAGAGCAAGAGUUUACCUAUAAAAAAAAAGUCAAAAUUAGUUUAACCACCCCAGUGCGAAUUUCUGACCACGUCUUGCUUUGUAUGAUUUAACUCUAUUAUUAAUUAGUACUAAAAUAUCGAUGAAAAAAAUGGACAUGAAUUUUGAUCUCGUGUUGCUUUGUUUUGGUUGAGUGGCCAAUUUUAACUUCAUGUUAAACUUUCUCAAUUAUUAGUUGAAUUAUUUGGAUUUGAAAACUUAAAACCACCAUUUUAAUUUGUUUAGUAAUGACUAUGUUGAACUUCAACAUUUGUUUUCAAGAAAAAAAUUGAUCAAACUAUGAUGCUCUUGUUUCUAUUAUUAUGGAAUCUCUUUUUCAAUCGUCAAAGUUUGAAUUAUAUUAUGCUGCCUCUGUAUUUCCGCAGAAACAGAAUCAGUUGGUGAUCCUUCAAAACAAGAAAAACCAAAAAAAGAUGUAGUGCGUGAUAAGAUAAUGAGACAGAUGGCUCAUGUUGACAUUAAUACUCAAGUUGGAAGUUGCAUGCCCCUUGCUUGUAUGCGGACUGGGACCAUCAUCCACAAAAUUGAGGUAUACCCGGCUGAAGGUGGCAAGCUAGUUCGAGCCGCUGCGACGUCAGCCAAGAUUUUGAAGAAGACCCACUUCAAGGUACUGCUUAGUAAGGCUAACUUCUGGAAAUGAGAAACUGAUUGACGCUAGAUGUCGAGCCCACCAUUGGUACAGUGUCUAACCCCAGCCAUGGAGCUACGAAGCUUAGGAAGGCUGGUCAGAGCCGUUGGUUGGGUCGAAGGCCUGUGGUUGGAGGAGUAGCCAUGAAUCCAGUUGAUCAUCCUCAUGGUGGAGGUGAGGGACGAAGCAAAAGUAGCCGUAACCAUGGAAGGUGUUCACUUACGCCUUGGGGCAAGCCUUGUAAUUCUGGGUAUAAAACUGCAUUUCCUAAGGGAAAAAAAAAAAGAAAAAGAAAUUACCCGUCUGAUAAUAUUUUCCUUCUUUGCUAUUUAGCCUUUUUAAUAAUGUUACAUUGUUUGUCAUAUAUUUGAGGUUAGUUUUAGACCAAUUUUUAACUGAUCCAUAAUGAAACUGAAGUUUAAUUUUCUAUUGAACUUUUCCUGGUUUUACUCUUCUGUCAUUUCAAUUUAGCAAUGAUUUAAGAUGUUGAGUUCUGUGCUUGGAACAUGUAAAUGGGAAAGAGAGAUAUAAUGGGGUAGAAUAUAGAUUUUGUGUUUUGGUUUCUCAUGUUUAGAGAUAUUCUGUUCUUUUUCAUUUGUUCAAUUUGGUUAGUGGUGAUUUCUUAAAGAGUCGAUGCACGUGUGUAUAUAUACUUUUCUUUUGGCCUUGAUUCUGUUUCUUGGGGAGUUUAUGCAGUUUCUUUUUUUAUGCUUCGUAUGCCACAUGAAAGAUGAAAGCAUUUUGUGUAUUUAGAAUUGACUUGCAUCAUAGUAACUUUGAAUCACUGUUAACAUUUGUAUAAUAGCAGUCUGAGAUCUCCUUGAAGGAUUCAAAAGCAUUUUAUUUGAUGGUCUAGACCUAAAAUCAACUCCUUUAUAUAGAUAGGUUGGUCUUCUUCAAAGCAAUUCCUAUUUUAAGUAAUCAAAAUUUUGAUUUGGAAGUGUGUUUUAACACUACCAAAAGUUCUUUAAAUACUAAAAAUGUGUUUGGGAGUGAGGUGAUGUGGCUUUUAAGCUACAAUUACUGCAAAGUAAAAGUCAGUGAGUAUAAAUAAGAAAAAAUGACUGUUGAGUUGCCAAAGCCCAACUGCCGCACAUCACUUCCAAAUGCACCGUAAAAUGAUUUUGAGUCUUCUAUAUUAUUGAAACAAAAUACAUGAAAGCACUUUUGGCUACAGAAGUACACUUGGGGUUCUUUAUAAAAUUCUUCGACAGCAAUUUUUCCCCCUUUUUGCUCAUGGCGGUUUUUCUGGUUGUUCUUUUAAGAAAACACUUAAAGGUUCUUUUUAUAGAUUUCUGAAAGUACUUCCAACAUAAGCAUUUUUCAGAAAUUUUUUCUGAAAUUAAUUUUAUUUACUUAUCGACUUUUCAACUCCUGUGGUUGUUUAUGAAAUGAAAGGCAAGGGUAAUCACAAGAAAUCUGCAAACUUUAUCAAUUUUUAACUAUACCAAUUUGUUGUUUAUGCUUUACUUUUAUUUUACAGUUUUGUUUAAUGUUUAGAUGAUAGAUAUAUAGACAUUUUAGAUUGGAGAAUUUUGUCAACAAAUUCAUUCCUUUCUUUCACUUUUUCCCUUUUCAGAGGAAAGCAAUUUUGACUAAUUUUAGCCAGAAUCGGACUAUAAUAUUUUGGAGCAAGCCUACUUGAAAUGAUGCUUUUUAAAUUUGAUCUAGUUAAAAUACACUGCCGUUACCCAAAAAAUUCUAGUCUUGGAUUUCAUAGAAUGCCCUUUUAAGAUAUUUUCUCAGCUCUUUGUUGGUCGCAGCAUCUGAGAUUAGCAUUCUCACAUUUCACUUGUUUUGCCUUUGUUUUGAAGGUAACUUAGUUGCAUAGGUGAAUCGAGGUUCAAGAAUGCCGAGAUGGCUACAAGUUUCAAGAAUCAUUUAAAGAGGCGUAAUGACAGCACCAAGAUGGGCUUUGUGAUUAACAAGAUUACUAAUUGAACCAAUCUUGAUGGGACAGAGGACAUGUCAGAACCGUUGCGCACAGGGAGAAGAGUUAGGGGAGCUUUGAGAGUUGAGACCAUCAACAUCCAGAAAGGCUGCUGGUAAUGUUUCAUGUGUUACAAAGUUGCAAGGAAAUUUCAUUUAUAUUUUAACACCUUGUAUUUGAAAAAUUUAAUGUAAUUUUCUCUUUUUUCAAUUUAUUAUUCAGAUCGUAGACUAGUAAACGGUUUAGAUCGCAAGCUUUUAUUAUGCAGUUAUUUUCUCCUUUUCAGGAAGAAGUGGUCAGUUCCAUUCCAGAAUUGGAAUAUGGUAAUUAGGUGCAAGCAUACGUUGUAACAAUCAUUUCUUGUUUGUUUGAUUAUGCUUAUCUAUUUAGUUGUUUAUCGUUUGGUUGUGUUAAAUUAUUUGAAUUAGCAUUAUUUGAGAUAAAGCAUAAUUCUUUUAUUUAUUUAUUUAUUUUUUAAAUAAAUUAUUAUAGAAUAUCGUCUUUAUCGUAUAAUGUAUUUUUAUAAAAGUAAGCAUUUUUAUAAAAUUUAAACUCUUCCAAUCUCCUUAUGAUUAAAACCCUUAACCUAAUAAACGUAUAAAAGCAAAGAGUCCUAGGAUUUUCUUUUGUGCACAUUUGGAAGAAUUUUUGAGGUAAUUAUCCUUCUCUAAAACAUAUUCUCUAAUCUUAGGUGUUUAAUGAUGAAUGCAUGCAUUGUUUUUUUAAUCAUGAAUGACUAGCUAGACAUUAUGAGGCAUGAGUACUGUGAUUCUAUUACUGUUUUCCCUUUAUUUUUUAUUCAGGUUUUCACUAAAGUUUUCAUAAAAUUAAACUAGACAUUUUAAGGCUUUCAAUGAUAUAUUUUGUACGAAAAGAUUACCAGUAACCAAUUUGUUGUGAAUUUUCGAAUUCAGAACAGUGGUGCUGGAAAAUUCUGAUUUUCAGCAGCAUGUUUGACUUUGCCCAUUUUUCUGUCUGUCUAAAUGAUCCCUAAAAUUAUGCUGAUUUUUCUAUUAAAUCCUCAUUAUGUCUACUUACUAUAUGUUCACUUUCAUAAUUUUCAUUGAGUAAAAAAAAAAUUAAAAAUCAUUAUGUUGGGCUGCUGCAGUUUUGGAAACUGCUUUCCAGAAUUGCGAUGGCUGACAAUAAAAUUACUUUAGGCUAUUAAAAGGCUUUAGAAUGGCCUAUAAAAAUUAUAUUCAUAUAAUUUAUGAAUUCCUUAUGAUUUAAAGUUUAUUUGACUAAUUUUGAUAGUUAACAUUAAGUUAUGAAUUUUUCAAGUGCAAAACAUAAACCUGAAUGUUUCUGGACAGGUUUGCUGGUCUCUUAAUAUAAAUUCGUUUAAAAUAGUGUCAUAUCUUCAAAAAUUCUAGGAAUUUGAAGCUUUGUUUCUUGAUGCAUCUACUGUUUUAAAAUCAAGUGGUCUAAUUUUUAAGAGUUCUAUUAAAUAUUUUACAAAUUUUCCAGUUCAGCAACCUCUGUUUUUAUCACUGUUGGACAGUCUGGAUAUGCAUGUAAAAUUCUUUUUGCAAUAUGUUUGACUUUUAUUCAUUCUUUUGAAUUUUUAUUUGAAAUGUUAUCCAUGUUUAUGGUUUAUUUUCUUUGAUUUUACAAUUUUCCAACAUUUGAUUAGCUUGGUAAAAAUCGGCUCAGACUAGCUUUAAUGGUUUAGUGCUUAUGACUAGGCUUGAUUAUGUUAGAUUUAUAUCAAGAUCAGAAUGAGUAAUAGUAUUGAUAAGAAUGUGUCUUGAUAUUUUAGGACGAGAUUGAGCUCGAGGCUAAGGUUACUAUUCUUUAUUGUUGAGGAUUGAGAUAAGUAGAUUCAUGCAUGGUAUAUGUAUUUCACUAUUAAAUUAUUUUUAAUUCGAGGUAUCUAUUAUGUUAAAUGAAAAGUAUUUGAAACUAAUUUGUUUUAGCCUAUUACAAUAUUUUGUUAAAAUAAAAUCGUUCUUUAAAUUAUUUAUAAUAAACCUUUUAUUUAUUAAAAACUUGUUUUAUAAAUUGUCUUAAAAAAACUUUUAUUAAAUUGUUUUAAGUCAAAUACUUUGAAAUAAUUAUCAAUUAUUUAAAUGAUUAAAAGUUCAAGGAUGAUUUUAAAUGUUUUUGCUCAUUGUCUGUAAUGAUGCUAUGUUAUGUUAUAUGUUGUGGAAGGCUAGUUGGAAUAUGUGUACAUAUGAUGUUAAUGUUAAUGAUUCUCGUGGGGUACAGUACUCUAAAUGAUGUCAUACGGAUGGGUCACUGGGUCUACAAGUGAUACUAUGUGGAAUGAGCUAAGUAUGUUUUAUGUAUUUAAAAAGCUAAUUAUGUUUUACAUGUUUGAAAUGCUAUUAUUAUGUUUAAAGGAUUUAAAUGACUUUCUGAUGUUUUGAUUUAUUUUUUAUAAAUGAUUAUUUACAAAAGUAAUUUCCCUUAUUAUUAUUAUGCAUAUCUAAGAAAUUCAAACAAUUAUAAUUUAAUGGUUUUUAGUAUUGUGCAUGAAUUUACUUACCGAGUUGACGGCUCACCCCUUGUUAUCAUAUUUUUGUAGAUAGAGUUAGAUGAUGUGAGCUCAUGAUCUUAGGAGGAAGAAUGAGAGCUCGUUUAUUUUUGGGGAUUAAUGUUACAUUAAUAAUUUAGCUUCCUUUGGCAUGAUAUUUAUUUGAGAAUUUGUUAUUUCAUUACUUAUUAUCUUUUGGAAGAGGAGCAUUUACUGUUGGAUAUUAAUUUGAUGAUUUUAGAUACGAGAGUGAUGAAAUACAGUUUCACUUCAAUUUCACUUUAGUAUCUUAUUAGUGGAAUUGGGGUGUUACAUACGUGCCCGGUCAAUGAACUUGAACUUUAAAUAGUUUUUUCAACUCAUUGAUUUUUGGAACUCAUAUUGGUGCAAGGAAAUCAAAAGAAAUUUAUGAUUAGUCAAAUUCUGAUAGUUGCUAUAUAUUAUACAUUCUAAAGUUUCUUGAGUUUGUUUUCAGAUGAAAAUAUGAUCAAUUCAUUUUGUUUUUGAAGUGUAGGAAAAUAGGCUGGGAUAUUAAUGCAUAGGCAAAAACUUUUUGAGUGGCUUUCCAGCGGAUAAUUAUCGGAAACAUGACUGGAUUUUUUGACUUCCGUAAAUCUUGCAUUUUAACCUGGCAAAUUUAACAAAAGUUCAAUACAACUUUGUUAGUGCCUUGUGUUCCAGAAGCUAGAAAGAUGUGUAGAUUCCAUAUAAGCGGGCUUGUAAUUACUCUAGUAAGAAUCCAAUUAUUUGCCUUUGCACCUUCAUUUUAUUUGUGGAUCCUUGCAUGUUUCUGAAUUUGAUCAAUCCAAAAGGAAUUGCUCUGAAGAAUAGCAGUAACUAGCCUAUGUCUUAGUGCAUGGACCUGCAAACCUGAGCUGACAAAGCUGAAACUAUUAGUUUGAGGUGACAAAUCCAUGAUCGUCACCUGUUAACUUCUGCUAGUUGCUUUCGUGAAACACUUUUAAGAAAUAAGCAAUUUGUUGUUAGUCGCCGUAUCUGAUGUGCUUUCUUUUAUAGUUUGUAGAAUCAACUGUAUUAUAUGUUGUCAGUUGCAGUAUCUGAGGUGUCUUUUGCAAUUUACUUGACCUUUAUUUGUUUGCUAGUGAGUUAAGAAUACCAACAUUGGCCAGAGAUUUGGAGAAACAUCCGAAGACGCUUAACAAACUUGGAGAUGCACUUGCUUCCAAGCUUCAUUCAUCACAAUGCGAAUCCGGUGAGUACUUAUGUCUUCAAUUAUGUAGAGUGUUUGAAAUUUUGAUGCAGCGAGAUGGUUUGUUGAUGCAAAACUUUAUACUGUUAAGGACUUACCCUGCAGGCUUUUUGCAUGUUGUAUCAACUCCAAAAUCCAACGAGAACUACAGCACCAAAGCCCAGUUUUCACUGAUUCAAUCAGCUGAAAUCAUGAGGGAAAUAACAGUAUAGCACCAUCAAGCUGGACUUAGAGAAUAAUCAGAUCAGUCAUCCAUUUCAUGAACUGUUAAUUUCAUGAUGGAGGCUUAGUGGAGCUGAAGAGGAAACAAGGAUGUGUAGGGAUCAACAAACAACAGUGAGAAGCACGAUUGGAGCUCUGAUUACAAAUAGACAAUUUAAAAAUAUGUGCUGGUAAGUGGAAAUUAAAGAAAUUUGUGAGCUCAUUCAAGUUUCGGUAUUUUCUUUUUGGAUAACGUUGAUACCAAGUUUGGCAAAUCUGUGUUUUCUGCGUUUAAUCUGUGUUUUGGUUAAAGUAGAUGCUCUGAUUAAUACUUGUUUGUUUUCAUAAAACAGGACAAAAAGAGAUCACCAAUCUUGAUUGAGAAUUCAUUUAAGUAAAAUUUCAAAAAUUGCCAAACACAGUAUAAACUAGGAUGCACUUGCUUAAGAUUCAUUUUCAGACGGAAGUUUGUACCUCCAGAUCAUAAAAUCAUGUUUAUGUUGUAUCUUUAUUCAGCAAUUGAAAGAUUCCAAGUUUGCUGAAACCAUAUUAUUUCUUUCCCAGGCGCUUUCCUGAAGGUAUCGACAUCUAUUUCGAAAAUGUUGGGGAUAAGUUGCUUGAUGCAGUGCUACAAAACUAUGAAGGAUUUCUUGUCGGUGAUUACUACCACCUGGAUAAAAAAUUCAUGGAACUGGUCAUGCCGGCAAUAAAAGAAGGAAAGGUGGUACACGUGGAAGACAUAGAUGAAGGCCUCUGUAUACGUCGAAGACAUAGAUGAAGGCCUGGAGUCCAACAGCCCUCGCUGGGCUAUUCAUUGAUCGGAAUGUCACGAAACAACUGAUUGUAGUUGCUUGGGAAUUUAAAAACCACCAUAUGCUGUAGAAAUGCACAGAGCCAUGCACUUUCAAAGCUUUGUGAAGAUGUCUUGGUCAUGUGUUAGAACAGAUUAUGUUUGUUCGAUUAAAUUGUACGCAGUUAUAAAUCAAAGAUUCAGAACAUUGCAUGUAGAAGUUCAAAUUUUAAAUUUUUGGAAGCAGAGGCGUAGAGUUUUUUUCUUUUGGAAAAAAAAAUCUAAAUUGUGGAGACUAUUUUUAUUUAAUUUUACAAUCUUAUUUUAUUUCUUUCACAACAUAAUUUUAAAAUAUUUAUUUAGUAAAUUAUUAACAUCCAAACCACUAAAGAUUUUUUUGUUAAACGCUCUACUUACAAAGUUAUAUUAAUUAUAGAUUUACUCAAAGAAAGUAUAUUUAAGAAGUUAUAGCAAAAAAAAGUUCUAAUCUGUCUUACAAAGGACUAUUGACAAGAGUGGUGCGACUCCCACCCCUUCAAAGUCCACUUGACACCACGCUUUCUCGAUUUAAAAUUUUAUAUAGUUGAAAAUUGUGUUUUCUUUUAAAUCUCCUUGCUUUCCUCUAUUCUUGUUACUUGAGAAGAAGAACCAGAGUCUAGAAGAACGAAAGAAAAUUCAGCGAGAUAGAAAUUUGGAAAUUUCAUCCGAGCUUUUUUUUUCUUAAAUUUUUUGGUAUUUCUUCCUUGUUUCUAUGGAUUCGUUCAAUGGAUUCUUGACCAUUCUUCCUUCUUUCUAUUUUCUACCAUGAUUCAGAAUUUUUCCUUAAAAAAAAUCUAGAUGCAUGGCCAAAUGAAAUGACCCCCUUUAGAGCUUCGGUUACUGUUGCAUAUUCAGCGUCUGCAUUUGACAAAGCAACUAAAUGCACACUAAAGACUUGCUGUUUCCAUUCAGUAUGCAGUUACACAGACAAAGGCCUUAAUUAUUGUCAAGUUCUCCAGUAGCAUACUCCGAAAUCCACAUACCAACCCACCAGAACUCCAAUCUUGAAACUCCAUAAAUCAAAAUUGAAGUGCCUGCCUCUCUGGUACCUCUCAAGGUCCAUUUUACUACUUUCCAUGUCUUUCCAUGCAUCUACUGACAACUUGGGAAAUGCCAGGUCUUGCAAGCACCACUACUUACAUUUGAGUCUGCUAUUAUUAUUAUUACUAUUUUAUUAUUAUUAUUUAAAAAAAAACACUCUAACUAGGAGAGACAAGUUCCGUGUAGUAGGACUGAGCAACAGGGCCGUAGCAAAUAUUAUGUUUUUAAUCAUUCUUGUACCAAAGUAUUUAAGUAUGCGAUAAAAAAUAAUAAUAAUAAUUUAUUGACAACUAAAAGUUAAUAGUGGCUGGGGUGGACCUGGGUUUUGUUUAAAAAAAUUGAUUAAUAAAAUUUUCGAAAUUUCAAAUUUCUAGUACAGAGAAAAUUGAUGAAUAAAAUUCUGCAAGUUAAUUUCUAAUAUGCCAUGAAAAUAUUAUCAAGUUAAAUUGUAACAUCGUUAAUCACUUAAUCCUCAGUCUAAUAUGCCAUAUAUUUGUUUCUCAGGCUUUAAUCGAAAGUGCCGGUGAUUUAUUGUUAUUUUCAGUAAUCAGAUAGGUAUGUUAAGGCUGUUUAAUUCAUCGACAAUGUACCAACAAGACUCAGAUUGGGAGAUUGUAAAUGUAAUUAACAAUAAUCUUUUAUUCAUUUUGAAGUUCAUUCUAUUGUUUACACAGGAGCAGCGUUCUCUUAUGUUUUAUGGAUAUAAUGUUUGGUAAUCCUAAUUUAAGCUAAGGUAUAUAUAUUUCCUAAUUACAUCUAAUUUAAGCUUAUUCAAAUGCAAUCAAUUAAUGUUCAAUAGUAAAAAUUCCAAAUACUAUAUAUUGUAAGAAUUUUAAUCGUAAUGACAAGGUGAUCAUUUGAAUUAUUAUUAUUAAAUUAUAUGUAUGGUGGAGUCCACACGGUUUUGACUAGAAAUCAAAGAGUUAAGAGACAAUAUUAAUUUAUUUAAGUUAAUAGUAUUUGUUCUGUUUAGUACGUCUUUUGACCAACAAGCAUCCCGGCAUUGCACGCAUUAAUUAAUAAAGCAUUGUGCAUGUCACAUUAUUAGAGCCAAUUGCGCCCGGUACACCUCCAUACUUCAAAAAUUAUCUUAAUACCCUAAAAUCUGUUUUUACCAAAAUUUUCAUCGAUACCCUUUAAAAACGGAUAGGAAAUUACUAAGCUAUCCUCAUUUUAAAACAUUUCAACUCAACGGACAGCACCUCUCCCUUCUCUACUGAAGCAAACAAACACUCAUCUGCUGCAAUUCCCUCCAUUAUCAAACUCAAAUAAACAAACACUGCAAUUCCCUCACCGGCAUCACCUCUGCAAUUCCCUCACCGGCAUCACCUCUACCGAAACAAAUAUUCAUUCUCCAUACAUGAUAAAUUGAACUUCAACACGAGCAAACUAAGCUUGAGAAGGGGAAGCUGCCACAACUGAGAAAGAGAAGCCUAGUUCGUCUCUACAUAAUCGCCGGCGAGAGCUGAUCCUUUACUGUAAAAUAGUCAUAAUUUAACUAGUUGAGGUAAGUAAUUCUCUAUAAAUAGUUUUCUUGUUGAUAUUCAGGGAAAAAAAAAACAAAAAGUUAGGGUUUAUAUAGAAAAAUUAGAUUAAUUAGUUGCGGGUCUCUCAUUACAUGUUCAAAAACAAAUUUCUAGUUGUUUUACUACAUGCAAAUUGUGAACAAUUGAUGGAUUGUGCCGAUUAUAAUUUUGUCAUGUAACACACAAUUUGGUCGUGUAAGGUUAUGUAGGAUUCAAGGUUGUGUAUUACACGACCUUCAUGUAUUGCACUUACACGACUUCAUGUAUUGCACUUACACGACUUCAUGUAUUGCAAUUACACGACUUCAUGUAUUACACGACGUUCAUGUAUUACACGACGUUCAUGUAUUACACGACCUUCAUAUAUUACACGACCUCAUGUAUUACACGACCUCAAAAUUACACGACUUUUUUUACUGUUGUUAAUUCAUUAUAAUAACUUAGUUGUUUAAACACUUAAUUUUUGCUAAGAAUUUAUAUUUGUUGCUAUGCAGAAAAUGUCAACGAAAAGUAUUCAGGAAAAAAUGAAACGAGGCAAACCGAAAGUGAAAAUUACUAAUUUGUCAUCGUUGGAACCAAUAAGAAUAAUAAAAAAUAACCUUAGUGACGUACAAUUGGGGAUUUUUCGCAAAUCAUGUUUUGGGCACUUUUUGGACUUGAAUGAGUUUCAGUUUUGUGCCCAGUUGUUGCACAAGUUGGUAUUAAGUCAUAUGCAUUCAUCCGAUAAGGCAAUGUAUUUUAAGAUAGGGAAAAAAGUUUGUCGAUUUUCAAUGUUUGAAUUUGCAUUAGUUACUGGACUGAAUUGUGAAGAAAUUUAUAAACCUAACUUGGACAUUGUUGAUGACGGUGGUCGUGUAUGUGAUGUUUUGUUGGACGGUUGCACAAAGUUCACUAACACAACGCUAGGUCAGAUAUUUGAAGCAACUAAGUCCAAGGAUGAUAUGAAAAUGGUUAAAUUUGCCAUGUUGUACUUUUUGGAGGUUGUAUUACUUGGAAAAGAAUAUAGAUCAUCUAUAAUUAGGGAUCACAUUCUCCACAUUGACAACUUUGAAGAUUUCAAUAAAUAUCCUUGGGGCCGUGUCUGUUUUGAGAACACAUUAGAAAGUAUGAAGAAUGUGAUUGCAAUUAGACAGAAUAGAGAAAGGGCAAAUCCAGACUAUGUCCCUGAAAAGGAGGCAUACAGUCUUCAUGGCUGUCCAUUUGCAGUUCAGGUAACAAAUUGUCAAUAUUGGUUUCGUAAAGAUUAUUAAGAUUAGGAAUAUUAAUUAUUUCUUUUACUUGCACAGGUAUGGGCACUUGAAAUUUUCAGUGAAGUGUGUGAAACUUUUUCCUCGAAAUGUAAGCAUGUCAAAUAUCCAAGAAUUCUAAAUUGGACAAUCACUAAACAUGUUAGCUCUAAUUUGCUUGACUAUUCCAUAUUUGAUAAGAAAAAGGUAAUAACAAACAAUCUAGAUCGUUAGUGUCUUUCUUUUUUUCUUUUUAAUUUAUCUUUGACAUUUAUUAAUUGGCCUAAUUAUUACAGCUUAAGGUACUGGAGAAGUUGGAUGUCGCUGAUGAAAUAGAGGCAUCACAGCCUAAUCUACAAUGGUUUUGGCAAACAAAUUGGCUGCAACAACUUGAAAAUGAUUUUCGUGUUGACUCAAAGAGUAAAAAAUCAGCCACUCCAGUCUCAGAACAGAAAAGUAGCAGUGUUGUGCAGAAAAAUUAUGUGGCCAUGGAAGUUAAAGAGACUAAUAAACGUGCGAAGUGUCAAGUUAUGUCCAUGAAAUACAAAAUGAAUUAUGAACAUGCAAAUUCUGUUGAGGACAAAACUGUAAGUUUUUUUAAUCUUUUAAUAACAAUUGCAUUUUUCAAUUUUUUUUUUGUUUGCCUAAUAGGCUCUGUCUUGUUCUGCUUGCAAGGGUAAACGUCUUGGUUACAUUGAUAAUUUGAUUUCUUUUAUCGAGGACAAGUUUAAUUGUUUGGAUAAGCGUCUCAAAAAGAUCGAAGAGAAGGUGCAAAAAAUUGACUCAUUAGAGGAGAAUACAGGUGAUGUGAGGGAGAUGAGAGAACAAGUCAAUAAAAUUGUAGACUUAGUGGAGUUCCUAAAUUCAGCGGACUACAAUGUGAAGGUUCAUUUUAUUAUUAUUUUUAACUAAGUAUGUUAUUAUUUUUAACUAAGUACAAAUUGUGUAAAGUUAUUAAUAUUUGCUGCUGUGCAGAUUCCGACAACAUUUGAUGAUAACCCGAGUAUUGCCACACCUGCGACUGUGUUUCCAAGCUUCACCACAAAUGCAGGCAUAGUCAAAGAGGAUCCAAUAAUUAUUCCGUCUACACAGCAAGAGGUGAAAAAAUAUGAAAGAAAAAGGCGAUCUCGAAAGGAUGCAGCUGUUUUACGCACGCCAUAUACUAACCCAUUUCGAAAAUCGCGACAUGUCAACGUCGAUGAAGCAAAACAGCAAGUUCAGUUUGAGCAUUGGCUGAAGGAGGAUAAUAUGGAAUCGUAAUUCCUUAUUUCUCUUUGUAAACUUACUUUUAUUUGAAACAAUAUUUCCUGGUUGACUAUAACAAGCAAUAAGUUUUACUCACAUUUUCUUUUUCGUUACUGCACAGUAAAAUAUUAUCGUGGCCUAUGCAUAAAGCAACAAAGAACUUCUUCCGCAGCUUGUAUGAUGCAGACGCGUGGUUAAAUGGCGGGGUAUUAUUAAUAUAGUUUUUGUUUAGCAUGUAAUUUACUGCAGUAAUGUUUGCAUUUAAUAUUAAUUUACAUAUGUUGGUAAUAUGUACAGCAUAUAGACGUUGGUUGUUACGUGAUAAGAUAUGAUUUGGCCAAGCUCACUAUGCCACAUUUGCACCAAUGUGCAAUCAUGGAUAGUGUAUUUCAGGUACUUAGUACUCUGUAGUAAUAAACAAAUAAGAUAUGUAAAUUUGUGCACUGAAAACUUGCAAAAUUCAUUGUUUUUUCAGCAAAAGCUUUUGUUGAAGUAUGAGUUGUUUAAGAAGGAUCCAACUACAAUAUGGGAUGAAGAUCAAGAACAUGAUUUGACAAUCAAACAAGCAAAUGGCGAAGAUCUUCCAUUCGCUAUUCCAUGGAGAGAUGUUUAUAAGGUAAAGUUUAAAUUUUCUUAAUGCAUCGCUAAAGUUUAAAUUUUCUAUUUUUGAUUGGCUCAAAUUAUUGUAGGUUUAUAUCCCAAUUAAUGUACUUGAGUGUCAUUGGAUUCUUGCUGAGGUUGACAUUGUAAGGGAGACAAUUUCCAUAUAUGACUCCAUGGUUUCUAUAAUGAAUGACUCAACAUUUUUGAAAGAAUUAUUGCCAUAUGCUGUUAUUAUUCCUCUUCUACUGGAGAAGGUUUUAUGGUAUGAUUCGCACCCUGAAACUACCCAAAAAAAUAAAGUUUGGAUAGUUUUGCGUUUAGCGAAUACGCCACAGUAAGAAUCUCGGUGAGCAUACCAAAUGCUCAAUUUAUUUUCAUUUUACUGUUAUAGUUAUAUAUUCAGUAUAUAGUUAACUAUUUUUUAAAAUUCUCAGUGGAGAUUGUGGUGUGUUUGUUUUGCGUUACCUGGACACACUUGCACGUGGUGAAGAUAUUCAAACAAAUUGUACGCAGGCACAUGUCUCUUCUUAUCGCAAGCAACUAGCUGAAAGACUUUUCUAUGACCAGUCAUUACUUUCAAAGAACAACUAACAUGUGAGUAUUAUUUUUUUAAAUGAAGUCAUUGCUGUUGGAAUAGUUUGGUUUCUUAAUGUGAAACCAAAAUAGGCCAUCACUGUUAGUUUGGUUUCUAAUUAAUUUCAUGGAUUUAUUAUAUGCAGGCAUUCCUCAUGCAUGCAUGUAUGCUUCGGCAGAGGAAGAAAGCAAUUUCAAGAAAAAAAAACUUUUAAAUGGUUGUAAUAUGUUUAAUUGCGAUAUCCAUUAGUGUAUCCUAUCCAAAUAUUGACAUUGUAAACUGAUAACUUUCUUUAUUUAUAAUAAUUAAUCUCAUCAUUUCUCAAACUGUCGAAUAUGCAAACUUAUUUGUUUGCUGUAAUUUAUGAACACACAAUUUGGUCAUGUAAGGUCAUGUACACGACGGUCGUGUAUUACACGACCGUCGUGUAGUACACGAGUAUAUUACAUGACCUUAAUAUAGUACGCGACUAUUACAUGACGUUCAUGUAUUACAGGACUUCAUGUGUUACACGACUUUUUCCAAUAAUCAUCAGAUUAAUUUAGUUCUUUAAGGACUUAAUUGGGGCUAAAAUUUUAUAUUUGUUGCUUUGUAGAAAAUGUCAACUGAAAUUAUAAAAACAAAGAAGUUAAAUUAAAUUGGAAUGUAAAGAAAUUUAGUUAUUUCAUAAUGCAACAAAUUACAGUUUCCAAGCAUAACAUAUCCAAGACUAAAAAAUUGUAAAUCCAAUUAUCUAAGUUUGGUUAGCCGUAGGGCCAUGCUCUUGCUCUGAAAGUGGUGUUGUUGCAGUGCAUGUUAGUCGAUUAUGCCCCUCAAUCUGCACCUACUACACUUGCGGUGCACGAUGUCUUCCCCUUGAGAAGGUAUUCUAGUAGUUCGCGGUCGUCCUACCUCUCGCUUUUUCAUUGGCAGUGACAGCACAUAUGCACGCACCUCUUCUGAAACAUCCCAUUCCUCUUGUGGACCCACAAGAUAAAUGCUCUCUGCAUAUGCUGUAACCCAUGCAUUGACAGAAUAAUAAUGAGCACAUAAAUCAUAAAUAGAAUAGUUACGCAUAUGCUUACAUACAGCUACCACAUGUUCAUAGGGAAAUUGGUCAAUUUGAAACUCAUUACAACUGCAAGUCUUUUGUAGCACGUCAACAUGGCCAUCAAGGUCGCCAUCCUUAACUAUAAACUCAUGGAAAUUAAUCUGUAUUACUGGAUAUGUGUGUGAUUUAUCCAAUUUCCCUUUCAACUAUUUCUCAACCCAAGUAGUCAUUAAAGUACAUGCAUCCAUUGCCAAAUCUCGCCUUUUUGCAAACCAUUCUUGUAAUUUGUCAAUGAUACAAUCCAUUAACUUAUAAAUAGGCAAGGUUCGUGCUUCUUUUAAGAUAGAAUUCAUACUUUCUGCAAUGUUAGUCGUCAUAAUCCCAUAACGCCUCCCCUCAAAAUGAGAACGAGCCCACUUCUCAUAUCCGGCAUCAGUCAGGUAUUGGUGAACAUUCAAACUAACACUGCGGAUGACAUUCAUAUAUUGAGUAAACUUAAUGGGCCGAUAUGCCUUUGCAGCCAAUUCAAAUAAAGCACCCACAUCAACUUCUUUAAAAUGAGCAUUUACAUUUCGUUUUAGAUGAUGCGUACAUAUGUCAUACCCUACAGUAGGAAAUACUUUAUCAACUGCUUUCUUAAUACUUCCAUGACGGUCAGAAAUGAAUACUAAAUUAGGAACAUCACCAAUAGACUCUCUUAACUUCAUAAAAUACCAUUCCCAUGAAGCGUCAUUCUCACUGUCACCUACACCAAAUGCAACAGGGUAAAGUUGAUUGUUGCCAUCAAGAGAUGUUGCAAUGAAUAAUGUUCCUUUGUACUUGCCCCUCAUGAAUGUACCAUCAACUGCAAUAACAGGCCUAAUACAUGAAGUGAAUCCUCUCAAAGAACUUCCAAUGGCCAUGAAACAGUACUUGAAGUUGUUCGCACUGUCUUUUUUAAUGAAUGUUCGACUUCCAGGAUUUUUUUUUUUCAACCAUUGCCAUGUAUGAGGGUAAUAAAUGGUAUGAAUCAGCCGGACUGCCCCUAACCAUCUCCAUUGCAAACUCCCUUGCUCUCCACGCCUUGUGAUAACUUAUUUCAUAACCAAACUCUUUUUGAAAAUCUUGCAUAAUAUCAGCUGGCUUAUACGUAGAUGAAGCACCAUCAAACUUGUGCCGAAAAUUUUUCCCAACUAACUUGGAUGAAGCUUGACGGUUGUCUUUUUCCUGUGAAUCAAGGGAGCAAGUAUGGACAUUGUAAUACUUUCUAAUUUCAAACAUGUUGCAACCUUUAAGUCUACUUGCACGAAGGCGCCAUUUGCAGUUGUCAUCCAUACAAACAACAACAAGUAAGUCCUUGUCUGAUUUUGGGGUUUUGAAUUGGAACCUUUUUUUCACAACUAGUGCUUUAAGCUUUUCUUGCAAUGCCUCCUUUGACUCAAACACCUCUUUCACCAUCGACACAUCAGUAUCACCACUAACUUCUGUUGAUAAUAAAUUACUGCUACUAGUAAGUAAAUUUAUUCUGGGCACAUGUCCAUUGUUUGAGGUUCUUGAACUUAUAGGAGCUGGAGUAUUAUCUCCUAAUGCUAAAUCAACAGCUAAUGGUGGCUCAUCCAAACAAUCAACUUCAGUUACAAAUUCAUUAACUUCAGUAAAAUUGUUCGAACUGAGAAUAGGAAAUGAUGGAGGCACGUAGCUGGAGAAAGCAUGACUCUCUUCCCAUGAAAGACGAGGUGAAGGUUGUCUAUCCACCGGAACUGUCGAAAUUGAUCUACGUUCAAAAGUAAUGCAGAGCGGGUUUCUAAACUCCAUUCCACUAGCUACUUCCUCUAAGAAAAAUUCCACAUCAUCAUUGGUUUGAAUUGUAACUGGUGGCAUAGGAUCAGAUGUCUUAAGUUUGAACUUCAUUGUGAUUUCGAAUUCCGAAGUAUCUAUAUCAAUAACUUCAGCUAUCUUGUCCACCAAUUCGGCAUAUGUUGUCGAUCGUGGUAUCAUUAUCCCUUUAGCCUUGGAACCUUUGAACUUAUACUCGUCAUUUUGCUCAAUCCAUUCACCAUUAAAGAGAAUAGGCACACGUACCAAAACCAUUUCUGAUGAUACAAUAAAAACAAUAAUAUCAAAUUUCAUAUACAAGUAAGUACACGACUUACACGACUAUAAUACUUACACGACUUACACGACUAUAUUUCUUACAUGACCUACACGACUUACACGACUAUAUUUCUUACAUGACUUACAUGACUUACACGACUAUAUUACUUACACGACCUACAUGACUAACUAUAUGACGUACACAGUAUCAAGAGAAUGCACGGCGCGAAACAUUUUCGCUAUAAAUAAGUUAUAUUGCUGAAAAAAAUAAUUAAACAACCUACAUUGCAUAUAUUUCUACAUAUAAGAAAAAAUGGUGAAAAUAAAACAUUGUAAUGUGAGGAAAAUUUCUAAAUUUUUCUCAAAAUUAAUAAAUUUAAAACCCAAAAACAUUAACAUACCUUAUUGGGUUGUUUAAUAAGCAAUGCACCUUUAAAGAAAGAGUGGGUGUUAAAGAAAUAAAUACAUAAUUGUAUUUGUGUAAGAAGUUAUGAGAGAUUUUGAGAGAUUCUAAGAGAUUUUGAAAGAAUCGGCAGCAAAAAUGGAGUUGGGUGAAAGAAAUGAGGAAAUGAAUAUGAAGACAAUUUAUUGAAUGAAUUUGAUGCAUUCAUUAAGGGUAUUUCUGACUUUACUCACAUUUGUUAGGGUAUUCAUGAAAACUAAAAAGGGAGGGGGUAUUUCAAUAAUUUUGAAACUAUUAAAGGGUAUUUAAUUAAAAACCCCACAUUAUUAGUACCUAGUUGAUUAGUCAUUUGGUCUUCAAUAAAUGUUAGUUGAUAUAUGCUUGAAAUCAUAUUCUGUUUUAUAUGCCGAAUCAUAUUGUAAGAUGGUGAUAUUAGCAUGUUUCUUUUUCUUUGUGCUGUUUCUCGUUUGAUUACAUUUUCAACAACAAGUCGAUCUGUUGAAGAACAAGUUUGGGUUUGAUGAUGCUUUUAACUAUAAGGAAGAGCCAGACUUGGAUGCAGCUCUCAAUGGGUUGACACGAAUGAAUCCUUUCACCCUUUUUCUCACUUCAUUAUUACAAUGCGCUUUGAAGUUAUCUGUGUUGUUAAGGUUAAGGUUAACCCUGCAGGCUUGUUCGAUGCUGUAUCAACUCCAAAAUCGAACAACAUCUACAGCACCAAGACCCGGUUUCAAUCAGCUCAAAUGAUGAGGUAAAUAACACCAUCAAGCUCAGCUUAGAGACUCAUUAGAUAAGUAAUCCAUUUUCUCAGCUGUUAAUCUCUUGAUGGUGGCUAGUGGAGAAGCAGAGGAAACAAAGGAUGUGCCGGAAUCAAUUAGAACAGUGAGAAGCGUGAGGGGAGUUAUGAUUAUAUUUAGGCUUUUUGAUGAUGCUUUGAACAAAAAGGAAGAGCCAGACUUUGAUGAAGCUCUUGAAAGGUUAGCGAAAAUGAACGCUUUAACCAUGUUUCCAACUUCAUUAUCACAAUAUCUGACAUUGCAUAACUUCAAGUAAAGUUGCUCUUAAAAGGUUAGCAAAAAGCCAAAAAUGAUUGAAGUUAUCUGAGUUGAUCCAGAAAAUGUAAUGGAAAUACUCCCCUGCUUCGUAAAACAGGACAAACAGAGAUCGCUGGUCGCGCAUGGGAACUAAUUGCAUUAAAGUUUCAAACAUUACCAAACAAACUAGGAUGCAUUUGCUUAAGAUUCAUUUUCAAAAGCAAGUUGUAUGUUUAUGUUGCAGCCUAUAAAACCAUGUUUAUGUUGUAUGUUUAUUCAGGAAAUGAAAGAUUCGUCGUGUUAUUUUAUUCCAAGAAUUCGCUGAAACCAUACCUGCUUUCCCAGAUGCUUUCCUGAAGGUAUCGACAUCUAUUUAAAAAAUUCUGGGGGUAAGAUGCUUGAUGCAGUGCUACUCAACAUGAGAAUUCACGGCCGCUGCUGUAUGCUGAAAGAUCUCACCGUACAACCGUGAGAAGCCUGAAGGUGUAUUCAACUUGAUACAACUGGUCGUAGUUGCUAGGGAAGGAUAUAAGGUGUACUCAACUUGAUAUGCUGUAAAAGUGCACUAUGCCAUGUACUUUUAAAGCUUUUUGAAGAUGUUUUGGCCAUGUGUUUGAUUAGAUUGUACUCAGAUAUAAAUCAAAGAUUCAGAACAUGUUUGUUACUGUUUUUCAGAAUCCAGAACAAUAAAUACCUUGAAAUGUUUUUGUUCAAUGAUUUUGCAGAAGACCAGCUUCCUUGUUAAUGAAUCAAGAUGGCUGAAUCCGUCCCUAAGCCAAAUCUGUUUUCACUUUUAGGUUAGAAAUUGUCAUUAAAAAGUGUUUGAUAAAAUAUGCUCCGGGAACGCUAUUCGUCAGAUGGUUACUCCAAGUUUAUGAAAUCAAUGGUAUUUCAUCAUAUUCAUAACACUCUGCUUUAAUAUCUAUUCUAACAGAGAAAUUAUAUACAGAGAAUAGGUUGCGUUAGAACUUUUGCUAGAAAAAAGUGACAAGAAUUCAUCGUUCACUUGUAUCUUAAGUAAGUGUAAAAUUUAAAAUCCCAUCAUGAAAAACUCCUGGGAGAAAAAACUAUAAAAAUUAAAGAAAAAAGAGUGUGGCGUGCAUGUAAAUUAUGUCGAUUCUAUCUAUACGAUAAAUACACUCUCUUUUACAAUGGCACGGAUGCUUCAUUGAGUAAUCAUGAUUGUUGCUGGUAGUGCUUUGUUGAAUCAAUCUGCUAGAUAUUCAGCUUUCUUUCUUUCUUACUUUUUUUUUGUUUUAAUAAAUAGCUUGUGGUUGUGAAAAUAAUUUGAAUUAAACUAUGCUUAACUGCCUAUUUGGUACAACUUCUCUACUAGCCAAAAGAUUUUUUUUUAAUCAUUUAUUUAUACCUCGAGUAGAGUUUUUGGAGAUUAAAUAGGUGAUAUUUUGUCUCUAUUAAAAAGAAAACUCAAAAGGUAGGACUAUUUGAAGUUUGAAUCCACCAAACUACUCAUUAAAAAUUCAUUUGUGAAAAUAAUUUUUAAUUAUUAAAAUACCCCUAAAUUAAAUUACAAUUAUGAACACUAAAAUAUAGUAAACAAUUUUUUUUUUACUCUUUGAAAUUGUCCUUACAUUCGAUAUUAAAUUUUUUUCUUAAACUCUAAAUUAAUUUUUUUUUUCAUUUUUAAGUAAUUUUAAGGCACAUAUAAAGUGAUUCAUAUUGAUUUUAUACUAACAAACUAUUACAGCAGAUUUGGAAAAUGAUUAACUCGUUCUCAUUUUCCUAGUGAAAAUGCAAAUAGCUCAUUUAAACGUUAAGGAAUUGGAGAGUUGCUGCUGGAGAUGAAAGAUGUGAAUUAAACAUCAGAAAAAAAAAUUAUGUUUACUAUCUUACCAGACCAAGCACCGAAAAGCAUGGUAAAGAAAAAUUACAUAAUUCUGACUUAGAAGACGAAAAAAAAUGAAAUACAAUUUGAAUAAGAGAUAGAAGAUAAAGCACGUGAAUGGAGGCAGAAAGCAAGUAAUGAUAACUCUUUCGACAAAACUAAUAUAUAUCAAAAUGCAAUAUCAAAAAUGAAAAUAAAAAUUCAUUACGAAUACAUGUUAAUGAUAUCCCAAGUGUUGAGUAAUAAAAAGUACCAGGCAGGCAUCUCCCCAUUCCAUGCCUGAGAAUGAAUCUCUCCAGCUGAAUGAUACGAGCAGAUUCCUAAUAAUAUAUCCUUUAUGGAACACAUACCAACUAGAAACGAAUACCGACCAGAAGUUCAUACCGACCAGGUACUUGUCACUCAAAGAAAGAGAAUACAAUCUCACGAACGCGCGACAGUUUUGCCACAUUCCAAACCGCUAGGGAGAACACGACGCCCCACGUUUACCCACAUUCAGUUGUUGAAGACCCAUUAAGGCCCUUGAUCACCCAAAUAUGACGGGAAGGAAAAAUAUUCUGAGAAAGUGGGACGAUUGCCUAUAAAAAGCUGGGAAAUCAAUUAAGAAAGGGACAGACAAAAAGAGAGAGGGGGGAAACUCUACCGAAUUGAUACCAGGCAUUACUACAUAAUAGCCUUAAAUACAUUUUACUUUAAGAACAUCACAAUGAGUGUGCGUAACCAUAAAUCAUACAAUUUUCCCGCAAACUUCAUGUACUAACUUAAGCAUCGGAGGGUUUAUUCCGGAAAAACCACCAACGUCUCUGGUUUGUUUAUGUGAAUGUAGAUUUGAAAAGAAGAGAAAGAGUGAUUUGAGUUCAAGGAGCUCGGGCAAUUGCUAAAGUUAGUGGAAAAAAUUAAAUGAGACUCAAAAUCAAUCCAGAGGAAUAAAUGAGAAACCUAAUCCUAAUAAAAUACAUUCACAAAUCUUAAUGCUAAUUAAAAUCACGGAUAAAAAACAUAAUAUGAAUGAAUUACAGGCACAACUAUUUUAUUAAGAAAUUAAUAAAAUCGUGUAUUAAUAUAUUUUGUACAUUUUUUUUCCAUAUAUAACUUUCGGUAAUUUAGUUUUCCACUUAUCAUUUUUACUCCAAAAAAAUAUUGAGAAUAUUAUUUAUGUUUUGGUGUAAAAUAUUUGAACAAUAUACAAAUUUUCAGUUUAAUACAUCUAAACAUUUAUUAAGUUAUAAAUGAAUUUAAUGGGUUUAACUAGUACAAAUACUAUUAUUUUAUAAAUUGGGUUUAAUAAUAGUAUAUUGGGGAUUUAGGUUGAGUAAAUUUUAAAAUUUUAAAAUUAAAGGGUGGGUUUGUUUAGCAAAUGAGUUUUUUUUUUUUUUUUAUUACAUGAGACUAUUGCUCAAAUUACAGUUCAAGUUACAACUCAUAUUACAUGAGAGUAUAAUUGAUAUGUACAAUCAUAUAUUUAUACUGAGCCCUGUUGAUAUUAAUGCUGAUAUGACACCGCUCAGAUUUUUAACCCUCUCAAAUAUUUGAGGGAUGUCAAACUCCCAUCCUGGGAGAAAGACUGUCUUCACUCGAGCUCAAGGGCUCCAAGAAAGAAUAUUUAAAGUAAAACCCCUACAAUGCGACUGCGGAGGCUCGAACCCCUUCCCUCACAUUUGUGAGGGAGGGGCUUAGCCUUAGCCCAAGUGGCUCUUUUAGCAAAUGAGUUAAGGGAAUAGUUUGUUGGGAUUUAAAUAGCCCCACCCAAACUCAAAUGUAAAAUUUUUGAAAAAAGAGACUAUUACGUUUUAAAAAAAAGAAUUAAAAGGUCAAGAAUACCUCUAUUUAAUUUUAUAAUCAUAUUUUAUUUCUACCCUAAUAUAAUAUUAAAAAACUUAACUAAAAAUUUUAUAAUUUUUUAUAAAAAUUACCAUUAACAUCCAAAAAGCUAAAGAUUAAAAAAAAAAAAGGAACUGUAUUUACAAAAGUUAUAUCAAUAAUAAAUUCAGUCCAAAGAAAAAAGUUAUUGUAAACAAGUACUCAUAUUUAUCUCUACUUUAACAAUAAUCUUCGAAUCCGUUUUACAAUGGAUUUUAACCAAUGGGCUUAUGAGUCCUUUUUUGGAAAGCAUGAAAGCGAUGGCCCAAUCUCUAAACUUCAUUUUCUUUAGCCAGAAAGCCUAAAACAAGACCAGCCCAUAGAUAUAUAACUACCGGAAAAAAUUAAAAAGAAAAAAAAGAGUAAAAUUGUGUAAGAGCUUUUAGAAUUACAAUUUUAGGAUCACGUGUGUAAAUGGAACUCCAAGAUUGAUCAAGAAUUAACAAGGCAAGAUGAAGGGAUGAUCUUGUAGCAAAGAAUGAAGAAAUUGAAUCAAGAAAGUACUCUAGUGCUUUAGUGCUUUACAGUUAAGGGAUAUAGGGUGCGUUUGGGAUUGAGGUUGGGCAGCUGUAGCUUAAAAGCUACAGCACUAAAGUGUUUGGUAAACACUAGCUGCUGUAACUUUUAAGCUAUGUUGAUAUAAUUUUUCACUUGUAUAAUAUAAAAUUUAUUAUAUCUUUAAUAAUUUUGAUAAAAUUAUUAUUUACAAUUUAUAUUUAUUAUAUAUUAUUAACUUUUAUUUCAUAAUUACAACUUCUUUUUUACAGCAGCUGUAGCUUAAAAACUACAGCACCUCAAUCCCAAACACAACCAUAGUGUGAAUUCAUUACAAAGCAUUCGCAAAGAAAUUGUUUUUAAAUGAAACUCCUCGUCUUGACCAGAUUAUUUAUUAUUAUUCAAAAAAAAAAUGUUCAAAACUUAGCCAAAGUGAUAAACUCGUAAUUAUUCUACAAAGGGAACAAUUUUGAACGGUCGGAAAUUCCAUGCUUAUGAUUUUCUCUGCACUAUUUCAAUAAAAUUAUUACCCAGUGAAGACUUUAGAGACAAGUGCCCCCAUGAGAUCAAGCAAAUAUGCCCCCACAAAGAUCACAUAAUUAUUUCUUGUUCUUUUUCUUUUUGACAAUUUUAUCUGUGGUUUCAACUUUUACGCUUUAUUGUCAUUUCUCGUUGAGGGCUCCGCUGCACCCAUUACAACUUACCCCUAUAUUGUCUUUUACUGACUAAACCGUUAGAUUUGACGGAUAGCACGUUCAAUGCUGAAUUUUAAUUAUAUCAUCAAAUUUCGUUUAGCUCCUUAAACUCCAUUUUAUUUUUUAUUUCUUUAUAAAAUAUUCAAAGCUUCAUCAAGCUCCCGAUGGACCAUCAUGGCUAGGGGUGCAUUAGAGCCGAACUGAAAUAUGUUAGUUUAGUUUAGUUUGGUCAGUUUAAAUCGAAUGGUUUAGAAAAUAUAAAAUGAUCAAUUUUAAUUUUGAAUUGAACCGAACCAAAAAUUAAUUGAUUUGCUGUUAGUAUUUUUGCAUAAACAUAAAUGAUUAGUGAUUAUAAUUGAAUUGGACUAAAAAAAAUCAAACAAAAGUGAAAAAUAUAAAAUCUUAGACAAUAUAAAAGAAAAAAUAUUAAAUAUAUAAACCAAAACGAACUGAAUUAUUUUGACUCAGUUUUGGUUCAUAAUUUUUUAAACCAAACUGAUUUAUUCCCACCCCCUAAUCGUGGCCCUCUAUCUUUAGUCAUUCACCCUUGAGUUUGAUACCAAUUGUUGGGUUUCAAAUGAUUAUACACUCAAAUGGAACCCCUCAUAACCAAAAACUAACAGAAACAAUAAGAACACAAUGUUAAAAUCUUAAAUCAAUCGCAAAAAAGCACCCAAAACAGAUCGAUUAGGAAUAGUUAACAACAAAAGAUUUAAUGGUUCAAAAUCAUAAUGUGACCUACUUCCAUCCAAGAAUCAUACUAAUUGCUUUACUUGUUGUCAAAUACGAGAUCAUAAGAUUGUUUAUCACUCUACAGAGAAAAAAAAUUUAGAAGAAAUACUCCCCAAUUUUUCUCUUAAUAGUUAUGAAUCAACACCCCUGAUUUACUUUUCCUUAUUUCCUAUGAUCGGUUGCUGCUACUUAAUCCUUACCAAGCUCCAACAUAGUCCAAACACUUUUCAUGGUACAUGCACAGUGCACCUUCAGAAACUUUACAGCUCUUCUUAAAACCUCAGGCCUAUAGAGUGCAAUUUCGCACCUAUAUGCUUAGUCCUCUCAGUUCUCGUGAUGUUUUUGAUUUAUUUCUCGGACGAGUAGCACUUUUAGCUGCCAUAAUACAAUGUAAUUGACUUCUGAGCAUGACUUAAUUUUGAGAUCAUUACUUUUAGUUAAAUGAUCUCCUCCAGAGCUUCUACCUAUGUAGUGUUUUUAGACCUCUAUAGUUGAUAAAGCAUGUUCAAGGUGAAGGCUUGUUUUCCAAUCUAUAGUCCAAUUAUAGACUGGAACUGGUCAGGCUUAAUGCACCUUCAAAAGCUUCACAACUUAUAUUGAAACCUUAAGCCUUGUAGAAUGCUACAAAUUUUAAAUCCAUAUACUUAGUGCUCUUAUGAUUUGUUUGAUUUUUACUUAGAUGAAGAGCAUUUUAGCUAUAGAAUACAGAAACUAAUUCAAAGCCUGCCUUAGCUAUGAGAUCAUUCAUUCUAGCCAAAUGCCCCUUUAGAGAUUCUGCUAUUGUUGCGUAUUAAGCCUCUAUAUCAAAGCAAUUACAUGUCGAAGGCUUGCUUUGCAGUUAACAGCGCAAUUACAAUUAUAUAGAUUAAAGGUGUAAAUCCAUAAAACUACCAGACUUCAAUCUUUAGACUCCAUAGAUCAAACCAUAACUUAGUGUGCCUUUCAAUCUCAGGUAACUGUUUUCCACGUCUUGCCAUGUACUUGCUGCUAACACUAACAAUUUGAGAAAUGUUAGGCAUCGUAAGCAGCCGACAACACUCUUCUUCAUUUCUUCAUUGUCAAUUUCUUUCUUGGAACAUUGCUCCAUUGAGAGUCUGCUAUCAUUGCUCCAAUUAUUAUUAUUUUUGUUUUUGUUUUUUAAAAAAAUAACCGUGCAAUAAGAGUAUAAGACUAAGCAACGGUCCUUUUUUUUUUACCCAUUCUUGAACAUGAAGUAUUUGAGUAUGUAAUAAAAAUUGUUUAUCGAUAAUUAAAAGUUAAUAGUGGGUGGCUUUAGGUUUUGUUUACAAAAUUGACAACAAAUUAGAUUUUUCAAAUUCAUAGGUAAGAAACUUUUCAUUUAUUCAUAGAUUUUCCGGUUUAAACUUUAAAGGAAACUUAAAAGAAAAAGAUGUAUCAUUAGGUUUGUAAUUAAAAAAAUUUAAUAUUGUAUGAUCUGUUCGAUAUGCAUAAUUUAAAUAAACAUUAAUAUAGAUGUUAUAUAUCCUAAAACUUAAUUGACUUAAUUCUUAUGGUGCAAGGAAGAGGUUUCCAAGUUUAAAUCUAAAGUCUUGUAUUUAAUUUGGGGUCGGGAAAGCACUGGGAAAUAAAUGUAACAAAGGAAAAAAAAAAAAGAAUGACAGUCUGAGUGGAGCCAACGCGGUUUUAAAAAAAGUGAAAAAAAGGGUUUAAAAAAAAAAACGCGGUUUGCUUGCUUGUGGAAAUAGAAGUCUCAUGUUUCUUUGAAAGGUAAGCAAGUGUGAAUGUUUCUAUCUAGAGCUGGAAAAUGCAUUUCCGUGCAACUUACUUGAUGAAUGAAGUUUUCAUCGCUGACCCUGAUGUUUCCCUGAGCUGCAUUCAUUGCAGCUGAUGUAUUUCAUUUUGUUUUCGAAGGAGUGACACAAAAUCUCCUUCGUUAAGGUGAGAAUUUAGAGUGGCUUUAACUGUUAACAAAUAGCCUAAUAUAAGACUUAAUCUACUUCCUGCCCUGUUGUAUGCUUAUGAAAUUUGAUAGAGUUAUGAGUUUGCAGAAGCUACUGUAUUAUAUGUUGCUUGAGGCUGUAAAAAUGAGGCAGAUCAAACACACAUUUAAAUUUCAAUGACAAUUUACUGGAAGUAAAUUUCCUAUGACCCUACAUGUGACUAAUUGAUGAGAAGUUGACAAAUGACAAAAGAAAGUGUAUGAGCUUUGCAGGUUGGCAUGCCGAUACUGACUGUGUGGCACCAUCCGCCAUUUGGAAGUGAAUAUCAUUAUUCUUUAAUCAACAUGGUGGAGUCCACUGGGACCACACCACAUGGUCAGUCUUAUCUCUAUUCCUCAAUUUUCAGUAUUCCAUACAUGAAAACAACUUCAGUUUUGUUAUCAAUUAUAAUUUCAUUGUUGGUGACGAUUCUGAUUCCUUUCUUUCUGACAAAACGGAACCAUGGUUGCUGUGGGAGAGAUCUUACUCAACGCCUUCUUUCAGGUGUUGUUUGACAGGUUGGCUUCCCGUGAUUUGCUCAGCUUUGUCCGUCAACUUGGAGGCGGGGUCGAUUCCGAGCUCAAGAAGUGGGAAAGAAAGCUGAAGAUGAUUCAGGCGGUGCUCAACGAUGCAGAGGAGAAGCAACUGACUGACGAGGCUGUGAAGACGUGGCUGGACGAUCUCCAAGACUUGGCUUAUGACGCUGAGGACAUUCUUGAUGAGUUUGCUACUCAAGCUUUGGAAAGCAAGUUGAUGGCGCAAAAUCAGGAUAGCUCUGGCCAGGUUCUCAGUUUCAUCCCGGCUAGUAUCCGAAUGCUGUUAGGUUCAAUUAUAGCAUGAGGUCCAAGAUUAACGAUAUUACUAGCCGGUUGGAGCAACUCUGCAAAGAAAGAAUCGAACUUGGACUGCAACGGAUUCCUGAAGGGGCAUCAUCAACUGCUGCUGCUGCACACCAGAGGCCACCCAGUUCAAGCGUCCCACCAGAACGUGAAGUUUUUGGUAGAGAAGAAGAUAAGGCCAAAAUUCUUGAUAUGGUAUUGGCCGAUAGCCCAAGUGAUCAUGCCAACUUUGCUGUAAUACCCAUUGUUGGCAUGGGCGGGAUAGGAAAAACAACUCUCGCUCGGGAGGUCUACAAUGACAAGGCCGUUGAACAUUCCAAGUUUGAUGUAAAAGCAUGGGUUUGUGUAUCUGAUGUCUUUGACAUUUUGGGCAUCUCAAAGGCACUUCUCGAGUCAAUCUGCUGCGCAGCUAGUGAUCUCAAGACUUUAAAUGAAGUGCAGGUUCAACUGAAAAAAGCAGUGGACGGAAAAAGAUUCUUGCUGGUCUUAGAUGAUGUUUGGAACGAGGACUACAGCUUGUGGGUAGACUUAAAAGCUCCAUUCUUGGCUGCUGCACCAAAUAGUAAGAUGAUUAUCACCACACGCAAUUCACAUGUUGCAUCUACAAUGGGACCCAUUGACCAUUAUAACCUCAAGCAUCUGUUAGACGAUGAUUGCUGGUCUAUUUUCAAAACGCAUGCAUUGGAGGGUAGAGAUCAUAAUGCACUUGAAAUCUCAGAAUCAUUUCGCAAGAAAGUUGUUGCCAAAUGUGGAGGCUUGCCCCUUGCUGCAAAAACACUCGGAGGCCUUUUGCGUACGACGAGGCAUGAUGCGUGGGAUGAUAUAUUAGAGAGCAAAAUAUGGGAUUUACCUCAACAAAGUGGGGUUCUCCCAGUAUUAAGAUUGAGUUACCAUCAUCUUCCUUCUCAUUUGAAAAGAUGUUUCGCUUACUGUGCAAUCUUUCCAAAAGAUUAUGAAUUCAAUGAGAAGGAGGUGACUUUUUUAUGGAUGGCUGGAGGAAUUAUUCGACAGUCAAGAAGCAAAGAGCGGCUAGAAGAUUGGGGCAGCAAGUGCUUCUAUGAUCUGGUGUCAAGGUCAAUUUUUCAGCAAACAGCAAUCUCUGGUAGUUCUAAAUUUGUAAUGCACGACCUUAUUCAUGAUCUUGCUGAAUUCGUCUCUGGAGAAACCAUAUUCAGGUUAGAGGAGUCCACCAACUUGUCGUCAAGCAGAUUUGAAAGAGUUCGCCAUUCUUCCUAUGCCGGCGGUUGGUAUGAUGGUAAAAAUAAGUUUGAGGUUUUCUAUGAAAUUGAACAUCUACGAACAUUCUUGCCAUUACGCUUACGCAUGCGAGGUACUUUUUUCAUAACUAGAACGGUUCUAUCUGAUUUGCUGCCAAAGUUCAAAAAAUUGAGGAUGCUAUCUUUAGAAGGAUACUGUAUUGGUGAGUUACCAAUUCCAUUUGAAGAUCUCAGACUUUUAAGGUUCCUCAACCUCGCUGACACUGACAUAAGAAGUUUACCUGAGUCAACAUGCAAAUUGCUGAACUUGGAAAUUCUGAUAUUAAGAAAGUGUUCCCGCUUGAUAAAGCUUCCCCAGAAAAUGAGGAAUUUGAUCAAUUUACGUCAUCUGGAUAUAAGAGGUGCACAGCAGCUGAAGGAGAUGCCAUUUGGAAUGAAAGAGUUGAAGAAGCUUCAAACAUUGUCCAAUUUUAUUGUGGGCAAGGGUGAAACUGCAUCCGGUGUGGAAGAUUUAAAAUGUUUAAGCUUUCUUUGUGAUGAACUUUGCAUUGCUGGAUUAGAGAAUGUGAAUAAUCCACAGAAUGCAAGAGAAGCCGCAUUAUGCGAGAAGCACAAUCUUGAAGCAUUGACUCUAGAAUGGGGGUCUCAAUUUGACAAUUCUCGAGAUGUAGCAAUAGAAGAGCACGUGCUUGACAUUCUACAGCCUCAUAAAUGUAUAAAAAAGGUGGCAAUCAGGAGCUAUGGUGGUGCAAGAUUUCCACUUUGGAUAGGAGAUCCGUUGUUCUCCAAGAUAGAAUUCCUUGAAUUGGAGAACUGUGACAAUUGUGUAUCUUUGCCAUCGCUUGGCCGUUUGAGUUCACUUAAACACCUUGCUGUUAAAGGGCUGAAGAAACUAAAAAGCAUAGAGCCUGAGGUUUAUGGGGAGGGUUUCUCAACGCCUUUUCCAUCAUUGGAGAUUCUAAGUUUCGAGAAUUUGACAGAAUGGGAGCAUUGGGACACGGAUAUCAAAGGAAAUGCACUUGUUGAAAUAUUUCCUCGUCUCCAUAAACUUUCCAUUGUGAAAUGUCCCAAACUCUCUGGAGAACUGCCUGAGCUCCUGCCCUCCUUGGAGACACUUGUUGUUAGUAAAUGUGAAAAGUUGGUAGUUCCAAUGUCUUGCUAUCCGAUGCUCUGCAGAUUAAAAGUUGAUGAGUGCAAAGAACUGGUCUGCCGGACUCCAAUUGAUUUUAAGUUGAUAAAGUCUGUGACUAUUUCAAAUUGUUCACUAGACAUGUAUGGAUGCAAGGGGAUGCUAUACAAUGGUCCAGCUGGCUCUUCACUGCCGAAAUCCAUGACUAUUACAAAUGUUUUGGCGUUUGGAAAAUUAUUGAAGCCUGGAUUUCAGAUAUUAGAAACUUUGGUAAUUGACAAUUCUGAACAGCUCAAGUCAUGGAGGCAGCGUGGGGAUUUUCGACAAGAAUAUUUGGGCGUUCGCGUAAGGCGUCACAAACCAUCACAAGGGCUAGAUAUGCUCGCCUCCCCAGAAGAGGUAACAAUUGAAGAAAGUUGUGUGAGUUUUGUUUUAUUUCCAGAGAUCAAUUUCUUUCCCAGAAAUCUGCGCUCUCUUCUAAUUUGCAACAGCACAGCUUUAAAAUCCUUACCCGAUGAAAUGAUGGACAAUUCACAACUCGAAAGGUUGUAUAUCAGAGAUUGCGAUUCUCUAACAUUCAUCACAAGACGCAAGCUACCUUCAUCUCUAAAAAGUAUAGAGAUUGAGAAUUGUGAGAAACUGCAACAUUUGUUCGAUGAUAAAGAGGAUGCUUCUUCUUCUUCUCCUCCUUCAUCCUCGUCCUCCCCAGUGAUGCUGAAACACCUGAGUAUAAAUAAUUGCCCAGUGCUCACCAGUUUAUCAACAGGAAUCCAAUUACUUGAGGCGCUUGAAAGCCUCGAGAUACGGGAUUGUCCAAAGCUGGAGUCAUUACCAGAUGGCCUUCACAAUCUUAACUGUUUACAGGAGAUUACUCUAAACAGUUGUCCAAGUCUUGUUUCCUUCCCAGAAAGAGGACUUCCCAACACGAUUUCAAAUCUUGUAUCGUUUCCAGAAGAAGGUUUUCCUACCAAUCUAACAUCACUUACAAUUGGAUAUUUCAAAAUGUAUAAGACACUCGUCCAGUGGGGGUUGCACAGGCUUACCUCUCUUAAACGCCUCUGCAUCAUUGGAUGUGAUGAUGAAGCAGAGUGUUUUCCAGACGAGGAGAUAGGAAUGACGCUGCCCACCUCUCUCACUCAUCUGACACUUUCGGAAUUCAAAAAAUUGAUAUCUCUGUCUUCGACGGGUAUUCAGAGCCUCAACUCUCUUCAAUCUUUGUCGAUCGGGAAUUGCCCGAAUCUCACAUCAUUUCCAGAGGUGGGCCUUCCAUCCUCACUUUUGGAAUUACACAUUUACAGUUGUCCAAAGCUUAAAAAAGCGUGCAAAAGAGAUCAAGGAAAAGACUGGCCCAAAAUUGCUCACAUCCCUUUCGUUGAGAUAGACGGUAAAUUCAUAUACGAUCCCGAAUCAGAGGAGUAGAUUCUAUUACACAGGUCAGUUGAUUUAUAUUAUCCGCUAUAACAAGCUCCUCCUUUUUUAUUUUUUUUAAAUAAUAAUUUUGCAGUCAGUCACGUGAUUCCGUUUUCACAAGUCAGAUUGUAUGUUGAGGCUAUUUGCCUUUUAAUCGCAGAUUAAAUUAUAACACUUAUCUUAAAAUUUAAUACCAUAGACAGAUAGACGAUUUUUUAAUCCAAAGUUUUUUUUAUUCACUUCAGUUAGCAUUUUUUUUUCCCCCAAAUCAUGCAAGCCGAGAGUUUCAAUCAAGAAUUGGAGGAUGUGAAUGGGAUUUUUGUGAAAGAGUAACAUAAUGGAUGACCGAACAUUUCAUCUGUGAUCUCAAAGUCAACAGAAUUUUAUUCACUCAUUGACUUUUCAACUGCCGUGGUUUUUAUGGGUGAAAGAUAAGGGCAAUUACAAAAAAUUUGCAAAAUUUGUCAAUUUCUUAGAUGGUAGAUAUAUCGACAUUUUAGAUUUCAGAUAUUUGUCACCAAUUUGCAAAAUUGAAAUUUCUGUCUUCAAUGGGUUUUCAAAGCCUCGCCUCUCUUCGAUUUUUGUGGAUUGGGAAUUGCACAAAUCUCACAUCAUUUCCCGAGGUCGAGGAAAAGAGCGGCCCAAACUUGCUCGCAUCCCUUGGGUUAUGAUAGAUGGAAAAUUCAUGUACGAUCCAGUCAGAGGUGUUGAUUCUCUUAUUAAGGUCAGCUGAUUUCUAUUAUCCACUCUGACAAUCUCCUAUUAGUGUUUUUCCUUUUUUUUUUUUCAAAAUUUUGCAGUUCUGUAUAAUUGAAAAUGCCACUCACUUGUUUCCUUUUUCACAGGUCAGAUAGUAUGUUGAGGCUAUUUGAUUUCUAUCGGUGUUUGUUAAGGUAAUUAGUGCUCCCUCAUAGGUAUGACUAGAUUUUUUUCACUUCCGUAAAUAUUGCAUUUUAGACUGGCAAAUUUAGCAGUAAUUUUAAUACAAUUUUGUUGGUGCCUUGUGUGCCAGAAGCUAGAAAAAUGUGUAGUUUUCAGAUAAGGAGUCUUGUUAGUUCUCUAGUAAGAAUCCAAUAAUUUGCUUUUGCACGUCCAUCUAAUUUGUGGAUCCUUGCAUCAGAAUUUGAUCAAUCCAAAGGAAUUGCUUUUAGACAGAAGAAGAAUAGCAGCACCUAGCCUAUGUCAUAGUGUAUGGACCCGCAAACCUGAAACUAUUAGAUUGAGGUAAAAAAAUCAUUGACCCUCACAUGUUAACUUCUUCUAGUUACUUUUGUUGGGAAAAAAAAACAUUUAAGGAAUUUGCAAUUUGUUGUUAGUUAUGGUAUCUGAUGUUCUUUUCUGUUUUAGCGUUUGUAGAAUCUACGGUAUUAUGUGUUGGCAGUUGCCGUAUCUGAGGUAACUUGCCUUUAUUUGUUUGCUUCUGACUUAAGGACACCAACAUUUGCCAGAGAUUUAGAGAAGCAUCUCAAAACACUUAGCAAACUUGACAAACUUCAAGAUGCACUUGCCCCCACGCCUUAUUCUCCACAACGCAAAACUUGUGAGUACACUUAUGCCUGCAAUUAUUGUGAAGUGUUUGCAAUUUCGAUGCAGAGAAAUGGUUUCUUGAUGCAAAGUAUUAAACUGUUAAGAUUUAUCCUGCAGGCUUGUUAGAUGUUGUAUACUCGAAAAGCCAACAACAUCAAGAACUACAACUCCAAGACCAACUUUGCAUUAAUUCAGUCAGCUGUAAAAAUGAUGCAAAUGACACUAUAUCAAGCUGGACUUAGAGACUAGUCAGAUCAAUCAUCCAUUUCAUCAACGGUUAAUGUCAUGAUGGUGGCUAUCAGAGGAAACAAAAGAUGUGUCAGAAUCUAUACGAACAUUGAGAAGCAUGAGAGGAGCUUUGAUUUUGAGUAGGGUCAAUGAACUCAUGUUGGUAAGUGGUGAUUAAAGAAAUUUGUAAGCUUAGUAGAGUUUCAGUAUUUUCUGUUUGGAGUAUAGUUGAUAAGUUGACUCUGUUUAAGAAGCCCGAUUAUAGUAGCUGACUGUAUUAACCUUUUUUUUUUUGGUCUGCUGUUGUUUUUGGUUUCGAUUAUUUUUUCAACAUUGGGUUGAUCUGUUGAAGAACAAGCUUGGGUUUGAUUAUGUUUUAACUAUAAGGAAGAGCCAGACUUGGUUGCAGGCGUUAAGCUUUUAAUGGGUAAGAACAAAUGAAUGCUUUAACCAUGUUUCUCACUUAUUAAAAUGCAUGGAUUGAAGGCAUCUGGGUUGAUCCUGACAAUGUGAUGGAAAUACUUCUCUGUUUUCAUGUAACAGGACAAAUAGAGAUCUCUGAUCAUGCCUGAAUUUUUGUUGCAUUGAAAUUUCUACCAUUACCAAACAUAGAAUGAACUGGGGAUACAUUAGCUUAAGACUCAAUUUUGAGAAGGAAGUUUGUACUUGCAGCCUAUAAAAUCAUGUCCGUGUCGUACGUUUCUUUGGGAAAUGAAAGAUUCUGUGUGUUCUUUUAUUUCAAGUUCACUGAAAUCACAUUUGUUUUCUCCGAUGCUUUCCAGAAGGUAACAACAUCAAUUUCAAAAAUGCUGGGGCAAGAUGCAUCAUGCAGUGCGACUCAACUUGAGAAUUCCUGGCCACAUUACCCGUAUGUCGAAUGAUCGCACAGUUCAACCUUGAGAAGCUUGUAAUGAGUACACAACUGGGUGCAAGUAGUUUUGAAAUGAAUUUGCCUCAAAUGAUUUCUUGCUCGCAUCCCUUGGGUUAUGAUAGAUGGAAAAUUCAUAUACGAUCCAGAGUCAGAGGUGUUGAUUCUCUUAUUAAGGUCAGCUGAUUUCUAUUAUCCACUCUGACAAACUCCAAGACCGGGUUUUUUUUUUUUUUUAAUUUUGCCGUUCUGUAUAAUUGAAAUGCCACUCACUUGUUUCCUUCUUCACAGGUCCGAUAGUAUGUUGAGGCUAUUUGCUUUUUAUCGGUGUUUGUCAAGGUAAUUAGUGCUGCCUCAUAGGUUGAUUACUCACAGAUGAAAUCAUAACUUUUAUCUUAAAAUUUAAUAGCAUACACAGAUAGAUGAUUUUUAGUCCAAAGUUUUUUUAUUCACUUCAAUCAAAAUUUUAGAUUGCAGAUUUUUGUCAAGUAUUUCAUUACAAUUUUUUCAUUUUUUAUUUUAAACCAGAAUAUGAGUAUAACAUUUUGGAGCGUGCAUACUCUGAUGCAUGCAAUUAACUGUUUUUAAUCAUUGGAUUUUGAAAUUAAUAAUGGUAAGAUGUGUACUUAUUCUGUCUUCCAACAACCUUGGCCUCUUUCUUCGGUCGCAUAUCUAAUGAAUAUUUCUCUGUUUAGUUAAGGAUGAAUGCUUGGAGUGGGGUACUUGGUAACAUUUCUGCCUCAGAUGAAUCCUUGAAGAAAUGCCCGCAGUUCCUGAGACCAAAUACAGGUCUGAUUCAAAACAGCACCUUUCUCAGAAAAUAUGAUCCAAGGCAAAGUCAUGUUCUGAUAAUGUUUCCUUAAGUACAAAGUUGCAAGGAAACUUGAUUCAUUAACUACAGUUUUUUAUUUUUAGGACCUUGUAUCUGAAAGGUUCAGUGUUUUUUUUUUUUUCAAAUUUAUUGUUCAGAUCUCAGAGGAGUAUAUGGUUUAGAUUACAAAACACCCAUGAUUAAUUUCAUUUUUUUUUUAAUUUCAGGGAGAAGAAGUGGUCAGUUUCAAUCCGGAAUUGGAAUAUGGCAAUUUGGUUCAAGCACACACACCUGGUCACUUGGUCAGUGAACCUGAACUUUACGCAGUUUUUUCAACUCAGUGAUUUUUGGAACGCAUAGUGGUGUAAGGAAAUCAAAAGAAAUUUAUGCAUAGUCAAAUUCUGAUAUUUGCUAUAUAUUAUACAUUCUAAAGUUUCUCCAGUUUGUUCUCAGAUUACCAUCAUUUUUUGCCUUCACCAAAAAAAAAAAAUUGAGUGGCUUUCCAGUGGAUAUUUAAUCGGAGGUAUGACUGGAUUUUUUUCACUUCUGUAAAUCUUGCAUUUUAAACUGGCAAAUUUAACUUUAAUUUUAAUACGACUUUGUUGGUGCCUUGUGCCCCAGAAACUAGAAAGAUGUGUAGUUUUCAGAUAAAGGGGCUUGUAAAUUCUCUAGUAAGAAUCCAAUAAUUUGCUUUUGCACGUUCAUUUUAUUUGUGGAUCCUUGCAUCUGAAUUUAAUCAAUCCAAAAGGAAUUGCUUUUAGACAGAAGAAGAAUAGCAGUACCUAGCCUAUGACAUAGUAUAUGGACCUGCAAACCUGAAACUAUUAGUUUGAGGUAAAAAAUUCAUGACCCUCACAUGUUAACUUUCAUGAAAAACACAUUUAAGAAAUUUGCAAUUUUUUGUUAGUUUCGUAUCCGAUGUUGUUUUCUGUUUUAGCAUUUGUAGAAUCUACUGUAUUAUAUUUUGGCAGUUGCAGUAUCUGAGGUAUGUUUUGCAUUUAACUUGCUUUAUUUGUUUUGCUUGUGACUUAAGAACACCAAUAUUUGCCAGAGAUUUAGAGAAGCAUAUCAAGCUGCUUGGCAAACUUGACAAACUUCAAGAUCCUCCAUUCUUCACAACGCAAAACUUGUAAGUACACCUAUGCCCGCAGUUAUUGUGAAAUGCUUGCAAUUUUGAUGCGCUGAAAUGGUUUGUUGAUGCAAAGGUUUAAACUUUUAAGAUUUACCCUGCAGGGUAGUUGGAUGCUGUAUACUCGAAAAGCGACCAACAUCAAGAACUAUGACUCCAAGACCGGGUUUGCUUUAAUUCAAUCAGCUGAAAUCAUGAUGCAAACGACACUAUCAGCUGGACUUAGAGACCGGUCAGAUCAAUCAUCCAUUUUAUCAACAGUUAAUGUCAUGAUGGUGGCUAUUAGAGGAAACAAAGGAUGUGUCGGAAUCAAUGUGAACAGUGAGAAGAAUGAGAGGAGCUUUGAUUAUACGUAGGCUCAAUGAACUCAUGCUGGUAAGUGGUAAUUAAAGAAAUUUGUGCGCUUAGUAGCAUUUCAAUAUUUUCUGUUUGGGAUAUAGUUGAUGAGUUGAUACUCUGAUUAAGAAGCCUGAUUAUAGUAGCUGACUUUUUUUUUGUGGUUUGCUGUUGAUUUUUCUUUUGAUUUUUUCAACAUUAGGUUGAUCUGUUGAAGAACAAGCUUGGGUUGAUUAUGCUUUAACUACAAGGAAGAGCCAGACUUGGAUGCAGGCGUUCAGCUUUUAAUGGGUAAGAACAAAUGUAUGCUUUAAACAUGUUUCUCACUUAUUACAAUGCACGCAUUGAAGGCAUCUGAGCUGAUCCUGAAAAAGUGAUGGAAAUACUUCUCUGUUUACAUAAAACAGGACAAGAGAUCUCUGAUCAUGCCUGAGAAUUAGUUGCAUUGAAAUUUCUACCAUUGCCAAAAAUAGAAUAAACUAGGAAUACAUUAGCUUAAGACUCAAGUUUGAGAAGGCAGUUUGUACAUGCAGCCUAAAAAAUCAUGUCUGUGUUGUAUACUUGUAUGUUUCUUUGGGAAAUGAAAGAUUCUGUGUGUUCUAUUAUUUCAAGUUUGCUGAAAUCACAUUUGUUUUCUUAGAUGCUUUUGAGAAGGUAACAACAUCAAUUUCAAAAAUGCUGGGGUAACAUGCAUCACGCAGUGCUACUCAACAUGAGAAUUCCGGCCGCAUUACCUGUAUGUUGAGUGAUCGCACAGUACAGCCUUUAGAAGCUUGUAAGGAGUAGACAACUAGAUGUGAGUAGUUUCAAUAUGGAUUCGCAUCAAAUGAUCUCUUGCCAGUGAUUACUAUAACCUCUAUCCCAAAAUUCUUGGAACUGGUCAUACCAAUAAUGAAGUGUUGUGUAUGUUGAAGACAUUGCGAAAGCUCCGUCAGCCUUUGUAUUGGAAAACAGUUGGUUGUAGUUGCUUCUGAAUGAUAUUAUUAAUAGAUACUGUAAAAAUGAACUGUGCCACUCAUUUUCAGAGCCCUGUUAAGAUGUGUUGGUAAUGUGUUUGAAGGUUGUUUGAUUUAUGUUGUAUUCAGCUAUAAAUCAAAGAUUCAGAACAUGGUUAUGUUACUGGUUUCCAAAUCAAAAAAUUGCCUUGUGAUGUUAGUGUUCAUUGUUUUCACAGGAGAUCAGGUUCCCUGUUGAUGAAUCAUUAAGGCAAACGCAUCCAUGUCUUAAGUUCAAAUGUGUCUCUUCUAUUUUCUAUUACUGACUCCUUUAUUUUGAUUUCUUCAUUGUAAUGGAAUUGGUUUUUAUUCCAAAUUAGUCUUAAGUUCUGUUAGCAUUUGAAGAUAGAACUAGAACUAAAUGAUUGACUGGAUUAAAUUCCGAUAAAGAAUUAAGUUAUAUAUUUAGAGAUAUUAUGUUUUUUUUUUUUUCAUUUGUUCAAUUUGGUUAGUGGUGAUUUCUUAAAGACUCAAUCCAUGUGCGUUUAUGCAUUUUUCUUUUGCCUUAAUUUCUGUUUCUUGGGGAGUUUAUACAGAUUCUUAUUUUAUGCUUCACAUGCCACAUGAAAGAUCGAAUUCUUAUAAUAAGAGUCUGAGAUCUCCCUGAAGGAUUCAAAGCAUUUUAUUUUAUAUUAAACUCCUUUACGUGGGUUUGGACACUACCACAAGUUCUUUAAAUACUAAAACGAUUUUAAGUCUUUUGUAUCAUCUGAUUGAAAUACAUGAAAGCACUCGUGGCUGCAAAAAUACAGUUGGGGCUAUUUCUAAAGUCUUCAACAGCAUUUUCUUUUUAACCUUUAUCCUCAUGGUUGUUUUUGCAGUUGUUCUUUAAGAAAACAUUUAAAAGGUUCUCUUUAUGGAUUUUUGAAAAUAAUUUUAACAUAAGCAAUUUUCAGAAGCACUUUAGAUGUCUGGCAUUUAGAAAAUUUUAUUCCGGUGUCACAUAAAAUACUUAGGAAGUUAAAUUUAUUUAUUUAUGAGCAUGUGCCAGUGCCCUGUGGCAUCCUCUUCACUUGUGAUAGUCAAAUGUAUUAUACGAUACAAUAUUAGCUUGACUGUAGCACAGAGGAGAAUAGGGUUGGUGUUGGUCUGAACCAGCUUAUGUAACAGCUGCCAAAGGAUAAUUUAAUUGUACUUUGAGUAAAGCUUUUGCAAAUUAAACAAGUGAUAAUUUGUUUCUAUUAAGAAAAACUUAAAGGAUAGGGCUAUUUUAACUCACCAAACUACACAUUAAAAAUCUACUUACAAAAAUAGUUUUUAAUUAUUAAAAUAUUCCUAAAUUAAAUUAUAAUUAUGGACACUAAAAUAUAAUUUUUUUUAUAUUUUACCCUUUGAAACUAUCUUUACAUUCGAUAUUACAUUUUUUUCUUAAACUCCAAAUUGAUUUUUUUUAUUAAUUUUAAAACACAUAUAAAGUGAUUCAUAUUGAUUUUAUACUAACAAACUAUUAUAGCACAUUCGAAAAAUAAUUAAAUCGUUCUUAUUUACAUAGUGAAAAUGCAAAUAGCUCAUUCAAAUGUUAAGGAAUUGGAGAGCUGCUGCUGGAGAUGAAAGAUGUGAAUUAAACAUCAGAGAAAAAAUUAUGUUCACUGUCUUGCCAGACCAAGCACCGAAAAGCGUCGUAAAGAAAAAUUAGAUAAUUUAGAAGAUAAAGCACGUGGAAUGGAGGCAGAAAGCAAGUAAUGAUAACUCUUUCGACAAACUAAUAUAUACCAAAAUGUAAUAUCGGCCCUAAUAAAAAAUGUGUUACGUAAGUAAAAGCACCAGGUCGGUCGUGCUACUAUUUCUGUCCCGGUAUGGCUCACCUCAACUGAAUGGUACAAGCAGAGCAUGGAGACGAAUAUGGCCCGACCAGAGAUGAGUACCGACCAGAGGUGUAUGUCGAGCCGAUACCCGUCUCCUGAAAAAGCGGGAACACGAUCCCACAGAAUCGCGGAAUUUGCGUUUUUCCCAGAACCGUUGCGAGAGAUGCGAUACCCCACGUUUACCCGUAAUGUAGUAGUUAAAGUUCCGUGAAAGGCCACCACCCGAAAAAGGAGGGAUGAAGACUGAGCGGGAACGUGGGAUAACGGCUAUAAAAGAAGGAGAAAUCGAUGAAGAAGGGGACAGAAAAAUCAAAAGAGGGAAAACGCUGCCAAAUUAUUGUCAGGCUAUCUUCUUGAAAAUUCCAGAUAAAUCAAAAACUACUCUUAAAUCUAAAUUGCUCUGUUUUCCCGUAAAUACCUUGAGCUAACUUAGGCAUCGGAGGGUUUACGCCGGCAAAACCACCCGCGUCUUUGAUCCGUUUUUUUGUGAGCGCAGGUCUAGAAAGAGAAAGGAGGACGAGUCCAAGUCCCGCGGUUCGAACUUGAUAACAUAAUCGUUGGUGGAAAAUUCUGGUCGGUAACAAGGCGAGCAGAUUUAAGCAUCAACAUUUUGGCGCCGUCUGUGGGGAGCUGGAUAAAAAGCUACCACCAACUUAGUAGUUGCCAGAGAAGCGGUAAACAAUCAGACAUGGAUGUGCCCAGGAAAGACGCUCUGAGGGAGGAUAACGAGUCUGGAGAGACAAUCACUCUUAGGGAAAUUGCAAAUGAAGCCCGGGAGAGGGUAAUGCAAGAUCGAUUGGAGCGGAUGGAGAAACAAAUGGAGACUCUCGCGACCAUACUAUUUGAGCUGAGAGACGAGCGGAGAAGGGAUUGCGAAACCCCUGUGGGGAGAGAUGAUGUCGGAGCAGAACCCAGCCUCCGGACGCGUAGAGUCGAGGAGAUCCCUCCGCCGGCGGACCAACCUAAUGGGGUGCAUCCCCACAGAAGUACUGGUCGGAUUCCAGGAGAACAAAUAGAUGAAGGGAGGAACCAACCUCGCCCUGGGCGGGUACUGGAAGCUGAUGGCCGAGGGGCCAGUGUUAAUGAAGGGGAGCUCAGGCAGCGGUUGCAGAAUGCCGAACAGGAGCGAGAUCAAAUAGCUGCACGUGAUCCUGACCGUGCUGUAGAAUUGGAGGGAGAGGUGCGCAGAUUAGCGCAAGUGAUAGAGGAGAUACAGGGUAGGAGAAAGCCCCCGAGCUGGAGGAUAAUGCUAGAUGAAGAAUCUCCACUAUCAGUUGAGAUCAUGGGCACUGUAAUCCCAAGAGAUUUCCGCUUCCCCGACCUCAAAUACUCCGGGCGAAGUGAUCCACUGGUGCAUAUUGAACGUUUUAAUGACGUGACGGGUGUUCAGGGGUUAACACCAGCUCAGAGGUGUAGGGUAUUCCCAUUGACACUAGAGAGACGAGCCCGAGAAUGGUACCACAAACUGUUACGAGGAAGUAUCAGAGGGUACGAGCAGAUGUGCCAAGAAUUGGCCGAACAAUUCCGGGGGGCGGUGGCCCCAGAGGAUGAUAUGAUGGAACUAAUGGGGAUAAAGCAGGAGGAACAAGAACCCCUUCGAGAUUUUGUAAAACGAUACCACCGAGCCGUGCUUGAUUUGGGAGCUUUCAAUCACCCGCAGGCGUUGAGGGGAUUGAAGGAGGGUGUGAGAAUAGGCCGACUGUGGUAUAACCUGAGAAGCCCCCUGGUGCAGAAUUAUUCCGCGGGGUAUGAGCAAGCAAAGAGAGACAUUGAAAUCGAAGAAGAAAAAUCAGCCAGGAUAAAGAGUGAACAAUUGGAGGAGCUGAGACGAAGAGAGAUGAGAGCCCCAAAAGGAGCGGGUCAGGAAAGCAAGCUGGGGAAUCUUCAAUGAUGGGUGCAGUAUCCGCUCGAUCUCGCCUUUAUCCUAUGGCUCAGAGACCGCAGCAGGUCCAACACAAUCGGGCUCAGCCCUCACGCCCCCCAUUCCUGGAACGACAACGAGAAUUUCGGCAGUUGGCUAACCAUCCCUAUCACAACGCUCCCAGAGCACCGCAUACAGCCAACCCCAGAGCGGGACGAUCAGGUCAGCUACCUUCAAUAUCCGCUCGGGAUGAUACUCAUGAUAGCCGAGCAGUCCAGCUGAUUGACCAGAACCCAGCGUACGGACAAUAUACCCCGCUAAAAGUCCCUAUGGAGGAGUUGUAUGAGAGAAUCGAGGGACGAGGCCUGUUGUACCCUCCAGCCCCUAUAACGAAACCUGCUCACCGAAGGGAUAAGAGCAGAUUCUGCAAAUUCCAUGACACUCACGGUCACACCAUCAGCCAAUGUCGUGACUUUAAGAUUCAGGUGGAGGAUUUGGUGAGAAAUCGUUAUUUGGAUGAGUAUGUAGAUGGGGUUUCUCCCGUCAUUGAAUCACAGUACACGCGGGGUGAAGGAGAUGAGAGGAGCCUGGAACGUGAACAGCCAACUAUCCGUGUGAUAGCAGGAGGGCCAACCCUGGCUGGGGAUUCGAAUAGGGCACGGAAGAACUAUGGGAAAUACGCCAUGACCAGCAAAGAAGUUCUUUUCAAUUUGCCAGCAGCCAAGAAGGCAAAAUUGCGGCAAGUUCCCAUUAUGUGGACAGAUGACGAUAAAGAGGGUAUCCUAUAUCCUCAUAAGGAUGCACUGGUGAUUAAGGCAAUGGUGGCUGGUACAGAACUACGACGGAUACUGGUAGACACGGGCAGCUCGGUUGACAUCUUGUUUAAAUCGGCCCUAGAUGAUAUGGGGAUUGCAGACUUAAAAUUGGAACGGACGAACACAUCUUUAAAGGGAUUUGGAGGGGGACGGCUAACUCCCAUAGGAAUCGUCGAACUCCCAAUUACUAUGGGGACAAAGCUGUUUGAAAGAACAAUGAUGUUGGAUUUUGUCGUGGUAGAGGAGAGAAGCCCUUACCAGAUGAUACUGGGGAGACCGUUCAUGAAGAUAAGUCAAUGCGUUGUGUCUACGCAUUAUCUGGCACUAAAAUACAGAAUAAACGGAGCGGUUGGUGUAGUAAAAGGUGACCAGAGGGUGGCAAGGAGUUGUUAUGCUACAGCGGCCAAGGAGACGCUGCAGGUUACUUCCUUAGAUAAUCGAGGAGAACCUAAAAAGGGCCGCCAAGAACCUGUUGAGAAACUGGAGGCAGUUUCGGUAAGCAAAGGCGACCUGAGCAGAGUGGUGAAGAUCGGAUCGGGGUUGGUUGGUGCAGUCAAAGGCGAACUGGUAAAUUGCCUACAGUCUCAUGCAGAUAUAUUUGCCUGGUCUCACGAGGAUAUGCCAGGAAUUGAUCGUGGGGUAGCUUGCCACAAGUUGGCAAUUAAGAAGGGGGCGAGGCCGGUGAGACAGAAGAGGAGAUGCUUUAACCAGGAAAGAUACCCAGACGGACGAGAUGUGAAGAGGUCAUGGAACGCCGAGCACUUAAAGAAGUAUUUUCAGUAAGCAAAGUGCUCUGCUAAAUCCUCAUUUUGAUAAGUUUUCUUUGUUAACUGCAUGAUGGUUUAUUACGCAUGUACAUAGUCUGUAUUUUGUAAUACAUUCAAAUCGCAAUAAAGAUGAAUUCAGCAUGAAACCCUUCUGUUAAGCAAGGCCAUUAUAAUUUAUACCAAGGCAAGUAAGUGCCUGCUUCUGCUCGGUCAACGAAAGACCAGCAGCUAAAUUAGCGAAAUUUCUACCAAGGCAAGUAAGUGUCUGCUUCUGCUCGGUCAACGAAAGACCAGCAGCUAAAUUAGCGAAAUUUCUACCAAGGCAAGUAAGUGCCUGCUUCUGCUCGGUCAACGACAGGCCAGCAGCUAAAUCUACGAAAAUUAUACUAAGGCAAGUAUGUGCCUGCUUUAGUUCGGUCCACGAAAGACCAGCAGCUAAUACUACGAGAAUUCUGCUAGGGCAAAUAAGUGCCUAGUUCUGCUCGGUCAACGAAGACUAGCAACCAAUUUUAUUAAAAUUUUACUAAGACAAGUAAAUGCAUACUCCUGCUCGGUCCACAAAGAAACCAGCAAGCAAAAUCAGAUAAGUUGUCCAAUUAUUUUGCAGAAACCAUCUAUGAGCAAAUACCAGACAAGAAAGUCAAUAGAGAACAUCUAAAAGUUUAUAAAUGUUUGAUUGUCUACAAAAUAGAUGUAAAUCUAAAGUUUACACAGAAAUAGACUUAAAGAUUAGCAGGGUCAACGGCUCCAGCAGCUGAAGAAUCAGCAACCUCAGGAGGCGGGAGAUCGGCAAUACCGGGAGGAGGGGGCAUGGACCCUUGACCCACCUCGAAAGUACGUCCCCCGGCUUCCCCCUCCUGCACCCCCUCCAAAGGAGCCUCCGCCUGAUCCUGAUGACCUUGCUCCUUAUCUGCCUGGCCGGUUUCCGCCAUAUACCGCUGCACUCCAGCCUCCAGCUUACUCAUGUCCAGCUCGGGAUAUUCUUCUUUAAGCACGGACAUGAUACACUUAUAGGAGAAAGCAACCCCAGAGUCAUACUCGGCAUCCAGCUGGUCGUCCACAUCAGCGGAUUUGCCUUUCUCCUCAGCCAGCUGUUCAUUUAGGGAUUUGAUUUCUCCCUCAAGGGCAGUCCUCAGAGUAUCUCUUUCACUUUGAGUUACCUGAAGGUCAGACUUCAGGCUGCCCAACUCACCCUCGAGUUUGGAGGCAGUGGACUCAGCAAUUGCAGUUUUCUCCUCCAGCUCCAUAAUCUGUUUGUUCAGCUCGGCCAGUUUCUCCUUGGAGCGAUCAGCAGAUUCAGCCUUCUUUUUCAACUCCUGAUUAUCAGCUUGAAGCUUCCUCUCAUGGCGUAUGGACACGUUCUUGUAACACGAAACCAUGGUGGCCAGCCUGAAGGAAACCCUUUGAACAGAGGCAGCUAACUCGGAGAGCUCCAUACUCUCGAUGUCCUUCACCAUCUUGGGCCCAACCGACCUCUUGUAAUCCUUUUGGUACGGGCUCAAAUAGUCACCCUGAUCCCGAGAUGGAAGAGGAGAAGAUCGGUCCCCAGAUUGUAAGCUGACCUCAGGGCUCUUGUCGGAAGUUUUCUCCCCACUACUCUUACGAGGUGGAGGAGGGGGCAGAGCAGGAACUGGAGCCUGAGAAGGACUGGCACUGGCCUUUUUCGGAGGAGGAGGAGGGUGGCUGGAGCUGCUCGAUGCCCGACCACGCUUUCUGCUCAUCGCGCUGAGGAUCUUGUUAUCCAUCCCAGCGGCAAUAUCUACUAAGCCCGAACCGACCAGGUUUGUUGGUGACAGGAGGUCUUGACAAGUAGACGCGCUCACCAGAGCCGUUUCCACCUGGAGUAAAGGUCGGUCCUCGAGAGUCUUAACCAAACCCCACGAUUCUGAAAAAACAGACAAGGUUAAAGAACCCAAUAAGUGGCAAUUCGAGAAAGAAUAUAGGCAAAAAAUGAACGACCUGGGGUGACAAAUUGCGUUGGAAGGUAAAUGUCACCACCCAACGACCGAACUGCUGGACACCAAUUUCCCCCAGCAAAGAAGAAUUUGUUCUUCCAAUUUUUGCACGAGGAGGGGAAACCGGUGAUUGGCUUUCUCUUCGCAGAACUGGACAUGAAGUAGUACCAGCCCGCCUCCCUUGGGCUGCUCCGCAGCUGAUACAGAUGCUUCACUUCAACAAGGGAAGGCUCCUCCGACCCACACCUCUCCCACAACACAAACAUAGCCGAGAGAACCCUCCACCUGUUUGGGUGUAGUUGACCUGGGGCCAGGUGCAUACCCCCUAAAAUCUUGGCAAAAUAGCGCUGAAGAGGCAGCCGAGCUCCUAAUUUAAAGCUCUCCAGGUGCAUGGUCACGUACUCCCGCGGAGGCCGACUAGGAACAUCACCUUUCUCAGGAACCACAAGGAGAACCUCCUUAGGAAUAUCAUAGAGGUUCCUAAGCUUGAACAGAUCAUUUUGGGUGGUGGCACAGGCUAUGUGAUCAAUGGGGUAAGAAUCUGCCUCCAUCCUAUGCCCAAGGUUUUGUUUCUUAAGAGGUCGGCUCGGCUCGGCUCGGAGCUGCUUCCCUCACUAUCACCCGCUCCUUCAGGAACCCCGACCCCACCAGAACUGUGGUUCUCGCCAGAGCCCGACGCAGGUCCCCCUCUAUUUCCUACAAGCUCUAAUUCAGAGGAGGGUGAAAUGGUCAAGGGACGUGGGUACUCAAGGAUAUCCCUACUAUGGGAUAAGCCUACACUACGAGAGGGAUUCAAAAAAUCAGUGGGUAUGGGCAAGUUAAGGUCUGAAUCCCCAGAUUCUUCAUCACCCUCGUCUGCAAUCAACUUCCUUCUUCGAUUUGACAUACCGGAGUUCCAAAAGAAAACCAAAACAAACCCAAGUACACGAAUACAAAAAGAGACAGUACAGAACCCAAUCAACAACAGCCAAAAAAGAGGUUAAAGGCUAUACCUGGAAUGGACUAACAUUGGUAGCACUGCCGUGACAGAGAAAACACCCAGCAAAUGGAUACUCCGGACGCUGGAAAUGGGAGCAAAGUCCAGAAAAGAAAUUGGUUAGUGACGGAGAAACGAAUCGCAGAAUGAUGAUGAUUUUAGUCUAGGGAUUUGGAACGAAAAGGGGGGAAACGGAAGCAUUUAAGUGAUGGGAUAUGCCAGCUCACUCACCAUAUAUCGAGGAAGGAUAGCCCGUCGUUUCAAAUUUCAAAAUAUGAAGAGUCGGGAAGCGCCACGUCACUAACCGAUACAAGAGGCCAGACUAGAGCAAGCCCAGAUAUGCAAUGGACAGGCUCAUUAAGGCCCAUGCUCAGAAGACCAGAUGAGAAGCCCCGGGCUGGUCGGCUUCAACCAUCAGUUUCUACUCUUAACUCAUUUCACUCGCAAGACCAGAAACUGGGGGACUGGUGUUAAGUAAGUAAAAGCACCAGGUCGGCCGUGCUACUAUUUCCGCCCCGGUAUGGCUCACCUCAAUCGAAUGGUACAAGCAGAGCAUGGAGACGAAUAUGGCCCGACCAGAGAUGAGUACCGACCAGAGGUGUAUGCCGAGCCGAUACCCGUCUCCUGAAAAAGCGGGAACACGAUCCCACAGAAUCGCGGGAUUUGCGUUUUUCCCAGAACCGUUGCGAGAGAUGCGAUACCUCACGUUUACCCGUAAUGUAGCAGUUAAAGUUCCGUGAAAGGCCACCACCUGAAAAAGGAGGGAUGAAGACUGAGCGGGAACGUGGGAUAACGGCUAUAAAAGAAGGAGAAAUCGAUGAAGAAGGGGACAGAAAAAUCAAAAGAGGGAAAACGCUGCCAAAUUAUUGUCAGGCUAUCUUCUUGAAAAUUCCAGAUAAAUCAAAAACUACUCUUGAAUCUAAAUUGCUCUGUUUUCCCGUAAAUACCUUGACCUAACUUAGGCAUCGAAGGGUUUACGCCGGCAAAACCACCGGCGUCUUUGAUCCGUUCUUUUGUGAGCGUAGGUCUAGAAAGAGAAAGGAGGACGAGUCCAAGCCCCGCGGUUCGAACUUGAUAACAUAAUCGUUGGUGGAAAAUUCUGAUCGGUAACAAGGCGAGCAAAUUUAAGCAUCAACAAAAUGAAAAUAAAAAUUCAUUACGAAUACGUGUUAAAGAUAUCCCAAGUAUAGAUGUGACUGAAAUAUUUGAGAUUGAAGAAGAAUUAAGACUCAAAAUCAAUUGGGAGGAAUAAAUGAGAAACCCCAAUACCAAAAAAUACACGCACAAAUCCUAAUACUAAUUGUAAUCACGGAUAAAAAGCAUAAUACGAAUAAAUUAAAUGGGCAACUAUUCCAUUGAGAAAUUAAUUAAAUCGUGUAUUAAUAUUUUGUAUACAUAUAUUUUUCUAUAUAUAACUUUCGGUAAUUUAAUUUUCCACUUAUCAUUUUUACUCCAAAAAAAUAAUUGAGAAUAUUAUUUAUAUUUUGGUGCAAAAUAUUUGAACAAUAUACAAAUUUUCAGUUUAAUAAAUCUAAACAUCUAUUAAGUUAUAAAUGAAUUUAAUGGGUUUAAUUAAUAAAAUUACUAUUAUUAUAUAAAUUGGGUUUAGUAAUGGUAUAUUGGGUGGGUUUGUUGAGUAAAUUUUAAAAUUUUGAAAUUUAAGGAUGGGUUUAUUUAGUAAAUGAGUUAAGGGAGUAGUUUGUUGGGAUUCACAUAGCCCCACCAAAUUCAAAUGUAAAAUUUGUGGAAAAAGAAGCUAUUGAGUUAUUCUUUUAAAAAAAGAAUUAAAAUGUCAAGAAUACCUUUAUUUAAUUUUAUAAUCUUAUUUUAUAGUCAUAUUUUAUUUCCACCUUAACAUAAUUUUAAAAACCUUAACUAAUAAAUUCUAUAUUUUUUUUAUAAAAGUUAUCAUUAAUAUCCAAACGGCUAAAGAUUUUUUUUUUUUUAAAAAAAAAGGAACUAUGCUUACAAAAGUUGUAUACAUUAACAAUAAAUUUAGUCCAAAGAAUAAAGUUAUUCCAAACAAGCACUCCAAUUCAUCUUGCUAAUGAAUCAAGAUGACUGAAUCCUUCUCUAAGCCAAAUCUAUUUUCACUUUUAGGUCAGAAAUUGUCAUUAAAAAAAUGUUUGAUAAAAUAUGCUCUAGGAACACUAAUUCGUCAGAUGGUUACUCCAAGUUUAUGAAAUCAAUGGGAUUUCAUCAUAUUCAUAACAUUCUUCUUUAAUGUCUAUUCUAACAAAGAAAUCAUAUACAGAGAAUAGGUUUCGUUAAAACUUUUACUAGAAAAACUAACCACAAUUCACCAUUCAUUUAUAUCUUAAGUAAGCCUAAGAUUUUAUCAUUAAAAUCCCAUCAUGAAAAAAACUCAUGGGAGAAAAACUAUAAAAAUUGAAGAAAAAAGAGUAUGGCGUGCAUGUAAAUUAUAUCGAUUUUAUCUACAUGACAAAUAAGACUCUCUUUUACAAUGGCACGGAUGCUUCAUUGAGUAAUCAUGAUUCUUGCUGGUAGUGCUUUGUUGUAUCAAUCUGCUAGCUAUUCAGCGUUCUUUCUUUCUUUCUUCUUAUUUUUUUGUUUUCAAAUAGCUUGUGGUUGUAGAAAUAUUUCAAUUAAACUAUACUUAAGUACUUAUUUGGUAUAACUUCUUUACUAACCAAAAGAAUUUUUUUUUUUGGUUUUUUAUAAUUUAAUUAUACUUUAACUAGAGUUUUUGGGAUAAAACAAGUGAUAAUUUCUCUCUAUUAAGAAAAACUCAAAGGGUAGGGCUAUCUCAAUCCACCAAACUAUUUAUUAAAAAUCCACUUAUGAAAAUAAUUUUUAAUUAUUAGAAUGCCUUUACAUUAAAUUAUAAUUAUGGACACUAAAAUAUAAUAAAUUUUUUUUUUACUCUUUAAAACUGUCUUUACAUUUGAUAUCAUAUCUUUUUCUUAAAAUCUAAAUUGAUAUUUUUAUUUUAUUUUUUAUUAAUCUUAGAACACAUAUAAAGUGAUUCAUAUUGAUUUUAUACUAACAAACUAUCACAGCACAUUCGAAAAUAAUUAACUCGUUCUUAUUUGCAUAGUGAAAAGGCAAAUAGCUCAUCCAAAUGUUAAAGAACUGGAGAGCUGCUGCUGGAGAUGAAAGAUAAAUAAUUCUCACUUAGAAGAAGGAGAAAAAAAGGAAAUACAAUUAGAAUGAGAGGUAGCCAGUAGCCACUAGCCGCCACCACCACCAGUGAAACUAUUUCACAUAAUAGAAGAUAAAGCACGCGUAAUGGAGGCAAAAAGCAAGUAAUGAUAACUCUUUUCGACACACUAAUACAUAUCAAAAUGCAAUAUCGGUCCUAACAAAAUGAAAAUAAAAAUUCAUUACGAAUAUGUGUUAAAGAUAUCCCAAGUAUUGAUGUGAUUGAAAUAUUUGAGAUUGAAGUAGAAAUAAGACUCAAAAUUAAUUGAGAGGAAUAAAUGAGAAACCCAAAUAUUAAUAAAAUACACGUGCAAAUCCUAAUGCUAAUUAAAAUCACGGAUUAAAAAUAAUAAUAAUAUGAAUGAAUUACAGGCGCAACUGUUUCAUUAAGAAAUUAAUUAAAUCGUGUAUUAAUAUUUUGUACACAUACAUUUUUCCAUAUAUAACUUUCGGUAAUUUAGUUUUCACUUAUCAUCUUUACUCCAAAAAAAAAAUUGAGAAUAUUAUUUAUGUUUUGGUGUAAAAUAUUUGAAUAAUAUACAAAUUUUCUGUUUAAUAAAUCUAAACAUUUCUCCAGUUAUAAAUGAAUUUAAUAGGUUUAAUUAGUAAAAAUAUUAUUAUUAUAUAAAUUGGGUUUGGUAAUGGUAUAUUGGGUAUUUAAAUGGGUUUGUUGAGUAAAUUUUAAAAUUUUAAAAUUCAAGGGUGGGUUUAUUUUAGUAAAUGGGUUAAGGCAGCAAUUUCCCAAACUAAAAUUUUUAGAAAAAGACGCUAUUGAGUUUUUUUUUUUUUUAAAAAAAGAAUUAAAAUGUUGAGAAUACCUUUAUUUAAUUUUAUAAUCUUAUUUUAAAAAAUUUACCCAAUAAAUUUUAUAAUUUUUAUAAAAAUUAUCAUUAACAUCCAAACAGCUAAAGAUUAAAAAAAAAAAAAAAGAAGAAGGGAACUGUACGAGCAAAAGUUACAUUAACAAUAAAUUUAGUCCAAAGAAUAAAGUUACAGCUAAAAAGUGCUCCUAUCCUAUUUUUCUCUAUUUUAACAAUAAUCUUCUUCCAAUCCGUUUUACAAUGGACUUUAACAAAUGGGCUCAAUCUCUAAACUUCAUUUUCUUUUGCUUACCCAUGGCCAUUAGCCAGAAAGCCUAAAACAAGACCAGCCCAUAUAUAUAAUUUUUUUUAAAAAAAAGUAAAAAUGUGUGAGAGCUUGUAGCAUUACAAUUUUAGGAUCACAUGUGUAAAUGGAACCCCAACAUUGAUCAAGAAUUAACAAGACAAGAUGAAGAGAUGAUCUUGUAACUAAGAAUGAAGAAAUUGAAUCAAGACAGUACUCUAGUAAAACCCAGAAAACAGAGCUUGAAGAAUCACGCACAAAGCAGUAAAUUUGUAAAACCAGAAUUGGAGCUUCACUUCUCAAGAGAGACGAAACAGGAUACAGUCUAGCUUUAGCCAAAGUGAUAAACUCGUAAUUAUUCUACAAAGGGAACAAUUUUGAACAGUGGGAAAUUCCAUAAUUAUUCUUUUCGGUGAAUUAUUUUAAAUAAAAUUAUAAAAACCAAUAUAAAAUUAUUACCCAGUAAAGACUUUAGAGAGACAAGUGCUCCCAACAGGAUCAAGUGAAUAUGCCCCACAAAGAUCAUUUCUUGUUCUUUUUCUUUUUGACAAUUUUAUCUGUGGUUUCAACUUUUAUGCUUUAUUGUCGUAUCCCGUUGAGGGCUCCGCUGCACCCAUUACAACUUACCCCUAAAUUGCCUCUUACUAACUAAACCGUUAGAUUUUAUGGAAGCACGUUCAAUGCUGAAUUUUAAUUAUGUCAUCAAAUUUCGUUUAGCUCCUUAAACUCCAUUUUAUUUGUAAUUUCUUCAUAAAAUAUUCAAAGCUUCAUCAAGCUCCUGAUGGACCAUCAUGGCUAGGGGUGCAUUAGAGCCGAACUGAAAUAUGUUAGUUCAGUUCAGUUUGGUCAGUUUAAAUCGAAUGGUUUAGAAUAUAUAAACUGAUCAAUUUUAAUUUUUAAUUGAACCGAAAAUCAAUUGGUUCAUUAUUAGUAUUUUUUUAUAAACAUGAAUUAUUAGUGAUUGUAAUUAAAUUGGACUAAAAAAAAUUCAAACUAAGGUGAAAAAUAUAAAAUCUUAGACAAUAUAAAAGAAAAAAUAUUAAAUUUUUUUAACCGAAUUAUUUUGACUCAAUUUGGUUCAUAAUUUUUUAAACCAAAUGGAACCCUCAUAACAAAAAACUAACAGAAACAAUAAGAACACGAUGUUAAAAUCUUAAAUCAAUCGCAAAAAAGCACCCAAAACAGAUCGAUUAGGAACAGUUAACAACAAAAGAUUUGAUGGUUCAAAAUCAUAAUGUGACCUACUUCCAUCCAAGAAUUAUACUAAUUUCUUUACUAGUUGUCAAAUACAAGAUCACAAGAUUAUUUAUCACUCUAUAGAGAAAAAAUUUUUAGAAGAAAUACUCCCCAAUUUUUCUCUUGAUAGUUAUGAAUCAACACCCCUAGAAAGGCUAUUGAUUUACUUUUCCUUAUUUCAUAUGAUCGGUUGCUGCAACUUAAUCCUUGCCAAGUUCCAACAUAGUCCAAACAUUUUUCAUGGUACAUGCAUAGUGCACCUUCAGAAACUUUACAGCUCUUCUUAAAACCUCAGUUCUCGUGAUGUUUCUGAUUUAUUUCUGGGACGAGUAACACUUUUGUUGAACCUAGACCAGAUUUAGUAUCCAAUCAAGAAUUUCCAGGAUCUAGCUGAACUCUCUAAUCAAGACCUAAAGAAUAGUUAAUCAAAUCCACACAAAAGAAUCACCCAAAAACAGUAUACAAAGAACAACAAAUAUAAGUGGUUUUGAGAUAAAUGUAAUUGACUUCUGAGCAUGACUUAAUUUUGAGAUCAUUACUUUUAGUUAAAUGAUCUCCUCCAGAGCUUCUACCUAUGUAGUGUUUUUAGACCUCUAUAGUUGAUAAAGCACGUUCAAGGUGAAGGCUUGUUUUCCAAUCUAUAGUCCAAUUAUAGACUGGAAAUGGUCAGGCUUAAUGCACCUUCAAAAGCUUCACAAUUUGUAUUGAAACCUUAAGCCUCAGAAUGCUACAAAUUUUAAAUCCAUAUACUUAGUGCUCUUAUGAUUUGUUUGAUUUUUACUUAGAUGAAGAGCAUUUUAGCUAUAGAAAACAUUGUAACUAAUUCAAAGCAUGCCUUAGCUACGAGAUCAUUCAUUCUAGCCAAAUGCCCCCUUUAGAGAUUCUGCUAUUGUUGUGUAUUCAGCCUCUAUAUUUGGCAAAGCAAUUACAUGUCGAAGGCUUGCUUUCCAGUUAACAGCGCAAUUACAUAGAUUAAAGGUGUAACCAGGCAAAGAACUUAGUUAUUCUGCCAAGGUCUCCAACAUACUCCAAAUCCAUAUAACCACCAGACUUCAAUCUUUAGACUCCAUAGAUCAAACCAUAACUUAGUGUGCCUUUCAAUCUCAGGUAACAUUUUACUGUUUUCCACGUCUUGCCAUGUACUUGCUGCUAACACUAACAAUUUGAGAAAUGUUAGGCAUCGUAAGCAGCCGACAACACUCUUCUUCAUUUCUUCAUUGUCAAUUUCCUUCUUGGAACAUUGCUCCAUUGAGAGUCUGCUAUCAUUGCUCCAAUUAUUAUUAUUUUUGUUUUUUUAAAAAAAAAAAUUAACCGUGCAAUAAGAGUAUAAGACUAAGCAACGGUCCUUUUUUUUUUCCCAUUCUUGAACAUGAAGUAUUUGAGUAUGCAAUAAAAAUUGUUUAUUGAUAAUUAAAAGUUAAUAGUGGGUGGCUUUAGGAUUUGUUUACAAAAUUGACAACAAAUUAAGAUUUUUCAAAUUCAUAGGUAAGAAACUUUUCAUUUAUUCAUAGAUUUUCCGGUUUAAACUUUAAAGGAAACUUAAAAGAAAAAGAUGUAUCAUUAGAUUUGUAAUUAAAAAAAUUUAAUAUUGUAUGAUCUGUUCGAUAUGCAUAAUUUAAAUAAACAUUAAUAUAGAUGUUAUAUAUCCUAAAACUUAAUUGACUUAAUUCUUACGGUGCAAGGAAGACGUUUCCAAGUUUAAAUCUAAUUUGGGGUCGGGAAAGCACUGGGAAAUAAAUGUAACAAAGGAAAAAAGAAAAGAAUGACAGUCUGAGUGGAGCCAACACGGUUUUGAAAAAAGUGCAAAAAAGGGUUUUAGGAUAUAUUCUAUUAUCGUUUGUUUGCUUGCUUGUGGAAAUAAAAGUCUCAUGUUUCUUUGAAAGGUAAGCAAGUGUGAAUGUUUCUAUCUAGAGCUGGAAAAUGCAUUUCCGUGCAACUUACUUGAUGAAUGAAGUUUUCAUCUCUGACCUUGAUGUUUCCCAGAGCUGCAUUCAUUUCAGCUGAUCUAUUUCAUUUCGUUUGCAAAGGAGUGACACAAAACCUCCUUUGUUAAGGGGAGAAUUUAGAGUGGCUUCAACGGUUAACAAAUAGCCUAAUGUAAGACUUAAUCAAUUUCCUGCCCGGUUGCUUACCACUACUUAUCACUUUAACGUAUGAAACCUAAUCAAGAUUCCUUUGAUGAUUUUUCUAUUUGCUAAUUGAUUGAUAAGCUCUUCAGUGAAGAUAUAGUGUCCGCAAGCCAUAUGUUGAUAGAGUUAGAGUUUGCAGAAGCUACUGUACCAUAUGUUGUUAGAGGCGGUAAAAACGGAGGCAGAUCAACACACAUUUAAAUUUCAAUGACAAUUUACUGGAAAUAAAUUUCCUAUGACCCUACAUGUGACUAAUUGAUGAGAACUUGACAAUGACAAAAGAAAGUGUAUGAGCUUUGCAGGCUGGCUUGCCAAUAUUGACUGUAUGGCACCAUCCGCAAGUAAGUAUCAUUACUGUUUAAUCAACUUGGUGGAGUCCACUGGGACCACCCCACAUGGUCAGUCUUAUCUCUACUCCUAAAUUUUCAAUAUUCCAUACAUCAAACCAAUUGCAGUUUUGAUAUCAAAUUCAAUUUUAUUGUUGGUGACGAUUCUGAUUCCUUUCAUUCUCACAAAACGGAACCAUGGUUGCUGUUGGAGAGAUCUUACUCAACGCCUUCCUUGAGGUGUUGUUUGACAGGUUGGCUUCUCGUAAUUUGCUCCGCUUUGUGCGUCAACUCCAAGGCGGGGUUGAUUCGGAGCUCAAGAAGUGGGAGAAAAAGCUGAAGAUGAUUCAGGCUGUGCUCUGCGAUGCAGAGGAGAAGCAACUGACCGAUGAGGCUGUGAAGAUGUGGCUGGACGAACUCCAAGACUUAGCUUUUGACGCUGAGGACAUUCUUGAUGAGUUUGCUACUCAAGCUUUGGAAAGCAAGUUGAUGGCGCAAAACCAGGAUAGCUCUGGCCAGGUUCUCAGUCUCAUCCCGGCUAGUUUGAAUCCGAAUGCUAUUAUGUUCAAUUAUAGCAUGGGGUCCAAGAUUAAAGAUAUGACUAGCCGGCUGGAGCAACUCUGCCAAGAAAGAAUUGAACUUGGACUGCAACGGCUUACUGGAGGGGCGUCAUCAACCGCUGCUGCUGCACACCGGAGGCCACCCAGUUCGAGUGUCCGAACAGAACGUGAAGUAUUUGGAAGAGAAGAAGAUAAGGCCAAAAUUCUUGAUAUGGUCAAUACCCCAAGUGAUCACGCCAACUUUGUUGUAAUACCUAUUGUUGGAAUGGGCGGGAUAGGAAAAACAACUCUUGCUCGGGAGGUCUACAAUGACAAGGCAGUUGAGGAUUCCAAGUUUGACGUAAAAGCAUGGGUUUGUGUCUCCGACAACUUUGAUGUUUUCAACAUUUCAAAGGCACUUCUCGAGUCAAUCACCUCCGCAGCUAGUGAUCUCAAGACUUUAAAUGAAGUGCAGGUUCAACUGAAAAAAGCAGUGGACGGAAAAAGAUUCUUGCUGGUCUUAGAUGAUGUUUGGAACGAGGACUACAGCUUGUGGGUAGACUUAAAAGCUCCGUUCCUGGGUGCUGCACCAAACAGUAAGAUGAUCGUCACCACACGCAAUUUAAACGUUGCAUCAACAAUGGGACCAAUUGAACAUUAUAAUCUCAAGAGUCUGUUAGAUGAUGAUUGCUGGUCCAUUUUCAUACAGCAUGCAUUUGAAGGUAGAGAUCUUAACGCAUAUCAAAUUUCAGAAUCAUUCAGCAAGAAAGUUGUUGGCAAGUGUGGGGGCUUGCCUCUGGCAGCAAAAACGCUCGGGGACUUCUGCGCACAACAAGGCAUGAUGCGUGGGACGAUAUAUUGGAUAGCAAAAUAUGGGAUUUACAUCAACAAAGCAGCAUUCUCCCUGUGUUAAGAUUGAGUUACCAUCAUCUUCCGUCUCAUUUGAAAAGAUGUUUUGCUUUUUGUGCCAUCUUUCCAAAAGAUUAUGCAUUCACUGAGAGGGAGCUGACUUUCUUAUGGAUGGCUGGAGGUAUUAUUCGACAGUCAAGAAACAAUGAGCAGCUGGAAGAUUUGGGCAGCAAGUGCUUUGGUGAUCUAGUGUCGAGGUCAAUUUUUCAGCAAACAGCAAGCUCUGAUAGUUCUAAAUUUGUAAUGCAUGACCUUAUUCAUGAUCUUGCUGAAUUGGUCUCUGGAGAAACCAUAUUCAGGUUAGAGGAGGCCAAUACUCGGUCAAGAAGAUUUGAAAGGGUUCGCCAUUCUUCCUAUGCUUGUGGUGGAUGUGAUGGUAAAAAUAUGUUCGUGGUUUUCAAUGAAAUUGAACAUCUACGAACAUUCUUGCCAUUACGCUUACGCAGAAGAGGUGGCUCUAAUGCUGGUUACAUAACUCGUACGGUUCUAUCUGAUUUGCUGCCGAAGUUCAAAAGGUUGAGAAUGCUAUCUUUACAAGGAUACUGUAUUGGUGAGUUACCAAUUCCAUUUGAAGAUUUGAGACUUUUAAGGUUUCUCAACCUUGCUGACACUGACAUAAGAAGUUUACCCGAGUCAACAUGCAAAUUGCUGAACUUGGAAAUUUUUAUAUUAAGAAAUUGUUCCCGUUUGAUAAAGCUUCCACCCAAAAUGAGGAAUUUGAUCAAUUUACGCCAUUUGGAUUUAAGAGGUGCGAAGUUGCUGAAGGAGAUGCCAUUCGGAAUGAAAGAGUUGAAGAAGCUUCAAACAUUGUCCAAUUUCAUCGUGGGCAAGGGCGAAACUGCAUCUGGUUUGGAAGAUUUAAAAUGUUUAAACUUUCUUUGUGAUGAACUCUGCAUUGCUGGAUUAGAGAAUGUGAAUGGUCCACAGAAUGCAAGAGAAGCCGCAUUAUGUGAGAAGCACAAUCUUGAAGCAUUGACUCUAGAAUGGGGGUCUCAAUCUGACGGUCCUCGGGAUGCAGUACUAGAAGAGAAGGUACUUGACACUCUACAACCUCAUGAAUGUAUAAAAGAGCUGGCAAUCAGGCACUAUGGUGGUGCAAGAUUUCCACCUUGGAUCGGACAGCAUUCGUUCUCCGAGAUGAAGGUCCUUAAAUUGGAGAACUGUGGCAAUUGUGUAUCUCUGCCAUCGCUUGGCCUGAUGAGUUCACUUAAGCACCUUGCUGUUAAAGGGCUGAAGAAAUUAAAAAGCCUAGAGUCUGAGGUUUAUGGGGAGGGUUUCUCAAUGCCUUUUUCGUCACUGGAGAUUCUAAGUUUUGAGAAUUUGCCAGAAUGCGAGCAUUGGGACACCAAUAUCAAAGGAAAUGUGCUUGUUGAAAUAUUUCCUCGUCUCCAUAAACUUUCCAUUGUGGAAUGUCCCAAACUCUCCGGAAAACUGCCUGAGCUCCUGCCCUCCUUGAAGACACUUGUUGUUAGUAAAUGUGAAAAGUUGGUAGUUCCAUUGUCUUGCUAUCCAAUGCUUUGCAGAUUAGAAGUUGAUGAGUGCAAAGAACUAGUCUGCCGGACUCCGAUUGAUUUUAAGUUGAUAAAGUCGGUGACUAUUUCAAAUAGUUCAUUAGACAUGAAUGGACGCAAGGGGAUGCUAUACGAUGGUCCAGCUGGCUCUUUACUGCCAAAGCCCAUGACUACUACAAAUGUUUUGGAGUUUGGAAAAUUAUUGAAGCCUGGAUUUCAGAUAUUAGAAACUUUGGUAAUUGGCAAUUCUGAACAGCUCAAGUCAUGGAGGCAGCAUGGGGAUUUUCCGAAAAAAUACAUGGUCACUGACCAUGGGUUUAAGAAACCAGUACGAGGGCUGAAUAUGCUCGCUUCCCCUGAGGAGGUAUCAAUUGAAGAAAGUUGCGUACGUCUUGUUUUGUUUCCAGAGAUCAAUUUCUUUCCCAGAAAUCUGCGCUCUCUUCUAAUUAACAACAGCACUGCUUUGAAAUCCUUACCCGAGGAAAUGAUGGAAAACAAUUCACAACUCGAAAGGUUGUAUAUCAAGGAUUGCGACUCUCUAACAUUCAUCGCAAGACGGAGGCUACCAGCAUCUCUGAAAAGGCUUGAGAUAGAAAAUUGUGAGAAAUUGCAACGUCUGUUCGAUGAUGAAGAGGAUGCUUCUUCUUCUUGUCCUUCAUCCUCGUCUUCCCCAGUGAUGCUGAAACACCUGAGAAUCGAUAACUGCCCAGAGCUCACCAGUUUAUCAUCGGGUGUCCAAUUCCUUGAGGCGCUUGAAGACCUCAAGAUAGGGCAUUGUCCAAAGCUGGAGUCAAUACCGGAUGGCCUGCCCAAUCUUAAAUGUUUACAGAGCAUUUAUAUACGGGAUUGUCCAAGUCUUGUUUCCUUCCCAGAAAGAGGGCUUCCCCACACCAUUUCAGGGGUUUUCAUUGCGAGUUGUGUGAAGCUCGAAGCCUUGCCCAAUGAUUUGCACAAACUCAACUCUCUUCGAGGUUUAAGCAUACAGCUCUGUCCAAAUCUUGUAUCGUUUCCAGAAGAAGGUUUUCCUACCAAUCUAACAACCCUUGUAAUUGAAAAAUUCAAAUUGUAUAAGACACUCGUCCAGUGGGGGUUGCACAGGCUUACCUCUCUUAGAGACCUCUACAUCAUUGGAUGUGAUGAUGAAGCAGAGUGUUUUCCAGACGAGGAGAUAGGAAUGACGCUGCCCACCUCUCUCACUCAUCUGUCCUUUUGUGGAUUCCAAAAUUUGAUAUUUCUGUCUUCAAUGGGUUUUCAAAACCUCACCUCUCUUCAAUCAUUCCCAGAGGUGGGCUUUCCAUCCUCACUUUGGGGCUUAGACAUUAGAUAUUGUCCAAAGCUCAAAACAGCGUGCAAAAGAGAUGAAGGAAAAGAGUGGUCCAAAAUUGCUCACAUCCCUCGCGUUGAGAUAGACGGUAAAUUCAUAUACGAUCCAGAAGCAGAGGAGUAGAUUCUACUAUUAAGGUCAGUUGAUUUGUAUUAUCCGCUAUAACAAGCUCCUCCUUUUUUAUUUUUUUUUUUGAAAUAAUAAUUUUGCAGUCACUCACGUGAUUCCGUUUUCACAAGUCAGAUUGUACGUUGAGGCUAUUUGCCUUUUAAUCGCAGAUUAAAUUAUAACACUUAUCUUAAAAUUUAAUACCAUAGACAGAUAGACGAUUUUUUAAUCCAAAGUUUUUUUUAUUCACUUCAGUUAGCAUUUUUUUUUUCCCCAAAUCAUGCAAGCCGAGAGUUUCAAUCAAGAAUUGGAGGAUGUGAAUGGGAAUUUUGUGAAAGAGUAACAUAAUGGAUGAACGAACAUUUCAUAUGUGAUCUCAAAGUCAACAGAAUUUUAUUCACUCGUUGACUUUUCAACUGCUGUGGUUAUUUAUGGGUGAAAGAUAAGGGCAAUUACAAAAAAUUUGCAAAAUUUGUCCAUUUCUUAGAUGGUAGAAAUUGGAGUAUAAUAUUUUGGAGCAAGCAUACUUGAAAUUUCUUUCUUCAAUAUUUUGAUGCUUUCUUAUCCCAUGCACAAAAAUACUAGAAAAAACUAAUAACAACUAACCGAAAAUCCCAGGCGUCAUAUUCCUUUUUACCGCGUUUUAAAAUGCACAACAAUGAUAUUCUUACAAAUUUGCAAAAUUUGUCAAUUUCUUAGAUUUCAGAUAUUUUAAUGCUUUUUUUAAUUUUUGAUCUAGUAAAAAUACAUAGCCUUCACCGGCAAGAUUCUAGUCUUGGAUUUCACCUCUCUAACUCAUCUGUUCCCAUUGGGAUUCCAGAAAUUGAAAUUUCUGUCUUCAAUGGGUUUUCAAAGCCUCGCCUCUCUUCGAUUUUUGUGGAUCGGGAAUUGCACAAAUCUCACAUCAUUUCCCGAGGUCGAGGAAAAGAGCGGCCCAAACUUGCUCGCAUCCCUUAUUAGGUUAUGAUAGAUGGAAAAUUCAUAUACGAUCCAGAGUCAGAGGUGUUGAUUCUCUUAUUAAGGUCAGCUGAUUUCUAUUAUCCACUCUGACAAUCUCCUAUUAGUGUUUUUCCUUUUGAAAUUUUUUUUCCAAAAUUUUGCAGUUCCGUAUAAUUGAAAAUGCCAUUCAGUUGUUUCCUAAUAGUAUGUUGAGGCUAUUUGCUUUCUAUCGGUGUUUGUUAAGGUAAUUAGUGCUCCCUCGUAGGUGUGACUGGAUUUUUUUCACUUCCGUAAAUAUUGCAUUUUAGACUGGCAAAUUUAGCAGUAAUUUUAAUACAAUUUUGUUGGUGCCUUGUGUUCCAGAAGCUAGAAAAAUGUGUAGUUUUCAGAUAAGGAGGCUUGUCAGUUCUCUAGUAAGAAUCCAAUGAUUUGCUUUUGCACGUCCAUCUAAUUUGUGGAUCCUUGCAUCAGAAUUUGAUCAAUCCAAAAGGAAUUGCUUUUAGACAGAAGAAGAAUAGCAGCACCUAGCCUACCCGCAAACCUGAAACUAUUAGAUUGAGGUAAAAAAAUCAUUGACCCUCACAUGUUAACUUCUUCUAGUUACUUUCGUUGGGAAAAAAAAAAACAUUUAAGGAAUUUGCAAUUUGUUGUUAGUUAUGGUAUCUGAUGUUCUUUUCUGCUUUAGCGUUUGUAGAAUCUACUGUAUUAUGUGUUGGCAGUUGCCGUAUCUAAGGUAACUUGCCUUUAUUUGUUUGCUUCUGACUUAAGGACACCAACAUUUGCCAGAGAUUUAGAGAAUCAUCUCAAAACACUUAGCAAACUUGACAAACUUCAAGAUGCACUUGCCCCCACGCCUUAUUCUCAACAACGCAAAACUUGUGAGUACACCUAUGCCUGCAAUUAUUGUGAAGUGUUCGCAAUUCUGAUGCAGAGAAAUGGUUUCUUGAUGCAAAGUAUUAAACUGUUAAGAUUUAUCCUGCAGGCUUGUUAGAUGCUGGAUACGCGAAAAGCCAACAACAUCAAGAACUGCAACUCCAAGACCAGCUUUGCGUUAAUUCAGUCAGCUGUAAUAAUGAUGCAAAUGACACUAUAUCAAGCUGGACUUAGAGACUAGUCAGAUAAAUCAUCCAUUUCAUCAACGGUUAAUGUCAUGAUGGUGGCUAUCAGAGGAAACAAAAGAUGUGUCGGAAUCUAUACAAACAUUGAGAAGCAUGAGAGGAGCUUUGAUUUUGAGUAGGGUCAAUGAACUCAUAUUGGUAAGUGGUAAUUAAAGAAACUUUGUAAGCUUAGUAGAGUUUCAGUAUUUUCUGUUUGGAGUAUAGUUGAUAAGUUGACUCUGUUUAAGAAGCCCGAUUAUAGUAGCUGACUGUAUUAACCUUUUUUUUUUUUUUUUGGGUCUGCUGUUGUUUUUGGUUUCGAUUAUUUUUUCAACAUUGGGUUGAUCUGUUGAAGAACAAGCUUGGGUUUGAUUAUGCUUUAACUACAAGGAAGAGCCAGACUUGGAUGCAGGCGUUAAGCUUUUAAUGGGUAAGAACAAAUGAAUGCUUUAACUAUGUUUCUCACUUAUUAAAAUGCACGGAUUGAAGGCAUCUGGGUUGAUCCUGACAAUGUGAUGGAAAUACUUCUCUGUUUUCAUAUAACAGGACAAAUAGAGAUCUCUGAUCAUGCCUGAAUUUUUGUUGCAUUGAAAUUUCUACCAUUAUCAAACAUAGAAUGAACUAGGGAUACAUUAGCUUAAGACUAAAUUUUGAGAAGGAAGUUUGUACUUGCAGCCUAUAAAAUCAUGUCCAUGUUGUACGUUUCUUUGGGAAAUGAAAGAUUCUGUGUGUUCUUUUAUUUCAAGUUCACUGAAAUCACAUUUGUUUUCUCAGCUGCUUUCCAGAAGGUAACAACAUCAAUUUCAAAAAUGCUGGGGCAAGAUGUAUCAUGCAGUGCAACUCAACUUGAGAAUUCCUGGCCACAUUACCCGUAUGUCUAAUGAUCGCACAGUACAACCUUGAGAAGCUUGUAAUGAGUACACAACUGGGUGCAAGUAGUUUUGAAAUGAAUUUGCCUCAAAUGAUUUCUUGCCGGUGAUUAAUAUAACCUCUAUUCCAAAAUUCUUGGAACUGGUCAUACUAGCAAUGAAGGAUUGCAUACAUUGAAGACAUAGCUGAAGGCCUUGCGAGAGCUCUGUCAGCCCUUGUACCGGAAAACAGCUGGUCGUAGUCGCUUGUGAAUGAUAUGAUUAAUAGAUACUGCAAAAAUGAAUUGUGCCAUACAUUUUCAGCGCUCUGUGAAGAUGUCUUGGUCAUUUGUUUGAUGCUUGUUUGAUUUAUGUUGUAUUCAGCCAUAAAUCAGAGAUUCAGAACUUGGGUAUGUUUCUGGUUUCCAAAUCAAAAAAUUGCCUUGUGAUGUUAGUGUUCACUGUUUUCACAGGAGAUCAGGUUCCUUGUUAAUGAAUCAAGAAGAAGGCAAGCGCAUCCAUGUCCAAGUUCAAAUGUGUCUCCUCUAUUUUCUAUUACCCACUCAUUUAUUUUGAUUUCUUCAUUGUAAUUGAAUUAGUUUUUUAUUCCAAAUUAGUCAAAACCUCGUAGAGUCAUUAAGUUCUUUUAGCAUUUAAAGACAGAACUACGAACCAAAUGAUUUAAGUUCUUCGUUGUAAUUGAAUUUGCUUUCCCAUCUUUAAAGAUAUUAUGUUCUUUUUCACUUUUUCGAUUUGGUUAGUGGUGAUUUCUUAAAGACUCAAUCCAUUUGCGUUAAUACAUUUUUCUUUUGCCUUGAUUUCUGUUUCUUGGGGAGUUUAUACAUAUUCUUAUUUUAUGCUACACAUGCCAUAUACAGAUUCUUAUUUUAUGCUUCACAUGCCACAUGAAAGGUCAAAGCCUUGUGUGUGAUUAGAAUUUACUGGCAUCAUAGUAACUUUAAACCAUUGUGACGUUUUAGUAAUAACAGUCUGAGCUCUCCCUGAAGGAUUCAAAGCAUUUUAUUUUAUAUUAUACUCCUUUAUAUGGUUUGGCUGGUCUCUUUUAAGGCAAUUCCUGUUUAAAGUAAUCAAAAUUUUGAUUUCGAAGUGUCUUUCAACACUACCGCUAGUUCUUUAAGAAAAGUAAAUCGAUUUUGAGUCUUCUGUAUCAUCUGAUUGAAAUACAUGAAAGCACUCUUAGCUGCAAAAGUACACUUGGAGUUAUAAUAGCAUUCUGAAAUCUCCUUGAAGGAUUCAAAAGCUCUUUAUUUGCUAGUCUUUGCUUGCAAUAAACUCCUUUAAUAUAGAUUGGUUGAUCUUCUUUAAAGCAAUUACCAUAAGUUCUUUAAAUAAUAAAACGACUUUGAGUCUUAUGUAUCAUCUUGUUGAAAUACAUGAAAGCACUCUUGGCUGUAAAAAUGCACUUGGGGUUAUAUAUAAAGUCUUCAACAGAAUUUUAUUUCCCCCUUUAUCCUCAUGGUGGUCUUUUUAGUUGUUUUUUAAGAAAUCGCUUGAAGGUUCUCUUUAAAAAUAAUUUUAACAUAAGCAUUCUUUAGAAGCACUUUAGAUGUCUGGCAUUUAGAAAAUUUUGUUCCUGUGUUCACAUAAUAUAAUAUAUAUAUAUAGAAAGCUGACUGUAGAAUAGAGGAGAACGAGUUGGUGUUGGUCUGAACUCUGAUCUUUGAAUCUCAUGUGACUCCACUACUUUUUACUUGUUCUGUACAAGGUCUUUUAGCUUUUCAAAAAGUUUUAGCUUUAUGGAUAAAAUACUGUUAAUUGUAAUCUAUAAAUAAUGAAAGGAAUUAAUAAAAUAUUUGGUAAAUUUUAUUUUCUAAAGUGUUAUGAGUUCUAAAACGGCUGUAUGUAUAUAAAUUUAUUUACACAUAUAUUUAUAAAUAUGAUUAUAUAAUAAUAUUUUAUGUGUACAUAUCAUAAUUGAUAACUAAAAUAAAUAUUUUUAUUUUAUUAAUGGUUUUUCCGUCUCAAUGUAGUUGGUAAUAAUAAUCUCUUUAGAUGUAACGAUUUUAUUUCCUAACUGAAUAAGGAAAAUUUUAGAUUUUUAUAAUAAAUGUUAAAUAUAUAUAGAAUUACAUUAAGUAUGAAAUAAUCCUCAAAAUUAGAUUUGAAAAGUUAUUCUUUUCUUGCUUUUAAAAAUAUGUCAUAUGAUGAGAUAAUUUUACUAAAAGUGAUUUUUUUUUAAAAAAAUUACUAAACAUCAAAAUUAACUCUUAACUUUUUAAAAUCAUUUCUAAUCUUCUCAUCCUAAGUUCUUUAUUGUUUUGUACAAAAUCCAAGGUUUUGACUUUUAUAAAAUGCCCACUCAAAAAUAAAUUAUUUUCUAAUUAAGAUUUGUUGUUAAUGUAUAACUCGAAGUAAUAUUAGAUAUUUGUAAUUUUAUUUCAAAAAUUUUAUUCAAAUGAUAUGGCAAGCAAUGAACAAUAGUUGAUAGCAAUUUUUUUUUUUUAACAAUGUUCAAAUCAAUCAGUUGCAUUAUCUCACCAUUUUUAUGAUGUCAUGUUAUUUUAAAUGAUUUUUUUAAUUUUUAUAUAAAACAUACGACGUGUUAACAUCAUUUGCAUAACUUGACCUUUUUUUUUUUCCUACAAAUAGUGUUUAAAAUUCAACACACAGAUGUGCCUCUUUCUUACUAUACUGGAAUCCUCGGUAAACUUUUUGUUUGCGCAAUUUAUGUGAGCAAAUUGUGUCUUCUUUUUCAUAUGUAAAUGUUUUUGAUAUCUUGAUGUGAAGGUAGAAAAUUGCAUGUUUUGAGUUUUUGCAUAUUUGAUGGAAACACAGAACCGUACCUGAAUAUUUCAGAACCCCCUUUUCUUUGAAGUUUGAACACUUUUCUUGAAUGUAUCAACUUUAUUUAUGGGAUAUGUUGCCAAAUUGGCAAAUCUAUUCGUUAUAAAACUUUCCUUUGACAGUUUAAUCUAAGCAGAUGUUAAUUCUGCAAAUAGAGUGUGCCUUAGAUUAGUUUCAUAGAUUUGUCUCCUUCUGUACAGUAAAAACUUUGAGCAUUUUCGCCAUAUUCUGAUCAAUACACUCCAACUAGUUAGUUCUUGAGGCGUUUUAUGGUUUCGUGGAGUGAGGCAAGAUGUAUACGUUUGCAAAUUGGCAAUGUCUUUUGCUUGAUGGGUUGAGAGUUGUGAGUGUCAACAGGAAACAAGACCUCUGUUUUAUGAACUCCAAAAAGUUAUUCUGUUAGAAAGAUCGAGACAGAGGCCAUACUAUAUUUAUUAUUGCUAUAAAAGUGUGAAAAAAUAUUCUUUAUUUAAUAUUCUAAACGAUUGAGCCAUUUAGUUAUGAUAUUCUGCUGUAUUGGGGCUAAUAAUCUAAGUCGGUUCAAAGUGGUAAAUUUAUAAAUUGAUAGGUAUGCCUGGUAUGACCGCUUACGUUGGAUUUUAUGAGGUCUGCUCUCCUAAGCAUGGAGAGUGUGUCUUCAUAUCAGCAGCAUCUGGUGCAGUUGGUCAGCUUGUGGGGCAGUUUGCAAAGUUAUUGGGCUGCUAUGUCGUCGGAAGUGCUGGAAGCAAAGACAAGGUAGGUUAUCUGUGUGAAGUACUUGAUUGUUUCCGUGUUACUUUCAAACAUUUAAAUUAAAAAGGAAAUUUUCAUAAUCUUGCCUUUUCUAUGAUUUUCAAAACCAAGGUUGAUCUACUGAAGAACAAGUUUGGGUUCGACGAGGCAUUUAACUAUAAAGAAGAAGCUGAUUUGAAUGCAGCAUUGAAAAGGUUAGCAUCAAUAAAUGCCUUAGCUUGAUGCAGCUUGAUGAAGUAUGAUACACAUUUCUGACCAAUAUACUGCGUUCCCUGAUCUCUUACUUGAAAUAUCUUGGUUUGAGAAUCUCAUGCCAAUGCCUUUAACAUUUUGGCAGGUACUUUCCUGAAGGAAUUGAUAUAUAUUUUGAAAACGUUGGUGGAAAAACGCUUGAUGCAGUGCUACCCAACAUGAAAAUCCGUGGUCGAAUUGCUGCAUGCGGUAUGAUCUCACAGUACAAUCUUGACAAGCCUGAAGGUGUGCACAACUUGAUGUAUCUUGUUUCGAAACGGCUUCGAAUGGAAGGAUUCAUUGUUCUCGAUCACUAUCACCUCUAUCCAAAGUUUCUGGAAAUGAUCAUUCCUCACAUCAAAGAAGGGAAGCUUGUAUACGUCGAAGACAUGGCUGAAGGUCUUGAGAGUGCUCCGGCAGCUCUCAUCGGUCUAUUCUCUGGCCAGAAUGUUGGGAAACAGGUGGUUGCUGUUGCUCCUGAAUGAAGAACAAGUUAGUGUUGCAGUUUGAAUGAUGCUGCUGCACAACUGCUGCCGAAAAAAUCCUUAAUAGAUGAUUAGCAAGGUUUCAAAAAUAAAAAGAAAUGUUUGUGCAACGUGCCGAAUAUGACAGCCACAAAGAAAGAGCAUACAAAUUGAUUGGUUUUAUGUCUUCUCUAGGAGAAAGCUACAAUACAAGAAAUUGUAUUGAUGGAGCCAUGGACCAAAUUUCUUAUUUAAACUUUUAAUUUUUUUUAUUAAAAUUACUUAUGUUAUUAUGGUUUAUAUUUUUAGAAAUUCUUUAGAAAUUAAUACAGAACUAGUAGCAAGUUGAGAAAUCUACUGAAUAGUCGAGAUAUGAUCAUGUUUAUUGAAUUAAAUUGACAAUCAUCAUUUUGAUAAAUUAUUGUUAGGAUAUUUGAUUCAUCACAGGUGUAAGUAACUAAAUGUGCUAAAAAAAAAGUUAAUGAGUUGUGAGUGUUUGAUAUUCGUUUGUUGUAAUUCUUUUAAUAAUUGUUGUGGGAAAAAAAUUAUGGUAAAAAAAUUAUAAUUAUAAAAUAAAAAUUAAUAAUAUAUUAUAAAUAAAAUUUUUAAAUAAUAAUUUUAAUAAAAUAAUAAAUAUAUUAUGAAUUUUUCAUUAUAAAUUUUUAAGUUAAAAUAAUAAAUAUUUAUUAAAUAUUUUAAUAGCACAACUUUUAAAUUAUAACAGUACAAUGUAAAUACCAGAGGUCUUAAAAAAUAAAAUUACAGUCAAGUUUUAAAACUGUUAAUAAUGCUAUUCAUAAAGGCGCUCGUCGUGUAAACAACACAUGGGACCCAACCAAUAAAUGUUUAUGAUCCUCAACUUUCCUCCUCACCGUCCCUGCAAACAAUUCUGAUCUUCUUGUCUGAGAAAAAAACUGAGAAACAAUGGCGGCCGAACAAGAAGCUGUGAGCAAUAAGCGGGUGAUUCUAAGCAACUAUGUGACAGGUUUUCCAAAAGAAUCGGACAUGAAGAUAACAUGUGGAUCAAUAAAACUGGAGGUAGCAGACGGUUUAAAAGACACGGUGCUUUUGAAGAAUCUUUAUAUUUCUUGUGAUCCUUACAUGCGAGAGCGUAUGAGCAAGCUUGAUAGACCUUCUUUUGUUGAUUCAUUCCAUCCUGGUGAGGUUAGUUCAUCACGACCCAUCUCUUGAUUUUUUUUUUUUUUUCAUUUGCUUCAAGUUUUGAUGAGUUUCUGAGGUCAUUUGUACGGUUUUGGAAUGUGAACACUAUUAGUGAUUUUGGGGCUGUAACUGUCAUUAAUGAUAUGUAGUAAUUCAAUCAGAAUUUGGAUUUAGUGCUGAUAUGAUCUCUGCUCAUUUUUUAAAAUCUUGUGUCCAGAUGCAUUUUUAUAAUCUUGUACGGUUGAGAUUGUAUGUAGAUUAAUCUACGUGCAGUAUUCUUGUCUAAUGACUACUAACCACAACCUUAUGAGACGAUCGAAACCAAGCUCAGAUCAAUAAUCCAAUUGAGAGAGGGUCCUAACUCAAGCUUAUCGUGUGUAGGAAUAUUUCGGUUAAAUUGUAAUUCUUUUAAUAAUUGUUGUGAAAAAAAAAAGUUAUGAUAAAAAAAUUAAUAAUUAUAAAAUAAAAAUUAAUUAUAUAUAAUAAAUAAGAUUUUUAAAUAAUAAUUUUAAUAAAAUAUAAUAAAUACAUUAUCAAUUUUUCAUCGUUAAUUUUUAAGUCACAACCACAAAUAUUUACUAAACACUUUAACACCAUAAUUAACACCACAACUAUUGAAUUAUAACUGUACAAUCUAGACGCCAAGAGGCCUUAGUAUGAAAAAAAAAAAUUACAGUUAAGUUAAAAUUCAUCAUACAGAUGUGCCACUUUCAUACUAUACCGGGAUCCUCGGUAAUGAUUUUUGUUACACAAUAAGAUUUGCUUAUAGUAAUAUCAAUACAUAUGCUGCUUAAAUGCUUUCUGAUUUUUUGCCGGCCAUUGUCCAUUUUGCCAGGGAGUCUAUAAUUGAAGGAAUUUACUGAAGGAAUGCUGAUUGUUGGGAAUUUGAUUAUUCUAGGUAUGCCUGGUGUAACUGCAUACGCUGGUUUAUACGAAGUUUGCUUUCCGAAGAAAGGAGAGUAUGUCUAUGUAUCUGCAGCAUCUGGAGCUGUUGGUCAGCUUGUUGGACAGUUUGCAAAAUUAGCUCGUUGCUAUGUUGUUGGAAGUGCAGGAAGCAAAGAAAAUAUAGCACCGUGCCUUCUAGCAGAAUUUUACUUGCUUUAUGUUCCAACUAAGCAUCCAUAUUUGAUCAUGAUAAUUAGCAAGGUCAAUAAUUUUUUUUUGACUAUUUUUUCAACGUAAGGUCGAUUUGUUGAAGAACAAGUUUGAACGAUGCUUUUAACUACAAGGAAGAGCCUGAUUUUGAUGCAGCACUCAAAAGGUCAGCUGCAACAAACGUUUCAACUCUAAUAUUUCAUUUUAAUAUUACAGAGCUUUGGUUGAAGUGUGUGAGUUGAUCCCAGAAACGUAACUUCAUCAGUGUCUCUGUUUUCAAAAAACAUGACAAAUAGAAAUCUGAUUUUGCUUUAAAAUUUCCCAGAUGCUUCCCUCAAGGAAUCGACAUAUAUUUCGAAAAUGUUGGGGGAAAGAUGCUGGACGCAGUGCUACUCAACAUGAGGCUCCGGGGCCGCAUUGCAGUAAGCAGUAUGAUCUCACAGUAUAACCUGGAAAAACCCGAAGGCGUACACAACUUAGAGCAACUGAUCGGGAAACGGAUUCGCCUGGAAGGAUUUCUAGCUGGUGAUUACUAUCACCUCUAUCUGAAAUUCUUGGAACUGGUCAUUCCUCCAAUCAGAGAAGGAAAGAUGCUGUAUGUGGAAGACAUGGCCGAAGGACUCGAGAAAAUUUCUCGUAACUGCUACACAUUAAACGCGUUUCACAUUUCCACUCUCUUUCUAUAAAUAAAUACGCACAUAAAAUUUCUCACCAUCCAAAAACAAAAUCUACAUAAAAAAUGGCGGGUGAAGAAGCAGUGAGCAACAAGCAGGUGAUUCUGAGCAACUACGUGACAGGGUUUCCCAAGGAAUCAGACAUGAAGAUAAUAACAGGCUCAAUAAACCUUAAGGUGCCAGAGGGUUCAAAAGACACAAUGCUUUUGAAGAAUCUUUAUCUUUCCUGUGAUCCUUACAUGAGAGGACGUAUGAGCGAGCUUGAUAAGCCUUCGUUUGUUGCCUCAUUCGAGUCUGGCGAGGUCAGUUACUUCAAUUCCCAUCUCUUGGUUUCAUAAUCUUUUAUGGUUUUAGAAGGUGUUUUAGGGAAACAUUGUGGUUUUGGUUAGUGGGCAUGAGUCUUUGAAGAGAUUAUAAUGUGUAGGACUAUGCAUGCAAUAAUAAGCAUAGGGGAUCUUGUUAGGAGAAGAUUCUCUUAGCAAAAUAAAAACUUUUAUCUUAUCAAAACAUAUGCAGGGAACUUAGUUAUGAUGUCAUGUUAGCAUUGUCUCUGAGGAUUUGAUUUCUUGAUGGGGAAAGGGGAAUUUAAGGUUACAUUAUUCAGCAAUGGUUUUUUUUUUAAAUUAUGUUCAAAUUAUGCAGCCUUUAAGCGGAUAUGGAGUGUCCAAAGUGUUGGAUUCCACGCCUCCAAAUUAUAAGAAAGAUGACUUGGGUGGUGUUUGUUUUUUAACUUAAUGACUUAAAGUGACUUAACUUAAUUAAUUAAGUUAAUUAGAGAUGUUUGUUUUUAUAACUUAAUGUGACUUUUUAAAUAAUUUUGACUUAAUAAAAUAAGCCAAUUUUAUUUACUUUUUACUUAAUAGAGACAUCUGAAUUAAGUCAAGUACUUUCUAAUGUCAAAAAUAUACAUGCUUUAUAAUUUAUUUUUCAUGUCUAUCCCAAAACUCACCCAUAGACAUUUACCCCACAUAAUAAUCUCAUCAUUAUUUUUUUAGCCGUCAUGAAAUCCCUCCUCACUUUGGUAUCAACUCCUCAACUAUUGAAGAUCAAAAUUACAUGCGACAACUUCGAGAUGAAUGGCAAAUCAACUGUUUCAAGCAUCUUAUUAGUUUUUUUUCUUUUUUAUAUUAUAUACGAUAAAAUUUGAAAUUUAUGGUAUUUUAUAUAUUAAAAUUCCAAAAUCAUUAUAUAUUCACUUGAAUAUAGUUUUACUUAUAAAUGUUAAAAUAUUGUGAUAUUUAAUAUAUUGUUUAUUUGACAUUCAAAUUUAAUAAGGAUACAAAUGUAAAAGUACAUAUUUUUCAGUUUUUUAAGUUGAAAAAAGAAAACAACUUAAUAAUUAUUUUUCGAGAUUCAGACGAAAAAACAAACAUAUUAUUCAGAUUCAGACAUUCAGAUCUAUUCAGAAUUUAGACUAAUUCAAGUCUAUUCAGAUUUCAGAUAAAAAAACAAACGCCACCUUGGUCCGGGGCUUAACCAGUUGGGAGGAGUUCAGUCUCAUCCAAUCACCACAACUUCUGAUUAAAAUUCUGGAUACAAGUGUGCCUCUGCCAUAAUUAAUUGACAGGUUGCUAUGUUGUUGGAAGUGCCGGAAGCAAAGAAAAGGUGAGUUUGCACCCUUAACCCUUACGCUCUAAAUAAAAACAUAACACCUUCUGAAAGAAUUGUGCAUAGAGAAUUUUGCAUGUCACAUUAUUUGUGUUCUAACUAAUCAUGGAUAUUUGAUCAUUAGUCUAACUAAAACUGACAUAUUACCACCUAGUUGACUGGUCUUUGAGAAAUGUUAGUUGAUAUAUGCUUGAAAUCAUACUUUGUUUUAUUAGAUGAUUAUAUUAACCUGCUUCUUUUUCUUUGUGCUGUUUCUCGUUUGAUUACAUUUUCAACAUUAGGUCGAUCUAUUGAAGCACAAGUUUGGGUUUGAUGAUGCCUUUAACUAUAAGGAAGAGCCUGACUUGGAUGCAGCUCUUAAUAGGUUAGCACGAAUGAAUGCUUUAACCAUUUUUCUCACUUCAUUAUUACAAUGCGCUGAUUGAAGUAAUCAGUGUUGGCUCUGAAAAUGUAACGUAUACUUCUCUGUUUUCAUAAAACAGGACAAACAGUGAUCAGUGAUCUCAUUCGUUACAUUGAUAUUUUCUACCAUUGCCAUACAUAGUAUAAACUAGGAAUUCAGUUGCUUAAUAGAUAUUCAUUUCAGAGGGAAAUUUUCACUUGCAGCUAACAGAAUCAUGUUUGUGAUGUAUGUUUAUUUGGGAAAUGAAAGGAUUUGUUGCAUUAUUUUAUUCCAAGUUUGCUGAAAUCAUAUUUGUUUUCCCAGGUGCUUUCCUGAAGUUAUCGACAUCUAUUUCGAAAAUUUUGGGGGUAAGAUGCUUGAUGCAGUGCUACUCAACAUGAGAAUUUGUGGCCGCAUCGCUGUAUGCGGAAUGAUCUCACAGUACAACUUUGAGAAGCCUGAAGGUGUACACAACUUGAUGCAAGUAAUUGGAAAACGAAUUCGCAUGGAAGGAUUUCUUGCCAGUGAUUUCUACCACCAAUAUCCAAAAUUCUUGGAACUGGUUAUGCCGGCAAUCAAAGAAGGAAAGUUAGUAUAUGUCGAGGACAUAGCUGAAGGCCUCGAGAAAGCUCCAUCAGCCCUAGUUGGGAUAUUCACAGGUCAAAAUGUUAAAAAACAACUGGUUGUAGUUGCUCGGGAAUGAUAUGAUUACUAUAUGCUUUAAAAAGUGGACUUUGCCAUGCACUUUAAAACCUUAGUGAAGAUGCCUUUGUCUUAUUUUUGAUACAUGUUAUGUUUGUUUGAUCAAGUUGUACUCAGCUAUAAAUCAAAGAUUCAGAACAUGUGUAUGAUACUGGUUUCUAAAUCAAUGAACGCCUUGAAAUGUUAGUGUUUUCACAGGAGAAUGCAAUUUAAUUCAUCAACAAUGUCCCAACAAGACCCUCAGAG
This 356507-nucleotide long non-coding RNA is filed under the name Citrus maxima (pomelo). Its description in RNAcentral is "long non-coding RNA (CMAX_LNC000709)". Lineage: Eukaryota; Viridiplantae; Streptophyta; Magnoliopsida; Sapindales; Rutaceae. The record is from RNAcentral.